This 432443-nucleotide long non-coding RNA is filed under the name Brassica napus (rape). RNAcentral describes it as "long non-coding RNA (BNAP_LNC006394)". The stretch from base 9986 to 10110 matches the Rfam family "MIR9563 microRNA precursor family". Lineage: Eukaryota; Viridiplantae; Streptophyta; Magnoliopsida; Brassicales; Brassicaceae. The record is from RNAcentral.
CAUAACCCAUGAACUCAGCUAACCUCUUCACAAAGGGCAAAGGUUCAGCUCUCAUCGUCUCGUACCUAAGGAACAGAAUCCUCUCCGGAUUCUCUUUGUAAGCCUUCCAGUAACCCAACACAUGGUCCAGGUAAGGACCGUACACAGACAGGCCUUUACAGAACAUAUCAAAAGCCUCUUCAAGACUCGCUAGUUGCUGACCCUCUUGAGACUUCUCCUUGUGGAGGAAAGUCCACAUGGAGAUGAAAGUGUCCUUCGGGUCUCUCCAAAUGUAAACCAUCUUGCAACCGGACUUCACUAUGGACUCGGGUAACGACCCGUUGGGUAUAUGGGUGGAGUAAAGCUGGUUCUUUCCGUCUUGGAGGACGUCGACGGUCGGGUAGAAAGCGAAGUCGAUCUCGACGUAAGGCACGAACUCGUGAGGGUUACGUUUGAGGAGCGGGUUCGUGGAGUCGUCGAAACGAGAUCGGUUUACGAUGGCGUAGGUCAAGGCUUUGAGCCAGGUUGUGCCGGUUUUCGGGUAGCUGCAGACGAGGAAGUCGGUGGGUCGUGCUUGGAAAUGGUCUUUGGCGUGGAGGAGACCUUCGAGGAGACAUUCUUGCCACCAGUGUCCGUUGUAUUGAGUUAGGAUCUCGUUGGGUCUCCAUCCUUUGCUCUUUGGGAGGGCGGAGAUGAAGUCUUGGUACUUCUUUUGGGUCUUCUCGAACUCUGAGAGCUCGAGUUGGGAUCCGUUUUGGGUCGUGUUGGGUUCCAUUGGGGAUGGUGUUGAGUGAUGGAGUCAGAGGAUGUGUCGGGAAGCUUUUGUGGAGUUGUGGAGGAUGAUGAUGUAAGAAGAAGAUGGACGGUUCUAUAAAUAGAAGGGAAGGUUUAGUAGGUGAUGAUGUCUCGCAUCAUUUGAGUAGAAACUAUAGUCAAACCAAAUAAUUGUGUUGAGCUUAUAGAAAAAUUGAUUUUACCGGUUUAAUACUUAAUAAAUUUUAAAUUCGUUUUGUGUCUGUAAAAUUCAAUUAUUUUUUUAAUUCGAUUUUUUGUAAUUUUACAGAAUUAAGAAAUUUCGUUUGAUAGCUUAAACUUAGAUAAAUAAAUACAAAAGUACGCAAAUUGAAUUUUUUUUUUUUUUUUUUUUUUUUUCCAACAUCGCUCCAUCUCUAUAUGGUUAGGUUUCUAUGACUUAGUUACUCUUUUCAGCUCAAUGUGUCUUGAAAACAAGUUCUUGAUUCUUGUUUUUUUUUUUUUUUUGUGAGAGGGGAGGAGAAGUGGUUGUUGUUGCAGCUAAAAGGUCACGUUUUAGAAAUGGACUUUGUAGGUAGAGGUUUGGUUGGUCUCGUUCGUUAACUGAGUUCGGUCCACGUUUAUCUCUAGGCUGGUGCUGAAUUUUCUAUGCAGCUUCGAAACAAACAAACCCGUCAACACUUUAUUUUCUGAUGAAAACAACAUUUUUUCAUUGAAUUUUUGCAGUCCAAUUAAGGCCAUAUGCCUAUAUAUCCAUCAUCAAAUCUAACAUAUCAUUUGUGAGUUCGACAUUUUUCCUCUACAAAGAAGGUUUUCCUCCUAUGUAGAUUUCAAUUUAUCUUAAUCAAGUAAUAAAUCAUCCUUGUAAUUUUCUUUUUGUAUAGCAGGAUGUCUUUGAACUAGUCUAAUCAGGCUAACCUAAAGGAUAUCAUGAUUAAUUGGUCUCUUUCCUACUACCAGAAGAACUUGAACCACAACAAUAAGCCAAACUAUCAAAAGACUGAAAAAGAGAUAUAUACAACCUAUAUAGAGAAUAGCAUAAAACAUUUCAAAAUUAGUUUUUGUUCCAAACCUAGUAAACCAAAUCUGAAACUCCAGACUAAUGUAACUUUAUGUGAAAAGUUCUUGUUUUUACUAAAUAAAUUUCAAACAAAACUAACAAACCAUGAUUACCCUUUUCCAAAUUAUGGUUUAGAUUUCCUCAACAAGACAUUUUAAUGUUGAAUUUAUUCAAAUACUUAAAAUUCUAAAAAUUGUAAAACUAAAGUAUAUAUUUCCGAGUAAAAUGUAACAAGUUUACGUAAAUGAACAUUUUGGUAUUAAUUGCAUGAGAAAAUAUUACAACAUAUUUGGUCAAUAAAACUUGAUAGAAUGAGAAAAUAUAAUAAUUCGAAACAAACUUUCUUAUUGGAAUUCUGAUACUUAAACACGGUAGAAACUUUUUAGACUAAUUUAUUUAGAUGUAGCUAGUGACAGAAAAAAAGGACAGUAAUUAGAUAUCUCCCACGGUAAAUCAAACAAAACCGAGAGAGAGAGAGAAAAUGGCAUAGUUUGAUUUAGCCAACAAAACACUUAUUAAACCCUAGGAAUUGCCUUACAAACAAGAGAGUUCUUCAUCUCCAGUGAGAGCUUCAAAGUCUCGCUCAAAUCUACUUCACCACAGGGAACCCACUUGAAGCUACCUAGCAACUGAGCCAGCCAUAACUCCACAGUAGCUAUACCCAUAGACUUACCAGGACAGACCCUACGUCCAGCACCAAAGGGAGCAAGCCUCAAAUCAGAUCCCAUAAUGGGAAAGUUAUCACUUUCUUGUGAACCAAGAAACCUCUCUGGCUUAUACUCAUGAGCCUCCGGCCAGACCUUUUCAUCAUGGGUUAUCGCCCACAUGUUAACCAUGGCAGUGGUCCCAGCGGGGAUAAAGUGGGUCCCAAUUUGAGUGUCGUGAAUAGAGAGACGAGCCCAUGAGAGGAGAGGACCAGGUGGGUGCAUCCUUAGGGUUUCCUUGACGAUGGCACGAAUGUAUGGAAGCUUGGAGAGGUCUGAGUCUGAUACUUGACGUCCCAUCUCACCCUCGAUGGCAUCGAUCUCGGCCUGCGCCUUGGCUUGAAUAUCAGGGUGAAGAAUCAUCCUCGCAAGGAUCCAUUCCAAUAAAAUUGCCACGGUGUCCGUUCCCCUAAAAAUCAUUUCCUAUAUCGAAAAACCAAUGUUUAGGUUUUGUUACUUACUCGACCAAUUCAUAUAUUUAUCUAAAAAAAUUCUAAAUAUUAUUAUUUUAUUAAUUUAUCUCAUAAUUUCAUAUUUUUAAUCGAACUUUAAACUAAAACACUUAAUUAAUUUAUAUAGUUUACACACACUUGUUCUUACCCAAAGGACGGCAAUCAUGUCAGAGUCUGAAAGUUUGAUAUUGCCUUGCAUACCAAGCAAGACAUCAACAAAGUCAUCAUCAUUAGUGCCCUCUUCUUCUUUAUUAUCACGAAGAGACCUCUUUGAUUUGUGCUCCUCGAUAAUAUUUCCGACAAACACAUUCACCUUACCAACCAAGCUACGGCAUCUUCUCCUUACGCCUUGUAAAUCUAACCACCUCAUUCCCGGGAAAUGAUCACUCCAGUUGAAUAUUCCAAGAAGCUCAUAGCCUUCGGACACCAAAUGCUCCAACUUCGAGUUAACGAUACUACCAUCGUUGAAGUCAUAUGUUUUGCCAAAAACGCUAGACAUAACAUUGUUGAGUGAUCCAAAAUGCAAGAUUCUUUUGAUAUGCACCUCUCCAUAACUUGCCAUUGCGUUCUUGAUCUCUCCUACCAUGUUUUCCCCGAUUUUUCGACGAGACUCUCCGAAAGAGGAGAUCCUCUUAGGACUAAAGAGAUGAGUAGAAGAGAUUCUCCUCAGCUCUCUCCAGUAAUCACCAAAUGGAGCAAACCCCAUAGCUCUAUGAAAAAGCAGCUCGUAAGCCGACUCUUUCACAGGCCGGUCCGCGAAAGCCGAGCUGUUUAAGAUCUCUUUGGCCGUCCCCGGUUCGCUAGUUAUCACAAACCGGGUAGACCCGACCGAGAACGCCAUGAGAGCUUUUGCUUUGCGAGAGUUAGCGAUAUUGGCGAGGAUUCUGUGUGUCAAGGCGUUGUUAACGAAGGCUAAGAGGAGGCCAAUGAUGGGGAGACCAGGCGGGCCAGGAAUGGCGGGUAGGGUUUUGGAUUCUGGUCGGGUGUGGAAACGAGCUUUGUAUAGUGCCCAAGCAAAGCCACCUGGUGUUAACCAGAAAACGAAAAGGGAGAUGAAGAGGACAAUGCUGAGACAAAGGUCGAGACUCACAAAUGGAUAAGCGAAGGAAAGACUCAUGUCAAUAGCCAUUUUUAUAGAAUAAAUUAGGGUUUCUUAGAUAGUGAGCCAAAGAGAAGACACAGACGAUAAUAUGAUGAUAUGAUGGCAAUGGUGAGAGUAUUUCUUAUAUAGUGGAGGAAUCUAACUACGGUUAGAUGGGGUGAUAAGUAAAAUUUAAUUAAUUUAAAAUAUCAGUCCUAAUACAGUCUAACCAUGGUUAAUACUCUUUAGAAAGAUACAAGCAUACAAGCAUACAAAUCCGAUGGAUUUUUUUUUUUAACAUUUCAAAAUCUGAUGGAUUUGCCCUUUCGAGGAUGAUUGGAAGUAGCUGUAGCUUUAUAUUUUUGCUUUAGAAAUAAAUCUGUAGAUUUUUUUUGCUGUGGCUGUAGAUAAUUUUGCUGUAGAAUAUUAGCUGUAGGUUUAAAAAGAUUCAAAGACUUACAUAUAAAUUUUCUAAAGCAAAAAAUAAAUGCUCUAGAUUUAUGGCUUUCCACAGCUAAAAAUAAAUAAAAAGGAAAGAAAAAUUUGUAACUUUAAAAAAUCUUUACAAAGCAUGAUUGGCAAAAUUUUGGGCUGUAGAAAUAAUUUAGGCUGUAGAGAAAUCUUACAGCACUUCUAAAGCAUUUGCCAAUCAACCCCUUUGUUGCAUCGUGCAUGGUAUGUUUUCUUACUUCCCAUGAAAAAGAACAGGCAAAGUGUUACAAAAAAAAAACAAUUCAUAUUAUAAUUAAAAUAAUUCAAUCGGUUGUGAUAUCAUAUAUAGAGCCGUAUCAAUCUAUUAUAUAUAUAUAUACCGUUAAUUAAUUUUCCAAGGUAUAAAUCAUAUGCCGUAAACAUGCGAAAGAUUGGAUGGAACAAAGAUGCAUGGGCUAAGAUUAACAUAAUAUAAAAAAGUUAGAAUAAAUUAGUCUCAUCAAUUUCACUUCAAAACUGUAGUGAAAUGUUUCUUUUUGGAAUUUUACUUAUUUUUUGUUUGUAAAUUGAUGGAAUACGUUAUUUUAUGUUCCAUUAUGUAUAUUGUCAAUCCUAUUUUAGCAGUUUAAGGAUCAUAUUUUUGGAUUUUUUUUCUUUGUUCUUUUCAAAGCAACUAGCUAAGUGGUACCCACUUACCAGCGACAUGUUGGAUUGGUUUUAUUAGGACUUCCAACUGCACUGUUAGACAAUACAUUUGCGGACACUGAUGCGUUAGCAGUCAAGUGGAACUAGCGAUGUCGGAUCAGAUUUUCGUUAAUAAUAUCUUCCGAGGAUUAAUAGAAUAUAUUUUAAAAAUAUUUAUUUGUUCUUUUUCGUAUGGAAAGUCGGUCACCGGUGAAAGUUGAACAAGGUCAAAGAAAAAGUUUGUAUAAACAUAAAUAAUAGUAAGAAUUAAUAUGUAAAGCGCCAUGAUAAUUGAUACUCGUUAUCCAACAUGGUCGGUUGAAGUUUUGGAUACGAUUUGACCGGAAUGUGAAGCUUGUAGAGUAGGCUACCUGUCGGUACCUACAAAAUGCUACUAGGUAGCUAGAGAAAGGCUAGAACUAAUACUAUUUUAAAAAAUAAGAUAUAUUUUGCUCAUUUCUGUUUCUAAUAUAAUGGCAAACCCUCAUUUAUCGUGAUUGUUCUUUUAAGGCUUAUGAAUGAAAUGCAAAUCAAGAAAACAAAGUUCAAACCCAAAACGCAGAUCAAUCAGAAGAAAUGCACAUCAAACAGAUUAUACAGAACAAAUGCAGAUCUAACUCGUUAAACUAAUUUAUUGAAUUAUUGUAUUUAACCAAAUGUUAAAAAUAAUUUUGUAAAUUAAAUAUCUAAAACAAAAAUACAAAUGCUUAAGAAUUAUUAUUUUUAAUUAAUUUAAUAAAUAUAAAGAAAAUUUAAACAUUAUAUAAAAGGUAAACACAAUUACAAAAAAAAAUCGUAAAACAAAAAAAUGUAUUAUCAUUCUAAUAAAUAUAUUAAAUGGGUUUUGUAGGGUGUUAUAAAAACAUAUCCAAACCAAAAGUGUUAUAAACCGAUCUAAACGGGUGAAAAAUCUGAAAAAUAUCUGAAAAAACGAUCUGAAUAAUAUGUAAGAGCAAAAAAUAUCUAAAAAAAUACAACUUACUAUAUAUAAGUAAUAAAUAUCAUGUAUAACAUACUGAAACAAAAUUAUAAGAAAAUUAUGAAUAUACAAAAUAAAUAUAUAUUAUUUACUAUAGUCAGAUUUAUUUUAUUGAUUUAAUGUAUUUUCUUAAUUAGUAUAUGUGAAAAUACUAAAAAAAGUUAUCUUUAUGGAACAAAAAUAAUAUGUAGGAGGAAAAAAAUAUGUUUCAUAUUUUUCAUUGUGCAUGCAUUCAUUAAAUUUCUAGUUUUAGUUUUAGUUGUUACAAGUUUUGCAAUAUAUGUAAUCAAUACAUGAAUUAUCAAUAACAUGCAUGAAUUCAUUAACUGAUUUAGUUUUUAUACACAACUAUUAAUUAAUUUAUUUAUUAAUCAUCAAAAAUAAAAAUAACAAUAAUUAUAAGAUAUAUGUUUUAUAGUUUUCAAAAUAUUAUAUAUGAUUAAUUAGUGAAGUUAUAUAUUUUUCUAUUAUACAAAAAUAACAGCAUAAAUAGUUAUUAUAUAAAAACUAUGAAUAUGUAAUGAGAAUAUAAAUAAUUGUAUAUGAAAAUAUUAUAGUAUAUAAUAUAUCUUUACAAAGUGAAAAGACAAACUAUUAAACCAUAUUUUGAGAAUCUUUAGUUUGAAAAAGGAUAAAAAAUAGUUAAUUAAUAGUAGACAAAAUAAAUAUUUAACUAAUUAAAAAAAAAAUCAAAACAGGGAUUGGUCACCUGCAUCACCACCGCCCGUUUCUCCCUUAUACAUGCAGGACUUGUAUUAAAAUGUUCUGCAUGCAAUCAAUAAUUAUUUUAUUAGUUUUUCUUGUCGUAGCCUCUAAAACAGUGAAUGAGUACUAAUUGCAGAUUGGACUGCAUAACAAUUUCCCCCUCUUUCUGCUUUUUCUCUGCCUCACAUUCAGACCCUAAGGCUUCGAAAGGUAAAAGCAUUUCAAGCGGGACAGAUCAAGCAGAUCAUGCAGAUCAAGCAGGACAAAUGCAGAUCAUGCAGAUCAAGCAGGACAAGUACAGAUCAAGCGAGACAAGUGCAGAUCAAGCGGAUCAUGCAAGAGAAACAAAUCAAACCGAUCUUAUAAUUUAUUAUAACUUAUGAAAGACAAAGUCAGUUCAAAACUAUAUAUCAUAUAUUAAAACAAUAAAAAUUACACCUACAUAUCUAAACAAAUAUCUUAAAUGUUAUAGGAUCGGCCGAAAUGCCUGUAAAUGUUUUAUAAGAUACUUAUACUUCUUUUAUUUUAUUUUUAGGUGAUCAAGAUUUUCUUGAAAGAACCGGUAGGUUACACUAAUAUUGAAUUUUUGGUUAAAUUUACCACCGGGAAACUCUCUACCAGUGGGUGUAAGAUAUUUGAAACGGUAAUUAGUCAUGAAAAUGAUUUGAUCGUACAAUUCAAUAAAUACACGUUCUCGAUUAAGAUUUCAUUUAAGAUUGUCUUCUCUCAAUAUAUUUACAAAAUUUCAAUCAUUUACCUAUACAUAAACUAUUUUAAAACAUAAAAAAUAUUAACUACUUACCCUUGUUGAUAUUUAUGUAGGAAGAUUUAUAUUCUUCCUUUGAAAAUGUUGUGUUUUGUGAGCGAUUGAACGUCAUGCUUAUAAUUUUAAAACAACACAAACAAUAUUAGUGUAAACUAUAUAGUUUGAGCUAAUCAUUGUACAUUAUUUAUAAAAUCAGAUAAAUAUAUUUUAAAAUUAAGUGUUUGUAACAAAAUAUUUUUUAUCAAAAAGAAAAAAAAAGCAGUGCAUUCAUUAAAUUUCUAGUUUUAGUUUUAGUUGUUACAAGUUUUGCAAUAUAUGUAAUCAAUACAUGAAUUAUCAAUAACAUGCAUGAAUUCAUUAACUGAUUUAGUUUUUAUACACAACUAUUAAUUAAUUUAUUUAUUAAUCAUCAAAAAUAAAAAUAACAAUAAUUAUAAGAUAUAUGUUUUAUAGUUUUCAAAAUAUUAUAUAUGAUUAAUUAGUGAAGUUAUAUAUUUUUCUAUUAUACAAAAAUAACAGCAUAAAUAGUUAUUAUAUAAAAACUAUGAAUAUGUAAUGAGAAUAUAAAUAAUUGUAUAUGAAAAUAUUAUAGUAUAUAAUAUAUCUUUACAAAGUGAAAAGACAAACUAUUAAACCAUAUUUUGAGAAUCUUUAGUUUGAAAAAGGAUAAAAAAUAGUUAAUUAAUAGUAGACAAAAUAAAUAUUUAACUAAUUAAAAAAAAAAUCAAAACAGGGAUUGGUCACCUGCAUCACCACCGCCCGUUUCUCCCUUAUACAUGCAGGACUUGUAUUAAAAUGUUCUGCAUGCAAUCAAUAAUUAUUUUAUUAGUUUUUCUUGUCGUAGCCUCUAAAACAGUGAAUGAGUACUAAUUGCAGAUUGGACUGCAUAACAAUUUCCCCCUCUUUCUGCUUUUUCUCUGCCUCACAUUCAGACCCUAAGGCUUCGAAAGGUAAAAGCAUUUCAAGCGGGACAGAUCAAGCAGAUCAUGCAGAUCAAGCAGGACAAAUGCAGAUCAUGCAGAUCAAGCAGGACAAGUACAGAUCAAGCGAGACAAGUGCAGAUCAAGCGGAUCAUGCAAGAGAAACAAAUCAAACCGAUCUUAUAAUUUAUUAUAACUUAUGAAAGACAAAGUCAGUUCAAAACUAUAUAUCAUAUAUUAAAACAAUAAAAAUUACACCUACAUAUCUAAACAAAUAUCUUAAAUGUUAUAGGAUCGGCCGAAAUGCCUGUAAAUGUUUUAUAAGAUACUUAUACUUCUUUUAUUUUAUUUUUAGGUGAUCAAGAUUUUCUUGAAAGAACCGGUAGGUUACACUAAUAUUGAAUUUUUGGUUAAAUUUACCACCGGGAAACUCUCUACCAGUGGGUGUAAGAUAUUUGAAACGGUAAUUAGUCAUGAAAAUGAUUUGAUCGUACAAUUCAAUAAAUACACGUUCUCGAUUAAGAUUUCAUUUAAGAUUGUCUUCUCUCAAUAUAUUUACAAAAUUUCAAUCAUUUACCUAUACAUAAACUAUUUUAAAACAUAAAAAAUAUUAACUACUUACCCUUGUUGAUAUUUAUGUAGGAAGAUUUAUAUUCUUCCUUUGAAAAUGUUGUGUUUUGUGAGCGAUUGAACGUCAUGCUUAUAAUUUUAAAACAACACAAACAAUAUUAGUGUAAACUAUAUAGUUUGAGCUAAUCAUUGUACAUUAUUUAUAAAAUCAGAUAAAUAUAUUUUAAAAUUAAGUGUUUGUAACAAAAUAUUUUUUAUCAAAAAGAAAAAAAAAGCAGAUCAACACCAUCAAAUGUUAGCGGAUGAGAUCUACAUGCAUAUUUCCUGUUUUUUUCACAAAAAGACAAAAAUAUUGAACUGCAUGCAGAUCUUUUGCUUAAACUGCUUUUGCAAACAGAAAAACGUGAAUGGUGAAUGUAUUGCGGGAGAACUAUUAUUUUACUUUAUACCACAGCAAUAUAACAAUUUGCAAACUAUCUUUCGAAAACACAAUUUAAUUAUCACCGCAUUUUCCCCUAAUUGCAUACUGUAAAUAAGAGUAUGAUAUUAUUGUCGUCCGAAUUCGGACCAUCUCAUAACCCUAUGAAAACUCUAUCUUAACCAAACCCAUACCAAUGUCAUUAGGCCAUGAUUAUCGCCGUCUUUUAAUAAGGUUCUUAAGGGGUGGGUCCCGCAGAUUUUAUUAAAACCGGUUGCAGAAGUCGCGAGAUAAGAGCCGCUUUUGAUCUGUUUCUUGUACUGUUUGCAGGCCCCACUGACACGUGGCGGUCCGCGAUUGGUUUCUUUUUUUUUUUAAAUGAGACAAAACAAAAAAAUAAUUAAGAAACCCAAACCAGUUUUAGCGAUAAUGGUGCUCUAAGAGCAUAAUUAACCCGGAGUUCUUAUGAUGGGGUUCUUAGCGGAAGUUAAGAAACUGUUUUUUAACUUUUAACUAAAAAAGUUAAGAACCGCUUCUUAAAUAAGGACUUUAAAAACCGGUUUUUAGCUUUUUUAGUUAAAAGUUAAGAAACAGUUUCUUAACUUCCGCUAAAAACCUCACUCUAAAAACCCCGGGUUAAUUAUGGUCUCAUGUAUGUAUAGUGCUUUCCUUAGUGAAAUUUGAAAUCUUAGAAAUUAAAUAUUAGAGUUAUUAGUUAAUGAAUUUAGACGCCCAUAAAUAAUUAAAUAUGAAUCAUGGACGUGGUUUCUACCUAGAUAUUCCAUUGGGACUCUUAACCAAAUUAAUAAUGAAAUCGUUGAUCAACAAGAUAGAUUUGCUUCCCUUGGACCCAACAAAAAAGUCACUGUUUCUUCAGUGUCUCUAAGAAACGCACAUGAGUCGACAGUGUCGGUCCUUCAUGCAUACUUAUACUCUAAUACUUGGAAAACCGGGGAUGGGCAUAUAUCGAUCCUUGGUAUAAAUUUUAUUUAUGCUGGACGUUACAGACAGCAUCGUCAAUUAAUUUCACCCAAAAAAACGACGUUAUUAAUCGAAUAUAACAUUUUAUAGGUUCGUUAUAUAGUAUAAUCAUGGUUUAUGAGCUAAUAUUAACCAACUAAUAGUUGAUGGAAAUUGUUCGAAACUGGGUUUCCAUACCAAUAUGGUUUCAAUCAGCGUAUGGUUUUGAACACGAGUAAAAAACAAAAUAGGAAGUAGUGGCGGAACCACCUCAACUUUUUACAGGGUCAAUUACAUAAUGAACAUAUGGUAUACGGGUCAAUAAGUUAUUUGUAACGAUUCUGAAAAUACAAGGAAAGAAUUAUUUUUAUACAAAUUCAUAUGGGUUAUAUGACCACCUUCACAAAGCGGUAGCUCUGCCACUACGAAAUAUCAUAGUUACAUCUAAUAUAAGAUAUACAUAAAAAUUACGUCACCAAAUAUAGUAAUAUGGUGGCCAACUGGCCAUGCUUGAUGCAGGGUGUGAACCAAACAUAGCCUCGACCUCGUUUACCACAAAAUUGUCUCCUUCAACAUUGAUACCACGCAGGCACAGACAGAGUAAUGACACAUAGGCAAUAUAAAGUUGAGGCAACGGUAUGUGCAUAUGUGUUUAUGAACGGUCGUCAUAGGUUGUCUAAAUCAAGAGACAUUAUAAGCUGGGAUGAUACGUAAGAAGAAAGCAAAUGUCACAAACCUUGUGGGUCUUACUAAAGUAAAUUCCAUUUCUAACUGAAAAACCGUUGUUUAAAUACGUUGACCAAGUCUAAGAUGUUAUUUGACCAACUGUCGCUUAUUUUUUAUUUUAUUUUUUUAAGUGUCGCUUAUUUGCAUCCACUUCUAGUGCUUCAGCCUCUCAGAUUGUAUUUUUUUUUUUUUUUUUGUAAAAAGCCUCUCAGAUUGUUGUUUUCUGUUUUGUAAAUACUUAUUGCUAUCCACCUUUAACCUUUUACAAAUAUUGUUUGAUUAAAAAAAAAACCUUUUACAAAUAUUGUAAGAGAAAUAAUUACCUGUCGAUUCUCUUAUUUUAUUAAUAUUUCUAUUAAUGGAAGAAAUCCACCGAAUUUCUCAAAAAUAUAUUAAUAUUUUUAAUUAUAUACUAGUUUUUAACUUUUAAAAUAAUAAUCAAAUCAACAAUUUAAUGCUUAUUUGUAAAAUAAGUUUUUAGAUUCUUUUUAAGUUUUCAAACAAACAACUUUCUCUAUUUUCUUCUUUUUAAAAUUAUUUUAUUUACUUUUAAUUAUGAAAUACUUUUUAAGAAUCUCCGGAUGAUAAUUAAUGCUCUUAGGACAUAUUCAUCCACUCUUAUAGAGGAUCUGUCAGCAUUUUUUAAAAUAAAAUAAAAUAAAAAGUGUGUCAAUGAAAUGUAUGGUAUAAGGAACUAUAGAAAACUUGCCAAAGACUUAAACAUGAUGUGCCUUCCAAUAAGUGGUAUUAUAAUUCUCUUCAUAUUUAAAUUUAAAUUAUAUAAAUUUAGAUAUUUUGUUUUUUUGGGUUAAAUACAACUUUAGAUAUUUCAUGAGAUACUCAUAUCAAUAAUAAUGCUCUUAGAGAACCCUUAUUCAUAAAAACUCAAAUUUAGGUUUCUCAACUUGAAAGUAUUAUUAUUUUAUUGUAAAUCCGUAACAAAAUUCAUUUUUUUUAUGAAAGUAAGUAGUUAAUAAAAUAACAUAUAUGUUCAGAAUCGUGCGAGCCUUUAUAGUUGCCCAAAAAGAAUACAAAUAAAAUCAUUUAACAUAAAUACAUCAAAGAUAAUAAAUAGUAUCGUUGUUGACGGAAAAAAAAAUCGUUAUACAACAAAAAACUUAAGAACUAAAUUAGCAAAAGUAAUUUUAAAAUAUAACAUUUUUAUAUUCAUCCUAGAAAAAACAUAACCAAAUUUUCAAAAAAAAAUUUAAAUGGCCUUCAGAAUUAUUUCAAGUGACUCAAUGUUUUUAAUUGCUAUAUUCAAAUGAAGAUACAAACUUAAAUAUUGAGAUAAAUAUUCCAUUACUAUACAAACUUAAAAUAUUAUACAAUAAAUAGAACUACAAAUUUGAGAUAAAUAUUGAGAAAGAAUAAUAACUUGUUAACUUCAAGUGAUGUAAAGCCUAGUUAUUUUUAGUUAUUUAUUAUUUGCCUCAGUUUAAACUACAUCUAUAUAUAUAUAAAAAUGUUUGCCUCCCUCCUGGUGAUGCCACAUCAGAUUCCAGCUAGAUAAGUAGUCUCAUGUAAACGUGACACGUGGCAUAAGAGUCGAUCCGCUGUGUUUCAUUAAACGUGUAUGUAAUCUUUUUGGGCUUAUGUUUUAUUUGGGCUUUGUGUUACCUAAGAUAAAAGGGAAGCCGACUUUGUUAAUCAACUCCUCAUAACAGCUGUCGUCUCUCCUUCCACCGCCUUAACUUGGCCGAGUAACUGCUGUCGGUAACGCAUUUCAGUGAAUUCACCCCAUUAAAGUUGGAUUAUUUGGCUUCACUUUCAAGCUAAGUUGCUAUAUAUAUAAUGGCCCUCUUAUGUGGAUGAAACUCAAAGUCUUUUGCAUCUACUUAUCACACGAUAUCUCCCUCCAUCUCUUUCUACAUGUUAAAUCGUUUUAACUAUGCUGAUUUACAGGAUACAAGGCUGGGAGCCAUAACCAUGGACUCCAUCAGAUCUGACUCCAUCAGACAGAUGUACCGAGCAUCUCCCGGUUUCAGUGACUCUUGCGUGGCUCAACAAUGGCGGCAGUGAAGAUGGUAGAUUCUUGCUUGGCUCAACGGCGGCGGCUGGAGCAUGGUGAAUCAAGAGUAGUUAGAGCUGAAGGACGGGUUUGCUUGAAGCGCCGACGGUACGAUGACAAAACUGGAUCUCGGUGGAACACCAAUCACCAAUGGAAACGUCACCGGAAUAAUAUAUAUUUAUGCAUCUGAAGGACGGGUUUGCUUUACAUUUUUUUGUUUUAAAUGCGGAUUCGUUUUGAUAUGUGUUUGAAUAUACCGAGUAAUAAUUCACUAACCUCGAUUAUGUAAUUAUAAUGAUUUAUGCGGAGGGUGUGAUUUGAGGCGUAAUUAUCGUAUAAAUUUAAUUCCUGAUUAACCGGGAUUGUCUUUUAAAAAAAAAAAUGGUAUGUUGUUUAUGUAAAUAUGAUAUAUUGACGCGUAUGCCUUAUUUAAAAUGACAAUUCUUAUCAUUCGCAAAAGUCCAAUGUCUGUAAAAUAAAUUUAUUUUAUCAGCCAAAAUCUAGAAUAUCUAAUAUCAUUCGAUGUCAGUCGAAGACUUUGGUUAGCAAACUCAAUGAGGUUGUAACCUAUCCAAUGAAUAUUUUAGUUAGGUCAUCUAUUUUAUUUUGUAUGAGUUAUUAGUAGUCCUAAUGUCAGUAUUGUUUGUCUUGAGACACAAGUCAUAAGUACUUGGAUACUUAUGCAUAAAUCUUAAAUUAUACAAAAUAAUACCUAUUGUAAUCUUUAUCAUCCUAAAGGAAUGAUGCACCUCAAAAUUUCAGCAACAAGAAACUAUGCAAAAGGUAAUUACAUGUACGCAGUACUUAAGCUCCUCGCAGGUGACCAUGCUGGAAGGAUGAAUCGUUUAGACCUUCACAGAUGAAAAACUCCUAUGUUACAUUUCAACUAUACAAACUCCAAAGGCGAGAAUAACAUGACACCCAAACAACAUAAACGAAAGAUGCACCUAUGCUUCCUAUGAAAUUCAACCAGUUAAUUAUUAUUUUUGGAUCAAAUUUCAACCAGUUAUUUAUUAUCUUCAAUCAUUUAGUUACAACAUAUGUUAACGUACAUAACUAAUAAAAUAUAUUAUUAGUAUACUUCUAUUAAUAUUAAAAUCAAAAUCUACACAUCAACCAAUUGAUUGAUAUCUGAUAAUAUGAACAAUACAACUUUAGGUUAUUAAACAUCAUAUCUCAACUUCAAAGAGCCACUUUCCCCAUCACACAUAAUCUCAUUCAUCCAUAAUUAGUGCCACACUCAUGAGAGUACUAAAUUAGAAAAGAAAAAAAUUAGUCAACUCAAUUAGCAAGUCUAAGAUUUUACUAUAUAAACAAUGGUAUAUAAUCAAAGAUUCACAAUAAAAUUAAACAAAUUAACUAAUAUCCCGCCCGUAGGGCGGGCCGACCCUAGUUGAAAUAAAACAAAAGCGUAAUUUAAUGGUGAGAGACUGAGAGUAAUAGCGGUGGCCAAUAGGAUAUGUUAGUUAUUUAUUAUUUGUUCCACUUUAACUAAAUUGAUUUAAAUAAAACAGUAUAUAAAAGAUAAAUUCCUUAGAAUAGAAUUAAAUUUUUUUUCUGUCAUAAAUAUAGAUCUUAAAAAUAAAAAUGACCAAAAUAGACUUAAAUCUUUUAUGAAAAGAAGUAAAUAUACACUUAUACCUCUAGAGUUAAUUAAUCUAGAUAUUAGAAUUUAGAGUUAAGGGGUGGAGUUUAGGGUUUAGGGUUCAAGGUUUAGGGUUUAAGAGUGGGGUUUUGGGGAUAAAAUUUCAAAAUUUUUAAAAAAUUAAAAUUUUCAAAAUAAAAAAUGACAUUUUGGUUAUUUUAGUUUUUAAAAUUUAUUUUUGUGACAAAAAUUAAAAAAAAUCUAUGCCAGAGAAUUGUGCUAAAAAGUUUAUAGGAUGAAUACUAACUGUGGCCUUUUGAGACUUAUAAAAUGCUUUUGAGAAAAUGAUGGGCUAAGCUAAAGUUUCUUUUCUUUCAAGGCAGGCACGGCGCUGCAUAUGCUGAGUAUCCAAUUGAUUUCUCAAAGUUCUUAAAUGAGAGUAUCAUUAACCCUCUCUCAUAUUUUUAUUUAUUUUGUCAUUAUUUUUUAAAUUGAGAUAUCCAAUAAGAUAUCUCUAAUGGACAUUGCUCUUACAAGUCUAUUCUAUAUACACUCGAGUAUUUUUGUACUUUUUUUCAAAAUUGUUGGGAUUGAUUGACAAGUUCUUUAGAAGUGCUGUAAGAUCUCUCUACAGCCUAAAUUAUUUUUACAAUUCAAAAUUUUGCCUAUCAUGCUUUGUAAAGAUUUUUUAAAGCUACAAAUUUUUCUUUUCUUUUUAUUUAUUUUUAGCUGUGGAAAAUCAUAAAUCUAGAACACUUAUUUUUUGCUUUAGAAAAUUUAUAUGCAAGUCUUUGAAUCUUUUUAAACCUACAGCUAAUAGUCUACAGCAAAAUUAUCUACAGACGCAUCAAAAAAAAAAUCUACAGAUUUAUUUCUAAAACAAAAAUAUAAAACUACUGCUACUUCCAAUCAUCCCCGUCGAUCCUACAAGUACCCGUUGAUCCUCCAUACUUGUUUACUGUAACACAGGCCUGCACAUGCAUUGGAUUUUCUAAAAGUUGCCGAAUGGGACACCCGGCCCACUAAAUAAUUGAAACUAGUAGUUAAUGUAGGAACAGACUCUUGUUUGUUUUAGAACCAAAGUUAUUACAUUUGAUCAGCAAAUCCAUCAGGUAUAGACGUAUCACAUAGACAAUGAAACAAAAAGCAAUGGGUCUGUCCUUAGCAGGGCCGGGCCUGAAUAGAAACCCAUCAAGCAUGUGCUUGGGAUCCGAAAAAUAUAUAUAUGUUUUAAAGACCAAUAAUAAACAAAGAGAUCAUGUAAUUCUAGUGGUAACUUUAUUCUCAGUGCGAUCCCAACCGUUUUUUCAAUAUUUUCACUGUUUUUAUGAAAUAAAAAAGGCCAAAAAUAAUUUUUUGCUUGUGGGCCAAUAUUUUUCAGGCCCGGCCCAGGUCUUUAGUAGAUGUUUUCUCAAGAAGGAUGGAUGCAUUGUCCUCUGAGUAAUCAAAGCCUAGUACUCAAAAGAACUUGAUAUCAUAAUCGAUAUAGCUCAUGGGAGUUUCCAGAUAUAGACUCAGAGCAGCUCGUAGUAAAUAAAGCCAGGGAGCGAGAGUGGCUUUGAUCUGUGUCAAUCUAGUUUUCGUUUAGUGCAAGAUCGCACCAAACUAAGCAAGCGACUCUACAAAAGACUUCAUGUUCACAACAUCUUCCUCCGUUGUGACAUGGCUAGGCGGCUUCAUAAGCUUCCAAAGCCCAGCAGGAUGUCGCUGCUUCCUCACCCUUGCAUCCUCCCUCCUCUUCCCAAAGAUUCUCUCACACUCCGGAUACGGCUUCACAUACAAGUUAUAGAACCUCUUCAUACUCGGUUUAAUCAAACCUUUCAACCCAACAUCACACCCAAUCCCGCCUCUAAGCCUCAAGUACUCAACCACAUCGUACCUCGGCACAAUCUGCUUCCGAAAAUUCACCCCAAGAUACUCCGGCACAUCAGCUAAACACUUCACAUGAAACCCCAUCCUGUUAGUCAAAAACUCAACCUUCUUCUCUACCUCAUCCACCUCGUACAAAACCACCCUCGGCUCUUUCCACACGACCUUGAAGGCCUCUCUCCGAAUCAACCCGUGUCUGCAUAAACAAUCAACUCUAACCUUUACUUCAAACCCAGCACGAAACAAUCCUUCUUUAAGAAUCUCAUCUUUAAUCACUUCACGGCAUUUCAACGACUUGAUCAACUCCAAACAUCUUGAAAGCUCUCCUAACUCUAAACCAAGAACCCUCGGCUCUCUGAAAAUCUCUUUCUUGAUCUCCUCUUUGCUAAACCCGAUCCUUAUAAACUCAUCGAGUAACGGCUUAAGCUUGGAGUCAAUACUAAUCCCUAAGAUCUCUGGAAAAACGUGAAAGAACCUCUCAACGUUAGGAACAUCGAUUCCAACUAAAAACUCAACCUUUCUGUGGAUUUCAACCUCGUUCAGUGCAAGAACGUUAGGGAAGGCUUCAAGAACUUUACUUACAGUACUGUCGCAAAAGCCUAAACCUUUUAGGACGUUAGUGCAUUCGUGAAACUUAUCUGGGUUGAUUCCGAAUCUAAUUGAAUGUUCGAGGACGCUUUUGAUGGCUGAAGAUGAGGAGAGACCAGAGAGAGGAAGUCUCCAUUUUUCCAGGAAGUUUGGUCGGAGGACGUUGGGGCAGUCGUGGAUCAAUGAAACGAGUUGUUUCUGAGGGAGUUUGAGGGAUAGUAAGAUGGAGAGAGAAGCUUCGGUUUCGGAUAGAUCUGAGUUUGAGAGGAAGGUGUUUUUAGAGAGGAAGUGUUGGAGAAAAGAGGGAGGGAACCCGUGACGUUGGAGGAGGUUCGCGAGUGAGAUUUGUUUCCUGUAGUUCGAUUGGGAAGUGGGGUUUGAGGAUAGUGAUCGAAUUGGUGUGUAGCGACGGAGAUUGGUGAAAGGUUUAAGCUUUGAGGCCAUUCUGAAAUUUACAGAGGAGGAACAGAACACCUGAACACGAUGUCGUGUAAGAAAAAUUAAGGUUAUGAUAAUUACACUUGUAUCCUCAAAAGUUUUAUUUUAUUUUUAAAAAGGCUCUUACUUUCAAGUUUUGAAGAUUUUGCCCUCUUAUUCGUAUAUGUUUUGGAAAAUGAUUUUUUUUUUUAAAUAAUCGACUGGUUUGAUAAGUUUGCAUCUGUCAACGGAUUUGGCCCUUUGGAGAUUCUCUUGAUUUUGCGACUGACUAAUAAGAAAGAAUUGGUUAAGGAUAAUUUUUAUUUGGUUCAUUAUAUAUCAUAGUUACCACAAACUUCAAAGAUAGUAACUGGAAAGAGUAAACAUUCACAUAUUGAGAGUAACGCUCACCAGGUCACCACAAUGAUUAAUCCCUUCCAGAAAGUAAUGAUAUUCAAGAAAGAACAACAGAAUGUCCAAAUUGCCUCAAGAAGCAUGUUAGUCUAUUUGAAACCAAUAAUUCAAACAACUGGCAUAAAUUCCAAAAACUAUCAACUUAGCCUGAACAUAUACCAUCCUGAAAGAACUAUAUAUAGUCUAUUAUUCUCCUGGUUUAUUCCAAUAAUUAAUUGUAAAGAAACGGUAAGAAAAAUAGUUUGAUCUAAUGUAGAUUACAUACUAACUAUUCUGAAUGGUGGUCAAACUUUCUGGCAUUGCAGAGUAACAUCUCGCGUUCCUCUAACCUUAAAAGAUCCGUGGCUGCUAAUGGCUGGCAUGUACAUGGUGAUCUUUCUGAUUUUUUGUAGCUUAAUUAUUUCAUUUGAAUGUAUAUAUAGUUUAUAUUGUUAAUCUGAUUGAUAGAUGUAUGUUAUCCCAACAAUCUUGAGAAAAUAUUUAUUUUUUACCUUAAAAUAAAAGUUGUAAUCAGUAAACUAGUGUGAUAUCAUUUUUUGUUUACAAAUAUUGCAAAGCUGACGUUGGUAAUUAACACACAUACCUCAUGAUAAUAUAAUAUACGUUACAGAAGUUACGUCCUUUUUGUCUUCUUCUAUAUCAUAUAUGCUCAAUUUGGUAAAAUUUGAAAUGAAUUUGUUGGCAGAAAAAGACAAAAGAAAAUGCAUGCGCUUUUCUCUCGCAGGUUCAUCGUUAGCUCUUCUUCGCAGCUAACUAAAUCUCUGAUGAAGAAGAAGAAGCUCGCUUUUUCUCACUGGAGCCAGAGCCGCUAUAUACUCAGCCAUCUUCUUCCUUCUGGCCUCGCUUCUUCGUCUUCAGUAACCCGCGUUGGUCCAUCUCUUGUAUUACGGUCGGAGAAAAUCAAUAGGUUCUUUGUCAGCACGUUGAGGAGAAGUCUCUUGGAAACUAGAGCUGGGUUCUUCGAUCCUCAGCUUCCUCCUAAGCCUUGGGUUUUCACUGGCUUUCAAAAACGUGGAUGGUAUUGUUUCUUAUUUACUCUACAUUUCUUAUACAAACUGAGCUUGGAUAUGAUUUUCUAUUUAGUACUAAUCUACCUUUCUUUUGUUUUCUGGGAGAAACUUGUCUUUGAGUUUGUAAAGUUUCUAGCUUUAUUUUUAGGGUUUUAAGGCAUGAUUUACGUGGUUAAUUUCACUACUUUCUUAAGCUUUCCAAAAUCAAUAAUUGUUUUGUAUAUAUGUGAGGAAUCAGAAAAAGGACAAUGAGAAAUCAAUAGGCUUUUUUUUUUUUUUUACCAUUUCUGUGUAGUUCUUGAUUUUGAGUAGCAGCAGAAAGCUCUUUUGAUGCCUUUCCUUUUAUAGAAGGAGCUGUCCCAUUUUGAUUUUUGUUAAAGGAGUAGGCUUUUCACUUGUGCUCCAUGAUAUUCACUCUUUUUUUUUUGGGUUUCCUCUGGCAGGAUGUCUUGGUUUAAUGGAGCUAAUGGUGUUGUCUUUGGAUUGAUAAUAGCUAAUGCUGCUGUAUUUACUAUGUGGAAGGUUUACGACCGGAAAUGGAUGUUCAAAAAUUUUGUGGUCAGACCAACAACGUCCAAAGCUCUAAAUCUUUUAUCUUUUUAUUUGAUCUUCAGCUCUUGUCUUUUGAUCUUUGUGCAGCUAUCAUUGAAAAGCUUUAUGACUGGACGUAUACACACGCUGAUAACUUCGGGUUUCACUAAUGUUGGAACCAGUCAACUCAUCAUUAACAUGAUUGGACUCUACUACUUUGGGACCAGAGUAUGACCUCUUUCCUUAACGUUUAAAUGAAAUGUUUCCUUGAAUGAAUGAAUAUUUAUAACCCCAUUGUUGUUAGAUCGCAACAACCUUGGGACCGGUCUACCUUUUGAAGCUGUACUUUGCUGGAUCACUUGCUGGCUCUCUUCUCUUCUUAAGUGCUCAUGCUGUAAUGGCAAUACUCAAGGUAUAUAUAUAUAUAUAUCAACCAGAAUAGUUUCCUUGCUCUCACAUCAUGCUAGGUCCACAGAUGAGUAGUUUUUUUUUCACAUUAUUAGUAUUUACGUUUCUAUAUUGGUUGUUCAAUCAUACAGAGCCAAGGAGUUUCCUACAAGGAUCAAUCAACACCCAUUGGAAUGCUGGUAUGUUUCUUUUAUUCAUCCAGUUAAAUGAACUUGUCAGAGCAUCUUUUGGAGACAGAGAGAGAGACGCAUGCAGAGGUUCUUGUUUGGAUUAAUCACGAAAGGUAAAAACUCUUUCUAACUUGUGUGGCAGGGUCCAGAGGGAUCUGUAUAUGCCAUUGCACUGCUGGAUAUGUGCCUCUACCCCAAAGUUACUACAUACUUUGCGUUUAUUUGCCGAGUACCCGUAAUUUUUGUAAGGAGGACUAUUUACAUACUCGUCAUAAUGAGAGUGAAACUCUUUGCUAAUUACUCUCACUCUUUAAUAUUUCAUCUGUUUGGAAACAAUCUGAAUAUCUCUUAAACUGGACUAACUUCUUUGAAAUUAAAAAAAUAAAAAAACUUCUUUGAAAUUUGCAGGGGGAACAGAAGAGUAUCACCGUGGCCCGUGGGUAUGAUUCACGCUGUAGGAGGAGCUAUGGUUGCAGCCAUUGCGUGGAGACGUAUUAAGAAAGGUCGAUUCAACUAUUGAUUGGUUUCAUUACUGGUCCAUCUAUGAGUCCUUGGAUUUGCUGCAAAAGACUCGGUUGAUAUGAUCAUAACAGUGGUUUUUUUUUUUUGACUUUAUGAGUCACAAUGAGAUUUUAUUACCAUUGACUUUUUUGGACAACGAAAUUAAUUAGGGUAGUUUGUGUUUUGUCUUUAACGUUUAAUCCAAGUUCCAUGGCAAUCAUUUUUUCUCUCUUCUUUUGAUGUCAAUCAAGAAGAUCUUAUGGAACAAACAAUGAAUUAUAGUUUGCACUUGGCCUCUUAAACUCUUCCUCAGUAGCUAGAGGUCAACUCUGUUUCUUAAGAUUGAAUGAAAGUUUGGUAGUUGCUCAAAAAAAAAAGUUUGCACUAAACUGACGUAGAAAAGACAAGGAUGAUAAUAAGAGCAUAAAUUAGAAAGAGAAAUUGCUUCAAAUACAAUAAGCUGGAUAUCACUUUUUUAAAAUACAUUUAAUCAAAAAUAUUCUAAUAUUUGAGUUUAGGGUUUAGUGUUGUUUAGAGUUUAGUAUUUAGUGGUUGAAUUUUAUUGAAAUCUUAUAUAACUUUAAAUUAAUUAAAAGUUAAAAAAGGUAAUAUAUGUGUGAAUAACAACAGUAAAUAUCAAUCGGGAGUAUUUUCUAAAUUGUAUAUACAUUCACGACAAAGUUACUGACAUUGUAGAGUAACAUGUCGGGUUCCUAUCACUGCGGGGGAUCAGCCAUUGCGUGGGCACGGAUAGUGAGUGGCAAAAAAUACUUGUGAACUUUCUGGUAGAUGCAUGUUAUGGUUUAAUGAAUAUUUGCAAGUUAAUUUACAAUUUCCCUAAACUCUUGAGGAUUUUUUUGUGUUUACCUUAAAAAAAUACAAUUGCUACUUUGUAAAUUAAAUUGUAAGUAAAUCGCUAAACUAGUUUGAUAUUAAUGUUCAAAAAAACAUUAAUAUCAAUUAAAUUGGUUUUCGUCUAGAGAUUAGAUGGGAUUAAAUCAUUGAUUUUGUUCUAGUUCUAUCACAGAUUAGACUAAAGAUGCAUUAGUUCGUACAAAAGUAUUUUUUUAUUUGAAAAAAUCUAUCAUUUUUUGUUCAAACAAAAAACAACAACUAGUGUAUAUAAAAAGCUGACUUUGGUAACAGACAUAGCUCAUGAUAGUAAUAAUAUACAAAAGUUACAUCCUUUUUGUCUUCUUCUUCUAUAUCUAUGAGCCAUUUUGGUAACAUUUGAAAUGAAUUUGUUGGAAGAAAAAGACAAAAAGAAAAUGCAUGCGCUUUUCUCUCGCAGGUUCGUCGUCGUCGCUGGCUCUUCUUCUUCGCAGCAAACAAAAUCUCUAAUGAAGAAGAAGAAGCUCGCUUUUUCUCACUUGAGCCAGAGCCGCCACGUACUCAGCCAUCUCCUUCUUCUGGCCUCGCUUCUUCUUUAUCUUCUCUUGUAUUACGGUCGGAGGAAAUCAAUGGGUUCUUUGCCAACACGUUGAGGAGAAACACCCAUCUGAAGCUGAAACCCGGAAGUCUCUUGGAAGCUAGAGCUGGGUUCUUCUAUCCUCAGCUUCUUCCUAAGCCUUGGGUUUUCACUGGCUUUCAAAAACGUGGAUGGUAUAUUGUUUCAUUGAGCUUCGAUAUGAUUUCUAUUUAAGCAAAAAAAAACUUGUCUUUGAGUUUGUAAAGUUUCUAGCUUUAAUAGGAGCUAGUCCCAUUUUGAUUUUUGUUAAAGGAGUAGGCUUUUCACUUGUGUAACUUCCAUGGUAUUCACUUUUUUUUUUUUGGGUUUCCUCUGGCAGGAAGUCUUGGUUUAAUGGAGCUAAUGGCGUUGUCUUCGGAUUGAUAAUAGCUAAUGCUGCUGUAUUUGCUAUGUGGAAUGUUUACGACAAGCUAUGGAUGGUCAAAAAUUUUGUGGUCAGACCAACAAUGUCCAAAGCUCUAAUCUUUUUUAUCUUUUAUUUGAUGUUCAGCUCUUGUCUUGGAUAUAUAUAUUUUUUGAUCUUUGUGUAGUUAACUUAACCAUAUGAUGUUUUCGGCAGCUAUCAUUGGAAAUCUUGAUGCUUGGACGUAUACACACGCUGAUAACUUCAGGUUUCACUAAUGUUGGAACCAGUCAACUCAUCGUUAACAUGUUUGGAGUCUACUACUCUGGGUCCAGCGUAUGACCUCUUUCCUUUAACUUUUAAAUUUUCCAGAGUGAAAUGUUUCCUUGAAUUAAUAUUUAUAACCCAUUGUUGUUAGAUCGCAAGAACAUUGGGACCGGUCUACCUUUUGAAGCUCUACUUUGCUGGAUCACUUGCUGGCUCUCUUCUCUUCUUAAGUGCUCAUGCUGUAAUGGUAAUACUCAAGGUAUAUAUAUAUAUCAACCAGAAUAGUUUCCUUGCUCUCACAUCAUGCUAGGUCCACAGAUGAGUAGUUUUUUUUUUCACAUUAUUAGUAUUUACGUUUCUAUAUUGGUUGUUCAAUCAUACAGAGCCAAGGAGUUUCCUACAAGGGUCAAUCAAAACCCAUUGGACUGCUGGUAUGUUUCUUUUAUUCAUCCAGUUAAAUGAACUUGUCAGAGCAUCUUUUGGAGACAGAGAGAGAGACGCAUGCAGAGGUUCUUGUUUGGAUUAAUCACGAAAGGUAAAAACUCUUUCUAACUUGUGUGGCAGGGUCCAGAGGGAUCUGUAUAUGCCAUUGCACUGCUGGAUAUGUGCCUCUACCCCAAAGUUACUACAUACUUUGCGUUUAUUUGCCGAGUACCCGUAAUGCUUGUAAGGAGGACUAUUUACAUACUCAUCAUAAUGAGAGUGAAAAGUACUCUUCUCUACUAAUUAAUUAUUCUCACUCUUUAAUACUCAGGGAAUCUUAGGCCUAGGACAAGACUUGUUAACGGUGCUAAAGGUGUGUGUGUAUCUGAUAAUCUAAUCUACAUUAAUUUGCUAGGAAACAAUAUGACUUUCUCUUUGUCUGGACCAACUUAUUGGAAAUUGCAGGGGGAGAAGAAGAGUAUCACCAUGGCUUCGAUUCACACGGGGGGAGGAGCUAUGGUUGUAGCUAUUGCAUGGAGGCAGAUUAGGAAAUGUCGAUUCUACUAUUGACUGGUUUCAUUACUGGUCCAGGAAUCCUUGGAUUUGCUGCAAAAGACUCUAUUGAUAUGAUCAUGACAGUGGUUAUGUUUAACUUUGUGAGUCACAAUGAGAUUAUUAUUAUUAUUAUUGGUUUUUUUGGACAACGAAAAUAAUUAGGGUAGUUUGUGUUUUGUCUUUUACAUUUAAUCCAAGUUCCAUGGCAAUCAUUUUUCUCUCUUCUUUUGAUGUCAAUCAAGAAGAACUUAUGGAACAAACAAUGAAUUAUAAUUUGCACUAAACUGACAUAGAAAAGGCAAGGAUGAUAAGAGCAUAAAUUAAAAAGGAGAAAUUGUUUUUUUUUUUGUUUUUUUUUUGCACAACGGAGAAAUUGCUUCAAAUACAAUAAGUUGGAUAUUACUUUUCAAAAACCCAUUUAAUCAACAAUACUCUUAAUAUUUGAGUUUAGGGUGUUGUUUAGAGUUUAGUAUUUAGUGGUUGGAUUUAUUGAAAUCAUAUAAAAAUUUAAAUUAAUUAAAAGUAAAACAAAAAAAGUAAUAGACAAGAGCAAAAAUUUAGUUUACCUUUAUAUGUGUGAAUAACAGUAAAUAUCAAUCGGGAGUAUUACUUACUCUCUCCGUUUCAUAAAGAUCCACAUUCUAGAAAAAAAUUGUUUCAAAAAGAUACAUUUUUUACUUUUUCAAUGUAUUAUUUAAGGGCUUUUUGCAAAAGUGACUCAAAACUUGAAGUCAAACAGAAAACUAACUUUUUCUUUUGACUCCUUUUUUUUUGAGAUUUUAACCCCACACCUGCAUUUUAUCUACGAAAAUGCCAUUAACAUUUUUUUUUUCUUUUUUUCGAAAAUGGCUUCUUUACUGUCUCAACCUCAUCUUCUUCAAGUAUUUACAAUAUUGCCACUGCAAUGAAUAGUGGCAACAACCUUGUACGAACUGUUUGGAGCUUUUAAUGCCCUUUAAUGCACGUAAAUCUCUUUACACUCUCUCUGUUUCAAUUGUUAUGAACUAAAAACAACAUUUCUUUCACUUUCUCUCUAUAUUCAUCCAAAAAACUCAAGCUUUUGAUUCAAAAUAUGGGCUAUGGUUGACAGAGCCAUAUUUCUUUCGUUUUGACUUACGGUUGCUUUCGUUUGAGGUUCUGGGUGGUUGGAGAAGACCCUGUGUGCAAACGAAGUCAUCUCACCUAGUUUAAGGUACGAAUUUGAAUUUUUUUUCAAGAUCUGUUCGCGUAGAAGACUUACUAGUAAGUCAUCUGUAUGUAGAAGACUUACUGAUGAGUCUUCUGGUCAAACGGACGACUUAAAUUAAGUCGUCAAGCUUUGUUUGUUAAAAAAAAACACUCCAGACNNNNNNNNNNNNNNNNNNNNNNNNNNNNNNNNNNNNNNNNNNNNNNNNNNNNNNNNNNNNNNNNNNNNNNNNNNNNNNNNNNNNNNNNNNNNNNNNNNNNNNNNNNNNNNNNNNNNNNNNNNNNNNNNNNNNNNNNNNNNNNNNNNNNNNNNNNNNNNNNNNNNNNNNNNNNNNNNNNNNNNNNNNNNNNNNNNNNNNNNNNNNNNNNNNNNNNNNNNNNNNNNNNNNNNNNNNNNNNNNNNNNNNNNNNNNNNNNNNNNNNNNNNNNNNNNNNNNNNNNNNNNNNNNNNNNNNNNNNNNNNNNNNNNNNNNNNNNNNNNNNNNNNNNNNNNNNNNNNNNNNNNNNNNNNNNNNNNNNNNNNNNNNNNNNNNNNNNNNNNNNNNNNNNNNNNNNNNNNNNNNNNNNNNNNNNNNNNNNNNNNNNNNNNNNNNNNNNNNNNNNNNNNNNNNNNNNNNNNNNNNNNNNNNNNNNNNNNNNNNNNNNNNNNNNNNNNNNNNNNNNNNNNNNNNNNNNNNNNNNNNNNNNNNNNNNNNNNNNNNNNNNNNNNNNNNNNNNNNNNNNNNNNNNNNNNNNNNNNNNNNNNNNNNNNNNNNNNNNNNNNNNNNNNNNNNNNNNNNNNNNNNNNNNNNNNNNNNNNNNNNNNNNNNNNNNNNNNNNNNNNNNNNNNNNNNNNNNNNNNNNNNNNNNNNNNNNNNNNNNNNNNNNNNNNNNNNNNNNNNNNNNNNNNNNNNNNNNNNNNNNNNNNNNNNNNNNNNNNNNNNNNNNNNNNNNNNNNNNNNNNNNNNNNNNNNNNNNNNNNNNNNNNNNNNNNNNNNNNNNNNNNNNNNNNNNNNNNNNNNNNNNNNNNNNNNNNNNNNNNNNNNNNNNNNNNNNNNNNNNNNNNNNNNNNNNNNNNNNNNNNNNNNNNNNNNNNNNNNNNNNNNNNNNNNNNNNNNNNNNNNNNNNNNNNNNNNNNNNNNNNNNNNNNNNNNNNNNNNNNNNNNNNNNNNNNNNNNNNNNNNNNNNNNNNNNNNNNNNNNNNNNNNNNNNNNNNNNNNNNNNNNNNNNNNNNNNNNNNNNNNNNNNNNNNNNNNNNNNNNNNNNNNNNNNNNNNNNNNNNNNNNNNNNNNNNNNNNNNNNNNNNNNNNNNNNNNNNNNNNNNNNNNNNNNNNNNNNNNNNNNNNNNNNNNNNNNNNNNNNNNNNNNNNNNNNNNNNNNNNNNNNNNNNNNNNNNNNNNNNNNNNNNNNNNNNNNNNNNNNNNNNNNNNNNNNNNNNNNNNNNNNNNNNNNNNNNNNNNNNNNNNNNNNNNNNNNNNNNNNNNNNNNNNNNNNNNNNNNNNNNNNNNNNNNNNNNNNNNNNNNNNNNNNNNNNNNNNNNNNNNNNNNNNNNNNNNNNNNNNNNNNNNNNNNNNNNNNNNNNNNNNNNNNNNNNNNNNNNNNNNNNNNNNNNNNNNNNNNNNNNNNNNNNNNNNNNNNNNNNNNNNNNNNNNNNNNNNNNNNNNNNNNNNNNNNNNNNNNNNNNNNNNNNNNNNNNNNNNNNNNNNNNNNNNNNNNNNNNNNNNNNNNNNNNNNNNNNNNNNNNNNNNNNNNNNNNNNNNNNNNNNNNNNNNNNNNNNNNNNNNNNNNNNNNNNNNNNNNNNNNNNNNNNNNNNNNNNNNNNNNNNNNNNNNNNNNNNNNNNNNNNNNNNNNNNNNNNNNNNNNNNNNNNNNNNNNNNNNNNNNNNNNNNNNNNNNNNNNNNNNNNNNNNNNNNNNNNNNNNNNNNNNNNNNNNNNNNNNNNNNNNNNNNNNNNNNNNNNNNNNNNNNNNNNNNNNNNNNNNNNNNNNNNNNNNNNNNNNNNNNNNNNNNNNNNNNNNNNNNNNNNNNNNNNNNNNNNNNNNNNNNNNNNNNNNNNNNNNNNNNNNNNNNNNNNNNNNNNNNNNNNNNNNNNNNNNNNNNNNNNNNNNNNNNNNNNNNNNNNNNNNNNNNNNNNNNNNNNNNNNNNNNNNNNNNNNNNNNNNNNNNNNNNNNNNNNNNNNNNNNNNNNNNNNNNNNNNNNNNNNNNNNNNNNNNNNNNNNNNNNNNNNNNNNNNNNNNNNNNNNNNNNNNNNNNNNNNNNNNNNNNNNNNNNNNNNNNNNNNNNNNNNNNNNNNNNNNNNNNNNNNNNNNNNNNNNNNNNNNNNNNNNNNNNNNNNNNNNNNNNNNNNNNNNNNNNNNNNNNNNNNNNNNNNNNNNNNNNNNNNNNNNNNNNNNNNNNNNNNNNNNNNNNNNNNNNNNNNNNNNNNNNNNNNNNNNNNNNNNNNNNNNNNNNNNNNNNNNNNNNNNNNNNNNNNNNNNNNNNNNNNNNNNNNNNNNNNNNNNNNNNNNNNNNNNNNNNNNNNNNNNNNNNNNNNNNNNNNNNNNNNNNNNNNNNNNNNNNNNNNNNNNNNNNNNNNNNNNNNNNNNNNNNNNNNNNNNNNNNNNNNNNNNNNNNNNNNNNNNNNNNNNNNNNNNNNNNNNNNNNNNNNNNNNNNNNNNNNNNNNNNNNNNNNNNNNNNNNNNNNNNNNNNNNNNNNNNNNNNNNNNNNNNNNNNNNNNNNNNNNNNNNNNNNNNNNNNNNNNNNNNNNNNNNNNNNNNNNNNNNNNNNNNNNNNNNNNNNNNNNNNNNNNNNNNNNNNNNNNNNNNNNNNNNNNNNNNNNNNNNNNNNNNNNNNNNNNNNNNNNNNNNNNNNNNNNNNNNNNNNNNNNNNNNNNNNNNNNNNNNNNNNNNNNNNNNNNNNNNNNNNNNNNNNNNNNNNNNNNNNNNNNNNNNNNNNNNNNNNNNNNNNNNNNNNNNNNNNNNNNNNNNNNNNNNNNNNNNNNNNNNNNNNNNNNNNNNNNNNNNNNNNNNNNNNNNNNNNNNNNNNNNNNNNNNNNNNNNNNNNNNNNNNNNNNNNNNNNNNNNNNNNNNNNNNNNNNNNNNNNNNNNNNNNNNNNNNNNNNNNNNNNNNNNNNNNNNNNNNNNNNNNNNNNNNNNNNNNNNNNNNNNNNNNNNNNNNNNNNNNNNNNNNNNNNNNNNNNNNNNNNNNNNNNNNNNNNNNNNNNNNNNNNNNNNNNNNNNNNNNNNNNNNNNNNNNNNNNNNNNNNNNNNNNNNNNNNNNNNNNNNNNNNNNNNNNNNNNNNNNNNNNNNNNNNNNNNNNNNNNNNNNNNNNNNNNNNNNNNNNNNNNNNNNNNNNNNNNNNNNNNNNNNNNNNNNNNNNNNNNNNNNNNNNNNNNNNNNNNNNNNNNNNNNNNNNNNNNNNNNNNNNNNNNNNNNNNNNNNNNNNNNNNNNNNNNNNNNNNNNNNNNNNNNNNNNNNNNNNNNNNNNNNNNNNNNNNNNNNNNNNNNNNNNNNNNNNNNNNNNNNNNNNNNNNNNNNNNNNNNNNNNNNNNNNNNNNNNNNNNNNNNNNNNNNNNNNNNNNNNNNNNNNNNNNNNNNNNNNNNNNNNNNNNNNNNNNNNNNNNNNNNNNNNNNNNNNNNNNNNNNNNNNNNNNNNNNNNNNNGGCGCUAGUGUUUAGAGGAAGCGGCGGUGAGAACGUUGGUGACCACGGUGGCGAGGGCGACGGUUUGUUCGGAAAUAGUGGAAGCGGCGGCGCUAGGGUUUAGAGGAAUCGGCGGCGCUAGGGUUUAGAGGAAUCGGCGGCGCUAGGGUUAGAAGAAGCUGCGGCGACAACGGUGAGAAUGAAGUGAGAUAGAUAGCCGAUGUUGAGAACGAUGGUUUGUUCGGGAAUCGUGGGAAUUCGAAAUCGCCUUUGAGAGAGAACUGUUAGGGUUUCUGAAUUUCGCGAAAAAUGAAACAAAAAAAAUAAAAAUCACCUUAUAUAUUGGGUAAAUAAUCCGGUUAGCUUUAAAAGUACAUUGGUAAACUUUAUGGUUUGGUCCGGUUUAGACGUCUUAUUCUGGCUGAUAAUGUACAACAGACGACUUAAUAUUUAGUCGUCUGUUUUCAGACGACAAAAUAUUAAGUCGUCCUAGACCCUAAAAUGAACCCCUAAACUAAAAUGACUAGAUUAACUAACUAACCACGUUAUAAAAUCAAAUUAUACUUAAAUAGUGUUUACUAUACACAGAAAUGAACACGCAUAAGUAAUUUUAAAAAUUUUCAAAAACGGUUUUAAUGCUUUCCAAAAUCUAACCCUAAGAACACAUACAAUACUACAACAUAUGUUGAUGAAACAUAAACUAAAGAAUAUCAUGACUCACUACUUUCACUCAUCUAUGCUGAAAACAAUUGAAAUUUGUUAUAUCUUAAUUUAUACCUCCUAAGACAUAUGUUAAUUACAUAAUUCCCAUUUUUCACUUAUCAAAAUAUUUUUUACAAAAUUUUUAAAUUAUGUUUAAGACUAACUGUCCAGACGACUUUCAGUUAAGUCGUCUGGACGACUUAUUUUCAAGUCGUCUAAACAGACGACUUGCGAGGGGUAGAAACGUAAAAAAAAUUCCGUUUUUUUGUUUGGUCACAAGGGGAUAGUUGUAAUUUCAAUAGCCUUUUAGGUUACUUUUGCCUUUGACCCAAAUUGAGGUAUUGUUUUGGGUUUGACUCCAAGUUUUGAGUCACACUUGGCAAUUCUCCCAAAAUAAAGACAUUCACUUUGUUUAUUGCAAUUCGAGGUUUGCGUUAUCAACUUUAAUGUACAGCGUUACUAGUCCUUCUUAAGCCAUAGUCUGCAAUUAUAUCAUGAAACAAAAGAAGUGUAUGAUGCUCAUUUUAUUCAAUUUUCUCGUUGAUAACAUGGUAGGAUCCAACAUCGAAUUCGAAAAUAAUAAUCGAACCAUAUGAAAACGUAUAAUAUUAUUAUGGCCAUUUCAAAAUUUAUAUGACUUAGAGAACUAGCAAUCGAAAAGAUAAUUGAUGUAUGGCCUAGAUCACAGAAGAAUUGAAUUCUUCACCAUUCCAACGCAUUUGGUGGACUAACACGACAUAGUUUACGAUAACAAAAAAAUUGAGGAAAUAAUUUUCCGAACACUGAGUCCUCUGGUUUAGGGUUAAAUAGACAAAACUUUGAAAAAGGAAAGGAACUAUGAAUUUUCUUUUGACAUCAGGAAAGAAACUAUGAAUUAAAAUUAAGAAAAUCAAGUGUAUGCAUUUGAUUAGGCAUGUGCAUUUCAGAUAUCGGCUCGGCUCGGUUCGGUUCAAGUAUUUUGAGUAUCGGUAUGGAACUAAAGGAUCCAUUUACUAAUGGCCUAUUUUUGGUUUGCGUUCAGUGAGGUUCGGAUAGUAAAACUAAGAACCAAAAAAUAUCCAAAAAGAAUAUUGGUUCUCAUUUGAUUUAUGUUUGAUUAUUUCAGGUGGUUCAGGCAAUUCAUGUUAAAUAUCGGGUAUGGAUAAAAUAUAAGGAUAAUUUGGAUAAAAAUAUCGAAUAUUUCGAAUAAUUUUGGAUAUUUCAGAUGAAAAUUAUAUGGAUACUUUGGAUAAUUUAAAUACUUUAUAAUAAUUUAGCUUUUCAAAUAUUUUUAAUAGAUUUUAAAGUAUAAAUAUAUAUUUAGUUAUAAUAUAUGUAGAUAUAAAUAAUAUUUUAUAUAUUUGAAUACUUGUUCAGUUUUCGAUUCGGAACCUACUUCAUUCAAUUAUUUUGGAUAUUGAAAUAUAUGUACUAUUCAAAUAUUUGAGAUUUCUGUCCGAUUUCCAUUUUGACUCUCCUCUCCAACUGGUACUAAAUGACAAAUUUGUAUACCAGAUUUGAUGUAACGUGUAUCUUGUGCUGCACUAUUCUAGUGUGUACACGAGUUAAAUAUAUAACGACGUGGGCCGUAGAAAAACCAUCGGCCGGAAGCACAAAUUUUUUUGAAAGCCUAUAAAAAGGAGUGAAUUGAGUGAAAAUCACAGAAGAAGUAGCAAAUUAAGAAAAUACCUAUAACAUAAAAAUUGUGGACUUUCAAAAUGAUCUAGUAUAGUCGAAAUGACAAAAUUGUCCUUUGGUCUAUAAGAGAGAGAUUUACAUUACGAUUGGUGAUAAUAGGUUAAAAGCUAAAAGAAAUAUAAAUGUAAUUGAAGGAAUAAGACCUGUUCGAAAACGAGAUCAAAUUGAUUUGAGGUCAUAAGACCCAUGCCCUCGUUCGAGCCGAGUCUCGUGAGUACGAGCCACUUUCCACGCUCACUGGAACAACAAACAAGAAGAGGACGAUUACGCGCCGGCAAGAUGCUUGGCGGUGGUGUGUCGUGGCUAUUUCACCAUAAUCGGCAAGAAAAUCGGAGCCAGCAAUUUGUUUUUAUUUUUUCUAAGUUUUAAAUGAUCAAAAUACUGUGUUUAGUGAUAGAUUUAUGUAAUUGGAACAUAAACAAUACGAAAUCGCAUAAAAAUUUUGAUGAUAUAAGAGAAAACUGAAGCCGGCCGCCAUGAAUAUAGUUUGAGCUGUCGAAAACCCUAAAAAUAAUUGGAGGGAAGAAGAUGAGUUAUUUACAUUUAUACCAUUCAUUAAAGAAAAUAAAAUAAAAUCAGUCCAGCAUGCCACUUGAACCAGGGAAACGAGCUUCAGAGUAUCAAGCUAAACCACCAGACCACUGUAACUUAUUCGAUGAUAGCUUUCAAACUCUAUACUAUAACCCUUUAUACCCGAAAAUGGUAUUCAACGAAAUUUAGCGACAUGUUAGAUUGACCUUAGAAAUAGUUUGGUGGUUUGUAUUUAGCUAGGUAACAUAAACACGGAUUGGGUUAAAAUAAAAUUUAUGUUGCUAAAGAUAGUUGUGGACUUUGCUUUAGGAUUUUAGCAUGUUUUAUGAUGUAAUAUCCACUAAAGUCUAAACAUAUUAUUUUAGAAUGUUUUAUGAUGUAAUAUAUGCUAAACAGAUUAAUUUAGAGCGUAGAAGAUUUUGUUUUAAAGAGAAAAACAGGUUAAGAGUUCGAGAAAUAUAUUUGUCGUCUGAGAUUUGGUAUUGGACAACAAAUACUUAUAUUGGGAACAUAAUAAAACUCACAAUUCUGUUUCAAUGCUAGUCUGACAUAUUAAGAACGAAUUUAGGCAAAUCUUACAUAUUAAGAAGGGAUUAAUGUGUUACUUGAAUACUUAUAACGAACCGCACGCUAAUUGUUUGGUUGAAAUUUUUUUUUGUCUCCAAUAUAUAGAAAACAUGAUAGAUGAUAACGCAGCGACCAAAAUUAAGGUGAAACUGCAAGUUAAUUGUUUGGUUAAAUGCUACUCUUUCGUGUUAAAACUAAAGUUAGCAUGUAUAAAGUUGUGAUCGGUUUACAUAGAUGCAGAAAUCGACAAAAGAAAACAACAGGUUAAGAGUUUAAAAAAUAUUUUUUUUUCUGACCUUAAAUAUUGGACAUCGAGUACAUAUAUUAGCAACACAAAAAAACCUAACAAUUCUGUUUAAAUGCUAGUCUAACAUAAAUAGUUAACAUAUUUAAUGACAAAAGUAGCAACCAGAGUUAUAAGUUCUGGUUAUAUCUAGAAUUGAUCAACCCCAAGGAGAGGCAAGGAACUGAUCCUCUGCUCACGACAAAAUGAGUUCAAAACAGAUAGAGAGAGAGGCAGAGAGGUCGAACUGUUGUGGUCGUGGUGGUGGUGGUGUCGGACGACAAUGGUGGUGACGAGCGAUGGUGGUAAAAACAAUAGAACACUCCUAAAACUAUUGAAGAUUGAAAACAGUCAAACACUUCUUUGCAGCCUCUGUUCCUGAAAUGAACGUUGCCUUUUUUGCCUUUUCCCCCCAUUACUUCAUGCCGGACCUGUAAAAGAACAGAGUAGAAUCUUUGAGAUACUGACCAACAUAAAGACUUAUAUACACAUAAAAGAACCACAAGAAACCACAAUUGAUAUAAUCUGUCAGAAACUCACUUUGGUUCAGAUCUCUCUCUAUCUCUCAAAAUAACAAGAAUUUUCAUAUAUCAGAACAACUGAGGAAGCAAAGUUUCUAUACGUUCAUAACUAGUAAUUAGAAAAUCAUAACUUGUGGAAAAGUACCUGCCAUCAAACAGAAACAUAGAGGAUAAUAAAACAAGAGACUAAUAGAACCAACAUUUAUGAAACUGUAAAAUAGAAACAUGGAGGAUAAUAAAACAAUUAGCAAGCAAACAAAAGAAGAGGCAGGCUAUACGUCUAUUUGGCAGACUAAGUCCAGUUGACAUACAAUUCAGAUGCAAGCUUAUCUGAUAGUACAAACAAACGAUUAGCAAUACAAGCAGAGUCAUUGUGUGUCUAGACAUUGUAAAUGACAGAUAAAAUUGAAUGGUAGCAAGGUAUUUGCCAAGUGUAUGUUGCUUAAUAUACGUACAUAAGUUAAAAAAUAGAAAAUUAGCUAGACUUGUAGCAAAUGUGGAUGGCUAACCCGGUCUUCUGCUUGUCCAUGGUCAUCUCCCAGGGAGAGAAAGGGUUGUUCUCGAGGUAAGCUUCUUGGGUACAAAGUCGAAGAGGUUGUUGUGGAGAGGGUCUGUAACCGGGUUAAACCGGAGAGAUCUGGCUCUGGAAAAGCUCCAGGACGAUUAGCUCCGUGAGGGUUCCUUGGAUUCCUUUCGUUUUGAGUUGGAUUCUCGUGACUAUGUUGCUUUCGUCACAUUGAACGGUUGGCCAUUUACAAGGGUUGGGGUUGGACCAGUCUACGUCUUUAGUGAGGUUUAGGCUCGAUUUGAGGGCUUGCAUAGUUGAGCGUCGACGCUGGUCUGAGAAGCUGCGAAGUUUAGUGAGGAGAGGAGGAAACAGAGAUGAGAUUUUGUCAUUACGAAGUUAAAAGAUGGAGCUUUAUUCUAGGGUUUUAUGGUGGAAUUGAAGGAGGAGAAGGAAGGCUCUUCCUUUUUACAGGGAAAUGAGAAAGUUAAGAGAUUGAAUCGGCGGAGAUGGAGGGAGAGAUAUAAGAGUAUGAAAUCAUAAAAGAUAAAAAAAUAAAUAGAUUUUUAUUCUUAUGGAGAAAAAUGGAGGACUUUAACUCAAUAUGCCUCAAGGGCUCUCGUAAAUUUCCCAUAUAUCCCUGUUAUUAAAAAUAAUAUAUAAUAAUUUAUUUUGAAUUAAAUUUAAAUGCAUAAAGCGUGUAAAGUCGAAAAGACAGUUAAUGAAAUGAGUUUAUUAUUAGAUCCAACCUAAUCUAUCCGGUCCACCCAAACCUAAACGGCUUAAAACCCGGAUCCUAACCUAGUUUCCUCUUGCUCGGGAAAGCCUCCCAUUUGGUCCAUCUCUCCAUCUCAACUCUCUUCUAUUGCGACAGAUAUACGAUGUCGUAAACGUAACGAGUCGUUUACGAAAAAACCUCCGUUACGACGGACGUUUAACAACGAAACUUCUUUCGAGGUUAAUUCGUUGUAACACUCCGUUUACGACGAAUACUGCCCUAGUAAAAAAUAUGUUUUCUUGUAGUGUUUCUAAACGUUGAAUGGAUGUAGCCCUAUCCCAAGAUUUUUUCUUUUAGACCGAUCAUCAAUUGUUUUACUUUUUAGUAUCUCUUUCGACAUUGUGCAAUCUUAACUCUUUGGCUUUGUUGCAAACGCAGAGAGUGACUAAUAAUCUAUAAUUGUGGUUCAGGUUGUGGAUCUGGCCUGAGCGGGGAAACAAUCUCAGAGAAUGGGCACCGAUGGAUAGGUCUUGACAUCUCAGCCUCUAUGCUUAGUAAGUUAAACUAUUAGUUUCUCUAUGAAGGAUUCUUCUGCCCUUCAUUCUUUUAGAUCUCUAAGCCACUUUUAAUAACAUUGCAGACGUUACUUGGUGACAUGGGGCAGGUUUGUAUGUCUGUCUCUCUCUAUGAUAUUGUGGUGGUUGCUUUUUGCUAAUAGUUAUAUCCUUUAGGCUUUAGGAAAAAAGAAUCUUGACUUAUUAUUAUGUUGCUUCACGCAGUGAUUAUAAUGCUGAUCAAAAUGACCUUUGCGAUGAUAAAACGAUGCUCAAGAUGCAAAGUGAGCAGCGGAAGCGUGCUGAUAAGGAGAACAGAGAAAGGAGAGGCCCUUCUUUGAUUCCUAGCUUGAAUCACUUAUGUUCAUAUGUGUUAUUAUCAAUUCUUUAAAAAACCCUAUUGUUGAUAAUCACUACUAAUCUUCUCAGUAACCUAAACGCUAACAGUGUCAACCCGAUUCCUACUUGACAUGUUGGUAAAGUUUAUCUUUUUAAUCUACUGAUGAUGAUUAUGAAUUUAAAUAUUAUUGUAUGACUUUUAAAUGCCUUUUUAAAAUAUGUUUUUCAAUUUCAUAUUUCGUUUUAAAAUUUAAAUUAUUUUAAAUUCUGAAUAUUAAAUAUAAAUUAAAAUUUAUUAUAUACUAAUUAAUAAUAAUAUAAUAAGAAUCGAUGUAAACUCCUCGUAAACAUUACAUGGAGUUUACAUCGAAUGUUUACGAGUGAUUAACAUCGAAAGAUUUACGAGGGUUUUACAUCGAAAUGUUUACGAGUGAUUUACAACGAAAGUAUUUACAUGUGCUUUACAUCGAAAUCAUUACGUGGGUUUUACCACGAAAUCUUACGUGUCGUUUACGACGAAUUCUUUCCCUGCGCUUUACGAAGAAUAUAUUUCGUCGUAAACGUAACGAGUCGUUUACGAAAAAACCUCCGUUACGACGGACGUUUAACAACGAAACUUCUUUCGAGGUUAAUUCGUUGUAACACUCCGUUUACGACGAAUACUGCCCUAGUAAAAAAUAUGUUUUCUUGUAGUGUUUCUAAACGUUGAAUGGAUGUAGCCCUAUCCCAAGAUUUUUUCUUUUAGACCGAUCAUCAAUUGUUUUACUUUUUAGUAUCUCUUUCGACAUUGUGCAAUCUUAACUCUUUGGCUUUGUUGCAAACGCAGAGAGUGACUAAUAAUCUAUAAUUGUGGUUCAGGUUGUGGAUCUGGCCUGAGCGGGGAAACAAUCUCAGAGAAUGGGCACCGAUGGAUAGGUCUUGACAUCUCAGCCUCUAUGCUUAGUAAGUUAAACUAUUAGUUUCUCUAUGAAGGAUUCUUCUGCCCUUCAUUCUUUUAGAUCUCUAAGCCACUUUUAAUAACAUUGCAGACGUUACUUGGUGACAUGGGGCAGGUUUGUAUGUCUGUCUCUCUCUAUGAUAUUGUGGUGGUUGCUUUUUGCUAAUAGUUAUAUCCUUUAGGCUUUAGGAAAAAAGAAUCUUGACUUAUUAUUAUGUUGCUUCACGCAGUGAUUAUAAUGCUGAUCAAAAUGACCUUUGCGAUGAUAAAACGAUGCUCAAGAUGCAAAGUGAGCAGCGGAAGCGUGCUGAUAAGGAGAACAGAGAAAGGAGAGGCCGUGUGUUCUAGACGACAGAGAAGCCGAUCAAGAUAACUUGCACAAUUUUCCAGAGAAAAAAAGUCUUCGAGAAGAGCGGAAGGUCCUAAGCAGUUCUUUGAGCGUUGUGAGAGUAUUGGUAUUGGAUCUGUAAUAUCAGGGAGGCGAGUUGUCGAACCGUAACUACUAAAUGAACACAUACAGUUUUGUAAUCACAUCAUAUUAAAUAUAGAAAAAGAUUUAAAUAUAUCUUUUAUUUAUUUUUGGUUAUUUUUUAUUUAAAUAAAUGUUAAUAUUUAAUUAUACACUCAAUUUUGAUUAGUAUAGUUUUCAUUAUCUUCUUUAGAUGUGACACAUUCUCCUUUUAUCUUUGAUUAAUCCCCAUUGUUAUUUUGAUUAAAAACAUUUAUCUUCUUAUUUUAGAUUUUUAAAACGUUUUAUGUUUCAUAAAAUGGCAAUUCUCUCAAAUAGUCUUUUUUAAGUUUUUGUCACAAAAAUAGCUCUAAAAAAAUAAAAUGACCAAAAUAGUGUUUUUAUUUUGAAAUUUUUAAUAUUUAAUUUUUAUUUUUUAUAAUUUGAAACCAUCCCUAAACCCCACCCUUAACUCUAAACCCUAAGUCACGAUUAGUUAAUCCAAGAUGUAUAAAUGCAUAUUUUACCCUUUAAUAAAACUUAUUUUGGUCAUUUUCCUCUCCGAAAAGGUAUUUUUUUGUGAAAAUAAACUAAAAAAAUAUAUCCAAAAGGAUAUCCAAAAGAAUUUCUCUUCAUAAAAUUCGUUUUGUUUUGCUCAUGUUAAAUUAAUAAUAUAAAAAUACUCAUAUAAAAUGUAUAUGCAUAGCAUAUAUUAAAAUAAUAAUUUAAAAAAGAUUCAUGUAAAAAGUGUAUGCAUAAUACAUGUUAAAAUAAUAAUUUAAAAAGUAAUCAUGUAAAACGUGCAGCUGUUAUAUACAUAAAUUUAACAUUUUAAUUAUACUUAGUAAUUCUUGGUAAACUUCAAGGUAGUAGUAAAACUACUUUACACAUAGUAAUACUUUGGCAAAUUUUAAGUUUUAUUAGUAAAACUAUGUCCAGAUGAAAUAUUUGGUAGUAAAACCAGUGAUUUUAUACAGUGAAUGUCAUUAAUUAAGAGUAUUACAUAUAAAGUUUACGAGAAAUAAGUAUUUUUAUAGAUUAUUCUUAUUAAAGCCUUAUGAUUCAUACAACAACCAUGAAAGUUAAGGAAUCAUUUUGGAAAACUAAUAAAUAUUCCUAAAACUAUAGAAAAUAAUUAUCUAAAUAGUUUUAAUAGUCUUAUUUACUAUAUAGAUAGUCUACUAAUAGAUAAUAUAUGGAUUCUAUAUGUUAAAUAUACGCACUACUUGCAAUAUACAAGAGUUUCAAAUUACACAUAAUAAAACCAAGUAAUCUUAGUAAUCUGAAUUACACAUAAUAAACCCAGUAAUCCGAGUAGUCUGGAUUACACACAAUAAAACCAGUUAUCAUAGUAAUCCGAGUAGUCUGGAUUACACACAAUAAAACCAGUUACAUACAAUUUGUUCAGCUAUUGAUAUCGUGCACGGUAUGGUGUCUUCCAUAUUCUCACUGAUAUCAAGGUAACUUUCUUUUCUCAGGAAUUAUAACGAACUUAUGAGGCUUAUCCUCUUACAUUUUCUCUGUGAAAUGGACGGACAGAACUCGAUCAUUAUUGUAGGUGGUGCUAAUAUGAGAGGGUGGACUGAGAAGAUGAGCGAUGAUGAGCUUGAGAUAGUGAGGAAUGCCAGUGGUGUGCUGCUUCAAAGAGAGAUCCCAGACUCAAUCAACAUUCAAGUUGCUAAAGUUCGUAUCAAGUUUUUAAAUUUAUUUGAUUCUAAUCUUGAUUUUAUUCAAGGAUGCUUCUUUUUGUUUAGAUAGAGAAAUUGUGUCGUGGAUAAGAUAUAGCAUUUGGAACUAGAAUGUAGAUUGAUCAUAUAUUAUUUGAAUCAUCACGAUGAGAUUGCCAAUGGAACUUUAUGUUUCUCAAUUUUUUAUAUUUCUCAACCCGGUAUAUAAAUAUUUUUCAUGCAUUUUUAGUAAAAUAUUUAUAUUAUACUUAUUAAAAUGAGUAAUUUGUUAGACUGAGUAAUUGCAUUUCUUGUAUUUAUAUUAUUAUCAAAUUAAUUUUAUUAUAACUUAUCGACUCUAAAAUUUUAUUAUAUGUGGAAUUUUUAUUUUAUUUGAACUUUUUUUUUUAGAACAUUGUUAUCUUGUCUAAAUGUUUUUUCUUUACAUACAAAACUUGAAGAAUAUUCUUUUGAAACUUUCCCUAUUACAAUUUUCUCCUAAGAAAAAUCUUAAUUGUUUUUAUUUUUUUUAAUACUAAUACAUAAAUGAACAUGUUAUUACCAAAUCUAAUAUUUCAAAUCCUUUGUUAUUACCAAAUCUAAUAUUUCAAAUCCUUACUAAAGAAAAAUAAUUAAGGUAAAAUUCAAUUGAACAUAUGUAAUAUCAUACAUAAUUUAAAAAUAAUUUUCUAAUAGCAUUUUAGUUAUAUAUAUCUAAAACAAUAUCGUCAAUUAAGUAGAUUAGUCAAAUUGGUUAUUUGAAAAUUUUAAUUAGGUACAAAUUUAUAAUUAUCAAGUAAAAUGGAUCUUUUUUAAUAUGUUCUCAUUAUUAAGUUUUUAUUCCCAAAUACGGCAUAUCCUUUAAAUUUUUUAAAUAUUGUUAAUUGAUUUCAUUAACAAUAAAAUUUUGAAAAAUGUAAUAAACAUUAUUUAAUAGAAGAUAAUAUCCACGAAUUUAUGGAAACAAGUUUUCUAUUUACAUAUUAAGGUUUAUAGUAUUAAUGUGCAUUAAGUAUAAUAUUUAUCAUGAUUUUGUUGUGGAAUAGAUUUAGGAAAAAAAUUAAUUUAGAUUUAAGUUUAUUAACUAUUUCAAUGACGUUGUAUUGUAAUUAAGUUGUAAGUCUUAGGGUUGUUUUUUAUUUGUACUUAUAUUUUAAUAAAGUAGAUACGUAUAUGUUUUGAAUUUUGAGGGCCAAAAACCCUAGGUAGGUAGGUGGCUUUAAUCAGAUCUUAUUUUCAGUUUUUUUUUUUUAGUUAAAAGCAGAUUUUGAGAGAACAGGGAGAAUAUUAUAUUCUUUAUUUCUAGAUAAAGAUUCUAAAUCUUUGUUUCUAUUUUUAAAUUUUUUUUUCCUUUUGUGCAAUAUAGAUUUCCAGUUAUGAAACAAAUUCAAUGAAGACAUAUCCACUCGGCGGAGCAAAAUAUUCUGAUCCAGAAAUCUGAACCGAAUCUAAACAAAAAAAAUAGUACCAAAUCUGAACCGAACCUGGUAAAAUAUCCAAACGGAUCCAAAACUUUAAUAUAAAAAAAAAAUUGAACUGAACUGAAUCCAAAACGAAAUAUUUGAGAUACCCAAAUCAUAAUUAUAUAUUUAAAUAUAUUAACUAGUUCAAAUUUAUUUUCUACAAAAUAUCUAAAAUACUUGAAAAUAUUUAAAAUUUAUCCAAAAUGACCACAAGUAACUAUCCAAAUAGUGAAAAUAAUCAAAAUACCAAAAAUAUCUGAAAGCCUUACAUGUUCUUCAUUCAAAUAUCUAACCUGGAAAAAGAAUUAAUGUCUAUUUUAGGUAUUUAAUAAUGCAUUAUUAAAAUUUAGAUAUUGAAUAUUAUUUUUAUUUUUAAUUUUUAAAUAAAUCUGAAUUUUUAUAUAAUUUAAAUCUAAAUUUGGACCGAACAUAUAAUGAUCUGAACCGAAUCAGAACUAAAAUUUAUGAAUAUCCGAAUGAAACUUGAAUGUUUAUCAAAUAUGAACCGAACGUCCACCCAUACCUAAAUUCAUGACAUCUUUACUCAAAUUCAUUACUAUCACCGAGACGUCAAUAAUUUUUUUUCAGAACAAUUUGUAAAGAACUUAUACUCCCUUCGUAUAUAAAAUAUUGAUGUUCUACAUUUUUCCUUUGUAUACAAAAGAUUGAUGUUUGGAAUAUAAUUAAUACCUUUGUCUUCCAAACUAAAACAUAAAUUAAGUUGUAAAAUUAUGUGUGGUAAAACUUUACUGCGAUGAGAUUGCCAAUGGAACUUUAUGUUUCUCAAUUUUUUAUAUUUCUCAACCCGGUAUAUAAAUAUUUUUCAUGCAUUUUUAGUAAAAUAUUUAUAUUAUACUUAUUAAAAUGAGUAAUUUGUUAGACUGAGUAAUUGCAUUUCUUGUAUUUAUAUUAUUAUCAAAUUAAUUUUAUUAUAACUUAUCGACUCUAAAAUUUUAUUAUAUGUGGAAUUUUUAUUUUAUUUGAACUUUUUUUUUUAGAACAUUGUUAUCUUGUCUAAAUGUUUUUUCUUUACAUACAAAACUUGAAGAAUAUUCUUUUGAAACUUUCCCUAUUACAAUUUUCUCCUAAGAAAAAUCUUAAUUGUUUUUAUUUUUUUUAAUACUAAUACAUAAAUGAACAUGUUAUUACCAAAUCUAAUAUUUCAAAUCCUUUGUUAUUACCAAAUCUAAUAUUUCAAAUCCUUACUAAAGAAAAAUAAUUAAGGUAAAAUUCAAUUGAACAUAUGUAAUAUCAUACAUAAUUUAAAAAUAAUUUUCUAAUAGCAUUUUAGUUAUAUAUAUCUAAAACAAUAUCGUCAAUUAAGUAGAUUAGUCAAAUUGGUUAUUUGAAAAUUUUAAUUAGGUACAAAUUUAUAAUUAUCAAGUAAAAUGGAUCUUUUUUAAUAUGUUCUCAUUAUUAAGUUUUUAUUCCCAAAUACGGCAUAUCCUUUAAAUUUUUUAAAUAUUGUUAAUUGAUUUCAUUAACAAUAAAAUUUUGAAAAAUGUAAUAAACAUUAUUUAAUAGAAGAUAAUAUCCACGAAUUUAUGGAAACAAGUUUUCUAUUUACAUAUUAAGGUUUAUAGUAUUAAUGUGCAUUAAGUAUAAUAUUUAUCAUGAUUUUGUUGUGGAAUAGAUUUAGGAAAAAAAUUAAUUUAGAUUUAAGUUUAUUAACUAUUUCAAUGACGUUGUAUUGUAAUUAAGUUGUAAGUCUUAGGGUUGUUUUUUAUUUGUACUUAUAUUUUAAUAAAGUAGAUACGUAUAUGUUUUGAAUUUUGAGGGCCAAAAACCCUAGGUAGGUAGGUGGCUUUAAUCAGAUCUUAUUUUCAGUUUUUUUUUUUUAGUUAAAAGCAGAUUUUGAGAGAACAGGGAGAAUAUUAUAUUCUUUAUUUCUAGAUAAAGAUUCUAAAUCUUUGUUUCUAUUUUUAAAUUUUUUUUUCCUUUUGUGCAAUAUAGAUUUCCAGUUAUGAAACAAAUUCAAUGAAGACAUAUCCACUCGGCGGAGCAAAAUAUUCUGAUCCAGAAAUCUGAACCGAAUCUAAACAAAAAAAAUAGUACCAAAUCUGAACCGAACCUGGUAAAAUAUCCAAACGGAUCCAAAACUUUAAUAUAAAAAAAAAAUUGAACUGAACUGAAUCCAAAACGAAAUAUUUGAGAUACCCAAAUCAUAAUUAUAUAUUUAAAUAUAUUAACUAGUUCAAAUUUAUUUUCUACAAAAUAUCUAAAAUACUUGAAAAUAUUUAAAAUUUAUCCAAAAUGACCACAAGUAACUAUCCAAAUAGUGAAAAUAAUCAAAAUACCAAAAAUAUCUGAAAGCCUUACAUGUUCUUCAUUCAAAUAUCUAACCUGGAAAAAGAAUUAAUGUCUAUUUUAGGUAUUUAAUAAUGCAUUAUUAAAAUUUAGAUAUUGAAUAUUAUUUUUAUUUUUAAUUUUUAAAUAAAUCUGAAUUUUUAUAUAAUUUAAAUCUAAAUUUGGACCGAACAUAUAAUGAUCUGAACCGAAUCAGAACUAAAAUUUAUGAAUAUCCGAAUGAAACUUGAAUGUUUAUCAAAUAUGAACCGAACGUCCACCCAUACCUAAAUUCAUGACAUCUUUACUCAAAUUCAUUACUAUCACCGAGACGUCAAUAAUUUUUUUUCAGAACAAUUUGUAAAGAACUUAUACUCCCUUCGUAUAUAAAAUAUUGAUGUUCUACAUUUUUCCUUUGUAUACAAAAGAUUGAUGUUUGGAAUAUAAUUAAUACCUUUGUCUUCCAAACUAAAACAUAAAUUAAGUUGUAAAAUUAUGUGUGGUAAAACUUUACUGAUAUAACAAAAAAAAUUAAUAAUUAAAAGAGUGUAUUGUUUUUUUUCUUAAUAUAUAUGACAAUGUCAAAUCUUAGACCAUCAUUAAACCAAAAACCCACUAUAGGUCUCUUAAUCAUUUUUAACUAUUAAAUGUCACUUAAAAGAUUUAGUUAAGAGACACCAACAUUUUGAUGCUCCAAUGGGAGUUUUUUAUUUAGGGGUUCUUAAAAAAAAAGUUAAACAUUGAGAAACAUGGAAUGCAAUAGGAGUAAAUGACAAGAUUUUUCAUACAACUAUCAUUGAAGCUUAAUGAAGACUAACUUACCAAUGCAUGUAACAGCCUUCUUCCUGACUGUGGCUUGGUUACAGCCCAACUGCAACAGCAAGGCGUUCAGUAGCUUCUAGUGAUCAUCUGCCAUUAAACUUCCAUACUUUUGAACAACAAAACUAUCAGGUAAAAUCAAGUGGAUUAGGGUAGAGACAUAAUUACAAGUAAGGCGUUCAGUUAUUUGCAAAACAAAUAGAUUAGGGUAGAGACAUAAUUACAAGCCUCUACUGUUCUCUGCUUUACUCAGAGUUGUUCAGAAAGAGCUAUUAAACUGUAACAGCGCCAACAAAACUAUCAGGUAAAAUCAAUUCAACUAUAAGUAUCAGUCCAGGUAUAAGUAUAGGUGCCGCUUGGGUUACCAGGAUUCACAAGAGUAGUAGGGCUGGAACAUGACAACUGGAUCGCAUAGUGCAAGAACAAGAUUCACGAACGCCUGCAAAAACACAAGAGUGUGAGACUAAAAGACAAGGAGACAGCAUAAAAGCAGUACAUAAAGCUCCAAGUGUCAAAAAGGAAGACUUUCUUCCCAUAGAGCAAUCCAUCUUCCUCCUCCAAUGCUUCCUGGCAUACAACAAAAAUAUCAGAAGCUAGUACCAAACUGAAAAACCUGUCGACUCAACAAUAGAAACAAAAAAAAAGAAUGUAAACAAAUCAACUUACUUCAAGAUGUUUGAAGUCCCAAUUGAAUUCAUAAAGCGCAUCUAAUUGGUACCACUGCCACCACAAAUGAACAAAACCAUAAGCAAAAUACAUCAAUGAAGACAGUGAACUCCGACGUUGAAGCCAAAUUCUUCAAAAAACAAUAUACCUCAGUCCCCACCCGGUUUAGAAUCUGAAUCGCCUGCUGACGUCUGAUUACUCAAACCGUAUCCCAUUCGGAUCCCAACCAAAUCCGAUUGAUGCUGUGUCUGAAACCUGAGAUUAGGAAGAAACGGCGAGCCGUAACGGUGAGACGAACCACCGAUCUUAGAAGAAUCACGUUGAUAGCUGCUUGUUGCUGCUGAGCCGCUUGAAAAUCAGCUAGAGUACGAUUCAUCUGAUGCUGGGAAGAAGACGAGUGGGAGAGGACGACUGGGAGACGGAAACAAGAGCCGUCUCUUCUGUCUCUUGAUUAAGAGACGUCCCUUAACAUAAUUGCCUUUUUUCUUUUUUUUUUUAAUUUCAAAAGAGACGGGUUAGGAGACCCCGUUAAUGGUGCUAUUAAACAGCAAUCUUUUAAUUACAAAGGAAGUAUAUAGAAUUGAAAAAGGUUGACCUUAGAAAAGGUGGAGCUGUUGUUGCUAGUUGGCACACACUCACUACAACAUAAACUAUCUUUUACUUUAGUCGCUUUAAAAAUAAUAAUAAAGUUUUGCUCAUCUUUCAUGCAUUCCAUUUGGAUUGCAUGAGUACCUUAACUUCUUAUAUAUUUCAACAACUCAAAUCCCUUUUUCUCAUACCAUUCACGAACUCCGGAGCGUGGACUCCUCUCAAACAAUGAACAGCCUGACUUUUAUAGACCUGCAUCUAGCAGCCUGUCUUAGACCCUCUACCAGUUUCUUCUUGUCGAAGUCAAGAUGGUCGUUCUAGACAAACUCCUAUAGUAUGGGUAGAAAAGCUUAUCAAGAUCCAGCCGCGCGAAAUUUUGCAGUCCCAAAUCUCUCAUACAUCCAUCCCUAAAACCUUCAAGAACGAAGAUGCGACCCCCUUCACGAUCACUUCUCGAGCUAGAAUUGAUUUUAGAAAUUUCAAAUCUAGCAAAGUAGCGGAAAGAAUAUGAUUGGGAGCCUGUUUCUUCCUCUCUUUUAAAAGGGCCCCUUUUAAUAAUACAUAGUUAGCUAUAGUAUCUCUAACCCAUAACAUUAUUUUAGUGUUAAAACUACUAGCGUAAUUUCAGCACUAAAAAAAGUUUUUCUCCAACCAUAACGUCAAAUUUCACACUAAAAGCUAUUUUAUAAUAUUAUAUAUAUUUAUGUUUUUAUUUGUAAUUUAUUUAAUUAUCUAUUUUAUUAAUAAAUUAAGUCAAUAGUGUUUUAAUGGGGUGAAUAGUAUUUUAGUGUAGUGAAUAAUAUUACACCAAAUUUGGUGUGAAAUUAUAGUGUUGCACUAAAAUAGUUUGAUUUUUAGUGUUGGGUUGGAGAAUAUUUUUGUGUCAAAAUCACACUAAAAUAUAUUGUUAUGGAUAGAGAUGUCAAACAUGUUUACCCAUCUCUUUUCGUUCCGUACCGCGGCGGGUUAGUCGUCGAGCGGAUCACAGCAGGCCUGCUCCGCGCGGACUGCAGUCUUCAAAAUACCGGCCUAAACCUGUACCGCAGAAUAUAUAGGCCUUCGCGGGGCCGUCCUGCGGGACGCCUCCUUAUCAAACCGUCUGCUGCAUCUUUUUUCAUGAAUGUUCAAGUAGAAAAGUUGUGUAAGAGAGUUGAAGAGAGCUCAUUAAGUUUCACUAAAGUCUUAUCAAAAUCAAUGCCACAAAUCUCCGUUUAUGCUUGCAUUUUUGAAUUAAAAGCAUUCUUUUAUUAUCAGCAUAAGCUUUUGUUAAGUUUGAAUCUGAUUGAUUGAGUUGUUGUCUUUGUAAUAAUUUGGCUCAAGUGUUAUAUGUCUUCAUCAAACCAUCUUUCUUUUUAAUUAUUUGGAUUGCAAAAAAUCACUUUUUCUCACUUUCUUUAUCGUGUUUCAGGUAAAAUAAGAAAUGAAGAAAAAAAAUGCGGGUCCAUGUAAUCCCGCAUGACCCGUUUCGGCCCAUCCCGCAAAAGGCUCAGUCCCGCAAAGACCUAUCCCGCGACAGUCAUUUUCGGACCUGGCCCGCGAUCCAGAUCCAUAAUUGCCAUCUCUAGUUAUGGAGUUGAGUUUGAGAUGACCUUAGUCGGAGAUAUAAGAAACAUUAAAAAGAAAACAAAAAGUAUAAUAUAUUUUCUCAUUUCUAUUUUCGAAAAUGGACAUCCUUUUAAAUUUAGUCACGAAGACACCAAAAUGUAUAGUUUUGAAUAUUUUUUAAAAUAAAAGAUGCCCGAAUUGAUAUUGCUUGACAGCUGUGAUCGAUUAAAAAAAAUAAGAAAAAUACAUUAACAUCACUGACCAUAUGUUUAGGUUUGUUCCAAUGUUUUUAAAACCGGACCGGAUACCGACUCGAUAAAGCUACUGGUUAGGUGGUCGGACCGGUUCAACCGGUCGAACCGGAUUUUCUAUUUAAAAAUAAAUAAAUCUAAAUAAUCAUAUAUUUACACUAUAUAGAUCUAAAAUGUAGUUCUAGAUAUAAUAUGUUCUAUGUUCCCUUUUAUUAAUUAGAUAAUAAACAAUGACCAUAAGUUUAGUUAUAUAUACAAAUGAAUACUAUAUCAACUAAAACUGAUUAAAAAAAAUGAAUGACCGUUUAAAUUACAUAUUUAUUUAUUUUUACAACUAAAAGUCUUAAAUUUUAUGAAUAUAGAAAAAUGAGAAUAAAAUAUGAGAGUCAAAAAAAAAAAAUUUUAAAAAAUUCUUAAAAAAAGAAUCAAGAGAAAACUAAUUAAAUAGUGUAAAUAAAAAUUAAUUAUGAAAUAUUAUAUUUUAAUAAAAAUUGCAAAUACAUUAAUUAUAUGUUUAUUUCUAUUGAACCGGGUUUUAAAAUUGAACCGGGUCACCGGCUUUACCGGUUUUUAGCCGGUUUCACCGGUUUAUCUCAAAUCCGGGUUUUAAACCGAACCGGACUCGGCUUCUUUAACGAGUCACGGUCGGACCGGUUCGACCGGCCGGUCCGGUCCGGUUUUCAAAACCUUGGUUUGUUCAGACAUUAUCCUAUUUUUUUCUCCAGAAAAAAAUUUAAAAAAAAAAGUUCAAAUCUUCGUAUAACCGAUAUAGGCAUGUUUUAACUAUUUAUUAUGAAUUUAGAUAUGCAAUUUAAAUUCUUAUUUAAUCUAAGAAUAUUUUGGCAAGUUAAUAUUAUUUAUGAAUAAGCCUUUUUCUCGACCUUUCUAUAAGGAAACUUGCUCCGGUGGGUGGUGGUUUCUACCACCGGUCGCCAUAAUAUUUUUUUGGUUUUGUAUUAUAGUACUUUCCGUUUAAGCGGAUUAUGUAUGUUUCGCUAAGGCGAUUUUCUCCUUGGCGUAGGCGAUUUUGAAGUGUAGAUUCAUCCAAGUCGGAGUGUUCAUCACUCUUAUCUUCUCCGAUAAGGUUGAAUUCAAAUAAAAGUUCCGAUUUUCUUAAUCGGAUUUUAUAUCUAAUAGCUUUCCACCCAGUUCAAAAUUGCAUUCCGAUGGUGAUUGAUCGGAUAUCCUGAAUCGUUGACCUCCUUAUCACUUCCUAGGAAAAUCAGACUUUCUUAAUUAAUAUAGCUGGCUGGCUUAAAGAAAGCAUCUUUGAUUUGGGAGUCGAGAGGGUUAGUUGGAUUUGGCAGUCAUCUAUGGAGUUGAUCAAGAAGAGUCGGCGUUUAUGACGGUCCGGCAAAUGGUCUUUCUUCAUAUUGGCUAAAACUUCCUCUGUUCUUAAAUCUCAGGCGAAACAUGAUAUCUUGCUCAAGAAGCCGCGGUUAAUGGUGGAAGGCACUUUCAAACGAAGAUCAACGGGCUCACAGAUGCAGAUAAAGAACUAGGACGUGAGUUCUUCUUUCUGCACGACGGCGCGUUCCUGAAGCGCUUGAGAUGGUUGGCAACGUACAGAAGAUUUAGACGACGUGUUUCCUUUUUUUCUUCAUCUUCCAACGUGUGGCAAGAUGACGAAGAUAAUGGAAGCGGUGGCAAAUUUUAUUAAUUGGGCUUUCAUGGGCUGUUUCGUAUAACGAAACAUAUAAAUGGAAAUGAGCUAUUGUAUCCGAGUUUGUACUUGCCCACUGGACUUUGCUUUAAUAAAAAGCAUAAGUUGACAAAAAAAAAAAAAAAAAAAACAUCACUGACCAUAUAACAAGGAAGAAUUUCCAGUUUUCAAAGCAAAAAAACAGAGGAAGAAAGAAAGAAAAAAAAUCUCAUGCUUUCCAGUAAGAAGAGUAUCCAAAACAAAUUUAUCGAAUAUUCAAGAGUCAAUUAGGGUAAAUCAUUAAUAUCACGAAGGAAAGAGGUAAUAAUAAAAUAAAUGGACCAAAAACUUGGUGAGCAAGGCUAUUGCUCUGUAUUAAUUGAGAAUUAUAUUUGAGAAAAUCUCUAUUAGGCUUUUUGCUUAACAAGAUUCAUGGCUCUCUUUCUCCGCCGCCUUGUGAAACCUGCGUUGGUGAGAAGAUCAUCCUCUGUUUCUCUUCUGAUCUCUAACGGCUUCUCAACUACUUCCUUGCGGCAAACCCCUCCUUGUUCCAUCAUCGGCGCUAAACCUUGUCUACCACUAGAGUUUUUCUAUCGUAGUGGCCUUGGAACACUCAUCAUUGCCAAUGCCAAUGUCGCCGAUAUGAGUUGCUUAGUUCGUCUGAAAAAGAAGGUGCCUGUGGAUUUGGUGCACAAUGAUCCUGAUGAUACUAUGGUAACGAUCGGGGCAUCUCAUGGGUGGGUAGCUAGUUUGAAGGACGAUGGAAUCCUGCGUCUCCAUGACGAUCUAAACCCUGUUGCAUCUGAUACAGAUCCUAAACGUAUCCAGCUGCCUCCUCUUGUGACUCUGCCACACUGCCAAACCAAAAUCGUCACCAACGUGUCAAUGUCAUCAUCUUCUCCAGAGAAUGAUGAGGACUGUGUCGUGGCUGUGAAGUUCUUGGGACCUCAACUCAGCUUUUGCAAACCAGCCGGCAAGAGUAGUAAACCAGAGUGGACCAACAUCAAGAUCGAAAACCCUUGCUUCUACUCCUCCCGUGUCAUGUUUUCCAAAAAGGACAACAUGUUUCGUAUUCCCGGAUCUGGAGGCCACCUCAUCGGCUCAUUGGAUCUCUGCGAACCUAACGAUAAACUCAAGUUGCAGUGCGUUGGAUUUGAAAACCUUCCUCCUAAGCUACCCACUCCCCUUAUGGAUUCAUGCUGCGUGAGCCAACACUUGGUGGAGUCAACAUCCACCGGUGAGACUUUCUUGGUUAAGCAGUACAGGAAGACAGCCGAAGGUGUUGCUAGAAUGAAAACAGAAUAUUUAAUGGUGUUCAAGCUAGAUGAUGAAGGAAACGCUCUUUACACUGAAGACAUGGGAGAUCUGACCAUGUUUCUCUCAAAGUCUGAACCUUUCUGUAUCUCUUCUACUUCCUUUCCUGGUUUUAAGCCUAACAGGGUUCACAUCUUGGAUUUCGAAGAAACCGCAUGCGUCGUCUGGUGGAUGGUUUCCCCUUCUUUGCUUCAACUGAUAAAAACUAGAGAUGGCAAUUCAUGAACUUGCCCGCGGACCCAUUAGGACUUGCUGCGGGGCGGGAUUGGUCACUAAGAUUCAGGCCCGAUUUUUUAGCGGGCAUCGCGGGUUGAACUUGUGCGGGUUUGGGCCAUAAGCGGGAUGGGCUCGGUGUGUACCGCGGGACGCGCGGGAUCCGCACAGACGUCGUCACUUUGAGUCUUCAAGCUCUCACCGAAAAAUAACCUGAGAGAAACGGUGAUUAGAAAGCUGAUCUCUUUGUAUUUAAAGAUCUAAACNNNNNNNNNNNNNNNNNNNNNNNNNNNNNNNNNNNNNNNNNNNNNNNNNNNNNNNNNNNNNNNNNNNNNNNNNNNNNNNNNNNNNNNNNNNNNNNNNNNNNNNNNNNNNNNNNNNNNNNNNNNNNNNNNNNNNNNNNNNNNNNNNNNNNNNNNNNNNNNNNNNNNNNNNNNNNNNNNNNNNNNNNNNNNNNNNNNNNNNNNNNNNNNNNNNNNNNNNNNNNNNNNNNNNNNNNNNNNNNNNNNNNNNNNNNCGGCGCGUUCCUGAAGCGCUUGAGAUGGUUGGCAACGUACAGAAGAUUUAGACGACGUGUUUCCUUUUUUUCUUCAUCUUCCAACGUGUGGCAAGAUGACGAAGAUAAUGGAAGCGGUGGCAAAUUUUAUUAAUUGGGCUUUCAUGGGCUGUUUCGUAUAACGAAACAUAUAAAUGGAAAUGAGCUAUUGUAUCCGAGUUUGUACUUGCCCACUGGACUUUGCUUUAAUAAAAAGCAUAAGUUGACAAAAAAAAAAAAAAAAAAAAACAUCACUGACCAUAUAACAAGGAAGAAUUUCCAGUUUUCAAAGCAAAAAAACAGAGGAAGAAAGAAAGAAAAAAAAUCUCAUGCUUUCCAGUAAGAAGAGUAUCCAAAACAAAUUUAUCGAAUAUUCAAGAGUCAAUUAGGGUAAAUCAUUAAUAUCACGAAGGAAAGAGGUAAUAAUAAAAUAAAUGGACCAAAAACUUGGUGAGCAAGGCUAUUGCUCUGUAUUAAUUGAGAAUUAUAUUUGAGAAAAUCUCUAUUAGGCUUUUUGCUUAACAAGAUUCAUGGCUCUCUUUCUCCGCCGCCUUGUGAAACCUGCGUUGGUGAGAAGAUCAUCCUCUGUUUCUCUUCUUAUCUCUAACGGCUUCUCAACUACUUCCUUGCGGCAAACCCCUCCUUGUUCCAUCAUCGGCGCUAAACCUUGUCUACCACUAGAGUUUUUCUAUCGUAGUGGCCUUGGAACACUCAUCAUUGCCAAUGCCAAUGUCGCCGAUAUGAGUUGCUUAGUUCGUCUGAAAAAGAAGGUGCCUGUGGAUUUGGUGCACAAUGAUCCUGAUGAUACUAUGGUAACGAUCGGGGCAUCUCAUGGGUGGGUAGCUAGUUUGAAGGACGAUGGAAUCCUGCGUCUCCAUGACGAUCUAAACCCUGUUGCAUCUGAUACAGAUCCUAAACGUAUCCAGCUGCCUCCUCUUGUGACUCUGCCACACUGCCAAACCAAAAUCGUCACCAACGUGUCAAUGUCAUCAUCUUCUCCAGAGAAUGAUGAGGACUGUGUCGUGGCUGUGAAGUUCUUGGGACCUCAACUCAGCUUUUGCAAACCAGCCGGCAAGAGUAGUAAACCAGAGUGGACCAACAUCAAGAUCGAAAACCCUUGCUUCUACUCCUCCCGUGUCAUGUUUUCCAAAAAGGACAACAUGUUUCGUAUUCCCGGAUCUGGAGGCCACCUCAUCGGCUCAUUGGAUCUCUGCGAACCUAACGAUAAACUCAAGUUGCAGUGCGUUGGAUUUGAAAACCUUCCUCCUAAGCUACCCACUCCCCUUAUGGAUUCAUGCUGCGUGAGCCAACACUUGGUGGAGUCAACAUCCACCGGUGAGACUUUCUUGGUUAAGCAGUAUAGGAAGACGGCCAAGAUCGUCCAAGGUGUUGCCCAAAUGAAAACACAAUUUUUAAUGGUGUUCAAGCUAGACGAUGAAGGAAACGCGGUCUACACUCAAGACAUGGGAGAUCUCACCAUGUUCCUCUCAAUGUCUGAACCAUUUUGUGUCCCUUCUACUUCCUUUCCUGGUUUGCUUCCUAACUACGUUUACAUCUUGGAUUUCGACGAAACCGCAAUGGUUAGUCUGGUGGAUGGUUUCCCCUUGGUCGCUACAACUGGAAAAACGGACGCUCCUUACUACAUUCCACCUCAAAAUAUAUUAGACUGAGGCUAGACUAUAUCCUCCAGCUUCUAUAUCUUCAUAAGUAGAUUGUACUGUUUCCUGUUUUAUGUAUGAAAUAUUUGUUCUAAACGCCGUGAAAAUUGUUAACCGUUCAGUGGUCUGUGGCCGUGGACAUUUAUCUCAAAUCAAUUAUAUAACUGGAGAUAAGAAAUUGAAUAUCGACUUUUAGUAUUUUAAGCUCAGAAAUGGAACAAUUGUUCAAAAUUUUCAUAACAAUGCUUAAACCAUGUAAAGAGUGAGUUAAACCCUAGUUUUGAUGAGGAUACAUUGAGUGGCUGCUAGCUUCUGAAAUCGUGAAGCCUUUGGAUAAGAUGACACCAAAAUUACUAUGUUACCUUUACUCCAUAAAUGAAGAAAAAAGUGCUUCAAAACUCAAAACACACCUGAUUCUCUCGACACACAAUCUAUUAUAUUAAAACAGAAUUCACAACUUUAUUUCAUGUAUAAUUUUUUAAAAUAAACCAUCACUAGAAAUCAGUUAUUAUUUAUUCAUUACUAAUAAUAUGCCUAACUAUAUCAUUCCAAAUAUUCCUAUCCACGCCUAAUAAUACGGUGGGUUAACAAACGUAUAUUUGCUUCCUUAUUCAAUUAAAUAUGUGAAAUCAAUGUUGGUAAUAUAAACCAUUAUCAAACCAGUCCUUAGACUAAUACAUUAUCGUAUAGUUCCAAUUCUGAACCGGUUACUAUAAUUUAAUUAAUUAUGUUUUCACCUGAAAUGAACCUUAAAACUUCUGUUUUAGUUUCUUUUAGUCACUUACGCAUCAUAUAUAUAUGAUCAAGUGAUUAUCCACCUCGAUGAUUUGAAGCAUUUCACCUGAAAAGAACCAUCAAAUCGGUCGGCUUUAGUUUAUAAUCGCUUCUUAGACAUUAUGUACAUAUAUGAUCAACUGAUAAUCAACCUCCAGAAUUUAAAACCCAUAAUAUAUGAUAUAUGACUAGAUUUUAGUAGUUAAAAUGAGUGUUUAUCUUAAAAACCGAUGUAACAAGAUUUUUCAAAACCACCAUUCGGUUACAACAACAAUAUCUAUAUUACUUAAUAUCUAUACAAUAAAAAUAGAAGUCAUGACUUUUUUAUAUGUGAUUUUUAAUUUGGACAAUCUCUAGAAAAUUUAUUAAAUUUUACAUAACUUAAUUAUAAUAUCUUUUAAUAUCUUUAUUUUUAUUUGAAAUACUAUUAAAUAUCUUAAAGACAUAUAUAACAAAAUCUUUCAAAUAUCUUUUGGAAUCUUUUUAAAAUAUAUUUCAGAGAUUAGUCAAUUAAAAUUUUAAUUAUCAAAAAAUAUAACUAUAAACUAAAUUUUAGUUAGUUGAUUACAAAAAAAAAAAAUUUAGUUUUGAUUGUAAAGAAAAAUUAAUAAUCAUAUAAUAUACCUUAAAUAAUAUUUUAAUGAUAAUAACAAUUUUAAAUUGAUUUGAUUUUGAAAUUAUAUUUAGGAAAUGUUUUAUAAAAUGUUUUUAAAAAGAAAUAUUCAUUCUAUUUCUAAUUUAAAAAUGAAAACUAGAUCUUGACCCGCAAAACCGUGCGGGUGAUUAGUUUUAUUUUACACACAUAACUAUUUUUUUACCUGAUUAAUUGUAAUAUUUACCAUAUUACUAAUUAUUUAAUAUAAUAUUUUGUUUAAAAAGCAAUGUUAUAGUUCACAUGUAAUAAUUUAAACCAUGUAAAAAAUUUUAAUUUGAAAAUAUUCUUAGUUAAGGAUCAAAAUUUAAUUGAAAAGUAUCAUAUUAAAUUAAUAUCACAAAUUUAAAAAUAUUUUAAAAACGUUUUUAAAAGAAAUAUUCAUUUCUAUUUCUAAUUUAAAAAUGAAAAUAUAUUAUCUAUUUAGCGCAUAAAUUAUGACUUAUUUCAUCAGUAAUUUUUUUUAAUUUAGACAACUUAGAAUUAAUACUUUUAAAUGCUUUUACCAUGUAAUAUAAUUAAUUACACAUCCCUUCAUAGAUGAAACAUUUAAUCUUUAUUCAUAUUGUAUACAUAAGAUUUUAGUGUACUGUUAUUAACGCCUGUUUAUUCUUUGAGUUAAAAACUAAUUCAAUUUAUUAUUUAAACAUUUAUACUAAUUGGUUUUAUUAAUCACUUUAUACCAAAUUCUCUAUUAUGUAGAUUCAACUAAAUUUAAUUUUCUUAUAUAUUUUAAAUUUAGAUAUAAAACAAAAAUUAUGUAAAUUAGUAUUGUUACAUAAUAAUGUUUUUAAAAUAAAUUUUAUUACAAAAAUAUAAAAUUUAUAAAUUUUAUAGUAAUAAUAUUAUACGCCACACAAAUAUUAUUAUAAAAAUACAUAAUAUAUAACACCAAAUUAUAUUAAUUUAUUGAUAUAUUUUAUUGCAUAAUCUAAAAUAUUUUAGAAUUAAAGAAAACCCGCACGAGAUCUAGUUUACGUCUUAAAACACUAGACUCACGCAAUUAUUCUGCCAAAGUAAUAUAUAUAUAUAUAUACUGUCUCAAAACUAGUCCCCAAAAUAAAUCCCGUAAAAUUAGUUUAGCAUACGUUAAGCCUCAUAACGUAGUCUCCAAACAAAGACAAACAUCUAACUUUUAAUUGAAUGAAAAACGUUAUAAUUUCAUUGGUUGAUUACUUUAUUAUUAUGACUUAGCAAAAUUUACUAAUGACAUACUUUUGAUAGUUAGGGGUGGGCGUUCACAUACCCGUUCGGGUUUGGAUCGGGUAUUUCGGAUCUUUGAGUAUUUCAGUAUAGAAAUAUAAAACUCGUUCGGGUAUUUUUAUAUUUCGGGCCGGGUUCGGUUAUUUCGGGUCAGGUUCAGAUAUUUAAAUUUUGAAGGAAAAUAAAUAAAUUAUUCAUUGUUUAAGUUUUUUGUAUUUAAAAAAUAUACUUUUAACUUAACCGAUUUUUUAAUUUUUAAUAGAUUAAACUAUUAAUAGGUUUGAAGAUAAAACUUUAAAAAUAGAAAAACACUAAUUUAGUUGUUAUCUUAAAAUUUUGGAUGCACCUUUUGUUAAUGUAAAAAACAAGAGUUUGAUAUGAAUUUUAAAUGAGUAGCAAAUGAUUUUGUCCAUAAUUAUAUGUAAAUUAUCUGAUUUUGUCCAUAAUUAUAUUAUUUAGCUUUUGUUUAUGAUAAAAAAAAUGUUGUUAAAUUUAUUACUAAUUAAAUAUAAUAUUUUGAUGAAUGUAAAUAUUACAAAUUUAAAUCUACAUUUUAUUUAUUUAAAAUACAAUUUUACAAAUUUAAACUACAUUUUAUUUAUUUAAAAUAAAAUUUUACAAAUUCAUAAAAUUAAAAUAUGAAGUAAAUGAAAAUUGUGUCUGCGACAACCAAACAAACAAAACUAAAUCUAAUUUCUGCGGCUGCGGCUGCGUCAAUGUUUUGUGUCUUUGAAAUGAACAACAAACUGCGGUUGCGACUGCGGCUGCGUCUGUUCGUUUGGUUAUUGAUCGUUUUGCAAAAGGCUGCGGCAACCAAACGAGCAGCACUAUUAAAUCAGUCAUCUUUAGAACUGACUUCGUACAUCAUCAAACCAAUACAUUCAAUAUAUACCAGUUUUGUGUGGUUCAAUAUAUACAGAACUCGGACUUCAAAUUUUGAUAUGUUACUCCUGAACUUGGGAAACACAUUUUUGUGCAUGGUCAACACAUAUAUCAUCGUCCCUGCAACAAAUGACUAUUCAAUGAGCCUUGGAACGGUUUGUGGUGUUGUGGAAUGGUUUGAUGGCAAAUUAACAAAUUUUAAUGCAUCAAAUUAACAAAUUAGGAAUAGAAUUAUAUUAUAUGUGUGUGUCAGUGUGCUCAUUAUUAGGUUGUGUCUUUCACUGCUAGACAACACAACACAACACCAACAUGGCAACUACAAUCUCUUUUUCUAGCAGUUUUUAAAGCUAGUGUUUGCUUUGAUGGAACACAUUUGAUUGUUGCAAGAUUUGUUGCCUUUGGUACAAGGAUCAUAACGAUUCCACAUACAAGAAUGCAACAAAAAAAAUAUUCAAAUAGGAAACGCUUAUUCAUUUAAUUACACAAGUCCCAUGAAAUUUCAUUAUAUAUUACAUAUGAAGAUUAUGGGAGCUUUGUUUCCUAAUACCAGUUCUCAUAUCUUUUUCAAACUACUUGUAGAUCUCGCAGGUCAGGUUGCACCAAGAGGUUUUCACGACAAGGCAGAGGUGUAGUAGCUAGACGCCCUAUCUGAGGAACAGCUUUGGAGGUUCCUGUCUCGAAGAAGGCUGAAUGGAGAGCCUUCACACAAUGCUCUGCCUCAUCAUCAUUCACUAUCAGCGAGAUGUUUACCUGAUUUCACCACCAAAACAAAUACAUUAAAGAAACGUCAGACAAGUGUGCAUGCACUUCACCCCCAUAAAGCAACCUUAUUUUAUUGUCUUUUAAUCGAAUUAUAAUCAAACAUUUUUUUAUUAUAAUGAAACAUGCAGUGAAGAUAAAGUUGAAAGAGAUUUUGACCUUAGAUGCACCCUGAGAGAUCAUCUGGACAUUGAUUCCAUUGGUUCUAAGAACUCGGAAGCCCUGUUUGUUGUUCAUUUAGUCACUAGUGCCAAAUCAAACAAACCAAAAGCUAUAACAAGAGAGAGAGAUAACAAACCUUCUCUAAUAUGAAAGAUGAUGAUCUCUGAAAAUUUCCAAUGAGUGAGAUAAUUGAUCUGUGCUGAAGCAGGUUUACCGAAGCAAUCUUCUCCAGUUCCUCUACCAUGUGAUUAAUCUCCUGUCACAUCACCAAUAAUUACACAAAAUACAAGAUGAGUCCUCUUGUUUUCAAUUUUUUUCCAUGCUACAAGAACAAAAAAGUACUUCUCUCAUCUAUAACCCAUAUAAAGCUUGCCUGUUGAAUUAACUCUUUGCUGCAGAACUUUGAAGGAUCCAAUGUCAAGGAAACGCUAACUUCGCUGGUUGCAACAACAUCUACAGAUAUGCCCAUCUUUUCAAAUGUGGAGAGCACCUGAUAAGAAAGAAAGAAAGAAAGAAAGAAAGAAAGAGAAGAAAUUUAAAACGUGAGCUGCAAGGUAGGAAAAGUGAAAACAUUGCCAUCAUUAUUACCUUGGAAAGGAAACCAUAUUGACCGAGCAUACGGUUGCUAGUGAUGUCCAACAUGGUAACAUUACGUUUCAGAACGAUGCUGGUCAGUACAGCCUAAGGAGAAGGAAGAGGUGGUCAUGAAUCAUGAUGUAUGGCUGUGAUAUAAACAAAAUACUCAUGCAAUUGUUGUUUUUAACGAACCUUGCUCAUGUCUCUUGAUCUAGUGAUGAGAGUUCCUGGUGCAGUGGGAUUGUAAGAGUUCUUAACCCUUACAGGAAUGUUCCCUUCUCUAGCUGGCCGCAUGGAAAGUGGAUGCAACACUUGUGCACCAAAGUAAGCAAGUUGAGCUGCCUCAUCAAAUGUCAAGUGUGGAACGGGUUGAGCUCUGCGGUAUAUGUUUGGAUCACAAGUCAAAACUCCAUCCACAUCUUUCCAAACCUGCCACCACAGUUAAAUUCAUUCUUGGUUUAAUAAAAUCUCAUCUAAACAACUCAAAUCUUGGUAAAACCAACGCAUCAAGCUAUACCUGAACCUCCCUCAAACCUAGAGCUUUCCCAAUUGUUGUUGCAGUCAAAUCACUACCUCCUCUCCCCAACGUAGUAACAGCACAAGAUCUCCAUCCCUACAGAGUAAAUUUUUUUUUGUCCUUUAUGUCAGAAAAGGCACAAGAGGACUUAUAAAAUGCUAAAUUUGAUUCAAACCUUUCCAAGAAAGCCUGUGACGACAGGGAUUGCAUGUUCCUUGGUCCAGUCACCAAGUAACCUUUUUGAGACUGCUGGGUAUGUUGCCUCAAGAACAUCAGCAUUUGUGAAGUUAUCUGUGGUUAUAAUCCCCAUCUCAAAUGCAUCGUACUGCCAAAGAUAAAAGACUCAUCAAAGUCAGUCAUGCAACAACAAUCUUGAGACAUAAGAUAAGAAACAAAAUCUAGGUGACUAACCUGUCGUGCUUUGUGGCCAAUCUUGUUCAGGUACGCAGCAAAUAGCCUAGUGGACAUGCACUCUCCAAAUGAAACCAAGUAGUCUCUUGUGCGUAGAGUUAACUCUUUCAUCAUUGCAAUGCCGUUGAGAAGCUGCUCUAGUCCUUCUAGAUGCUCUACAGACAGAUUAAACGACAGAAAGAUUCAGAUACUAAAACAUAUAUAUGUUAAGAAAAUUUUAACAGAAAAGACAAAUUUAUAACACUAACUUGCAAUAACUGCUGUUCCCACUCCAAGCUCAUGAGCAGUCCUGGGUACGUAAGAGAAUUAUGAUUACACAUGAGAACAAAGCAAAUAUUUAUAAAAAUAAGAACAAAAGAACCAAUAAAGUGUAUGUAUCUUCUAUGCAACCUUAUAUGGAGUUCCUUUAUAUAGCUCAGCUCUUCAAUAGUGUUUAUGUUGGUGACGCCGCAGCAAACAGCCUUCUCACCAGCCUAAUAAAUGCCACAGAGCAAGUUUAUUACAGAAAGAGACAAGGAAAAAUGUGUUGUUCAAAAAAAAAAAAAAAAGAGAGAAGGAAAAAUGUACACUAAUUGAUUUUUAUUUAUUUUCUUACCAUUAAAAGGUUAUUGGUGGUCUUUCCCAUUGCUGAUAACACAACAACAGGCUUCUCAUCAGGGAAGCUGAGUAUGAGAUUAGCAACUUCUUUCAUCCUCUCUGCUGAUGCAACUGAUGAGCCACCGAAUUUCAUUACACAUGUCAACUUUCUCUCAGUUCUGUUUAGUUUGAAAGUCUCGGUGUCUUUUCUCUCAAGCAACUCCGCGCUUCUAGCUUCACACGUAACUCUUAGAGUUCUGUUCUUCCUACAAGAGUGGUUUAUGUCUCUAGUCAACACCGGAGCAAGGAGGUUCAGCCCCUUUGACCCGAACUCAAUGCUUUUUGAGUUGAAGGCAAGUCCUGAAGUUCUAACUCCGCACAAUUGCACUGAAGCCGCCAUCACUCACAACAAGUUCUGAAGAAGACGACUGUGAAGCUUACUUAGAACUCAGACACGAAUGUUUUUGUUCACUGCGGCAACCUACAACGUUUCCGUGGGAAGCAAGCAAACAAAUUUAAAACGCAUCAACACAAAUGCUACAACUUUUACUUAAAAGCAGCAUGCAAAGGAUAUUGAAAGUAGUUUACCAGUUACCAAAUGAUCUCUGCUGAGCGAGCCAAUGAGUUUAUUUAAAUGUGUAUAACCAAUCGAACGAUCAUUCGACUUUCACAAAUAUUAUAUUUUGCACUUUAUUGCAUAUGAUAUGAAUAUGCUUAAUGAUUCACACUUUAGGUUAAGUAGCAUAUAUAUAUACAAGUCAUUUUAAACUCCAAAGUGUGUUUAUUGGAGAACGUGACGAAAACACUUGAUGUUACUGAGCCCUUAGGAGGUUGAGGAGGUGCAGCAAAAUAUAGUUUAAUCGAAAAAAACGUGGCUACCUACUCAUAGACAAUAUCUUAAUAUUAAUUAGCAACAGAGAGAAUUUUGCAUAUACCAGUAUAUGCAUAUACUGCCUAACACGUGGCAUCAUAUGUAUCGUUAAUAAUUCAACAUUCAGUGGAUGCUUAUGUCACACGCAAUGGACCAUAUGAAAAACUCUCAAAGAGAUACUGAUCGUUCAAAGUGCAAGAAAUGUAUUAAUAAAACCUGAAGGGGUAAAGCUGACUCUAUUAUAUUUGCACAAAACCACCAAGAAAGGUGAAACAAGUAUAUAUUAACACUAGGUGAUAACCCGCGCCUUGCGCGGGGUGAAUUGACUCGGUGAUUUAAUGUUUGACAUCCAAAAUAAAGUCUGUAUUUGCAAUAUAUGAUUGAUAAAGUAAGACUUUAUAACACCGGAAGAAAGUUUCAAGAACGGUAAAAACAUAUUUAAACAAUAAAAUAAGUCUUUUAUAACUUAAAAGCUCAUUUAUUAUUAAGAUGCAUAAUUAAAGAAUUUAUCAUAAUAGUUCUUAAGUAAGAUAUUGAAAGCCAAAACAAAAAUAUAAAUGUGAAUAGAAUACUAAUAAAACGAAAAAAUCUCCAGUGUGGAGCUGCGCACCUUAGCGAGCUUGGUCAUGUCUCGGUUCUAAGAUACAGAGUGUACUCUGCUUCAAAGUGUUCUCGUCGAGAUGAAUAGUCAUGUCUCUCUUCUAAGAGAAAAGAGUGGGUUAUAUAGUUCAUACAAUAUAUACACGUUCAAGAACCAUUAUGCAGUGUGGAUGAAAAAUGCUUAGCGAGCUCGGUGAUGUAUCGUUUCUAAGAUUCAGAGUGUUCUCUUCUUGAAAGUGUUCAUGCUGAGUUCUUCGCCGAUAUGAAUGUUUAUAUCUCCCGUAUAAGAGAAAAGUUAAUUACGUCUUCAUCUUCUCGAUUCUGUGUUUCUAACUUACAUGUGUUACUAUCUAGUGCUUCGCGAUAUGCACUGACAGAGCACACCCGUAUUUGUUCUGGAAAGUCUUCAUGAUGGGAAAUAAUCUUUACGAUGGUACGGUGAUGUCGUAGCUUAAGCUUUACGUGAUAACUCAUUCCACGAGUGGUUUUUUUAAUUUUCUAGAUCAAUGAAACGUUUCCAAAAAUUCUGUAAUAGCAAAACCAAUUAAGGCAACUAAUUUGUGAGAGUCUCUGUACAAUGGACACGUGUCAUACAUGGUGUGAAAGCAUUAACUCCAAUGCUCCUCUUUUAAUAUAUAAGGGAUUUGAAUCAUAAUUGGAGGAAAGAGAUAGAGAAAUCUGCUCCGGCUCGAAACCUGUGACGUAGCUUAUUCAGUCACUAUUCAUAGUAAACAAUCAUAGGACAACAACAACUUAAUUGGUUUAUAGCAGUAUUCUAGAAAUUGGUUUAAAACUAAGUGUCGUUUGAUCAUAAAAAUUUAUAAUUGUUUGUUACUAAACAUUCAACCCUUUUGAAAUGAUUAUAAUAUAAGAAAAUUAUAAUGAAAAUUUGGAAUAUUAGAUAACUAAAAAUCGAAAUGAUACACUUACAUAUAUGCAUCUGAUAAAAUAUUUUUUAGUGAUUUCCUGGAAAUUACCAUGAAUUAUAUACAUGAAUAAAUUAUUUGACGUGUAUAUGCCAAUCAAAUUUAAAAAAGUCAUCUUUCAAAAGCUUAGAUUCAUGUUUGAAGAAAAAUAAAAAGAUAUUUGGUGUUGGAAAAAUUUUAAGAAGAAAAAAUAUAUUUAUAAGAGAAUGUUAUCAUUAUACUAAUAUAAAAUUUUCUUAAUUUAAUAUCUAUAUUUAAUGAUAUUAGUUAUAUAAAAAUAUAACUGAAAAUUAAAUUUUUGUAUUAAUUUAUCAAAUAUAAAUCUCUACUAAUAAAAGCGACCUUUUGAGGCUCCAUAGAGCGUCCAUAUCAGCAAAAGAAACUUCUCUCGAAAGAUGACACGUGGCAUAAAAUAUAGUUUUACAUUUUAAUAUUACAAAUUUUUGAAAAUUAUAAAUAAUAUGUAAACAUACAACACAAAAAAUAGAAAAACUACAUUAAACAUAUGUAAGAUUACCAUUUUUCACUUAAAAAAAAGACGGCUUAUCUCCAUAAUGUAACAUUACCGUUUUAUAAAAAAAAAACAAAAAACAUUAUAUAUAAUUUCGAAAAUAAUAAAUAUAUGUAAACAUACAACAUAAAAAAUGGAAAUACUACAUUAAACAUAUGUAAGAUUACCAUUUUACAUUUUUAUUUUAAAAAAAUAAUAUGUAAACAUACAACAUAAAAAAUGGAAAAACUACAUUAAACAUAUGUAAGAUUACCAUUUUUCACUAAAAAAAAGACGGCUUAUCUCCAUAAUGUAACAUUACUAUUUUGUAAAAAAAACAUUAUAUAUAAUUUCGAAAAUAAUAAAUAAUAUGUAAACAUACAACAUAAAAAAUGGAAAUACUACAUUAAACAUAUGUAAAAUUACCAUUUUACAUUUAAAAAUAACAAUAAUAUGUAAACAUACAACAUAAAAAAAUGGAAAAACUACAUUAAACAUAUGUAAGAUUACCAUUGUUCACUAAAAAAAAAGGGUUAUCUUCAUAAUGUAACAUUACCAUUUUAUUAAAAAAAGAAAAAAAAACAUAAAUAUAACUAUUUGACUAUUUGUCCAAGUUCUUCUAUUAAACAUUGCCGUUUUACAUUAAAAAUGGAAAAAUACAUAAAGAUUUAAACAUCUAUCUUAAAAUAUAAAAUAUAGAUAUUAACUAAAUAUAAAGUAUAAGAAAGAGAAAUACUCAAUAUAUAGAAAAAUAAAUAAUAAGUAAAUAUUAUAAAUAUAUAAAUAUACGAAUUAUAUAUACAAUAAUAAGUAAAUGCACAAUUUUUAAAAAAUGGAAAGAGUACAUUAAAUAUUAAACAUCUAUCUUAAAAUGUAAAAUAUAGAUAUUAAGUAAAUAGAAAGUAUAAGAAAAAGAAAUACACAACUUAAAAACAAUGGAAAAAGUAUAUUAAUAUUUAAACAUCUAUCUUAAAAUGUAAAAUAUAGAUAUUACGCAAAUAGAAAGUAUAAGAAAAGGAAAUACACAAUUUAAAAAAAUGGAAAAAGUACAUUAGUAUUUAAACAUCUAUCUUAAAAUGUAAAUCUAUCUUAAAUUAUAAAAUUAUUAGUAAAUAGAAAGUAUAAGAAAUAGAAAUACACAAUAUAAAGAAAAAUAAAUAAUAAGUAAAUAUAUAAUAUAAGUAAAUACGCAAUUUAAAAAUGGAAAAUUACAUUAAGAUUUAAAAAUAUAUCUUAAAAUUUAAAAUAUAGAUAUUACGUAAAUAGAAAGUAUAACAAAUGGAAAUAUACAAUUUAAAGAAAAUGGAAAAUGUACAUUAAGAUUUAAACAUCUAUCUUAAAAUGUAAAAUAGAGAUAUUAAGUAAAUAAAAAGUACAAGAAAUGGAAAUACAUAUACAGGAAAAUAAAUAAUAAGUAAAUAAUGUAAAUAUAUAAUAUAUGAAUUAUAUAUAUAAUAAUAAGUAAAUACACAAUUUUUUUAAAAAAAUGGAAAAAGUUCAUUAAGCAUUAAACAUCUAUCUUAAAAUGUAAAAUAUAUAAUAUAAGUAAAUACACAAUUUAAAAAAAUGGAAAAAGUACAUUAAGAUUUAAAUAUCUAUUUUAAAAUAUAAAAUAUAAAUAUAGAUAUUACGUAAAUAAAAAAUAUAAGAAAUGGAAAUAAACAUUUUAAAAAAUGGAAAAAGUACAUUAAGAUUUAAACAUCUAUCUUAAAAUGUACAUCUAUCUUAAAAUGGUAGUAAAUUAUAUAAAAAUGGAAAUACCACAUUAAAAAAAAAAAAUAAAAAUGUAUAGUUUUACAUCAAGAAAGUCCCUAUAAAAUUCAUUAUUCCAUCAACAUCAACCUCACACUAUCAAGGAAAACUUCAAAGCACUCGAGCAAAAAAAUGGUUCCACCAUCAACUCUUGCCGUCCCAAAAACCUUUAAUGACCUUGAAGGAGAUUUUUUAUAACAACAAACUUUUUGUUAGGUGGAUUCAUUGUUGGGAAACCCGCAACUUCCAAAAGCCAAACUUAUUCAUGGGAAUUGAAUUGCUUUUCAUAGACUCAAAGGUAUUCUUACAAAUUUAAAUUAAUCUAAUCCAUAAUUUUAUUGUUAAUAUUCAUACUAACUCUUUCAUGAUCAAACCAUUACAGUUAAUAACCAUUCAAGCGUUUAUCCCGAAACACUUCUUUCCUCGCCGAAUCAGGUAUUGGUUCAUGUUGGUUUAGUAUUGUUUUUGGUUUAUUAACCGGUUUAGGAUGGUCCUAUUGUAAAUAUAAUUUAAGUUGGUUUAGCAUAUAUUAUGCUUAAAAUAACUUAAAUUAAAUAAUAGUAAUAUUAUGCUUAAAAUAUAAUUUUAGAGAGUUUUCAAAUAUAGUUUACAGAACAUUAUAGGUGAUGAAUUUAAUUUAUUAAAUUCGUUUAUUACUUAAAACUAAGUUUUUUUAAAAACAUACUGAGUUAUAAAUAUCAAUGCUGGAUUGGUGAGUAUAACAUGAAGACAAAAAUAUAAAUAUUUGAUUUUCAAGAUAAGAAAUUCAGCUUUUAUUCAGUUACUCAAUAUAUAAUAUCUUAAAUUAUUUUUUAAAAAAUAUACAUAAUUUAUAUAUAUAUAUAUAUUAAUCUUCCAAACUUAAACUAUUAUAUUAUAUAUGAAUAAUGUUUUUAAAUAAAAAUAAUUUCUGAUUUAAAAAAAAAUAAAAACAACAAAUGGUUAUUUUCAAAUAAUGGAUGUAAUUUACAUUAUACUAUCAUUUAACAAGUAUUAGAUACGUUUUGAUAUAUCAUUAUUUUCUAUUUCCAGAAAACAAUAAAUUGUUAAACAUCAAUAUCAUCUAGGUUAAGUAUACGAACAAAACAAAUUCAAACAUCACAAAAAAAUAUUUACAUAAACAUUAUAAUACAAUAAUUUAAUCAAAAAAUACAAUUCAAAAAGAGAAUAUUCAAAAGAAUAGUUAUAUACUUAAUAUUUGAAAAUCAAAGAUAUUUUUGCUAAAAUUGUACUUACCUGGCCAAGGAGAUCGACCAUCUUUUUACGGAUCGAUCGAUUGUUGAGCAUAUGAUCGAUCCGAAAAUACUCUGCAGUUUAAUUAAAUAUCUAAAACAUUUAUUCCAACACUCAACAGAUAGCUUUGCUAAAUAUGAUAAUUAGAUAGCCAACAAAAUUACAAAAAAAUAUUUAAAUAGUAAAAAUAUGUUAAUUGAACGUGUUAAAAUUUAAAACAAAUUUUAAUUAUAACAUGCAUCUUAAGAUUUAUAAAAAAUAUAUAUCAUAACCUAAAUAUAAAUAAUUUAACAACUUAAAUUAGAAAAAAAUAUAAAUCCCGGGCGUAGCCCGGGUUAAUCCCUAGUUGAUAUAAGUUAAAAGGCACAAAACUGUUGUUACAAGGAAAAAAUAUAUUCAGAUCACAUGAUCACUUUUUCUGAAUCAAAUUUUCACAGUUGGAUUUGUCCAUGUCACAUUAUUAUUAUAGUUUCUGGAUCAAAGUUUCACAGAGUAGCAUCCUCUUCAUCUCAAUUCUUCUUCCCUCUCCAGAGUAUGAUCUGCUCAUCUUUGAACAAAAUAGGAACACAUGGAACCAAAUCCUGCAGUUUUAACCACAUCAUCAAAACCAGUCCUACAGAAAAGAAUCUCAACAAACAACACAAGCAAAACCCAUACCUUUAGCUUCACACCGAUUCGUUUGCAAUCACUCAUCCCAACAUGAGUGCAAUCUAGUCUCACAACCUCUUCUGUUUCAAACUCCUCCCUCACUCUUCCCACCACAUUAACAUAGACACCGUUCCUAGCUGAGAUCAAUACAUAACGUCAACUAAUAAAUGACUGAUUCUGGCGUAAAACACAUGUACUACUUACUAAGUUUCAUUAGAGCAGGAGCGUGAAGCCCACGGUUUCUCAUCUCUUUGGUCUCUUCAAAUGUCAAACCAUCUGCAACAUUCUUUACAAGUCUUGGAUAUAUUGGUGGGUAAGGCUUCCAUAACAUGAGUGGUAUGGUGGGACGAUUCUUAGGAUCAUCGUUCCUUCCUCGGUACAAAACUAGGAUGUUUAUGUUCCUAUACACAAUCUUUCCACCGGAUUUUUCCUGUCAAGCAAACACAAACUACUAGUAAGAUUCAACCGAAAGAAGAAGAAAAGAUAAGAGUUUUUGGUUAUUGAGAAUUGAAAUAAGAGAGACCUCGAGGUGGUGACAAAUGUUGUCCAUGUCAAGAGUAGGUACUCCCAAGCAUUUAAUCCUCACUGCUUCGGCUUUCUUCCAAUGGUUAUGAAUGUCAUCUAUCAUAUUGUGUGUGACUCCUCCUUUCCCUAACAACAUCAUAACAACAACAGGAAGAAGAACCUUAACUCAUUGGUUCUCGAACUUUUAGAAGAAUACAAUAGCUUGAAGGUGUGUUCCCUAGUGUUCAGAGUGUGAUAAGUCUCAAAUUUGAUCAUGAGAGACCUUAAGAAUGGAGGAGUAAUCAGACAAGUCUACAUAUGAUCAUGAAAGAUCCCAAGACCUUAACUUGCAAUGACUUAUAAAAGCAGAGUCUUUAAAGAAAGAAACUACAUUCAAAGCUUAAAGCUUUAGUUAGAAGAAGAGUGUAAAGACUCUUACUUUGCAAUGAUUUUAUAAAAACCAAAGUCGUUACAUAACGAAACUACAUUCAAAGUUUAAAGCUUUAAGCGAGAGGUGAAGAGGGCAAUACCAAGAUUGAUCUGGCGUGAACAGUCACUGUGACGAUACCGUUCAACGAGCUCAGCCACUUCCUCAUCCGUCAACGCCUCGCCGAGAACUUUCUCUCUCUCCUCCGCCCAUUGACUCUGAUCAUCACUCUCCUGAGAAGCAGGAGCGCAAGUCCCCGUCCAGUUCCGGUCCAAUCGACCCGGUCCGAACGGAGAGAACCGUUUCGGUUCACGGAACCCAAUUGGUUCGAUUGCAGGGUUGGUUUCUGAAUAGGAGUAUCUAAAAUCGAAAGGGAGGUCUGACGUCACCGGCGCCGUCGGGUUAACUAUUGGCUCCGGCGACUGAUCCUUUUGGGUUUUCUUCGUCUUCUUCUUCGGUUCUGGAGGUUUAGAGAGAGGGGAGAAUGGUGGGUCAUAGUAUUCUGUAGAUAGGAAUCGAGCUCGGAGAUUAGAGAGGAACAAAAACGAAUCUUUUGCCUCUUUCGCUAGAGUUAAGCUUCUACGAGUUGAAAGCAUUCGGACAAGACACUCUGAACUCUUUGGUAAGCGCUUCUUGUCAUGUUGUUUUUUUUAAUUUGGAAGCGAACAAAAGUUUUACCGAAUAAGACCUGUAAUUUUCUAGUUUGCGCAUUUUGGCCCCAGAGUUAUUGUUUUGCUAAUCAUACCCCCAAUUCUUGUAUUUUUAUUUUCUGUCAAACCUUUCUAGCAAGAUUUGUUUCCAUGUUUACUCCAAUAAAUUUGUGGAUAUCCAAAACAUCAAAAACUUGGUCGGCAAGAAGGCAGAUGAAUUCAGCUGUAAGGUGUUUCUCCUUGGGUGAGACCACUAAGCAUGAAGACAUCAAGAAACUAGUUUAUGCACUGGGAACAAGCUUUAAAAGAAGAGUCUUUGGAUGUUAAAGAAAAAACAUUCCAGAAAUUAGAAGAGUUAAUCAAAGGAACUGAAAACAGUUAACAAUAUCAUAUUGGCUUUCAGAGAAUUUUUCCAAAGUUCUCAUCUUUACAUCUUCUUUGAUCUCCAACCAUGGAUUCAAAAACAUCCAACAUAUUAUCCAAACCUUCAGUAUCUUCCCCCAUCUCCUUCAUCGCGUGUACAAUACUCUCUAUCGUCGACAAACACCCCUCUCUCGGCUGCCUCCUUACUUCUCUGUACAAACUCGCUCCUUCGAUUUCCAGCUUCACAUGGCUACUCAAAAGCUUCAGCCACGGGUUCUCAACGUACAUUCUCCUCGCCUUGGACCACGUCCCAUCGAGAACGAUCAGAUUCCUUACCUUUAAAUCUCUCUCUUUAAGAUCGUUGAUCAUCACAGAUCCUUCGCUAGGGAACAACAGUGCUGACCCAGGAGGAACCUCCAGCUCAAACUCUUCCUUCCCUUCCGAGAACUUUGUCACCACAAACCCUUUUGCCAACACAUCCAUGGCUGCAGGAGAAGCCAAUAUUCCAUCGAAACUAGCAUCUUCCAGCAAAGACGUGGAGACAUUGCUGAUGACACCUCGUUUCUUCAUAGAGAUUCUCAUCAAAUUGUCUUCACAAGAACCUCUCUUGUCAGCUAAUUGUUGAUAAAGCUUCAAACUUUCAUUAUCCACAUUGUCACUACCUAACAUUGAGGUAUCAACAAGCUCCAAGGAGGCUCCUUUAACUCUUAUCAAGAACUCUGCCUCGUCAUGGACAUCGCAAACGGUGGUGACAGUAACGUUCUUAAGCCCUAACCUAGCGAUUCGAGUUGAGUUAAGAGCGUGUUUUCUCUCGAGGCUGUGCUGAAGGAUAGUAACACUCACCUGGUUAUCCAGAGGCGGAGAUCGGAUACGGUUGCAGAGGCAGAGCUGCGUGGGUUUAGCGCAAGAAGGGCAAGUGGGUCGCUUUGACUGCUGCGACUCCAUUUUUGAAACCCUCAAGCCCUGACACCGUAUGCUAUCGGCGAAGUUACUUCGAGACAGUAUCAGGUGAGUCCGGGCCACGACAUGGCCCAUCAUCAUCUGUCCUAAUGAAUCGAAAGUUCCAACCUUUGCUACUACUACAGUAGUAAGGAGGAAGAUGAGAUUGAAACCAAACUAAACCGACCUAAACCGGCCUAAACCAAGAGAAAUGUUCAAAAGAUCAAUCUUUAAACCAAGAGAUAUAUGUUCAAGAGAUCAAUCUUUUCAUUCCUACUUUUUGUGUCUCAUAAUAAUUCAAACAAUUACAUAACCUGUAGUAUCAGAGUAUGCUACAGACCUGAGUUAUAUAUUUACAAACAGAUGUUAUGAGCUUUCACCGUGGUAUUACAUUAAACUUGUGUCCUAACAAACAGACAAACAGUUGAGAGUUUCAAUUGGUUUCUAGCAGUUAUCUGGUCUGUUGUACUUUGGAGGCAGAGAUGGACAUUGCUCAUUCAUAUGGGUGUAUGGUUCCAUAGUGUUGUAACCAGGAAGUUGCAUUCUGUACUUGCCAAGUAUCUGACAGUACGGAAGCUUCACACUGUCAUUGUCAUUGCACCAUUUAGGAAGUCUACUUGCGUUUGUCUCGAAGAAGUUGAGCAUGUAAGCAUCUUUGAUCUGCAAAAUUUGAAAUUAACAGAUUUUAAGAGAACACGAGUUGCGGGUGGUGAGGAGAACAGAGACUUUUGUAUUGGUUAUUUUACCGUGAACUCUGUGACUUGAACAGAAUCAGCCAAUGAGCCGAAUAGGCCACCUUCUUUGUACAUUUCGAGGAUGAAAGCAAUGCAUGAGGUCGAUUUACCAUCGCUGUAUACCCAAUCGUCUUGUUCAGGUAUUGCCAGUAAUUUGUCAAAAGAAGACCCGCGCUUCUCUACUUCCACCAGUACAUCAGAAAGAUCAAGACCCUGCAAUGUUAGUUAGAACAUGUUAGAGAAUGAUAGAAAGAAUGACAAGGAACAAAGUCAAAGUAUAGAAGCAGCUAUAAUGCAUAUAUGGAUGAUACCUUUGUUCCGAGUCGCUUGUUCAAGGCUUCAUUCCACAUAUUAGCAGCAUAAUCAGGUUGCAUUUUGCUCCAAACAGUCAUGAAAGACGCAACCUGAAAGAGAGAGAAAGAAAAAGCUCCUAAUUAGAAAGAGUACUCGUUCACAAGGACAAAGUUGUGAACUGAGAAAUGAAAAGAAAAACCUACAAGAUGAGAAUCGAGAGGAGGCGGGUAGUUCUCAGUAACAGUAUCGAUCCAGCUAAAAAUCAAGUUAUGAUAACCAUAUGGUUUACCCUCCAUGCUCCGAGCAUACUCCCACGCAGCAGUGACGUUGAACUUAGCACGAACAUCGGGAUGCAAAGGUAGCAAUGCGAUCUGAGGAUUCGCGUCAUCCUUUGUUAGUUCAAAUUCCCACCAUUCCUCCCAUGGUAAGAUCGCUAUCACAUCUUCUCCCUUCUCGUUUUCAUUCCCAGACUCACCAACCCACAGUUUCCCUUCGGAGUCUCUCAAGCAGACAGCGGAAUGACCAGCGUACGCCCCGCUCACCCAUUUCUCAAGAGUCUCGAAACCACCCCACCGUCCACGGAUCUUCGAAAUAGCUAACAUAUCACCAGACUGGAUUUGAUCAGUUGUAACGUUUGUGACCCACGGUUCAGGACGAGCUUCGAACUUAGCUCCCAUAUGCUUCUCAAGAAACGCGAGGUUAGAGCUCUCCCCCCAACCAGUAUUAGUAAAGAGAGGAAAAACAUCCCAUAACGCUUGAAGCGUUCCUAACAUCCCCGCGUGCAUAAGGAAUAUCGAAACUCCCUUAUUCUUAACCUGAUACACACCCCAAAAAAACGCAUCAAAACAAACUCAUCCUAAACUGAGAAACCAAAAGACAUAGCAACAACCAUCUUACAUAUUCGUACUCGGCUAGUCCAUCCCACUCCGGGAACUCCACAGUGUGCGCUCGUGAGAUGAAGUACCAAGUCCACGUCACGCGGUAUGGAGUUGCAAAGACAUAGAGAUCCAUGCAAGUCCAACUAUGCGCUUUAUCCGCCUUCACAAACACAAACACAAAACAAAAAAAAAACUUAGGAAUAAUCCACUACAAACAGUUUCACAUCAACUACAAAAGCAAGAAACAACAAAGCUCACAGAUUCUUUAAAAAUGGAGUCUUUACCUACUAAACUCAGCAAGUACUCAACUUUCAUUAAAAUUGAUUAAACCCAAAACUAAAAAGCGUAUUCUAAGGACUACCCACAAGAGAAGAAGGUUAAAUACAACUUCAUCAACAGUGUGCCCUAGCAAUUGAAUCGAAUCAGAAACUUCCAAUAGUCAAAAUUGAAGAGUACCCAUACACAAUCAACUCCCAUAAACACUCAAUCACGAUCGUAGUGCACGAAAUCUACUUGAAUUUGAGUUCUAUUUGCACCUGAAUGUGAAGCGUGCCCUAGCAAUUGAAUUGAAAUCAGAAACUUCCAAUAGUCAAAAUUGAAGAGAACCCAUACACAAUUAACACCCAUAGACACUCAAUCACGAUUCGAAUUUGAGUUUUGAUUCGCACCUGAAUGUGAAGCGUGCCUCCACCAAACUCGCUGCCGGACUUGUUAUGAAACUCCAAAUAAGCCGUGUUCUCGUAGAAACAAGCGCCUUUCCACUUGACGUUAUAGUCAAAAUACCAAUAGAUAACAUUAAAAAUGUCCUUAUUAAAAAUAUAGCACACAAAAGGAAAAAUGAUUAAAAUAUGUUUUAUUAUAGAAUAAAAUGAUAAUUAUACUUUUAUUAUAUAUAUAAUUAAAUAAACAUUUUUAAAUAGAAAUUUUGUUGCUGAAAUAUUCGAAAAUUUCCCUAUAUUUUUUUUUUCAUUUUGUUUCAAACAAUUUUCCUUAAAAAGUUUAUGAAAACUACUCUAAAUAUUUAUGAUAUCUUUACUGAAUUUGAGUUUAGAAAAAUCUUCAUGAAUGUAUUUAAAUGACAUCUUCUUAAAUCCGAGUUUAUGAAGUCAUUUCUGAAUAAGUAUAAUAUCUUCUUAAAAUUUAGAGAAAAUACUGAUAAAUUUUUUAAUAUUUUAAAAAACUUUAAGAAGAUAUUAAUAAAUAUCUUCACAAAAUUUAGAAUUUUUUUCAUAAAUAUGUAUUUAGGAAAACUUUAAUGAAUAUAUAUUUAUGAACACUCUACUAAAUUUGAAUUAAAUCCAUAUCUAAUAAGAUAUUCUUAAAUACGUAUAACAUUUUUCUACUUUUAUAGAAGACCUUCAUGAAUUUUAUAUCUAAAUUUUAUAAAAAUAUUAUACAUAUUUAAAAACUUUUUGCAAAAUUUUGAAAUAUGUUAUAUAUUAAAUAGUAUUUUUAAUAUGCAUAUAAAUGAAAUUCGAGAAGAAGACAUAAAUAUUUAGGAAGAAGUUCUUAAAUAUACAUACAAGUUGCAUUCAUAAAGUCUAUUUACACAUUUAUUAAGGCAUUUAUGAACUCCUAUUGAAAAUGUGUUUUUACUAGUGUUAAACAUGAAUAAUGAACAAUGAUACCAACAAUGUUGUAAUGAUGAAAAAAAAUUUAAAUCGUGUGGUCUUCUGGGCUUUUGUUAUAUGGACCUGUUGUUUCGGUUUUUGUAUGUUUGAACUGAGCAUUUUCUGCAGCCGUUUAACGUGUUGUGAGAAAGUUCUUUCUUGUCUCUCUUCUCCACAGUUUUCUUUGGUCGGGAAGGAGAGGUGAUCCCGCCUCCACCAUAUCUCGCUUAUAUCUACUUCUUCUUCCGUUUAUCUAUCUCAUGGUGUUUAUGUUUAUGUUGUUGUCGCUCUCAAAUAAAUGUGGAGUUUCGGUGUGUUAUCGGAUCUCAAUCUUGCCGUAAGAGUCAGAGAUAUGAUUCGGGUCUUUAGAUUCGGCUGGUUUGGAGGGAGGGGCUAACGCGGGUGUUUUGAAGUUCGUGUCAAAUAUGACGGUAACCUUACUUGGCUUAGUCCAUAUGCGAUUUCCAGUCUGGGUUUGCGCAGUCUCAAGCGGAUGUAACUUAGGUGGUCUUCUUCGACCCAAGUUCUUGUUGCAGUAACAGCUACGAUUUGGUAUGCGGUGGCUUGCUUCCUAUUAGUAUAAACAGUUUGGUUAUUCUUGCUUUUAAUAGAAUAUCUUUUAUCAGAAAAAAAACUUAUGAUAAGUCAGCGUUUUAACGAUUUUUCAAACUUGUCAAAGACGAAAACUUUUAAAUAUGACAGGUGGCACAAUUUGAUCCCAAAGAGUAAUCGAUAGUGGGGACAAAUAAUGUUUAAUCAUCACCAUAACUGGAUUUUUUUUGUUCCAUUGCUGUGCCAAUAGAACAUGCUAAAGCUCUUUGUUCCCACCCUUGACCAAAGAAAUCCAUGAAGAAGCAUCAUCGUUCACACCAAGAAAUUUGUCAGCUCAACAACACGUAGAACUCUGUUAACCCAAUGAUAUGUUGGUUAUUUGGGGUUGUAACCCGUAAAAUUGUGAAUUAUAUACUUGGAUAAUGAUUGAAUCGUCAUGCUUUUCUUAAAGAGUAUUUCGAUCAUAUUCUAAACUUUUGGGUUACACGAAAUCCCUUUGUAGGAUAAGACAAUCAAAAUCUCAUUCUUGUUCUAGGCUAAGAUACAAGAACAACAAAUAAAGCUUUAGUGCUUAUAUGUGUUUCUUCGAAGAUCUUUGAUGAUCUUCGAACAAUGAAUCUUUCUUUCUCUCUCUCUUACUAACUAUUAGUUUUUGAUCUUCAAUCUUGUUUUACAAGUUGUGAUUCAAGUUAUAAUUUUCCAUUGCCCACUACUCCUUAUAUAGAGUACUAAGGGUUGCAAUAGUUAACACCAAUAGUUACAAUGGUUAGUGAAGAGUUACAACCAUUAAUACCAAUAGUUACAUUAGUUAGACAAUAGUCACAAUGGUUCAUCACCAGAGGCUUUAAUCACCAAUGGUUACAAUGGUUUAUCAUCAAAGGUUGCAGCCAUUUACCACUAAUAGUUACAAUCACAAACAGUUGCAUUUGUUCACCUAAACAAUUGCAAUGCUUCACUUUAAUGGUUGCAAGGAUACAUUUAAAUAUCCAUAAAUUCUCCCCUAUUUAAGUGUAAUCAUAGAUUCAUUAAAUAAUUAAUACAUAUAUCAAACUCAUGCAUAAAUGAAAAUGUUCGAAGAAUUGAAUUUUCAUUUUAGUAUAAUACACAUUCCAAAUGCCCGAAAAUCAGGAUGUCCUACGGAUUGAAUCCCUAAACCCAUUUUGAGCACAUGAUGAUAAUACACAUGUGUUUCCACACUACUCUAAGUGUUUACCCAACACUAUUAUAAGCCAUGUGUCCCAAUCCAUUCAUGAAUGAAUACAAAGCCAAGUCCCAGCUUAUUGAAGCGGCAUCACUUCACACUCAUAUAGGUAAAUACUUUCAGUCAUGCACCUGCAAAUGCAAUUUUUUAAAGUAUUUAUUAAGAAUAAAAUUUCAACCUAGCUCUUUUUUUGCAGGUCCAAACACAUACUUUGGGAUGAUUUAAAAAUGUGCUUCAAUUUAUAAGUGUAGGCUUUCCACAUUGAAUUCAGCCUCUAACGUCGUAUCAGAUGGGAAUUGGGUAUCCCACCAUUAAAGAUUUCAAAUGGACUUUAAACUCAACCCUAACAAACUUAAUAACCAAGUCUCUAGCUAAUCAUUUCAUCAAAUGAUAUGCUUCAUUUCUUUCAGACAGAAUAAACCCUUAUGGUAUUCACCUUGUGAGUGAUCAGCUCACAUAUUACGCUAUAUCAAAUGCCAUGUGUCGCGACUUACCAUUAUAUACUUAAUUAUAAACUUUAACCAAGACUUUUUUACUAACAUAGAUAGAAACUGGUGAUACUAUUUCGGCCACAACGGAAUCUCGUAAAAUAAAUUCUUUAGCCAAUACGCCUAUUUACCCGCAUAUGCUAAUAUUACGAAUUCCUAUUCUAUAGUCAAAUUUUUCAUGCAAUUUUGCUUCUUGGAAGCCCAUGAAAUUGCACCUCCCCAAGCAAAAAUACUCAACCACUUAUAGAAAAAUAAUCUUCUAUAUUGAUAAUCAAACUUGCAUCAAAAUAUCCUUCUACAUUCAAAGGAAAUCUGACAUAUAACAAACCAUAAUUUAUGGUUUCAUUCAAAUACUCGAGUUGUGAUAUUUCUUGUCAUGCAUAAGACACAAACUUCACACUCUCAUUCCAUGGGAGUUCUUAUUCGAGAACAAUCUUACAAUUGAACUUAUUAAUAACUUUCUCAAUAUAAUGAGAUUGUGUAUAAUAUAGUUCUUUACUUGUAUGUGUGAUUCAAAUUUCAAUAAUCACAUCAACCUCCCCCAUGUCUUUCACUACAAAGCUUGAUGACCAAUAAUGCUUUUGUAAGCUCUACUUGUCUAUGGCUAGUGCCAAAGAUCAAUAUGUCAUCACAUAUAACCAAAUGAUUGUUCCAUUACUGAAUUCAUCAAUUUGUUAUAUAAACACUUAUCCUAAUGGUUUAACUCUAACCGCUUGAUAAAACAAUCUCAUCAAACAUUUGAUGUUACUGUUUAGGUGCUUUUUUUAGCUCAUUCAAAUAAACAAAUACAUUUUAUAUUUAUUACAAGGUAGAAUAAGACCUUUAGGUGGCUUUAUAUACACAAUUCUUUCUAAGCCAUCGAUCCAUACCCAUGGAUCAUAGUCCAUAGCACCGACCAUGAACAAUAAGUUUUCCACUCAUGAUGGCUCAGCCUUGACCACAAGUCAUUUGUAUCCUUUCAGUAACAUUAUGUAUGCACUCUUACGGUAACCUGAUAUUUGCACCCUUUCGGUGACAUUAUAUUCCCACCCUUCCGGUGAUGUUUCAUUCACCCCUUUUCCGUGAUGGUACAUUCACACUUUUUCAGUCCCAAACUGUUCCCACCCUUUUGGUCCCGAGCUGUUCGUACCCUUUCGGUUGCGAUCCCGUACCUCCCGAUCCGUUCGUACCCUUUCGAUCACGACGCCUUGCAUCCCUAGGAUCACGUCACGUUGCAUCCCUAGGAUCACGUCACGUUCACACCCCUUGGGCUAUGAUACGUUCGUACCCCUUGGAUCGCGACAUGUUCGUACUUCCUGGAUCACGACACGUUCGUACCUCUUGGAUAACAAAACACUCACAUCCUUUAGGUCACGAUACACUCGCAUCCUUUGGAUCACGAUGCACUCGCAUCCCUUGGAUUACAACGCACUCCCAUCCCUUGGAUUACGAUAUGAUCGCACCUCUUCGAAAGUCUACUCUCUCAAGCAUUUACAACUUUCCAAACUUUGAUUUUAUCUCUCGCACAAAAUCAUAAGUUAUAGUUCACAACGAAAAUACUCUUUAAGAUUGUUGGUUAUUUGGGGUUGUAACCCGUAAAAUUGUGAAUUAUAUACUUGGAUAAUGAUUGAAUCACAAUGCUUUUCUUAAAGAAUAUUUCGACCCUAUUCCAAACCUUUGGGUUACAAGAAAUCCCUUUGUAGGAUAAGACAAUCAAAGUCUCAUUCUUAUUCUAGGCUAAGAUACAAAAACAACAAAUAAAGCUUUAGUGUUUAUAUGUGUUUCUUCGAAGAUCUUUGAUGAUCUUCAAACAAUGAAUUUUUCUUUCUUUCUCUCUUACUAAAUACUAGGUUAAGACCCGCGCAUUGUGCGGGAUGAAUAUUAUUUAUAAAUUAUUUUUAAGUAUUACAUAUUUUUUUCAUAAUAAUAUAUAUUGAAUAAUUAAAAAUUUAGUAACUAUUACGUAUAUAAUUAAAUUGGUACAACUACUUAAAUAAAUUUUAUUUAUCCAUACAAACACUUUUUCUAUUUUAUAUGUUAUAAAAUUAAGUUUAAAUGAUAUUAACAUAGAUAUAUAGUACAUUUUUAAUAGUAACAUCUGUUAAAAAAUAUUUUAUACUCAUAUUAUUUUUGAUCGUUUGUAUUUCUUUAUAACAAAAAUUUUAAAUCAAUGAUAACAAUAAAAACUUUAUAGGAUGUUUAAUAGUUUUAAUAAUUUAUAAUUUUAAAAACAUUCAAUACAAAGUUUAAAAUCUAAAUAUUAAGUUGUCAAUAAUUGUUCAAAAUGUUUAUCAAAAAAUUUCAAAUCAAAUUCGAAAUUAAAAUACUUAUGUAUUUUAUAUGGAAUAUAAUUUAUUUUAAAAAAAAUAUUAAUAUGCGUAUAUAUAAUAUUUAUUAAAUGAGACUUCCUACUUAUGUAAUUUCAUAAUCAUUUGUAUCUUGUUAUAACAUAAAUUUUAAACCAUAGAUCACAAAAAUUUCAGUAUGAGAUUUUUAACAACUUUAGUCAUUUAUAUUCGUUUUUUAAAAUUCAAACUAUAACAUAUAUGAAAAAAUCUAAAUUUUCAUUAUAUAGUUAAUAUGGUUGUUUAAUUUAUUUUAAAAUGAAUUAAAAAUGAUAAAGAAUAGACUGAUUUUUAUCAAAUCUUUAUUAUUUAAAAUCAUUAAUUGUCAUAUAUACUUUAGCCACAUUAGGUAAUUCCGUGAUUUUUAUUUAAGGAAACAAUGAAGAACAUUUAUGAUUAAUUUAUGGUUAGUUUAAUAAAAAGCUUAUUAUAUAUUUAUAUGGACCAACAUAUUUUUCUAAGGAUUCUAAGAAUGAUUGUGGUGAUGACAUGUGGCUACAAAAAUAUGUUGUAAUGCUUCUCUUUUAAUAUAUAGGCGAUUAGUUUUUGAUCUUCAAUCUUGUUUUACAAGUUGUGAUUCAAGUUAUAAUUUUUCAUUGCCCACUACUCCUUAUAUAGAGUACUAAGGGUUGCAAUGGUUAACACCAAUAGUUACAAUGGUUAGUGAAGAGUUACAACCAUUAAUACCAAUAGUUAUAUUGGUUAGAUAAUAGUCACAAUGGCUCAUCACCAAAGACUUUAAUCACCAAUGGUUACAAUGGUUUAUCAUUAAAGGUUACAACUAUUUACCACCAACAGUUACAAUCACAAACAGUUGCAUUUGUUCAUCUAAACAAUUGUAAUGCUUCACUUUAAUGGUUGCAAGAAUUCACUUAAAUAUCCAACAUGAUAUUUAACACCAAUAACUGAAAAAGUCCUUACAAUGAAAGAACUGCCUUUAAGCGCUUUGGCGUGAAAGUCUUGUCAAGUUAAACAAAGUUAGACGAAAGCUGUUUGUAGACCAAUCGAGCUUCUAAAACUGCAUAGAAGUCCUAACGCUCUUGACUUUUUUUUUGACCUUCGGCUAACUACACCUUCUUUUGCUCGAACAAAAAAUUGGAACAUUCUUAAGAACAUUCCAAAAUGGCAUAAUCUUGUGCUAAUAUGUAAUUGGCAUGAUCGAUCCAAAAUACCUCAAGAGCGUUAGGACUUCUAUGCAGUUUUAGAAGCUCGAUUGGUCUACAUAUAUCUAUUGAAUUUGCUAAUGUGUGACUUACCUAAUGUGUAAAUCAUAUGCGAAGUAUUGUCAAAAAUAUAUAUAGAAAUAACUAACUCUUUAUAUAUUUCAUUUCAAAAUUAUAUUUCUAUUUUAUUAAACAAAUUUUUAUUUUUUGUUUCUUUUUUAAAUAUGUAUUAUAUAAAUUCUGAAUUUAUGACUUGAUCAAAUUUGAUUGUUUAUACAUAUCCAGAAAUAAUUUAAAUAAAGUUAAAAAUAAAUGAAUAAACUUAUCUAUUUAUUAAAUAAUUAAAAAAACUAGAAACAGUGUUUUUUUUGGUCAAUUAGAUCCUUUUGUUUCGGAAUUUUUGAAAAUAUAUAUAGCUUAAAUUAGAUAUGUUUCAAUUUCUGAUUCAUCUAUAAAUGUACUUCUCUGUCUUUCUAAUUUUAAAAUAUCAUCAUUUCAUUAUCUACGAUGAAAAAUGCGUUUGAACCUUCGCUUAUUGGUGUUAUGCUCACAAUUCUUCUGCUCGGUUUGUAUUUACAUUUACAACUUAUUAAUAUAUUCUAUAAUCAUUCCAAAAUAAAUCUUAUUUGAUGCUGUAUUAAUUUAUAUAUCUAUAUAAACUGAAUGUUUAAUUAUAUAAUACUGAAUUUAAUGAUUUUCAAGAAUAAUCAAUGAUUAAGAAAGAAGAUGUUUGGAUGUUUAGUUCUUUUUUUUUCUUAUAAGUAUGCAAAAAAACUCUCUAAAACAUAUGUUUUACAAAAAUUCAUUUUCUGUUUUAAAUAUGAAUACUAAAGUUAUAUGUUGAUUAUUAUAACAACAGGAGACACGGUGAUUGCUCAGAAAGGAAUACGCCCAUGUUUUACAUCUUAUGGAUACAAAAACGGAAAAUGUACAUUACACACCUGCAAAAUGCACUGUUACAAAAAGUAUAAAGAUGCGGUUGGUACCUGCAUUCCUGCAGAUAAAGGACAAACAAGAACAAUGUACACAUCACUGCCCUCCUUGAUUCUUUUUUAUCUACACUAAAACUCAAAUAAUUUUUUGCUGGCUUUUUGACGUAAUAAGGUGUAUUAUUUUUUUUUUUUUUUUGAAAAUUAAGGUGUAUUAUUUCACUAAAUAUAAAUAUAAAUAACAAAAUACUGAUACGUGUAUCUUCCUUUUUAUUUUCUUUACAAUUGCAUAAAUUAACAAACAUAUUAAAUUGUGAUGAUUUGAGAAUGUACUUGAUUUAACAGAGCAUGGGUAAUACAAACAGAUUGAUUCACGUUUCAACCUGUCAAGUAACAAGAAAAUUAUAGAAUUUUAAUGUUUAUUAUUUUGUUGGUAUCAUUAUUCAUGUUUAUAACCACUAAAGAGAUAUUUUCAAAAAUAUAUUAUUUAUUAAGAGGAAAAAGACUCUUAUACCCUUGUUCUUUCUAUAUAUAAUAAUUAUUAUUUAAAUAAAUUAAAAUUAUGUUUUCGAAUUAUAUUUUUUCAAAUUCAAUUUUUUUAUAAAUUCCUUUUUUUUAUCUUUUUUUUUAAAUUUAUUUUUGAAAAUCAGAAAUUCUUUUUGACAUUAUUUUUUUAAUUUUUUUUAUAUUUUAAGUAUUUAUUUAUAUAUUUAUUAGAAUCAUAAAUUUCAUAUAACUCUAGUAUACCCUUCAAUUCUAAACCUUAAAUAUAGAUUAGUUAACCCUAUGAGUAUAAAUGUUUUUUUUUCUCGUUUUUGAGAGUAAAAGUACGGAGAAACCAAAGGGGCCAUCACUAUUCGACUAAUGGCUUACACCACUUUAAUUCUUCACCUGGGCUGACUUUAAUUCAUAACUAUGUAUUUCCUUUUGAAUUGGGCAGGACUCGGUAAACACUAAAGUUGGGCUUGUAAUAUUUUUUUUCUUUUUUCUUUAAAUAUGAAUGCCAGUUACAAAAAAAAAGUGAGAGUAAAAAUAGUUAGUAUAAAUAUAAAGUGUUAUUAUAAUGUGAUAUUUUUGGCAAUUUCCAAAAUCUAACUAUCCAAGUUUCAGAAAGAAUAACUAUAGCAUAUGAUACCAUGGUGCUUUCAAGAAAGAAUAACUAUAGCAUAUGAUACCAUGGUGCUUUCUAGGCUUUCAAUAUCAACAACAUUCUGUUUCCACAGAGGAUCAUCAAGUAAAAAAGAAACAUAGAUCUAUCAAAAUCACAACUCAAAUCUAAUUAAAUUUGACACAUCUGAGAUCAAACCUCCAGUAAAUUUGAUUUCUACAAUCACCUAACUGAACAUAGUUGAAGAACUACAAUUUCUUUUAUUUUUUAAAAAUCAAAAUCAAAAUCUGCAUCGGAUUUUUGGAGUCGUUACCUUGCAGAUGCAGAAGGAUCACAUGGAAGUUGAUUUUCCCAGGAGUUCAAAGAUUUCUUUAUUUAUGCUCUGUCAAACUAAAUUGUGAAGCGGAGAAAGUUGUACUACACAACGAUAGUUGUCGGUGGUUUGAAGUUUUUUUUUUUUUUUUGAUCAACUGAGAAAUUCAUUAAUAAAAAGGAAAAGAUAAGGGGCUUUAAGGGCCCAAGUUUGCUAAAUGGGUGGACAAACAGGCCUUAGCCAGUUUGUCAGCAGCCCCAUUACGAGAUCUGGAAACAAAAGAAAAACGACAAAGGGAAAACGGUGACAAUGAAGAAAAAGCUAAUGAGUCGAUGUCAGCAAGCACUCCAAAGAGCUCUACCGAUUGUCUUCUCGUGGUGAUUGCUUGUAUAAGCACUUGUGAGUCUGAACGGAUCCAGAUAUGGGUGAAAUUGAGAGAGAUCGCGUGUUGGAGAGCCUCUCGUAUCGCUAGGCCUUCUGCCAUUAAUGCCGAUGCCACUGAGUCUUGGGCCUUUGAUCCGCGGUUGAGCUCCUGUGAUGAGAGAUCAGUGAAGAUCCAGGCGAGGCCAGCCGAUUUAGAAUCUGAUCUCCAGGCCGCAUCUGUAUAACAGAGGAUGGUUGAUUCAGGGCAGUCAUAAAUCAGAGGGGGGCAUCUGACGAGAUGUGUCGUCGGGGACUUGAGAGGUUGGGCUGAUUCCCACUCUCUGAUCGCUUUCACGGAUUUUAAUAUGAUCUCCUGAGGUGUAGUGGCUCUGUUUUGGAAGAUGAGGUUGUUCCUUGAAAUCCAGAGGAACCAGCAUAUCCAAGGCAUCGGGUUGCUUGUGAAACCGUAGGGCGGCAGGACUUUCCAGGAGUAUGAUGCUUGUAGGGUUGGUUUGAAGGCGGUCCAUAGAGAUGUGUCCACCUCGGAGGCUAGCGGUGCUAGUUUCCAGACUUCCUUCGCGAAAGCACAAUGGAAGAAAAUAUGAGGUAAUGUCUCUGCUUCUCCACACCUACAACACAUAACAUUAGCAUUUAUACCUCUCCGUUGUAGAUUUUCACCAGUUGGGAGGGCUUUUUUAGCGAUUCUCCAUAGGAAGUGUUUAAGCUUCGGAAGAAGAGGAGGGUUCCAGACAUGUUUCUUCCAGUUCCAGGUAUCUUCCGGUCUUUGAGCUGAGGGCAGUAGUGUCGAUGAAUUCUUGUCAGCUUGUUUAGAGUAGUAUCCUGAUUUCACUGAGUAGUCCCCUGACUUCUGUAGAGACCAUAUGUAAGAAUCUUGGUUGUCAAGUAUACUUGGUCGUAUUGAGGGAAAAGAUAAGGGGCUUUAAGGGCCCAAGUUUGCUAAAUGGGUGGACAAACAGGCCUUAGCCAGUUUGUCAGCAGCCCCAUUACGAGAUCUGGAAACAAAAGAAAAACGACAAAGGGAAAACGGUGACAAUGAAGAAAAAGCUAAUGAGUCGAUGUCAGCAAGCACUCCAAAGAGCUCUACCGAUUGUCUUCUCGUGGUGAUUGCUUGUAUAAGCACUUGUGAGUCUGAACGGAUCCAGAUAUGGGUGAAAUUGAGAGAGAUCGCGUGUUGGAGAGCCUCUCGUAUCGCUAGGCCUUCUGCCAUUAAUGCCGAUGCCACUGAGUCUUGGGCCUUUGAUCCGCGGUUGAGCUCCUGUGAUGAGAGAUCAGUGAAGAUCCAGGCGAGGCCAGCCGAUUUAGAAUCUGAUCUCCAGGCCGCAUCUGUAUAACAGAGGAUGGUUGAUUCAGGGCAGUCAUAAAUCAGAGGGGGGCAUCUGACGAGAUGUGUCGUCGGGGACUUGAGAGGUUGGGCUGAUUCCCACUCUCUGAUCGCUUUCACGGAUUUUAAUAUGAUCUCCUGAGGUGUAGUGGCUCUGUUUUGGAAGAUGAGGUUGUUCCUUGAAAUCCAGAGGAACCAGCAUAUCCAAGGCAUCGGGUUGCUUGUGAAACCGUAGGGCGGCAGGACUUUCCAGGAGUAUGAUGCUUGUAGGGUUGGUUUGAAGGCGGUCCAUAGAGAUGUGUCCACCUCGGAGGCUAGCGGUGCUAGUUUCCAGACUUCCUUCGCGAAAGCACAAUGGAAGAAAAUAUGAGGUAAUGUCUCUGCUUCUCCACACCUACAACACAUAACAUUAGCAUUUAUACCUCUCCGUUGUAGAUUUUCACCAGUUGGGAGGGCUUUUUUAGCGAUUCUCCAUAGGAAGUGUUUAAGCUUCGGAAGAAGAGGAGGGUUCCAGACAUGUUUCUUCCAGUUCCAGGUAUCUUCCGGUCUUUGAGCUGAGGGCAGUAGUGUCGAUGAAUUCUUGUCAGCUUGUUUAGAGUAGUAUCCUGAUUUCACUGAGUAGUCCCCUGACUUCUGUAGAGACCAUAUGUAAGAAUCUUGGUUGUCAAGUAUACUUGGUCGUAUUGAGUAGAUGAGAGUUGCCAGUUCCGGCAGUAGAUUUUCAACCAUAGCUUUGUUCCAUUCCUUUGUUUCUCUAGAGAGGAGAUCUGAGACUAGCAAAUCUUGAUCUUUUUGUUGCACAGGUCCUAUUGGUUUCAGAUUCUUUUCAGGGCAAAUCCAAGAGUCGGACCAAAGGCGGGUUGAUUCUCCAUUUCCUAUCACUCUGCCUAGAUGGCUAAGCAGCAGAUCUCUUCCAUGUAGAAUUCCUCUCCACCCAUGCGAGAUGUUGGAGGCUGGAAUAGUGUUGAGGAAAGAGGAUUUGUGGCAAUAUUUUCCUAGAAGAAUUCUUGCGAGGAGGCAGUCUGGUCUGGUGAUGAUUCUCCAGCCAAUUUUUGCCAGUAAUGCUUGAUUGAAGAUUUGCACAUCCCUGAAGCCUAGUUCUCCGAGAGACUUGGGUAAGGUUAGCUCAUUCCAUGCGACCCAGCAAAUUUUAUGAACUCCAUCCUUUGCAUCCCACCAGAACCUUGUAAGCACUGAUUGAAUUUUAUUACAGAGGCUAAUGGGGAGUUCAAAGCAUGUCAUGGCGAAUGAGGGUAUAGAUGACAGUACCGCCUGUAGCAUUGUGGCUUUACCAGCUGAGGAGAGAAAUCUUGAAGAGUAGCUUACUGCUCGCUGUCUCAUGCGGUCAACAAUGCUCGCAAAAAGGUCUUUUUUAUUUCUCCCAAAGUGUUCAGGGAGGCCGAGGUAUUUUCCCACGCCUCCCUCCUUUUCAAUGCCAAGAAACUCUUUUACUCUUGCGCGAUCCUCUAACGGUGUCUUUGCUGAAAAUGAUAUUGAGGACUUACUUGCAUUAAUCAUCUGUCCUGAUGCAUUCUCAUAAUCUUGCAGGAUGGUCUUGAGCGUAGCACAGCUUCGUUGAUCACAGUUGGUGAACAACAUAGUAUCGUCAGCAAACAGCAGGUGGUUGAUACGGGGACUGUUCCUCGACACUCUAAUGCCUGGGAGAUUUCCACUUAGCUGGGCUUUUGAACAGAGGCCAGAGAGAACUUCUCCACACAAGAUGAAGAGAUAUGGAGAGAGAGGAUCCCCCUGCCGCACUCCCCUCUGAGGUAUGAUGUUACCAACCACUUCGUCAUUAAAGAGAAAUGAGUAGGAGACGGUUAUGACACAUUGCAUUAACCAUUGUAUCAGAAGAUGGUGAAAACCCAUUCGCUCCAACACUGAUCUGAUGAAGGACCAUUCCAAUCUGUCGUAGGCUUUGCUGAUGUCCGUUUUAACGGCCAUAGAGCAGCGCUUGACCGCCUCUGAAUUCUUGAGGUAGUGGAGGACUUCGUGCGAGUUGUUUUGAAGUUUGAAGUUUAUUCCUUAGAAAAGACCCCCAUCCACCAAAAGUUAACUCUAGCGUUUCUGUUAAUUUAAAAAACAGUGCAAGUUGUUUUCCUUCUUCUAAACAUGCACAUUGCACACCUUCUGCUUUACAAAACUAAGAGGUUGAUUGUUUGUGGUUUUUAAAAUGGUUUUUGGUUUUUGAUUCUCUCAAAACUAUUUUUUUACCAAUCAAGAUUUUUCUAAAAUAGAUUCUCUAAAAUUUAGAGAAACUAGAUUUCGAAAAAACUACCUCUUUCUACACAAAAACUAAAAUCUAUGUUUUCUUGGUUUCUCUUAGCAAACUAUCAUUGGUUUUUUUUCUUUGUUAAAUUAGUUGCAUAUUCAUAAAGUAAUAUCUACAGAAAUCACCAAUUAAAAAUACAUAGAAACUAUUUAAAUGAAAAAUAUAUCUAUUUCUAAACAAAAAUAAAAUAAAAUCCUGGUUUUCAUUGGUUUUCUUCAAAACUUGUCCUAUGGAUUUUCAGUUCUUCUUUGUUUUUACUAAAAAUAUUACUAUAUUAUGAAUGAGUAAAAGAAAAAUAAAUAAAAUAAAGUAUAGAUGUAUAUAUAUAUAAUAUAAAUUUAUGUUUAAUUAUAAAAUUUUAAGUGUAAAUUUAAAUACAGAACUAUAUUAUUUUGUUUUUUCUGUUUUUUUUUUUAAUUUUUAAACAAGGUUAUGUGUGUUUUGGUAAUCAUAUUUAAUACUUUUUAUUUCCAGAAAAAAAUACUUUAAAAUAUGUUUUUGUUUUAUUAUUUUAAAAUAAAAAGGAAAAACUAAAAACAAAAAUCUAAAAUCACCAAUCAUGUUUUUCAAAAAAACUAAAAUCUACUGCAAAAUCAAAAACCAAAAUCUAAAUCUAAAAUUCAAAAACCAAAAACUAAAAACUAAAAUCUAAAAUCUAGAAACCAAACAAACAAUCAUCACCUAAUUGUCUGAUAAGAAAAUUUUACAAAAGUAACAAAACAACCAUGUUCAACUUAAACAAGAGCUCAAAACGACAUAUGGCUCAGCCCAUACACUUUCUUGUAUAUCCCUCACCGAUUAAAUAUUAUUUUAUUAUUUUAAUAUUAAUGAUUUAAUUAUUUUGUAAUACUGUAUUUAGUUAGUUACUAAAAAACAUGAGUCACAUCUUAUAUAUUAAAACAGAAGUCAUGACUUAUUUUUAUGUAUGAUUUUUUUAGUUUGCACCAUUCUUAAAAAAUAUCAUAUUUUACAUAAGUUCAUUAUUAUAUCUUUUAUUAUCUUCAUCUUUUUAUAUGAAAUACAAAUGAAUAUAUUUAAAAUGUUCUAACAAAAUCUUUUUAUAAUAUUCUUAGAAUAUUUUUUAAAUUUACUUUCAAAAAUUGUUAGUUUUAAUUUAAAUUAUCAUAAAAUAAUUAUAAAUUAAAAUUGAAUAUAGUUUUGGUUUAUAAACGAAAAUUUAAAUAAAAUGAAAUUAAUUAAUUUCAAAAAUACAUUUACUAAUAAUUUUUAAAGAUUUUGUUAGAAAUAAAUAUUUAUUUCUAUUUUAUUUUUUUCAAAUUUGUUUUCUAAUAAAAUAAAAUUCAUGAUUUUUUGAUGAGUGAUAUUUUUAUUUGGACCAUCAUUUAAAUUUUCUAUUAAAUGUAUAUCACUAAUGCUAAUAUAUAUAAUAUUUUUAACUACUUUAAUCAUAAUAUCUUUUAUAUCUUUUAAUUUUUUUAAAAAAAAUUAAAAUUCUAACAAAUCUCUUGAAAAAGAUUAUAAUAAGAUCUUAAUUGUCAUAAAUUGAAUAUAAAUAUUUUCAACUAAUUUUGUAAUUAGUAAUGAAAUGUUACUAAAAGAAUAAAAUUAUAUCCUAUUUUAUCAAUUUUAUAAUAAUAUCUAUCAUUUUAAAAUAAAAACGUUAUAUUGAACAAAAUAUGAUAAAAUUAUUUUAAAUUGAUAAGUUAACAUAUUUUAUUUUCAUAAAUAUAAAAUAUUUAUGCUAAAAAUAUAAUAUGUUGGUAGAACGGGUUAAUAUUAGUAAAUUAUAUAAUACAUGUAUAAAAAUUUAACUUAUCUUAAACUUUUUAAUAUACAGUAAUUUAUUAUAGAAAAUUAAUAAACAUUAAAAAUUGCUAAAAAAAUCUAGCGAUUUGAACUACGGAUCAUGAUUAUAAGAAAUUAAAUACAAAAUUGUUUUCAUAUAUGUUGUUUCAUGCAUUAAAAAAUUUAGUUUAGUAAUCAAACGCAAAUUCAAUAGGACAAAUAUAUAAUAAGCAAUAUAUAUAUAUAUAUAUGUGAUGAUUUUAAUUUACAGCAUGAAAACUAUAAAAUUAUUAUAUUUAGCAUAAUUAUACAAACAUUUAAAUAUGUGAGUAACAUUAAAAAUAUAUAAGAAUUAUGUAAAACAAAUAUCUAUAUAUAUAAAUGUGAAAAUAUAUACCCGCACGGUUGUGCGGAUGGAAAUCUAGUCUAAUUUAUUAAUUUAGGAUCUUAAUUUUAUCUACAGAUAAAAGAUUGUCAUUUAAUUUUGGACCUAUUCAUAACUUUAUAUAUGCAUUAUACAAUAUAUGUAAGAUAUUAAUUGGAUUAUAAAUCUGUUUUGUUACCAUAUUUUGUGGAGAAUUUGUUAAGUAUUUAAACAUAAAAACGUAAAAACAUUUAGAUUUUAUAAAAAUAAUUUUUUUUUGCUAACCAAAUAUAAAAAUAAUUUAUUAAAGAUAAUCAAACUAUCUCAUAUUUAAAAUCAUUUGGAUAAAUAUCUAAUAGUAAAGGAACAUUAGUUAUUUGGUUCAUCAUAAUAAAUCUGUAUAUAACACUUAAAUAUAAACAAUUGGAUCAAGUAACAAAUAAAAAUAUAGUUCUAUAAGUCAAAUGAUGAUAUGAAGUAAAGUAAUGAUUUUAAAAUCUCUUAUACAGCAAGAUUAUUAAUAUAUUUCAACAAAGUGCGAAUGAUGUCAAGAAACCAUACACGUAAUAUGAGAUUUACAUGUAUUUUUACUAAUAAGAAAAUAUAAAAAGAACAAAAAAUUAUUUUUACGAGAAGUAAACUUACUUUAAUAUUUUUCAUGUUGAAUGCUAAUUCAACCUCAGUCACUUGCCGUCACAAACAAAUUGAAUAAAUAUUUGAACAAAUUAAUGAUUAUGAAUAACUAACCUAAUUUUAUUAGUUCUGUAAAACAGACAGCGUUUCAAUGCGGAUAGUAUCCUAGUAUCUAUUAAACCAGAGGAAAAAACUUUUUCAAAUAAUAAAUAUGUAAUUCUAAUUUUAAUCCACAUAACCUUUACAGCCCUUAUCAUAUAAGGACGAUCAAACAUUUAAUUAUUUUAAAAUUCUUUAACGGGUACUUUAUACAUAUAAUUCUAUUUUCAUAACAAAAUAUAUAUAUGUUAUAAAUAAAUUAAAUAUUUAAAUGAUAAACGUAUAAAUAUUAAAUAAUUUAAUUAUAUAUGUGCAUCAGUGCGGACGGAUCACCUAGUAUAAAUAUAAAUAACAAAUAUUGAUAUGUGUGUCUUCCUUUUUAUUUUUUGUACAAUUGCAUAAAUUAACAAACAUAUUAUAUUAGAAUCAAUUGUUAAUUCCAUUUAAAAUUGAAAUGAAAAUGGUAUAAACUUAAUUUAUUUACAGCUUAGCAAUCUCACAUAAUUUCUUAUUGAGUUAUUUCUUUUACUUUUUAAGAUAUUUAAUAUUUUUGUUUUUAACUAUGUUUGAAAUACAUAAACCAUUAAUUAAAUAAAACGAGGGAGUAUAACAUUACAAAAAGUUACGGUCUCAACCGUUUAGAUGAGGUCCACAACCAUUGUCAGAUUUAUGCAUGAGCACGUCUUUUUCCGAUGCCAUUCGAGGAAGAAGAAGAAUGAUAAAUUCUAAAAUUUAUUCACAAAUAGUAUUCACUGUAGGAGGACAUGGCUGUUGGUGUUCUGUUCUUGUUUGGACUUCAUCGAUUAGUCCUUCAUAGGUUUCUCUUGUAGAUCGCAUAUUCUUAUUUUAUUUUGUAUUGGUUUCAACCGAUGUGGUACUGGUAGUGAUUAGUUUUGUUUAGGUCUUUUGUGUAAUCCGCCGGCUAUGUUUCCGGGAUGUCUAUCAUCGGCAGCUUAGGUAAUGAUGCUGGUUUUAUAUAUGAUCUUCAGUGUUAAAAAAAAAGGAGAUUUGAAAUAUAUACCAUACAUUUGUUUUACACCAAAGUCCUUCUGCGGAGAAAAAGUGUCAAUGAAAAACAAACCGGGGAAAAACUACCGUAUUCAAUAUUUCAAUCAUAUAAUGUAUACUCUCAUAGGAAAAAAAAAGAAGAUGUAUUGCUGAUGCAUAGUUUCAAUCUGUGGUUUGCGAGAUCAAGAAGUUAGAUCUUUCAUGGGUUUUAUGAAAGAUCUAAUAUUUAGAAACCCGCAAAACCCCGCGAAAAUCCACUAACCCAAAAUCCGAUACCGGUUGAACCACCGGUUUAACAAAUAAAUAACUUUUUUAGUUUUGAAUUAUGGUUUUAGAUUAUGUUUUAUAUUCCAAGUUUCCAAUUAAGAAGUUAGGUGCUGACAAGAAAAAGUUAAAUUUUCUCUUUUCAAUUUUAUUUUGUGAUUUUUUAAAUUUGAUGAAGAUUUUACUAUGCCACCUGAAGAAAACAAAUUGAACAAUGAUAGAGAGAACCAAAAUUAGUUGAUGUGAUUUGGUGUUAGUUUAUUUCUAUUAUUGACAAUUUAUUACCAAUAUUUUACUUUUGGUUUAUUUUGGAUUUGAAGUUUAAUUUAUUAUUCACAUUAGAUAUUUAAAUAUUUAUGAAUUUUAUAUUUUGAUUUUUUUAGAUGUCAUAAAUAUUUAUGAAUUUUAUAUUUGUGAUCCAGUAAUUCAUCCGGUUCAGUGUCCGGAUCGAAUUUGAAAACAUUGGGACUUGAAGGAAUAAUACUACUGGCCUUGUGGAAUUGAUGUGUGAAGAGAGGCCCCCGGAUAAAAUGUUUGUAGAGAGGUCCAAUAGCUGAAGAUUGGAUAUGCUGAAAAGCAAAAUAGGCAUCUCACCUUCCAACAUAUCGUUGGAAAUCAGUAGAUUUGUGUAGUAUGUCUAAGCCAAAAGAUAAUCCGAUCAAAGUCUGAAAGUAUGUCAUAAACAAAACAAAAAAAAUCAGCCGACGCCAAAGAUGAAAUCCGGUUUCAGUAUAAAUGUCCACUUUCUCUGAAAAAAAAGGUGAGAGAAGUGAGAGAGAGGCCUUCACAGUUGGUUUGUGUAGUAUAAAUCACAAAUGUGCUCAAAUGUAUACAAAUUCUAAUAUGCAUAGAUACAGACCGUUGCAUUUAUAAAGUAUUAAACCGUAAAAGACAAAACUUCUGUUCUUCCUUUCUUUUUUUGUCCGGUAAGAGAAAAAAAAAAUAAAAGGAAAAUGAUCUGAAUAAAAAAAGUUACUAUUAUUUCAACGGCUCUAACUGAAUCUCACUCCUCCCUCCAUUUCUACCUUCUUCAUCAUCUUUAUCUCUGAAACCUCCUCUUGAAUCUAUUAGAUCAGUCGAAUCAUCUUCUUCAACAUUCCCCAAGACCCAGUUCCCUCUGCUCAGGUUCCUCGCUCUUCUUCUUCCUCGUUCCCUGUACUCCAAGUACACAACAGUCACCACUCCGAGGAACACCCAUAACCCGAGUGCCCAGUUAAGCCCGUCUACGUUCUCUGCUCCGUUCCGUUCUCCCAAAUGCUUCAUCCCCGUGAAUAGCGCAACAACUCCUAUUACAACAGCUGAUUGACCAACGAUCGAGUGAGAAUACUCCCAGAUUAGUCGCUUCGAAGACAUUAGCUCCCCUUGAGCAGGCUUCGCCGGCCUUAGCCAAGCGUUCACGGGCUGAGCGCAAGCCAAAACUAUGGCUGUGAAACCGAACUUGACGUGGGACGAACUGAAGCUGAAACCGUUGAGUUCAGCUACUGCGAAGAGGAGACCGAGGAAGACAAUGGCUAGUCCUGAACACUGAAGAUACAUGUGAAUCUUGAACCAGCCAUCGCCCUUGAUGUGUUUCAGGUAUCUAGCAGAUAAUAUCCCACCAGGAAGCAAGAUUCCCCAAGCGAGGAACAUCAUGAAUCCAUGAACGCCCAAGACCGGUCUGAGAUCUUGCUCCGCUUCCGCUGAUCCACGCGUCAGCAUGACACGGACAGGUCUCUGACUUGUAACCGAGUGCAUGUUUCUCUCUGUUAACUGACCAUCUGUCCAUUUAGCACCCAUUGCCCAUAUCACUUUAAGAGGAGUUGUGGGAUCGAUCAUGUUCUUACACUCGGGUCUAUCUCGAUGACUGCAGGAAGGCUUCAAGGGACGGGUGAACUCAAGAGUGAUGAUCCCUUCUUCGGACUUGCAUCUCACAUAUGUCAUGUUCUCGACUGUAGGGUGAAUAGAGGAAGCUGAUUCUCCAUCAAUCCAGUACGUGUUUACGUGCCCUGUUCCGUUUCUAUCGAACCAGCCAACGUAAGCAUAACUAUUUGUCAUCUCGCUGCCGAAACCAAUUGCGAGAUAGCCGCUUUUCUUCUCCCCACGAGCUGCAAUCGAUAUUGAAUCACCUACUAUUGUCCAAAAGAACUUUACUUGCUGAUCAUCUAGAUUAACACUGUUGUUGUACAUAUCCGAGAGUCCACCGUCCACAACCUGAACCUUCCAACCCAUUUUCUCUUGAAAUAUCGAGUGAUAAUAGAGCUGGUCAGGUGUGUUUCUAUUAGGAGCCCAAACGAGCUCUAACGGACUCGACAAUACUCCAUGAGUUUCUUGCCCACCCGCAUAGAUCGUCUCUGUUCUGUUCCUUAGAGAAGCAUUCCCACCGAGAAAGUCUGAAGUUAUGUAGAACGAGACGUCGUGUCCUGCUUCUAUUGAAAACUUCACAGGAACACCUCUUUCCACUCUCAGCACCGGUGCUUCUUUCUUGUUGAUGUACAGAACCUUCGCAGGGUUUGGAGGGUUCGGAUAAUGAACAGAUGGUCCAGCCGUGACAACAAGAGGUGCGUUGGCAUCAGCAAUGAUCACACCUUGAUCAUACUUGUUGUCUGCGUCCAAUGGUCCCAAACACUCAUCCACAUGAUCAGAGAGACUAAGCGAAAAAUGCCCGUAGUUUUCCGAUUCCACACCGCCGUGAUUCUCAGGUAGAUAGUAAGGAUUGAUAACAUCUGGUGGUUUUAUCACCCCAAGCGCCCAAAUAACCGUGAGAUUCUCAGUUGCAUUCACAGGAAAAUCAAACUUAUUAUCACUAUCAUUCAACGGCCUCCUAUACCUAACAAACGAAACUCCAUCUAUCCUAUGCCCGUAAACAAGUUUUGUGUUAUUCACCGAAGAGCCAACUGCAUCUGAUCCUUCAUACACAGUGUCAGGACAAACCCCAGCGGCAAAACCAUCCCUGACAGAGCAUACACUCGUCUUUGUAAUGUAGAAAUCAUCAGCGAAAGGGAAGCCAUCCUCUCUAAUCCCAGUAAUCACAACAUCAGCGUUCAACAUGAGAUUUGAGGUAGUGUUCGGCUUAGCCCAACCAAACGCCAUGUAGUUCAGUAAACCAGUUGUAGCCUCUAGACCAAUAUCUACAUAACCUUCAUCUACAUUCAAGGUCCACCUGAGCCUAUACUUAUCAGAAAGCUUCUUGCAAUUAUCAAACAUGGUAGGAGCCUUAAAGGGCUCACUGUUAUUCGAUUUCCCAGGAGUAGCAGCGUCUUUACUCUCUGAAGGAGGUGAUUCGGAUUUUGAAGAAGACGAAUCUUGCUCUGUAGCAUUGGAGAGCAGAACAUGCCCAAAAUCAGAAGCAGUAGGUAAAUCCCAAACCGAAACCACUCCUAUACUAUCCCAUGUAACAUUAUCCAACAAUCGGACGACGAAAGAUUGAUUAUUGAACGUUUGAUUAAGCUUAUGAUCAGAGAUCACGAAGCCACUAUCAGUCAUGUUCUCGAAAUCAGAGGUCAUUGCACCCCACCAAUGAACAUCAGAACCAGAGAGCAUAUCGAAACGUGAAACCCUAAAGGAACAAUCAUCAAGAACGGUGAAAACCCCACGGAGCUGGUGUUGCAACAUCCUGAACUCGGACUCGUACCCGACCAAAGAGCUAGACUUUGAGCAUUUUUGCCCGUUUACGAAGAGGAAGAAGAAGAAACCCAACACGAGAGACCAACAACUCCUAUUACAACAGCUGAUUGACCAACGAUCGAGUGAGAAUACUCCCAGAUUAGUCGCUUCGAAGACAUUAGCUCCCCUUGAGCAGGCUUCGCCGGCCUUAGCCAAGCGUUCACGGGCUGAGCGCAAGCCAAAACUAUGGCUGUGAAACCGAACUUGACGUGGGACGAACUGAAGCUGAAACCGUUGAGUUCAGCUACUGCGAAGAGGAGACCGAGGAAGACAAUGGCUAGUCCUGAACACUGAAGAUACAUGUGAAUCUUGAACCAGCCAUCGCCCUUGAUGUGUUUCAGGUAUCUAGCAGAUAAUAUCCCACCAGGAAGCAAGAUUCCCCAAGCGAGGAACAUCAUGAAUCCAUGAACGCCCAAGACCGGUCUGAGAUCUUGCUCCGCUUCCGCUGAUCCACGCGUCAGCAUGACACGGACAGGUCUCUGACUUGUAACCGAGUGCAUGUUUCUCUCUGUUAACUGACCAUCUGUCCAUUUAGCACCCAUUGCCCAUAUCACUUUAAGAGGAGUUGUGGGAUCGAUCAUGUUCUUACACUCGGGUCUAUCUCGAUGACUGCAGGAAGGCUUCAAGGGACGGGUGAACUCAAGAGUGAUGAUCCCUUCUUCGGACUUGCAUCUCACAUAUGUCAUGUUCUCGACUGUAGGGUGAAUAGAGGAAGCUGAUUCUCCAUCAAUCCAGUACGUGUUUACGUGCCCUGUUCCGUUUCUAUCGAACCAGCCAACGUAAGCAUAACUAUUUGUCAUCUCGCUGCCGAAACCAAUUGCGAGAUAGCCGCUUUUCUUCUCCCCACGAGCUGCAAUCGAUAUUGAAUCACCUACUAUUGUCCAAAAGAACUUUACUUGCUGAUCAUCUAGAUUAACACUGUUGUUGUACAUAUCCGAGAGUCCACCGUCCACAACCUGAACCUUCCAACCCAUUUUCUCUUGAAAUAUCGAGUGAUAAUAGAGCUGGUCAGGUGUGUUUCUAUUAGGAGCCCAAACGAGCUCUAACGGACUCGACAAUACUCCAUGAGUUUCUUGCCCACCCGCAUAGAUCGUCUCUGUUCUGUUCCUUAGAGAAGCAUUCCCACCGAGAAAGUCUGAAGUUAUGUAGAACGAGACGUCGUGUCCUGCUUCUAUUGAAAACUUCACAGGAACACCUCUUUCCACUCUCAGCACCGGUGCUUCUUUCUUGUUGAUGUACAGAACCUUCGCAGGGUUUGGAGGGUUCGGAUAAUGAACAGAUGGUCCAGCCGUGACAACAAGAGGUGCGUUGGCAUCAGCAAUGAUCACACCUUGAUCAUACUUGUUGUCUGCGUCCAAUGGUCCCAAACACUCAUCCACAUGAUCAGAGAGACUAAGCGAAAAAUGCCCGUAGUUUUCCGAUUCCACACCGCCGUGAUUCUCAGGUAGAUAGUAAGGAUUGAUAACAUCUGGUGGUUUUAUCACCCCAAGCGCCCAAAUAACCGUGAGAUUCUCAGUUGCAUUCACAGGAAAAUCAAACUUAUUAUCACUAUCAUUCAACGGCCUCCUAUACCUAACAAACGAAACUCCAUCUAUCCUAUGCCCGUAAACAAGUUUUGUGUUAUUCACCGAAGAGCCAACUGCAUCUGAUCCUUCAUACACAGUGUCAGGACAAACCCCAGCAGCAAAACCAUCCCUGACAGAGCAUACACUCGUCUUCGUAAUGUAGAAAUCAUCAGCAAAAGGGAAGCCAUCCUCCCUGAUCCCAGUAAUCACAACGUCAGCAUUCAACAUAAGGUUUGAGGUAGUGUUCGGCUUAGCCCAACCAAACGCCAUGUAGUUCAGUAAACCAGUUGUAGCCUCUAGACCAAUAUCUACAUAACCUUCAUCUACAUUCAAGCUCCACCUGAGCCUAUACUUAUCAGAAAGCUUCUUGCAAUUAUCAAACAUGGUAGGAGCCUUAAAGGGCUCACUGUUAUUCGAUUUCCCGGGAGUAGCAGCGUCUUUACUCUCUGAAGGAGGUGAUUCAGAUUUUGAAGAAGACGAAUCUUGCUCUGUAGCAUUGGAGAGCAGAACAUGCCCAAAAUCAGAAGCAGUAGGUAAAUCCCAAACCGAAACCACUCCUAUACUAUCCCACGUAACAUUAUCCAACAAACGGACGACGAAAGAUUGGUUAUUGAACGUUUGAUUAAGCUUAUGAUCAGAGAUCACGAAGCCACUAUCAGUCAUGUUCUCGAAAUCGGAGGUCAUUGCACCCCACCAAUGAACAUCAGAACCAGAGAGCAUAUCGAAACGUGAAACACGAAACGAACAAUCAUCAAGAACGGUGAAAACCCCACGGAGCUGGUGCUGCAACAUCCUGAACUCGGACUCGUACCCGACCAAAGAGCUAGACUUUGAGCAUUUUUGCCCGUUUACGAAGAAGAGGAAGAAACCCAACACGAGAGACCCUAGAAAAACGGGUCUUUGAACGAACAUGGUUGGGGGAAACUAAACUCAACCAAACCCAAAUCUGCAAAUACACAGAGUAUAUAUAAUCAGUAAGACACGCAGAAACACAAAGACUGAAACUUGGAAACAGAAACUUACAGCUCCCAACACGUCAGGCUUACAUCAACCGAUGCCAAAUAAUUACUCAGCUCCUGUAAGUGAGACAGUGUAGAAUCUAUUAAACAAAAAACAAUCCAGAACAUAGAAUCUAUAUUAGAUGAAUUAACAGGAUUAUAUAAUAAGAUCCUAGGCCAGAUCUAGUGGGUGGGAUUCAAUCUCGAGAUUAAACUUGACACAAAUCAAGAGACCCAAAUCGAAACAAAGAGAUUCAAAUUCAAUCAAUUCGCGAUCUGACAUAUCAAACCCAGUCAGAUCACACUCGCGAUCGAUACUCUAGACCACGAUCAAACGAAUAUGUGGAGAUUUACCUCAAGAUUAGCGAUGGAGAUCUUCGAGGAGAGAUUCGUGAGCUCGAUUUCAAUGUGAGAGAGAUGUUUAGUUUUCCCGCAUCAGAUUCCUUCUCGCAAAUAUGCUUUUUUGGCUUUGUAGACGAGCAAAAAAGCAAAUGAGUUUGCGAUUAAUGUUGGUUAAAAUAUCACUAUAGGUUUCUGCGAUUUUAAUUCUUGAGUUGAGCCAUUUCUCCUACUUUAAUUUUUAGUUACGUACAUAUAUAUCAAUGGUUCUUUUUUUUGGGUUUUUUUUUUAAAGAAUGUACAUAUACAACAAGGUUCGUGAUUAUUAUAAAGUGACUCUGAUAUAGAAUGAAAUAUUUGGAGUGAAAAAAUGACAUUCAUCUAUAUUUCACUCUAUAAUAAAGUUAUUCUAUUAUAGAAUAACAACAUUAAAGCAAAAAUUACGCUAUAAUAAAAUUAUUCUAUUUUUGUGUAAAUUAUAGAAGAAAAAAUAGAAUCUCUUUGAAAAUAGUCUUAAUCUAACUCAAUCUUUACAUAAAGGUUAUUUUCUUGAUAACUAAUUUAUUUUGACUGACAUUGAUUUACUCAUUUUCAAUAUAUUUGUUCCCAUCUAGAUAGCAUGUAAACUCCAUCCAGUGCCUUGCGAAGGCUAUGAGAGGACUCAGGCACAAAUAAUUUACUUUGUAUCAACAGGCUGCCAAAGACCAAGUUAUGGAUCGAACUCAAGGUGCAUACUAUCCCCUAUAUAUUAAAAGAGAAACAUUACAACAUAUUUUUGUAGCCACAUGUCAUCAGCACAAUCAUUCUUAGAAUCCUUAGAAAAAAUAUGUUAGUCCAUAUAAAUAUAUAAUAAGCUUUUUAUUAAACUAACCAUAAAUUAAUCAUAAAUGUUCUUCAUUGUUUCCUUAAACAAAAAUCACGGAAUUACCUAAUGUGCCAAAAGUAUAUAUGACAAUUAAUAAUUUUGAAUAAUAAAGAUUUGAUGAAAAUUAGUAUAUUCUCUAUCAUUUUUUAAAAAUUUUAACUUAUUAAAAUAAAUUAAAAACCCACAUUAACUAUAUAAUAAAAAUUUAGUUUUUUGUAUAUGUUAUAUUUUAAAUUUUUAAAAACGAAUAUAAAUAAAUAAAGUUGUUAAAAAUCUCAUAUUAAAUUUUUUAUGAUCCCUGGUUUAAAAUUUAUGUUAUAACAAGAUACAAAUUAUUUCAAAAUUACAUAAGUAGGAAGUCUCAUUUAAUAAAUAUUAUAUAUAUGUAUAUUAAUAUUUUUUAAAAUAAAUUAUAUACCAUAUAAAACACAUAAGUAUUUUAAUUUCGAAUUUGCUUUGAAUAUUUUUGGUAAAAAUUUUGAACAAUUAUUGACAAUUUAGAUUUUAAACUUUGCAUUAUUAAAUAUCCCACAAUUUUUUUAAUUGUUAUCAUUGAUUUAAAAUUUUUGUUAUAAAGAAAUACAAACGAUCAAAAAUAAUAUGAGUAUAAUUAACAGAUGUCAAUAUUAAAAAUGUAUUAUAUAUCUAUGCUAAUAUCAUUUAAACUUAAUUUUAUAACAUAUAAAAUAGAAAAAAGUGUUUGUAUGGAUUAAUAAAAUUUAUUUAAGUAUUUAUACCAAUUUAAUUAUAUACGUAAUAGUUACUAAAUUUUUAAUUAUUCGAUAUAUAUUUAUUAUUUCAUAAUUUGUAAAAAAUAUAUAAUACUUAAAAAUAAUUUAUAUAUAAUAUUCGUUCUGCGCAAGGCGCGGAUCUUAACCUAGUUAAUAAGUAUUUCAUAUUGGAUUUUAAUGUGACACGGCUAGAGUCAGAUUGACUAAGACGAAUAGACAAUCUAAUCUAUUAAUUUAUAUUUCUAUUUUAAUAUGACAUAUUCGAUUAUUUACAUUAAUAAUAAACUAAUUAUAAAUUUGAAUUAUAUAUUUUUAAUUAUAACAAAAUAUGUUGAUAAAAAUCUAAUAAAAUCUUACUUAAAAUUAAAUAUUUUUAUAAAAUAAAACAUUAGUUAAUUUUGUAAUUAUUAGUAUAAUAUCAUUAUAAAUCAAUGUUAAUUAAAAUUUUAUUCUAAAAAAAUAAAAUAAAAUUAUAUACUAUUUUUUAUAAAUUUUAUAGUUAUAUUCUGUAUUAUAUAAAAAAGAAGUGAUUUAUGAAUUACAUAUGACAAAAUUAUAUUAAAUAGGUAAACUAACAAAUUUUAUUUUUUUAAAUGGUUUCAUUUAAAUAAAAUAUCACUCAUCAUUAAAAUGGGUUAAAAUUCAUAAACUAUUUCUUUUUAUAUAAAAAUAAAUUUAGUAACAUACGUUAAACUUUUAUAUCUACAACUAUAUGUUAUCUUUUUAUUUAUUUUAAAAUUCUCAACAAUAUGUUGUGUAAAAAUGUUUAUACAUAAACAUAAUGGUAUAUAAUAACUUUUAGCUCAUAUACUAUUUUUUUAAAAUGUUAUUAGAAAAUUAUGAAAUUUUAGUAAUUCAUUUAAAAUAUAAUUACAAAUAAUAUUUUAGUAAUUCAUUUAAAAUAUUAUUACAAAUAAAAUUUUAAUUAUUAUUUUUAAUUAUAACAAAAUCUGUUGAUAAAAAUUUAUAAAACAUUACCAAAAGUCAAAUUGUUUUAAAUAAAAUAAUGUAUUAAUGUAAUAAUAAAAAAAUUCCAAAUUCAUGUAAUCUUCCAAACUCAAAAAUAGUUGUGUAGUUUUCCAAAAUUUUCUUGAAAAAUUACAAUUUCAAAUUUUAUAAAAGAUAAAAUCAUAGAUAAUAAAUAAUAAAUUUUUGAAAUGCACCACGAAAAAAAACUAUAUAUGUUGUAAAAAUUAAAGUAAUCUUAUGUUUUGAAACUUAAUUAAAAACAUUAAUAUCAUAACAUCCAUAAAAUAUCCUAUUUCAAUAAAAUUUACUAAAAUAAAUUGAUAGAUGCUACUAUGUAUAAUUAUUUUAUUAUAAUAAUAUAUAUAUAUUAUUUAAAUAAAACAAUGUUUUUACUUAUAGAGCCUGUAAAAUACUAAUGAUAUAUGUUAAAGUAUUUUUUUUUAAACACAACAUAUAAAUAUAAAUGAUCUUAAACAUAUUUUUUUUUAAUAUGAUUAAAUAAAAUUUUAACAAUGUAUUAUAUGCAAAAUGUAUAAAUUAAAGAAAAAAUGUAUUUUGGAGGAGGUUUUCUAUUUGAUUAUUUCAUAUUACUAUUUUAUUUUACAUAUCUCAAAAAUAUAUUCGUAAGUAAUAAAAAAUAAUAAAAAAUAAAGUGUAUUAAACAAACCACUAUAUAUUAAUAAUGUCGAAAAAGAAAUAUAAAAAAGAAUAUUAUAGAAUUACGCAAUAGAUAACAUUAAACUGAAAAUUAUAGAUUUAAAAGAUUUGUAAUAAAAUCAAUUACAUUUAUAAAAUGAAAAAAUAUCCUGAAACAAAUAUCCGCACAGACGUGCGGGUCAAAAGCUAGUAAAUUUUUAAAAGUGAGACAUCUGCAUAGAUCAUCAUAAUCUGUUUAUGUUAGGUAUCUAACAUGAGUACACAUAUAUUAAAAUUAGGUUUAACGGAUAAAACAUGCUAUUUUUGGAAACUUUUCAUUUUAUAGAAAAAUGUUGUAGGUUUGAGUUUAUGGUUUUGAAAUUAGGAUAACAAGAAUAUUUGUUGAUAUAUGAUUAUUCUUUCAGUUUUUUUCAUCGAUAUGUUGUAUUUUUAAAUAAUUUUCUUAAAAACUGCUAUUUUUAGAAAAUUUUCAUUUUACAGAGAAUAUUGUAGAUUUGGUUUUGUUAUUUAGAAAUUAGGAUUACAAGAAUAUUUGUGGAUAGAUAAGUAUUCUCUCAGAAUUUUGUAUCAAUAGGUUGUAUUUUUAAAUAAUUUUAUUAAAAGCUGCUAUUUUUGGAAAGUUUUCAUUUUUUUUAGAGAAAUAUUGUUGAUUUGAGUAUAUGGUUGAAAAAUUAGAGUAACAAGAAUAUAUGUUGAUAUAUGAGUAUUCUGUCAGAGUUUUCCUUAAAUAUGUUGUAUUUUAAAAUAAUCUUCUUAAAAACUGCUAUUUAUAGAAAUUUUUCAUUUUUCAAGGGAAAUAAUUUAGAAUUGGGUUUGUGGUAUAAAAAUUAAGAUAACAAGAAUACUUUUGGAUUAGUUGAGUAUUCUUUCAGAUUUUUUCAUCAAUAGGUUGUAUUUUUAAAUAAAUUUCUUAAGAACUGCUAUUAGGAAAGUUUUCAUUUUUUUAGAGAAAUAUUUUAGAUUUGAGUUUGUGGUUUAGAAUUUAAGAUAAAAAUAUUAUUUGUGAAUAGUUGAGUAUUCUUUCAGAUUUUUUCAUCAAUAUGUUGUAUUUUUAAAUAAUUUUCUUAAAAACUGCUAUUUUUAGAAAGUUUUCAUUUUAUAGAGAAAUAUUGUAGAUUUGGGUUUAUGAUUUAGAAAUUAGGAUUACAAGAAUAUUUGUGGAUAGAUAAGUAUUCUUUCAUAAUUUUUUAUCAAUAUGUUAUAUUUUUAUAUAAUAUUUUUUAAAACUGCUAUUUUUGGAAAGUUUUCAUUUUUUUAGAGAAAUAUUGUAGAUUUGAGUUUGUGGUUUAGAAGUUAAGAUCAAAAGAUUAUUUGUGGAUAGUUGAGCAUUCUUUCAGAUUUUUUCAUCAAUAUGUUGUAUUUUUAAAUAAUUUUCCUAAAAACUGCUAUUUUUAUAAAGUUUUCAUUUUAUAUAGAAAUAUUAUAGAUUUGGGUUUGUGAUUUAGAAAUUGGGACUACAACAAUAUUUGUGGACAGAUAAGUGUUCUUUCAGAAUUUUGCAUCAAUAUGUUGUAUUCUUAUAUAAUUUUUUAAAAACAGCUAUUUUUGGUAACUUUUCAUUUUAUAGAGAAAUAUUGAAGAUUUGAGUUUAUGGUUGAAAAAUUAGAGUAACAAGAAUAUAUGUUGAUAUAUGAGUAUUCUUUCAGAGUUUUCCUUAAAUAGGUUGUAUUUUUAAAUAAUCUUCUUAAAAGCUGCUAUUUUUGGAAAUUUUUCAUUUUUUAGAGAAAUAUUUUAGAAUUGGGUUUGUGGUAUAAAAAUUAAGAUAACAAGAAUACUUUUGGAUUAGUUGAGUAUUCUUUCAGAGUUUUUCAUCAAUAGGUUGUAUUUUUAAAUAAAUUUCUUAAAAACUGCUAUUUUAGGAAAGUUUUCAUUUUUUUUAGAGAAAUAUUGUAGAUUUGAGUUUGUGGUUUAGAAGUUGAGAUCAAAAGAUUAUUUGUGGAUAGUUGAGUAUUCUUUCAGAUUUAUUCAUCAAUAUGUUGUAUUCUUAAAUAAUUUUCUUAAAAACUGCUAUUUUUAUAAAGUUUUCAUUUUAUAUAGAAAUAUUAUAUAUUUGGGUUUGUGAUUUAGAAAUUAGGACUACAAGAAUAUUUUUGGAUUGUUGAGUAUUCUUUCAGAGUUUUUUAUCAAUAGGUUGUAUUUUUAAAUAAUUUUCUUAAAAACUGCUAUUUUUGGAAAGUGUUCAUUUUUUAGAGAAAUAUUGUAGAUUUGAAUUUGUGGUUUACAAUUUAAGAUAAAAAGAUUAUUUGUGGAUAGUUGAGAAUUCAUUCAGAUUUUUUCAUCAAUAUGUUGUAUUUUUAAAUAAUCUUCUUAAAAGCUGCUAUUUUAGGAAUUUUUUCAUUUUUUAAGGAAAUAUUUUAGAUUUGGGUUUGUGAUUUAGAAAUUAGGAUUACACGAAUAUUUGUGGAUAGUUGAGUAUUAUUUCAGAGUUUUGCAUCAAUAGGUUGUAUUUUUAAAUAAUUUUCUUAAAAACUGCUAUUUUCGGAAAGUUUUCAUUUUUUUAGAGAAAUAUUGUAGAUUUGAGUUUGUGGUUUAGAAGUUAAGAUCAAAAGAUUAUUUGCGGAUAGUUGAGUAUUCUUUCAGAUUUUUCAUCAAUAUGUUGUAUUUUUAAAUAAUUUUCUUAAAAACUGCUAUUUUUAGAAAGUUUUCAUUUUAUAUAGAAAUAUUAUAGAUUUGGGUUUGUGAUUUAGAAAUUAUGACUACAAGAAUAUUUGUGGACAGAUAAGUGUUCUUUCAGAAUUUUGCAUCAAUAUGUUGUAUUUUAAAAUAAUUUUCUUAAAAACUGCUAUUUUUAGAAAGUUGUAAUAGUUACUAAAUUUUUAAUUAUUCGAUAUAUAUUUAUUAUUUCAUAAUUUGUAAAAAAUAUAUAAUACUUAAAAAUAAUUUAUAUAUAAUAUUCGUUCUGCGCAAGGCGCGGAUCUUAACCUAGUUAAUAAGUAUUUCAUAUUGGAUUUUAAUGUGACACGGCUAGAGUCAGAUUGACUAAGACGAAUAGACAAUCUAAUCUAUUAAUUUAUAUUUCUAUUUUAAUAUGACAUAUUCGAUUAUUUACAUUAAUAAUAAACUAAUUAUAAAUUUGAAUUAUAUAUUUUUAAUUAUAACAAAAUAUGUUGAUAAAAAUCUAAUAAAAUCUUACUUAAAAUUAAAUAUUUUUAUAAAAUAAAACAUUAGUUAAUUUUGUAAUUAUUAGUAUAAUAUCAUUAUAAAUCAAUGUUAAUUAAAAUUUUAUUCUAAAAAAAUAAAAUAAAAUUAUAUACUAUUUUUUAUAAAUUUUAUAGUUAUAUUCUGUAUUAUAUAAAAAAGAAGUGAUUUAUGAAUUACAUAUGACAAAAUUAUAUUAAAUAGGUAAACUAACAAAUUUUAUUUUUUUAAAUGGUUUCAUUUAAAUAAAAUAUCACUCAUCAUUAAAAUGGGUUAAAAUUCAUAAACUAUUUCUUUUUAUAUAAAAAUAAAUUUAGUAACAUACGUUAAACUUUUAUAUCUACAACUAUAUGUUAUCUUUUUAUUUAUUUUAAAAUUCUCAACAAUAUGUUGUGUAAAAAUGUUUAUACAUAAACAUAAUGGUAUAUAAUAACUUUUAGCUCAUAUACUAUUUUUUUAAAAUGUUAUUAGAAAAUUAUGAAAUUUUAGUAAUUCAUUUAAAAUAUAAUUACAAAUAAUAUUUUAGUAAUUCAUUUAAAAUAUUAUUACAAAUAAAAUUUUAAUUAUUAUUUUUAAUUAUAACAAAAUCUGUUGAUAAAAAUUUAUAAAACAUUACCAAAAGUCAAAUUGUUUUAAAUAAAAUAAUGUAUUAAUGUAAUAAUAAAAAAAUUCCAAAUUCAUGUAAUCUUCCAAACUCAAAAAUAGUUGUGUAGUUUUCCAAAAUUUUCUUGAAAAAUUACAAUUUCAAAUUUUAUAAAAGAUAAAAUCAUAGAUAAUAAAUAAUAAAUUUUUGAAAUGCACCACGAAAAAAAACUAUAUAUGUUGUAAAAAUUAAAGUAAUCUUAUGUUUUGAAACUUAAUUAAAAACAUUAAUAUCAUAACAUCCAUAAAAUAUCCUAUUUCAAUAAAAUUUACUAAAAUAAAUUGAUAGAUGCUACUAUGUAUAAUUAUUUUAUUAUAAUAAUAUAUAUAUAUUAUUUAAAUAAAACAAUGUUUUUACUUAUAGAGCCUGUAAAAUACUAAUGAUAUAUGUUAAAGUAUUUUUUUUUAAACACAACAUAUAAAUAUAAAUGAUCUUAAACAUAUUUUUUUUUAAUAUGAUUAAAUAAAAUUUUAACAAUGUAUUAUAUGCAAAAUGUAUAAAUUAAAGAAAAAAUGUAUUUUGGAGGAGGUUUUCUAUUUGAUUAUUUCAUAUUACUAUUUUAUUUUACAUAUCUCAAAAAUAUAUUCGUAAGUAAUAAAAAAUAAUAAAAAAUAAAGUGUAUUAAACAAACCACUAUAUAUUAAUAAUGUCGAAAAAGAAAUAUAAAAAAGAAUAUUAUAGAAUUACGCAAUAGAUAACAUUAAACUGAAAAUUAUAGAUUUAAAAGAUUUGUAAUAAAAUCAAUUACAUUUAUAAAAUGAAAAAAUAUCCUGAAACAAAUAUCCGCACAGACGUGCGGGUCAAAAGCUAGUAAAUUUUUAAAAGUGAGACAUCUGCAUAGAUCAUCAUAAUCUGUUUAUGUUAGGUAUCUAACAUGAGUACACAUAUAUUAAAAUUAGGUUUAACGGAUAAAACAUGCUAUUUUUGGAAACUUUUCAUUUUAUAGAAAAAUGUUGUAGGUUUGAGUUUAUGGUUUUGAAAUUAGGAUAACAAGAAUAUUUGUUGAUAUAUGAUUAUUCUUUCAGUUUUUUUCAUCGAUAUGUUGUAUUUUUAAAUAAUUUUCUUAAAAACUGCUAUUUUUAGAAAAUUUUCAUUUUACAGAGAAUAUUGUAGAUUUGGUUUUGUUAUUUAGAAAUUAGGAUUACAAGAAUAUUUGUGGAUAGAUAAGUAUUCUCUCAGAAUUUUGUAUCAAUAGGUUGUAUUUUUAAAUAAUUUUAUUAAAAGCUGCUAUUUUUGGAAAGUUUUCAUUUUUUUUAGAGAAAUAUUGUUGAUUUGAGUAUAUGGUUGAAAAAUUAGAGUAACAAGAAUAUAUGUUGAUAUAUGAGUAUUCUGUCAGAGUUUUCCUUAAAUAUGUUGUAUUUUAAAAUAAUCUUCUUAAAAACUGCUAUUUAUAGAAAUUUUUCAUUUUUCAAGGGAAAUAAUUUAGAAUUGGGUUUGUGGUAUAAAAAUUAAGAUAACAAGAAUACUUUUGGAUUAGUUGAGUAUUCUUUCAGAUUUUUUCAUCAAUAGGUUGUAUUUUUAAAUAAAUUUCUUAAGAACUGCUAUUAGGAAAGUUUUCAUUUUUUUAGAGAAAUAUUUUAGAUUUGAGUUUGUGGUUUAGAAUUUAAGAUAAAAAUAUUAUUUGUGAAUAGUUGAGUAUUCUUUCAGAUUUUUUCAUCAAUAUGUUGUAUUUUUAAAUAAUUUUCUUAAAAACUGCUAUUUUUAGAAAGUUUUCAUUUUAUAGAGAAAUAUUGUAGAUUUGGGUUUAUGAUUUAGAAAUUAGGAUUACAAGAAUAUUUGUGGAUAGAUAAGUAUUCUUUCAUAAUUUUUUAUCAAUAUGUUAUAUUUUUAUAUAAUAUUUUUUAAAACUGCUAUUUUUGGAAAGUUUUCAUUUUUUUAGAGAAAUAUUGUAGAUUUGAGUUUGUGGUUUAGAAGUUAAGAUCAAAAGAUUAUUUGUGGAUAGUUGAGCAUUCUUUCAGAUUUUUUCAUCAAUAUGUUGUAUUUUUAAAUAAUUUUCCUAAAAACUGCUAUUUUUAUAAAGUUUUCAUUUUAUAUAGAAAUAUUAUAGAUUUGGGUUUGUGAUUUAGAAAUUGGGACUACAACAAUAUUUGUGGACAGAUAAGUGUUCUUUCAGAAUUUUGCAUCAAUAUGUUGUAUUCUUAUAUAAUUUUUUAAAAACAGCUAUUUUUGGUAACUUUUCAUUUUAUAGAGAAAUAUUGAAGAUUUGAGUUUAUGGUUGAAAAAUUAGAGUAACAAGAAUAUAUGUUGAUAUAUGAGUAUUCUUUCAGAGUUUUCCUUAAAUAGGUUGUAUUUUUAAAUAAUCUUCUUAAAAGCUGCUAUUUUUGGAAAUUUUUCAUUUUUUAGAGAAAUAUUUUAGAAUUGGGUUUGUGGUAUAAAAAUUAAGAUAACAAGAAUACUUUUGGAUUAGUUGAGUAUUCUUUCAGAGUUUUUCAUCAAUAGGUUGUAUUUUUAAAUAAAUUUCUUAAAAACUGCUAUUUUAGGAAAGUUUUCAUUUUUUUUAGAGAAAUAUUGUAGAUUUGAGUUUGUGGUUUAGAAGUUGAGAUCAAAAGAUUAUUUGUGGAUAGUUGAGUAUUCUUUCAGAUUUAUUCAUCAAUAUGUUGUAUUCUUAAAUAAUUUUCUUAAAAACUGCUAUUUUUAUAAAGUUUUCAUUUUAUAUAGAAAUAUUAUAUAUUUGGGUUUGUGAUUUAGAAAUUAGGACUACAAGAAUAUUUUUGGAUUGUUGAGUAUUCUUUCAGAGUUUUUUAUCAAUAGGUUGUAUUUUUAAAUAAUUUUCUUAAAAACUGCUAUUUUUGGAAAGUGUUCAUUUUUUAGAGAAAUAUUGUAGAUUUGAAUUUGUGGUUUACAAUUUAAGAUAAAAAGAUUAUUUGUGGAUAGUUGAGAAUUCAUUCAGAUUUUUUCAUCAAUAUGUUGUAUUUUUAAAUAAUCUUCUUAAAAGCUGCUAUUUUAGGAAUUUUUUCAUUUUUUAAGGAAAUAUUUUAGAUUUGGGUUUGUGAUUUAGAAAUUAGGAUUACACGAAUAUUUGUGGAUAGUUGAGUAUUAUUUCAGAGUUUUGCAUCAAUAGGUUGUAUUUUUAAAUAAUUUUCUUAAAAACUGCUAUUUUCGGAAAGUUUUCAUUUUUUUAGAGAAAUAUUGUAGAUUUGAGUUUGUGGUUUAGAAGUUAAGAUCAAAAGAUUAUUUGUGGAUAGUUGAGUAUUCUUUCAGAUUUUUCAUCAAUAUGUUGUAUUUUUAAAUAAUUUUCUUAAAAACUGCUAUUUUUAGAAAGUUUUCAUUUUAUAUAGAAAUAUUAUAGAUUUGGGUUUGUGAUUUAGAAAUUAUGACUACAAGAAUAUUUGUGGACAGAUAAGUGUUCUUUCAGAAUUUUGCAUCAAUAUGUUGUAUUUUAAAAUAAUUUUCUUAAAAACUGCUAUUUUUAGAAAGUUUUCAUUUUUUCAGAGAAAUAUUGUAGAUUUGAGUUUGUGGUUUAGAAAUUAAGAUCAAAAGAUUAUUUGUGGAUAGUUGAGUAUUCUUUCAGAUUUUUUCAUCAAUAUCUUGUAUUUUUAAAUAAUUUUCUUAAAAACUGCUAUUUUUAGAAAGUUUUCAUUUUNNNNNNNNNNNNNNNNNNNNNNNNNNNNNNNNNNNNNNNNNNNNNNNNNNNNNNNNNNNNNNNNNNNNNNNNNNNNNNNNNNNNNNNNNNNNNNNNNNNNNNNNNNNNNNNNNNNNNNNNNNNNNNNNNNNNNNNNNNNNNNNNNNNNNNNNNNNNNNNNNNNNNNNNNNNNNNNNNNNNNNNNNNNNNNNNNNNNNNNNNNNNNNNNNNNNNNNNNNNNNNNNNNNNNNNNNNNNNNNNNNNNNNNNNNNNNNNNNNNNNNNNNNNNNNNNNNNNNNNNNNNNNNNNNNNNNNNNNNNNNNNNNNNNNNNNNNNNNNNNNNNNNNNNNNNNNNNNNNNNNNNNNNNNNNNNNNNNNNNNNNNNNNNNNNNNNNNNNNNNNNNNNNNNNNNNNNNNNNNNNNNNNNNNNNNNNNNNNNNNNNNNNNNNNNNNNNNNNNNNNNNNNNNNNNNNNNNNNNNNNNNNNNNNNNNNNNNNNNNNNNNNNNNNNNNNNNNNNNNNNNNNNNNNNNNNNNNNNNNNNNNNNNNNNNNNNNNNNNNNNNNNNNNNNNNNNNNNNNNNNNNNNNNNNNNNNNNNNNNNNNNNNNNNNNNNNNNNNNNNNNNNNNNNNNNNNNNNNNNNNNNNNNNNNNNNNNNNNNNNNNNNNNNNNNNNNNNNGAGAAUAGUAUAAAAAGAUUAUUUGUGGAUAGUCGAGUAUUCUUUCAGAUUUUUUCAUCAAUAUCUUGUAUUUUUAAAUAAUUUUCUUAAAAACUGCAAUUUUUAGAAAGUUUUUAUUUUAUAUAGAAAUAUUAUAGAUUUGGGUUUGUGAUUUAGAAAUUAGGACUACAAGAAUAUUUGUGGACAGAUAAGCGUUCUUUCAGAAUUUUGCAUCAAUAUGUUGUAUAUUUAUUUAUUUAUUUUUUAAAACUGCUAUUUUUGAAAACUUUUCAUUUUUUUAGAAAAAUAUUGUAGAUUUGAGUUUGUGGUUUAGAAGUUAAGAUCAAAAGAUUAUUUGUGGAUAGUUGAGUAUUCUUUCAGAAUUUUUCAUCAAUAUGUUGUAUUUUUAAAUAAUUUUCUUUAAAACUGCUAUUUUUAGAAAGUUUUCAUUUUAUAUAGAAAUAUUGUAGAUUUGGGUUUGUGAUUUAGAAAUUAGGAUUACAAGAAUUUUUGUGGAUAGAUAAGUAUUCUUUCAGAGUUUUUCAUCAAUAGGUUGUAUUUUUAAAUAAUUUUCUUAAAAAUGGCUAUUUUUGGAAAGUGUUCAUUUUUUAGAGAAAUAUUGUAGAUUUGAGUUUGUGGUUUAGAAUUUAAGAUCAAAAGAUUAUUUGUGGAUAGUUGAGUAUUCUUUCAGAUUUUUUCAUCAAUAUGUUGUCUUUUUAAAUAAUUUUUUUAAAAACUGCUAUUUUUAGAAAGUUUUCAUUUUAUAGAGAAAUAUUGUAGAUUUGAGUUUGUUAUUUAGAAAUUUGAAUUACAAGAAUAUUUUUGGAUUGUUGAGUAUUCUUUCAGAGUUUUUCAUCAAUAGGUUGUAUUUUUAAAUAAUUUUCUUAAAAACUGCUAUUUUUGGAAAGUGUUUAUUUUUUAGAGAAAUAUUGUAGAUUUGAGUUUGUGGUUUAGAAGUUAAGAUCAAAAGAUUAUUUGUGGAUAGUUGAGUAUUCUUUCAGAUUUUUUCAUCAAUAUGUUGUAUUUUUAUUUUUUUUAGAGAAAUAUUUUAAAUUUGGGUUUACGGUAUAGAAAUUAAGAUAACAAGAAUAUUUUUGGAUAGUUGAGUAUUCUUUCAGAUUUUUUCAUCAAUAGGUUGUAUUUUGGGAAAUUUGACCCUAUAACCAAAAAAAAAACUAUAUUUCAUCAUCUAACCAUAUAACCCUCUCUCUCUCUUCAUUUCCCUUCCUAUCUCUCUCUACCUUCUUACUACAAAACUAAUAUUUUUCCCAUUAUAAUCAUCUAGCAAAUUAACCCUUGUAUUUUUAAAUAAUUUUCUUAAAAACUGAUAUUUUUGGGAAGUUUUCAUUUUUUUAGAGAAAUAUUGUAGAUUUGAGUUUGUGGUUUAAAUUUUAAGAUAAAAAGAUUAUUUGUUGAUAAUUGAGUAUUCUUUCAGAUUUUUUCAUCAAUAUGUUGUAUUUUAAAAUAAUUUUCUAAAAAACUGCUAUUUUUAGAAAGUCUUCAUUUUAUAUAGAAAUAUUGUAGAUUUGGGUUUGUGAUUUUGAAAUUAGGAUUACAAGAAUAUUUGUGGAUAGAUUGAUUAAAAAAAUCCCAAUAUCUAAUUAUCUGAUAUAAUAUUUUAAUUUUAUAUUAUUAUUAUUUUAAUAGUAUAUUAUUAUUAUUUUAAUAGUAUAUGUCAACUUUGUGUUAUUUUUAUAAAUUUAUUUUUAUGGAUCUGAAUAUAUGCAAAUAUUAUAGUGUUUAGGGAAAUAUCUGAAAUAUGUGGAUGUGAAAACCACACAUUCUAGUUCAGAUAAUUAAACUUGGAUUUAGAUAUCUAGAAUUAUUUUGGAUUAUAGAUCCAUCCCCUUCUACUAUACACUCUUACCUAAUUUUAAAUUUUAAAUUAUCAAACUUUAUUUAUUUAAUUAUUGUUUGAUUUUAUAUUAAUUUCAAAACAUACAAUUAUAAAAUUUUACUAAAAUAACAUGAUUUAGUACUUUUAAUAUUAAACUAUGCCCACAUAUAAUGGAAGAGACAACAAAUAUACUAGUUGAAAAUUAUAUUUUGACAAUUAUAAAAUAUAGAGUUUAAAAUAUUCUUUCAGACCACAUGUUAAAAUCCAAUUCCAUUAUCGUAUUUUACUAUAAAAAAUUGUUUUGGUACAAGAGAUUUUAAUAAAUUUAUUUUCUUGUCCAUUUAUGGUCAAAAUGUAUCCAUAAUUUAUUGCUUUUCUAAAAAAAAUUUACAAAUACUUACUUGGAAUAACAAAAAGCUAAAUUAAAUAUAUUGACGAAAAAUUUGUUUUCACAAUUGUGCACAAGAAACUUGAACAUGCUUCGAACUUCGCUACAACAUUCAAGAUUCAACUCCUGUAUAUGCAAAUAUCUUUUGACUUUCCUCCAACCCAUAAGCCACAUACAACUUAAUAUUUUACAUGCUCACGCUCACAUUCAGAUCGAACAAAAUACAUCAUCACAUUUAACUCAUUCAAGCCACCAACAAAGUUCUUCACUACCACAGCUUUAAGUGUCUUUCUUUGACAGUUACUUGAAGUGUGCAAAACAUGGCAUAUAAUUGUUUGAUAAAGACACUUAAAGUCGUGGUGGUUAUGGACUUUGUUGGUUGCCAGAACUGAGUUAAAUGUGUGAUGAGGUAUUUCAUUCUGUCCAAGAGUGAAUGUGAGCUGUUGUUAGAAAGUAUUUUAGUUUUACGUGGGUUGUAUGCGUUAGAGGAUCUACAAAGGAAAGGAAAGACAAACACAUGAAGACAUUUAUAAUUGGAAUACAAGAAAAACUAUAUGUAUACUAAUUUACAGUGGUCAGGGUUCUAAUCUUUUGUUGCUCGGUUUUUGGUUGUACAGAGUUAUCUAUUUUUUGGUAGGGUGUUUGUGUUUACGAGGGAGGUUGAUCCCCUAUGGUGGUUUAUGGUACUGAUCUGUUGUAUUGUCUUGGAAAAUCAGUAUAUAAGAACUUUCAGAUGAAAAAAAAAACUGAUUUACAGUGAUUUAGGGAAAAAAGUAUGCUGAAGUAAAAGAUAAGGGUAGGUUCAUUUGAAUAUGUUUUUCGUAACCAUAUGUUAAAAAUCUAAUUCCAUGUUCAUCAUUCCACCAACCAACCUAUUAUAUAUAGACUGUAUAUAUGUAUCUGUAUUCAUUAUCUGGUUUUCGAUUUGGGCAUUUCGAUUUUUGGUUCAGUUUUCAAUCCUUUUUUUUAGAUAUCUAUGAUCUUUUCGGUUAUUUAUAAAAUUCAGUUUGGUUUAUCAUUGGUUAUUUCGGUUUUCAAUUUAUUUCAGACAAUAAAAUUGGAAUCUAUAAAGUUUGUAUUUAAUUUCAUUAAUUUAAAUACUUUCUAUGGAUAAUUUGGAUUUCUUCCAGAAAAGUUAUCGGGUAAUUCAGGGUUUUUAGACAAUAUUGGGUAAUUUAGACAAUUUUAAAUAUUUUGGAUAAAAAAACAUUUGGAUAAUUCGAUUUUUUUUGGUAAUUCGGUUUAAAAGUAAAUUGUUAAGAUAUUUGGUUAUUUUAAAACUAAAUGACUUAAUUAUUUUAGGUAGAUAAACUACUAUGUUUGAAAAUUUAAGUAUUCAUUCAGUUCUAAUUUUUUUAUUUCGAAAAUAUAAGAUAUGUGCAAAUAUUUAUGAAAUUAGUUUCGAUUUCGGUUUGGUGGGUAAAUGUGUCCAUUGCCUACAUGCAUGAUAUAUAGUUAUUUUGUAAAAAUGUUAGAAAUUUGUAAAAGCAUUUUCCCUAUGCAAUCGAUUAUUCAUAGCUUAUGUUGAUUCAAUCAAUUUCAGCUUUGUUAAUCAACAAGCCGAUCAACGAAGACCUCUAUGACAUUGCAGCUAGUUUAACCAACUAUAAUUAUACUAACAUUUUAUCUCGAAAUUCAUGCUUGAUGUUACAUUAGAAAAAAACAACGAAAAGGUCCAAUUGCUAGAAGACAUAUAUCCGCAUAAUCACGACAUAGCAUCUGCCAUGGCAUCUGCAGUUGACAUGUUCCUCUUGUGAUCCUGACGCCUAAGAAAAUAAGUACAAGUGUCUUACAAAUAAAUUUAAUAAAGUGGUGACUUUGAUGAAGAAAGCAAUCAAUAGUUAUGCAAAUUGCAAAUUCCGAUAGAAAGAAUCUUCGCUUAGUAUAUUCGUCUCUGCCUCUUAUGAAAUCUCAAGAGACAUCUCUUUUAUCUUCUUUCCCACUGAACCAAAUCUAAUGCCUCUAUUUUAUUCGCAAGCAUCAACAUUACUAUUCUUUUCUUUUGGUUGAAAACAUCACUUAUAUUUAAAAAAAUUGUUCUUCAAAAUUAUUCUCCUAUUAGUUUUAAAAAAAAAAUUAUUCUCUUUGGAUUUCUUGCUGAUAGAAUAGUACUUCUGACAAAUGAAAUACAUACAGUAUGUUGCUGAUAUCAAUAAUAAUCAUAGAAAUCAAUAGUCCUGACGAGAGCGGUCCAUGAAGCUGAACUCCUACUCACCUGGUCCACGUACAUUGUUAUUUCUAAGAGUUUGCGUAUCCUAGAUCUUUCCAUCUUGAAGAUCUCAGGCUCGAUCUGGUUUAGUAUCCAGUUCUUUUUUUUUCUAUAUGCAAUAUGGGUUCUCAUGCAGCAUUACAACGAUAUAGUGUUUCAAUGUAUAAAAUAACAUGCCACUCGAUCAAAUAUACGUAUCAACAAUAAGAUACUUAUCAAUAAGAUCAUGCAUAUUUGUAAAAUUGAGGAUAAUCUCGAAGUUAUUCUCCACUUUUUUAUAUAAUACUUCUCACAUUGUAUAGGGGGGCGUCUUAUUCUCAAGGGGACAAUUUCUAUCUCCAACUUUAGUUACAGAGAGGCAAUCAUCUCAUUUCCCCAAAGUCAAACACUCGAAUCCAAAACACUCGAUUUUAAAAAAAACUGCCUAACACACUAAAUCUUGUCUCGUCUCCAUUCUCAUCAUUUUUUCUUCAUUAUUAUUGAGAACACAUAUCUACAUCAAGCCCUUCACUCCCGCUUUUAACCGAAAUUAACGAGCUCAACAUCGGACCGCAACACUCCAUGUCUUGCCUUAUCAAAGCUUUGCCUGCAUGACAACCGGUUAAAGAAACAUUAGAACGAAGACUCCAGAUCUUUGAGUCUUCAACUAUAUUGCUCCAGAAGCAUCCCAAACCAAUGAACUAAGAUGGUUCUUAAUAAUGUCGAAGAAGUAUUAAAUAGUCUCAUCAUGUGGCUGUGAGGUGAAGUCAAGAGACACUUAUAAUAGAGGGUAUAUCUGUAAUUUUAAGGUUUGUGUGUUGUGUGGUAUUACCUGGGAAUACAAGAAGGUUCCAAGGAUAGCAAUGGCAGCUCCAAGAGCAUUGACGGGCUGGACAGGAGUACGGAAGAUAAUGAUGGAGGAGACGAUGACUGAGAUACGCUUCAUGGUGUUACCAACACUAAACGUCAAGGGAGAGAUUUGGUCUAAAGACAUGUAAGACACUUGGUUGUAGAGGUGAUAGAACACACUCUGCGCAGCCACCCACCUACAAAAUUUAGUAGAAACAUGAAAAGACGGAAGGACUCUUAAUGAUUCGGAUGAAAUACGAGAGUCUUGAGAGAUAAAGACAAGAACUUGAUAAAUGGGUCUUUUCACAACGCAUUAUAGGAACAGGACAAAACGUCAAACAUACACUUUGAGUUUAAAAGGGUUCCUAAGAGUUGUUUAGAGGGAAGUUACCCGACAAACUGAGGUCCGAUGUCGGAGAGAGCCUUCUGCCAGCCAUCAGCCCACAUCUGAGGUCCUUCAACCGCAAAUGCAAAGGGCGUGAGGAUCAAGAGUGAUAGCAUUGAGAGACAUGCGUAGUAGUUCAUUCCGCUCACAGACUUUCCCUUCAUCCCCUUCUUCGAGAAGAUGUUGCGGAAGACGAAUGCCAAGUUCGAUAUCAUCGCUCCCAUGAAACCUGAGAGUAUAAACCAUUUCAAUCAUAACCAACAACAAUUACAAAGACAAAACAUAACAUGUGAGUGUCUAAGAAUAUAUAUAUUACCAGUCAUGUUGAAGUUAAGCUCAGUAAGAGCAGAGAGAGCACAACCACCAAUAAUCGGAAUGAGGGAGAGGUAAACCGAAGCAGGGAAGGUUUCACCCAAAAGGAACCUCGAGACAAGAACGCUAAACGCCGGCUCACCACUCUUGAUGAUGUGUGUGAAUGAAACCGCAACCUUUGACAUACUCACCGUUGCAGCCACAUGACCAAUUGUAUGCGCCACAGCAACCUUAAACCAAUCCAAAAAAAAAACACUUUCAAUACAACAAAACACCAAAAAAAAAUUAAUACUUUCACCUAUGAAAUUAACACAAUAAUAUGAACAAACACAGCCAAAAAGACACAUCGUUUUCUACUCUCUCUCUCUCUCACCCAGGAAGCAUACAAAACUAUGCAUAUCGUUCAGGUAAAAAACAAAACAAGAAAUAUUCAUGCAAGAUCUAUAAAUAAUUUUUUUAAAAACUGCUAUUUUUAGAAAGUUUUCAUUUUAUAGAGAAAUAUUGUAGAUUUGAGUUUGUUAUUUAGAAAUUUGAAUUACAAGAAUAUUUUUGGAUUGUUGAGUAUUCUUUCAGAGUUUUUCAUCAAUAGGUUGUAUUUUUAAAUAAUUUUCUUAAAAACUGCUAUUUUUGGAAAGUGUUUAUUUUUUAGAGAAAUAUUGUAGAUUUGAGUUUGUGGUUUAGAAGUUAAGAUCAAAAGAUUAUUUGUGGAUAGUUGAGUAUUCUUUCAGAUUUUUUCAUCAAUAUGUUGUAUUUUUAUUUUUUUUAGAGAAAUAUUUUAAAUUUGGGUUUACGGUAUAGAAAUUAAGAUAACAAGAAUAUUUUUGGAUAGUUGAGUAUUCUUUCAGAUUUUUUCAUCAAUAGGUUGUAUUUUGGGAAAUUUGACCCUAUAACCAAAAAAAAAACUAUAUUUCAUCAUCUAACCAUAUAACCCUCUCUCUCUCUUCAUUUCCCUUCCUAUCUCUCUCUACCUUCUUACUACAAAACUAAUAUUUUUCCCAUUAUAAUCAUCUAGCAAAUUAACCCUUGUAUUUUUAAAUAAUUUUCUUAAAAACUGAUAUUUUUGGGAAGUUUUCAUUUUUUUAGAGAAAUAUUGUAGAUUUGAGUUUGUGGUUUAAAUUUUAAGAUAAAAAGAUUAUUUGUUGAUAAUUGAGUAUUCUUUCAGAUUUUUUCAUCAAUAUGUUGUAUUUUAAAAUAAUUUUCUAAAAAACUGCUAUUUUUAGAAAGUCUUCAUUUUAUAUAGAAAUAUUGUAGAUUUGGGUUUGUGAUUUUGAAAUUAGGAUUACAAGAAUAUUUGUGGAUAGAUUGAUUAAAAAAAUCCCAAUAUCUAAUUAUCUGAUAUAAUAUUUUAAUUUUAUAUUAUUAUUAUUUUAAUAGUAUAUUAUUAUUAUUUUAAUAGUAUAUGUCAACUUUGUGUUAUUUUUAUAAAUUUAUUUUUAUGGAUCUGAAUAUAUGCAAAUAUUAUAGUGUUUAGGGAAAUAUCUGAAAUAUGUGGAUGUGAAAACCACACAUUCUAGUUCAGAUAAUUAAACUUGGAUUUAGAUAUCUAGAAUUAUUUUGGAUUAUAGAUCCAUCCCCUUCUACUAUACACUCUUACCUAAUUUUAAAUUUUAAAUUAUCAAACUUUAUUUAUUUAAUUAUUGUUUGAUUUUAUAUUAAUUUCAAAACAUACAAUUAUAAAAUUUUACUAAAAUAACAUGAUUUAGUACUUUUAAUAUUAAACUAUGCCCACAUAUAAUGGAAGAGACAACAAAUAUACUAGUUGAAAAUUAUAUUUUGACAAUUAUAAAAUAUAGAGUUUAAAAUAUUCUUUCAGACCACAUGUUAAAAUCCAAUUCCAUUAUCGUAUUUUACUAUAAAAAAUUGUUUUGGUACAAGAGAUUUUAAUAAAUUUAUUUUCUUGUCCAUUUAUGGUCAAAAUGUAUCCAUAAUUUAUUGCUUUUCUAAAAAAAAUUUACAAAUACUUACUUGGAAUAACAAAAAGCUAAAUUAAAUAUAUUGACGAAAAAUUUGUUUUCACAAUUGUGCACAAGAAACUUGAACAUGCUUCGAACUUCGCUACAACAUUCAAGAUUCAACUCCUGUAUAUGCAAAUAUCUUUUGACUUUCCUCCAACCCAUAAGCCACAUACAACUUAAUAUUUUACAUGCUCACGCUCACAUUCAGAUCGAACAAAAUACAUCAUCACAUUUAACUCAUUCAAGCCACCAACAAAGUUCUUCACUACCACAGCUUUAAGUGUCUUUCUUUGACAGUUACUUGAAGUGUGCAAAACAUGGCAUAUAAUUGUUUGAUAAAGACACUUAAAGUCGUGGUGGUUAUGGACUUUGUUGGUUGCCAGAACUGAGUUAAAUGUGUGAUGAGGUAUUUCAUUCUGUCCAAGAGUGAAUGUGAGCUGUUGUUAGAAAGUAUUUUAGUUUUACGUGGGUUGUAUGCGUUAGAGGAUCUACAAAGGAAAGGAAAGACAAACACAUGAAGACAUUUAUAAUUGGAAUACAAGAAAAACUAUAUGUAUACUAAUUUACAGUGGUCAGGGUUCUAAUCUUUUGUUGCUCGGUUUUUGGUUGUACAGAGUUAUCUAUUUUUUGGUAGGGUGUUUGUGUUUACGAGGGAGGUUGAUCCCCUAUGGUGGUUUAUGGUACUGAUCUGUUGUAUUGUCUUGGAAAAUCAGUAUAUAAGAACUUUCAGAUGAAAAAAAAAACUGAUUUACAGUGAUUUAGGGAAAAAAGUAUGCUGAAGUAAAAGAUAAGGGUAGGUUCAUUUGAAUAUGUUUUUCGUAACCAUAUGUUAAAAAUCUAAUUCCAUGUUCAUCAUUCCACCAACCAACCUAUUAUAUAUAGACUGUAUAUAUGUAUCUGUAUUCAUUAUCUGGUUUUCGAUUUGGGCAUUUCGAUUUUUGGUUCAGUUUUCAAUCCUUUUUUUUAGAUAUCUAUGAUCUUUUCGGUUAUUUAUAAAAUUCAGUUUGGUUUAUCAUUGGUUAUUUCGGUUUUCAAUUUAUUUCAGACAAUAAAAUUGGAAUCUAUAAAGUUUGUAUUUAAUUUCAUUAAUUUAAAUACUUUCUAUGGAUAAUUUGGAUUUCUUCCAGAAAAGUUAUCGGGUAAUUCAGGGUUUUUAGACAAUAUUGGGUAAUUUAGACAAUUUUAAAUAUUUUGGAUAAAAAAACAUUUGGAUAAUUCGAUUUUUUUUGGUAAUUCGGUUUAAAAGUAAAUUGUUAAGAUAUUUGGUUAUUUUAAAACUAAAUGACUUAAUUAUUUUAGGUAGAUAAACUACUAUGUUUGAAAAUUUAAGUAUUCAUUCAGUUCUAAUUUUUUUAUUUCGAAAAUAUAAGAUAUGUGCAAAUAUUUAUGAAAUUAGUUUCGAUUUCGGUUUGGUGGGUAAAUGUGUCCAUUGCCUACAUGCAUGAUAUAUAGUUAUUUUGUAAAAAUGUUAGAAAUUUGUAAAAGCAUUUUCCCUAUGCAAUCGAUUAUUCAUAGCUUAUGUUGAUUCAAUCAAUUUCAGCUUUGUUAAUCAACAAGCCGAUCAACGAAGACCUCUAUGACAUUGCAGCUAGUUUAACCAACUAUAAUUAUACUAACAUUUUAUCUCGAAAUUCAUGCUUGAUGUUACAUUAGAAAAAAACAACGAAAAGGUCCAAUUGCUAGAAGACAUAUAUCCGCAUAAUCACGACAUAGCAUCUGCCAUGGCAUCUGCAGUUGACAUGUUCCUCUUGUGAUCCUGACGCCUAAGAAAAUAAGUACAAGUGUCUUACAAAUAAAUUUAAUAAAGUGGUGACUUUGAUGAAGAAAGCAAUCAAUAGUUAUGCAAAUUGCAAAUUCCGAUAGAAAGAAUCUUCGCUUAGUAUAUUCGUCUCUGCCUCUUAUGAAAUCUCAAGAGACAUCUCUUUUAUCUUCUUUCCCACUGAACCAAAUCUAAUGCCUCUAUUUUAUUCGCAAGCAUCAACAUUACUAUUCUUUUCUUUUGGUUGAAAACAUCACUUAUAUUUAAAAAAAUUGUUCUUCAAAAUUAUUCUCCUAUUAGUUUUAAAAAAAAAAUUAUUCUCUUUGGAUUUCUUGCUGAUAGAAUAGUACUUCUGACAAAUGAAAUACAUACAGUAUGUUGCUGAUAUCAAUAAUAAUCAUAGAAAUCAAUAGUCCUGACGAGAGCGGUCCAUGAAGCUGAACUCCUACUCACCUGGUCCACGUACAUUGUUAUUUCUAAGAGUUUGCGUAUCCUAGAUCUUUCCAUCUUGAAGAUCUCAGGCUCGAUCUGGUUUAGUAUCCAGUUCUUUUUUUUUCUAUAUGCAAUAUGGGUUCUCAUGCAGCAUUACAACGAUAUAGUGUUUCAAUGUAUAAAAUAACAUGCCACUCGAUCAAAUAUACGUAUCAACAAUAAGAUACUUAUCAAUAAGAUCAUGCAUAUUUGUAAAAUUGAGGAUAAUCUCGAAGUUAUUCUCCACUUUUUUAUAUAAUACUUCUCACAUUGUAUAGGGGGGCGUCUUAUUCUCAAGGGGACAAUUUCUAUCUCCAACUUUAGUUACAGAGAGGCAAUCAUCUCAUUUCCCCAAAGUCAAACACUCGAAUCCAAAACACUCGAUUUUAAAAAAAACUGCCUAACACACUAAAUCUUGUCUCGUCUCCAUUCUCAUCAUUUUUUCUUCAUUAUUAUUGAGAACACAUAUCUACAUCAAGCCCUUCACUCCCGCUUUUAACCGAAAUUAACGAGCUCAACAUCGGACCGCAACACUCCAUGUCUUGCCUUAUCAAAGCUUUGCCUGCAUGACAACCGGUUAAAGAAACAUUAGAACGAAGACUCCAGAUCUUUGAGUCUUCAACUAUAUUGCUCCAGAAGCAUCCCAAACCAAUGAACUAAGAUGGUUCUUAAUAAUGUCGAAGAAGUAUUAAAUAGUCUCAUCAUGUGGCUGUGAGGUGAAGUCAAGAGACACUUAUAAUAGAGGGUAUAUCUGUAAUUUUAAGGUUUGUGUGUUGUGUGGUAUUACCUGGGAAUACAAGAAGGUUCCAAGGAUAGCAAUGGCAGCUCCAAGAGCAUUGACGGGCUGGACAGGAGUACGGAAGAUAAUGAUGGAGGAGACGAUGACUGAGAUACGCUUCAUGGUGUUACCAACACUAAACGUCAAGGGAGAGAUUUGGUCUAAAGACAUGUAAGACACUUGGUUGUAGAGGUGAUAGAACACACUCUGCGCAGCCACCCACCUACAAAAUUUAGUAGAAACAUGAAAAGACGGAAGGACUCUUAAUGAUUCGGAUGAAAUACGAGAGUCUUGAGAGAUAAAGACAAGAACUUGAUAAAUGGGUCUUUUCACAACGCAUUAUAGGAACAGGACAAAACGUCAAACAUACACUUUGAGUUUAAAAGGGUUCCUAAGAGUUGUUUAGAGGGAAGUUACCCGACAAACUGAGGUCCGAUGUCGGAGAGAGCCUUCUGCCAGCCAUCAGCCCACAUCUGAGGUCCUUCAACCGCAAAUGCAAAGGGCGUGAGGAUCAAGAGUGAUAGCAUUGAGAGACAUGCGUAGUAGUUCAUUCCGCUCACAGACUUUCCCUUCAUCCCCUUCUUCGAGAAGAUGUUGCGGAAGACGAAUGCCAAGUUCGAUAUCAUCGCUCCCAUGAAACCUGAGAGUAUAAACCAUUUCAAUCAUAACCAACAACAAUUACAAAGACAAAACAUAACAUGUGAGUGUCUAAGAAUAUAUAUAUUACCAGUCAUGUUGAAGUUAAGCUCAGUAAGAGCAGAGAGAGCACAACCACCAAUAAUCGGAAUGAGGGAGAGGUAAACCGAAGCAGGGAAGGUUUCACCCAAAAGGAACCUCGAGACAAGAACGCUAAACGCCGGCUCACCACUCUUGAUGAUGUGUGUGAAUGAAACCGCAACCUUUGACAUACUCACCGUUGCAGCCACAUGACCAAUUGUAUGCGCCACAGCAACCUUAAACCAAUCCAAAAAAAAAACACUUUCAAUACAACAAAACACCAAAAAAAAAUUAAUACUUUCACCUAUGAAAUUAACACAAUAAUAUGAACAAACACAGCCAAAAAGACACAUCGUUUUCUACUCUCUCUCUCUCUCACCCAGGAAGCAUACAAAACUAUGCAUAUCGUUCAGGUAAAAAACAAAACAAGAAAUAUUCAUGCAAGAUCUAAAACUAAACCUAAGUACCCAUCAUUGUAAACAUCGAUACGUAACCUAAAGUUUCAACCUUUACUUCUCUAAGCAACAAACCCACAAGUACCCAUCAUCGUAAACAUCGACAUCUAACCUAAAGUUUCAACCUUUACUCCUCAAACCCACCAACCCACUUACCGGAAAAAGAGUUUUCCAGAAAUCGAAAUCAGUUUUAGGAGUCUCAACGAUCCCAACGGCCCAGGAGAUGAGCAUCAUCAACGAACCGGCGGCGAGAGAGAGCGUCGAGGUGAGCCACGGGUAAGGGUAAGCGUUCAAGACCUUCUUGUUGUAGAUGUUGAACACGACGUUCAAAGCCCACCAGGUCGCGAAGUAGACUCCGAUCUUCAGCUUCUUCGCCGCCUCCGACUUCGUUUCCGCCGCCGCGUCGAUCGGCUGAGGCUCGGACUUGUCGGCUUCGUAGGCGGAGCAUCUCACCGGAGACUCUGCUCUCAGAGAGGAGAGGUGAAGCGGCCUGGAGAGAGACAAAACGGUGCGUUUUGGAAGGGCCGUCGAGGGGAAGGAGAGAGAAGGGGGAGGUCGUUGGAGUGAGGGGGAUGAUGGGUUACGGCGUAAAAGGGGAUUGGAGAAUCCGAUCUGCUUCGCCGCUAAAACCAUCGCCGGAGUAAAGGAGGAAGCUUUAUCGUCGAAUUUAAAAAAAAAAUUAAAAAUAUUUAGAAACUUCGAACACGUAGAAGCGAUCAAGGGUUUGACCUAGAAUCUAAAACGGAGAAGAAUUCAAACAAAGAGAGAUCUUAGGAGAGUUAGGUGGUCUUGUCCGUAAUGUUUAUGGAGAAAGAGAAUUAUAUAAGAACUACUGCAAGUAUCGAAAGUACAUUAUAUGCGUUUAUACGCUAUUUGUCGUUUUUAUUUUAUUUUUAAUGGAAAUAAUUAUUUGCUGACGAAUACAAAAAUAAAUUGUUUGUUAUUUAUUUAUUUUUCAAAUCAGUGAGACUGCCAGACAGGGGAACUGAGUUUAUAAGAAGUCCCCCCUAUUCGAGUUUAGGUUUUUUUUUUUGGGGUCAAAUUCGAGUUUAGGUUUAACUUCUACUUUUUUUCUUUUGUCAUCAGGUAAUAUUAUUAACAACCAAAUUUACAACAAUAUAUAGAAGAACAAAGACGGAAGAAAAACUUAAUUCUCUCAAACCUCAUAUGUAUCCUGAAGGGUUUGGUUUCGUGACUGUGGUCCUUCUGGUUAGGUAUGGGCAUUCGUAUAACUGGUUCAGAUCCAUUUUUUUCAAAAUGCUUAUGUGUUUUUGUGAUAAAAAUUAGUUUUUUACCAGAGGUUGUUGGACGUAUAGCGACCCAAAAGUUCCCAAACUAUAAAGAUAACAAUCAUCUACAAUUCUAAUUUACCUUCUAUUUAUGUUAUAAAUAUUAGUUUUCUCUAAUUAAUAUAUUAAAAUAGAGAUAAAAACUUUUUUUUUGAAACACAAUAGAGAUAAAAACUUUUUUUUAAAUUUCUCGUUAAAAAUAUUAAAUAUUAUUUUUAUAAAACAGAAGUAAAAUCUUUAAGCGAUACUAUUUAUGAAUAGAAAGAAGUAUCUGUUAUUUUUGUUUAAUAAAAAGUGCUUUUUAAUUUUAGUUUCAUACUUUUCACAUGUAUAAUAAGUGUAAAUAUUUAGGGUGUAUAUGGUUUUUACACAGUUUCUGAGAAAAUAAUAACAAUAAUGAUAUUUUGUAAUUAUUUGAAAAAAAAUAAUAUUGUAUUAUAAAUAAAUGGUAAAAUAGUAAACAGAAAAAAAAAAGACAAUUAGCUUUGUGUUUGUUUUCAAUUUCUAGGUCAUUUUCGCAAAUCAUUCUUUAAUGUGAAGUCAAUUUCUACAACAAAAGAAACAAUAAUAAUAGAGUACUAGAGCUUGACCCGCUCGCCCGAGCGGAUGUUUAUUUUUAAUUUUUUAUAAGUAAAUUUUUGUUUUUUAUAAAUGGUAUACAUAUAUUUAUAAUUUAAAUGUAUGUUGGUGGUUGACCCAUAAACCGCACAUGUAUUUAUUUUUACAUUUUUAUAAGUAAUUUUUUGUAUAAAUGGUAUAAUAUAUGUAAUGAAUCAAUCGAAAUAGUUGAGGUAUAUGUAUAUUUAGUCGUCUGCCUAAAUCAAUAGUAUUGGUGAUACUGUUAUGAAUAUAAUUUCUUGCGUGACCAGAUUAUAGAAAGUAUUACCUAAAGGGUAAAUCUAUCGGACAUGGUUUCAUUUAGAAUAAUAAUUUAUUGGUAAGAUAGAUUAUAAAGAAGUUUAGACCCAAAUAUAUAGAAAGAUUACAAUUUAGCUAACAACUGAUUGAGUUUUUAAUAAAUAGGAAAUAUUUUUAAAUGUUUUUUGUGAUAAAAAUUGAUUAUGUUUGUUAUUUACGAUUUUAAAUAAAUAGCAAAAUUUUGUAACAAUAAAAUUGCCAGUUAUGAUUUUAAAGAAUGAGUGGAGGGAUAUUUUUCCUUGUUAGUUAUAAUAAGGGUAACCUAAAUGAAGAGUAGUAUAUAGUACUUAAUACUUUAAACACACAUAUAAAGAAUAAUAAAUUUGUUAUAACAUUUUUUAAAUGCAAAACAUAUAUGUGUGAAGAAGAAUAGUUUACGUGGGUGGACAUUUGCAAAGAAAUUCAGUUUUAUUAGGAAGAAUAGUUUGGAGGAGCUUGGCAAAUCUUAAAAUGUAAAUACAAAUUUUAUAUAAAAAAUGUAAAUACAAAAUGAGAAAACAUAUACUAAGAACAUUUUAACGCUAUUAAUUUUUUUUGGUCUGAAAAAAAAAAUUAAAAAGCGAAUCAAUCAUGGGCUGCCACGUGUCGGUGGGGUCUGCAAACAGUGCAAAAACCCAACCAAGAUCGGUUCUUAUUUCAUUACUUUUGUGAUCGGUUUUUAUGGUUUUUGUGGGACUCCCGGGUUAAGAAACCCCCCUAAUAACCCGGGAUAAAGAUGGUCUAAUAAGACCGAAACUUUAAACAUUCUUCUGUUUUUUGUUGGAGUUCACGAUUUGGACCGACUGCAGGGUCGAUUGAUUGCUAUUUUAAUUUGUAUUUACAUUUGUUGUUAUGAAUUUGUGUAUUUUGAAGUUGUAAUGGUCGACAUAUAUAAAAUUGAACUUUUUAGUUUUUAGAAUUGGGAGCGAUCUUUUUUCUCUCUCAAAAAACUUUUCUCCACCAUCUCUCUAACCUAGUUUCAGCUUCAGCCAGCCUCGCUCCUCCCUGCUCCGGCGGCGGUGGUCCUUCUAGGUCGUCGUCGGAGGCUCGUGUCUUCUCUUUCUGUUUUGCUUCAUCGGCUUUUUCCUUCUCCCUUCGGUCUUGCCAAAGCCCUGGAUCUGUCCCCUCCGCCUCAGACUUCUCAUCUAUCCGUGAUAGAUCCGGUGGUUUGGUUCUCGCGGUAGUCGAUCUGGUGUGACGGCGACGAUUGGUGCAAGGGACUGUCGGUGGAGUCGGCUACGUGGGUGGUUGGUGCCGUAUGUAUCUUUGCUGGAGCUCCUGCAGUAGAUCUGUUGGUACCGAGGCGGUGUUCUAGAGGUUAGCGCUUGGACCAGCGUCGAUCCUCUCUCCCGCUUUCAGGUCGCUGGAUUUUCUCUCAGCUUUUUCCUGGAUCUAGGGUUCUGACCAUGAGAGCGACGGCGCGUGGAGUUUUGAUGAGAUUUCUACCCUGCGGUUCUUCAUUGUCACGCUUCCUUGGUGGCUCGAGUGAGGUUUGUGUUUCAUGGCUGGGUUUUUAUGUCUGGGUUUUUGGAUCCGUCCAGAGCCUCUUUACUUUUGGGAGAUCCUGUUGCUGGUUCUCAGUUAUGGGUGCGUGUGAGGUGCUUCUUCUUUCGGUGUUGUCGUCCGAGCUUGGAGGUUCCUGUGACAGUACGUAACGAGUCACGAGACAGCAUCCGCGUCUCAUUGGUGGUCUCUGUCUUCCAGAGUCGAGCUCUUGACUGUGGCAGCGCGUAAGUCUCUCUCUUUCCUGCAAUAAAGGCGUCAUCUUUUUGGCUUCGGUCUUGCCAAAGCCCUGGAUCUGUCCCCUCCGCCUCAGACUUCUCAUCUAUCCGUGAUAGAUCCGGUGGUUUGGUUCUCGCGGUAGUCGAUCUGGUGUGACGGCGACGAUUGGUGCAAGGGACUGUCGGUGGAGUCGGCUACGUGGGUGGUUGGUGCCGUAUGUAUCUUUGCUGGAGCUCCUGCAGUAGAUCUGUUGGUACCGAGGCGGUGUUCUAGAGGUUAGCGCUUGGACCAGCGUCGAUCCUCUCUCCCGCUUUCAGGUCGCUGGAUUUUCUCUCAGCUUUUUCCUGGAUCUAGGGUUCUGACCAUGAGAGCGACGGCGCGUGGAGUUUUGAUGAGAUUUCUACCCUGCGGUUCUUCAUUGUCACGCUUCCUUGGUGGCUCGAGUGAGGUUUGUGUUUCAUGGCUGGGUUUUUAUGUCUGGGUUUUUGGAUCCGUCCAGAGCCUCUUUACUUUUGGGAGAUCCUGUUGCUGGUUCUCAGUUAUGGGUGCGUGUGAGGUGCUUCUUCUUUCGGUGUUGUCGUCCGAGCUUGGAGGUUCCUGUGACAGUACGUAACGAGUCACGAGACAGCAUCCGCGUCUCAUUGGUGGUCUCUGUCUUCCAGAGUCGAGCUCUUGACUGUGGCAGCGCGUAAGUCUCUCUCUUUCCUGCAAUAAAGGCGUCAUCUUUUUGGAGUUGUAGCUUCUGUGAAAGCGGUAUGGUCUGUAGAGUGUGGAUAGGAGGUAGUUUGGCACUCGGUUCUCUUACUAGUUCGAAGGUUGCUCUUUUCCGGAGGAGGUGUGCCCGAUAUGUCUCACUGAUCCUCUUGUUCGGUGGGUUAAAUGGGUGUAUACGGUCUUGGGUUUGGAGGGUUGGAGGCAGCAAUCUCCAGUUCACCGUCCCGCACGACGGCACCGCCUAUCUGUGGACUCCUCCUCGUGCUGCCGGUGGGGCGAUGUUGAAUGGGUUUGCAGCAUCGUGAUGUAUUUCUUUGUGGUUGUGUUGAUGAUUGAGUCUCUUGGAAGCUGUAGGUCUUUACCCGUUGUUUCAAGGUUUGAGCCGCCUUUCUCUCUGGGAGCUCGCGGCAACUGAGAGCUUAGUCCCCUCACACUUCUCCUUUGGGUCAUCGUCUCUACGUUACCUCCGGUUCAUCUCUUAGGCUAUUCUUCUUUGUAAUAGAAAGUGCAUUUUCAUUAUAGAUGCUUUGUUUAGUUUUAAUUUCUGCAAUUCCGUUUCUAGUCUUCUUCGUAUUUCUGUAAAAAAAGAAAAUUUGGUAUAAUAAUCUUAACAUUUUACCAAAAAAAAAAAAAAUUGAACUUUUGAAAACAACUUACAAUAAUGUUUUAUUUGUGGACAUAAAAUUUUAAUAUUACUAUAUGUUAGUAAGAUAAUUAAACCAAAUUGAUUGUGUAUUAGAUUGAGGAUAUUAUUUGUCAAAUUAGGAAAAAACAAUAGUUGCUUAAAUUUAGGUUUGGUUAUUACUUUAAUGGCAUAGAUUCGUAAAUAAGUUGUAAGUCUUAGGGUUAAUUCUAAAUUGUACUUUUGUUUUAAUAGAUUAGAUAUAAAAAAUCAGCCACAUAAAUUUCGAAAAACAAUUUUAUUCUAUUUGAUUUGAAUUUUAACCUAAACUACUAACCUAUUUUUAAAGAAAACUACUCAACCUAAAACUGGAUCAUCAACCAUCGGGAUUGGCUACCACCAGGAAAAGUGUUUUCAUAUGGCAUGAUCGUGUGCUAGAAUUGUCGAUAUAUGAUGCCUUUUACAACUUGCCCUGUCGAGCCCAUUAAGCCCACCAAUUAGUUUAUGUUCACUUUAAUCUAAUAUCAGUUUUACUAUCUUGAAGUUGCUUGUAGAGAUAUAUUGGUUUUUUUUGAUAAAAAAAAAAAAGAGAGAUAUAUUGGUUAAACUACUUGGUGACUAAUUUAUGCCAAAAAACAUUAUCUUUAACUUUAACCCGCAACAUUCCUACACUGCACAUGAAGGUCCAGUGGCUUCACUCAAAGUGUGAUUUGUGGCUAGCACUAUCUGUUCGAGUGCGUAUAGAAUAUGCAUGAGUAUAAAAAUAAAUAAAUAAACAUAUAAUUUUUCUUAUCGAAGUUAAAUUUUCUACAUCUCUGAAAAACAAAUCUACUAGAACAAGAUUACGAUUACCAUUGCUAUGGUAUCCAACACUACAAUGCUUACUAUUAUUUUUAGAUGGAUGAUUAUUAUUUUUUUUGAAAAAAGGCUUACGAUGAUUAUGAAGCAACACUAUCAUUAACUACCAUCCUAUACAUCUUGUGUGCAUAUCUGAGAAAUACCCUAGACAAGUAAGCUUUCAUGAGAUAGAAUUUUAUAUUUGUACUGAUUGUUAAGUCCUAAGAUCUCUAAGCAAUCUUUCAUUUUUCACCUUCUAUAAAUAAAGAAACUUUUUCAUAAUCUUAACUAAACUAUUCAUGAUGAUUAUCCAGCUCAACAUCAUGUCUUGGGUUGGUCCUAAUCGACCCCGUGUUGUUGUCCACUGAUGUAUUUCAGCAGUCACAUAAGUUAGUAUCUUGUAUGACUUAUUAUACCCUUUCCUGUACUAUUUCAAGAUUAGUACAUCAAUCACUACAGAUAACUAAUACAUCUUCUGGUAUUUAUCAUGACCCGUUCAAACACCUUCUCAAACCAGGAGCAAUACAUCUUCAUUCACGAGUUAACUUUCGUCCACCUUGACUGAUUGUUGAACACUACCUUUGAUAAAAGUCUGAUUGUUGAACACUACCUUUGAUAAAAGUCUUUUUGAAGUUUAACAGAGAAACCCAUGACAUAACUGUAGCUCUCAAAAAAAUUAUAUUCACUAUCAAAUUAUAUCUUCAAAUCACCACUGGAACAUAAAUUGUACCACUAAAAACAAUUUCAAUUAAUCUAAUUUUUUUUCUUAUAAACUGACGAACGUGCAUUUCCACCCUAAUUAGCUAGUUUUAGAUUUUUUAUAAAAAAAUUCUAACCUAAAAUGCAGUAGUUUUAUUGUCUGCAACAAUUAAAUAAGUUUUGGUAGUAGAAAAUCUUUAAAACUAGAACACAAGAAACACACACAUUCAGUAAAAUAUCACCGUACAAUUGUAUACAAUUCUAGAAUCUAAUAAUGAUAUCUAAGCACCAUGGUAGAACUAUACAUAGAUGAUGUUAGAAGUUCUAGAUUUUUGUAAAAUUGUUUUAGGGGGUAUAAAUAUUUUUAACGCUUUUUACCCAAAAAAAAUAUCUCUUAAUGCUUUUGUGUGUAACUUAAUUUAAAAAAGAAUCAAAGUAAACCGAAGCAAUAAAAUAAUUUUGUUCUAUGUUCAUAUAUAUUAACUCAAAUGUUUUGCUAAGAGUUUUUCUAAUAUUUAUCUUUAUAUUUAGCAGCUUUAGUCUCUUUGUUUCUUUUAUAUGUUUGGAUAUUAAACUGUUGAAUUAGUGCUAUUCAAUGUAGUUUUGUAUAAUAACUGUUAUAAAGAAUGCAAGAAAAUAAACAUGAACAAAUUAAAAAAAAAAACAAAAAAAAAUUGCUGAAAAAUAGAGACUAAAUAUAUAUUCUGAUACACUGGUGUAAUUUAAACACAUACAACAUAAAUUUGAAACUUUAAAACUAAUGAAUUCGCAUAAAGAGAAUGACUUAUUUAUGUACUAACCAAUUUGGCAAUAGAAACUAAGUAACCAUAUUGAUUUUGAUGUAUAAUCUAACAUUUAUGCCAAAAGUCAUCCGAUUUUAACCUUUCUUUUUAUAAUUAUCCGACUAUGUGCAGAAGGAAAUGACGUGGCCGAUAGAAUAUAUGGUAAAGAACAACUCGAAACUAUUCCAUAUGAAUGAGGAGGAGCCAGCCAUGUCAGCCUGAUAUUUACUGCAUAUAUAUUUACUGUAGGCAGUGAAAGGAGUGAUUUAAAAUAUAAAGAUGUUGCAGUAAAUGGUUUAUUCCAUUUAAUAACAUACAUAUGCACCGUUAUAUUCCAUAUCGCUGAAGUAGUAUAAGAUUAUAAUUUCAUCCACAAUUUUUAAAUACUAAACAUUACUUCAGCUCCUAAAUACUAAAUCCAAACCAAAUGUAAACUAUAAUAUAUAUUUAUAAUAUUUAAAUAAAAUUAAAAUCUGGAAUAGCACAUAAUAUAUUGUAAUAUUAAACUAUAUUAUAUAAAAUGAAAGGUAGAAUAAACUUGUGAAUUACAAUCAUUUGUUUGGAUGUGGUUAAAGAAAUGAUAAAUUGAGUUUGUAAAUCACUUGUGUCGGUGUGGUUAACUCAUAAACCAAUAUUCAUAUCAAGGAUACAACUUCAAAAAAUAGUACAUGCUUAUUUAUGAUAAAAUCACAUUUAUAUUUUACAUUCGUCAAAUAGAAUAGAGCAAAAUAUUACAUUGAAACAUUUAAAGGAGAUGAGGAGGCUAUAGUAGGUAUGAGGUGGAAGAAGAGAGAAAGAGUGGCAGCAAUAAAACAACUGGAAGAAGAGAGAAAGAGUGGCAGCAAUAAAACAACCGGUGGUAGCACCAAUGUUACAGGUGGAAUAAAAACAAUCAUAACAUAUAUUAUGUUACACAUCUAUUUUAUUUGUCUAUAAUAUAAUAGAAAAAGAAUCAGUUAUCUUCUCUGAUAUUUUAUCACAGACAGAAAUAACUAAUACAAAAUUAUAGAAUAAACAUCUAUAUACAGUAUAGUUUUUUUUCUGAUCAACGGUAUUCGACAUCCUAGUGGCCAUAGUUGAUUUUCAAUAAUAUAUAUCAUGCAACAUCUCCAAAUGCUCGUUCUAUUUAUAUCUGUUCAUAUGACAUCAACAUGUGCUAUUCCAUUUACAAGUACAUACACAAAAUAGAAUGGAGAUAUAUAAUCGAUGUGGAAUAUUUUUUUUAGAUGUAUUUACCUUUUCUCUUCCAAUGGAAUAAAUAACGACUGGCGGAAACAUGUAUGUCUAACAGUGGUUGAAGAAGAUAUUUUGUUGUUGAUACAAUAGGUAGAAAAAGAAGAAGAGACAGUAGGAGAAAGUGAAGAAAAAAUAGGUGACGACAGUGGUGGAAGAGAAGACCGGUUGUGACGAGUAAAACAAUUAGUGGUGAUGGUUCAAUUAUACAGAUGGAGGUCAUUAUGGUGGAAAUAAAAUUGAUGGAAUAAUGAAGGAGAAGAAUCAUUGUUCGUGGCUUCAUCUUUUGAUAACCUAACUAGAUGUAAACAUGUGAAAGAAGAAUAAAACAUGAUGUAAUAAUUAUCAUUAUCUAGAAUAUGUUGUUUAGAACGGACAAAAUGACAAUUAUAUAAAAAAAUAUGUUGUGUACUUUAGCUUAUUAGGUAAAAUUGUUAGAUUUUGUAUUAUAAUUUUCUCUUGGUUAUACAGUCAAAUUUCCUUAAGAAAAAUGACUAAAAAAGAAACCAUCACCUCAUGGACCCUGACUUACCAAGUACCAACCGAACAGCAAAAUUCUUGAUUAUAUGCUUUAAUGAGUCGUCAGUCGUCACUAAUUCAAAAUAUAUCAACAAUAGCGUUACUCGUAAAUUCAAAAUUCUCUUUGUAAUUUUUAUUGUAUUCUUGUAAAUCUCAUAAUAGGUUUUUCAAGAGGAAAAAAAAGGUACACAACUAUAACGAAAUAAAAGUAAAUAAAAGAGAUGUUUCUCUCGUUCCUUUAUUUUUGAACAAUUUUUUUUUUGGUAAACAAAAAGUUAUUUUCACCUCUUUAUCGGGAAUUCAAACAUUGUAAAUAGUCAUUUCUACCGUGAGUUGAAUCCAAGUAGCAGAAGUUACAGCCGCAACCCCUUUACCACAACAUUGGUUAUUUUUGAACAAUUCCUAAUCCCUAAUCAUUGGAUUUGACUUUUAUCAUAAAUCAUAAUCAUGUUUAGCUUAACAACUUGAGAAUAAUUGGUAGCUCACAUGCGGAUGUCAAAGCGGCAUAUACGUGUCUAUUUGCAAUUUCACUCUAGCAUGUAAAUCAACGCGAUGUACUUACAUGUCGCGUUAUUCUUCGUAUAAAGUCGAUUUUGGUUAGGGUAAUAUUACAUGACACAUGAAUAUAUUGAUCGCUAAAUAUUACUCUUGUUAUCGUUAUUCAUAUCAAUACACGUAAAUGAGACAAGUAAUUUGUUUUUCUGUUCUUUUAAUCGCGAAAGCUGAUUAAGUGAAAGCUAUUUCUUUUAUUUUCUUUUCAGGAGACUGAAAACUAUGUUAAUCUAACCGUAUGACGUAACAAAUUUUAUUUUAAUCGGAAAUAUAUAUAUAUAUAUAUAUACAAAAAGCAUUGACCUAUCUGUUUUUUUCUGAAGCACAAAGUAAUAUUCCGUUGAGCGUCAUUUAUUUAUCUUUUGUAGCUUUACUGGAACCCACUAAUUCGCCACGUAGAUUUUAUUGUACUAUUUAUCUUAAACACAUCGAUUAUUUCUAGCUAUAUUAUAUAAGUAUAUCAAUGUGAUAUACUACAAACGUAUUAUAUACUUAUAUAGUAUAUCAAUGUGAUAUAUUACCUUAAACCAAUGAAAACAAAUUUUAAACUAUAUAAUUUAUUUUAAAAAUUAAACAAAAACUAAAUGUUUAAUUAUUUACUCGAUAAUAUAAACCUAUAAAGCGAAAAGUUUAAUUUUAAAUUUUUUUAAAAAUUUGUGAAAUGUUAUAAUAUCUUUGAAUAUGACAAUAAAACAAUAUUUUAUUAAUCUUUAUAUAUAUAGUUACAAUUUUAAUAAUGAAAUAAUAAUCCGAAAAUAUAUAUAUAGAAAAAAAUACAAAUACAUGUGAAAGUCUCAAACAAUCUAUUCAAUGAAAAAAUAUAUACAAUAAACUUAUUAUGUUUUAAAAAUUUAUAGACACAUAUAUAUUAUAAAAUAUACUAAUUUAAAAUUGAAAAAAAUAUUUAUAUAAAAAUAAAUGAAAACAAAAACCCGCGCGGUUGCACGGAUCGAGAUCUAGUAAAUAAUUUAUCCUUAAGUUAGGCAGCUCAAUAAUAGAAAUAAUUCAUUUUUAAAUGAAAUAAAAUCUUUGUGAGAUCUUCAGUUGACGUAUGUCAAGGAGUUUUACAAAGUCAAUGAUAUUUAAGAUUAUUAAACUGGAAGUUGACAAAUUCUAAAUCUUCUUUGUUGGUUUAGUUUAUAAUUUUGGUUACCUAACUCUCCUGUAAAUAACGUUUUAUUUUUAGUUCUAGGAUAUUAUUAGAGAAAUUGCACCUAAUAGCUAAGAAAAAAAACAAAAUUCAAUACACUACACCCAGUUAAAGUUGAAUAUGAUAUAUGCAGUUCUUCUAGGAUUUAACUCUAUUAAAAUGUUUUUUUUGGUAAUCAUGUUAAAUUUUAUAUUUGGGGUAUUUAACUUUUGUUUUGAGUGACGUAUGCUAUUUUUUUAAAAUUUAACUGUAAUUUGAUCUUAUAACAUAUAUUCAAAAAGUAAAUGUUUCAAAAAAAAAAAAUGUUUCCAUAUAAGUGUAUAACCCUUGAAAAAGGGAUCGCAGGGAUUCACAUGCAUAGCAAGAGUUUGCACAGAAGUACAAAAAUGACGAUUAAGAUGGUGCAAAGUAGGGUUGAUCGAUUUGCUAUAUGUUUCUUUUUAUUUUAGGCUUUUUAGCUUAACAUGUAACUUUCUUUUUAUACAUUAUACUCAUUCACAUAAUUCAUCAAAAAUUCCGUUUUGUUUGGAGUUUGAACGAAAAGGUCUCCAAAAACGUACUGCAUCAGCAUGACUGCAUUCGAUAUUCGUCUCUUAAAUCAUGAACCAUGCUCCUCAUUCCUCAACUCAUUAACUAUUUAAUAUAUUAUUUUCUUAUGUGAACAUUAAAUAUAUAUUUUAAAUAAACAAACUAUUUGAAACUCUUGUAAUAAGUGGCUUGCCACAAUUCUAAAAAACUGAAAAUCUUGGUAUAAAUCUUAACAUUUAAACCAAAAAAAAAAAAAAAAAACUAUUUGAAACUCGUCUACUUGUACCGUACGAAUAACUAGUUUAGUAGUCAUGUAGUUUUCUUAAUAUAAAUUUUUUGGAUAAUGUGAAACCGGCGCAUUUGCUCGUUGAUUUAUUCGUAAUCCAGAACUUAGUGAUAAUUACUUAAUUAUCGGUUUCUUAUGGACCAACACAACCAAAGUGGACAAACAAGAAACUAAUUUAAUUAGGAAUCUAAAGAAAAAAAAUGUUUCCGUCCAAUCUAUUCAUUAACUUAGUAGGAACGAGCGAAAAUGCGACGUAAUAAAAUUGACGGCAACUAAAAGCCUUUUCAGAAUAUGGAGCAGAAUGUGACACAUCUUCCUCGUCACACAUAAAUUCAUACAUGAUUAUUUACCGGCUUCGCUGUAGAUAUUAACAUAUAUACAUUAUUCUUAGGGAUAAUGCACCAAACAAUUAUUCGAUAAAGAAGAUAAAGUAAUCACAGAGCAGUUCGACGGAAUACACGUCUAAAAACUUAGAUCCUAGAGCCGAGCACCAUACUAUAUAUAAAUUAAAACAGAUAAUUAUAUACAGUAUUAAUGAAUGACGCAUAUUAGUUGAUGAAAUAAGAACUUUUUAAAUAAGAAAUUUUAUAUCUUUUUAGUUAUUCAGAAAGCAUUAAGAAUAAAAAAUACUGUCAAAUGGAUCCAAUCAUAAUAUAUACUUUCUUCAUCGUAUUUUCUCAUUUCUAUAUUCUUGAUUACUUAUAAAUUACCAAACAAUAUUUUAAUUUUUUUAACCAAAAAACCAAUAUUUUAGUUGUUUAUGUUUAAACAAUUUAACUAGUAGUAAUAGUUUGUAUUAUUCAAAAGAUUCAAUUUCAGAUUUAAUUUUUAAUUAUGUCUUUAAAAUUCGUAUUCAUGUUUAAAUCUGCAGAAGUAACAGUGCUAAAUUGGUUUGAAUAUUUCAAAUCAACUUUUUUUCCAACCAAAUAGAGGGAAAAUACAGAUAGAGCGACCACACAAACCAGGAUUCCAAACCAACAUUCCCAUCAUUUUUAGCAAAAUAAAAAUUAAUUCAGCUUUAAGUAUUGUAUAUUUAAUAUUUUAUUUUAUCGGAUGUCCGAGAAGUGACAUAUUUGAUAUUUCAUUAUAUACUAAUUUGUGCUUUAAAAGAAAUACAUUUUAUCAUGUAUAUAAUUAACCCUUACGCAUGUUUCAUCUGUCGCUACCAAUUAACAACCAAGAAAAAACUCCAUUUCUUUCUCUUCGAAAAUAUUCAUGGAGAGCUCAAUGAACAAUGCUUUCAUUAUGAGCAAAUGCGAAACGUUGAAGUUUUCAAGCGACCAAACCCCGGAGGAAAGUAGCUGGUCAAUGUACUUCGAAGAUUUCUUCGAGGCUUCUUCAAGUGCUGUCCAUAUCGGAGAUUUCAGUUCUUCCUCCGUCCCCGAUGCAAUGUCUUUCGUCGCGACUAAGAAGACCGUUGACAUGUCUAAACAAGAAGGGCCUAACUAUUACAACAAUUUGAACUUCAAGAGGACAAGAAAUAGAGAGGUUCCUUUUGGUCGUCAUUGUGAUCUUGAAGACACUGCAUCUUCUCCUUCUCGUAGUCUUAAUGUAAGUCUACCUCUCUCUAUUUAUAUAUAUAUGUGUGUGUUGUUCCAAAAAUCAUAUUUUUAGAACAAAACGAUUUAUUCUUUAUAAUUCUUAAGAAAAUACUUAAAGCGGUAUGUGUAAGGUAGAAUUUUCUAUGUGUAAGUUAGAAAAUAUCAAUCUUUUCAUAAUUCUGAUUCUUUGGUUCUUUCUUCGUUGUUUUGCACUACUAACAGUCGAGUUUGGUAAAUAUUAAAGUGAAUAAUGUCAUGAAACCGAUAUUUAUAUAUAAUCUAUUAGUCAAAUGCUGAUUAUAUCUUUUAUGGGACAUUGGAUCGAUAAGGUUAGACGCCAUUGAGACGCAUAAUUGAAAUAUUCUUGAAAUGAACCACCCAAAAAAAAAACUUGAUGAAACAAUCAGUGCCAUUGUGUAAGUUCCUAUUUGACAUUGAUGAAUAUAAUGAAUAAUCAAUUUAACAAGUCAAACCUACCUUAAUUAAUUUGGUCCAUAAAUAAAUAAAUCAACUACGAACGAUUUGUUGUUUUUUACAGGUCAAUAGCAUAAUGAACCUAUUGGAGAACAACACGAGACACGGGGGUGGCGUUGGUGAAGACACAAAUAAUGUAAGAACCACACUAAGUCACUAACUAUAACUUCCUAUAGCUAACGUUUGAGUUUAUCAAUCAAAAGUUAUACGAACUAUUUUCUAUAUCUCACAGUAACUUACCAUGCGGUAAUUUUACAUAGGUGAAAGGAGAGAGUGCAGUGCAAAACGAAGGUGAAUUAUCAGUAGACUUGAAGAAAAAAGGGCUUUGUUUGGUUCCCAUGUCUAUGGUCACCAACUUUCUUGGUUAAUCAUACAUAGCCCAUUCAUUUUUACAAAUUUGUUUCCAAUAAUUCAUUCCCACUUAGAAUAUUAUUAUUUUAUACAUUUCUCCAAUCAUGUGUAAUGUAUGUUAUUCAGUUAAUUUGUAACAUAUGCAUGCAUGACCUGGUAUUAUCGGAAUAAAUUGACUCUCACUAAUGAAUUAUAAUCCUUCAUACCAAAAAUAUCAGCAUUUUUUAAAUCAAUAAAGUUGAUUGCUUAGAGUUAAUAAAGUUAUCAGAUUUUUUUAUACCAGGAAUUGAAUAAAGUUAAUCAGAAAAAAUUGAAUGCUGAUAACUUAGAGUUAUAUAUUUCUGGUAUAAAAAAAUUCCAAAAAAAUCCCCAAGUUUUCUAAUCAAUAUAUAAUUCAACUUUAUUGAUUAGAAAACUUGGGGAUUUUUUUGGUUUAAGUGUUAAGAUUUAUACCAAGCUUUUCUGUUUUUAACAAAGUAUGUGGCUAGCCACUUAUUACAUGCAAGAAGAAAACAUUUAAACUAAAAGGAAGAGAAAGAGGAAAGGGAAAAGAAAAAGAAAAAGAAAAUCUGCAGCAAUGGAGGGGAGCUGGCAAGGACAGCAGACGGUCUCUCGGUCUACUCCAGCUACAAUCACAGAAACAGGGGAAAAAGACUCCCGGAAUAUCCGAGAGUUCCACUCCCGCCAGGAAGUACACAAUGACCUUCAUUAGAAGCUUAGCGAAGGUACAAAAACCAGAAGAAGAAGAAAGCUGCGGCUGAACCAAUAAUCUAGAGACAGCGAGAAGUGAAACCGGAGGUGCCGUAGUGAAACCUCGACAGAAAUGAGACCAGAUCUCUGUUGAAUAGGAGCAUUUGAAAAACAAAUGCUGAUGAGACUCUUGCUCAGAAUUUAAUCCUCACAUACAAAGACUACACAUCUUUUUAACUACUACGAGACAAAACAUGCAAAUGAGUAAAGCAUACCAGAAGAUAAGUGAGCUGGUUUUACUAAUAAAACCAAUAAAGUAUCGGAGAAGAACAAACAUUACGAAUGAACACAUGAACACAAUAGUUAACCGAAUAAACAUUUUCCUCCAGAAACAGAGACACCAGAACAUUCAGAAACAUAAAUAGUCACUUACAAGUUUUAAAACCUAAACUCCUUUAUUGCAACCACUUCCACAUCAGAAGAAUCAAGGGAAAAAAAUUUCAUUAAAAAACAGUCUUUAACCAUCUAAGGUUUCAGUUGAAUCAGCAGCGGCUAGAACCCGCCCCCGGCUUAGGUUUAGAGAUUGACAUUGAGACAAGACAAAAGCUUUCUCAUGAGUGACAACGUAGUUGUCUACUUGCCUUGUUAUCGUAGAGUCAGGGUACACCAAUUUUUGUCAAAGCACAAGUGAGCUGAUUUGCGCACAAUCUGUUAAAUACGAAAAUGCAAUAAUCUCCGUUUAAUAAUAAUCAUUCAGUUUCAGUUCUAGACAUAACUCAUACAUUUUAAAACUCUAGAAUCAGAAGAAAUUAACAGAUCUCAUAUGCAAAUCAAUCUAAAUACGACAGACCUAGCUCUUAAGAGAGAUAAUUUCAAUUAAAACACAGAGGGAGAGAGAGAGAGAGAAUGCUUAUAAUACAACCAUAUGAUAGAAAAGCAGAUCACAAAGCCACGGGCAAACAAAUUGUUCGAUGACUGCGACCUAAACCUUAGGGUUCUUUUUAACUGUUUGGGAUUUACUGUAGAAAAGCAGAUCCCAAAGACGACGACAUCACCGUUUGGGAUUUACUGUAUUUGACUGAUGUGUGAUGUGUAAACUGACGUGUAAUAUUUAAAUGAUUUCAUUGGUUUUCUUAGGUUUUUCAUUUAUUGACAUGUCAUCUUCUCAAAAAAAAUUGGUGUUAAUUUCUAUAACCAUAUGAUAUUUAGUUAAUUUUUUAUUAGUCUAGAGUAUUUCAAGCCUAUGAAAAGUUGAAAACACCUGUACUAAUUCUCAGGGGUAGGUGUAGUCCAUUGAUGAACCAUCUUUUUGGGUAUUCAAAUAAAGUUUAGAACAUCUCCAAUCAUCUCUGAUAAUAUCUUACUUUGAGUAUAAACAGAAUUUAGAGUAAAUAUGUUAUAAUAGUACUCAAAUUUUCAUUUAAUAAUAGACUGAAAAAUAAAUUUAUUCUAUAAAUAAAGUAUUUUUUAUUCAUUAUUAUAUUUUUUACUCUAAAUAUAAUACUAUUAGAGUAUAAAUCAACUCUAGUAUAUAUAUUUACUUUAUUUAAAAGAAAAAAUUGAGUAAACUAUUAGAAAUGAUCUUAGAGUAUUAUCUUAUAUCCACGUGACAAAAUAAUAAAAUAUAUUGGAGAGCUUUUAAAUCUGGAUUACUUUGUUGUCCAAAGUCUAUCUAAAAGACCACCACCUUGUGGUUUAUUUAGUUAAAAUUAGUAAAUUACUAUCAAUUAAAUUACAAGAUAUGAAAAUAAGGAUGUGUUUAAUCUUUUUUUUACAUCGAUGUGUUAAAUCUUUUGUUGACUGGUUCUUAGGGGUGUGCACUUUAUCCGAUAUCCGAAGUGGCACCCGAACCCGAUCCGAAAAACUCGAACCGAAAUCCGAACCGAAGUAGCAAAAUACCCGAACGGGUUCUACACCUCUAUACCGAAAUACCCGAAAAUCCGAAAUACCGGACCCGAAUCCGAACGGGUACCCGAACGCCCACCCCUACUGGUUCUUGACAUUUAAAUAGUCUCUAAUAUUAAAAAUGGAGUAGAACUCGUUAAUGGAGUAGUAUGAUUUAUCAUAAGAUUCUCAAUUAAAAGUCAUUUAAUUCUAACAACUCACGCUUAAGAUAUGCUGAUUCAUAUAAUAUAUACGUGCUCAGAACUAUUAAGUAGUUUCUAUAUUCGUGGCAGGGAAAAUCUCUAGAGAUGUCAAAGGAACCUGUGGCCCGCGGGAUAGGCCUGUUUAGACCUGUGGCGGGGCGGGCUUGGGCCCGUGAUUUCACGUCCCGCAAAGAAGCGGGCCUCGCGGGAGAGGCUUGUCGCGGAACCGGACCCAAAGCGGGCAAGCCCACAGUGACCCGCGGGUUUCUCCAUGUCCCGCAACCCUAAUCUCUAUUCUUGUCAUUUGCUCUUCACCUGAAAAAAAAACGCGAGAGAGAUAGAGUGAAAGGCGAUGUGGUUGCGACUUCCACCGUGGAAAGAAACAGAGCUCCACCGAUGACGACGGCGGUUCGCUCUCCCGACACUGCUUCUGCUCACUACUUCGUCUUCGAACUGCAGUCUGCAGCAGAGGAGCUAAAACGACAAGGGUCCGACAAAGUAGAUUCUUAUUCUCCGAUGUGUCUUCCGUUCUUCCCUACGAGCUUCCAAACUCCACAGAUAGGACAUGCAUGUACAGAGUUAUGUAUUUCAGACAAAAAAUUGAAGUUCUUUUGGACUUAUAAUCUCUGCUUUAACUCUUGUUUUUUUUUUCAGGUUGUUAGAUAAGAAGACCAACAAGAUCCGAAAGGUAGUGAUCUAGCUUAGCGAUCUAUAGUUUGUGUUAUGUCUUAUCUAGGUUAGCGAUCCAUGUAAACAAAUUGAACAACAAGAUCUGUAAGCGUUCUGUUAGAUCCAUCUAUUAAAAAGACCAAUAAGCGUCUGUUGGUUUCAUCGUUUGUUUGUAUAUUUGUGUUCUGUCUUUGAUUCGUUGUAGCUUUGCUUUCAGGUAACAACAGUGUUGAUCGACAAUGCUUAUUGUCUGAGGUAACCUUGCUUUUAUUUAGUGAUAAAAAUUCUAUAUAAUAGAACAAAAAUAACUUGUGUUCAGUAUCUGAUAUGUUUGUUUGUCGCGUUGUAUUUGUUUUGUGUUCUGUGUUGAGGUGAUGGAGUGAUGGUGAGAAAGUAGGCGACUUGGUCAUCUUCUUCUCCUCUUAGACAGCUUCAGAACAUCAGGUUAGUCACUCUCUUACCCAGAACUAUUAAUCAGUGAUAGGAGAACUCGCUAUCUCAUUGUCUUGUGUUGACUAGUUCGGCAAAUCUUAUUGUCUUGUGUUGAGUAGUGAUAUGUCUCAUCUUUUGUUCUUUUGUACAUACAGAGAAGAGAUCAAGCGGAGUAGUAGAUUGCGUGCUUCAAUUUUUCAUGUUCAUCAACGACUUCACCAAGACGGUUGCUGGCGCAAAAGGAGAUUGCGUGCCAAGGUUUGUGUCCUGAACUGUCUUUUAUUUUUUUUUUUUUUCUAUAAACUGAAUGAACUGUCUUUUCUAUGAACUGGACAAUGUUUGUGUGCCAAUGUUCAUUCAGUAUCUGAUAUGUUUGUUCAGUAUCGUUUGUUUCAUCACGUGUACUUUUUUUUUUUUUGUGUUCUAUGAACUGAAUGAACUGUCUUUUUUUUUUUGUUUGUGUCCUGUGAUGAGAACAAUGAAGGAUUGCACGAGUACAUACACCACCUGGUCGAGUAGUUUCCAGCUUCAGCCGAUAUAGGAGCUUUAAGGACCUCAGGUUAGUAAGCUCUUAAACGUGUGAAACUUAGAUGGCUUUGCGUAGGUUAUCGGAUCACUGACUUGUUUAGGUUGCUUUCGUAUAUGAUAGAACAUUAACUUGUUUAGAUGGCUUUGCGUAGGUUAUCGGAUCACUUGCUGUUUACGUUGCUUUGCUUGUUUACGUUGCUUUGCUUGAUUACUUGUGUUUGUGUACUUGUAUAAUAAAAUUUGGAAUUUUGAAAAUCAACAAUUAUAACAGAUUUUAAAAAAUAUAUUAAGAAAUUUUUUAAAAAAUAGACAAAAUUUAGGAAACCCUAAAAAGUUAAUUUCAUUCCACGGCGUGAAAAAAAAACACAAAACUUGAGAGUUGAGAGCGAGAGAGACCAUGGGAUCAAGGAGCCAGUCCGAAGAUCAGUCGACGUUUGAUCCGAAUUACACCCCGCCAAAUACUGUGGACUUUGCCACUCAGGCAGUCUUAGCUACUCUUGCUGCAGCAGCUGAGGCUGGUGAUCAGAUCGCUUCUCAGGAAGCUGGUGUAACUCGUGCUGAUGGGAAGCAGCAAGGAAGCAGAAAAAGGCUUAUCAGUCUUGUUGAUGAUACUGAUGAUUCUGAUGUUGAAAUCAGUCAACCAACCCAAAAAACCAAGCCUCGCAGACAGACCAGUUUCGGAACAGCCACGGGGAAACCCAUGUUGCAAUCAACUAUCGAUGGUGGCGUUGGCUCGUCUGCACAGGCGUGUAGUAAGGGGAAGUCUGUUCCUAUGAAGUCUGUGAUUCGUGGAGGGAGAAGAAAGUCGCCUACUAAGUCCAAAAAGAAGAAGGUUUCGCCUACUCAGUCGCAAAAGAAGAAGGAGAAGGUCGCAGAGGACAUACCCGAGCUUGAUGAUGAACUAGAUGAAGAAGAGUUUGAUGAGGAUGAAAUCGGUGAAGAGGAAAGGGAAGAGAGGCAAAAAUCAGAUGUCUGGAAAGAUUUCAAGGUGGUCGAAAAACCGAAUGGAAAGUUGAAAGCUGCAUGCAAUCAUUGCAAACGUGAGUAUGCAUGGCAAUCUCAUUCGCAUGGAACCAGUGGGUUGAGAAGACAUCGGGAGAGAUGUAAAAUGUAUCCAAGGAAUCGAGGAAGGCAGCAACAACUCAAUAUCGAAGGGAAAGUGGUAUCUCGCAAGUAUGAUCAUACUGUGUUUAGGCAGAUGGUAGCUAAGACAAUAGUCCAGCAUGAUCUACCUUACUCGUACGUGGAGUAUGAAAGAGUGAGAGACACGUGGAAGUAUUUGAAUGCUGAUGUCCAAACCAUUUGUCGAAACACAGCGAGAGCAGAUGUGUAUAGACUCUAUGAAAGCGAGAGAGACACACUCAAGAGGGAAUUAGCGACUCUCCCUGGACGAGUCUCCUUCACGUCUGACUUGUGGACAUCCGUGAAACGGGAAGGAUACAUGUGUGUGACAGCACAUUACAUUGAUCGGAAUUGGAAGUUGAACAGCAAGAUCCUGACGUUUUGUGCUCUACCACCACCACAUACCGGUAUGAGUAUUGCGGUUCAACUCCUCACGUCACUGAAAGAGUGGGGAAUUGAUAAGAAGGUGUUCUCAGUCACAUUAGAUAAUGCUACAAGUAAUGACUCCAUGCAGGACAUUGUGAAGUCGCAGCUGAAUUUGAAUGAUGAUUUGUUGUGUGGAGGAGAGUUUUUUCAUGUAAGAUGUGCAGCUCACAUACUUAAUCUCAUAGUGCAAGAUGGGUUGAAGGUUAUUGGAGACUCUUUGCAGAAAGUAAGAGAGAGUGUUAAGUAUGUAUUAGGAUCGGAAAGCCGUGAACAAUUGUUCCAAAAAUGUGUGGAUGCUGCGGGUGUAGUAGAAAGUGGGUGGCUGAUACUGGACGUGUCGACGAGAUGGAACUCAAUAGUGGAAAGACACCUCUACAAGCUUAUCUUGAAGAACCACCUUUGGACAUUACUAAUUUCCAGAGCUUGGACAUCCUUGAUUGGUGGAAAGAUAAUGCGCAUCGGUAUGGUGACUUGGCUGCAAUGGCAUGUGAUCUGCUAAGUAUUCCAAUCACAACAGUUACUGUUCAAUUUUUUUCCUUCUGUCGUCAGCCUCCAAUUUUUUUUUUCCUCUAUGAUAUUUUUUUUUUAAACUUUCUUAGGAUUUCUUUGCAUUUCGCAAAGUCAGUGGAAUUGUUAGUGGAAAGACACCUCUAGAAGCUUAUCUUGAAGAACCACCUUUGGACAUUACUAAUUUCCAGAGCUUGGACAUCCUCGAUUGGUGGAAAGAUAAUGCUUUUCUUUCAAACUUUAUCUGAUUUUUGGUUUUGAAUACUAUGAUUUGGACCAUUUGGUGUUUCUCUAAAUUUUACUUUAGUUGAGACUUAAUUUUUUAUACUCACGAUCAAACAACAAACUAUAGUUCUUCAAAAUUAUCUGAAGAAACAGAUUGAAUGGCUAGUAAUUAACAUAUAUACGAGUUGCUGAAAUAGCCAGUGGCUCUAACGAUGCUCUCGUAGAUUGAAAAAAAAAUACAUAACAAGACUAAUAUAUGUAAAAUUUUGUUAAGCUCCAAUAGUAGAUGGGUCAUGUGUUCAUAUAUCAUUCAUUAUGUAUGUAGUGGUCACUGGAGCAGCCUGCAGCGUCGAGAAACGUCAUGCUGCACUCUUUUUGCGUCCAGCCCGCGGGACGGCUUGUAAGGGCCUGUGCAAUUAGGCGGUACGGGACUGGGCCGGCUUUCUCUAGACCGCAGCCCGCGCGGGACGGGACCGCUUCGACCCGCGAGAUGCUCAGCCCGCGGCGGGACGGGACGGGACGGGACGGGACGACCUGUUUGACAUUCCUAAAAAUCUCCUAGUCUAUCUAUAAAUUACCAUAUUUCAAAUUUAAAUUAGUUAUAUAAACAUCUUCUUUUCGGUUGAAUCCACAUCUCAUAACAGUUCCAUUACAUACAAGAAGAGAAGUUACUAUACCUCAAAAGAGACGAUGGGGACCUGGGGACUAGUGGCGGUUAUAGCUGUUUUUGCAUGUUUGUUAAUCUUAAUAUGCGCCGGAAUAUAUGCAUAUUAUUUAGACUUUUGGAAAAACGAUGAUGAUUCGUAGUCAUGAUUGUAAGGGUAAUUCAAAUGAUGUUUCUCUUUUAUUUCUAUAAUAAUAUUAAUAUAUUUUAACCAAUUUAGUGUUUUGAUCUAUAUGUUUUGUAGUGUGUAAAUUCUUUUUCUCGUCAAUAGUUUUCAUAACCAGAUAAUCUGUUUGUCUCUAUAGAAAAAAAUGAAGUACGAACAAUCAAAUAUCACAAAGUCUUGUAUUUUCCCUAACAUGACAAAUGAUUUCAAUUUUAUUAGCAACUACUGUCAAAGUGCUUAUCUGUUGCAUACGUCAAAAGUAAACAAAUCAACUCCGCCGAAAUUCCACGAUUAGAUUAGGGUUAGAAUGGAAGAGCCUUCGAAGCGCACUCGUAACUACGCGCGUGUAGACGUUUUAAACCGAAAUCCAAAACUAAAUUGUACCGAAUCAAAAACAAAAGAUACCGAGUUGAUUAUUUAUAAAUAUCUAGAUGCGGUUUGUUUUUAUACUUAAAAUGAGUUAAAUAAGCAUCUGAUUAUCUAAAAUUUGAUUUAUAUUUCUAAAUUUUUAUAUCAAUCAUCUAAAAAAAUUGUUCAAAAUUACCAAAAAUUUAAAUCAAUUAAGAAUCUGAUUAUGUUUGACCUGUUUCGAACAACUUUAUUAUUCAAACCGAAAAAUAAAAAGAAGCUAAAACUAGAUUAAAUUUCAUAGAUAUCUGAAUGAACUAAAAAAAUCAAACUGGCGCCAUGCUUUCUAGUUUCUCGUAACAUGUAACUUAAUUUUCUAAUUUGACUAGUAUUUUUUGUGCAAACUUCUAAUCAUUAACGUAAACAUUGGUUUACUUUUAUAGGUAGAUUUAAACUUAAGAUUAUCUCUAACUUAUUUUGCUAUUUUUACCUCUAAAAUACAAGAACUCUAUAAUAGAAGUAAAAUAUGCUACAAUGUAUUAGUCUAAAAUAGCAAUCUCUAAAUAUAGAGUAAAAUAUAAAAGAAUGUUAUUUUUCCUCUAUAAAUAGGUGAAAAAUUAGAGAUCUCUAUUAUAGAGAAAGAAAUAAAAAUGGAUUGAAAUAAUUUUAUCUCUAAAUACUAUUAUAGAGGUAAAAGUAACAAUAGGUCGGAAAUGCUAACUCCUUGGUCACGACAACAAAACAAAAACAGAGGAAAUGGAAAUAGAAUAAACUCUCCACAUUGCCGUGAAUUACUUAAUAUUGUUUUUUUCUUACGAAUUUUUUUAAAAAAAUUCGUAUCACCAAGUCAUCUUAACUUGUGAAUUUAACAACCAAUCCAUAUUUAGGAAAACAUUUUUUACAUAAAAACUUUACUCUUUUCAUGUUGUGUGUUAGUAUGAAUUUUUUAAGCUAAAAAUUGUUAGUAAAACACACAAUUUGCAUUAGAAAAUAUCUUAAAAAGAAAUAAUGGAUUGAGUGCUCCUUUAGUGAAUAAGGCUAUUCUUUAGAAAGUAUUGUCAAAUUCACCUUUUAUGUUGUACUUUUCAAUAGAGGAAGUUCUAAAUGUUGAUUUUGUAUUCUUCAACUUUUCAUUAAUGAAAUUUGUUUUGCUUGCCAUAAAAAAAAAAAAUUAAACCGAAGACAUGAAUAAUUCUUCUCAACCAAGAUAUUGGAACUGAAUCAGUAUCAAAAUAUUUAUUUGAACUAUCCAAAUUAUUCACUAUUUUUUCUGAAAUUAACGAAACCAAACCAAACCAUAAUCAGACUGCUUUUGUCAAGGAUAGACUGAUAUUAGAGAAUAUUCUUCUAGCCUCAGAAGUUUUACAGGGUUAUCAUCUAGCGUCUGCUACUCCAAAAAUUACGCUGAAAGUAGAUAUUGCAAAAGCGUUUGAUUCAGUGAGAUGGGACUUCGUGUUGAGUACUCUGCAGGCUUACAAUAUUCCGUCUCAGCUUAUCCACUGGAUUAGGGCUUGUAUAUGCUCUCCGUCCUUUUCGCUAAGUAUCAAUGGUGUCACUUCUGGCUACUUUAAAGGCAAAACCGGGCUAAGGCAAGGCGACCCUCUAUCUCCAAUUUUAUUCGUCAUGAUGAUGAAUAUUCUGUCUCUAAUCCUAAAUAAAGCGUCCAUGGACGGUAUCUUUGGGCUUCAUCCUGGAUGUGAGCAACAACAGUUAACUCAUCUUUGCUUCGCUGAUGAUUUACUGAUAUUUAUUGACGGGACGGAGGCUUCUCUGGAGGGAGUCUUGAGGAUUCUCUCGGAUUUCAAAAGAAUGUCUGGGCUGGCAGUGAACAUAUCUAAGACCACCAUGUUCUGCUCAGGUAUACAGGAUGAUAUAGUGCAGCGAAUGUCCUCGCGUUUUGGAUUAUCUAGAUCACAGUUACCUGUCCGUUAUCUGGGUGUUCCUUUGUGCUCUAAGAAGCUAUCUUUUGGUGACUGUGAUCCAUUACUGCUGCAAAUUAAAAAGAAGAUGAAUGCUUGGACUACUAGGGCCCAGUGUUCAAAAAUACGGCUUACGCGGCCGCCGAUACGGUCACUAUUCUUUCCUUGGCAGGUCGGCUCACUAUGCUUACCUCAGUCAUCUCAGGUAUCAUUCAUUAUUGGACAAGUGCCUUUCUCUUGCCAAAGAAGGUCAUCAAAGCGAUAAACUCUCUCUGUAGCUCUUUCCUCUGGCAUGGGAAAAUAGGAGUUCCUACGGGUGCGAAGGUGGCAUGGUAUGAUGUCUCUGUCCCAAAAUCUGAAGGGGGCCUGGGAAUUAGAAAUUUGGAAGUGUGGAGUGAUGCUUGUGCUUUAAAACUUAUAUGGAUGCUCUUCUUCAGGGCUGGAUCGAUAUGGGUUGCAUGGAUGAGAUCAAAAUAUUUGUCUCAUGCACCAUUCUGGUCAUUGAAUGAAAAGAACUACGGUUAUUCUUGGAUGUUCCGUAGGCUACUGAAACUAAGGAGUAAAGCACUUCACUUUCUGAAAAUUCAUGUGGGGAAUGGCGACUCAACAUUCUUCUGGUGGGAUCCUUGGACGUCUUUUGGUAUGCUUUAUACCUUCUUCGGCCAUGAUGCAUGGACCUUCACAUCUUGGCGUUCCCUUGUUCGCUACUGUGGCAGAUGUUCGUAACGGUGCUGGCAGGUCUCUUACAUCAGCAAGAUCUAAUAAACAGCUACAGCUUCUAGCCUUUGUAUCUACUUUGGCGCUAACUGAUGCUUCUGACGUACCUCAUUGGUAUGUCAAUGGAAUUAGAAUCGUAACCCGGAUAACCUCACUACUUGUCUCAUCUGUGGGUCGGGAUUAGAAUCGCGGGAUCAUCUGUUUUUUUGACUGUGCCUACUCAGCUGAAGUUUGGCUCCUAAUCACCCGUAGACUCAAAUCUCCAUACCGCUCCUAACAGCUGGAAUGCCACCUUGACAUGGCUGCCCACUGCUCAUAGUGACAGAUAUGUGCGCUUCGCUUUGCUACAAGGCUGGCAAUCAGCCAUUUAUGGUAUUUGGUUUGAAAGAAAUACUCGCUUCCACUCUGGUCUUACUCAUUCUCUUGAUGUUGUGACCAGGAAUUCCCUAAGAAUUGUCAUUGAUAAGUGCUAUGCCAUGUGCUCUCUUGGAUCUGCCUUAGGCUCUCUCUUGUUGCAGAUUUGGCAUCCUCCCUGAAAGUCCAUUUUCCCAACUCUGUUUCUUCUCUUAUCUGUAAUAGAUGAUGUUACUUCCAUGUAACCUCUUAUUUUAAAUUAAUGAAAAUCCUUUAUCAAAAAAAAAAUAAUCAAAACUGAAUUCGCGUCAACGUCCAUGUUUACUCGUAACGUGGGACCUGUUUUUUCAAAGAACAUGCAAAAUUGAUUGGUUUAUUAUUUAUUAUUCUUAAGAAGGGAAAAAAAAAAACCCAAUAUUGGUGUAAACAAAACCGACUCAGAUACCGAAAUCAAAAUUGGACCGGGUCAAACAUUGUACCGUCAACAAACACAACGAUUCUCUGUUUCCUAAAAACGGAAAAGAAGAAAAGUCUAAAGGAGGAGGAAGGAGGAUGGAUCAACGAAACGAUACACCAGUCAAAAAAAAAAAAAAUCAAUUGCAUCUCGAGAGACCACUCAAUUGAAAGGAGAAAGAUGAUUUGGUAGUACAUUGAGCAAUCCCUAAAAGAAAAGUUUGAUCCUCCAAAACUGGACCCCUCUUAAAAACUCCAAAGCAGUAGGACAAUUGAUCUUUUUGAGAGGGUUCCAGUUUCUUUAUUCUUCUUCUCCAAUCUUGUUUCCUGGGUUUGUUUGUUUUUUUUUUGUUUUUUUCCCGGGAAAGAUUUCAUUUUUAUUUUUAUUAUAAAUGUGGGGAGCGGCGGCAGAGCCAGCAGAUUCUUAUUACCAGAUUCGCCCUGAGUGCACCGAUGUCCCCAAUACCAGAUUCAAGAUCAAAGUAUCUUCCUUUCCCCCCCCUUUUUCUCUUGUAUCAUUCUGAGAUUGACCAUUCUAUCUUGUGUUGUUUGGAUUCUUCUUGAACGUUUAAGCUGAAUGUGUAUCAUUGUUUGAAAGUCUUUUAUCAUUAGUAGCUAUUUAUCAUUGAUCUUUCUGCUGUUUUGGUAAAUACUAAUACUAUAUUAUUGAUCUUUCUGCUGUUUUAAAUUCACAGUUUUAGUAGUGAUCUUUGCUUAGAGAAAGGCAGAGUCAACUAUAUUGCUGACAAUACCUGUCUUUUUUCUUGAUUGCAGCCUGGUAAAACUCUUAGUGUAAGGAAAUGGCAGGCUGCAUUUACACAGGAAGGGUUCCUCGAUAUUGGCAAGACUCUAAGUCGAAUCCAACGAGGGGUAAGUCUCUCAAAACAUUUGUCUUCAAAAAGACUGCAACAGCAACUAAAAUCUGUUCUGAUAAUGCAAAGAUCACUUGACUUGUUGUUUAUAGGGGAUCCAUCCAUCGAUUAGAGGAGAAGUGUGGGAGUUCUUACUUGGUUGUUAUGAUCCAAAGAGCACUUUUGAAGAAAGAGAGCAAAUCCGACAACGUACAAGGUCAGUGAUCAUAUUGGUCCUGCAUUCUCUUUGUCUACAUGUUUCUAUUUAAAGCACCUGUGAUUAAUGAGAAGGGCCAACCCAUUCUAGAUAGAUCCUCUUGUACUACAAGAAACAAACUUAGGUAAAAAAAAGUUUGCAUCUUUUUUUUUUUGCUCAAGUACAUAGUAGAACGUCAUAACUUGGUAAGCUUAAGCAUUUCAAGUAUCAUGAUCAUAGGGGAGGAUUCUGAUUUCUUCAAAGAGCUUGAAAGCAGAGGACCUUUGGACAAGAAAGUUAUCCAAUGGAUGCUAACACUUCACCAGAUAGGUUUGUGAUCAGUUUCAACUAGUUCUGAGACUAUAUCAUUCAUUUCACUUACCUAAACUCUGGUUUUAUCAGGUCUUGAUGUAAACCGCACUGAUAGGACAUUGGUGUUCUACGAGAAGAAGGAGAAUUCGUCUAAGCUUUGGGACAUUCUAGCUCUCUACGCUUGGAUAGACAAUGACGUUGGGUACUGCCAAGGUAAGGUCUUUACAUUUAUGAGAACGAACCAAGUGUAAUCCUUUGUUCAAGCCCUGAGAGUUGGUUGAUUCUUGUGAACAGGAAUGAGUGAUCUUUGUUCUCCUAUGAUCAUGCUUCUUGAAGAUGAAGCUGAUGCUUUUUGGUGUUUUGAAAGAUUGAUGCGACUUACUCAUUCUCCUGAUGUUGUGGCCAGGAAUUCCCUGAGAAUUGUCAUUGAUAAAUGCUAUGCCAUGUGCUCUCUUGGAUCUGCCUUAGGCUCUCUCUUGUUGCAGAUUUGGCAUCCUCCCUGAAAGUCCAUUUUCCCAACUCUGUUUCUUCUCUUAUCUGUAAUAGAUGAUGUUACUUCCAUGUAACCUCUUAUUUUAAAUUAAUGAAAAUCCUUUAUCAAAAAAAAAAUAAUCAAAACUGAAUUCGCGUCAACGUCCAUGUUUACUCGUAACGUGGGACCUGUUUUUUCAAAGAACAUGCAAAAUUGAUUGGUUUAUUAUUUAUUAUUCUUAAGAAGGGAAAAAAAAAAACCCAAUAUUGGUGUAAACAAAACCGACUCAGAUACCGAAAUCAAAAUUGGACCGGGUCAAACAUUGUACCGUCAACAAACACAACGAUUCUCUGUUUCCUAAAAACGGAAAAGAAGAAAAGUCUAAAGGAGGAGGAAGGAGGAUGGAUCAACGAAACGAUACACCAGUCAAAAAAAAAAAAAUCAAUUGCAUCUCGAGAGACCACUCAAUUGAAAGGAGAAAGAUGAUUUGGUAGUACAUUGAGCAAUCCCUAAAAGAAAAGUUUGAUCCUCCAAAACUGGACCCCUCUUAAAAACUCCAAAGCAGUAGGACAAUUGAUCUUUUUGAGAGGGUUCCAGUUUCUUUAUUCUUCUUCUCCAAUCUUGUUUCCUGGGUUUGUUUGUUUUUUUUUUGUUUUUUUCCCGGGAAAGAUUUCAUUUUUAUUUUUAUUAUAAAUGUGGGGAGCGGCGGCAGAGCCAGCAGAUUCUUAUUACCAGAUUCGCCCUGAGUGCACCGAUGUCCCCAAUACCAGAUUCAAGAUCAAAGUAUCUUCCUUUCCCCCCCCUUUUUCUCUUGUAUCAUUCUGAGAUUGACCAUUCUAUCUUGUGUUGUUUGGAUUCUUCUUGAACGUUUAAGCUGAAUGUGUAUCAUUGUUUGAAAGUCUUUUAUCAUUAGUAGCUAUUUAUCAUUGAUCUUUCUGCUGUUUUGGUAAAUACUAAUACUAUAUUAUUGAUCUUUCUGCUGUUUUAAAUUCACAGUUUUAGUAGUGAUCUUUGCUUAGAGAAAGGCAGAGUCAACUAUAUUGCUGACAAUACCUGUCUUUUUUCUUGAUUGCAGCCUGGUAAAACUCUUAGUGUAAGGAAAUGGCAGGCUGCAUUUACACAGGAAGGGUUCCUCGAUAUUGGCAAGACUCUAAGUCGAAUCCAACGAGGGGUAAGUCUCUCAAAACAUUUGUCUUCAAAAAGACUGCAACAGCAACUAAAAUCUGUUCUGAUAAUGCAAAGAUCACUUGACUUGUUGUUUAUAGGGGAUCCAUCCAUCGAUUAGAGGAGAAGUGUGGGAGUUCUUACUUGGUUGUUAUGAUCCAAAGAGCACUUUUGAAGAAAGAGAGCAAAUCCGACAACGUACAAGGUCAGUGAUCAUAUUGGUCCUGCAUUCUCUUUGUCUACAUGUUUCUAUUUAAAGCACCUGUGAUUAAUGAGAAGGGCCAACCCAUUCUAGAUAGAUCCUCUUGUACUACAAGAAACAAACUUAGGUAAAAAAAAGUUUGCAUCUUUUUUUUUUUGCUCAAGUACAUAGUAGAACGUCAUAACUUGGUAAGCUUAAGCAUUUCAAGUAUCAUGAUCAUAGGGGAGGAUUCUGAUUUCUUCAAAGAGCUUGAAAGCAGAGGACCUUUGGACAAGAAAGUUAUCCAAUGGAUGCUAACACUUCACCAGAUAGGUUUGUGAUCAGUUUCAACUAGUUCUGAGACUAUAUCAUUCAUUUCACUUACCUAAACUCUGGUUUUAUCAGGUCUUGAUGUAAACCGCACUGAUAGGACAUUGGUGUUCUACGAGAAGAAGGAGAAUUCGUCUAAGCUUUGGGACAUUCUAGCUCUCUACGCUUGGAUAGACAAUGACGUUGGGUACUGCCAAGGUAAGGUCUUUACAUUUAUGAGAACGAACCAAGUGUAAUCCUUUGUUCAAGCCCUGAGAGUUGGUUGAUUCUUGUGAACAGGAAUGAGUGAUCUUUGUUCUCCUAUGAUCAUGCUUCUUGAAGAUGAAGCUGAUGCUUUUUGGUGUUUUGAAAGAUUGAUGCGGAGAUUGGUACUUUGUCUCUAUUCUUUGUAUUCAUAUAAUGCAUGUUUUGAUUAUAUCUAUAAUCAGUUUUUUUCUUUUCCUUUUGUUCGGAAUUGAUAGAGAGGAAACUUCAGGAGCACGGGAAGAUCAGUUGGAGUUGAAGCACAGCUUACUCAUUUGUCUACAAUCACUCAGAUCAUCGACCCUAAACUUCACCAUCACUUAGGUGUCUAUCUAUUCAAGCCCUUCUCACCUCACUUUUGGAAGAUAUAAUCAUAUAUUAUCUUGAAAUGCAGAGAAUCUUGGUGGAGGUGACUAUCUCUUUGCUAUUCGGAUGAUAAUGGUUCAGUUCCGAAGAGAGUUCUCUUUCUGCGACUCCUUGUACCUUUGGGAGGUAACGGUUCUUUAGAAACUCAAGAGACAUGUUUUAUUUGACAUGACACUGAUAAAGACUUAUGGGCAGAUGAUGUGGGGAUUAGAGUAUGACCCGGAGAUGUAUUCACUGUACGAGGAGCCUGAGUUCGAGGGAGAGAGAACGGAAGGUUCAUCCAAAGGCAAACCCAAAUCGAUAAAACAAUGUGGCAAGUACGAGAGAGAGAACAUGAAGAACGGUGGAAAAAGCAACGCAGAAGGUCCUUUGCCUAUAUCGGUUUUCUUGGUGGCGAGUGUUUUGAAAGACAAGAGUUCUAAGCUUAUGACUGAAGCUCGAGGUCUUGAUGAUGUUGUUAAGGUAAUGCAGACAUAUAUCUCAAAGGGGGGUUUUAUCUCUUUAAACAGCUUCCAUUUUUAGUAAUCUGUGUGUGUUUUGAUCAGAUCUUAAACGACAUAACCGGAAACUUGGAUGCUAAAAAGGCAUGUGCUGGUGCAAUGAAGCUACACAAGAAGUAUCUAAAAAAGGUUUUUAACUUUUAAUCUUUUUCCUUCUCUCUUGUAAUGUCACAAAGUUUCUACUGGGAAACUCUAUUUGGGAUUGUGUUUGAUCCUUCUUGAGCUGUCUUUAAAAAUCUCUUUAAAUCGUUCUGCUUUGUGUUAUUGCAGCAGGCCAAGAAAUAGCACUGGAGAAGAGCCAUGAGUAGCGUUUUUUGUAUGUGUUUUUUUUUUACAUACUGUAUUUGAUAACUCGCAAAAUCUGGCGACGAAAAAAUUUCAGAGACUUGGGAGACAACUUCAAAAGAAAGAAAAAAAACAGAGUCCUACACGCAACAACUUUUCGUUGUACAGUGUUCAUACAAAUCCAUGUUGUAAUAUUUAAUUUUAACAAACUAUGAUUACCUCUUGGGUUCUAAACUACACGCAUACAAGUUUUCUACGAAACAGAACAUGCAUGCAAACAAGUACAGCAGACCAAAGCUAAGUGAGCUGCUUGUGCUAGGUAAAACCAAUAGAGGAUCGGAGAACAACGCACAUUAAACCGAAUAAACGUUUUUAUUGAGAAGAAACAAAGACACCAGAAAAGUUCAUAACAUAAAUAGUCACAAGUUUUUUAAAACACUCCCUUUAUUGCAACUCCUUCCACAUAAAGAAGUAUCAAGGGAAAUUUUCUUAGUUAAAAAAAAACUUGUCCUUAAGCAUCUACGGUUUCAGCUGAAUCAGCAGCUGCUAAGACAAGCUCCGGGCUUAGGUCUCCGACAUACGAUCCAUCAAUAACAUUGGGCUGUCCCAAAGCUUUUAGAGCCAGAUGUGCCGCCUUCUGUCCUGAGAUCAUCAUAGCUCCGAACGUUGGUCCCUGCAUCACCAAUUCAUCAACUCAGAACAUGAUCUUAAAAACUAUGAAUAUUAUUUUUUUUUAUUAUUAUUAUUUUAUUUUUUUAACUAUGGAUAUUAAAUCGUAAGUUAGUCAAGGAAAGGGAGACACUCACCAUUCUUGGUGCGCCAUCAAUCUCCGCAACUUCCAUACCGGUCACGAUCAUACCAGGAACGACCUCCCUAGUCAAUCUCACAAUCGCAUCUUCAGCGGUGUUCAUGUCGAGAGCUUUCAUCCCAGGAACAUGGUCGAUCAACCCAAUACUCUUCAACCUCUUCACACCAGUGGCUCCAAAGGGACCGUCGUGACCGCACGAGCUGACAACAAUCUUGGCUUCCAUGACGUUUGGGUCCAUGCAAGACUGUGCAUCGGUCAAUCUGAAAUAUUGGGGUGAGAGUGAAUUUCACCAAGUAAAAAUCUCGAACCUCUGACGACGACGUCUUCUUAGAUACUUGAAUUUUUUUGCGUUUUCGGUGUUUAACGUUUUGGGGAGGAACGUAUGAUUGGAAAGGGGAGGGUCGAAUCUUAGCGACAAAGGGCUGAAUCUCAGUGGAUCGUGGCAGCAAGGCCACUCUGCCACUUACAAUACCCCGUCGCGUAUUUAAGUCGUCUGCAAAGGAUUCUACCCGCCACUCGGUGGUAAUUAUAAUUCAAGGCGGUCCGNNNNNNNNNNNNNNNNNNNNNNNNNNNNNNNNNNNNNNNNNNNNNNNNNNNNNNNNNNNNNNNNNNNNNNNNNNNNNNNNNNNNNNNNNNNNNNNNNNNNNNNNNNNNNNNNNNNNNNNNNNNNNNNNNNNNNNNNNNNNNNNNNNNNNNNNNNNNNNNNNNNNNNNNNNNNNNNNNNNNNNNNNNNNNNNNNNNNNNNNNNNNNNNNNNNNNNNNNNNNNNNNNNNNNNNNNNNNNNNNNNNNNNNNNNNNNNNNNNNNNNNNNNNNNNNNNNNNNNNNNNNNNNNNNNNNNNNNNNNNNNNNNNNNNNNNNNNNNNNNNNNNNNNNNNNNNNNNNNNNNNNNNNNNNNNNNNNNNNNNNNNNNNNNNNNNNNNNNNNNNNNNNNNNNNNNNNNNNNNNNNNNNNNNNNNNNNNNNNNNNNNNNNNNNNNNNNNNNNNNNNNNNNNNNNNNNNNNNNNNNNNNNNNNNNNNNNNNNNNNNNNNNNNNNNNNNNNNNNNNNNNNNNNNNNNNNNNNNNNNNNNNNNNNNNNNNNNNNNNNNNNNNNNNNNNNNNNNNNNNNNNNNNNNNNNNNNNNNNNNNNNNNNNNNNNNNNNNNNNNNNNNNNNNNNNNNNNNNNNNNNNNNNNNNNNNNNNNNNNNNNNNNNNNNNNNNNNNNNNNNNNNNNNNNNNNNNNNNNNNNNNNNNNNNNNNNNNNNNNNNNNNNNNNNNNNNNNNNNNNNNNNNNNNNNNNNNNNNNNNNNNNNNNNNNNNNNNNNNNNNNNNNNNNNNNNNNNNNNNNNNNNNNNNNNNNNNNNNNNNNNNNNNNNNNNNNNNNNNNNNNNNNNNNNNNNNNNNNNNNNNNNNNNNNNNNNNNNNNNNNNNNNNNNNNNNNNNNNNNNNNNNNNNNNNNNNNNNNNNNNNNNNNNNNNNNNNNNNNNNNNNNNNNNNNNNNNNNNNNNNNNNNNNNNNNNNNNNNNNNNNNNNNNNNNNNNNNNNNNNNNNNNNNNNNNNNNNNNNNNNNNNNNNNNNNNNNNNNNNNNNNNNNNNNNNNNNNNNNNNNNNNNNNNNNNNNNNNNNNNNNNNNNNNNNNNNNNNNNNNNNNNNNNNNNNNNNNNNNNNNNNNNNNNNNNNNNNNNNNNNNNNNNNNNNNNNNNNNNNNNNNNNNNNNNNNNNNNNNNNNNNNNNNNNNNNNNNNNNNNNNNNNNNNNNNNNNNNNNNNNNNNNNNNNNNNNNNNNNNNNNNNNNNNNNNNNNNNNNNNNNNNNNNNNNNNNNNNNNNNNNNNNNNNNNNNNNNNNNNNNNNNNNNNNNNNNNNNNNNNNNNNNNNNNNNNNNNNNNNNNNNNNNNNNNNNNNNNNNNNNNNNNNNNNNNNNNNNNNNNNNNNNNNNNNNNNNNNNNNNNNNNNNNNNNNNNNNNNNNNNNNNNNNNNNNNNNNNNNNNNNNNNNNNNNNNNNNNNNNNNNNNNNNNNNNNNNNNNNNNNNNNNNNNNNNNNNNNNNNNNNNNNNNNNNNNNNNNNNNNNNNNNNNNNNNNNNNNNNNNNNNNNNNNNNNNNNNNNNNNNNNNNNNNNNNNNNNNNNNNNNNNNNNNNNNNNNNNNNNNNNNNNNNNNNNNNNNNNNNNNNNNNNNNNNNNNNNNNNNNNNNNNNNNNNNNNNNNNNNNNNNNNNNNNNNNNNNNNNNNNNNNNNNNNNNNNNNNNNNNNNNNNNNNNNNNNNNNNNNNNNNNNNNNNNNNNNNNNNNNNNNNNNNNNNNNNNNNNNNNNNNNNNNNNNNNNNNNNNNNNNNNNNNNNNNNNNNNNNNNNNNNNNNNNNNNNNNNNNNNNNNNNNNNNNNNNNNNNNNNNNNNNNNNNNNNNNNNNNNNNNNNNNNNNNNNNNNNNNNNNNNNNNNNNNNNNNNNNNNNNNNNNNNNNNNNNNNNNNNNNNNNNNNNNNNNNNNNNNNNNNNNNNNNNNNNNNNNNNNNNNNNNNNNNNNNNNNNNNNNNNNNNNNNNNNNNNNNNNNNNNNNNNNNNNNNNNNNNNNNNNNNNNNNNNNNNNNNNNNNNNNNNNNNNNNNNNNNNNNNNNNNNNNNNNNNNNNNNNNNNNNNNNNNNNNNNNNNNNNNNNNNNNNNNNNNNNNNNNNNNNNNNNNNNNNNNNNNNNNNNNNNNNNNNNNNNNNNNNNNNNNNNNNNNNNNNNNNNNNNNNNNNNNNNNNNNNNNNNNNNNNNNNNNNNNNNNNNNNNNNNNNNNNNNNNNNNNNNNNNNNNNNNNNNNNNNNNNNNNNNNNNNNNNNNNNCAUUUAGGCGGUCUAGGCGGAAAAAAAUCGGUGAUCCGAUUUUUUUCACCGAUUUGGCAUAAAUCGGGGCGGAAUAGUGACGCGUAGCGCCUAGGCGGCCGCCUAGGCGGCUAGGCGGCCGAUUUUUAGAACAGGGAUUAGUCUAAAUGGACAUGGUUACUAUUUUUUUGCUCUAAAAAAACAGUUUUCCCUAUAUUUUUUUGUAACGCCCAACUACUAAUAAUUCAAUUAGCAUUUUUUUCUAACCCAAUUGAUUAAUCAAAAAAAGACAAGUUUGCUUCGGAGGAAGCAACCAUAAAAAUGAAAAAUAAACAAAACGUCAUCUAUUUAUACUAAUUUGGAGGAACAUGUACGUCAUGAUGCGGUUAAAAUAAUUCAUCAACAAGGAAUGAAAGAUGUUUUCAUUAGCAUGUCCGAUGAUGAACGUUAUGGUUGGAUACGAAGAUACAACUUGUAUAUAAUGAUGUAAACACUGAUAUAAAAACUUGUAGGCACUAUAUGGGGUAAUAAUAUUAACACGUUAUCAUUAUGGUAUCUCUCUACUUAACUAUGACUUAUUAUUGGGUUCACUCCUAAGGUGAACCUAUCAACUAAUCGGAUUGUGUUAUUUCAUAUUUGAUAUCUUUUAAAAAGGGAAACAAAAUAUUGUCAAAUUAUAUUAUCGUUUUAAAACUAAUAGGUAAAAAUAAAUAAAUAAAAAAUAGUAGUAAUUACAAAAAAAAAAAUUUAACAUCGUCAGCAAAACAUUAAACCAUAAAUCCUAAACCCUAAAUCCUUGGGUAAACCCUAAACUUUAGGGUAAAUCUUAAACUCUAAAUCAAAAUCACUAAACACUAAAACACUCAAGGGUUUAGGGUUUAUAGUUUUAGGGUUUAGUAUUUUUAUUUAGAGUACGAUUUAUCCAAGGGUUUAGGGUGUUUAUCCAAGGGUUUAGGGUUUACCCAAGGGUUUAGGGUUUAGGUUUAAGAUUUAGGGUUUAGAGAUUAGGAUUUAGGGUUUAGUGUUUUGCUGACAACGUUAAAAAUAUUUUUUUUUAAUUCUUUUUUCUGUAACUAGUUUUUUUUUUUACUUUUUAAAAAAAAAAUAUAAUAUAACUUGACAAUAUUUUGUUUCCUUUUUUAAAAGAUAUCGAAUUUAAAAUAAUGAAAUCCUAUUGGUCGGUGAACCUAGAGGUUCACCCUAGGGGUGAACCCAAGAAUAACUCCUUAACUAUUUGGCUGAUUUAUGAUAAUCCAAUUAUUUUGAUUUUGAAAUCUAUAUCAUUGAUUCUCAAAUCUACUUAUUUGACUUUAAAAUCUAUGUAUUUAUCAAAAAUUUCUAAAUCCAAGAAAGAAUCUUAAAUUCAUUAAAAUACUAUAACGGUAUAACCAAUAACCUCCACUUAUUUUGCGUCAUACAAAAAAAGUUGAGAAGAGUUCUCACUUCUCAUGAAACGAAAGUAACUGCACAAAAUCAAUUCACUGCACGCGCACAAAUUUACUUCUCAAUAUUAACUUUUAUAGGGUGAUAGUAAAUGAUAUUAUGAAGAUGAUGCACUCCUUGAGACCAGAGAACGAUAACUUCGUACUCUUCAUCCAUGAUUGGCCGAUCGCUAGAGAAAGAGAGGGACUUUUUAUUUUUGGUUGGAGCAGUCGACCGUCUACAGAGAUCUGUGGUUGACGUCUAUUAAAAAUACAGAGAGAGAGAGAGAUGCUUUGCUUUGUUCGAAUAAUUAAAUCUUCUUUUAGGUUUUUUAUUUUAGUUGAUUUUUCGCGGGUAAAUAAUUUUUUUUUAUUACUUAUCAUUUUUCCUAUUUAAUUACGUUUAAAGACUGAUAAACCAAAAUGUAAACAGAAAAAAAAACAGAUAACUUAUAAAUCAAUUCUCACCGAGUAUACCGGAUGAUAUAAUGCAGCGAAUGUCCUCGCGUUUUGGAUUAUCUAGAUCACAGUUACCCGUCCGUUAUCUGAGUGUUCCUUUGUGCUCUAAAAAGCUAUCUUUUGGUGAUUGUGAUCCAUUAGUGCUGCAAAUUAAAAAGAAGAUGAAUGCUUGGACUACUAGGACUCUUUCCUUGGCAGGUCGGCUCACUAUGCUUACCUCAGUCAUCUCAGGUAUCAUUCAUUAUUGGACAAGUGCCUUUCUCUUGCCAAAGAAGGUCAUCAAAGCGAUAACCUCUCUCUGUAGCUCUUUCCUCUGGCAUGGGAAAAUAGGAGUUCCUACGGGUGUGAAGGUGGCGUGGUAUGAUGUCUCUGUCCCAAAAUCUGAAGGAGGCCUGGGAAUUAGAAAUUUGGAAGUGUGGAGUGAUGCUUGUGCUUUAAAACUUAUAUGGAUGCUCUUCUUCAGGGCUGGAUCGAUAUGGGUUGCAUGGAUGAGAUCAAAAUAUUUGUCUCAUGCACCAUUCUGGUCAUUGAAUGAAAAGAACUACGGUUAUUCUUGGAUGUUCCGUAGGCUACUGAAACUAAGAAGUAAAGCACUUCACUUUCUGAAAAUUCAUGUGGGGAAUGGCGACUCAACAUUCUUCUGGUGGGACCCUUGGACGCCAUUUGGUAUGCUUUAUACCUUCUUCGGCCAUGAUGGACCUUCACGUCUUGGUGUUCCCUUGUUCGCUACUGUGGCAGAUGUUCGUAACGGUGCUGGCUGGUCUCUUACAUCAGCAAGAUCUGAUAAACAGCUACAGCUUCUAGCCUUUGUAUCUACCUUGGCUCUAAAUGAUGCUUCUGACGUACCUCAUUGGUAUGUCAAUGGAAGAUUGCAGAAGGCUUUCGUGUCCAAGUCGGUAUGGAACGUGAUCAGGCCCCAUAAGCCUCUCGUAUCAUGGUCUACACUGGUUUGGCAUAAAGCAGCUAUACCAAGGCAUGCUACCACUGCCUGGUUAUUUGUCCUAAAUCGUAACCCGACGCUAGACCGCUUGCAAAGUUGGAACCCGGAUAACCUCACUACAUGUCUCCUCUGUGGGUCGGGAUUAGAAUCGCGGAAUCAUCUGUUUUUUGACUGUGCCUACUCAGUUGUAGUUUGGCUCCUAAUCACUCGUAGACUCAAUCUCCAUACUGCUCCUUACAGCUGGAAUGCCACCUUGACAUGGCUGCCCACUGCUCAUAGUGACAGAUAUGUGCGCGUCGCUUUGCUACAAGGCUGGCAAGCAGCCAUUUACGGUAUUUGGUUUGAGAGAAAUACUCGCUUCCACACUGGUCUUACUCAUUCUCCUGAUGUUGUGGCCAGGAAUUCCCUGAGAAUUGUCAUUGAUAAAUGCUAUGCCAUGUGCUCUCUUGGAUCUGCCUUAGGCUCUCUCUUGUUGCAGAUUUGGCAUCCUCCCUGAAAGUCCAUUUUCCCAACUCUGUUUCUUCUCUUAUCUGUAAUAGAUGAUGUUACUUCCAUGUAACCUCUUAUUUUAAAUUAAUGAAAAUCCUUUAUCAAAAAAAAAAUAAUCAAAACUGAAUUCGCGUCAACGUCCAUGUUUACUCGUAACGUGGGACCUGUUUUUUCAAAGAACAUGCAAAAUUGAUUGGUUUAUUAUUUAUUAUUCUUAAGAAGGGAAAAAAAAAAACCCAAUAUUGGUGUAAACAAAACCGACUCAGAUACCGAAAUCAAAAUUGGACCGGGUCAAACAUUGUACCGUCAACAAACACAACGAUUCUCUGUUUCCUAAAAACGGAAAAGAAGAAAAGUCUAAAGGAGGAGGAAGGAGGAUGGAUCAACGAAACGAUACACCAGUCAAAAAAAAAAAAAUUCAUACAAAUCCAUGUUGUAAUAUUUUCUUUAAAAAACUAUGAUUACCUCUUGGGGUUUAAACUACAUUUUUGUCCCCCUUUUUAUAUAUAUUUGGAAUCAUUUCUCUUGUGUUGUUUGAAUGUGUAUCAUUGUUUGAAAGUCUUUUAUCAUGAAGAGAACAUUAUUAGUUGUGAAUUGAAAUGCCCCCAUGUUGAUGUCUUUUCUGAUUGUGUGAUUAAAUGAUGAGGAUUAUUGAUUCUUACUGCUCUUUUAACUAAGUUUAUUAUAAUCUCAUGAUUGUGUUUACAGUAAAAGCAGAAUUUCUCAUUUGAUUUGUAAGAUUUUUAUGUGUUGUUAAUUGUCUUGAUAUGAUCACACAAGAGAAGAUAGUAUAACUAGUUAUAUGCUUAAUAGGGUUUUGGUAAACAUUAAUACUAUAUUACUGAUCUUUGUGCUGCUUUUAAUUCACAUAUUUAAGUAGGUGAUCUUUGCUUAGAAGCAUCACAUGAUUAUGUUUUAGAGAAAGGCAGAGUCAACUAUAUUGCUGACAAUACCUGUCUUUUUUCUUGAUUGCAGCCUGGUAAAACUCUAAGUGUAAGGAAAUGGCAGGCUGCAUUUACACAGGAAGGAUUCCUCGAUAUUGGCAAGACUCUUGGUCGUAUCCAACGAGGGGUACGUCUCUCAAAAAAAAUUGUCUACAAAAAAACUGCAACAGCAACUAAAAUAUUGUUCUGAUUGUGCAAAGAUCACUUGACUUGUUGUUUCUAGGGAAUCCAUCCAUCGAUUAGAGGAGAAGUGUGGGAGUUCUUACUUGGUUGUUAUGAUCCAAAGAGCACUUUUGAUGAAAGAGAGCAAAUCCGACAACGUAGAAGGUAGAUUGUCUUGCAUUCUCUUUGCUACUAUUAUAUCUUUUUACUUAAAAAGUAUUUGUAUUUCGCUUGAAGGCUGCAGUAUGCUUCUUGGAAGCAGGAAUGUAAACAAAUGUUUCCAGUCAUCGGAAGUGGUGGAUUCAUCACCGCACCUGUAAUUACCGAGAAGGGUCAACCCAUUCUUGAUCCUCUUGUUCUACAAGAAACAAACUUAGGUAACACAAGCUUGUAUCUUUUUUUGCUUGAGGACAUAGUAGAACGUCAUAACUUGGUAAACUUAAGCAUUUCAAGAAUCAUGAUCAUAGGGGAGGAUUCUGAUUUCUUCAAAGAGCUUGAAAGCAGAGGACCUUUGGACAAGAAAGUUAUCCAAUGGAUGCUAACACUUCACCAGAUAGGUUUGUGAUCAGUUUCAACUAGUUCUGAGACUAUAUCUCGCAUUUCACUUACCUAAACUCUGUUUUAUCAGGUCUUGACGUAAACCGCACGGAUAGGACAUUGGUAUUCUACGAGAAGAAGGAGAAUCUGUCUAAGCUUUGGGACAUUCUAGCUCUCUACGCCUGGAUAGACAACGACGUUGGGUAUUGCCAAGGAAUGAGUGAUCUUUGUUCUCCUAUGAUCAUGCUUCUUGAAGACGAAGCUGAUGCUUUUUGGUGUUUUGAAAGAUUGAUGCGAAGAUUGGUACUUUGUUCUCUAUACUUGAGUGUUCAUAGUCAGUUUUGAUUCUAUCUUUUUUUUUUAACUUUGUUCGAAAUUGAUAGAGAGGAAACUUCAGGAGCACGGGAAGAUCAGUUGGAGUUGAAGCACAGCUUACUCAUUUGUCUACAAUCACUCAGAUCAUCGAUCCUAAGCUUCACCAUCACUUAGGUAUCUAUCUAUUCAAGCCCUUCUCACCUCACUUUUGGAAGAUAUAAUCAUAUAUUAUCUUGAAAUGCAGAGAAUCUUGGUGGAGGUGACUAUCUCUUUGCUAUUCGGAUGAUAAUGGUUCAGUUCCGAAGAGAGUUCUCUUUCUGCGACUCCUUGUACCUUUGGGAGGUAACGGUUGUUUCUUUAUAAACUCAGAGACAUGUUUCUUGGACAGGACACUAAUAAAGACUUGUGGGCAGAUGAUGUGGGGGUUGGAGUAUGACCCUGAGAUGUAUUCUCUGUACGAGGAGCCUGAGUUCGAGGGAGCGAGAACCGAAGGUUCCUCCAAAGGCAAACCGAAGUCGAUAAAACAAUGUGGGAAGUACGAGAGAGAGAACAUGAAGAACGGUGGGAAAAGCAGCGCGGAAGGUCCUUUGCCUAUAUCGGUUUUCUUAGUGGCGAGUGUUUUGAAAGACAAGAGUUCUAAGCUUAUGACUGAAGCUAGAGGUCUUGAUGAUGUUGUUAAGGUAAUGCAGACAUAUAUCUCAAAGGGGGGUUUUAUCUCUUUAAACAGCUUCCAUUUUUAGUAAUCUGUGUGUGUUUUGAUCAGAUCUUAAACGACAUAACCGGAAACUUGGAUGCUAAAAAGGCAUGUGCUGGUGCAAUGAAGCUACACAAGAAGUAUCUAAAAAAGGUUUAUCCUUAUUUUCCUUCUCUCUUGGAUUUGUUUAUGUCGCAAAGUUUAUAUUACUGAGAAACUCUAUUUGGGAUUGUGUUUGAUCCUUCUUGAACUGUCUUUAAAAUGUCUCUGACCGUUCUGCUUUGUGUUAUUGCAGCAGGCCAAGAAAUAGCACCUGGAAAAGAGCCAUGAGUAGCGUUUUUUUUGUAUGUGAUUUAUGAUUCCUUGGGAGACAAGCCUUCAAAAGAAAAAAACAAGAGUCCUACACGCAACAACUUUUCGUUGUCCAGUGUUCAUACAAAUCCAUGUUGUAAUAUUUUCUUUAAAAAACUAUGAUUACCUCUUGGGGUUUAAACUACAUUUUUGUAUUUGUCGGAUUAUGUAAAUAAAGAUGAAACAUGUGAACUCCAAAUCAGAAAUGAGAUUUGAGGAUCUUAAGAGGAUAAGUAUUUUCUCAGCCACGAAAACUGUUUGUAGACUCCGUUGCAAUGGACCAGUCCUGGUGGUGGAACGUUUGUCUUUCUUUGGAACAUCGUAACUUUAGUUCCUCAUGUUAACUUGAAGGCAAGGGAGAAAGCAACUAGGUCAAACAAGUUAGAGAGGGAGAGCAAACUGUUUAACUAAGAACAUGUUUAAUACGUUUCUUAUUUCUUAGGAUUAGGAUGAAAUUCUUAGCGGGAUAUAAGAAGUCUUUUAACUAAAAAAAACUAAUAACGGCUCUUAAAUAAUAACUUCACACUAAGAACCCAUUAAAUAUGCUCUAACAAAAAGUUUUAUAUUAAAAAAAAUAUAAGUCAAUAAAUGACAGAUAAGUGGCAAACCUUCUCAUUAUAUUGCAAAAGUCUCCUCAUGAAGAAACGUUCUCUUGUCUCUCUCAUCAGUUUCUUUACUUUUGUAUUUUUAUGUUUUAUGUUAAUUAUUACUAAGAAACCAAUUGAGAAUCCCACCAAUGCCGAUGGCCUAACGCAUACAUGUUUUAACUGCUACGAAACAGAACCUGCAUGCAAACAAACAAGUACAGCCGAACAAAGCUAAGUGAGCUGCUUGUGCUAGUUAAAACCAAUAAAGGAUCGGAGAACAACGCACAUUAAACCGAAUAAACGUUUUUAUUGGGAAGAAACCAGUGUUCAAAAAUACGGCUUACGCGGCCGCCGAUACGGUCACUAUACGCUAUGCGGCUAUGUAACGUACGAAAUUCAUCGUAUACGGCUUUAUAUGCGGUUUGUUAAAAAACGGGCGUACAUACGGCUUACGCGGACGUUUAUACGGUAGUGGCGUCUAGGCGUUAGACAUUGUUUUGUUUGAAAAGAUAAAGUUACGUAAUUAAAUGAAGUUGAAUUAAAAAAACUGAAAAACAUAAAACUACGUAGUUUAGCUAAAGUUUUAAGUUGUUAACCCUAAUUAGCAAUUCACGUUCAAUUCAUUGUAUUCUAAAGUCUAUACCACAGAGCCCUGCUAGGCUGCCACCUUCACUUUGCCUCUUUAUCGCUUUCUUAUCUACCAAAGGUUUUUGUUUUGAUUUAUGUUCUCUUCUUUUUUGUUUCUCUGCAUAUGUUUUUUUUUUUUUUUUGAAGUUUGCAAUAGUUCUAAAGUACGAUCAGUUUUUCUUACUAGUUACUAAAGAUUUGUUUUUGACUUUUUUCCAAAAACUGCAGAAAAUCAUUCAAGAGAUUUUGCCAUUUUGGUAUGGCUGGAUCAUCUGCAAAUUCAAAUAUGAACCAAGCAGGAACUUCAGAAACACAAGCUUUGAAAAGAAAUUCAAAGGAUGUUGCUUGGGAAUAUGGGAUGUUGUGUAACCCAAGUAAUCCAGAUAAGGUGAAGUGUAAACUAUGUGGAAAAUUAUUUUCUGGUGGUGCAUUUAGGAUUAAAGAGCAUAUUGCCAAGAUUCCAGGAAAUGUUUCUGCUUGUCCACUAUCAACAAAAGAUGAUCAAGAAAAGUGCAAAAAUGCUAUUGAUGAAGCUAAGAAGAAAAAGAAGAGCAAGAGGAGCUCAGAUGCUGACUUGCGAAAUUCUGUGAAGAUAUGUGAUGUUGGAGAUGAAGAUGAUGAGGCUGGUGCUGAACUUGAAGAGUUGAGGUCAAAAAAAAUUCCUCGGACACUUGGUCCCAUGGAUAAAUUUGCAUCAGAUAUCAACCCACGACUCUCUUCCGUGGAGACUAGACAACAAAAUAUCAGUGAUGCUCUUUGUAAAGAUAGAUUACAUAAAGUUCACCAAUAUAUUGGCAGAUGGGUCUUUGCUUCUGGUGUCCCCUUCCAUGCUACUGCAAACGAUGAAUUUAAGUUGAUGCUUGAAGCUGUUGGACAGUUUGGCUCGGGAGUUACGCCACCAAGUCAAUAUUUGCUAAGAGAACCUUUACUGAAAGAAGAAGUUGAGAGAGUCAAGGGUUUAUUAAAAGCUCAGGAAGAAGAGAGGAAAGAGAACGGGUGCUCAGUUUUGACGGAUGCUUGGUCCGAUAGAAAAAGAAGAAGUAUUAUGAACUUAUGUAUUAAUUGCAGAGGAGGAACCAUGUUUCUUUCUUCUAAAGACUGUUCAGAGGAGGCUCACACUGGUGAAUUUAUUUAUGAGUAUGUCAAAGGGUGCAUUGAGGAUGUUGGGGUAGAAAAUGUGGUUCAAGUGGUGACUGACAAUGCUCCAAACAAUAUGGCCGCUGCGAGGUUCUUGAAAGAAAAAAUACCAGACAUUUUUUGGACAUCAUGUGCUGCCCACACUGUUAAUUUGAUGCUUGAGAGCAUUGCAAAACUCCAAAGUUUUAAGACCAUCAUCAAGAGGGCUAAAGGGUUCACAAUAUUUGUUUAUGCUCACCACAAGACUUUAGCGAUGAUGAGGAAAUUCACAGACAAUAAAGACAUUGUUAGACCAGGGGUUACAAGAUUUGCAUCAUGCUUCUUAACUUUGCAAAGCCUGAUGGAAAAGACUGAUCAGUUACAGUCCAUGUUUGUUAGUGCUGAAUGGAAACAGUGCAAAUGGGCAAAGCAUUCUAAGGGAGUGGAAGCUUUUAAAACAAUGACGAGUAUGCAGUUUUGGAAUGGAGUCACUAUGUGUUUGAAGGUUUUUGGACCCUUAGUUAAGGUACUUAGAUUGGUUGAUGGUGAUAUGAAACCUACAAUGGGAUAUCUGCAUGGAGAGUUAUUACAAGCAAAGAAAGAUAUAUGUGCUGGGUUGAAUAACGUUCAAAGGAAUAUUCAGCCAAUCAUGACUAUCAUUGACCAAAGGAUUGAGGGUCGACUUGACAGUCCUUUGCAUUUGACGGGUUAUUUCUUGAAUCCUUACUAUUUAUACAAGGAUCAAACCAUUCCAUUACAUAACAAUGUGCUCACAAGCUUUUUCAAGUGUGUCAAUGCUUUCAUUCCCGACGACCUUUCUAAGCAAUGCAACGUCAUCAAUUCUGAGAUUAAUAAGUACAAGAACAAGGAAGAUAAUUUUGGGACACCAUGGGCUGUAAAAGGCUGUGAAGAAUUUAAAGAUGAUUAUGAUCCAGGUAUGUUUAAAAAUUCAAAGCCACUAUAUAUUUGUAGUUUUGUUUGAUAUAAUUUGUGUAGUGGAAUAUAUUGUUUUGUCUUGAAUCUUGUACGUAAAGACAAAUGUGAAUGCAUAAGAAAUAAGUGGAUUCCGUAACGUUUUCACUUUAAUAAAUUAAAUAAAACAGAAAACACUAAUUGUUUUGUUUUCUUAUUAGUUGAAUGGUGGAACACUUACGGGACGUCAGUGCCUAAUUUGCAAAGAAUGGCAAAGAGAAUUUUGUCGUUGACUACUAGUUCAUCAGGAUGUGAAAGAGCUUGGAGUUCUUUUGAAGGGGUAAUUUUUUAUUAGUCUACGAUUCUAAAAUCUUUUCAUAUGUAUUGAUGAUUUUGUUUUAAAAAUGCAGAUACAUACAAAAAAGCGAAACCGGCUUAGUACAAGUAGAAUGAAUAAUCUUGUAUUUGUCCAAUUUAAUACAAGAUUGUUGAACAAAAGAAAAAAACGGAAGGAGAAGAACAUUGAUAUAUUGCUGGCUGAUGAUGCUACUCAUGCUCAAGAAUGGCUUGUUGAAGGUGAUGAUGCAGAGCAUGAAUCAGCUAUGGGUGUAGGAGCUGGUGAUACAGAAGGAGCGGCAGAUGAUGAUGAUAUGGCUGAUAUUAGAGAACUGCGUGAUGAAGAUUUUAUUUCUGAUGCUGAAGAGGAAGAUUUUGCUGGUACUAAUUUGGAAUCAGAUGAAGACCAAGUUCCAAACAUGUACGGUGAAGAAGAAUAUGAUAAUUAAACUUUCAGUUGUUUUUUUUUUCAUUUUAGUUGUUCUUUUGAUUUGAGGACGAGGAUAUUUUCUACUUUAUUUAGAAUUAUUAUCAUCUUUUUAGAUGUUGGUUAUUUGAUUUUUAAGAAUUUAGUAUUGGAACCCUUUUCUUCUUUUAGUACUAAUAUUAUUUUAUUUCAUAUCAAUCAUUAAUAAUAUAUAUCAUUAAUCAUUAAUAUAUAUAUAUAUAUACAGUCCGUUUAGGCCCCGUUUAGGCGUCCGCGUAUACGGCUAGGCGCUAGGCGCUACGUCACCGCACAGAGAGCGCAUAGCGUAUUUUAGAACACUGGAAGAAACAAAGACACCAGAAAAGUUCAUAACAUAAAUAGUCACAAGUUUUUUUAAAACACUCCUUUAUUGCAACUCCUUUCACAUAAAGAAGUAUCAAGGGGAAAUUUUCUUAGUUAAAAAAAACUUGUCCUUAAGCAUCUACGGUUUCAGCUGAAUCAGCAGCUGCUAAGACAAGCUCCGGGCUUAGGUCUCCGACAUACGAUCCAUCAAUAACAUUGGGCUGUCCCAAAGCUUUUAGAGCCAGAUGUGCCGCCUUCUGUCCUGAUAUCAUCAUAGCUCCGAACGUUGGUCCCUGCAAAUCACAUAUUCAUUCACUCAGUAUAUCAUCCUACUAUAAAUGAUUGAUUCAAGGAAAGGGAAACAAACUCACCAUUCUUGGUGCACCAUCGAUCUCAGCAACUUCCAUACCGGUCACGAUCAUACCGGGUACAACCUCCCUAGUCAACCUCACAAUCGCAUCCUCAGCUGUGUUCAUGUCAAGAGCUUUCAUCCCAGGAACAUGGUCAAUCAACCCAAUGCUCUUCAACCUCUUCACACCGGUGGCUCCAAAGGGACCGUCGUGACCGCACGAGCUCACGACAAUCUUGGCCUCCAUGACGUUAGGGUCCAUGCAAGACUGUGUGUCGUGGUUCAUUGACACAAGAGCCCAGUUAGUCACCACACCGCCGACUCUGUUUCCUUUCACGAUCAGAUCCUCAGCGGCGACAGCGUUGAAGAGCUUGACGUUGGGACGAGCCAAAAGCUUGCUCAUGAUGGUGGAUGUGAAGAGAGCAGCGUGCUUGAUCACGACGUAGUUGUCUUGCUCAUCGUAGGCUACACCAAUCUCGUCAAGGAACAAGUGAGCUGGUUUGCGCACAAUCUGUUAAACACGGAUAUACAAUAACUUCAGUCUACUACACAUUACCAAUCACAUGCAAACCAAUCUAUGUACUUAAACACAUAAGAAGCUCUUAACACAGAGAGAGUUCGGAUAAAACAUUAUCAUGGGACAAUCUGUCCAACACAAACACACACAGGGCCCGCUAAAUCCCCCAGUAUCUUGAUAGCUUAAGGAUCAAAUAUUUUUUGUAUAUACAAAUUUUUAUAGAGAAAAUUUUAAAUAUUCACUAAAUUUGGUUGAAAAGUAGGCAUAUUUUAUGUGUACAUAAUUUGUUUUCAUCACAAAUUUUAUAAAGAUGUUGAUGAUAAAAUAAUUAAAAAAUAUUUUAAAAAACAUAAAUAUUAAAAACUUCAAUUUUUUUGCGCAUGAGUCCAAAUAAAUAUUGAGCCGUCCCUGAAUAUACAAUAACUCCAGUCCAGAGCAUACAUAUUCGCAUAUGACAUCCAAUAUAUUAAUGGUUAGUAUGUAUUAUAUCAUUCAGUCCUAAAUGAUUUUAAAAUAUAUGUGUUUAGUAAUUGUUUAAGCCUAAUAAUCUCAGAGCCCGCCUUGGCUUCCAUGAACACAAAUUAAUUAAACCAAACCUUAGUAGUUCCUCAGUAGUGUGACAUGCAAGUUAGUCUAAGUACUGAAACACUAUAUAGCAAGCUCUUACCACAAAGAGAGUUCGAAUAAAACAUUACCAUGGCGGAGAAAAGCUGACCACCGAGCCACGCGCCACCACCAGGACUGACAGAUUGCUCGAUGAUUGCGACCUGAACGUUAGGGUUCUUGCUGAUCUCGUAAGCACACGAUAGUCCAGCGGAGCCAGCACCAACGACGACGACGUCGGUCUCGGCGUAAGUGAUCAUAUCAGUCAUGUACCUCCUCGUCAUCUCGCGAGACACGAUGGACUCCUUGAUGGGGUCAAAAGUGAAGGCGUUCAGAUCGUAGCCAGCGGUGGCGCGGACGGAGAGGGAGCGCGGUUUGAGACCGACGGAGACAGGUGCGGCGGAGGAGAUGGAUGAGCCAUGGAAAUAGGAGUCGAAAAGGCGCUGAGGCUUGGUGGAAGAGAGGGAGAGAGUAGAGGUGAUGGACGCCAUAUUUGAGAGGUGUGUUUAUGUUUUGAGUGACGAUGAAGAUGAUGGUGGUGAAGUGAAACUGUGGUGGCUGUUGAAUAUUUAAAUUAGAAGAUGAAGAAAUAUCUGGAGAGUGAUGGCCACGUCAGAGAUAAGGCAUGAAGGGUCGUCGAUUUUUUGUUUUAUUUUUUAUAUAAAUGAAAUUAUUAAUUUCUGCCAUUAAUGGAAACAUUGGAAAGUAACGAUCUCCUUCCUUCACGGUUCGAAUUGAAUGAAGGAAGUUUUGAAAAUUUUCAUGACUUUUGAAAAAACCAAAGUUUAGUGAGAAAGUUAACAUACUUAUUUGUUUUUGUUACCCGAUUAAACCAGAAAUAUUUGCUUGUCUAAGAAAGAAAUAAAUCGUUUUGAUAUAUGUAGUUUAUGAAACAAUUAGAUUCAUAUAUUUUGUAUUAAAAUUCAGUUUGUGGUAAUUAAGAAAUAUCUCGAGACUUUUGUCUGGAAGUUUCUGUAACCAUUUGCACUGAGUGUGUGGUGACACGAACAACACCAGAAAGUGAGAUAUCUGUGUACGAUAGAUAUGGAUUUGGAUUUUACUAGUGAAAAGAUAGUUCACUAUUAUGGUGUCCUACGAAACAGAACAUGCAUGCAAACAAGUACAGCAGACCAAAGCUAAGUGAGCUGCUUGUGCUAGGUAAAACCAAUAGAGGAUCGGAGAACAACGCACAUUAAACCGAAUAAACGUUUUUAUUGAGAAGAAACAAAGACACCAGAAAAGUUCAUAACAUAAAUAGUCACAAGUUUUUUUAAAACACUCCUUUAUUGCAACUCCUUUCACAUAAAGAAGUAUCAAGGGGAAAUUUUCUUAGUUAAAAAAAACUUGUCCUUAAGCAUCUACGGUUUCAGCUGAAUCAGCAGCUGCUAAGACAAGCUCCGGGCUUAGGUCUCCGACAUACGAUCCAUCAAUAACAUUGGGCUGUCCCAAAGCUUUUAGAGCCAGAUGUGCCGCCUUCUGUCCUGAUAUCAUCAUAGCUCCGAACGUUGGUCCCUGCACAUCACAUAUUCAUUCACUCAGUAUAUCAUCCUACUAUAAAUGAUUGAUUCAAGGAAAGGGAAACAAACUCACCAUUCUUGGUGCACCAUCGAUCUCAGCAACUUCCAUACCGGUCACGAUCAUACCGGGAACAACCUCCCUGGUCAACCUCACAAUCGCAUCCUCAGCUGUGUUCAUGUCAAGAGCUUUCAUCCCAGGAACAUGGUCAAUCAACCCAAUGCUCUUCAACCUCUUCACACCGGUGGCUCCAAAGGGACCGUCGUGACCGCACGAGCUCACGACAAUCUUGGCCUCCAUGACGUUAGGGUCCAUGCAAGACUGUGUGUCGUGGUUCAUUGACACAAGAGCCCAGUUAGUCACCACACCGCCGACUCUGUUUCCUUUCACGAUCAGAUCCUCAGCGGCGACAGCGUUGAAGAGCUUGACGUUGGGACGAGCCAAAAGCUUGCUCAUGAUGGUGGAUGUGAAGAGAGCAGCGUGCUUGAUCACGACGUAGUUGUCUUGCUCAUCGUAGGCUACACCAAUCUCGUCAAGGAACAAGUGAGCUGGUUUGCGCACAAUCUGUUAAACACGGAUAUACAAUAACUUCAGUCUACUACACAUUACCAAUCACAUGCAAACCAAUCUAUGUACUUAAACACAUAAGAAGCUCUUAACACAGAGAGAGUUCGGAUAAAACAUUAUCAUGGGACAAUCUGUCCAACACAAACACACACAGGGCCCGCUAAAUCCCCCAGUAUCUUGAUAGCUUAAGGAUCAAAUAUUUUUUGUAUAUACAAAUUUUUAUAGAGAAAAUUUUAAAUAUUCACUAAAUUUGGUUGAAAAGUAGGCAUAUUUUAUGUGUACAUAAUUUGUUUUCAUCACAAAUUUUAUAAAGAUGUUGAUGAUAAAAUAAUUAAAAAAUAUUUUAAAAAACAUAAAUAUUAAAAACUUCAAUUUUUUUGCGCAUGAGUCCAAAUAAAUAUUGAGCCGUCCCUGAAUAUACAAUAACUCCAGUCCAGAGCAUACAUAUUCGCAUAUGACAUCCAAUAUAUUAAUGGUUAGUAUGUAUUAUAUCAUUCAGUCCUAAAUGAUUUUAAAAUAUAUGUGUUUAGUAAUUGUUUAAGCCUAAUAAUCUCAGAGCCCGCCUUGGCUUCCAUGAACACAAAUUAAUUAAACCAAACCUUAGUAGUUCCUCAGUAGUGUGACAUGCAAGUUAGUCUAAGUACUGAAACACUAUAUAGCAAGCUCUUACCACAAAGAGAGUUCGAAUAAAACAUUACCAUGGCGGAGAAAAGCUGACCACCGAGCCACGCGCCACCACCAGGACUGACAGAUUGCUCGAUGAUUGCGACCUGAACGUUAGGGUUCUUGCUGAUCUCGUAAGCACACGAUAGUCCAGCGGAGCCAGCACCAACGACGACGACGUCGGUCUCGGCGUAAGUGAUCAUAUCAGUCAUGUACCUCCUCGUCAUCUCGCGAGACACGAUGGACUCCUUGAUGGGGUCAAAAGUGAAGGCGUUCAGAUCGUAGCCAGCGGUGGCGCGGACGGAGAGGGAGCGCGGUUUGAGACCGACGGAGACAGGUGCGGCGGAGGAGAUGGAUGAGCCAUGGAAAUAGGAGUCGAAAAGGCGCUGAGGCUUGGUGGAAGAGAGGGAGAGAGUAGAGGUGAUGGACGCCAUAUUUGAGAGGUGUGUUUAUGUUUUGAGUGACGAUGAAGAUGAUGGUGGUGAAGUGAAACUGUGGUGGCUGUUGAAUAUUUAAAUUAGAAGAUGAAGAAAUAUCUGGAGAGUGAUGGCCACGUCAGAGAUAAGGCAUGAAGGGUCGUCGAUUUUUUGUUUUAUUUUUUAUAUAAAUGAAAUUAUUAAUUUCUGCCAUUAAUGGAAACAUUGGAAAGUAACGAUCUCCUUCCUUCACGGUUCGAAUUGAAUGAAGGAAGUUUUGAAAAUUUUCAUGACUUUUGAAAAAACCAAAGUUUAGUGAGAAAGUUAACAUACUUAUUUGUUUUUGUUACCCGAUUAAACCAGAAAUAUUUGCUUGUCUAAGAAAGAAAUAAAUCGUUUUGAUAUAUGUAGUUUAUGAAACAAUUAGAUUCAUAUAUUUUGUAUUAAAAUUCAGUUUGUGGUAAUUAAGAAAUAUCUCGAGACUUUUGUCUGGAAGUUUCUGUAACCAUUUGCACUGAGUGUGUGGUGACACGAACAACACCAGAAAGUGAGAUAUCUGUGUACGAUAGAUAUGGAUUUGGAUUUUACUAGUGAAAAGAUAGUUCACUAUUAUGGUGUCCAAAUAACAAAAAAAUAUUACUACUUUAUUAUAUCAAUAUUUUUUAUUUAUGAAUUAUGAGCGGCAUGUUCUUUUUGGUCAUAGAAUCUUUUUUUCUUGUGGACCAAAAUAAAAUCUGCAAUUCAAAGAUUUCAAAAUAAAUUUGUAAUCGAGAAACCUUAGUACUAAAAUCAUCACAAUAAAUUUGUAAAUAUGCGUUUUUUCUUCUAUAUUUAUAUAUCAUAUGUAUCAUGUUAAACCUCUGGUUCCAGACCAAUAACUUCCAAGUUAUUACAUACUUGCAGGUUUUUUUCUUUGUGCCUCUCUCUAAACCAUACAUUAGUGAUUCGGUUGAUGUGUGUGAAUGUCCAUAAACAAAGGCUAGCUAGAAUGUCUAGUGAACAUGUUGUUAUAAUUUGAGUCAUUUGACAGCUUUGUGUUUUUUUUAAACUUAAUUAGUAAGUUCGGAUCUUGAGGUACGAGAGAGAGAGAGGAUAACUUAAGAUUACAUGGUUAUCUUUUUAGCCAUGCAAGCCUGCCAAGUAAUCUGAGUUUCAAACGUAUAUGUAUAACGGUGUCUUAGUUAUUUUGGCAUCAAGAGUUGAAGAGGUUGAUAUAGCCCGAGCAAGGAAACAUAAAUGCGUAUAUAUAUAAUAUACUGUAUAUAUAUAGCUCUAAUGUAAGGAGUGUUGUUGGAAUUCAAAAUUUGUAUAUACACACUCCAAACAAAACAAAGUCGGAUCGAGCAUGCACGGUGUUAUGCGUGCCAGAGCGUCAUCUCGAUUAUCCCCGUAACAACUUGCACAAAUUUUGAAACUUAACAAAACUCUCAUACCCGUGUGCACAUACACCAUCUCGUGCUCAUUACACGUAAACACCAUGCAAAACUCUCUCUUCCAUAAAUAAACUAUUUCUCUUCACUUCGCUUCAUCAUUAUCACUCACCAAGAACCUCAAAAACUCACACAAAAUGGCUAAUUAGCUCUUUCUCGUUUUCGCAACUCUCUCCCUCUUGGCCUUCUUAACCAACGCUUCCAAUAUUAGAGCUAAUCAUAGGUAUCAAUAGUUUCUUAACUCUUUAUUAAGCAUAAAACUCUCAGACUCUCAUGUGUGUGUUCUAAGAAACUAUUGAUAACUAUGAUUUUGACCUAAUACUUGGGACGUACCUGUACUGAAUCAGGAUAAGAUUUACAUGUCUUCUGUAUUCGAUUGAGACCUGGACAUGGUUUUUGUUUACAACAAAAAACAAGAAACAUGGUAAGGUUGUGUCACGGAAGAGCACUAAUACUAUAAUCUGUAUAGAAAUUAAAAUAGUCUUUUUGAUCCAACAAAUUGUCCUAUUAAGCAAGUGUUUACAGUAACGAAGUGUUGAUACAUCCUAAACUUAAGAAACAAGACAUGUGGAGUUCUCUUUUGAUUUAAUGGUUUAACUACCGAGUUUUUUUCAGCCAGAAUCAGAAAGGGUAGGAUACUAUUACUUCACAGUUGCAAAUUUAUAAAACUGACCAACUGGUCACUGUUAAACUUACAAGAAUAAGAAGCUAAUCUUGGGGAGCUAUAUCUUUCAGGUAAGCACAUGCACAGCUUGAGCUUGAGAUUGCGGAAUUCAACCACAGACAUUCAUGCCUAGACACAAGACAGAGAUUCUUUCCUUCUCUUCAUUCCAGAUACUUGAAUAGGACCCAAGCCUCUACAUUAUAAUUAUAAUACAUCUAAAAGGUAAAUGAAUAGAGAAACCAUAAACAUGGUGUGGAAGACUUCAAGCUGAACUGAUAGAUACCUUAGUUGAUGACUUUGAGCUGUCAAAGGAAGAUUGUUGACUGCUGAGAUGGACCAAUAAGAAGGACACUGCUGAGCUGAACACAUAACCCACACCUCUCCAUUAUAAGAGCACUUCCAUCAAUAGGACACGAAGGUGGGUAUCAAACAAUUAUUAAAUUAAAAAAAGAGAGGGAAGUGGGAAAGUGAUACGGUUUGGAAAAGUUAAUUGCGACUCUUUUGCGUUCUUACUUUAUAAGACCACGAUUAACGCUGAAACCCCAAAUGAAUUAUUUAAAUUUUAUUUUUUAUUUUUUAUUUUUAUCUGAAUAAAAAAAUCAACUAAUCGCGGACUGCCACAUGUCAGUGGGAUCCGCGAACAGUGCAAAAACCCAACUAACAGGGUUCUUUAUUAUGGAUUUUCUGGCACCGGUUUUUUUCUCCCUGUGAACCACUCCCCCCUUAAAAAGCCCACUAAAACCCCCGAUAAUCUUGCUCUAAGUGGCAACCAUUCAUUUGAUUAGUUUAUUACAUACAAUUUUUUUAAUUAUUUACUAAAAAAUGUACUAAAUAAUAAUAUAAAGAGGGAUGAGAACCCUUGUGUAUUUCUUAACCAAUAAUGUACUUCUUACCAAUAAGGUUGAUCUAAUACAUUUAAAACCUAAAUGAAUAGAGAAACAAUAGAUAUAAUAAGUUGAUGAUGGUGUCAUGGUGAGCUGAAGACUGUUGACUGCUGAGCUAGACCAAUAAAAAGAAGAUUGCAGUUGGAGCUUUCUUGUAUUGGUUGAUUACUAUAAAGGCCUUGACCAUACCUUUCUUGUAGAGGAUGGAAAGCUCAUAGGUUAGGUGUGUGGGCAAUUUUAGGGUGGUGGUCUCUAGAAAUUGAAGGCAAAAUUAGAGUGUUUUAUUUCUUGAGAAUCGGUUCCCCAAUACUAGUGUACUUGGUUUCUUAUCAUCAACAAAGAAAAACAUGAAGUUAGAAUCCUCCCUUUGAGCAACUGCCAACUCCACAUUCUACCGUUAUGAUUCUUUACAAGAAAGUGCUUAUACAUCCUUAACCUAAGAUAUAAUGUUUUAUAUGUGUAGCAUGAAAAUCCAGUCGUUCAAAAACAUAAUUGAGUCAUUUUGCUAGCUUUUCCAAACACUUGCUCGUUAAACUACGCUUUAAACACAUUUUGAUUCUUAUCUCUCAGUACAAUGUAAAGACUCAAGACUCACAGAAUGGCAACAUGCCACAGAACAAUGACCGGUCAGAAUAUCCAACACGAGCGCAAAAAAGGUUCAAAAGCAAAUACCUAUUAACAUAUACAAAUUUCUUAACCUUAUCCAGUAGAAUAAUUGAAGUUUUAAUAGAAUACGAAUACAUAAAACACUUGCGUUCUCUUUCUUCUGUAAAAAAACAGCAUCAGACUCUAAACUUCUCCCUCUAUGAAGCCCACAACAUGGUGGUAGUCAAUAAUAAAAGAAAGAAACCAGAGAUCUUCGGUGGUGGUUGCAAAAACUCAGAUUCCUCUGGAGAAGAUUAAAAACCUGGAAUUUUUUUUUUCAGUCUCACAACAACGCAAGAUUCACAUUUUCUUUUCACUUGGAUGAUAGACUUAGCCAAUCUAUUGGAGAACACACCUACAUUAUUUAGUUUAACAUGGAACGACCAGCAGAUCCCCGAGGACAAACAACAGAUCUUACAUGCUCCGAGAUCUGUUGAUGCUCCAUGUUAAAACAAAAUAACGUAGGUAUCAGCUAUCCAAGUGAAAAGAAAUGAGAAACCAAGAGUUGCUGAGAAACUGAAAAAUAAACAGUUGUGAAAAAAACGGAAGAGAGUGUAAAACUCGUAUACAUCUACUUCGCUUUUGUACUGGCUAUACGGAACCGAGGAAGAUUUCAUCGUCAGCUCAUGGAAAAAUCUGACGCCAUCAGAACACCACGCAGACUAUCGCCAACAUUAUGAUCAUUUUAUAGCUUAACGGAAUAUUCGAGGAAAGAAAGCUCCUUAGUGGGCCCUUACAUGUCCCUAGUCUUUUUUGAACUCAAGUCUUUUUAGUCAGCUUUCUGAGCUAAUGAUAUGUUUUACCUGGACCAGUCAAAUUUGUAUUAAACCAAGUUGAACCAAAUUAGUCUAUCUUAAUUUUUUAAACCAAUAAUCUAAUUAAACAAAAAUAUAAUGAAACUCUUCAUCUAAUAAAGAGUAGUAGCGCACGUCAUGGGAAAUAAUAACAAAAGACUGGCGCUGGAGCACGUCGAACUAAUUUUGGUGGAUUUGAUUGGUUUGGCACGUCAAACUAGGGCUAUGCUUGGUAAUGGUUUUAUGCUUUAGAAGAAAAAAAUCCAUCAUGUAGUAAGGAAAAGUGGCUUUAAGUCUUUUUAAAAGGCUUUAAAAGCUUUUAGAUCAAUAAAGUCUAAUUGAAUAGUUAGACUACAACCGUAGAAAUUUUACUACAUAAUUUAGUCUUUAAAUUUUUUUGAUAAUGUAACUAAUAUAGUUGUAAAAAUUUAAUGAGAAACAUAAUAAAAAAGAAACAGAUUCAUACGUCAAUAUCUUUUUACUUUAGAAAAGAAAGUUCAUAUAAUUUUUUCGUUAGUUUUUUUUGGCUCUACCUUUAAAAAGUACAUAAAUCAUGAUUGGUAAACUUUAUAGUUAUAGAUAGAAACUAAAACUAAAUAACAAUCCAACCAAUCAACUCGAAUGACUUUUAAGGCUUUAGAAUUAUCUCAAAGCUUUGAGACAUUUCACAACUAAAAACUGAUUUUUAUUUAAACAAAAAUAGGGAAAGGGAGACGUGUCAGAUACUAAAAUGUGAGUCUAUUCUUCUCUGUUAAAGUAAAAAGACUAUACGUAAAAGAAAUCUCAAUCCGCUUUUUUGCAUUUAAAAAUCAGAUAUAAAUAAGAAAGGAAGAAAGAAAGAAAGAAAAUCAUUAGUGAAGAAGUUUAAAACAGCUUUCGUCUCUUCUUCGCUCUCUCUAUUAUCCUUCAAAUCUUUCCCCUUUUCUUCCUCCUCCUCCUAAUCGUUUCCAAAGUCAUAAUCAGGUUCCUGCUUCGGGACUCGCUCUUCUUCUUCUUUCUUCCAAUUCUUAUUCUCAAUUGCUGCUUCAUUUGUUCGUUCUUUUCUUUCAUCUUCUUCUUUAGCGCGAUUCAACUUAAGCAUUUUCAGUGGGUUUCGCAAAUUUUCAAUCUUUUUUUGCUUUGAUUGUGUUUCGGUUGGUUUCUUGCUUCGUCACAACUUGAAGAAGCAAAUUGCGAUGUUCUGUUUCUAAUUUGAGAUUCCAUUUAUUCGUUUCUUGUGAGACUCCACCAUGAAAGAUUUUCUUGGAAAAUUCUCAGGCGUACAAGUAUGAGUAACACCGACGACGAUCCUCAGACGAAGCCUGAGACUUCUUCCGACGGAGCUGUCUCGCGAUCAGCUCGGACCUCCUUUCAAGCCGUCUCUGACUGCCUUCGUGCGAUUUCCUCCGGCGCUUCCACCGUCGCUCGCUCCGCCGCUUCCGCCGCCUCUUCCGUCGUUAACCGAGACGCCGACUCUCUUCACGACAAGGUAUAAAAAAAAAGUUGACAACUUUGAUAUAAUGGGUCACGAUAAACUUGCUUUAGGUGCAAGAAUCAUUAGGGUUAGGGUUGAUAGCUUUUAAAGAUUGAACCUUUAGUCUUUGUGUUGCUCUGUUGAGAAAAAGUUUGAUAGCUUUAGGUGCAAGAUUCAUUAGGGUUAGGGUUGAUAGCUCUUAAAAGAUUGGACCUUUAAGCCUUUGUGUUGCUCUGCUGAGAAAAAGUUUGAUAGCUUUAGGUGCAAGAUUCAUUAGGGUUAGGGUUGAUAGGUUUUAAAAGAUUGAACCUUUAAGCCUUUGUGUUGAGAAAAAGUUUGAUAGCUUUAGGUGCAAGAUUCAUUAGGGUUAGGGUUGAUAGCUUUUAAAAGAUUGGAUCUUUAGUCUUUGUGUUGCUCUUUUGAUGCCUCAGGUACUAUGGGCGGGGUUUGAUAAGCUAGAGAGAGAGGAUGGCGACACUCGGAGAGUUCUUCUACUUGCGUUUCGCUCUGGUUUCCAAAUCUGGGACGUUGAAGACACUGGGAACGUCCAUGUCAUUGUCUCUGCUCACGACGGACACGCAGCCUUUAUGCAGAUGCUACCUUACCCGUUAGUCUCCGAGGAGAUAGACGAUGCGUUUGCUGAGAGCCGUCCGCUUCUGGCUGUGUGUGGUGACAGCUCUUGGGUGGAGAUUUUAGAUAUAGAGAGCGCUUCUGAUAACACUGAAAGUGAAACCAUAGUGCCUACGCAUGUGAAUGUCUACUCGUUAAAGUCAAACUCUUAUGUGCAUAAGUUGAAGUUCGAGUCUGUCAUCUACACCAUCAGGUGCAGUUCUCGGAUCGUUGCCGUGCUACAAUCAGAUCAGGUUCGAAGUUUUUUGUCAUAUUGUGUUUGAUUUUGUAUCUCUUCUGAAACUAACAAGUGACUUUUGCAGAUUCAUUGCUUUGAUGCUAAGACGUUGGUGGAGGAAUACAAUAUCCACACUAACUCCAUCGCGUAUGGCUCAUUGGGUGUUGGAUAUGGUCCUCUUGCCGUUGGUCCACGAUGGAUCGCUUAUAGCGGGAGUCGUAUUGAUGAGUCUAGCUCCACGGUUUUCACUUCAGAGCUUCUCCCACUGUCAUCAUCACCCGGUGUUGCACAGUUUGCAAUAGAAUCGAGCAAACAUAUUGUAACUGGGAUAGCGAGGCUUGGAGGCAAAGGGUACAAGUCAUUGUCUAACUUCUGCGCAGAGGGUCUGCCCAAUCCGUAUCUUCCUGGCUUUAAGGGCAUUGGAGGCGGUGCUAGUGAGAAAGCGCAAGACGCUGGUGACAUAGGAAUGGUAAAACUCUCAAAUAUUCCCUCUCAAGUUGUGUUGAGUUUCCAUUGAUACAUAGACUUGGUGGUGUGUGUGUGUGUGUGUGCAGGUUAUAAUCAGUGAUGUUAUAAGCAAAAGCGUGAUAUGUCAGUUUAAGGCACACAAGAAUCCGAUUUCAGCUUUGAGCUUUGAUCCGAGUGGGAUGCUUUUGGUGUCUGCUUCGACUCAGGGCCACAACAUUAACGUGUUCAAGAUAAUGCCGAGAAUCUCUAACACUAGUGAUGCGCCGCCCAUAGAGUGUUUUAUGCAUCUGUUCAGGCUCCAUCGUGGCUAUACUUAUGCGGUAAGCAGAGAGCUCUUCACUUUCCUGUAUUUUAAAAAGUAUUAUUAUUGAUAUUUUUGUUCUUGCAGGUGAUACAAGACAUGAGUUUCAGCAAUGAUAGCAGUUUGAUAGUGGUUAGCUCGUCAAGAGGGACAAGUCAUGUGUUUGAGAUCAAUCCCGAGAGAGAGGCGCAUAUUCCUGUAACUCUGUCACCUGUUAUUAGGAUAAGAAGCCGAGACAUCAGCGGAUGGAUGGGGACAGUGAGCGGUGCUGCAGCUGCGGCGGCUGGAAUGGUUGGAGGAGGAGGAGGAGGCUCUCUUCAGGGUUCAACCACAUCAACUUUCAGCUACUGCGUUGAACAGCAGAAUAAGAACACCCACUAUGGUUCUACUGCUUCUGAUAAUAGUAGCGUAACGAGGAAUCUACUGGUUUUUGCUCCUUCUGGAUGUAUGACACAGUAUGCGUUGAAGGCUGGGGAAGGUGGUGAGGCUUUGGUGAUGACGGGGAUUGAUUCUGAGUCUGGUGCAGAGACUGAAGGACCGGUUGUGAGGAUACGAAGGUGGUACAUGGUCCAAAACCGAUCUAGAAGAGAGAUGCAAGAUCAGCAGAGGGUCGUAUAUGGAGGAGGUGGAGCAACUUCGGGUUCUGGAAGUAACGUGUUUCCGGAGAUUGUUAGAAAGGAGAGUGCUGAGGAGGAACCUUGGAAAGCAAAUAAGAAAGGAAAGGCCCGUCGUGUGGUGGAUAACAACCAUCAGCUGUACGUGUCUCAAACAGAGUUGCGAAUGUAUCAGCCGUCUCACCUACCCUUAUGGGAAUGGGACAAUGUAAAACUUUCCUUCCUCUUCUCUUCUUGUUUUUUUUUAUUAAUGAUGUGUUGUGUGGAUGUGGCUGAGACUGUGUGUUUUGCAACAAAACAGUGUAGGUUUGAGAAGUUGGUAUUGGAUGUGGAUGAAGAGAGUAAUGGGGAGAUGGAGAUUGAAAAAAUCAAAGGUCAAACGAUUGAAGCAAGAACAAGAGGUUCGCAUCCAGUCUGGGGUUGAAGAGGAGGAGAGUUGCAUUAGAAGAAGGAAGGUGAUAUGCUGCUUUUGGUUUUAUUGUUUCUUCACCAUAAACUCAGCUUCAAGUUCAGCGAUAGGACUACAAAAAUAACUGUGGAAAAUUGUAUAGAAAAUUAGAAAAGUUGGCAUACCUUUUAGAUGUAAAUAGCUAGCAGUAUAGUCUUCUUUGGUUACAGGUUGACCCCAUUAUAUUGAUUCAUGAAGUGCAUCUUCUUUGGAUGUAAGCGUAAUAAGAAAAAGAAAAAAAAGAAGGUUUUUGCCAUUUUUGCUGCACCUUUAUAAUGUGUGUGUGUGUGUGUGUUUACAAAGUAAAAAAAACAACAGAAAAGACUGUUACAAAAUGAAUGGAACAGACGCAAACAAGUGUUCCAUUGGGAAGUGAACUUCGGCAGCGCUAUGAGCCAUGGGGACAGGGUUUUCGCUGUUGCUGAUAACGAAAGUCCUUCCAAUCACAGCGCCUGAGAUGGAGACGGUCACGCAAGGGUCGGGUCGCUUGUGAUCUUGGAGGGCUUCUCAUCUUUAGAACUGUUCCUCCUGGUUUAACCCAAAUGUCUAAGUUACCGUGCAGCAGCCUCUACACGUAAAGAUCCGCUGCUGGUGACAAAGGGCACGGACUGCUGGCCGAAACCGUGGCUUGAUCCUCCUCUCAUUGAGAUUAUCAAACACUUGGCGAGCAAUCAAGAUUGAGAUUAAAGAUUGCAGCUUUAAUUAAUUUAAUUUAAUUAAUUAACGAGUGAGUGACGAAGAAGAAGACUUCAACUUUGGUUCGGCUGCUCAUGAUGAUAGUCGUUUUUUGAUUACUACACCAUUAUCUAAGUUAAAUCACAUAAGGAGAGUAAUUAACAAAUUUGGACGUUUUCUAUUAGUGGGAAAGAAAGUUUCUUCGUUGAAAAUUUUAUUUAAUUAUGAACCAUAGUUUUCAAACAGCUACGGAUGGUAUAUAUAUGAUGAAUUCAAAUUAAAUCACUUGUUGUCCGAGCAAAUAUCAUACGGAAAGAAAAGAAAUAUGACUUUAUAAAGAACUAAAAGUUACAUCCAACGGAUGUACUUUGAAAUUGAAUAGAGGUUUGGAAAAUAUCAAAUACCGUGUUGAAAAAGUAACAUAGCUAGACAGUAUGUAAACACAAAACUAUAAUUUUAUUAUAUAUAAAUAAAUAAACUGAAAAACGCCACUGUUUAAUAUUGCAGCGUUACAUUAUUGAUAUGCUAUUCGAUAGAUAAAUAAUUUAGAAUUUUCAUCACCUGUUAAAAAAAGACAAAAUUUUCAUAAAACAAAACAAUAGUUAAACAAAAAUACUUAUAAACCACCAUCAUCGGGCACAACUUGUUGGCGGUUGCCGCCACACCAAAUCCAUCCAAAAUGCCAGAGAACAGCCAAGAUGAUUAAACAGGCCACAAUAGCGGCAGUUAUGAUGUAACCAAUCGAAGCCCCCAUAUUAUUUCUUCAAAAAACCAAAAACUUGUUCUUUCUAACUUUAUUUUUCUUCUUUUAAGUUCAAGAGAGAACUAGCUUUAUAUAUAAAGAUGGUUAACCUUAUUAAAAUAGAAAAAAGUUAGACAUGGAAAAUGAAAAAUUCUAUUUCAAAAAUAAAAGAAAUCUUCUAAAUCUCUUGAAAGUCUUUGGCUUUUUUUUUUAAAGAAAUUUGGUAAAAUAUGUAAAUCAUGCAUAUAUCAUUAAGGAUUAUUAACCAAAAAGAAACUGGAAAUUUUACAUAAGUCAUUCACAAACGUUUGAUGACAUAUUUUUAAGCUAUUUGAUCGAAUAUGUCGUUAAAAAAAAGCAAGGACUACGAAAAUUUGGAAAUUUAACAUUUUAUGGUUCUCUAUAAAAGUAAAGUAUUUUUACUUGUUAUUUUUUCUUUUUCUUGUAUAUAAUGAAUUCAAAUUAAAUCACUCAUGGCCUUAGAAAAUAAUCAUUGUCUUAAAAAUAAAAACUAAUGUACAUAAGACAGAAGUAAAAUUUGAAACUGAAUAGAGGUUUGGUCCUUUUUGGAAACGAAGAGUAACGUGUUUGUAUAAUUUUCUUGACCUAGUGUUCGUAUGUUUAUCAUAGUCAAAAAUUUGUUAGGUUAUGCUUUUGAAUUCAUUUGGCUUGCCUAUCAUAUUAUAAAGUCUUGUGGCUCAUACUGUCCAUCAAGUCCAACUUCCACAAGUGCCUUGUGGAUGGUUUGAUACAUCAUUUGCAUGGUUUUGUGCUGCAAUUAUCAUGAAAAAGAUGUCAGUAUUAAUCGAGAUUACAUCAUUUAGCAAAUAAUGGACAAACUAUUUUACGUGCCAGUAUAGAAUCCUCUGUAUAGGGUUACUUGUUGGAGCACCUUCUGGCCACAUUGGAAUGACAAUGUAAGCAGCAAACUUCCCCCUUGCUCUAAUUUUGUUAGCAAUCUUUAGCGCGAUUUCAAUAGGGAUUAGAUUGUUAUUACAGCAACUAUUGAGUAACUGAACUUUCCCUUAAAAGCUCACAGUUACUUACCCAAGUCCUUGUUUGAAUCCCAGUUGAAUGAUCGAUGAUCCAAGAAAAUAUUGGUUCACAAUGUAGAUGAAAUGCUGAGCAGAUCUUAUGGCCUUAACAUAAGCUGCAUGUAUGCUCAUGUCAAUGAGUAUGUUCUUCCCACACAAAAGAUUCUGACCACAAACAUGUAUAUAUUAGAAGAAGAACCUUCUGAUAGUCCUAUCAAAUGCAGAGUAUCAAAGAGAGAUUAACCAUCAGAUUCAUCAUUGUCCAUCUAGUGUUAAUUAGGUUCAAAGCCGUCAAGGCUCUGUGGUAUCUGUAAUGUAACUCAAUUAUCUGAAUUCAUAGAGCCUUGGAUUGACAAGCAAGAAAAGAUACUGUAAGAAAACAAACUCGAGUUUCCCUAAAAGAAUCAUGUUAUAGAGUCUGUAACUUGUGAAUAUAUUUAAGUGUUGGUAGAUUCCUAUAUACGGCUUGCUUUGGUUACGUUGAUCUCAUUGUCUCAUUCUCUUCAUAUAAUGUAUGUUAACAUGAUCUAACACAUAUAAACUGAGCUUUUAUAUACAAAAUCAUGCAAGAUAUUAGAUUGGAACUUGUACGUUUUCAAGGCUGUAUACCUAGGCCCCGAAGGUAUCCAUAACUAGCAGAAAACUGAAGCGUGCAGAACAGAACUAACCAAGGAAAGGCUAAAGUAGUACUACAAAAAGACCUGCGCUAAAUUUACAAAAUUACUUUGUUUUUGGUGGGGGCGAGAUUGAAUAACUCACGAGAAAUGUGUAGCUGUCUAAAUUAGCGAAGAAAUUAGUCCUCAAAAAGUAAAUUCCGAAGUUGAAGCUCCAAUGUCUUUGUUCAAAGACUUUAUUUAGAGGUAAAGCUAUGUCUUGUAACCACCGAAUAGCUCCUUUUCAUCUACACUCUAUAUAUAUUUUAAAACAUGUGCUAAGUCUCCAAACUUAACCGGCUUAUACCAAACUGAACCCGGUCUACGGUUAAUCAAACAACGUUCUGUUGAGCUUCCGCGGUUAUUUAUGACAUUCCGGUUUAUAAAUCACAAAAAAACGUGAGAUUCAAUGAAUUCGUAUACUUAUAAGUUAAAAGACUACGUAAACCGGACAAAACCGAAGCGUUUCAUGCAAAUACAAAACGAAAAUCACAUCACAUUUUAAACCGUAGUCUUUCUACGUCUAAGUUUCUAACAAACACACAUUACCUUUUCAUCACAUGAAUCAGAUACGAUCUGCCAUUAAUAACCUCAACACAAAGCAAGGUUAGGUAAAUGACGUAGACCCUUUUUCAAUAAUCAUACAAUACAUAACAACGUAAGAUCCUUUUUCGACAUCCAUCUCCUUUCAGACAAAACCACGUUCAGAAAAGAACAGAGACAUAAACAGAAACAGAAACAGAAAGAUGCAGUUACAUAUAUCUCCAAGCUUGAGACAUGUGACGGUCGUCAAAGGGAAAGGACUAAGAGAGUUCAUAAAAGUGAAGGUUGGUUCAAGAAGAUUCUCGUAUCAAAUGAUGUUUUAUUCUCUCCUCUUCUUCACUUUUCUUCUCCGGCUUGUCUUCGUUCUUUCCACCGUUGAUACUAUCGACGGUGCCUCUCCUUGCUCCUCUCUUGGUAACUAGUUCUUGUCCCUUCAUUUAUUUAUUUAUUUUCUAAAUCCAGAUAUUUUAAAUAAUGAACUAUUGAUUUCUUUUUGAAUAAAAACUCUGUUUGUUGCUCAUUUUGUCACAAUUUUUGCUAAUUAAAAUAUGUAAAUGCGAUUUCUGUAAAUCAUUUAUGUAAAAUAUCAAUAUAAUUUUUUUUUUUUUUUUUGAUAAACAGCUUGCUUGGGAAAAAGACUAAAGCCAAAGCUUCUAGGAGGAAGGAUUGAGACUGGUGUAAGUUACUCUAACUUCAAUUUUAGUAUCUACCAUAUUUAAAUUUUGUUAUACUGUUAAAAGUCAAUUUUCUUUGGUUAUUCAUCUAGAAUGUUCCAGAAGCUAUAUACCAAGUUUUGGAACAGCCUCUAAGUGAAGAAGAGCUAAAAGGAAGAUCAGACAUACCACAAACACUUGAAGAUUUCAUGUCUGAAGUCAAAAGAAGCAAAUCAGACGCAAGAGAAUUUGCUCAAAAGCUUAAAGAAAUGGUGACAUUGAUGGAACAGAGAACAAGAACAGCUAAGAUCCAAGAGUAUCUAUACCGACACGUCGCAUCAAGCAGCAUACCAAAACAACUUCACUGUUUAGCUCUUAAACUAGCCAACGAACAUUCCAUAAACGCAGCCGCACGUCUCCAGCUUCCAGAAGCCGAGCUAGUCCCAACCUUGGUCGACAACAACUACUUUCACUUUGUCUUGGCUUCAGACAAUGUACUUGCAGCUUCGGUCGUGGCUAAGUCUCUGGUUCAGAACUCUUUAAGGCCUCAUAAGAUCGUUCUUCACAUUAUAACUGAUAGGAAAACUUAUUUCCCGAUGCAAGCUUGGUUCUCACUUCAUCCUCUGUCUCCAGCAAUCAUUGAGGUCAAGGCUUUGCAUCAUUUUGAUUGGUUAUCGAAAGGUAAAGUUCCGGUUUUGGAAGCUAUGGAGAAGGAUCAGAGAGUGAGGUCUCAGUUCAGAGGCGGAUCAUCGGUCAUUGUCGCUAAUAACAACGAGAAUCCAGUUGUAGUUGCUGCUAAGUUACAAGCUCUUAGCCCUAAAUACAACUCCAUGAUGAAUCACAUCCGUAUUCAUCUACCAGAGGUAAACUUGAUCCGUGUGACAGAGAAGAAUGCUCUGAACAUUAGACUUACAACUUCUUUGUCUUUGCAGUUGUUUCCGAGCUUAAACAAGGUUGUGUUUCUAGACGAUGACGUUGUGAUCCAAACUGAUCUUUCACCACUUUGGGACAUUGACAUGGAUGGGAAAGUUAAUGGAGCAGUGGAGACAUGCAGAGGAGAAGACAAGUUUGUCAUGUCAAAGAAGUUCAAGAGCUAUCUCAAUUUCUCAAACCCAAUAAUAGCCACAAACUUCGACCCAGAGGAAUGCGCUUGGGCUUACGGGAUGAAUGUUUUCGAUCUAGCGGCUUGGAGAAAGACUAACAUAACCUCCACUUACUAUCAUUGGCUCGACGAGGUAAAUCAAAACCACUAACUAGCCACAACAAACACUAUCAAGCACUAGUAGUCAACUUAACUCAGCCCAUUUUUCAUGUAUAUGUUGCAGAACUUAAAGUCAGACCUGAGUUUGUGGCAGCUGGGAACUUUGCCUCCCGGGUUGACAGCUUUCCACGGCCAUGUCCAGACCAUAGAUCCGUUCUGGCAUAUGCUUGGUCUCGGAUACCAAGAGAAAACGAGCUUCUCUGAAGCUGAAAGUGCAGCUGUUGUUCAUUUUAAUGGAAGAGCUAAGCCUUGGCUUGAUAUAGCAUUUCCGCAUCUACGUCCUCUUUGGGCUAAGUAUCUUGAUUCCUCUGAUAGGUUCAUCAAGAGCUGUCACAUUAGAGCAGCAUAAUAAUAAUCACAUAUCAAAACUCAAUUCACCGUUGGCUAAAAGAACCAGAGAAGAGAUUCAGAGAUCAACUCAUAGGAGCAUACUUUUCUGCAAUGGAGUUUUUACUUCACUGGUCAAGUUUCCCUCUUCCAGAUCAUGUUUUUGCAGUCUCUCCUGUUUCUAAUUCUUUUGUACUUCCAAACUCUAAUGGCGAGAAAGUAAUUAAAAAAACAUUCUAUAUAUUAAUGUAAGAACCAUCUGCCAAACUCUACUUAAAUUUACAUGUAAAUAGAUAACAUUGCACCAAGCAAUUGGAGUUUACAGUUGUUCAGCAGAUAACAGUUGUUCAUACGACCAUAACACGAUAAAACGAAAGCAACGAUAAGACUAAGAAAGCCGAGAAAGUGGAGAGCAAAACAAAUGGACUUUUCAUUUCUUUUUUCAGCGGAAGCAAGAAGCAAACCAGUCGAUGAUUUUUUUUCCUCCAAGUUAAGCAACUGGUGGACGAAGGACAUGAUCCUGAGAGGUAUCGACGGAAGCAGGAGGCAUGAACUGCCACAUGGCAACUCCUGGGUAACUGAUGAAUGGCACCAUCUUGUUUCCGGGAGCUUGGCCUUGCGCAGCAGAAGCAAAAGCAGUUGGCAUCAUAGGUGGAGCUGGGAAGAAGCUUGGUUGAGGAGCAUUCAUGGCUUUCAGCUGUUGCUCCAGCUUCUCUUUCUCUGUCUUCAGCCUCUGUUUCUCAUCUCGCAGCUCGUUUUUCUCAGUCUGUUCGAGAUUCACAAGGAAACUAGUAAGCAUGCAUGGUGAAAGUAUGGAUUCCCAGUCGAAGAAAAAUUUCUACCUUUAACUCUUUGAUUUUGUCCUGAAGACCUGAAUUGGUGUCCUUCAACUUCUGAGCUUCGCCGCGUAGCUGUGUCACCAUGCGGACAGCAUCGACCAAGAUUGCAGCCUUGUCUGUUUUGGGAGGGUUUCCAGGCUCCAGAAUUACACUUAAUUCCAUAAACCUGUUAUUCAUUUCAAAAGGCGAUAAACUUCAGUUCCUACAGUAGGGAAGAGAAGGAUAUACAAGUUGAAAAGAUUACUUGUCAUUCAGCCUGUCUCGGCGCUGCUUCUCUCUACAUGCUUUCGAGCUAGUGACAGAGGAUGAUUCACAUCUCGCCCUGCAAAAAAAGAAUUGACCAGGGAUUACUUUUUUUGAUACCUUAUCAACCUAAAAAUAUUCCAAGAAAGCCAAUAAUACAGAUCCACAGAAACAGUUAAAGAAUGAACUGUUUUGCAGAAGUUGCUAGAGUUACGUGGUCUUUUGAAAAAAGGUGCAACAGGUGGAGUUUAUAAGAAGAAGGCUUACCUCUUUUUGGAGCCAGGUUCCUUGCUGGCUUCUGAAUUUCCAGCCGAACCAUCAACUCCCGCGCUGAAUCCAACAAGAACCAAAAAGUUAUAAUUACAAUGCAAACAAUCCAAGGGAACUUACCAUAAAUCCCUCAAACACUCAUUUAUCUAAAAGUGGAAGCUCAAGAACUUACAAAUAUGCUCAUCUUCAAGGAAGAAAAGACGAAUCAUUAAAAAAAAAACAUUGACAUGGUAAGGUCAAACUAGCAACUCAGAUGGAAAGGCACUAUCCACAAAAGGAAUCUAAUUCCCACAAAACAAAGUGAUAGUUAUGAAUCGAUUCCCGAACCAAGAAACAUGUCAGGCACACACGCAAACAAGUUGACUUUGAGAUAAACAAACACCAGAACUCUCCUGAAGACUUAGGGCCUGACUGGUUUAACCGCAGAGGUUGCGGUUGCGGUUGCGGAAGUUUGCGGAUGCGGAUGGUUGCGGUUUCUAGCGGUUUUAAGAGAUUUGUACGACUGGUUAUGCGGUUAGAAAUUUGUGCGUUUGCGGGAUACUUAUGACUGGUUAACUACCAAAUGCAGCAGCAGUUAAAUAAUAAAUUAACAAUAUUUACAUUUUAUACAAUUAUAAAAAUAUCAAAAAUAAUAAUAUUAUAAUAAAUAUAAAAUUUAUAUUUAGAAAGUUAUAGUUUAAAUUUUUUAAAAAUAUAGAAAAUAUUUUUAUUUUAAAGUUUUAUAAUAUUAAUUAAAAUUUAAUUGAUAUAUUUUAGCAUUUUUAUAAUUUCAGUUUAAUUUUUUUAUUGAAUUUUUUUAUUUUUGUAUUUAUAUUGUUUUGGAAAAAAAAUAAUUUUUUUUAUCCUCCCGCAAACGCCCGCAACCGCAAACGCUAGCUGGAACCAGCUUUUGAAUUUAUGAGGUUCAGAGCGAUUUGGAGCGAUUUGGAGCGGUUUAGAGCGGUUUGAGCGAUUGUUGCAAAACGCCAGCAACCGCUACCAACCGCAAAAGCUGCGUUUGCGGGUGGUAGCGGGAAAACCAGUCAUACCCUUAAUGUCAUUAAAACCAACUGCAAGGAUACCUCACCAGCUUAAAGAGUCAACCUUUAAGCUUAAAAUGAAUCUUUCAGAUGACAAAGAAAGUAACAAUAAGAUCUCAGUUUCUUUCUCAACAACCUACUCAAACAAUCCCACAAGCUUAACAACUUAGCCAAUCAAAUUACAAAUUUCAAAUUCCAUAAUUUAACUUUCAUUUCUUCAGAAAACCCCUGAAAAAUAACAUUUUUAGGCCGAAUAUGCCAACUUGUGCGCAAGCAAUUAGGGUUCCCUUUGAUCAAAUUGCACACUCGCAUCACUAUACUGAUUCCUCCCAAAUGAAUCAGAAGCUGGUAAGAUCAGAUCGGAACCCUAAUUGAAUCAGUUAGAGAGAAGAGAAACCUGGAGUUAGAAGAAACGGCAAGAGGUUGGUGAACGGGCCAAGAGAAACCAGGACCUUGGAUGGUGAAGCCUCCAUAGUCCGCAUCGAUCAGGUCGGAUAUCCAAUUAGCGUUUUCGGGUGACACCAUCUCCUCCUCAAAACUCCACCGGUGGAUCGAUUUCUUCCGUUAAAAUUUGAUUGGAGCUGAAGAAAAAGAGAACUGUUGGAGGAGACCAAGUGUGGAAUAAUCCCAGGAGAUUUAGAGUUGUUUUCACGCGCAUUGCUUCUUCUCUUUUGGGCUUUCAAGGCCCAUACAUUUAUAUAACACUCAUAUUUUUGUAUUUUCUUUAUUUUAAUUUAUACUGUAAUUUAUAUUUGUAUAUAGAAAACCAUUGAUAUUCAGAGUACGUUCAUGCCUUGAAUAUUAAAAAUAUAAUUUUUCAUUAGUAUAUUAGUAGAUUAGUGAAAAAAUCAUAUAUAACAUCUUCAUAAAACGGUUCAGUAUAUGAAAAUACAUCUCUUUAAGGCAUAAGUAAAAUUGUUAAAUGUGAAUUUUUAUAAAGUAUGUAGAGUAAUUGGUUUAUAAUUCUCAUACUUUAUUAUAAAUAAAUACAUAUUAAAAUUAUUUUUAUAUAUGUUACUGUUACAUCAUCAUAUAUUUAUUGAAAACAAGAGUUAAAACAAACACCUAACUUGUUUUUGGUUAAAUCAGAAUGUUUGAAACUAAGCUUCCCAAAAUAAUAGCAUUCAAUUGAUAAAAUCUAGUGCUUCCAAAGACAAUGUCAAAAUAGAUAUGCUCGACACAAUUUCAGUUUUGUCAAAUACAAUUAUGCAGUAGAAAUUAGUAAUCAUAGUUCAACAAAAAUGAAUCCUAGGUAUGGACUAUGUGAUGAGCAAUAAACUCUAAACUGUAUUUUUUUUUAAAAAAAAUAGAAGUAUAUUUUUAUGGCGAGCCCAAGUUAUUUUGAAUUAACCCUUAUUUGAAUUUACUAGGUGUUUUUAAAAAUAUAUAAUUAAAUUAUAUUUCGAAAUUUAUAAUGCCAUAUUUGAAUAUAUUUAUUUUAAAGAUGAUUUAUGAGUUAUUCUUAUAUUCUAAAAAAAUUUCCAAAAUAUAAAAUUACAUUAAAUGUAAUAUAUGAGUUAUUACCAUAUUUUAAAAAGUUUACCAAAAAUAUAAAUUAACAUUAAAUGCAAUUGUCCAUGUCAUAUUAAACUAUAAGACAUGUCAUCAAUUUCAGUAGCCAUGUCAUAUUUGUUUUGUAAAAUUGAUUGUACAAAUGACAUGUGGCAAAUUUACUUUGCAAAUAUAAUCUAGGUGAUUUGAAUAGCAUGUGUUUUUCAAUAUAAAUUGUAACAUAUGACAUCUUACAUUCUUAUUUGAUGUGAAAUUAAUUCUCAUCUGAAGAGCAUAUUAUUCUCAAUAGGAAAUGAAUGUGACUUUUUACACAAUUAUUAAAUGAUAUAAGAGUUUUACAGAUCCAUAACUAUAUAUUACUAUUUCUCAGCUGGUUUUAGUUUUAUAUUCGUUUACUAACUAGUGUAUUGUUUUUUUUUUCUCUGCUUAUAUAUAAAUUUAUAAUGAUUUCUGAUCAGGUUGGUUGUAUUUGUACCGAAAUUUAUUCGAGAACAUGCAUGGUGUCGUUUUGUCGUGAUCUAGGAGAGAUCACAUUCUUCUGCUUCCUCGCAUCCAUACAUGGAAGUUCCAUAAGGAAUUAUUCCAAAAUACUACGAAUAUAUACAUAAAUAUAACAUAUAUGUUUUUUUUUACUAAAAGGUAAAUAUCAUAUAAAUGAAAGAAAAUUUACAAGCAUUGUAGAUCUAGAUUAUGUUACAUCCUUGGCAAAAAAGAGAAAAAAUAAGGUUGCAACAAAAUUGUAGAUGAGAAGACUAAUGUCAUCGCAGCCACUUAGCCAUAAGGGUGAGGAAUUGUUUCCUACCCCUCCUUGCUGUUAUGGUGUUGCGCAUUUCCCUGUCGAUGAGCUUGAAUAUGGCGGUGGGUGGCAGGACAAGGUGGUUGUGCAACACAUUGUUUCUUUGUUUUCAAAGAUGGUAGAUAAUAUAACAUAUAUGUUAGUCCGGCGUUAUCUUAAGUUAUAUAGAGUUGCUCUGAAUGUAAAAUUUCAAACGAGGUUCAACAAGCAAACACUCCAACGAUGUAACAUGGUGUUUUUACGUAUUGGUUUCAUUGAUAAGUACAGUACAUAACAUAUUCUAGACACAUACAUGAUACAUGAAUAUCAGUAGCAAUUUUUAUGUCCUUUUACAAAAAAAAAAAGUAAAUAUUUUUUCUUGCUUUAAGAUAACAUUGGUAUUUAACUAUUCAACUAGCAUUGCAAAUAUAAAUAUAUUUGUUAGUGUCAAAAUUUUUAAAAUGUAAAUAUAAGAUUCCCAUGACAUCUCAGGUUCAUAUAAAAACUGCUAUAUAGAGGGAUAAAUUAUAAUAGCACCUCUUCUGUUUUAUUUAUAACAAAACUAGUUAAUUCUUAAAUUAUAGCUGUAUAACAACGAAUAAUAGCAUUUUUCAAAAAAAAGAAACGAAUAAUAGCAUCCUGAGCUUUUCGCAUUCGAUAAAAUUUUGCAUAAAUGUAUCACGUAGAAGUCAACUUAUUUUCUUCGGAAAAGCUAAAUUGAUAAAUAGACUUAUCAACUACUGCUCAGGGGAUAUCCAUAGAGACCGUGGGUAUAUCCUCUUAAUAUAUUAUACUAAUCUAUUAGCAAAUUUCUAUCAUGUUUUUUAUAUGUCAUCGUCCUUCUUGUCUUGAUAUCUUUUAUAUAUAGUACAUACACAAAUGUAAUCAUAUACAAAGUAAUUACAGGGGAGAUGAUCCUCUUCUUCUUAUUAUAAGCUUCCACUACUAUUAUUUGAAGAAUCACAAAAAAACUAUUCCAACUACAUUUAGUUUGAUUAAAUAAUUUAUGCAAAGGUGACGUUAUAUACCAACUUGAGUAUCUUAUCUAUGAUAAACUUUCAAUAUUCUGAAUCAAAUGUAAUAUCAUAUGAGUGUUCUAUAUAUUUUAGAGUUUGACUUAUUCCGUUACCAAGUUCCGUGGAACGGUGGAAGCAUGAAUUGUGCCACUAGUGCUCCAGAUGUUUCUUAGUUUACCUUAUCCACUAAUAGGAAUUCAAGAGCAGUUGACUAUAUAAAUCAUACAAAUAAUUUAUGUACUUUCUAGGCAACAUUCAUUCUUUAUAUUCUCAUUAUAUCUGUAAUUUGUAAAGUUUGAUUUGAUUUGGUAUCCUUUUCUAUUCAGUCAAAAAUUUUGGAUAUGUGUAACUUUAUGGAGAAAAAUAACUAAUAAUUUGUUAUAUUUAUAAAAAAAAUCACAAAUAUUAAUAUUUUUAAAGUGAAUUUUCAUUUUGACAUGUUAUAUGCAUAUGUAUGUAAAUUUUUUAUAUAGAAAUUACAAUUAUUAUAUUUUAAUGUAUUUUAAUUAUUACAUUUUAAUGUAAAUUUUUAUAAUAUUAUCAUUUAUUAAAUUGAUUAUAUAUUACAAGAUUAUUCUAAAAGUAAUUAAAAUAUUGUUAUUUUAUAUUAAUCUGGAUUUAAAAUAAUAAUUUUAUUUAUCAAAUCAGAUGUUCAGUCAAAAUAUAUAUUUUCAGAUAUUAGGAGACUACAUAAUUGGAUGGUGGAAUAGUUGCGGAGCGGAUACAGACUAAUUAGCCCAGAUAAACCUUACCACUCCAUAUUAACAUUCAUGGAUAGACACGAAGGGUUCAAAUGGUCGUAUAAGAAAUUAAGGAGAAUAGUCAAUUUCUGAUCAUUCUUUAAAAAUUAUACUAUUUAUGAGAAAUUUUUUAUGUGUUUAGUUCCUUGUCAUUUCUUGAAUUUUAAGGAAUUAUAGAAAAAAAUAUUUUUUAUCAAAAUUGAUGUGGAACAAAAAGAAUAAAUAUUUAUUUUCAUUUUUUUAUUUUGUUCCUAUUCAUUUAUUUCUUACUCAUUCAUGUUUUUAUUUUAAUGGUCACCGGUUAGUGUUGUAGUAAAUUUUCGAAUUUAUAGAGAUAUUUUUUGUUUUGUUUAUAAAAUAAGAAAUACGACGGUGGAACAUUGAAAUACUAUACAUGUAUGCUGUGUUUUGUGUGAUAAUAAUGGUAUUCUAAUUACUAAAUGUUAAAUUAUUGGUAUCACAUUUUUUUUUUGUAAAAAGCAUUAUUUAUCAUGGUUUUUUUUUGUCAAUGGUAUAGACACAUGCAACGUCACUAAAAACGGUACAUUUCCAUGCAUGACUUAAAAUAGUUUGGUAAGUUUCUUUUCAACAGGAAAGUAUACUAAUAUCAACUGUCAAUUUUGAGAUCAUAGAGUAUGAUCCUAUCACUAUCAAUUUUUCCCUUUUCUCAAAAAAAAAUCGCACACGAAUACCACAAACUGUACAAAUCGAAAUGAACCUAUUGAUAAUACAAGUUGAAUUGAUUGUAAUGAGAGCCGUGCUAAAGUUGGUGAACGCCAUAACCAAGUUCUGACAAAAAUACGAACAAGUAAACAUUGUAAUCUAAAGUAAGAGUAUAAAAUUGAUGUUUCACAACUUUUAGUUCAGAACAACCAUAAUCAUUAGUCUCGAUUUUUUGAUCAAAUAUUAACAUUAGACUUUUACACCAGGUUAAUUGAUCAAUAACAAAGAGAAAUUAAUAUUUUGAACCCCAGAAAAAAAAAUUGAAUCCAAACACAAGCUAAACCAAACAACAUGUAUAUAAAAAUGCUAAACCAAACUAUACAGAUUACAACCAAAAGGUCUUUGUGUUUUCCCGUUAGAAUCAUCUCAUCCUUCCAUCCAAAAGUACACACAUUCAUGUAAUUAACUUAAGAGAAUGAUAUGCCUUCAAAACCUUACCACUCCAUAUUAACAUUCAUGGAUAGACACGAAGGGUUCAAAUGGUCGUAUAAGAAAUUAAGGAGAAUAGUCAAUUUCUGAUCAUUCUUUAAAAAUUAUACUAUUUAUGAGAAAUUUUUUAUGUGUUUAGUUCCUUGUCAUUUCUUGAAUUUUAAGGAAUUAUAGAAAAAAAUAUUUUUUAUCAAAAUUGAUGUGGAACAAAAAGAAUAAAUAUUUAUUUUCAUUUUUUUAUUUUGUUCCUAUUCAUUUAUUUCUUACUCAUUCAUGUUUUUAUUUUAAUGGUCACCGGUUAGUGUUGUAGUAAAUUUUCGAAUUUAUAGAGAUAUUUUUUGUUUUGUUUAUAAAAUAAGAAAUACGACGGUGGAACAUUGAAAUACUAUACAUGUAUGCUGUGUUUUGUGUGAUAAUAAUGGUAUUCUAAUUACUAAAUGUUAAAUUAUUGGUAUCACAUUUUUUUUUUGUAAAAAGCAUUAUUUAUCAUGGUUUUUUUUUGUCAAUGGUAUAGACACAUGCAACGUCACUAAAAACGGUACAUUUCCAUGCAUGACUUAAAAUAGUUUGGUAAGUUUCUUUUCAACAGGAAAGUAUACUAAUAUCAACUGUCAAUUUUGAGAUCAUAGAGUAUGAUCCUAUCACUAUCAAUUUUUCCCUUUUCUCAAAAAAAAAUCGCACACGAAUACCACAAACUGUACAAAUCGAAAUGAACCUAUUGAUAAUACAAGUUGAAUUGAUUGUAAUGAGAGCCGUGCUAAAGUUGGUGAACGCCAUAACCAAGUUCUGACAAAAAUACGAACAAGUAAACAUUGUAAUCUAAAGUAAGAGUAUAAAAUUGAUGUUUCACAACUUUUAGUUCAGAACAACCAUAAUCAUUAGUCUCGAUUUUUUGAUCAAAUAUUAACAUUAGACUUUUACACCAGGUUAAUUGAUCAAUAACAAAGAGAAAUUAAUAUUUUGAACCCCAGAAAAAAAAAUUGAAUCCAAACACAAGCUAAACCAAACAACAUGUAUAUAAAAAUGCUAAACCAAACUAUACAGAUUACAACCAAAAGGUCUUUGUGUUUUCCCGUUAGAAUCAUCUCAUCCUUCCAUCCAAAAGUACACACAUUCAUGUAAUUAACUUAAGAGAAUGAUAUGCCUUCAACUUCACACAUCUUUCUGUUUCUCUCAUCCAAGACUCAAACGAUCCAAUGGUUUAAUGAUGUUAGUCUGCCUACGCGGAGUUCCAAUCUCACAAGCAUUCACUCUCGCUGCGAAUCUCAGAGAGCAGAGAGACUCACCGGUUGAAGAAGAUUCAGGCGCAAUGUUUACAAACAUCAGAGUCUUUGAGUCACCGCCUAAGCAAGGCUGAAUCAUUACAAACGAAAACAUAGUUUCAUCAUGAGAAGAAACAUAAUCUUUUGAUAAUAUGUGUGUUUUGUAAAGUAGUAAGUACCUGGAGAAGAUAAGUCAGCUUCGAGUUACGGAAUGGAACAUGAUCAUCUUUCUUUGCUAAGGCGAAGAUGACAUCACCAAGAGACGACAAGCUUUUGUUGAUUGCCUAAAAAAAGAAAUGUUUUCUAAGCUACAAUUGCAAUUAAAAGGCUUAAAUUGUGUUUUUAUGUUUUUUGAAGAGAGCUUACUUGAGUUUCUUUAAGUCUAUCUCCGGUUGAUCCACUCUUGGACAAACGCUCACUCCCUGCAAGAUCAAUCAGGUUCAAGACCCCUUGAACUUGCUGCUCAGUGCUCUUUAAGAAGAAGAACACAAAAAAAAACAGUUUGGUUUAUUACACAGAACAGAAGUCAAUCUCUACAAGAAAAAGAACCAGUUUGGUUAAUAGAUACCUCGUUGACACCUGAGAUUCUUAACGUGAAAACGAAAUGGCUUCUUGAAGACUGCUCGUUCAUCUGAGUCUUCCCCACCGAUCUAAAAGAAAAAGAAAAGAAAACCAACGUUUAUAAAACCAUAACCCAUCUGUUAAUGGGUUUUUCACUUUUAGCUGUUCACCUGUUACGAGCAGCGUGAUCCAAGAGGAAUGAAACCUCUCUGGAGCUUUUAACAUCCAAGAUAGUAAGCUCAGCGACAUGUGUGUUCCCAUGAGCAUCAUGUUUAAUAGCAUGUUUCUGUGGAGAUACACCAUUGUCUGUUCGCACUGCUUCUUUGUUUGUCGACAAGAGAUCUCUGAUCGUUUCAUUGUAAAUCUCCAACAUAGAAACCUAUGCACAUGAUACAAGACUAGGUAAAGUUACAUAUCAAUUCUAACCACAAGGAUGUAUCUUGCUUAGUGCUACUUACCUGCAAUUCGUACUUCCAACCUUGAGAUCUAAGAGACUGCCUCGUUUCGAAUAUUUGCUCCAAACAUCUUGGGAUCAGACCUUUCUCCUCAGCAUUCCCUGGCUUACCCAUCAUUGUGUAAGUCUUACCCGAACCGGUUUGUCCAUAUGCAAAAAUGCACACCUGCAAAAUGAAUUAGUAUCAGCUUAAUGCAACAAACAGACCAAUUGGUCUAGUGGUAAGGAGUGUCUAGUAGGCACUCCGCCACUAGGUUUCAAUACUUACAUUGCUUGGGUUUCCGGCAAAGAGGUGAAACCACUUUUUUUUCUUAGCAAAAAAAAAUGCAACAAAAAGAAUAUUAGUUUCCAUUUUCAUUACCUUGUAACCAUCGAGAGCACUUUGAACAAGUUGAGAGAUCUCUAUGAAAACGUCUUCUUGUGUUGUAUUAGGCAGACACACCUUAUCAAAUGUGAACGAAUGCUUUUGCGCUGUCCAUAGCCGAAAACACACAACAACAAAUGUUUAAAAUAAAAAAAAACUGUGUCAUUUCCGUAAGAGCCAGAGUUUUAUAUUUAGUUUCAUACCAUUUUGCAUCAAGUCAAUACCGCGACCAAGUAGUUCUAGAGAUGCAGGGUAAGAAAUGGUCUUCCCCUCAUCACCGUUGUUCUCUCCUGGUAAUAGAGGUCUAACUCUACAGAACACACGUAUGUUCCCUUUCAGUUCCUGCAAGAUGAAACAAAAAAAACAAUGAUCAGACAAAAGCUUACACAAAUGGUGGCAGAGGUUACUUAAAGAGGAUCAUACAAGAAUAGUAUUGUGUAGCUUCUUCCUUAGUUUCUCUCCUUCAACGAGUUUAAGCUCUGCUUCUUCCACGCGGCUUUUGAGAUCGAUAAUGGUUUGCUUCUGGUCUUCAAACUCGUUCAUUUUCUCAAAUGUAGUUAGAUCAGACAUCUAAUAAACCAUCAACAAAUAAAAAAUGGUAUCAGAAAACUUGGAAAAAAUAUAAUGCAGCCACUUGAGAAAUGUGAUGAAACCUGAAGUCUCCUAUCACAAGAUACUAGUCGGUCUUGCAACUCCUGUAUCUGGUUACUCUGGGAAGAACAAGUGGUCUGCACCAAAAAUUUACCAUCAUCUUAGUAGAAAACAUUCGGCAGUAGAUCUUGGUAAGAAAAUAUGAAAGGAUAUCAAAACCUCAAGCUCAGUUAUAGUGUCUUUGAAAUCAUUGUACUUGUUUGCUUCUGUUUGUAAGGUUUUUAACUCCGUUAAAUGGUGAUCACGUUCAUCUUUAGCCUGCUGAAGCUCCACCUUGAGGCUCGCAAUUUCGUUUACCAGUUCAGCUUUCUGCUUCAUUAUAUCAUCUUGAGAGGCCUAGCAAACAGAAAAACAAGACACACAGUCAUAUUCUGAUGACUAGUAACAUAUAUAUAUUCCAAAAGUAAGAUUUUCUAGAUUUUUUUUUUUUGUUGUAUAAAGAUAUAUUUAUAAUUUUAAUGUACUUUUAUUAAUUGAUGUUAAUGAAUUGUAUGCUUCUAAUGAACACUAACUGCCAAUAUUUCAACUGAGUAAAUCUUAUUGGUUUACUGUUACUGGAAACUGCUAGUAUAUAUAAAUCAUAUAGUAAUUAUAAACAUUUGUUACAUUUUAAUAUGCUUGAAAACUGUAGUGUCUUUCUUUUAUGAACGGAAGGAGUCCUAUCUAUUGGUCGAAUUAAAAUAGAGAGUAUGAAACACCUUAGAAGCAGCAAGCUGAUCCUGCAAUGCUGAGAAUUGACCCUUCAAGUUGCCAAUGUUCUCAACUAUCUCAGUCCUUUCUUUCUCGCCGCGUUUUAUAGUUUCAUGAGCUUCAUCAAGAUCACCUUGUAGCUUGCUGUUAUACAGCUGCAAGCUUGAGUUAUACUCUUGCAACAGUUUGUACAUGUCAUUCACAGAUUGUAUCUGAACAAAACCCCACAAAAAAAUGUCAUUAGGUGACAUCAUUUUUAACAUUUCAGAUCUUCUUUUUUUUAGUUUCCUCACCCUUUGAUUAGCAGUUUGAAGCUCUCCUUGUGCUUUUCCUAGCUCUUCUGUGAGUCCAGACUGUGCCUUUUCAACAGCAUGUCUUGCUUCUUUCUCUUUUACAAGAGAAUCAUUUGCAGCCUAAAAGCAAAUUAAAACAUCAGACAACAAGUGUUUAAUUUUUAACUAGAGACUAGCAGCUGUCUUACCAACUUCUCUGUCUGUUCCUUGGCAAGUUGAAUUUGAGCAGAUUCAAAAUUCUUCCUCAGUUCCUCAAUGAUCAUAUUCAGCUCCUCUUCUUUGUUUUUCAAGCUAGCCUCUGUCAUCAAAUUGCAAUAAUUUUGAAGUUUCAAUCCCAAAACUUCAACAAACUAAAAUCUAAUUUUUAAAACGCACCCAUAUCAGCACAAUGCUUCUCAUUCAAUACCAAAGCGUUCUUCAACUUCUCUUGCUCAAAAGCGUAGUCCAACUCCAGUUCUUGAAACCAUCUAAUGCAAAGUCUAAGUCUUUUUAUAUAUUCCAUCAUGUUCUCACAUCUCUCCUGCAAAACCAACCACCAAACCAAGGAGAAAAUUCAAAAUUCUCAGACCAAAAAUGGUCAAACACAUAAACAAAAAGUCUUUAAUGCUCAUAUCAAACAGACAAAAAACUAUUUUGUCCCCACAAGUUGUCUUAUAACAUUUCAAAUCUUCUUCAACACCCAACAGAUCCAAUGAGAAAAGCUAGUAAAUCAAACUGAAAAUUAAAGCAGAUCAUAAAACAAAGUCUUCAAUGCUAAUGCCAACUAAAGGUCCCACAAAAUGUCUUAUAACAAUCAAAUCUUCUUCAAAAUGAACCAACAAGAAAAGCCAGUAAAACUAUUUAAAACUCAAAACUUCUUUAAUCAAGAUUUAGUAACUUAAACUCUUUGGUAUUAAGAAUCCUAAUUGAUAUGCUUAUCCAUGACCACAACACAAUCAAAUUCAAACAUAAGUCAUAAUACCAAACACCUAAAAGAAAAAAAAAGAAAGAAAUAUUCAGUGAGCGUGCAAACAAAAGAAGAAACCUUGUAGUUGAACUUGCUCUUGUACUUGAUUCGCUCAUUAAGAAGAGCUUCAACGUCUUCUCUUGUGAACUCAACCUGACCACAUUCAGAUCCCGCCGUGCUCACCGGAGCACUGUCCGGCGUCAGAUCUUUAGACCCAUUCGCCACCGGAAAAGCUGACCGGAUUCUUCCAUUGCUUGCCAUCGUCCCCACCAUAACAGAGGAAGACUUGUUCUCUCUUCUUGUUAAUUAACUACUUCUCAAGUCUCUCUCUUUUCUACCAAUCAAAGUAUAAACCUGCAACAAAGGGUAGAGAUCUUUAGACUUAAAUGUAAAUGAUAAAUUGAGUAAAAAGAUUUAAAUGAAGGAAAAGGAAGGAAACCCGUGAAGAUGGUGUAACUAAACCAUUGAUUUGAACGAGAAACAGAGCAUUUUGAGGAUAAAGAUUGAGACUUUAAGGGAGAAGGAUGAAAAGUAAAGAAACCCACUGAUCUUAAAGAAUGGAUGUGGAAGACAUGUUCAGAUUUGUGAGAGCUGUUGAGAGUGGAGGAACACGAAAUAUUGAAAAGAGAGGAUCUUUGAGCAUUUAAGAAGGUCUUUGUAAUAAAGGAUUUGGGUUUAGAAAUGGAGGCACGUUUCAGUUCUGUUCUUCUGGUCUCUUCUUGCUGCUGCUGUGGCAACUUGUUUUCUAUAUUUGUUGGUUUGAAUGUUCAAAGAGAGAGAGGUGAGAGAGAUGAACGUGGGGCCGUUGAUUGGAUCUGAAGUCACCCGAGGUGAUGCAAUCACAGCCGUUGCUUUGUUAAGCAGCAAACAGAUGGACCAAAGGGCAGUGUGGGUAAGGUAAGUGGACUUGAUUAUGACUUUAAUCCAUACAUCCAAAUAAUUAGUUAAUCUAUAUUAGUAACACAGAAAACGUAACAUUCCUCAAGAUCAGGAUUUUAUGUCAAGAAAAAAAAUAAACAAUAGUUUGCAAAAUAUUCAUUAUGAAAAAUAUUUUCUAAAUUGUAAAAAUGAUUCAUCUAGGAUUUUUUCUUCAGUUAAAAAUUAGUUUACACAAGUGUUUAUUUGUAUUUUCUUUCCAAACAGAUUUUUAAAAAUAUUUUUAAAAUAUGUAUCUAAUAAAUAGAACACACAAGUAAAAACCAUAUUCAUAAUAAAGGUUAAGUGAUAUAUAUAUAUAUAUAUAUAUAUCAAAUUUUUGUAAGUUAUUUUAAAUAUCAUUAUUUAUGUUUAAAUUUCAAAAUUAAGAAUUUUAUAUUAUGUUGUAAUUUAAUACUCCAUCUUUUUUUAUUUGGCAUUGUAGACUUGUACACACAAAUUAAAAAAAUAUUUAAUUUUGUAUAUUUCAUAUACAAAAACAUCAUGAACUAUACACUUAACCAUAGUUCAACCAAUUAGAAAAAUAAACUACAUAAUAUAAAGAGUCAUAUAACAUGUAAAGUUAAUAGAUUUUGUAUUAAAUUUUAAAAUGUCAUUUACUUUGAAAUAUUAAAAAAUUUCUAAAACGUUAUUUAUUUAUUUUCUUAAAGGAAAAAUCAGUUAUUAAAAAUGAAGAGAAUAUUGUUUAGUACACAUUUUGAUAUUUAAGAGAAAGGAAAAAACUCAAAAUGAGUCAAAGCCCAAAAAUUUAGAUGGAAUCUUCUUGUUUGGUUUUAAUUUUUAAACAAGAUGUAAAAUACGUUACCAUAUGCUGUCUCGGUAAUCUCACAUAUUUAAAACGAUUUAAGAACAAAAAUUAAGAAAAGCUAACAAUAACGUGUCGGCAAAAUGUGAUAUGUCAACAUUUUUAGACAAUAGAUUCCUUUCAGGAAAAAUGGAUAUUUUAUUUUACCGAAAUUACCCUUAGCAUCGUUUCAAAUUGCUAAAAGUAGUCACGUUUCUGGUUUGAAAAGGUAUGGGCUAAAAUUGUCCGAAUGAAAAAUUGUCUUUUGUCGUAUAGUUCUUUAGAUUCUGUCUCGAACCCUGACGGGAUGUCAAAUUUCAUGUGAAACUCUUAUGGUCCGAGGGGUCCGAGGAGCAAGCUCUAUUGGCAGUUGAAAUAUCGUCGUUGAUGAGGUUAUGAAAUUGACGUAAUUGAAUACUCUUAAGCAUUGAAUUAAAACGACAUUUUAUGGUAAGAUCAUAUUACUAUAGCUUUGGGGGUUCAAAAAAGGUAAAUUGUAUGAUGUCAAGAAAAGAGGGUAAAAUGUAUAUCAUUUUAUAUAUCAGCAAUUCAAAAUAAAUAAAUAAAUGUUGCUUUUUUGGUUAGUUAAUGGUUGACAAAGAAUCAUUUAGUGCAUUCGAGACUCACUAUAAUCAUUUUUAACUUUAUACACUCUAGUUACAUUCUUAAAGUUAGCAAUUAUUUUGUCUGUUUAGCACCAUAGUGUUGCAAACUUUUUUAUUCACCUUUUACAAUUUGAAGCCAUUAUGUAACUAAUUUUUUGAUAAUUGAGAUGGGUUUUGAACUUUGCGCAUUUUAUACGGAUAUUAAAAUGAAAAAAUAUAUGUACCUGGAUAACGCACACAAUGAUAGGGAUGAGUUCGUAUAGCCAUUCGGGUUCGGAUCGGAUAUAAAACCCGUUUGGAUUUUUCAGACCGGGUUCGGGUAUUUUUAGUUCGACUUUGGUUAUUUUGGGUCGGAUUCAGAUAUUUUAGAGUUUGAAAGAAAAAAUUAAAAUUUUCAUUUUUAAGUUUUUUGUAUUUAAAAAUAUAACUUUCACCUAACUGAUUUUUUUAUCUUUAAUAAAUUGAAUGAUUAAUAGAUUUAGAGAUAACAUUUCAAAAAUAAAAAAACAAUAUUUUUAAAUUUUGGAUGUAACUUUUGUUAAUACAUGAAAUAUAAAGUUUGACAUGCAUUUUAGGUAAGUAUCAAAUCAUUUUGUCCGUAAUUAUAUGUAAAUUAUAUGAUUUUAAAGUAUAUGUAACAUCAAUAUAAAAUAUUUUAAAUAAAAUAAGAGAUGUAAACUAAAAAUAUAAGGUUGAGUAUACACAUGUUCGGAUAUCUAUUCGGGUUCGGAUAUUACCGUUCAGAUUCAAAUAUCUAAUAUUUUCUAAAUCAAUAUCCGCUUAGGUAUUUUACUAUUUCCAUUUGGUUUUUAGUUCGAGUUUUUUGGAUCAGGUUCGGAUACAGGUUCGGUAUCGGAUAAAAUGUCCAGGUCUGCAUACUGAUACUACUUCAUGCAAAGGUGAUUAAUAGGGUGAUGCAAGGAUCUCGCCAAAUCUGAAAUAGUCAAACUGUAUCCUGUAAAUUACAAUAAACUAAUAUAAUUAAAUGUAUUAGAUUGCGUUUUUCUAUUAAAAUCGUGGCUUCGAAUGUCAAGUUGAAAUGGUCUGGAAAUCCAAGUUUGCUAACUGGUAUAAUAUCUUAAUAUAAAAUGCGUUUCGUUGUGAACAAAAGAAAUGCGUUUCGUAGUUAUAUUUAUAAUUUUAAUGAUUUGUGGUCUGCAUGUAGUUUGUAUUUGGAAUUUUGUUGUUCCAGGAAAUGGUCUACAGAUUUUUUAUAAUAAUUAAAAUACUAAUUUGAUUCCUGGUUCCUGGUCGUAAUAUGUUUUAAUCUCAUUUACAUUUAAUCGUAUUUUCUCCUUAGUUUAAGAAUUUGUUUCAUAUAAUUUAUUUCUUUGCGUCAAAUGGGUGCCAAGUAUAUUUUCCCUUUUUCUUUACAACUUUAUUAUAACGUGAAUUUGUUCAUACUUCAGUGUUAAGCCAUGAUUUUGUACUCCCACUCAUCUAAUUGAAUCAAAUUAUAUACUAAGUAUUAUAUCUUCAGAAUCUAAAAUAAACCAUGUAUAACAUGAAAUCGUGAUAUAUAGUUAUAGACAGUCAUUUGAAAUUGUCAGAAAAUGGAUUUUAAAAAAAGCUCUCAGAAAACUAAAAUCCGUCAUUUGAAAUUCUUAUCUUAUAUAUUAAAACAGAAGUCACAAUCUUCAUUCAUGUGUGAUUUUUUUUAAAAUGGACCUAAUGGAUCUAUUCAUAGAAAUUCAUACUAUAUUUUAAUUCAGACUAAUAAUAAAUAUAAUUUUAAAAAUAUUUUAAUCAUAGUAUCUUUUGAUAUCUUUUCAUUUUAAAUAUAAAUAUAUUUAUUUUAAAAUUCUAACAAAUCUGUUUAAGAAGAUUUUUACAAGAUCUUCAUUUUUGAAGUAUUUAAAUAUUUUCACUAAUUUCAAAAUUAGUUUAAAAUAUUAUUAUACAUUAAUAUAUUCAGUUAUAUAAAAUGAAAAAUAAAAAAUCUAUAAUAUUUUAGUUAUUAUAUAAUCAUAAUCAAUCAUAUUAAAUUAAAAUUAUUAUAUUGAUCUAAAUAUAAUAAAAUUGUAUUAAAUUUAUAUAUUUAUAUAUUUUAUUUUCGUAAUUAUAAAAUAUUUAUGUUCAAAAAUAAAAUCUAAUAUGUUGGUAAGAUGGGUUAACAUUAUCAAACUAUAUAAUACAUGUAUAAAAAUUAACAUGUAUUUCUUUAAAGUUAAUAAUAUGAAUAUAUUAAUUUGCUUAAUAACUAAAUGCAAAUACAAUAAGAUAAAUAUAUAAUAAGAAGUGGCAAAUACAUAAGGUUUAAACAAUUAAUUAAUUAUAACAUGUAAAUUAUAAAAUUAUUGUAUUUGAAAUAGUUAUAUAAAUAUUUAAGUAUAUGAUUAACAUUAAAAAUAUAUACCACUUAUGUUCUAAAACAAUAAUUUAUGUAUAGAAAAGUGAAAACAAACACCCGUGCGGUUGCACGGGUCAAAAUCUAGUAUACAUUUAAACUAUUAAAUCCAAAAUAUAUGUCUAGACGUUUAUAUGGACAAACGGCAAGAUAAUGAUAUUUAUUCAGAAACUUGUUUUUAUUUUUGUUCGUGUACAGUUUUCUAUAUUAAAAUAGAAGUUAAGGAAGUGCACCAAACACUUCACAUGAAGAAAGGGUUGUUGCCAAAUCUUUUUUCAAUUUAUGGUCGAGAGCUCCAAAGUUUUCAUCGAAAGUCAUUUUCUCACAUCAAACCUAGACCUACUUCUUCGGUUAAAAACUUAGUCUAGUACUGUUCUGUUAUAUACUUAACUUGUUCCAUUAACGCACUAUGUCAUACUUUUUAAUAUAUGUAAUAGUAAUCACUCUUAUUUCAUUUUCUCCUAAUCGGUAUAUCGACCUCCCGCAUCUAUUAUAGAGUAGAAAAGUAACUACUGGAUCGUUGCGUUGGAAUGUAAGAGGGAAUUGCUAAGAUGGUGAAAAAUGUAUAUCAUGGGAAGAAUGUUCAGAUCUGAGAUGGAUUGUACUACUUUACAUUUAGUUUCUCUAUAAUCGUAAUUGAGUGUUUUCUUGAGUCUAGUUCCAUUCUCCAUAUGCCUAAACAGUCCACACUUUGAUCUAGAUUCAGUGACUUACUAUACUUGUUGCAGUUGUCCGUGUGUAUACGUGGAAAGAUAUUCGUCGAACAUAUCAAGCAAAAAGUAAUAAUAAUCGACAACCGUGAUAAAGCUGACAUUUAAUACUAAUAAAAAUGAAGAUCUACUACAUACCUCUACAAGUAGUUAUUGAUAUGAGACAACAAUUCGUUUGGAUUUUGGUUUUAUGCUCAACAGAGAAUGAAAAUGCCGAUGGAUAUUUGAAUUUAGUCACAAUUUUGUGGAAACAAGGGACUCAAUACUUUAUAAGAAUUGCUUAUAUUGGUGAUGAGUAAUGUCUACUACGUGUAACUUAAUUAAAUUUGCAAAUAGUUUUUUUCAACAGAUUUUCAAUAUAUCUAGUGAGAAAAUAGAAUCCAAUGCAUCAAUGUUGCCUGACCUAAAGACGCAUGUAGUUUGAGACAUACGUAAUUCCAGUAUGUUUGCGUCAAUUUGGUUACGUUGGUGAUUGAGUAUUCUACCUAUUAAGAAUGGUUCCUAAACCUAAUCAUAAUCUUAUUUUUGUUGUUGUUUUGGGUACAUUGAUUCAACGACCACAAACGUGAGUAAACUCAAUUUACCAAACCAAACCAAACUAAAACCGAACCGAACCAAAUUAAUUUGAAUUGACUUUUGUUAAUUUUUUCUUAGACCCACAUAACUCAAACCAAACCAAACUCAAACCAAGCCCGUAGCUAAACCGAAAUGCCCACCACCCCUAGUACGUACUAGAUUCAAUGACCACAAACGUGAGUAAACUCAAUUUGCCAUAUGUUUUGAUAUUCGCUGACCAUUUUCACCGGUUCCAAGAAACAUUGUGUUUACUGUCUCUGUCUGUAAGUAGAAGUACAAGUACGCUGAUACUGAAAUCAGGAGUUAGGAUAUAAAAGAUUAUACGCUUUCAUUAGAAACUAAGCUUACUUCUGGUUGGGUUUAUAUAUUUGUGUGUUAAUAAUAUGUGUUAUCUUUGAGGUAUUAGACUAGGCUCAGUUUGGGCUUAAAUGUUUUUCCAACUUGGGCAUGUUAAUUCCGGUAAAUACCUUCUCAUUUGAUAAAUAAUUCGCAUGCCAUUUAGGCAUUUAGGGUCCCUUAAUAAUACCCAAAAACAUGCAUCUAGCGCACUUUCACCGUAUGCAAUAAAAAAUUACUCCAGUAACAUGUGUAAUCUAUACUAUACUAAAAGGGAGAUAUAAACCCCUCUUAGAGUGUCCACAUCAGCAUAUAUAAUCAUCCAAUCAGAGAGCCCGAAGUUGCCACGUCAUCUCAUUUAUUUUUUCGUAAAAAAUGAAAAAAAAAUUUAAAGGACAGGAUCGAACCCGGGUUAGUAUGACAUAAAUAUAGAGCAUAUACCGCUAAGCCAUUGAAACUUUCUUGAACACAUAUACAAGAAUCACUAAAUAUGUAAUCACAAACUCUUAUGUACAUUUACAAUAAUAUGGAUUCAACUUUCAAGACUUCGAUAUUUUGUUUUGUAAAAAAAAUAAGAAAGUGACUAAGCUAAUAUAUUCUUUGAAAGUGUGAGAACAUUGACAAAUAUGAAAAAGCAUAGAUUUUUGUUUUCGUGACAAAGUUAAGACUUUUGUAAAAGUAAGUUUACAUAAGCUUGCUUUCCCCGAUUCUAUAUACACAAGAUUCUAUAUACACAAAUAAAUAUAAUAUAACAACAUAAGCUUGCUUUCCCCGAUUCAUAUGAAAACUUUUUAAGUUAUCCACCAAAGCAAAUUAAUUAAAUCAAUCAAAUUGUUAGAAUACAACAAAUUAAUAUAUAAUUUUAUUUUAAAUUAAAUUAUUUAAAAGUGUAUUUUCAUUAAAAAUAAAAUAAUAAAAAAGUAAAACUGAUUUGAUGGUAAUUUUUAUGACAUAUAUAUAUAUAUAUUGUGAAAGAAAUAUAAGCUUAAUAUGGAAAAAAAUCUUAAAUACAAAAAAUCCUAAAAUUAACAAAAAAAACUAAUAAAAAUUAAACUAUGAUAUCAAUUGAAAGCUUCUUAGACAAUAUUAAUAAAAUAUUUAAACGAUAAUUAGACAAAUUUAAUUUUUUUUGCCAGCCAAAAGUGUAUUAUUAAUUAGCAUCAGUUAUUUCAAGAUGUUUAAGAAAGGAUGGACUUAAAUGAUAUAUGAACUAUGAAUAGUAGUACUUUGUAAAGCUGACUUAGAUAACACAUCUGCACAUCAUUUCCAAUCCUUUUUGAUGCCUAAAUUCAAUUUCUUCAGAGCAGUUAUUCCACAAAGAGAUCGUAUGAGAUAUUGUUUUGAUAUUCAGAUUUGUUUCUUGACUGUUAAGAAGAUUGAUAACUGUAAAAUGUCUCAUUUGAAUAUGAUAUGUCUAUAACCGAGUCCCUACAUCAGACAAGUUUGUUUUAAAAGAAUAUAAUUUUAUUUUUCUUAUAUUAUAUAAUAAAUAUAUAUUAUUUACUGAUAAUAAAAAUAUAGUUAUUCAUCUAUCACAAAUAACUAUGCAAAUAUGUGAAUCAAGUACAACAAUCAAACAACAUAAUGAUUUCCACAAAGAAAAUUUAAAAAAUAUAUUUAUGUUAUGUAGUCUUAUUUUAUAUUCUUUAAAUAAUGUAAUACAGUAUUAUACAUUAUAUUUUUUUAGAAUUGAGAAAUACAUAUAAUAUCUUAUCCGCGCGUAGCGCGGUUAAAAAAUCUAGUCCCUGUAAUGAUUAGUCUAUGAUCGAUAUAAUCAUAUAGUCUCUGUAACAUAUACGAUUUUCCGCUCAAAUAUAGUAUAUACGCAUGUAUAGUAUCGUUCAUGAUCUUUGUGUGUCCACCACAGAAAAGUAUUACAUAUCAUUCUAUAUAAGAAAAACUAAAAUUAAUGCUCAUCAACGGAUGACACAACAUUAUUAAAACUUGUUCUUGGGGAUUUUGAUCUCUAAGAAAGAGUAACCGUCUUUGUUUGAGAUGAAAGCUUCGGAGUUUUUGAGGUCGGCAUCGCCGGGAAGCUCGAGACGGCGGACGUAGCCGUAUUCCCACCACCGGCCGCUUCUCCAAUCGCCGUUGGCCGCCGUUUUCCAUUGGCCGCUAAUCUCCAUCACUUUUCCAUUAACGUCCACAUACACCUGCACGUUAUUUUUCCCCACCACUAAUAUACAAGAGUAUCAAAAAAAUUUCUGAUCAGUUUUUCUUGAACCCUCUAGAAAAGGAUGACAUAAUAUAGUUAUUUGAUAUGGUUUCAUUUAUUUCCGUAUUUCUCAUUAGAUUAGUACGUAAAGUUGUACGAUUCGAUACACUUGAUUAAAAAGAUAUUGUAACUAAAAAGAAAACCAAUAUAUAGUAUAAGUGUUCUGUUUAUGUAUUAAUCAAAUAGUAUAUCUUUAGCUAAACGAAAACAAAUUCAAUUCAUUUUUUUUGGUUAUAAACUAACAUCCAAUUGAUUUUUUAUAUCAGUUUUUUUUUUCGGAUCAGAUACAUGUAUAAAACAAUAUAUAUAUAUAUAUAUAUAUGUCAUUUUCUCUUCAAAAACUAAAAAUAAAUAGAGAAUGGUAAGAAAAUAUAUACCGGGGAGGUCAGAUUUAAGGACAUAUGCUUGAUCGGUUUCAGACCAGUCGACUCUACACUGUCCUAAGCUCCUGAGGCUCCCCAGCAAAACAUCCGCCUCGAAUUCCCAUAAAGGAAACGCAUCUGACGGAUCAAAGUACUUUCCGAACAAAAACGGGCUGAAAAUAGAUCCCUCGCUGAACACAACCUUCUCCGAGCCUCCUCCGCUGCUCAAGAACCUCCGGAAAACGUCCUCGCCAAGCGGUACGCUCCACUUUCCCGGCGUCUUGUCGUCGGUGUUGAUCUCUAAUUUGAGGCUUCCACUACUCCUCGCCAUGAGAGAAAUCAAGAGAAAUAAAUUAGACGAAUAAAAAAGGAAUGUGAGUUUGUGUGUGAGAGAGUUUUGGAAUCAAGUUUUUGUUUUAUAGUAUGCGUUUUGACAUAGCUGAUAAAAAAAUGAUGCAAAAAGCUUACUAAAACGAAUUUGCAAGUAAGAGACGGAAUAGUAAAAUUUAUCGUGCAUAAUAAAAAGAGAUUAAUAUAUAUAUUUUUAUUUUAAAACAAAGAUUAUUUAUAUAUAAUUGAAGAAAAUACAUUGUUGGAGGCAGUAAAGAGAGUUUUUAAGAUUAAUUAAACAAUUGAGUUAUUCUCAUUUUGCAUUACGAAACUCAAAUGUGACUGGGUGUCCAUUCCCUCUUCUUGUAUCCGAUCCUGUUUGCAGUAAUACAGUGAUAGUUGUAUUAUUUUUUGUAGUAAACGUAGUUGUAUUAUUUGCAUGACUUGCUUUAUUCAUUAUAUGAUCUUUAUCAUGUGAAAAACUAUGAUGAUAUUAUCAGGUUUAACAUGUACAUGGCUAUUAACUAAAUGUGGUAUAUUUUUAAAAAUAGUAGGAAUAUCUUUAUUAUUUGACGUAUUUUUAUCGUUUUAUUUGUUUAUUAGAGUUAUUUUUUUGCCCUUUAGGUAUUGUUUAGUUAGCAAAUACAGAUCAAAAUAUUAGUUAAUAGUGAAGAGAUCAUGCAUGUUAUAUAACACACAAAAUAUCAAAAGAGGCAUCUUGUUGAUGAAAGGAAUGUUUAUGUGGAGGUAUAUUUGUGGCAUAGUUAAAUUAAUUUUACUUUGAUUGAAAUGAUAGGUCUAAAGUCAGAUUAAAGAAGACAAAUAUACCAUGAAAAUGGAAAAUAUUGGGGGCUUACAUUUAUUUGAUGAAUGAUGAUAAUAAGGGGAAAAAGUUGGGAUAUAUUCUCCUUUCGCUGUGACAAUACUUUAGCGUGGUUAAAGUAAGAAGCGAAUAUGUUCUCUUUGACGUAGAAAUUGCUCGAAGGGUCACAAAGAAAUGUGCAUUUGCUUUUAGCCAUACCAUUUUGAUUCUUCAUCUUAUACCGAAAGAUGAUAUAUCAUAUAUUUUUGUUUUAAAUUCGGAUGAAAUUAAGAACGAUGAAUCUUUUAGGUAAACAUUUAAUAAGAAUAUAUUUUAGAUUACAGGGUUUUGUAGGACGAUCGAUCAAUUGCUAAUGUCCACCAAAUUAGAACAGUUUGUCUCCAUGUGAAUCAUUGACAUUAGUAACUCAUGUAAGUAGGACAUCGCUCAAAAAAAUCAUUUCACUCAGCAUGUAGGGCUGAGAUAUUCUAGUGGCAUUCUUGAACCCAAACCGUUCAACUCCCAUUUGGUUUCUAUAGAUCUACCCAAGUCCACUGACCUUACCAUGAUUAAUCUAUGAGACAUCAAUUUGACAGGUCGAGACUAAGGGUUUCACGAGGAGAAUCAAGCUAGGAGCCGGGACUGAUGGUAGCCUAAGAGAGAUCGUGAUCCAAAGUUUGGAAUUUCCAUUGUUAACAAAACAAAAUUGCAAAAUAUAUAUGCGAAGUCAUUCAAUUUUUACGCGCGUAUUUGGAUUUCUCCAAUGGUAAGAGGAAAAAUAUAGUUUCUUCUCUAGUACUUUCUCCGUUUUUAAAAAAUCUAUAUUUUAGAAAAAACAAAUUGUUUUAAAAAAAUAUAUGUUUUACAUUUUCAAUGUAUAAACUAAUUGCAAAUUGUAAACUUUGUUUAUAAUGAUUUUAUUGAUUAAAAGUUGUAGAAAUAGUUGAUAACAAAAAAUAAUGCAUUGGUAAUUAAAAUAUGAUAUAUUUUUUUAAUAAAUACAAAAAAUCUAAAACACGUCUUUCUGAAACGGAAGAAGUAAUCCAUAACUGACUUUAACAAAACAAAAAUAUGGUUUUCCAAUUCAUCAUUCUUUAACAAUCUUUUAAGAAAAGUAAGAAACUAGAUGUGAAAGGAAUAUCGUAUAUAAGCCAUUGUUUCGAAAAGGGAAUAGUAAAUGCAAUAUAUCGAGAUUCGAUCGAGAGAAUUCAAGAUGAUCUUUUAUUUUAACACUGCUUUCCCAAAAAAGUUGACUAUGAGAGAUGGUCUAUAUAUGCAUCAUGCAUGCAUAUCUCUUCAUACCUUCGAAAAUGGUAGAAGAAACAUGGGGAUAAGUUGUUUGUCAUCAGAGUUUAGAGUUCAGUUACUUUUUAUUGAAUAUACAAAAUUUUAUCCAACCAAAAACACUUUUUAUAAUCAGAUGCUUCUAUUUUUGAUAAUUAAUCGGUACGUGCAUUAAUAUGAAGGUAGUCAUUGCAAGUUUCUUAGGUCAAAAAAGCUAUCUUUUUUUUUUGAAAGCUGGUUUUCAAAUUAAAAUCAAGAAAUCAAGAUAAAAACUAUCUUGCGGAGGCUUCGUGGUCAGUUCGUCGAUCCUCUGUCGUAAGUGUGAUUUCCAGUUCUAGUAGAGAUGAGAGCCUGUUCUAGAAGUUAUUGUCGACAAGUUUGGUUAGUCUUGUCAUCGGUAACUGUGUUUAACCAAAAUUUUAAUUGUUUUCCCCCGCAAAAUAUAAUAUAUUUCUUUCCAAUUUCCAGUUUUUAUAUAUUCUGUCUCCAAUCUAUUGUGAAAGGUUAGCCAAGUGGAAAACUGAAUAUUUUUGGAGUCGCAUAUAAAACAAGACCUCUUUAUUCUAUUAUUCUCUUUGUCAAUCCACUCACAUUAGAGCAUGUCCAUUGAAGGUAUUUUAGUGCCCAUUUGAGCAUGUCCAUUAAAGGUAUCUUAAUGGAUAUUUCAACUCAAAAACAAUUGUCAAAAAAAUUAUUUAGACGGUUCCUGAAGAUCCUAGAGGCGGUUCUAUAUAUAGACUGGAAACCGAAUGAACGAUGGUACAUAUAAGGGUAGUGCUCAAGCUUUCAAGCUAGACUCUCUUUUGAAAUUAGCAGAUGUGAAGGGAAGUAGGGAACUGAUGGGAAACAACUCUCCUCCAUUUCGUUGUUCAAGAGAUAAUUAGAACUGAAGGAAGGAGAGCUGCUCGUACUUUUUGGUGAAAAGUACAAGGCAGGGACUACUUUCAUCUGAAAGCAGAAAAAGAUGAAGGGUUGUGUUUCUUUGUGUUUGUACUCUAUUUCUUGGUAAUUUUAUAUAAGUCCUGCAAAAUAGUCAGAGAAGCACGAGGAAAACCACUGAGUAGAGAUGUCAAGAAAACAAGGUUUAACAGCCAUAGCUUCUUCUGAAUUUCAAGACAAUCCCCUUCAUUAGAUCCUAGACAGAAACUGUUUCCAGCUAUUACAAAGAGACGCAUGGACAUGGACCAGUCUAGCUCAGAUUAUAUUCAGACUAAAAAAAAAAGUAUAAUCUUGGGUUUUGUUACAUGUUACGACGUAAAUCCUCUGCGGUUUUGCUGAAAGCUUCAUCAGAGGAUCUUUUCUUCUGUUGGGAGUGGAAUGCUGCAGAGAUGUCAGUUCUUAGUAACUGAUGAUCAGAAUAUCAGAUGAAGCCUGAAGGAACAAUCACAAAAGAGGUUUUGAGGUGAAAAAAAAGCUAGUGACUCGUUCACUUCGCUAGUACUGACUUAUUAUUCAGCGUUAGUUUUAGGAAGAAUCAUUUUCAUUUCUUCUUCUAGAUUCUUUUAACAUUAUUAUUCAUGUUGAAGCAAUAAUCUUGUGUUCAUUUUAGUAUAAUACUUUCAUAAGUAUUAGGAUGGUUUAGUUAAAUUAAUUAAGUCCGGUUUAAUUUCCUUUUGCUUAACCGGUUCCCUAUAUAAGAACAUUUUGUACAGUUAAGUUCUUUGAGCUGAAUAACAAACUUUUUUUCAUCAUUCAUCUUCUUCAAUCUCUCUCGCUUGAUCUCGCUUCAUCUCUUCUUCAUUUCAUCGAUCAUCAGCUCCGAUCUCAAAGCUCAAGGUUUGAUAAUAAGUUCACACAAACUAAAAACUUAUUGUCCAAGCAAUAGAAAGAAACAAAGCCCUAAACAAAUAAUUAAGAAACCUGUGAUCUAGCCAAUACUUUCUUUAUUUGAUCUUAAAACCAAGCAGAUUUACAGAGUCAGAGAAACGUUGUCCUAUAUCUUGAGUUAAAGACCUAAUCUUCCUGUUUGUUUUGGAAAAUUUGGUCUGGCAAAGUAACAGGCCGAAUAUGAGCCUGAUUCUUUUUGCUGACAAGACCAGGCGACCCAAGUUGAAGACUUAAAUAAUCAGAAACAGUUUUCAGGCAAAGUAAAUCGGAUUGUUACAAACUUAGCAGGCCGAGUAUGAGCCUGAUUUUUUUUUGCUGAACUCGCAACUUGUGUACAUUGUGCGUAGAAAAAAGUUUCAAUUAAUUUUUGAUAAUUACCCUAAACAUAAUUUGAUAUACCAACUUCAAUACACACAAAUAAUUCAUAUAGUCAGUCAUAUGUGGCUGAGACAUUUCUUUAUAAUAUAUUGUUAAUCUUUUUGUGCAUCACCACUGAAAUAUGAAGUGUGAGUAUUCUACACGGUCUAAUGUCUAUAUUACUACGUUGACGAACAUACAAAUCAUAUAAAAAUACGUUGGAUAUACGAAAACAUCAUUAAAUAAAAGGAUAUGAAAAAAGGUUUCUAUAUAUAUAAAGAGUUUACGAUAAAUAGUAUGAUCGUCUAUUAUACGAACAGCCGAUUUUCACUAUCUCUCAUGGAUUAUGGUGGGGAUUAGAUCGGAGAUCUUCUUUAUAAAUAUAAAAAAAGGAAAGUAUUCACAUGUUUUUAGUUUUUAUUUCAGUAAUAUUUAUUAAUAAAAGUAAUAAUAGUAAGAAGAUAUCAAAGGUUGGGGCAGACCAGUCAGUGUGGUGUGGUCGAAUGAAGGUCUUGUUGGUUAGGGUUUAGAGCAAAUUGGGAAACCCCGAAGGACAAAUAUAUCAGUAUGCUUCGAAAUUCAAUUUCUAAUUUAAUGUCUUACCUUCGAACUCUCUCUCUCUCUCUCUUCAAUAUCUACUCUUUCAUAUAUCUACAACCUACAUUUUAAAUGCACGUUGAUCCUUGAGAUUUAAAAUUCUCAUAAUAAGCAAACCUUUUAUUGUCAUUUGCCAGUCCUGCUCCAUGUUGAAAACAUUAUGAUGUAAAGACUAGUUAAAAAUGUUGCUUCAGUACAAACCGGGAGUGAGUGUAAUCUUUCUGGUUUUGGUUUUAUAAUCUAAACACAUAAAUCUCAUGUCUCAUUCGGUUCAGAAGACCUUUUUUCUAGUUGCGUAUUUAAAUGUUAAUACUAAUUAUAGUGAUUUAACUCAUGUAGUGUAUUACUUUUUUUUAAAACUCAUGUAGUGUUUUACUAAACAGAGUAUAGUUUAUUGAUUACUAUCUUCCAAGAAUUGUCAGAAUGCUUCAUUUACCCUUCUGGUUAUUUAAGAGUAAAAUGACAGAUGCAAGCGGAAAGGAGUGAGUUGAAAUCAAUGUUCCUUUUUUCAAACGUAGUGACUACAUAGCUAUGCUGCUCCUGGAGAGUACCCUAUUAUUUGGUUGUCACUCAACAACAACAAUCUUUCAUCACUGCUAGGAUUAAACUUAUGUAAUAGUGAGGGACAACUACAUAGUUUUAGGCUUUUAGCCCGAGUAAGUUUCGGGCAUUAUAGUCUUAUAGAAUCUGAGAAUCGUUCGUAGUCCACAUUUAAAGAUUCAUCAAAUAUUACAAUUUGUUUAUUUUGUACCUUAGACGAUUAAUCCGUGGAAUCUCAGUCAAAAUCCUACAACUCAAAAUUUUAAUGUGAACCUGCCCAGUGCCAACACACAAUCUUAUUAAUUGACGUUCUUAUUAUUUACAGUAAUUAAAUUUUGGAAGUAUAAUAAAAACUAAAGAUUCUUUAUUGCAAACUGUAAGGUAGGAAGAUAGUGGAUGUAUCAUUUUGGAACCAAAAUUUAUUGCAAGUGAUUAGAGUAAAAGAGAUUUAGUUUAACUGGUAUCUAUUACAGUAACACUAGAAAUGAAUAAAAAGAAUAAAAUAGUAAAAUGAACAAUUUUAUUCUAUUAUACUCUUUAAAAAUGAAAAAAGAAUAUUUUUUUUAUUUUGUAUAAAUGAUGUAAUUUCUUUGGAAAGGUGAGAAGUUUAAUAUUUCUCUUUGUUCUUUAAUUACCAUUCAAAAUUAUGAAUACUAAUUCAUUAUGGAAGAAUUUUCAUGUUUACUACAUCGUCGUACUAUUAUUCCAGUUUAUCUUCAUUAAAGAGACAUUUCGAAAAAUAUCUUCUUUAUUAAGAGGCAAAAUAUUUUUAUACUCUUGGUCUAUAAUAUAUACAAUAAAUAAUCAUUUAAAUAAAUAAUUUUUUUUAUAUUUUCGAAUUAUACUUUUUCAAAUUAGAUUUAUUUAAUUUAAUUUUUGAAAUUAGUAAAUUCUUUUUGAAAAGAUUUUUUAAAAACUUUCUAAGUAUUUAUUUAUAUAUUUAUUAGAAUUCUAAACUCCACAUUCCAAAAAUCCUACCCCACCCCUCAACUCUAAACUCUAAGUAUAAAUUAGUUAACCAUAGGGUUGUAAGUGUUUUUUUUUCUCUUUAAAAGUGAAUGUAAAAAUGGUUAAGGUAAACAUGAAAAAUAUUAUUAAAAAUGUGGUAUUUUUGGCAAUUCUCUUUCAUUAUAUUAUGUUAACGAAAAGUAUUUUACACAUAUAUAAAUUUUAAUUAGUUUAAUAUUUUAUCUUUUUCUAAUAAAAUUUAACUUAUAUUUUAUAUUUGGAUAUACAUUUUAUUUAAAAAUAAAUAUACUGAUUAAAAUUUACAACAUCAAAGUUUUAAAUACAAAAUAAAACAUUUAAUCAUUUAAUUUCAGAGAGAGUUCAUGAAUUUUAAGUGCAUCGAAUCAAAGUUAUACUCCUUUGUAGAGUAAAAACUUUUUGUUACAAAAUAAGCAUUAUCUUAUAAUUUUAUAUUAAUUUUUUUUUCUUUUGCCUUUAGUUAAUUAAAAUACUAUACAAUUUUGAUAGUAAAUAAUGGUAAAACUGAAUAUUUAACUAUUUUAAUUUGUAUGAAAAAAAUUAACAUACAAGAAAAUUGAAAUGGAAAGAAUAUUACUUAAGAAAUGUAGAAUGCUCAUUUGGUGUAUAAUAUACUCAUUCUGUACUACAAAGAUAUACUUUUUAGUAUUUUCACACAUAUUAAGAAAACACAUUAAACUACUAUAAUAAAUAUAUCGUUUUCUGUAAUUUUUAAUUUUCAAUAACUUUUAACCAAAUAGUAAUUCAAUAAAGUUAAUUUUUUUUUUGAAGUUUACAAUUUUUUCAUAAAAAAUAUAAAAAUAUAUCUUUCUGAAACAAACUUUUUUUUCUGAAACAAUUUUUUUUUUUCUAAAAAAAUUUAUCAUUAAAAACGGAAGGAGUAUACAGUAAGAAAUAGCUAAACCAGUCAUGUUUAAGAAAUGUAUCCCUAUAAUAAUGAAAAAACCAUUUAACAAUUUAUAUUAAAAAUGAUUUUAAUUAUUAGAAAUAUUACGUAACUUUCAUUGUAUAUAAUAUAGUGGACAAUCCAUUAAUUAAAUGUUCACAAAUAACUGUUUUUCUUUCCGUAGUAAAAAUUACAUGAUUAUUUAAUGCAAUUUAAAAAUAUGAUAAUUAAUAAUACUGAAUAAUUUUUUUCUGUUAACAAUAAUAUUGAACAAUAAAUUUGAUAAAAAAAUUGUAUAUCAUCUAUCUUUUUGUUUAGUUGUAUAUUAUUAAAAUAAAUUAAACAUUCAUAUUACCCAUAUAAUAAAAUUUAUAUUUUUAAUAUAUCUUAAAUACUUUGAAUUUUGUUACUAAGAAAUAUAAUGAUCAGAAAAAUAUGAAUAUUUUAAUAUCAUUUAAUAAAAAUAUAGUAUAUAUCUAUAUAAUAUCAUUCAAGUAAUUAUAUACCAUAUAAAUAUUUUAUUUUUAAUAUUCAUAUCAUUUUGAAUUGAUAAAAAUUAAAAUACUUUUACAAUUUUAACUUGAUUAAAUCGUAAAAUUUCACAUAUCUUUAUUAUUCUUUUAAAAAAUAUUUAUUUAACAAUAUUUUAUAAAAUAUCAUAAUCUGCACAUUAUUACCUAGUAAAAUACUAUUUCACGAUCGUUAUCCACAUAGUGAGAAGAGAAGUCUUUUUUACUCGUAGAUUCGUAAAAUUGUAAAUGAAGGAAACAUUCUCUCGUGUUAUGUAUUUACAUAGGUGAGUUGAGACAUUAUAGACCUCUUUUAGAUUCAUAUGGACGUACAUGCCUACUAACAAAAUAAAUACAAAAUUUUAUUCUUACCUAUUACAUUUUAUUGUUUUUAUUACUCUCAUUUAAUUGACUUAAGUAAUAAAGACACUCUCAUUUAAUAAAAACAACUGUAGUGUCUUCAUAAAAGACGAAGAAAACAUAUUUACUUGCAUAUUUUGCAUCUUCUUCCUUAUUUAUUCUAUUAAAUAAAAAUAUCACUUCCAAAAAAAUACAAAACUAAAAAUCUCAGAACAAGAUAGAGAGAAAGAGAGAGAAAGGGAGAUUACAACCACAAUGGACGAUUCAAACACAAGAAGCCAAACUAAGAAGACGAAGAAGCUUCAGAAAGACAAGAACAAGAACAAGAAGAACAACAUCCCUACUGUUUGGUUCUCUCUCAAGAAAUCUCUCCACUGCAAAUCCGAACCAUCCGACGUCCACGUCCCCAAAUCCACGAAACACCUCACCACAAUCUCCACCAAGCGCAUCUCCACCGCCAACUCCUCCCUACCCUCCGCCGGAUGCGGCGGCGGCUUAUCCGGAUGCUCGAGAUCGAUAGCGAAUCUCAAAGACGUGAUCCACGGGAGCAAACGCCACUUCGAGAAACCGCCGAUAAGCAGUCCUCGCUCCAUCGGAAGCAACGAGUUCCUCAACCCCAUAACCCACGAAGUCAUCCUCAGCAACUCCACCUGCGAGCUCAAAAUCACCGGCGUCGGAGACAUGGCUUCCCCCGCCGGAGCAACGGAAUCCGGCGGUGGCGGCGGAGGAAACGGACGGUCGACGACUUUUGUGGGGAUGCUGAGGCCGGGGACGCCGAUGCAUCAUCUGAACCACUCUGCUUCUCACCGGAGCCAUGCUUCGUCGACGGCGGCGAAAAAGGGCUCCUUUGCUUCGUCGGAGAGAGAGGUAAUAGGAGAAGGGUUUCACACAAAGAGGAGAGUUUCUUUGGAGAUGAACAGAGACUCCGCCGUUAACGGAGGCAAAUACUCUGUUUCUUGCCAUAAGUGUGGUGAACAGUUCAGCAAACUCGAAGCUGCAGAAGCUCAUCAUCUCUCUAAACACGCCGGUAAACUCGAAACUUUAACCAUUGGGAUUAUAUAAUUAAUGAAUAUAUUAUAAAGUUUUCACCUUUAUGAAGAUUUUGUCGCAUUUUUAUAAUAUACUCUCUCCUACUUCAUAAAAAAUCCAUGUUUAAAAAUUUUCAAAUUUUUUAAUAAAAUAUAUUAAAACUUAUCAAUAAAUACAUAUUUUUUUAUAAUUUUAUAUUUUCUAUAUUUUUAAACUAAUAAAAUUUUAAGAAAUGCAAUUAAUAUUUUUAAACUUUACUAUUUUUUAUUAUUAGUUGACAAAAAUUACAUUAGAAAUAUAAAAUAUGUAUAUUUUUGAAACAAAUUUUUUUCUCAUAUAAUAAAGUUUUGAACUUUAUGAACAUUUUCGCAUAUUAAUAUAAAGUAAUAAGCUUUGCUCAUAAUAUUACAGUGACGGAGCUCGUAGAAGGCGACUCGUCAAGGAAGAUAGUGGAGAUAAUCUGUAGAACGAGCUGGUUAAAGUCAGAGAACCAAUGCGGGAGAAUAGACCGUGUCCUAAAAGUACACAACAUGCAGAAGACACUAGCUCGGUUCGAGGAGUACAGAGAGACGGUGAAGAUCAGAGCGAGCAAGCUCCAGAAGAAGCAUCCGAGAUGUCUCGCCGACGGCAACGAGCUGCUCAGGUUCCACGGCACCACCGUCGCUUGCGGUUUAGGGAUAAACGGAACGACGAGUGUCUGCACGGCAGAAAAAUGCUGCGUCUGCCGGAUUAUACGGAACGGAUUCUCGGCUAAACGGGAGAAGAAUAACAAUGGGGUUGGUGUCUUCACGGCGUCCACGAGCGGGAGAGCGUUUGAGUCGGUUUUGAACAACGAGGGAGAUGUUGAUCGGACGGUGAGGAAAGUGUUGAUUGUGUGUAGGGUUGUGGCUGGGAGAGUUCAUCGACCGGUGGAGAAUGUGGAGGAGAUGAAUGGGUUGAUGAUGAGUGGGUUUGAUUCUUUGGCUGGAAAAGUUGGGUUGUAUACAAAUGUGGAGGAGCUUUAUUUGCUCAAUCCUAGAGCUUUGCUUCCUUGCUUUGUGGUAAUCUGCAAGUCUUAAAAAAUAUUUAGCAUUUUUGUUUUGGCAAAGAGAUCAAAAUGUUCUUAUUAUUUGUUUAUUAUUUCUAUCUUGUUCCGAAUUUGUUUUCAAGGUGAAUUUGGAAUUUGAGUUUUAUUUUUUAUUUUUUGGCUAGUUUAUGUAUGAGUUCUUAAUUAUUCUUACCUAGAGAGACAAAAAAAAGUAUUUUUGUUCAUAUUAUGUUAAGAUAAAUUUUUAUUGUAGCGUAUUAUACUGAUGUAAAAACCAGUGGUCAAGAGAGAGAUUGUGAAGUGUGUCAAGAGUGAGAAUUUAGUUUCACGGGUGGACUGUUGGUAAAAGUGCUACGAUAAAUGCCAACUUUUCAUUCAGUAAAACGUUGGUCGACGAGAAACCUUUUCAAAGAUUUGGAACACGAAUGUUGGCUUGUUUGGUUGAAUCAUGUUCAUUGUUCAAUAUGGAUUUAUGUUGUUUAAAGUAUUCUGAUAUUUUUUUAAUUUCUUAUCAUAUAUAUAUUUCAAUAAUAAAUAAGAUAUGAAAAUAGAACAUAAUCAUAUAUAGUACUCAGACGACCUAAAACACAAUUUGGCAUUUUUUAGCUUCAAAUUUGUUUGGAACCAUCCCCGUAUAGUCCUAGAUUACAUAUUUAUAUAAGAAAACAUGGCAUAUAAAAACAAAACUAACAUUAAUGAUAAUUAGACAUUUUGUUAAAACGAAUAAAAUGGUCCAUACUAAAUUACUCGAUAGUUUUCAUAAUGUCAGCGAGACAAAGCUUACGUCAAAGGUGUCGACAAAAUUCUAUCCCAUGCAAACAUUUAUUUGGAGCUUUUAUUAGUUCUAUCUGCAAAAGCCACCCUCUCAUCAAUAUAUAUCCGCCGAGAAAAGAAAAAUUGGAAUAUGUGAGCCCAAUAAUAAUCAAAAUUUCAAAUCUUGAAAUUUCGAAUUUUGAAAACAAAUAUACAUUUGAUUUUUCAGACAUAUUAUUUCAGGGCUCUGCAAAAAUAUUUGUGAUAUACAUUUUGUACUUAAAAGUUGUUUGUGGACAAAGCAAAAUUUGUUUAAGAGUGAGCAUAGUCUAGUGAAAAUGAAUCAUGGAUAUCUCAAAAUGUGGCUAUUUCGAUAUUUGAUUACGUAUGUGUAUACAUACACUGUAUGUUCAUUUUUCAUUUUUGAACUGACACAUAAUAAAUGUAUAUUUGAGAACGAAUGAGAAAUGACGAGGCCUGAAAUGGACAGUGUAUCUAUAUCAACCGCCGAAGUAACGGUGGGAUCAUACCACAUGACGUCUCAGAAAAUUGUAUUCUGUACAUACAUACCUUGUAAUUUAAUUAUCUCCACUCGACAACAAUCUAUGUCGUCAUUUUCGGAUCUUUUAUAUAAUGACGAGAACGCAUUAGUAAUCCCCUAAGUAUGUGAAAUAUACAAAAGCUAAAAGCGAGCUGAUUAAGGCUUAAAGACCAUGGUUUAGCCAUAUGAAACCGUUUGUAGAUUCUUUGUUCCCUGUAAAACGUUGAUUGUUAGAAACAUAUUUCGUAGCUUUAAGCUUUGUAAGUGAAGAAAGUGUUUAUCUGGUACGAUUUUUACACUUUUUAACUUAAAAGGGAUUCAAUAUAUCCAUCAAAUACAUAGGUCCAUUAGUCUACAAAUCAAAAGUGCAAUGAAGAAGAAAUAAGGGAGAGAUGCUAAGAUGCUGAGGCAGCUGCAACUUGGGAUGUUUCUUUAUCCUUAGCCUCCUUAAGUUGCUUCCAUUUCUCAAUGGUGUCGAUAAGUUCCCCAGUUUUGAUCAGAUACCUUACCUUCUGUCCAUCUUCAAGGACCUUGUGACCCACCCGGCUAACCACCUCCUUUUCUUUCGAAUACAGCAUCACAUUUGAGCUGUGAAUCGGUGCUUCAAUCUGGAAAACAUAAUGCAUUUUAGCACAAUCCUCAAUCAUCAAUCAUCAAUCAUCAAUCAUCAUCACUGCCAAAGGCAAAGUGAAGGGAGCUACACGAUGUGGUUUCUGUUUUGCAAAUUAUUUUAAGAGAGUCAUCAUGUAUGUCUCAUGGACUGACUGACCUUGAGAAUUUGGCCAGGCUCUCCCUCUUCACGGCUCUUCAUGUGUUUGGUCUUGAGGUUGACAUCUUUGAUGACGAUGGUGCUGUUGUGAGUAAAGAUCUUAGUGACUUCUCCAAUUUUGCCCUUGUCUCGUCCAGAUAUAACUUUGACCGUAUCACCAAACUUGACAUGCAUUUUGUGCAGAAUUGGAAGACUGUUUGGUUUGCAUUUCUUCCGUUCCCAACGCUUAAGCUGAAAGAAAGAAAAAGAAAAAAAAACACAUCAUAAUCCUGUUAAUGCCCUUAGGAAUCAAUCAAGAGAUGAAACUCAACAACAUUACCAAAAGAAUGAGGUAAAGGAUCUUGGUUACUAACCUUUGCGUAAACAAGACAUGGGUUCUGGGCGGGCUUGACCUGCAAUGAGUUACAAAAGAAAAGCAGAGUAAUUAAGGAACCAAACCCCACCCCAACUGCAAACACUUUGCCUAAAAAAACGCUAAACCAUUCUUCUGACUCAGUAUAAGUUCGUUCGAGCAACAAAACCAUAAUCAACCAAAAUGUACAUCACCAGGUGCUAAAUGCAUUCUUUAGAUUCCAAAAGGUUCACCAACCAAUCAAUCAAACGAGCACACAAAAAUAAGAGAUCCUAACUUAAAAGUUUUAGAUGCAUCGCCAAGCCAAGUAGAGAUAAACAGUUGUCUUUUGAGAAAAAAAUCAAAGUUAUAGAAUUUAAAGUGUUCAUAACUUCAUCUCAGUUCAGUACUAACACAGAAAAAGACAAAGAGACAAUUCACAUUCUCCAAUCCAUUCUCCACUAAACAUAACUCAUAGCGCAGAAACACACAACAAAGUUUCAAUCUUUACUCCUUUUAGAGAAAAAAUUUAGAAUUGGCACCAAAAUUCACCAUACCAAAAGCUUAAUAAAUGAAACUAAUCAACAGGUCCAAUGAAAGAUAUCAAACCCGUUACAGGGCUAAAUGUUCGAGCUAAACGUGGCAAUGUCUUUGAUUAGAACGAGAAAUUCGAAAACGGGAGUUACCGGAGAAGCGGCGGAGAGGGAAAGCGGGGAAAGGAGACGCUGGCCGAGGAAGGAGGAGUUGGACUUGGAGGAUAGCGAAAGAGAUGUAAACGAGCUCUGAAGAGAAGUCAUCAUGGUCGCCAUUCUUUUCAGAGUAACUCCCGCUUGCUAAGUGGGGGGGCUAACACUUCAUGUCUCUGUUCGUCUCAAGGCGAUAAGACGAGGAUAACGAUUAUCUCUUUACUGUUAAACGACACCGUUUUAGUACCAUGAUUAACUUCACUGGUGGGUUUUUGGCUAAGGUUUGGGCUUAAAUAUUGUCUGCUUUGGUGUAAUACCCCAAACAUAUACUCCCUCCGUUUAUGAUGUUUUAGAAAUUUUUUGUUGUUUCGAAAUAGAUGAUGUUUUGAUUUUUUAUGUUAUUUUUAACUUUAUUGAAAACUGUGUAAUCAAUUAGAUGUUAUAGUCAUUUUUAUAAUUGGUCGGAUGAUUUUUAAAUUAUAUUUUUUAAACUAUUUUAAGAAUAACAUCAUCUAUUUUAUAGAAGUUCUGUAUUUUUUUUAACUUUUUUUUGAUAAUUCGGCGGACCGAAACCUAACUGACUAAUAUCAUGGAAUCUGUCCACCGAUACUAAAUAGAUCCGGUUAUUUGCAAUGAGAAUUAAAUAUCCAUAUCACUUUGACCACACAAGCGGACAGUGGCGGAUCCAGACUAAUUAUUUAACGGGAGCACAUAAUAAAUAUAUAUAUAUAUUAAAUAAUAUAAAUAAUUAAUAUAAAAUAAAUAACUAUCUAUUUAAAAAUGUCGUAAAUGAGUAAUCAUUAAAAAUUUAAUAUAGACUAUUAGCAAAUUUAAUUUUGUUCAACUCAGAACAGACUAUAUAAGAUUUUUUUUUACAAAUGUAUAAUCACAAUAACAUAUUGUCGCAGUUAAAAUUAACUUGAAUAUUUAUAAAAAAUAGUCUUCAAGUUUACACAUAUACAACAGUAUAUCGAUAUCACACACAACUUGUUUGUAGUCAUUAUAUCAUAAGGUCUAAACUCUAAAAUACUAAAUAAAAUGAGUGGAUUAAUUAGUUUUAUUUCUUUAUUAGCAAUUGCUAACUAGUAAAAUAAUGGACUUAAAAAUGCAAAUUUUAAGAUAAAAUAUAAACUAUAAUAGAAAGAAUGAUAAAAAAGACAAAUAAAGAAAAGAAAAGAUAUGCUAACAAGAAAAAAUAAUAAUAUUAACAAUAAAACAAAAGGUAGGAUAAUCUCACUAAUAUAUAAUAGCUUUACGGAAAUUGUAAAAGUGGAGAAGACAUUAACUAUACAGCAAGAGAUAAACCAGGAAAAAUAAAGGUGUUGGGCUCGAACCAUGUAAAUGCUGAAGUAACCGGACAUCUUUACCAAUCGUUCCAACAAAAUAAAUAGUCACCGAGCUACAAAAUAAUAUUUGAAAACUAGUCGGGGGCACGUGCCCCCGUUCAUGGUACUGUAGAUCCGCUCCUGCAAGCGGGUAAAUUUAAAUUUAGUAAACUUCUAACCUAGGGUGCUUAACACCAUUCCAAGCCCGUGGUAGCACUAUAUAGUAUAUAGUUAGGUUCCAUAUUACUAAGAUUUUGUUUUUAUUUUCUUUUCCUCGUUCAAUAUUUAUAAGUUGCAGAAUUUUUAGUUCCCAAGUGUUUUAUUUUUUCCAAUGGAAGACACUAUUACAUAUAUGGUUUUUUUUUGGAAGAACAAAAAAAUUGGAUUAAAAUGUAUCUAAAAACCAAACAUUUCAAAUAGUUGUGCUAAUUGCAACUAGAUUAUAAUUUUUGGAAUGAAAUGAUAUGGAACGGUUGAUCCGUUAAUUCUACAUUUUUAAACCAUUUACUCUAUAUUUUUUUUUACCUUUUAUUAUAUUGUGAAUAGAAUAAAAUCUUUAUUAAAUAAAAAUAAAUAAAUAAAAUACAAAGAAAAUGAUUUUAUAGCAAUUUGUUUAUGAAUAAAUAGAAUAAAUCUAUUCCAUUUUUGAUGUAUUCGGUAUUCCACUCCUAUUAUUCUAUUUUAUUUAACUACAUUAAUUCUAUAUUAGUUUACCAGUUACUGUUUACAGUGGUCUCCAUUAUCUAAAUGCUAAAUUUCUUUUACAACAAACCCCCUAAAAAUUAACAUAAAAUAAUUUUUCCAUUCACUAUUUUCAGUUACCAUCAACAUCCUCCUAACAAUACGUCUAUAAAUCAUCCUAAAACCCACCCUCCCAAAAAUAUAAAAAAAAAGCCAAUUACAAAGGUAAUAAAUUACAAUUUUCCUAUAAAAUAUCUUUUUUCUUUUUGUUUAAACAAACAACAAUGCAUCACUAGUCUUCAAGUGUACUGUCCAUGGAAUUAUCUCUCCUAUGAUUUUCCGAUAGUCCCGAUCUAUCUCCAGUCCGCUCAACACUAUACGCCACCGUAGGUGGAAGCAAGGGAGCCUUCUUCUGAUGUUUUCUGGCAUGUCUCACCUUAAUGACACGUGUCAAAACCUGCACAGCAUCCCUCAUGUUGGGGCGUUUCCUUGGGGCAUGAGAUAUGCAUUUAUAUGCAAAAGCCGCAACUUCAUUCACUUCUUGUAUAUCAAACCUCCCAUCUAAUCUCGAAUCCACAAUCUCUUCCCACCCAACCUUCUCCUCUGCAUUCAUAGCCGCCUAAAACAAAAACUUGUCUUAGUAAUGUUUUCUUCAAAGAAACAAAUGUGGAGUUGAGGAUCAUGUUGGUGCCUCUUUUACCAGUUCAACAUAUUCCAUUAGACCUUGUUGAGGGUUUCUUCCAGCUAUAAGCUCAAAAAGCAAAACCCCAAAUUUUAAUUCUUUUCUUUGUCUUGUUUUAUUUCCCUUUUCCCCCAUCACAAUAACAUAUAUAUAGAUUUAUACUAACUUAAUUUUAAAUUGAAUUUGAUAAAUUAAUCAUUAACUUUUUUUCAUGUUCUUUUGAAAUCCAUAUUGUCUGCCAUAUAUUAUUUCCUUCAUUAUAUAAUAGAUGACUUUAAAUAUUCUUAUAUGAUUUCCUUCAACAAAAAUGUUGCUAAAUACGGAAAAGGUAACAAAAUAUAUAAUAAAUGACGUAUAAUAUUCUUGAUACUGAAAUCUAAUACAAUCGGAAAAAUAUGCACCACACGAAACGAAACAUUUUGGCAGUCAAAAGAUUGGCGUACAAAGAGAAGUUUAAAAAAAAAAGUCUUACUUUAAUUGUAUUGAUUCAUUAAUAUCAUAAAGGAAAACGCAAUAAAUAGUAAAUAUCCGACCUAAAACUUGCCGUGGUGGGCAAGGCUACCCUCUGUACUAAUGGAAAGGUUUUAGGAGGAGAAGAUGGAAUAUUAUCAAUUCUCUUAGAGCUGUCUCAGUUUUUUUUUUCCUAAGAACAUUCAUGACUUGUUUCUUAGCCGGCUCUUGAGGCUCCGCCUUGUGAAACCUGCGUUGGUGAGAAGAUCAUCCUCUGUUUCUCUUCUUAUCUCUAACGGCUUCUCAACUACUUCCCUGCGGCAAACCCCUCCUUGUUCCGUCAUCGGCGCUAGACCUUGUGGAGACGAUCUCGGAGGACUCAUAGUUGCCUAUGCAGAUACACAUGCCUGGACUGAACUGGACAAAAUGGUACGUCUGGAGUUGGUGUGUAACAGUAUUAAUCAUGGAAAAACACUAACGAUCGGGGCUUCUCAUGGGUGGGUAGCUAGUUUGAAGGAAGAUGGAACCCUGUGUCUCCAAGAUGAUCUAAACCCGUAUGCAUCGUAUACAGAUCCUAAACGCAUCCCUCUGCCUCCUCUUGUGACUCUGCCACAUUGUCAAACCAAAAUCAUCACCAACGUGUCAAUGUCAUCAUCUUCUCCAGAUGACGAUGAGGACUGUGUCGUGGCUGUCAAGUUCUUGGGACCUCAACUCAGCUUUUGCAAACCAGCCGGGAAGAGUAGUAAACCAGAGUGGACCAACAUCAAGAUCGAGAACCCUUGCUUCUACUCCUCACGUGUCAUGUUUUCCAAAAAGGACAACAUGUUUCGUAUUCCCGGAUCUGGAGGCCACCUCAUCGGCUCAUUGGAUCUCUUCGAACCUAACGAUAAGCUCAAGUUGCAGUGCGUUGGAUUUGAAAACCUUCCUCCUAAGCUACCCACUCCCCUUAUGGAUUCAUGCUGCAUGAGCCAACACUUGGUGGAGUCAACAUCCACAGGUGAGACUUUCUUGGUUAAGCAGUAUAGGAAGACGGCCAAGAUCGUCGAAGGUGUUGCCCAAAUGAAAACACAAUUUUUAAUGGUGUUCAAGCUAGACGAUGAAGGAAACGCGGUCUACACUCGAGACAUGGGAGAUCUCACCAUGUUCCUCUCAAUGUCUGAACCUUUCUGUGUCCCUUCUACUUCCUUUCCUGGUUUGCUUCCUAACUACGUUUACAUCUUGGAUUUCGACGAAACCGCAAUGGUUAGUCUGGUGGAUGGUUUCCCCUUAGUCGCUACAAAUGGAAAAACGGAUGCUCCUUACUACAUUCCACCUCAAAAUAUAUUAGACUGAGUCUAAACUAUAUCCUCCAGCUUCUAUAUCUUCAUAAGUAGAUUGUACUGUUUCCUGUUUUAUGUAUGAAAUAUUUGUUUUAAACGCCGUGAAAAUUGUUAACCGUUCGGUGGUCUGUGGCCGUGGACAUUUAGCUCACAUCAAUUAUAUAAUUAGAGAUAAGAAAUUGAAUAUCGACUUGUAGUAUUUUAAGCUUAGAAAUGGAAAAUAAUUCAAAUUUUUCAUAACAAUGCUUAAACCAUGUAAAGAGUGAGUUAAACCCGAGUUUUGAUGAGGAUACAUUGAGUGGCUGCUACCAAAUGAUUUUGUCUAUAAUUAUAUGUAAAUUAUCUGAUUUUGUCCAUAAUUAUAUUAUUUAGCUUUUGUUUAUGAUAAAAAAAUGUUGUUAAAUUUAUUAUUAAUUAAAUAUAAUAUUUUGAUGAAUGUAAAUAUUACAAAUUUAAAUCUACAUUUUAUUUAUUUAAAAUACAAUUUUACAAAUUUAAACUACAUUUAUUUAUUUAAAAUAAAAUUUUACAAAUUCAUAAAAUUAAAAUAUGAAGUAAAUGAAAAUUGUGUCUGCGACAACCAAACAAACAAAACUAAAUCUAAUUUCUGCGGCUGCGGCUGCGUCAAUGUUUUGUGUCUUUGAAAUGAACAACAAACUGCGGUUGCGACUGCGGCUGCGUCUGUUCGUUUGGUUAUUGAUCGUUUUGCAAAAGGCUGCGGCAACCAAACGAGCAGCACUAUUAAAUCAGUCAUCUUUAGAACUGACUUCGUACAUCAUCAAACCAAUACAUUCAAUAUAUACCAGUUUUGUGUGGUUCAAUAUAUACAGAACUCGGACUUCAAAUUUUGAUAUGUUACUCCUGAACUUGGGAAACACAUUUUUGUGCAUGGUCAACACAUAUAUCAUCGUCCCUGCAACAAAUGACUAUUCAAUGAGCCUUGGAACGGUUUGUGGUGUUGUGGAAUGGUUUGAUGGCAAAUACAUAGAACAUCGCAAGACCCACCACAAUCUCCACCAAGCGCAUCUCCACCGCCAACUCCUCCCUACCCUCCGCCGGAUGCGGCGGCGGCUUAUCCGGAUGCUCGAGAUCGAUAGCGAAUCUCAAAGACGUGAUCCACGGGAGCAAACGCCACUUCGAGAAACCGCCGAUAAGCAGUCCUCGCUCCAUCGGAAGCAACGAGUUCCUCAACCCCAUAACCCACGAAGUCAUCCUCAGCAACUCCACCUGCGAGCUCAAAAUCACCGGCGUCGGAGACAUGGCUUCCCCCGCCGGAGCAACGGAAUCCGGCGGUGGCGGCGGAGGAAACGGACGGUCGACGACUUUUGUGGGGAUGCUGAGGCCGGGGACGCCGAUGCAUCAUCUGAACCACUCUGCUUCUCACCGGAGCCAUGCUUCGUCGACGGCGGCGAAAAAGGGCUCCUUUGCUUCGUCGGAGAGAGAGGUAAUAGGAGAAGGGUUUCACACAAAGAGGAGAGUUUCUUUGGAGAUGAACAGAGACUCCGCCGUUAACGGAGGCAAAUACUCUGUUUCUUGCCAUAAGUGUGGUGAACAGUUCAGCAAACUCGAAGCUGCAGAAGCUCAUCAUCUCUCUAAACACGCCGGUAAACUCGAAACUUUAACCAUUGGGAUUAUAUAAUUAAUGAAUAUAUUAUAAAGUUUUCACCUUUAUGAAGAUUUUGUCGCAUUUUUAUAAUAUACUCUCUCCUACUUCAUAAAAAAUCCAUGUUUAAAAAUUUUCAAAUUUUUUAAUAAAAUAUAUUAAAACUUAUCAAUAAAUACAUAUUUUUUUAUAAUUUUAUAUUUUCUAUAUUUUUAAACUAAUAAAAUUUUAAGAAAUGCAAUUAAUAUUUUUAAACUUUACUAUUUUUUAUUAUUAGUUGACAAAAAUUACAUUAGAAAUAUAAAAUAUGUAUAUUUUUGAAACAAAUUUUUUUCUCAUAUAAUAAAGUUUUGAACUUUAUGAACAUUUUCGCAUAUUAAUAUAAAGUAAUAAGCUUUGCUCAUAAUAUUACAGUGACGGAGCUCGUAGAAGGCGACUCGUCAAGGAAGAUAGUGGAGAUAAUCUGUAGAACGAGCUGGUUAAAGUCAGAGAACCAAUGCGGGAGAAUAGACCGUGUCCUAAAAGUACACAACAUGCAGAAGACACUAGCUCGGUUCGAGGAGUACAGAGAGACGGUGAAGAUCAGAGCGAGCAAGCUCCAGAAGAAGCAUCCGAGAUGUCUCGCCGACGGCAACGAGCUGCUCAGGUUCCACGGCACCACCGUGGCUUGCGGUUUGGGGAUAAACGGGUCGACGAGCCUCUGCACGGCGGAAAAGUGCUGCGUCUGCCGGAUCAUACGGAACGGGUUCUCGGCGAAGCGGGAGAAGAAUAACGGUGUUGGGGUUUUCACGGCGUCGACGAGCGGGAGAGCGUUUGAGUCGAUUUUGGUGGAGGAGGGAGAUGGGGAGAGGACGGUGACGGUGAGGAAGGUGUUGAUUGUGUGUAGGGUUAUAGCCGGGAGAGUUCAUAGGCCGGUGGAGAAUGUGGAGGAGGUGAAUGGGUUGAUGAUGAGUGGGUUUGAUUCUUUGGCUGGAAAAGUUGGGUUGUAUACAAAUGUGGAGGAGCUUUAUUUGCUCAAUCCUAGAGCUUUGCUUCCUUGCUUUGUGGUAAUCUGCAAGUCUUAAAAAAUAUUUAGCAUUUUUGUUUUGGCAGAAAGGUCAAAAUGUUCUUGUUAUUUGUUCAUAAUUUCAGUUUUUACCAUCUUGUUCCGAAUUUGUUUUCAAGGUGAAUUUGGAAUUUAAAUUUUUAAUUUUCGGCUAGUUUAUGUCUGAGUUCUUAAUUAUUCUUACCUAGAGAGACAAAAAUAUUUUGUUCAUAUUAUGUUAGAUAAAUUUGUAUUUUGGCGUAUAUUAUACUAACGUAAAAAGAUGUGGUAAGAGAUAGAUUGUAAAGUGUGUCAGAGUGAGAAUUUUAGUUUCACGGGUGGCCUGUUGGUAAAAGUGCUACUAUAAAUGCCAAGUUCAUUCAGUAAAAAGUUCUUACAAAAAUCGAUAAAUAAGAAAAAACUCAUCAACAAAUUAAACAAACAUGAUAAUUUUUUUUGGUCGACGGUAAACCUUUCAAAGAUUUGGAACAUGAACGUUUGCUUCAUUGCUUGUUUGGUUGAAUCGUGUUAAUUGUUCAAUAUGGAUUUAUGUUGUUUAAAGUGUUUUCAUAUUUUUUUUAACUUCUAUUAUAUACAUAUCAAUAAUACAUAAUAUAUGAUGUACAGUAGAACAUAUCAUAUAUGUAUAGUACUCAGACGACCCAAAGACAUUUGGUUUUCUUUAGCUUCAAAAUUUUGUUUGGAACCAUCCCCGUAUAGUCCUAGAUUACAUACAAAAUGAAUAUUUAUAUAAGAAAACAUGGCAUAUAAAAACAAAAAUAACAUUAAUGAUAAUUAGACAUUUUGCUAAAACGAAUAAAAUGGUCCAUACUAAAUUACUCGAUAGUUUUCAUAAUGUCAGCGAGACAAAGCUUACGUCAAAGGUGUCGACAAAAUUCUAUCCCAUGCAAACAUUUAUUUGGAGCUUUUAUUAGUUCUAUCUGCAAAAGCCACCCUCUCAUCAAUAUAUAUCCGCCGAGAAAAGAAAAAUCAGAAUAUGCGAGCCCAAUAAUAAUAAAAGUUUCAAAUCUUGAAAUUUCGAAUUUUGAAAACAAAUAUACAUUUUGUUUUUUUUUAGAUAUAUUAUUUCAGGGCUCUGCAAAAAUAUUUGUGAUAAUACAUUUUGUACUUAAAGUUGUUUGUGGACAAAGCAAAUUUUGUUUAAGAGGGAGCAUAGUCUAGUGAAAAUGAAUCAUAGAUAUCUCAAAAUGUGGCUAUUUCGAUAUUUGAUUACGUAUACAUACAAUGUAUGUUCAUUUUUCUUUUUUGAACUGACACAUAAUAAAUGUAUAUUUGAGAACGAAUGAGAAAUGACGAGGCCUGAAAUGGACAGUGUAUCUAUAUCAACCGCCGAAGUAACGGUGGGAUCAUACCACAUGCCGUCUCAGAAAAUUGUAUUCUAUACAAACCUUGUAAUUAAUUAUCUCCACUCGACAACAAUCUAUGUCGUCAUUUUCGGAUCUUUUAUAUAAUGACGAGAACGCAUUAGUAAUCCCCUAAAUAUGCGAAAUAUACAGAAGCUAAAAGCGAGCUGAUUAAGGCUUAAAGACCAUGGUUUAGCCACAUAUGAAAGCGUUUGUAGAUUCUUUGUUCCCUGUAAAAAGUUGAUUGUAAGAAACAUAUUUCGUAGCUUUGUAAGUGGAGAAAGUGUUUAUCUGGUACGAUUUUUACACUUUUAACUUAAAAUGGAUUUUCAAUAUAUCCAUCAUCAAAUACAUAGGUCCAUUAGUCUACAAAUCAAAAGUGCAAUGAAGAAGAAAUAAGGGAGAUGCUAAGAUGCUGAGCCAGCUGCAACUUGAGUUGUUUCUUUAUCCUUAGCCUCCUUAAGUUGCUUCCAUUUCUCAAUGGUGUCGAUAAGUUCCCCAGUUUUGAUCAGAUAUCUCACCUUCUGUCCAUCUUCGAGGACCUUGUGACCCACCCGGCUAACCACCUCCUUUUCUUUCGAAUACAGCAUCACAUUUGAGCUGUGAAUCGGUGCUUCAAUCUGGAAAACAUAAUGCAUUUUAGCACAAUCCUCAAUCAUCAUCACUGCCAAAGGCAAAGUGAAGGGAGCUACACGAUGUGGUUUCUGUUUUGCAAAUUAUUUUUAAGAGAGUCAUGUGAGUGGUGUCUGACCUUGAGAAUUUGGCCAGGCUCUCCCUCUUCACGGCUCUUCAUGUGUUUAGUCUUGAGGUUGACAUCUUUGAUGACAAUGGUGCUGUUGUGGGUAAAGAUCUUAGUGACUUCCCCAAUCUUACCCUUGUCUCGUCCAGAUAUAACUUUGACCGUAUCACCAAACUUGACAUGCAUUUUGUGCAGGAUUGGAAGACUGUUUGGUUUGCAUUUCUUCCGUUCCCAACGCUUAAGCUGAAAGAAAGAAAAAGAAAAAAAAACACAUCAUAAUCCUGUUAAUGCCCUUAGGAAUCAAUCAAGAGAUGAAACUCAACAACAUUACCAAAAGAAUGAGGUAAAGGAUCUUGGUUACUAACCUUUGCGUAAACAAGACAUGGGUUCUGGGCGGGCUUGACCUGCAAUGAGUUACAAAAGAAAAGCAGAGUAAUUAAGGAACCAAACCCCACCCCAACUGCAAACACUUUGCCUAAAAAAACGCUAAACCAUUCUUCUGACUCAGUAUAAGUUCGUUCGAGCAACAAAACCAUAAUCAACCAAAAUGUACAUCACCAGGUGCUAAAUGCAUUCUUUAGAUUCCAAAAGGUUCACCAACCAAUCAAUCAAACGAGCACACAAAAAUAAGAGAUCCUAACUUAAAAGUUUUAGAUGCAUCGCCAAGCCAAGUAGAGAUAAACAGUUGUCUUUUGAGAAAAAAAUCAAAGUUAUAGAAUUUAAAGUGUUCAUAACUUCAUCUCAGUUCAGUACUAACACAGAAAAAGACAAAGAGACAAUUCACAUUCUCCAAUCCAUUCUCCACUAAACAUAACUCAUAGCGCAGAAACACACAACAAAGUUUCAAUCUUUACUCCUUUUAGAGAAAAAAUUUAGAAUUGGCACCAAAAUUCACCAUACCAAAAGCUUAAUAAAUGAAACUAAUCAACAGGUCCAAUGAAAGAUAUCAAACCCGUUACAGGGCUAAAUGUUCGAGCUAAACGUGGCAAUGUCUUUGAUUAGAACGAGAAAUUCGAAAACGGGAGUUACCGGAGAAGCGGCGGAGAGGGAAAGCGGGGAAAGGAGACGCUGGCCGAGGAAGGAGGAGUUGGACUUGGAGGAUAGCGAAAGAGAUGUAAACGAGCUCUGAAGAGAAGUCAUCAUGGUCGCCAUUCUUUUCAGAGUAACUCCCGCUUGCUAAGUGGGGGGGCUAACACUUCAUGUCUCUGUUCGUCUCAAGGCGAUAAGACGAGGAUAACGAUUAUCUCUUUACUGUUAAACGACACCGUUUUAGUACCAUGAUUAACUUCACUGGUGGGUUUUUGGCUAAGGUUUGGGCUUAAAUAUUGUCUGCUUUGGUGUAAUACCCCAAACAUAUACUCCCUCCGUUUAUGAUGUUUUAGAAAUUUUUUGUUGUUUCGAAAUAGAUGAUGUUUUGAUUUUUUAUGUUAUUUUUAACUUUAUUGAAAACUGUGUAACCAAUUAGAUGUUAUAGUCAUUUUUAUAAUUGGUCGGAUGAUUUUUAAAUUAUAUUUUUUAAACUAUUUUAAGAAUAACAUCAUCUAUUUUAUAGAAGUUCUGUAUUUUUUUUAACUUUUUUUUGAUAAUUCGGCGGACCGAAACCUAACUGACUAAUAUCAUGGAAUCUGUCCACCGAUACUAAAUAGAUCCGGUUAUUUGCAAUGAGAAUUAAAUAUCCAUAUCACUUUGACCACACAAGCGGACAGUGGCGGAUCCAGACUAAUUAUUUAACGGGAGCACAUAAUAAAUAUAUAUAUAUAUUAAANNNNNNNNNNNNNNNNNNNNNNNNNNNNNNNNNNNNNNNNNNNNNNNNNNNNNNNNNNNNNNNNNNNNNNNNNNNNNNNNNNNNNNNNNNNNNNNNNNNNAAAACACAGAAAUUAAACAAGGUCUAUAAAAUAGUCAACUUAUAUAUAAUAGACUAAAUCAUUUCUAUAGCUCGUACAGUUCACAAGAACAUCUUGUACAGACUACUUGCUCUAAAAAAUGACUCACCAGAAACCAUAUGAUGUUACACGGAUGAAAUGCUCUCUCUCAUUUGCCCUGAAACUUAAAUCUUCGCUUCCUGCACUACGCUUUCUCAGUCUUCUGUUUAUUUUUUUCUGUUUUCAAACUUUUUUCUUGUUAAUGAGAGCAUUCGUAUGUGCUCUAAGCCUAUACUCGCUCUCAUAUUCUAUUGCUGAGCAAAAGUUUGUAAUACUCUUUUUUUUGUUGGUGUAAAUUUAACAUUUCAACAAAAAAAAAAGAUUUGUAAGAUAGUGUGCUAUGUGAAAUAGACAAACCAAACAACUUUUUACCAAUUUGCACCAUUAUAGUUGUUUUGUUGUCUUUCUCAUUUUUGAUCAUUAUUUGUUAGCUGUGGGAUAGGCUACACAAAACAUUAAAGAGGAACGUAAGGGAAUGAAUCAGAGAAAAAAAAUACGUAUACUUGUUUUCAGAUUAUGUACCAGUCUUCUCUUUUACUAUGGUUGUUAUAGAGAACGCUAUUUUGUUUUGUUUUGUUUGUAGUUUGAGAUUUUUUUUUUCUUGAUCUGUCUGUUUACAGGAUAAUGAUUCGUUGUCUUUUGUCUUCUUCCUUCUUCAAAUCUGUUUUUGUUAGAUGCAACGCACUGCAAGUAAUAUAAUAUAGAAAGAAUAGAUUUGUAAAUACCAGUUUUGUAGAUAUAUAGUUGAACAUACCUAUAGGUAUCCUUGUUGCUGUUAAAGCUUUGAAAUAAUAUGCUCAAGUGCCAUUUUUAACUUGAAAUAAACAAUUAAGAGAUUGUUAAUAGAAAAUAAGAAGAAACCAAUUUUUUUAAGUCCGUCGGGAAUCAUCCGGAAAUUCCUAAUGGUUUUCGACGGAUUUAAAUAAAUAUUUACUUUUAUAAAUUGCGUAGGAAAUUCACGACGAAUUCUCGAUAAAUUUAGGGUUUAGGGUAUAAAAAUAUGUAUAAAAUAGGUAAAAUCCUAUUCGUUAAAGAUCUCUGAAUUCUAUAAUAACAUUUAAAACUCCAUAUGAUAUAACAUAUCCUCAAUAUAUGAAUAUUACAAAAUUACAAAAAUUAAAUCAAAAGAAUCAACUUGAACGUUAACAUGUCAUAUACUUACAUUAAUUAUUUUGGGAACUCGUCCAUAGAACCAUAUGCUAUAUUACAGCGCACCUGAAACUCUCAUAAUCUCAAAUCAAUCCAAAAGUCCUUCUCUUCUACCUCAACUCCCACUACAAGAAAACAGCGGUAUUCUGACGGACGUUCUGACGGAAAAUGAAAUCCUCGGAAAAUCCCGAGGAAUUUCCGAGGAUAUUCCGAGGAAACACAAAAUUUGGUUUCCUCGGAAUUUCCUCGGAAUAUACCGACGGAAUUCCGAGGAAAUAUCAUUCCGUCGGAAUAUUCUUAUGGAAUACCGAGGAAAAUUGUAUUCCUCGGAAAAAACCGAUGAAUUCCGAGGAAAUAUUAUAGACGUUAGAGAGCCGUUGGGGGAUUUUAAAAAUUCCGAGGAAAUUCCGACGAACUAGCCGUUGGCAUCGGAAUUCCGUCGGAAUUUCCUCGGUCUGUCGGAAAGAUUUCAACUAUAAAUACAAGCACCCCUCUUCCUCUUCAUUCACUCCAUAUCUUCAUCCUCCCUCUCACUCUCUUUACACACGAAUUUGAUUCAUAAAAAACAUGUCUUCUUCAAAUUAUUUUCGUUCUUGGAUCGAUCGACCUCAUUUGGAUCUGAACACGAGAUUGCUUACGGAAGAAUACCAACGAGGUAUAACCGAAUUCAUGGGGUUAGUUCACCGACAACCGGAAGCAAAAACAGGUAUGUUAAGAUGUCCUUGUUCUAAUUGUAAAAAUAAAAAGGUUAUUAAAGAGUGGGAUGUUUGGACUCAUCUAUAUUUGAGUGGGUUUACACGAAGUUACAAAAUUUGGUAUCAUCAUGGGGAAACUGAUUAUGAACAUGGUAGUACUAGCGAACCUCAGCCAGCUGUUAGAUUAGAAGAACCAAUUAGAACAGAUGUAAAUUAUGGUGUAGGUACUGAGCAGAUGGUAAAUGAUCAUUUUAGAGGGGAAGAUUUACCCAAUGCCGAAGCUAGGAGAUUUUAUGAUAUGUUGGAUGCUUGAAAGCAACCAUUGUACGAAGGUUGCAGAGAUGGUCAUUCAGCUUUAUCAUCUGCUACAAGAUUGAUGGGCAUUAAGACGGAUUAUAAUUUGGCGGAAGACUGUGUGGAUGCGCUUGCUGAUUAUGUAAACGGUAUUCUACCCGAAGAUAAUGUAGCUCCUGGCUCAUACUACGAGGUUCAGAAUCUCGUAGCUGGUCUUGGUUUAUCGUAUCAGGUAAUAGAUAUAUGCAUAGACAACUGCAUGAUUUAUUGGAGGGCGGAUGAACAGCGGGUUUCAUGCAAAUUUUGUGGGAAGCCUCGUAGACAACUGCAUGAUUUAUUGGAGGACGGAUGAACAGCGGGUUUCAUGCAAAUUUUGUGGGAAGCCUCGUUAUAAAGAUACGAGUGGAAGAGUUCCAGUGCCAUAUAAAAGGAUGUGAUAUUUGCCUUUGACGGAAAUGUUGCAGAGGUUGUAUAUGUCUGAACGCACAGCGCAACCAAUAAGAUGGCACGCGGAGCACUCAACAGAUGGUGAGAUCAGACAUCCUUCAGAUGCAAAAGCGUGGAAGCAUUUCCAAUCAAAGUAUCCCGACUUUGCGUAUGAGAGAAGAAAUGUCUACCUUGGAUUAUGUACUGAUGGUUUCAGCCCGUUUGGCAAGAGUGGAAGACAGUAUUCUCUAUGGCCAGUCAUUCUUACACCAUACAACCUACCCCUAAACUUGUGCUUGCGACGAGAGUUUUUGUUUCUCUCGAUUCUCGUUCCCGGACCAGAGAAUCCUAAGAGAUCACUUGAUGUGUUUCUUCAGCCACUAAUAUAUGAGUUGCAACAACUAUGGGCUCAAGGUGCUGAAACAUACGAUGUUUCGUAUAAAGAAAACUUUCAAAUGCGGGCAGUACUAAUGUGGACAAUAAGUGAUUUUCCAGCAUAUGGUAUGUUAUCUGGAUGGACAACGCAUGGAAGGCUAUCAUGUCCAUAUUGUCAAGAUAACACUGAUGCUUUCCAACUAAAACACGGAAGGAAAACGUGUUGGUUUGACUGUCACAGGAGAUUUCUACCACCAGAUCAUCCAUAUCGUAGAAGUAGGAAUUUGUUUACGAAGAACAAUAGGGUGUUUGACAGUCCACCUCCGGAAAUUCGUGGGAAAGAUUUGAAGACACAACUUAGAGAUUUUGGUGCAGAAAGGACGCCAUACGUCGGUGGACAUGAGCGUUUUCCGGUAGAUGGUGUUGGAAACCUACAUAACUGGCACAAAAAAGUAUUUUCUGGAAUCUGCCAUACUAGGAGGAUCAUCUACUAAGGCAUAAUUUAGAUGUCAUGCAUAUUGAGAAGAACUUUUUUGACAAUCUCAUGAACACGAUCCUUAAUGUUCAAGGUAAAACAAAGGAUAAUUUGAAGUCAAGACUGGAUUUAGUCGAUAUAUGUGCUCGUUCAGAACUUCAUGUUGAUGAGAAUGGUAGGGCUCCUUUUCCCAUAUACCGACUUGAUGCAGCGGGAAAUGAUGCGUUCUUUGAUUGGAUUUCAAACGAUGUGGAAUUUCCAGACGGUUACGCAUCUAAUUUGCGUAACUGUAUCGACAGAAAUGAAGGAAAGUUUACUGGCUUGAAAAGCCACGAUUGCCAUGUAAUGAUGCAGCGCCUCCUUCCGUUUGCCUUCAAGGAACUAUUACCACGAAAUGUUCAUGAAGCAAUUGCAGGGAUAAGUGGUUUCUUCCGCGAUUUAUGCACGAGAUCAGUGACUCUUGAAGGUAUUGAAAAUUUGAAGACUAACAUAGCCGUGAUUCAGUGCAACCUUGAGAAGAUAUUUCCUCCCUCAUUUUUUGAUGUUAUGGAGCAUCUUGUUAUUCACCUGGUAAGAGAAUUGGAACUUGGUGGUCCUGUGCAGUAUAGAUGAAUGUAUCUGUAUGAGCGGUAUAUGUUCCAUUUGAAGAAGAUGGUGAAAAAUUUAAGUAGGGUGGAAGGUUCUAUAGUCGCACAGAUGAUCAAUGAAGAAACUUCAAAUUUUGCCGAGUACUACUUUCCAGCAGAAGUUCAGACCAAAAACAGAAGACCUGCUCGGCAUGAUGAUAGACGCGAACGGGCAACAUAUCAUUGGAAGGUUCCAGACAUUUUCACAGACGUUGGACGACUUAGCGGAAAACCAAAGGACCGUCGACUUACUGAUCAGGAGCGCAGUCAUUUGCAAACAUAUUUACUCACCAACUGCGAAGAUGUUCUUCAAUAUUAUAGGAUUUUCAUGGCAGAAAAGCGGUUCGAAUUUAGAUACGCCACAGAGGACGAACUAGAAGAAAUGAAGCAGAGAAUUUGGUGGAUGGAUGUUUACUUAUGUGAGUGCUGGUUUGGCCAGAGGUGAAACAUUUGACGAUUGGAUACGCGAGAUGGUCGUUGGACCAAACUUUGUUGUGAAGUCAUAUCCGAGAUUUUGUACUCGAGGAUAUGCAUUCACAACUCAGAAGAGGAGACGUUCGAGUACGACUUAUGAUGCUGGUGUUUGUUCUGCAUCAGGAGAUGAUGUAUACUACGGACACAUACAUGAGAUUUUGGAAAUCAAGUAUUUGGGCAUGGUUGGAUUGCGCUGUACUGUUUUCUAUUGUGAUUGGCACGACAACACUCCAGAUCGAGGUUUGAGAACAGAUGCAUUUGGUGUUACAUCAGUAAAUUCGAGACGGAAGCUGCAAUAUUAUGAUCAUUUCAUUCUUGCUUCUCAGGCCGAUCAGGUUUGUUAUAUCAAAUAUCCCCGGGUAAGGAACAGAGAUGAUUCAUGGGUUACUGUUACAAGACUCAACCCGAGAGGCCGAGUUCACGAAAGUUCUAAGCUGGAAGACCCACAACAACCAAGCACAUCCGGCAACUUAAGUGCAGCAGAAGAUUUAGGUGGAGUUGGCCUUGUAGUCGAUUUAACCGACUUCAGAGAGGAAGCCGCCGUUCACGUAGAGGAUGAACCAGUGAUUGGAGAGUUUCACCAAGAUCCAGAUUCAGAUUCAUCUGGUGAUGACGACUCGGAAACAGACUAGCGUCGACCUUUUUUUUUUAAAAAAAAAAAAAUAUAAAUACCGAGGAAAUUCCGAGGGCAGAUAGGUUUUCCUCGGAAUUUCCUCGGAAUAGAUCUUGUCGAUUUAGGGAUUUGAUUAUACAUUCCUUUUCCUCGGAAUCUCCUCGGAAUUUUCCGAGGAAAUUCCGACGAAGAUAAGGUUUUCCUCGGAAUUCCCUCGGAAAAUUCCGAGGAAAUUCCGAGGAACUUGGGGUUUUAAACCGAAAACAACUUUUUACGGAUUGAGUAACACGUAUAUAACCUUCAUUAAGUGUCUUAACCAGAUUAUGAUGUUUGGAACUAGGAACUUUGGUGUUUUACCCAAUAACAAACACUUUUACGAUUGCAUGAACGAAAACCACACAACAUAAGAGAAACACUUAUACACUUUAAUAAACGGUAAAGGGAAUACUUACAAUUAUUUUUGAAAUUUUGUUAUUUCAUGGUUUAUGAUCAUCUAUAAAAAGAAUCCUCAAUGGUAUGCAUUAUAAUUGUAUAAGAAAUGAAAUACGGCGAAAAUAAUCGAUGUUUUAAAACCCCAAACCCUGGUUCCUCAGAAUUUCCUCGGUAAUUACCGAGGGUAUUCCGAGGAANNNNNNNNNNNNNNNNNNNNNNNNNNNNNNNNNNNNNNNNNNNNNNNNNNNNNNNNNNNNNNNNNNNNNNNNNNNNNNNNNNNNNNNNNNNNNNNNNNNNNNNNNNNNNNNNNNNNNNNNNNNNNNNNNNNNNNNNNNNNNNNNNNNNNNNNNNNNNNNNNNNNNNNNNNNNNNNNNNNNNNNNNNNNNNNNNNNNNNNNNNNNNNNNNNNNNNNNNNNNNNNNNNNNNNNNNNNNNNNNNNNNNNNNNNNNNNNNNNNNNNNNNNNNNNNNNNNNNNNNNNNNNNUGGAAGGAGUUGUGUGCGCAUUGGGAUAAGGAAGAGACGAAAGAAACUUCUUCCACCAACUCCAACAACCGCAGGAGCGACCGUAAAGGGAAGGGCAUCUACAAGCAUAACUUGGGUGCUCAAUCUAUUGCCACUCUGGGGGAUCGCAUGGUAAGUUCAGCCGCUUUUUCUUCAAUUAUUUAAGUUUCAGAAUUUAUUUUUUGUGCAUUUUUUUCAAAUUUCUAAUGUUUGUUUAAUUUAUUUUUUUUCAAGGCGGAAGAAAAUGAGGGCGACCCGGUUGAUGAUCUCGCCCUAAUGAAAAGGGCGUAUACCAACAAGAAGACCGGCCAGAUUGAUGAUGGUCUUGUGAGGGACGUGGUCGACCUGGUCCAAACUCAGGUGUAUGACGAAGUGUCUCAGCUUCAAACCGAUGAUGACGAUUCGACGGCUUCGACCAACUUGUCCCGGGUUCGAAUCAACGAAAUCGUUGAAUUGGUAAGUUUUUUUUUUUUAAAGUUCAAUUUAAUUAUUUCUUGAUUUUUAUUUUAUCAUCAAUUUAUAUUAUCUAAAUUUGGUUAUUUAUAUUUCAGUCGGUUCCAAAGAAAAAGGGACGUUUGGUCGGUUUGGGUCGUCGCUCCCGGUCGGCUGCUCCUUCUUCUGCACCACCGGCAUAUGUUGAUCCAGAAGUUCUUACGGCUCAGCUGAAGGACAAGGAUGAUCGGAUAUCUGCGUUGGAGACCCAGAUGGCAGCUCAAUAGGCGGGCUAUGAGACCCAUAAGAGGCUGAACGAGCAGAUGAUGGAGAUGAUGAAGAGGAUGUACCCGAACGAGGUGUUCCCGAACAUUCCAGACCCGUAGUUUUUUUUUUACCAAAAACUCGGAAUCUUUUAUUUAACUUUGAAUAUUAUCUACUAUGUUUUAAUGUUUUAUGUUUUAUUCAAUUUUAAUUUUAAUUUUAAAUUUUCGAAUUUAAAUUUUAAAAAUUUUAAUUUUUUUAAAAAAAAAUUAAUUUUUUUUAAAAAUUAAUUUUUUCGAAAUUCCGAGGGAAAGCAUUUCCUCGGAAAUUUCCGAGGAACUUAUUUCCCUCGGAAUUUUCCGAGGGAAGAAGGUUCCUCGGAAUUUUCCGAGGGACUGAAAUUCCUCGGAAUUUUCCGAGGGAAGAAAGUUCCUCGGAAUUUUCCGAGGGACAGAAGUUCCUCAGAAUUUCCCGAUAAACAUUCCGAGGAAUAUUUCGUCGAAACUUCCGAGGAUUGGACCAUCGGAAUUCCAUCGAAAUAUUCCGAGGAAGGCGUCCCUCGGUAUAUUCCGAGGAACAUUCCGACGAACUUUGUGUCCUCGGAGUUUCCUCGGAAUUUUGUUUCCUCGGAAUUCCGUUGGAAAUUUCCGACGGAAUUCCGAGGAAAUAUGAAUUUCCGAGGAGAUAUUUCCAAGGACUUUUUUCGUCGGUAUGUCCUCGGAAUAGCGUUAUUCCGACGACAUAUCGACGAUUUUUUCCCUCAGUAUGCCGAUGUUUUCUUGUAGUGAUAUCACAAGAAAUUUUCUGUUUUCUUUGGUCUGAUAUAUAUAUAUAUAUUAUAUAUAACGUUUAGUGUAUAAAAAAUUAUGAAUACACGUGACGAUGUUUUUUUUUUUGCUAAAUUGUAAAUAUCAUAUAAAUGAAAAAAGAUUUUACAGAAGCAAGAUCUUAGUUUUGAAACAUCUUGGCAAAAAGAAAGAAAAAACAAGAUGAAACAACAACAUCCAACCUAUGGAUAACUUUAACACUUAUCGUAUCCACAACACCAUAAGUGAUCUGAAGUGCUUGUUCGACCUCCUAGAGGAAAUGAUAUUCCUCAUCUCCCUGUCUAAGGCCCUGAAGACAACAGAGUAAGGCUGAGAGAUAUUGUUAUGAACCAGGUUGUUCCUCUGCUUCCAAAGGUGAAAAAUGAGCGCUUGAGAGGCCAACUUCCUGAGGAGUAGCUUUCUCCUAGAGCGCGGUUCUCGGAUCCAAGCUAAGAGCUCCGCCCAGUUAGCAAAACUCCUUGCGGGAGAGCUGCAUCUAGGGAAGACUAGCGACCAUAUGUCAUUGGUGAACUGGCAGGAGAGAAACAGAUGGUCUCUCGAUUCAGGAUAAGAGGAACAGAAGGGGCAUGUAACUGGUAUCGCAAGCCCCCAGGAAGCCAGUCUCGCUCUUGUCGGCAACCUAUCGUAAUUGGCAACCCACAUAGUGAAGGCAUGCUUCGGAAUGGCCCCUUUAAACCAAACAAUAUCAUGCCAAGGUUGCGUCUCUUGUCGCGGUCUCAAAGCCUCCCAAGUAACCUGAGAAUUAAACACAUUCAAAGUGCAAUCAGCAACCCUCCAUUCAUAUAGAUCAGAGACAUGAUGAGCUAGGGGGAGAGAGAUGGUGGUUAAGUAAAUAUGUAAAUCCACUUCCUGUUGGGAUCUUGGGUUGGGUAAAGACCAGUUUGAAUUGGAGAUUGCAUCUGCCACCAAUGCGUUUUUCCUUACUCUCAGCGCUCGAGGACCAUUUUCACCAAUGUGCUUGAUCAGUUGGCCGAAAGGAGUCCAACAAUCAUACCAAAAACGCAAGGUUAAGCCGUUCCCCAGAACCCCCUUGCAGAAACGCAGAGCCAGAGGCCUGAGCUUUAAGAUUCUUUUCCAGGUCCAAGAGUCAGACUGAGACGGUUCUAUAGUCCAGAAAGAGUUUUCAGUUAAGUGGAUGCUCAUGUGCCAGUCAGCCCAGAGUGAAGGGGAGUUAGACAGUAGACGCCAGAUAAGCUUGAGACCGAGGACCUGAUUCCAGACGCGGAUGCUUCUGACUCCCAGCCCACCUUCUUCCUUAGGUAAGCACACAGUCGACCAAGCAAUUUUUGCAAUGCCCUUCUUCUCAGUAUUGCCAGACCACAGGAAGCGAGUACACAGAGCUUCAAUGCUCGAUAUACAACCGUUUGGUAACAUAAAGGCCGAGACCCAGAAGUUAAUUAAGCCAAAGAUUACUGUCUUGAGAAGCUGGAGUCGGCCCGCGAAGGAGAGUAGCUUAACAGACCAAGCUUGGAAACACCCGGUGAUUUUGGUCACAAGAAGGGCAUAUUCUGAAAUUUUCAACUUCCGACUCAUGAGAGGCAGUCCUAGAUAUCUGAUGGGGAGAUUACCAGAAGAGAAACCAUAUCUAGCAAUAGCAAUGGUUUCAUUCUGGUUAAGUCCCGCCGAGAAUAUCUCUGUUUUUGCUGCGUUCAUUUGGAGGCCAGACCAGGAGGCAAAAUCAUCCAAGCAUUCUGAUAUUCCAUGCAAACUGUUGCUGCUUCCAUCGAAGAAGAUCAUUACAUCAUCAGCAAACAUUAAGUGAGAAAUUUUAAGGUUCUCCGUUCUUGGAUGGUAGCCAAUGGUUCCGUCCUCGUAUCUAGAGAGCAGCAGUCUGGACAAACACUCCAUGGCCAUAACAAAUAGAUAGGGGGACAAGGGAUCACCUUGUCUAAUACCUCUAGUGCUCUGAAAGAACCCACCAGUUGCUCCAUUGAUUGAAACAGAGAAGGAUGCUGUAGAGAGGCAUUGAUAAAUAAGAUUAACAAACCUCUCAGGGACAGCCAGAGCCCUCAACGAAGCCAAAAUAAAGUCCCAUCUCACAGUGUCAAAUGCUUUCCGUAAGUCCACUUUAAGCAUACCUCUGGGAGUAACAGACUGAGUGUUGUAGCCAUUCACAAGAUCAGUUGCAAGUAGAACGUUCUCAGCCAGAAGACGACCAGGGAGAAAGGCAGAUUGUGCCUUGGAGAUUACCAACGGAAGGAUGUCUUUGAGUCUAGAUGCUAAGAGCUUAGCAAUCACUUUAUAGACAGUAUUAAGACAAGAGAUCGGUCUGAACUGGGAGGGAUGCGACGUGUUCGGGAUUUUAGGAAUUAACACCAGGUUUGCCGCGUUCCAUUGCUUGAGAAGAGAGCCGGAUCGAAAAAUUCUAGAAUUGCCUCAGUUACUUCCGGACCAAUAAUAGACCAUGUCGCUGUGAAAAACUCAGAAGAGUAGCCAUCCGGACCCCCUGUUUUGUUCUUGGGCAGGGAGAAGAAAGCUUCUCUGAUGUCUUCCUGUGAGAAAGCCUUCUCAAACUUGGCUGAUUGUUCCUCGGAGCACUUGAAGUCAAAGAGAAGGUCCAGGUCGCUCUGCUCAAAUAACGGAGGCGAAGUAGGACUUCCCAAGAUUUCAGAGAAGUAAUGAAUGCAUUCCGCUUGAAUGUCAGGUAGCGCAUCAAUACGGUCGCCAUUGUCAUUAACAAGGAAAUGAAUGUGAUUGAUUGCUUGUCUAGACGCCGCAUAUCUAUGAAACAGCCUGGAGUUACCAUCUCCAUAGGCCAGCCAGUUGAUCCUCGAACGUUGGAAGAAAAAGGCCGUCUCAGCGUUUGAUAACUCUUCCCAUUCUUGCCUCGCUUGGAUUUCUAACGCAGCAUGGGAGGAUGUGGGGCUGGCAAGCACAAGAUUCUGAGCAUUAACCAAGUUAUCAAGAGCAAGUGCUGUUCUUUUUUCAAUGCCAUAGUAGUUCAUCUUGCUAAAUUCCUUGAUACACUUCUUUAGUAACUUCAACUUGCGAGAGACCCUGAACAUAGCCGAACCAAUCACAUUUAUGGAGAACCAAGAGCAGCAAAUCAUGCCAAGAAAGUCCGGGUUCUGUAAGAUGAAGUUGUAGAAUCUGAAAGGCUUUUUGGUCUUCAGGGUGAGCGGGUCAAGAGCGAUGGAGAUAACAGCGUGAUCAGAAAAUUCGGGGCUACCAAAGUUCACAACAGAAGCAGGGAACUCAUAAUACCAAUUAUCAUUCACCAAUGCCCGAUCCAGCAUCUUUGCGAUGGGGUCGCUUUUGCGUUUGUUCCACCAGGUGAACGUGUUUCCUCUAUAGUUGAGAUCGUCAAUCUGAGCAGAGAGUAAGCACUGGUUAAAGUCCCGGAUCCUUUUGUCCAUGUUGAGAGAGGAUGGCUUAGAGUGUUCCUUUGGAUCUCUUAUCUGAUUGAAGUCACCUAGGAUCAACCAAGGCUUGUUCACCAGACCGUGAGUUGUUGCAAGCGCAUCAAUCUCCGACCAAAGGCUCACACGCUCGUCAACAUCAUUCGAGGCAUAGAUGACGGAAAUCGUGAUUACAGACUGAACAGUUGGCCAAGCCACUUCAAGAGUAAUCAUUUGCAGGGACUUGGAGAUGAUAGUAACUAACAGAGAAGGAUGCCAAACGAUCCAUAUUUUACCCAGGGGAGAGUAUCCAUAGUUGGCCUCGGAAGACCACCCCGGGAAGAGAUACGAGGUAAAUUUAUUCAUCUUGAGCUCUUUGACAUGAGUCUCAAGUAGUGCUCCAAAAAGAGGGGAGUGCUUCCUAUACCAUUUACGUAAUCCGCUGCGGUGGCUUAGCUUAUUUAAACCGCGUAUGUUCCAGCAAAAAAUGUCCGUCAACAUAAAAUUUAGUUGGUUUUGGGGCCCUUGCCCCGUUUUCCUUUUUGACCUGAGAACCUUUUCCUGUUGCGAACCACUUCAAAAUCAAGCUCAUGUUUACUAAACUCCCCCUCUUCUAGCUCCGGAUCAGAGGACUCAAUAUCAGAAGAGUCCGGCUGCAUUGUUGAAUGAGAAGAACGGGAAGUACCUGAAACGCUUCUACGAAUCGCUGACUGGAGGUAGGAAGGAGUAGCGCUGGAUUCACCUAUAGUCUUGUCUUUAUCAGUGCCCAAUUUUGACUGAUGAUUACUAACCACCAAGCACAACUCAAAAAGACCUGCCGAGGGAGGGGGGUUCGCUGCAGGUAAGAUGCUAUGCUGGGGAUUUGGAGUCUGCUCAGACGGAAUUGAGUUAUCCACUGGAACCCAUUUUUUCUUAGACCUCGAUCUGCUUCUCCUGGUUUUCCUACCACGAGCAUCCUUUUUAGGAGCUUGAGGACAGUUCGCUGCCAGAUGAUCAGUGGAGCUGCAGACAGAGCAAGGCUUGGGGGCUUUUGGGCAACGUCUAGUAGAAUGGCCAAUUUCUUUGCAGAAACCACACACCGGAGGCAUCCAUGGACUAGACACAAGCACUCUACUUAUAACUCCUGAAUCGAACUGAACAUUAACAGCCUCAGGAAGUGGCUUCCUCGGGUCAAUGACAGUGAACACCUUAGCAACCUCCAGAUUUGUUUUAUUAGCUGUCGCUGGGUGCAGGAAUUUGGGAUGACCUACCAGACCCGCUAUGCGCUCAAGGCCGUCUUCAUUGAAGAACUGGAACGGAACAUUUCGCAGUUCUAGCCAGAUGGGAGCGGAAGUAAGCUCUGGUUUGGUUGGAACGAUACCCGGUUCCCAGUUGUCUACAAACAUAGUUUGCCCUUCAAUCUGCCAGAGCUUCUGCUUUAUCACUCUACUUCUAGUAGCUGCAUUCGGAAUCCUAAACAGAAAGGAGAAGCCCUCCAUUUUUGACACCGCAAUAUCUCUGUAUUGUUUGCUCCAGAUUCCAUUGACAAUGUUAUGAAGAGUUCCUUGCGAUGGAGGGUCCGAAUAGAACUGACCGAGAACAAACGGUUCCCAAGCUUUGCGAUUCUUCUCUAUUACCGAGUUUGGGAUCUUGAUGCACGCUUCACCCGAAGGAAGUGUGAAAGAAUCGCCUUUCUUGGAUAGUUGCUUAACACCUUUAGCCCGAUCACACCAAGUGUCCUUGGCUGCGGUUUGAACCUCUGCUGGCGGGCUAGAUUGUGUAGGACUUGCUACUGAGAUGUUCCUAAUCUCCUUCACACCAGUUGUGUCGGAUGGGUCACUCAUAUCUUCAGCAAGCUGCGAGCUCAAAAGCAUAGCUUUGGCAUCAGCAUUCGCUAGUUGCUCAGAUGGACCAGCUACAACUGUGAUCUUAUUGACCUCUGUUACAGCUGGUACGGACGCAGAGGAGCUCAUAGGCGGCGCUACAAAGCUCGACUCCUUCUGGGGGUUCAAGACUUCGGUUCUCACAGAAGAUGGAUCUGUCGAUUGCUCAACGAUCACAGUCUUCUCAGAGAGGGAAUCAGUAAAUUGGGGGGUCAGAUCUGCGGAAUCACGAGUAGGUUGAGCAUCCACUUCGGCUGGGGAGCGAAGGUGGGCAUCUGAAACUUUCUCGAUGACCGGAGAGGGGACAUCAAUCGCAUUGAAAUCGACCAGAGACGGAGGGGGGCUGGUCGGAGGAGAGGAAUUGGUCGACGGAGGAGGCCCCGACGACCUCGAAAUCUCCAACAGCGAAGGUACUUUGGGUUUUUUCUUCUUCAUCUCCUUUGACGGAGACGGAGAGGCGAGUUGUGAGAGGAGCCGACGCCUAAUCAGACGCCGGUGAGAGGCGGACAGACAAGUCACGGUGGCUGCGAGAGUCGCAAAACAAUCGCCUUUUUAGGAGAGAGAAACUAGCCGUUUUUUCAAUGUAACUACUCCACGUGACGAUGUUAAUAGGGAUGUCAAAUAAAAACGAAGCCCUAGCUCCAAAGCUUUAAAGUUCUGAUAAUAAAUAAAGUUGGAUAAGCUUUGUUUGGACCAAAGCUAUCACGUUAGAGUUCUUUUUAAACAUUCUGUAGUUGUUGUUUUUUUUUUUUUGUUUUUUUAUUCUGUAAUUGUUGUUGGUUUAUGAUUUAGGAGUAAAUUCCAGUGAAAAUUCCGAUGAAUUUAUGGUCAUUGGAAAAGUGCAUUCACAGCGAAAGUUUAGCUCUUUUCAGUGGAUGCAUUGGAAAUGAAUCUUUAUCUGGAUCAGACUCACAAGAUAAUUUAAAUAAUAUUUCAAAACCGGGACUGAAUCGGGUUAGAUUGUCUUGAUUAACACCCCUAGAUAUAAAUCAAGAAUGAACACACCUCAAGUAAUUGUCGGGUCUUGGAUCAUGGAUUUAUAUAAUCCAUUUCACUAGGUGUAGAUGUGUGGGACAUAAAAGAACUUACAUUAAGCAGUUGUGUGUUUCGUCCUUAUAUUUUCAUUUGGCUGUACACGUAUAUGUUUCAUAAUACGACGCAUAAGCUAAUAGUAUAAUAAUAUACUGGUCGGGUGGUGAUGCCUCAGGCAGCUGUUACCCAUUGGUGCUGGUACUGGUCGGGUUAUCGAGUGCCAUUAUUAUUAUUUGGUGUUAUCAUAACAUGUAUGUAAUUUAAGUGUCUUUUAACUGAACUAUAUUGGUGAAAAAUAAAUGCACUACUCAUUUGAUGAUGUUUACUCAUUCAAAACAAAGAUAUAUACGUGUAUCCAAUAAUUAUAACGCACUUAUAAUAUAUAACUAGGUUAAGACCCGCGCCUUGCGCGGGAUGAACAUUAUAUAUAUAAAUUAUUUUAUAUAUUAUAUGUUUAUAACAUAUUAUGAAAUAAUAAAUAUAUAUUCAAUAAUUAAAAAGUCAUUAUCUACUAUUUAUAUAUUUAAAUUGGUGCAAACAUAUAAAUACAUUUUUUAAAUCAAACAAAUAUUUUUUCUAUUUGAUAUGCAAUAUAAUUAAAUUUAAAUGAGAGUAACAUAUAUACGGUAUAUUUUAAUAUCAAUAUUUAUUAGAUGAUGCUUUUUGCUCAUAUUUUUAUCAUUUGUAUUUGUAUCUGUUAUAAAAAAAAAUUUAAAUUAGUGAUAACAAAAUUUUCACUGUGGAUUAAUGUUUUAAGUAAUUUAUAAAAUUUAAAAAUUAAGUUGUCAAUAUUUUUUCAAAUUUUUUAUCAAAAAAAUGUUCAAAGUAAAUUUCAAAAUUAAGAUAUUUAUGUAUUUUUAUAUGUCAUAUAGUUUAAUUUAAAAUGAUACAUAUAUUUAUAUAUCUUUUAUUUUUGAUACUUAUUAAAUGAGACUUUCAACUUAUAUUAUUUUUUAUUAUUUGUAUCAUGUCAUAACAAACGUUUUAAAUCAUAGAUCACAAAAUUUGAAUGUGAAACUUUUAACAAUUUUAGUAAUUUAUACUCGUUUUUAAAAAUUCAAAAUAUAAUAUAUAAAUAAUUUUUUUAAUUUUUAUUAUAUGUUUACUAUGAUUGUUUAAUUUAUUUUAAUAGCUUAAAAUUAAACAAAUAUAAUUAUAAUACACACUUAUUUUUAUCAAAUCUUUAUUAUUCAAAAUCAUUAAUUGUCAUAUAUAUACUUUAGCCACAUUAGGCAAUUCCGUAAUCUUAUUUAAGGAAAUAAUUAAGCACAUUAAUAAUGUAUUUAUUGUGGUUUAAUAAAAAGUUUAUUAUAUAUUUAGAUGGACCAACCUAUUUUUCUAAUGAUUUUAAGAAUCAUUCUAGUGAUGACAUGUGGCUACAAAAAUAUGUUGCAAUGUUUCUCAAAUAAUAUAUAGGGGAUAUCAAUCACACAAGUGCUACAUGCAUAUAUAUACAAGUACUACAUAUAAUAGUAUGUUUAGACUUUAGCGGGUACUAUAUAUUUUGGCAGGGAGGUUUUGUCUAUGAGAAGGAUGAUAUUAUGUCGCUGAAAACUGAAAACAAAUAAAUACAUUUCUUCUGUAAUUAUUCAUCAAGCUUAAUUAAAAUAUUUGUACAAGCCCAACGAUUACAUAUUACAACACUAUGUAAGCGCAAAAAAAUGCUGAUGGCUGGUAAAAGGCUGAGAAAAGAAGUUAAAGAUCAAAAUUAACAAGAAAAGAAAGAUCAAGAGUUGUCAUCAGAAGAGAGAAGCAAAGUGAUGCAAAUUCUGAUUAUAUGAAGCUUUGCUCUCUGUUGUCUCAUUGUCCUCUUCAUCUUCUCCAACCUCUCCUUCAUCUUUUCCAUUAACUGCCUCAUCAGUUCCAGAUAUGUUGGAAACCCCACAUAUAUAUACAUACACGCGCAUACAUUUAUAUACAUGCAAACACAUGCUGACAUGCACGUAAGAACAUAAGAAACGACAAUCCCACACCUAUACAUUUAAGACCAACCUCCAACAAAUAUACAAAGUGCCCUAACACCAUCAAUCUCUGUCGGAAACCUACGUGCAGAAGAUACUUAUUACUAGUAUAAUAUAAAGGAAUACGGUUUAUAAAUGGUUUACACCAUACAGUAUUUUGUUUGUGGGCGUAUAUAUGUACAAUUAGACAUACAAAAACCGAUACUAAGAUUUUUUGUAUUGUUAGUGACUUAGUGUUAAUGGAUUGGCGCAUGGAUGGAGAGGGUCCACUUGUACGUUAAAGAGUGGAGCAUGUUCACGUGCCGAGCCUCAUGCAACUCUUUGAAUAUUUGCAUAAAUACACGUUCUUAAGCUCAUCCCUCAUUUAAUUCUGACUCGUCUUUUGUCCUCCUCCACUAACUUGGUCAGUUUAUUAACUUUCCAAUGUCGUUCAGUUGUCUCAAUUACUCAACAUUAUCUAUUUAAGUUAUUAUUUCAUUUUUAUUAGACAAAUGUCGUUUUUUGGACUGAUAGAUUAUCUUUGCUUGUUAAACUUUAAGAUUGUGAUAACCAGGUCAACUUCAGACCACAUAUUUAUAAUCUAACUAAAAUUUGUGAUAUAUAUAUUUUUGUAUCGAUUAAGAUAUGUGAAUGCAAGACGAUAAAUUAUUUACUGUAAUUCAAAUAUUCGAUUUUCUUUUAUCAAAAAAAAAUAUAUUCGAUUUUCUUGUUCUUUCAAGGACUAAAGAGCCACACAUGCAUCAUAACAAUAACGCAUGACGUCAUGUUUACGCAUACAUAUGGUUCAAUGCUUGUCUGAAGUCAUAUAAUGCUUAAAGCACUUAAAAACAUUGAUUCUUAACGGUAACUAGAUUUUGAUCCGCGCUCAAGGACGAAGACAGGUUAUGGGUUGUGUGUGCAUGUGCAACCAUAAAAAUAAUAAAAUUCUAACUUUUAGGCUUAAAACCAUUAGAAUUUGUUAGAUAAAAUGGUUAAAGUCAAGUUGUGCACCCACACUUACUCAAGUUCGAUUUUCUCCUAUGUUUUUCUUAUUAAUAAUGCACCCAUACCAUAAAUCUUCUGGCUUUGCCCCUGCCCGCGCUUCGAAAGCACGAGUUUUAUGGGUUAUUUACGAAGUUGGAUAUAAGAUAGUAUUUUGAGUAUAUUGUGUAUUAUUAUGUUAUAAAGUCGUAUUAUAUCGAAUACAUAAAUUUGUUUAAAAUUAUAUAACUUAUGUAUAAGUUUAUUUGGGAUUUCUUAUAUACACUCUUAUGUAACUCUUUCUUAAGUAUGAACAUUUUACCCAAAUUUGAUAAACGAACCAAACCAAUACAAAAUACAUGUUGAGGUUCGGGAUUGGGAAAAAAUUACCUAUUAGAUUUUUUUGGAUCUGCGGAUCUCUGUUGGAUACGGAUAACCAAAGUACCCAUAAUAUUUUGUUUAUAUUAUGUAUAUUUGAGUAAUUCAUAUAUGUACUCAGUAUAAAAUUAUUAUUAUAAAAUUUGGAUUCACAUUUUCUGUUAUAAUUUCAGGUUUUAGGUAAAAUUUCAAAAUUUAAAAAUAUAUUUAAAAUAUUGGAUAUUUUUGGUUCGUGGGUAAGAUUUUGGUAUUUUAGAUAUUUAGUUAUUUAUGGUAUUUUUUUUUAUUUUGGGUAUUUUUCGUGUUUUGAUUUUUUGGCUUUUCGGAUUCUUUAGAUAUUUUUGUCUGAAAUAAUCAAACCGAACUAGACUCAUUACGUAGCCAAAUUACAUAGUAAAUUUUACAGAUACUUGAAUUAUUGACUCAAACUGACCUGGAACGAAAAGGAACCGAUCUGAACAAAAAAAACAUUCAAAUACCUAGUUGGAUAUAAAUGCCCAAGACCCAAAGAACUUGGAUCUGAAAGAAACCGAUUUAUAUUUGACCCGAAGACCCGAAUGCCCAAAUCUAACAUUUCAUUAUAUUUUUUUGCAUUUUAUAAAAGUUAUAUUUGUUCAGUUAGUGAAACUUAAGAUUUAUUUGAGAUGUUUUAGGCUAAUUUAAUAGUAUAGAUUUGUAGGUUUUUUGUUGAGCUGUAAGAAAAAGAUUUGUUUGGUUUUUGAUAAUUUUAAACUUAUCUUAAAUACUAAAUUGUUAUUUAUCAAUAAAAUAAAAUUAACAUAAUAUAUAAUUUUUAAACUUAUCUUAAUUAUGAAGUUAAUGAGACAUAUUUAGAGAAGAGUAUAAUAAAGUGUAUGUGAUAUUGUAUUUUCGUAAACCAAAUUUAUGUGGUAGUAUAUAUAUGGUAUUUUCGUAAACCAAAUUUAUGUGGUAGUAUAUAUAUGGUAUAAUAUUUUCGUUUACACAAAGAUAUGGGUCUAAUAAAUAAAAGUUUUGACUAAAUGAUUGUUAGAAAAAUUUAAGGUAACAUAUUAUUUGUCCAAAUCAAAGUAAGACAAAUAUUAUUAGUUAAUGAAAAGGUCCAAACAACGUUUUUAAAUAGAUUUAUUAAAACUCUUUCUCUUUUAAUAGUAUUGAUUAAACCUAUGAAACUUAACUAAAAUUGAUAUAAAAUGUAGUGAAAUACUCUAGAAUAGCAGUAAACAAUAUUGUUUUGGAUAAACUAGGGUUGGCCCGCCCUACGGGCGGGAUAUUAGUUAAUUUGAUAUUCACUAAAUGUUCGAGUUAAAAUUUGUUUUAAGAUUCAAGAAUUUGGUUAUCUGUUAUGUGUUACUUAUUAGUAUGCGGUGGUAUAGUUGUUUUUCGAUUAUUCUUACUUUGGUAUUGUAUCAAAUUAACUAAUUGUCCAACUCAUAAUUAUAAAUAUACAAAUGUGGAUUUGUGAUAAAAUUUGAUGACAAUACUGUUUUUUUUAAUUCUUAUUCAUAGUAGAGUGUGCAUGUGUCAGAAAGAGGCAUAUAACAAUUUUUUUGUUUUACGUAUGGAUUUUAAAUAUAUAUUAUUUUGUAUAAUGCAUACUUGCUCUACAACAUUUGAUUGUAGACUAAAAAAACUGUUUUCAAUAUUUUUAAAAGAGAAAAUAUUUAGUCUAGAAGUAACAUUGACAUAUGUAUUGACUAUAUAUAGAAGUUGGGUGUUAUUUUAAAAUGACAUAUGUAUAGAGGUUUUUCAACCAUUACUUCACUGGUACAAAACAUUUAUAACUGCAAAUACCUUUUUUUAAAAGCAAAACUAAUAAAAGCGUGUACAACAAAUAUAUUUUGAUAUAUAUUAUAUGCAUCGAGUUAUAAAUGUUGAAACAUUGCAAAACUGUCUGGAGCAAAGUUUUUAACUUCACGAUCUUCAUCUUGACGUCAGUUCAGUGCCGGCCCUAGCCACAAGCAGAAGAAGCAUGGGCUUCCAGCCGACACGAUAAUAAAUAUUUUCGCGGCCACAUAUUUAUAAGAAGUGACUUUAACCUAGUGGUUCUAAGAGAAAUUACCAGUGCUAGAGGUGUUGGGUUCAAUUACCUCUGACUGCAUUCAUUUAUUUUUAACAUUUUGUUUUAUUUUGGCCCCAAAUAUAAAAUGGGACACGUGUCACUCCAUAACGCACGACUUGAUGACGUGCCAUCACAUGAGAGAAGCGAACAUAUUUAUAUAUAGUUAACUGUUUUAAUCACAAAAUAGUAAAAAUGAAAAAUAACUAAAAUAGCUUUUAUUAUAUUUAAAGACACAUAUAUAUCUCUAGAAUUAAUUGGGAGUGAAUUUUAGGGUUUGUGGCUUAGGAUUUCGGGUUUAGAAUUUGAGAUUUAAAACAUAAAAAUUAAAAUAAUAUUUUAAAACUAUAUAUUUAUAUUAGGUGUGUUAUUCACUAAAUGUAGAUUAGUCUUUUUGCUAUUUAGUGAAAACUAUUAUGGUCAUUUUUAUGAACUAUUUUCGUGAUUAAAUUUUUUUUAGGAUUCUUAGGAGAAUUACUCUAAAACAUAUGUAAAAAUUAUAUGCCUAAAACCAUUUUCAUGAACACCAGUCCCGGACCAACCCAUGAUACUGCUUAUUAAUUAUCUAUACUAUUAAAGCAAAAUACUUCUUAUGAAUCUGCCCAUGAAUUUUCCUAUUAAUUACAAAACAUUCCAUUUAUUUUUUCAAUUGUUUUUUCAACUGUUUUAAAUGUUUUUUGAAAAUGAAAAGCCCAACAAAUUUGCUACUUACAUUUUCGUUUUUAAGCCCAUUAAGUCAUUUUAAAUCCCAUUUACUCUGAGAUUUACGGAAUCAAAUCAAAUAAAAAAAAAAUCCCUCAACUUGAGGAACACGCAGAAAAAUAUUUUAACUGUUUGACAUGGUAACAUAAUUUUCCAAAACUAAUCUUAAAAUAUAGAGAGAUUCGAUUUUAAAGAAAAGAUCUUCCAACUUUCUCCCCAAGUUUCUCCUAAAACCUAACACCUCACUUUGAAUCCGAUCAAUAUUAUAAAUAGGCAGCACCGGUUUCCUAUUAUUAAAUAUUUAUGUUAUUAUAAUUUAAAAUUUAUGCAUUAAUUAAAAAUAUGUAGAAUGAAAAAUAGAAUGUCUAUUACAUUUUUCAUAUAAUAUUUAUUUAAUAAGUUAAAAUUAUAAAUAAAUAGCCUUACCAAAUAUAUCAUCACAAUAUGAUUAAAUAUAUUGAGUAGGAGUUUACCAUUUUAAAAUCUUUUAACUAAUUAAUUAUUACACAAACAAACAUUUUUAUUUUAAUAAUAAUUAAAAAAAUAAAGAAGAUAAUAUUAUAAAAUUUGACUAUAAACAAAUAAAAAAUCUAUUAAAAUAUAGAUUAGACAAAUAUUUAUUAAUUUAAAUGAAAUUUUAAAAAGAAUCGAUUCCGCGCUUUGAAAGUGCGGGUCAAAAUCUAGUUGAUUCUUAUAACACCUUCCAAAUCAGUGUGUUAAAAGACUACUUCAAUUUGUGUAUGUAUUUACACUCAUAUUUAUCGAUUGUGUUUGCAAACACGAGCAAUUAUAUAGAUUGAACCAAGUAUAUGUAAAUAUGUCAAGAAAAUUAAUAAAUACUAAGAAAUAAAAAACCAUGACAAUGAUAACAAACAUACAAAAGAAAAACGAGGACUAAAUCACAUAGUGAUAGCAAUGACAACCUUCUCUGUUUACAACUUUUAUCUUUAAUAAUCAGUUCCAGUUGGUUGUAUUAGCCCUACAAGCUGUCCGUUUCAUAUCUUGUACACAAUAUAAAACAUAUAAUGUUCUUGUCCUCCAAAAUCAGUUUCAUAACAGAAGUACAUCUCUCUAAGUAAUUAAUCGCCACCUAGCUUUACUUUUAGUUCUGAUAUUUUGUUAGAAAUAUAAUGAGAGGCCUGUGCUAUAUAAAUGCAUGGUAUCAUAUACAUUUUUGUGCUAUAUAAAAGUCAAAUAUACAUCAGCAUAAUUAAACUUACAUGUAUAAUAGAGCAGUAGAUGUAAAACCAACCAUUGAGUAUGUGUUCUUAAGCAGAUAACUUACACUUAACAAGUUAAAUCUAUAUUUAGGCAUAUACAAAACAUUUUCCAGUGGUGAUUAAAAAAAAGAUCUGGUUUCUCUCUCCUUCAGUAUUCUCUCUCGCCUCUCUCUGAAGACAAACUUUCUCAGAUCUGGUUUCUGCUCCGGCAUCCGGAGACAUCGGCGGCCGAGCCGGUGUGCGUUAGCUCCGACGCCGGAGGCACCUCCUUCCCCUUCGUCUCCUUUUUUCCUUUUGCUUCUUUCAUCCUCACCGUCCUUGCCAUGGACAUGUCUGGUCCUGUGGGCGUUUCUAGGCUUCGGAAUCCUAGGUUCGUUGGUCGUGUGGUCUUUUGGAGAACCAACGAAGCGGUGUGGUCCGUGGUGUGAAAGGAGUCGGCUUUUAAGGUUCGAGCAUCGUCGAAUCUCAUUUUCAAUUUGUAGAUCUCGAUUGUGUUCGUGGUGAUGUCGGCGCGUGAUGGUUCGGUUGAGACUAUCUCCUUCUGCUUCAUCUGGUAUGAUAGCCUUUCCAGAGUACAGGCUAAGCGGCGCAGGUCGUGUGUGGAGUGGUUUUGGACGGCGUUCUUUGUUUCCUAGGCUUGGUGUCUCGUCUCGGAUUCUGGUUCGCUGUCGUCUAGGCAAAGGCUCCAAUGGUUUGGAGGCACGUGCCUAGUGUUUCUUUCGGCUGUGUGGUCGUGGUUUCCCUAGGGUUUAUGCGUGUGAAGCUCGUGUGGUCCGGGAGAAGCUGUCGUCUAUGGCAGUCUGUCUUCCGAGGCUUCUCUUUGUCUGUCUCACCCUAUCUCGAAUCAUUGUCAAAUUGCUCGAGUCAUUCACGUGUGGCUCUGUGUUGUUUCGGUUUCACUGGUUAUUUCUCUUUAUUGUUCCCCAACGAUUGGAGUUUAUAAGCGUGUAGGAGACUGGUGUUGGGUUCUCCAACUCGGGCCAGGGCGUCAGUUUUAAGCUCAUAUGAGUCAGUUCGGCGUCGAUUGGCGAGGGGACUUGGUGGAAGUGUCGUCAUCCCAGUGCUUUGGAAGCUCCUUGGCCUCUAGAGUAGACUAAUCUUUUUCUUCUAUGCAGGAACUGAAGCCUUGAUUGUUUGGUUAUGUUGACAUUGCAGCCUGCAUUUUUGAUCCAUUCGACUCUAGAGCUUAAAGUCAGUCAAGAAUAUGGGUUUGAGGAGAUCUUCAGAGACAAGCUACAUCGGCGAUGACACGAAAAGAACCGGCAUCCGAGGCAACGAGGUAAACCUCACCCUUUUGUGGUCAUCAUCGUCGGUCGAGAACGGUCAAUGAUAUUCUAAAGAUUGUGGAGCGCUCUAGCGGAACAUGUUGGUAUGGUGGGCGAACGAAGCUAGUGUUGUGAUUAAUGAUUUAGAAAAUUUUGUUCAAAAUCAAAUUUGUAUUCGAGACUUUAAAUUCCCGUUUGAUGGGCGGUUUAUAUAUUAAUUAAUAAAAAAAAAGCAUUUUCCAGUGUAGUUUAUCACUAAGAAUGAUUGAACCUGUGCCAGAAAUGCUCACUGAGUUACCAGUUGGUAAAGUAAUAAAGGUGUAAGAAGAAGUUGAGAGUGGUAAAAAAUAUCAUUAUGACAGACAUGGUGUGUGGCUUCUGGAUCAUCAAUAACCCAAUAAUUAAUCAGUAGAAAGCACAGCAUUUCCAGAAGAAAGUGAUAGGCAUGUCGAGCAUGGAAAAAAUAUAAAAGGCAAGAAAAUACCAGACGCCAAUGGUACAACUGAAGGUGAAGGAAAAAUUCCAUGUAUUGCUCUGGUUGUGUAGAUGAGAACUGAAGUAACAAAUGAACUAUUGCAUUUUUCCGGAGUGAGAGAACUAGAGACGUAAGAAACUGAUGGAAUAACAGACUUGUCAUCAAAAGUUACAUCUAAACUUGCUAAAGUCUCUUCAGUACAAGCCAAGUUUUCUGAGGCAGAAGAAAAAGGCUUCUUAGGAGGGUAAAUUUUUUCUUUAUUCUUCAGUCCAAGAGGUUAUCCGUGAACCUUGUAGCAAUGAUUAAUAGUGUGACAGUUACCACCACACCACAGUGAGUGCAAACAGGACGAGGUUUGUAUGCAAAUGCAAUAUUAAAUUUAAAUGAUUAAAAUGAACUAAAUGAGAUACUGAAUACCAUUAAAAUCAUAACAUAUCAUAUUUCCAUGAGAAACUUGAAAGGUGGAUGGAUCCAUUCCACUAUCACCACUUGUCCUUGUUGUACGGUGACUAUCCUCUUGAUCAAGAAUGUUGUACACUUUUAAUAGAGAAAGCAAAAUUUUCUUCAUGAGUAUCUGACUGCAAAUGUGAUCAUAGCUGUCUUUGAGCUCCAUGAGAAAAUAAGUGACUGUUAAUUUUAUUUUUAGCCAAUAAAUCUUCAAUAGUUUGAGCUGGCGCAUGUAGAUCUGUUCAAUUUUCCCAAGGCGACUGAGUCUGAGUAUGAUAAGAGGAGAAAUCAAAAUUGCCUUGACGAAGAGAGUAAAGCUGGUGACAAAGUUUGUAUAGUCUUGGCAAACUUGAUUUGUAAAAUCUUGUGUGUUUAUCAUUCCAGAUAUCAUAAGCAGCUUUGAAAUAGAGAGCACUGGUAAAGAUCUUCUUUGAAAUGCGAUUAAGAAACCAAGAUUUGACCAUAUUGUUAUAAUGAUUCAGAAGCGAUAAUACAGAUCAAUUUCAGCAGGCAUAACAACCGAUCAAAGCUUAUUCUUCGCCUCUAAGCUAGCUGUCAUCGAAAUAAUCCAAAGACCAUAGUUCGUUCCAUCUAAGAGUUCAUAAGUAAAAACAAAACCAGGAUGAUCCAAAAUAUGAAGAUGACAUGGACUAUGAACAUUUUCCAGAAAAAUUGAUACCUCAAAGGAUUUGGAGCUCGAAUCGGACCUGAUUAAGGCAGAUUCUGAUGCGAAAUGAUUUAGUCUGAAGAUCCUGAAGCAUCGUGAAGAUAUUUUGAGCUAGGAGGCUUAUUGUGAUGCGUCGGAGUUUGAUUAUCUAAAUUUAUAGUUCAGUAUUUUGAAUUACACUUUCGUUUCCCCCGUAUAAAGAGUAAAUUUGAAGUUUUCCCCCCACUUCAUGAUAUUUAUCAGUUUUAAGAGCGGAGCAUGAAGAAGUUCCGGAGGAUUGAGAUAAGUAUCAACACCAGAUAAAUAUGAGAACAUUGAUGAUUAAUGAUAAAGUUGAGAUCUGCGAUGAUUGAUGGAAAAGAUGAAGAUCGAAUGAAAAAAAAAAUACCAUUGCGAUGAGCUCAACAGCAGCUCUAAGAGCAUAUCAUAUUAGGAUAAGAGAAAAUAUUCUUUAUUAAUUGUAAAUGAGUACAAUUUCAGCUACAUAUACAAGUAUCACUCUUCUACACCAACAUAUGUAUAUACAAUCUAAGUAUUUUAUACAUGUCAACUAAGAGCAUGAUUAAUCCGGUCUCUUAUCCGGGGUUCUUAACUCAUGAUUUGACAUUUUUUUUUACAGUUUUCAGCUAAGAAACGGCUCUUAAAUAUCUUAUUUAAGAGACGGUUCUUAACUUUUCUUAGUUAAAAUCUAAGAAAAACUAAGAACUGUCUCUUAACCGAAGCUAAGAACCCCAGCUAAGAGACUGAGGUUAACCAUGGUCUAAAAAUCUCCCUUGGUGAUUGAGUUUCAGAAUCCAAGAGCACACGCAAUGCUCCACAUUAGGCACCAUGAUUUAUGUGACAUCAAGAGUUAUUAAUCCUUCAUAUUGCUUCGCACGAUUCUUAUGGUUUAAUGGAAACUAGAGAAUGAUCCGUGCAUCUCCGCAUGUAUUGUUCUUACAGUUUUAUACAUUGAUAUUUGUAUUUCAGAAUUAGUGUUAUAUAUUUUUGAUGUGUCGUAAUAUAACUAACUGUGUUCAAACGACAUGGACCGAAUCAGGUAUAUGGUUAUUUUUUGUACAAAUAUCUGAAUCUGUUUCAGAUACAUUUGUUAUUUUGAUAUUUUUAGGUUCAUAUACAUCAUAAUCGAACUUAUCCAGACCCAUGAGGACCCAAAUCAAAACCCACACAUAAAUUUAUAAUAUUCAAGCAGGGUCUAAUUUAUAAAAAAACGAUACUCGGAAAGAACAACCCGUACCUAAAUGGAUAGCCAAUUUUCAAGUCUAACUAAUUUUAUAAACUAAUAAGGAUGACUCAUUCUAUGUGUUUGGCUAAAUUAACUAAAAUAUAAAGAGUUUUUUAUUUAGUAAAAUAAUUAUAUGGAGAGAAAAAUUAAGUGACAAUUAAUAUAAUACAUUUUUCUUAUUUUGAUUUAGGUUAUUAUUUUAUUCACAAAAACAUGUCUUUAAAUUAUGUUUUUGGCUACGUAACUUUUCACCGAUUGAAACUAUAAUUUGUUUUAGUAAAACACACUAAACUAAACGUUUAACCACAUGUAAAACCCAGUUAUUUGAUAUUUUUAUUUUAUAAUUGGUAUAAAGUUAAUGUUGAUUAGCUAAUAAAUAAAAAUUUGCACUAUUAUUUUUAUGGUAAUAUAAUUAACGAUGUGAUGUAUUGUUAAAGUAAAUAUGGUUAAUGAAAUUGUUAAACUGAGUGAAAUAUGGAACGACAAUUAAUGUACUUAUAUUAAUGAAAUUACUAAAGGACACUAUAUUUCUUUUUUUAUACUGCUAUCCAUGUUUCCAUACUAUUCUCAUUUAUAUUUCAAUCUAUGUUUAUAAACAAUAACAAAAUGUACUUCAGUUUUAAUAAUAUAGAUGCAUUCACAUAUAUAUUUAUAUUGUGUGAAGUCAUGAGUCUUUUCUUGCUUUUAAUUUGGUGUCUCGAUUAAGGUCUCGAAUGAAAAUAGCGAUUUGAGCAUUGCGGAUCAAGUGGACUAAGUGAAACAAGUGCAUAUCUAGAGUUUUAUAGCGGUAGAAGAGUGGAUCAAUCAGAUCUAGUGUGGUCGAAAAUAUAUGUAUGAAUGGUGGUAGCAGAUCAAAGACGGUUCAAAAAAAUUCAAAAAAAAUAAUUGUUCAUACAAGAUUUAAUUAAUAAAUAUUUAUUUAUGAUUAGAUUUUAGAAAAAAUUUAAUUUAAAAUAAUAUGUAUAGACAAAAUAUUUUUCUUUACAUUGUAAAAAUUUUAUUUUUAAUAAAUAUUUUACCCAUCAUACAUAUAUGUAUAUAUUAUUUUACAAAAUAUAAAUAAUAACAACUUAUAACUCAUGAUUUUGAGAAUACUACAUAUAUACCGUAGAUUUUAACAUUUGUGUUAAUGGGAAUUGUAUUCUUCACUAUAUAACUCAUAACACAAGAUUUUAAGAAUACUACAUAUAUAUACUUUAGAUUCUAAGAAUCAUUAGAUCAAAUUAUUUUCACAGUACGCAAAACUUCAACUCUUUCAAAAUUUAACAAAACUGUCAACUUUUAAAAUCAAUAAACUCUAUCUAAAUCUAGCUCCCACUAAUACAUCCUAUAUUCUCCAUUCAACAGAAAAAAAUUUUAAUGCUGGAUAAUUAUGCUAUAACAAAUUAUGAGAAAUAUUAUAGACGAUUCUACAGUCGACAAUUCUAUAUGUCUUAUGAUGAUUCACGUCUGACUGCAUCACCUGAUGCGCUCUAUGGGAUCCACGCUUGACGGUACUCAUUGCGCCAUGCUGCAGAUCUCUUGUAAGCCUUUUCUCCAUUAAUUCGCAUAAUUAUCCGUUGCGCCAUGCUGCAUAUCUCUUGUAAGCCUUCUCCGAGGAUAGAAACCCAAACUUUCUGGUGUAUAAGCAUUGAUGAACUCUUAGUCAAACCACUGAACUAAGGGAGAAGACUUCAACAACAGUUAUAUAGAAUAAUAAAAAAUUAAAUAAUAAUGAAUAAAAAAUACAAUGCUGCACAUGUGGUUCAAUUUUCUUAACAAAAUUUGUGGACUGCUCAAACACUCGUGUUUGAUUCGUCCGCAAGUGUGUUCUUUUUGUAUUGUUUUUGUUUUACUUUGAAUUGAAGUAAUAUUAUACAUUUAAUUUGAUUUCUAGUUUUAGUUAUUGAACAUAUUUCCUUUUCAUUCACUUAUCUCUUUAUUAGUUUAAAAUCUUAUUAAUUUACAUAUACUUGAAAUAAAAAUAAAUGUAAUAUUAUAUAUAUAUACAUAUAUAUAUUAUAUAUGUUAAUAUUUAAACAAAAAACACUAAAUAGUACUAUUAAGAAUAUAUCUAAUAAAUUUGAAAGUUUUGCAAAAAUGAAUCAAAACAAAAAGUCAAAUGUAAAGCUAACCCAUAAUUUUGUUUUGGAAUUUAAUUUGUCAUAUUCAUCCCAAAGGUUUGGAUUAUUAUGAAAAUGUCAUUAUUUAUUUUUCUCAUAAAAGUUUAUUUUAUUCAAUCAUCCUCAUAUUCAUCUUUUAUUUACAACAUUGACAUUGCUAUUGUCAUCAAUACGCUAACCACAAGGAACAAACAAUUUAAAGCUCUAAAUGCACAUAAAAUCAACAUCUACAUCUUCAUAUUCUUAUUUCUUACACACAAACCAUUUCCCUUUCACUUCCUCUCUUAUUUCAUCCAGAAAUUCUAACUUUUUUUAAUUUCAAAAUUUAUAACUUAUUAGAGUUACUCAAGUUCAUGAUUAUUGGUCAAGAGCGAGUGAGUAACUUUCAUUAAAAAGUUAUGUGCGCUUGAAGAAGAUAAACAUGAAUCUCACUGAAUCUAAAAAUGAUCUUUACAUUUUUUCAGAUUUAUUCACAUAAGUCUUCUCGUCAGGGAAGACUUCUAAGACUUCUACAGAAGUCCUUUGGUCAAUGCAUACAAUUGAGUUAGUUUUACAAUUGAGUUUUUGUGUGGUCUUAGAGAAGACUUUUGUGUGCUCUUAGAGAAGACUUUUCUGGAAGUCUUCUAACUUUUCUUUGUUAACAAAAAAAAAAGAGAAGACUUCCUAGGAAAUAUUCUCGGAUAAACAAGUUAGUUUUGCAAUUGACCGAAUUUUGUCAAAAUUUUGACUUCUAUAGAAGACUUCUCGAUUUUUUUAUUGGAUUCUAGUCAAACCUUUGGUUGUUGAAGAAGACUUUUACGGAAGUCUUCUGCCAAAAGACUUCCACAUAAGUAUUCUUCGAAAAUGUCAAUUAUCGUCAAUUGCAAAAGUAACCUACGCAGACUCUCACUGACAGUGAGCAGACAUCAUGUAACAAUUGAGAAGACUUCUUUCUUCUGUAAAAAAAUCAAAAUUCUAAUACAAUUUUCAAAACUAACAUGUUUAUCCGAGAAGACUUUCAAGAAACUUUUCUCUGUUAUUUUUGAGAUUUUGUGAAAUACAAAAGUAAAUGAAUAUUUACAAAGAAAGACUUCCGUAGAAGUCUAAUGUUGAGUAGACUUCUCUAGAAGACUUCCUUUGUAAAUUUACAAUUGCAAAAACGACUUAAAUGGAAGACUUCCACAUAAGUCUACUUCAAGAAUACUUAAUAAACUUUUAUUUUCUCUAAAAUUAAAAGGAAUUAUUAAUAUUUUCUUGUUAAUUCAUGUAUAUUAGUCAAUAUUGAAGCUUAUGAAAGAAAUUCAUAACUUAACUGGUUAUAAUUUUUAGGUUACAAAUAUUCAUGUUUAUUAAUGUUUCUAGCUAAUCUGAGAAGAUUUAUUAAGAUGUCUUCUACGUUAAUUUUUGUAAAACUAGUAAUUUAAGAGUAAUAUGUAACUUUAAGAUAUGCUUUUUAACUUUCAAAAUGUUUAAGUAACUUCAAGACUAUCAAGUCAUAUUGUUUAAUUUGUCUUCUUAGAUCAUAAGAUAUAUUUUUUUAGCUUUCAUGAGUUUAAAUUUUUUAAUUUUCACAUAAAAUUUAAGCUUCUCGCUUAAAUAUUAAUUUCCCAUUUAAAUUUCUUGCUUAUAUUUAAUUUUCUGUUUAUAUUUAAUUUCUCGAUUAAAAUGUUCCGCUUAAAUUUAAGUCUUCCGAGAAGUCUUCCCAAAAUACUUCUAGUGAAAGUGUUAUAUGUUUGAACUUAUGUAAUUUUUGAUCUUGUGAAUUUGACUAAGUUUUAUUGAGAAGUCUUCUCCCUUAGUUUUAGUAUAUUUGACUAAAUUUUUGUGUUGUUGUGUUUUGCUAUUGAAGUUGUAUCAAUAACUUUAAUAAUGUCAAGUAUUUUUGGCAAGAUAAUACUGUAGACAUGAACAUAUUUACCAAAUUCUUUUCAUUAACAUCUCUUCAAAUUUACAAAAGAAUCCACAACUAAAAGAGUACACUUACAAAUCACAAAACAUACCAUAAACAAAACUAUUACACAUGAAGUUAGAAGUCCUUCAUCUACAUAUAUAAGCUUGGACUCCACUUGACAUCAUCCCUUUGAUAGUCCUCCAUGUUAAGGUUUCAUGUUUUUGAAGACUUUCUGGAAUACUUCGGACUUCGCAUGCAUGAAGACCUCCAGGAAGUCUUCCCAGAAGUCUUCAAAAACCUGAAACUUCCAUCAGAUUCAACCCACUCAGAUAUGUUUACCAGAUGAAAUAAAUUCAGACAUGCAAACUUACCAAAAACGCUCAAAUUAUGUUUUGACUCCACCCUCAUCUUCAAUCUACAAAACUUCCUCCUCCACUUUGACACCUCCGGCAGCAACCUCAGAGGCCUCAUCCUCCAACUCGAACAGCUCUUCCACUUUGACAACCUCCGGCAGCAACAUAGUUUCGAAAAAAAAUAAGAGCUUUGAACAACAAAAGGUUACUAGAUGAAGAAAAUCAGACAUGAAAACUUACCAAAAUGCUCAGAUUUGUUAUGAAAGAGGAGAUAUGGAAAGUCUUCUGGUGCAUUAUAUGUUAGAUGACUUCCCAAAAUUCUUGCAAAGUGUGACUCAGAUCUGAAAAACAUGCAUAUCAAAAAACUUUUAAAUGACUUCAAAACAAAGAAAAGCUUUAAAAAUAAUUUUUUAUGCUUAAAUAAUAAAUAAAACAGUCACAUUAGGUUCAAUCUAUAACUUUUUAGAAUCUAACAUAUUAAAACACACAAAAUAUAUAUCCAAAAUUUAUAGGUCUACCUUUAAAAGACUGGAAGAUGAGAACCAUGUAACGAAAAACAUGCAAAAAAAAGAUAAAUUAGUGAGAAAGACAUGAGCAAAAAUGAUAAAUUGAUAUAAAAUUUGAUGUUUUCAAGUUUAAAGAAUUUUAGAGUGAGAAACAUUAUAUUUUUGUUAGAGCCGUUUGAGAGAAAGAGACAUAAUGUGUAAAAUUUUCUUUAUAUAAGGAGACAAAAAAUAUUUAGAAAAUUUUCUUUAAAUUUUCUUAGAAAAAUUCUCUAAAUUUUACUACACAAAAAUAAAAUUUUUAAUUAUGAUAAUAAUAUAUAUUAAUAUUAAAUAUAAUAAAAUGGUAUCUAGACUGCUCGAUCAGUUUUUGUUUAAUUUGAUCCACUUUUGUUUCACUCAAACCGUUAUAAACUAGAUCCACAAUGCUUAAUCUAAUUUUUUCGUUCCGACCCUAAAACUAGCAUUUUCAAUCCAAAUUAUAUAAUGACAUGUCCAGGGGCGGACCUAAUUCAAAGACAUAUCUAGGGGCUGACCCAGUUUAAAAAUAGGUGGGGCAAGUGCCACAUACAAAAAAAAAAAUCAUUAGUUUUAUUGACGAUUUGAGGAGCGCAACUGAUUUAAAUCUCUUAAUGCACAUUUGGUUAAGAACUCUGUUAUCUAAUAUAGUGUGCCACAUGUCAUAACAUUUGUUAGGUCCGGCCCUGAUGAUGUCACUUCAGUGAUGUUAAGCCAGGCAACGAAGAACAUAUUUAUAAUGAUCGCUUUUCCAGAAAUGAACAUAUAAGUUAGGGUCAAUUAGCCAAAUAGCCAAAAUUUGAAGUGAAAUUAAGAGAAUGGCAUUGAUUUUGACGUAAUUGGGUAACUAACAUUUAAGGCCCAUUUGAUCCGGUAAUACCCUUGGUUGGUGCAAGUAACCGGUGAAAGAUAGAAAGUUAGAUGACGUAAACAAAUUGAGGUAUGGCUAAUAUUUAAAUCACAUCUGAGUGAAUAUAAGGAACCACGUCACAUAUUUAUGACCACAAACAUAUGUUUCAGUGUUCUAUUCCACAUCACCGAAAUAAAACAGAUUUCUAACCUCACUCACAUACUCUAAUACUAAACAUUAUCCCAAAUCUAACCCAUAUAUACUAAACAUUAUCCAAAUCCCACCCCAACCCCUUAAUACUAAACCCUAAACCUUAAUCAAUAAACCCUAAACUCAAAUACAUAACUCUAAACCCAAAUAUAAAUUCUAAACCCAAAUAUAAAUUCUAAACCCAAAUAGAAUGAAACAAAAUAAAUAAUAUGGUAUAUAUUGGUAAAAUUAUGAUAUGUCUAUAAUUUCGUAGAAGAAGUUGAUGUUGAUCCCAACUAUACCUCCUCAUCUUCUAAAUACUAAACCCUAAACUAUAUUCACUAAUCCCUAAACUCAAAUAUAAACCAUAAACCCAAAUAGAAUGUAACAAAAUAAAUAGUAUGGUAUAUAUUGGUGAAAUUAUGAAAUAUCUAUGAUUUCAUGGAAAAGGUUAAUGUGACCCAACUGUACCCAACUAUACCCUAAACUUUAAUCCCUAAACCCUAAAUAUAAACCCUACACGGAAAUAUAAAGCCUAAUCCAAUGUCAACCCCAAUCUUUCAUAAACUAAACCCGAAUAGAACAAAAUGAUGAAAUAUCUAUGAUUUCAUGGAAGAAGUUAAUGCUGAAACCCCAACCAUAUCCCCUCACCUUCUAAAUACUAAACCCUAAAUUAUAUUCACUAAACCCUAAACCAAAAUAUAAACCCUAAACCCAAAUAUAAAUCCUAAACCCAAAUAUCAAAGUCUAAAAAAUUACAUAUAUUAUGUAAAAUUAAAUUAUAUUAUGUAAUAUUAAACUACACAAUCUAGAUCAUAGCACGAUAUUUACUUGUUCAAAAACUAUAUUUCUUAACAAAAUAAAACACUCUUUAGUAAUCAUCAAAUGGAAUGGAACAUGAUAAAAUAGAAGAGUAGCAGAAUAUAUCGCAUUUCAUAACAGGAAUAGAACAAACAUAACACAUAUUGUUUUACAUUUCUAUUCCAUAUGCGAAUAGAAUAGAACAAACAUAACACAUAUUGUUUUACAUUUCUAUUCUAUAUGCGAAUAUAAUAGAACAAAACAAACACUGUUUAUCUUCUCCGAUCAACUUCAUCCACGGCGAAAAAAUGUAACUGUAUCUCGCAACAUCAGUGGAGAUAAUACAUAUAACCGUAUCAGAGAGACAGAUUUUGUUGUUGAUACAGUAAAUAGAAGAGAAGAACAUACGGUGGUGACGGAAAAUGGUGCCAUUUGCAUAGAUGGAGGUGAUCGCCACUACACAGGUCUUUUCGGCAAGGAUCAACACAAAUUGGAAUGCGAAUCAGGAAGGGAUUGUAAUCAGAGAAUACGCGGUGGAGAGAAUCUGGAGUGAAACUAUUCAAAGGGGUGUGAAUUUGGAAGAGACACGACAUAUUUUUGCAAAAUAGUAAUUUUUAAUUUUAUUUUUUUCUAGCAGGUUUCUCCGGUUUCAAGCAGGGGUAAUACAGCAAUAUUAUAUAAAAGACAUGUGAAACAGUAAAAAGUUAGGGUAAUUGGCUACUCAAUCAAUUAUGCUUUUUUGUAGCGUCAUCUCACCUAAUUUCCCUAUAAGUUACUCCCUCCGUACCUAAAAGAUCACCUAAAAGAUCGAUGUUCUAGAAUGUUCAGACUUUUUAAUAAAAUAUAUUAAAAUUUAGCUAUAAGUGAAUAGUUAUUUUGUAAUUUUAUAUUUCUUAUAUUUGUAAACUAGUAAGAUUUUAAAAAUGCAAUUAAUAUUCUUAAACUUUACAACUUUUCAUUAUUAGUUGACAAAAAUUGCACUGAAAAUAUAAAAUAAAUAUCUUUUUGAAACAAAAAUUUUCACUAGAAUAUAGAUCUUUUAAGAAUGGAAGGAGUAUAAUUAAUAGAUAGAUAUGGAAAAGAGAAAUGAAGUAUAUUAAUGCACCCUUCUGAUCCCAUAUGACACUAUGAACUUAAUCUGUAAUAUAAUAGUACAGUUGAGUCUUUCCUGAAGCGACACCUCAACAUUUUGGUGGGUUCCACUUUUAAAAAAUGUGAAAAAAGUUCCAAGCCUAUGGCUCGAACCCAGGUUAUUGAGAUAUGAACACCAACAUUUAUACCACCAAACUAAAGACUAAUUUGUAUAUUGAUGGCCGAAACUAAUAUAUAUUUAUGAAGAUUGGAAACCUUUGCUUCUUCAGUUUUUUCUGUGGGUUGGGCCUACAAGUGUAUUAUGAGUUUCAUUUUUAAAUGAGGUUCAUCACGUUAUAUAAAAAAAAUUAUAGUUUUUCCAUAUUGUAAACUGUCUUCGUUUAACAUGAGUUAGGAUUCUUUUCAUCAUUGUCUUAUACAAGUCUGAGUUACAGAGUUGCGCUGUGUGUCUGUUUGUAAUCUAUUUUUUCACCUGUGAACUCUUCAUCUCUCCAUAUUAAAUCGAUUGAUCUUAAAUGUUCCUGAUUUGUAGCCUUUCUGUAAACCAUAUAUAUAUGAUUCUCAUCUUUGAUGAACCCAAUCUGCAUCUCCACAAAACUCAUUGAUUCCUCUUAGCUUUAACGAUCUUCUAGAAAAUGUCUCUCUGCCUCUCCAAUUCCUCAAACCGGCAUUCCCGGCAUCCGUCACUCAACCUUCGAGUCUCUCUGUGUUGGUCGUAGUAGUCAGAGCAUAGACUCUAACCUCCUCGCUUAUGGGAUUUCCUGAACUUCAAGAAAGACAAUGAGUUUAUGGGAAUCACGGUUUUCUUCAUUGAUGAAAAGGUAAGUUUAUUUUUGAUUUAUCACACUUAUUUAAUAUAAUUCUUUUUAAUUGAUUUCCUGAUUCUUUGUUAAAUAAUAUUAUUUGCAGAUUCCGUGAUUCAUGGAUUUAUUCCCACCGGACGUACUAAUCAUUACAUGCCAUCUUUGAAAGUCGGUUCCAUUAUGAAAGUCGAUCGUUUUGAGGUUGCUAGGUGCUCAAGCAUGUACAAGAUAAUUGAUCAUUCAUUCUUCAUUCGUUUCAUCUCACCAACUAUUAUUGAUGAAGUCAUCACGGAUGCUGCUGAGAUCAAUCUCCAAUCAUAAUUAGACUGUUUGACAAUUUCCAAAUGAUUGCGAACACAAACCUAGAACUCUCUCGUAUAUUAUCAUAUUGCAUUUGGGUUUAUAAUAUGUUUCGUUAUCAUAACUGAUAUUUAAACUCGCAGAUGUGGUUGGGCAAAUCUGUUAUGUCCAAGACUCUGACCUUAGCAAAGAAACAACUCGAGUCGUUAUCCGUCUCCUCAUUGAUCCGUAAGAAACUAUCAACACACAAUUCCCUUUAUAUUAUUAUCCAUAUUGUGCUAACAUCAAUAAUCAAAAAUAUUUCCUAUCCAAAUUUUGUGGUCGUCUAUUUAUCUCCCUUACUUAUCAAACUAAUUUUACACAAACUUUUAUUUUACAGCUUAAAGAAACCACAACAACCCAAACAAUCAAAACACCAAAAACUAGAAUUAAAAAAAAAAGACGAAUCAUUAAUGAUCACCUCUCUUUUUUGUUAAAUCUUAGAAAUAAACUUCAAAACAAAUAUACCAAACCAACCACCUCUACUAAAGCUCAACGACACAUACAUCAAGUCAGCUAAACAAAUACAAACUACACAGCCAGCUAUUUAACAAUUUACAAACUUAGUUUCGCAGCGAAUAAGACGAAGACGACAACCAAAAUCAAUGAAAUUACCUAAACAAAAAAAACAUAGUAAGUUAUGAACUCUGAUAAAUACAACUAACAAUGAUUUUUGUUUACAUAUUACCCAUCAAAUAAAAAAUAAACAAACACAGCCACAACAGGAGAUACAAGAGACAAUCCCGACAGACACAAAGGCAUCAACAACAGCUCCACCUGCUCACUCCUCUUGUCUUAUAAAAAUAGCUUACAUGUCCAAUGUUAACAGGCCAAUGCUAUUGUUUUCUUAUGAAAAAUACAUAAAUUCGUUAAAAACACAUUAAAACCCAAAUACUCAGGACUGUAUUUCUACAAGUCUUCAUGUAUUUGUUUUAAAGGUCCGGUAAGAGCAACAAGUUUAAAAAUAAAAUAAAAAUAUAUAACAAACAUAAUAAUGAUAAUAAAAAUUAUUACUUAAUACACACAACUUACACAACUAAACUGGAGAAAAAUAUCCAGAAACAAAAGGUACUCUCAACUACUUUAAUGUAAUUUAUAUACUCUCAAAAGUACAAGAAACAAAUUAAAAAGACAAACAAACAAUAAGUCUGAGUGACACAACAAACAACAACACGAACUAUAUCAAUCACAUUAUUAACACAAUUUAGUCCUUCAUAAGUGGAGAACAAUGCAUACACAGUUCAUCAUCACAAUUCUAACCCUAUAACAAUAAAAAAAACUUGAAAAACAACAUACGUUUUACAGAAUAACAAAAAAACAAGUGGCCACAUAAUGUCACGACCGGGUCACGUACUUGAUCCAAACAUAUGUUGCAGUCGAAGUCUCCUCCGGAGUCACCCAAUGCUGCUGAGUCUUCUACCUUCUCUAUCUCCAUUUUACUGAAAUGUAUAAGACAAACUCAUUGAUUUGAAACAAGAACUUUGUCCACAAUUAUGCGUUUGCGCGAGGGCAAUGCCCCUAAUUUAUAACAUGAGACAAGUAAAAAGUUGCCGCAUGCUUGAGAUAAUAAUACUUUGAGAAGUUUAUUUACGUUAUAGUCUUGCAAGAAUUUGUUUGUGACACUUUGAUCCAUUCCAUUUUUUUUUUGUAUACUUCGUAACAAUUUUUUAAUGGAGAAGCCCAUGGAAUAUUAAGGUGAGAACGACCACAAUAAGUAGCUAAAUCCUCGUAAAUUUCUGACUGGCUACGCAGCGCAUAGAUGAUAGUGUCACCAACAAUGUUAACAAUCAAUUCUGUUGGAAUAAACUAUUCACAAUGUCUGGGUUUAACCAUGGUUUUAGACAAAAAAAAUUGCUAACAUGAACAUAUAUACGAGUGUCACCAACAAUGCUAACAUAUACAUAUACUCAUCAUUAUCUCCGGGUUUUGUUAUCUCAUAGAUGUUUAUCUAUUUAAAAUUCUGAGGGUAAGCUACAGGGUGGUGGACUAGUGGUCUUGAGGCAGUUUUUCCGUCAAUACGGACCCGGCUUCGAAACUCGCUGUGGCCACCCGGGCCCUCCCUGCUAAUUCCUGGGUGGAAUUAUGUGGCUGCUGCGGGCUUCGUGGGAUUAGUCGGUUGAUUUCGAUCGCCGGAUCCCCACGGAUACCAAAAAAAAAAGAGAAAAAACUUCUGAGGGCACCCGCCAGUGAUGAAAGAAUGUAAAUUUCUUGCCUCAAAAUAAUAUUAAAAAACAGAAAAAGUAUGAAAGAGAAGACACAAAAGAAGAGAAUCUAUUACUGAUAAAGAAACGUUUUCUCAGUGUUGAGAGAUCAACAUGCCAUUUGUCUCUUUUUUAUUAGUUCAGUUUGUUUUUUGACAAUAAAAUUAAAACAUAUAAUAAAUUAUUUUAAGAGUGUCAAUAUAAUAAUCAUAAGAAACGUUUCUAUAUACACCUUCACUAAUAUAAUACACCUUCACUAAUGAUGCUCUGACUAUGCUUGUAUUUAAGCAUACUAACUAAAUUUCCACCCGCACAACCGUGCGAGUAUAUAUUUUCACAUUUAUAUAUAUAGAUAUUUAUUUUACAUAAUUAUUAUAUAUUUUUAAUGUUACUCACAUAUUUAAAUGUUUGUAUAAUUAUGCCAAAUAUAAUAAUUUUAUAGUUUCAUGCUGUAAAUUAAAAUCAUCACAUAUAUAUGUUGCUUAUUAUAUAUUUGUCUUAUUGAAUUUGCGUUUGAUUACUAAACUAAAUUUUUUAAUACACGAAACAACAUAUAUGAAAAUAAUUUUGUAUUUAAUUUAUUAUAAUCAUGAUCCAUAAUUCAAAUCGUAAUAUUUUAAGUAAUGUUUAUUAAUUUUAUAUAAUAAAUUACUGUAUAUUAAAAAGUUUAAGAUAAGUUAAAUUUUUAUACAUGUAUUAUAUUGUUUACUAAUAUUAACCUGUUCUACCAGCAUAUUAUAUUUUUAGCAUAAACAUUUUAUAUUAAUGAAAAUAAAAUAUGUUAACUUAUCAAUUUAAAAUAAUUUUAUCAUAUUUUGUUCAAUAUAACAUUUUUAUUUUAAAAUGAUAGAUAUUAUUAUAAAAUUGAUAAAAUAGGAUAUAAUCUUAUUCUUUUAGUAACAUUUCAUUACUAAUUGCAAAAUUAGUUGAAAAUAUUUAUAUUCAAUUUAUGACAAUUAAGAUCUUAUUAUAAUCUAUUUCAAGAGAUUUGUUAGAAUUUUUUUUUUAAAAAAAUUAAAAGAUAUAAAAGAUAUUAUGAUUAAAGUAGUUAAAAAUAUUAUGUAUAUUAGCAUUAGUGAUAUACAUUUAAUAUAAAAUUUAAAUGAUGGUCCAAAUAAAAAUAUCAUUCAUAAAAAAAUCAUGAUUUUUAUUUUAUUAGAAAACAAAUUUGAAAAAAGUAAAAUUAAAAUAAAUAUUUAUUUCUAACAAAAUCUUUAAAAAUUAUUAGUAAAUGUAUUUGUGAAAUUAAUUAAUUUCAUUUUAUUUAAAUUUUCGUUUAUAAACGAAAACUAUAUUCAAUUUUAAUUUCUAAUUAUAUUUUAUGAUAAUUUAAAUUAAAACUAACUAAUUUUGAAAGUAAAUUUAAAAAGAUUCUAAGAAGAUUUUAAAAAGAUUUUGUUAGAAUAUUUUAAAUAUAUUCAUUUGUAUUUCAAAUAAAAAGAUAAAGAUAUUAAAAAAUAUAAUAAUGAACUUAUGUUAAAUAUGAUAUUUUCUAGGAAUGGUCCAAACUAAAAAAAUCACACAUGAAAAGAAGUCAUGACUUCUGUUUUAAUAUAUAAGAUAGAUCCUAAUAUUAAAUUUCACAACUAAUAAAAAUAAAGGAAUAAGUUGCCAAACUAGGCAAUAGUAAUAACUCAUUUUCCAUAAUGAAAAGAUUAAAAUCAUUUUAAAUUUUACAUUGAAGUAUAAACCCAAGAAAAGAAAGAAAUACCAUAAAAAAAUUCACACAAAAAAAAAUUAAUUAUUUUUGGGAAUGUUAGGAAAUACAUUAUUUUUGGCAACUUAUAUAAUCUCACACAAAAGCAAAAUUAGUUAGUCAUUUAGUACUUGAUGAAAAAUAUUAAUUUAAACCACAAAAAGAACUCGUACGUUUUAUAAUUAGUAGUUUGCAGUAAAUCUUUUCAUUAUUAUAAAACUUUUCUUAACGAUAAAUCUUCUUAUUAUAUUAAGAUGGUGGAACUCGAGGCGAAUAUAAAACUAAACUUAGUGUCCAGUGUCCACCAAUGGAGAGCUCAUAUACUGACAUAAGCAGCACAAUCAUCGUCAGCAUUGACUAGAGGAAAUCGAUCUUCUUCCUUCUUCAUUAACGAUCGUUGUCUUCCUUUGCUGAAUCAGAUCGCUCCGUUGCUGUUCUUUCAUGCAGUUAGAUCACAGUCAGGUUGUUUCUUGCUAGAUUACAUGGUCCUCUUUGACAUUUCUGAUAAUUUAUUUCGCCUUUAACUUACGUUCAUCCUUUGAUAUCUCUCAUUUGGAGGAUUAACUUGAUUUUUAGUUUGACGUUAACGAGUUUUGGUGACUAUCAACCGUAUAGUUAUUAAAAGGAUUAGUCGACGUUGAGUUGACUUCUGGAUACAGAGCUUUGGUUUGAUUGAUUAUCAAUAACUUGUGUAAUAGCAUUCAUAUUUCAGAUAGAGGCUAAUUUGUUUUUUCUUUCUCUUGUUUGCUUGAAGAACUUAUAACUAAAAAGGUUAUAUGCGAACUUACUUGUACAACCACUUUGCAUGCAGAAGGAAGAGGGAAAAAACAUAGUCAAGAUGACAGUUAGUGGAGAUAACUCGGAAACUAUAGGUAUUGCUCCAACCGAAAUGAUUUUUGAGCCGAUUUUGGAGGAUGGAGUUUUCCGGUUUGACUGUUCCGUGGAGCAUAGGAAAGCUGCAUUUCCAAGUGUUUCAUUUAAAAACAUCAAAGACAGGGAAGUUCCGGUUAUAAGUCACAAUGUUCCAGCAUAUACUCCUACUUGUGUUUCUCUUGAGGAGAAGCAAGUUGUUACUUUUGAGGUUAUAAGCGUCUUCUAAAACUUAUUUUACAAUGUUAAUUUUGACAUGAUCCAAGAACAUACCAGUAUUUCGGUACUUAAUUGUAACUUGUGAUGCAGUUUCCUCCUGGCACGUCGUUUUAUGGAACGGGAGAAGUUGGUGGCGAGUUGGAGAGAACAGGAAAACGGGUCAGUCAUUCUCUUUUGCAUACAUCAUCUAUUUAUUUCACCUAACUAAUUUGGAAAAUAUAAAUGUUCAGGUGUUUACAUGGAACACUGAUGCAUGGGGAUAUGGCCCUGGAACCACCCCACUGUACCAGUCACAUCCAUGGGUGCUAGUUGUUCUUCCAACUGGAGAAACUCUAGGUGUUCUUGCUGAUACAACACAAAAGUGUGAGGUAUAUGAAUAGCUUAAUUUGUUGGUGCCACCUCUUUUACUACUGACCGGGCCCCUCGUUGCUAUGUAAUAUGUCUUCUUCAAUUAGAACAUAUUUUUGUUGUUGUCUAGAUUGAUCUGAGGAAAGAGGGUAUCAUAAGAAUAAUCGCUCCAACAUCAUAUCCAAUUAUCACAUUUGGUCCAUUCUCUUCACCCACUGCUGUCUUGGAGUCCCUGUCGCACGCCAUAGGUAAGUUUUUUAAUGGUUCUCCUUAAUCAUUUUUCGAACUCUUAAUCGUAUAUCAUCUGUUAACUUGGUUCAAUGACUAUAGAAAAGAUCACUAGUUAUGAUAAAUGUUUAAGCAAUUUAUAUGGUUUGAGACUAUUUUUUCGUCUUGACUUUUGUUCCUUAACAAGUAUUAUUCUGCUAUAAUACUUUAUACUUCUUGCAAAAGAAAAGUUAUGUACUUUCUUCUUUUUGGAUCAAAGUUAUAUACUUUCUAUUUAUCAGGAACUGUUUUCAUGCCUCCAAAGUGGGCCUUAGGCUACCACCAAUGCCGUUUUAGUUAUAUGUCAGAGAAGCGAGUGGCUGAGGUCAGUGUUUUUGUUUAUAUUCUGGUUGUUUGGUGAAUCUGAUGAAAUGAUGAAAGGUUAUAAGUGAUUGCAGAUAGCUCAAACAUUUCGUGACAAGAAGAUUCCUGCAGACGUGAUAUGGAUGGAUAUUGACUACAUGGACGGUUUUCGUUGUUUCACAUUCGACAAGGCAUUUUUUUUUGUUCUGGAUAUUUCAAGUAUAUUUUUACCAGUAGUUACCAUGGUAUGAAAUAAAAUUAAUAAUUUAUGGAAUAUAACGUUCAGGAACGUUUCCCGGAUCCUAGUGCUUUGGCAAACUAUCUUCAUAAUAAUGGUUUCAAAGCGGUAUGGAUGCUUGACCCUGGAAUAAAGAAAGAGGAAGGAUAUUCUGUCUACGAUAGUGGAAGCAAAGACGAUGUUUGGGUUAAACAAGCAGAUGGGAAGCCCUUCAUUGGUAUUUCACUUUGGUGUUAUGAUUUUCAUGCUAUCUUGUCUUGUUAUCUUGAUGUAUAUGCAGCAAAUUCCGGAAAUUUUAUGUUUGGUUUCAUUAGGUGAAGUAUGGCCUGGACCUUGCGUUUUCCCUGACUAUACAAAUUCCAAAACUCGGUCUUGGUGGGCUAGUUUAGUUAAAGACUUUAUAUCAAAUGGUGUUGAUGGUAUCUGGAACGAUAUGAAUGAGCCUGCAGUUUUCAACGUAAACUUUGUCUAACUUACUUUCAUCUUUUGUUAUUUUAUAGUCUGAAUCUUUUUCCAUUUUUCAUGUGUCCUUAUUUUGUCUAUGCGCAGACAGUGACAAAGACAAUGCCUGAGAACAAUAUUCACUGUGGAGAAGAUGAGCUUGGAGGUGUUCAAAACCACUCACACUACCACAACGUAUUUUUCUUGUUCUACUCAAUUUUAAAUUUUCCUAUGCAUUACUGCAUGUAUCACAUUAUCACAUUUGCAAUGAGUCCUUGCCGUUCUAGAUUAUCACAUUACAUAGUGGUUUUGUGUGUGUAAUAUAUAGAGUGAUAGACAGACAUACAGCUAGUACAAAUAUCUAUUAUUGCUACGACAAUUAUGAAUGUCUGUGUUGGUCUCUUAAUGUAUAUUUUAGCCAAAAUAUAAACAUUUUCUUCUUGCGGUAGCUGUCUUUUUGCAUGUUUUAGGUACAAUUCUAGGCAUUUGAAGUUAACACAUUGAAGAUUGUGUCACUGUCUAGGUCUAUGGGACUUUGAUGGCAAGGUCAACUUAUGAAGGGAUUGAGCUAGCUGAUAAGAAUAAGCGACCUUUUGUAUUGACAAGGGCUGGAUUCAUAGGGAGCCAGAGAUAUGCUGCUACUUGGACAGGAGAUAACCUUUCAACCUGGGAGCAUCUACAUAUGUCUAUAUCCAUGGUGCUUCAGCUGGUAAGAAUUUCAAGAGUUUGCUUCAUCUUUAUCACAACAUAAAACCAUUGACUGGAAUUAUCAUUCACAAUAAUUAGUAUUGAUCUAUUUUGUGUGACUAUUACGCCUAAAUAAUCUUGACAACUUAAAAAUUUAUAAACAUAAACAUUAACUAUAACUUUGCGCGGGUGUUCGGUUUCAUUUUUAUAUACGUAAAAAAGUUUUUCUACAUCGUAUGGUAAAUAUUCUUAACAUUAACCGUAUUUUCAAACGUUUGUAAAUCUAUUUUGGUUAAGAUUCGAUUAGAGAAAUCUAUAAUUUAAAUUAGGAAAAAACAAACAUACUUAAAUAGAUUCAAUAAAUAUCUUAAUGGCAUGAUAAAGUAAUAUAAUUUUGUAUUUCCCUUUUAAUAGAUUAGAUAACCGUCUUGUGUUCCUUAAGCUCCAAUGCUGCUUAUAACAUCAUACCUUUUUCUCACUUUAGUAGAGCUAGCCGCAUAAAUGAGUAAAAUAUGAUUUUGCUGGAAGGUUUCUCAUAUACGAUUGCUACAUUAUUUUUAACUAUGAUAUGUUAAAUUGCAUUCAGGGGCUUAGCGGUCAGCCCUUAUCAGGGCCAGAUAUAGGUGGCUUUGGUGGCAAUGCAACUCCGCGGCUAUUUGGACGUUGGAUGGGCGUUGGAGCUAUGUUUCCAUUCUGUCGUGGCCAUUCUGAGGUUGCCACUGAUGACCAUGAGCCAUGGUCUUUCGGAGGAGAGGUAUUGCUCCUACUAUAAGAAAGAUAUACACCUGAAAGUAUAACUUUUACAAGAUAUGCAUGCCAUCUUAUAAAGAAAGUCAACUUCUUGUUUUGAGAUUUUUAUUGUCACUUAUGAGCUACUGUCUUUUGAUUAGUGUGAGGAAGUCUGUCGUGCCGCAUUGAAGAGGCGCUACCAACUGUUACCACAUUUUUACACCCUAUUUUACAUUGCCCAUACAACUGGUGCUCCAGUUGCAGCUCCAAUCUUUUUCGCUGGUAGCUUUUUUUUUUUGUAAAAUAUUGUGUUCCAUCUCCUGAACUUUCGCAGUUAUAUAUUACUCUUCUCUAUAUGCAGAUCCGAAAGAUUUUAGACUAAGGACUGUUGAAAACGCCUUUCUCUUGGGUCCACUUCUCAUAUAUGCAAGGUUUUCUUCUCCCUAUUCAGAGUCAUUGCUUUCCUUUCCAAAAGCUUGUCAUGACUUCACUAUGUUAUGUGAUAUAUGUUCUGAUUUUGGCCACUCGAUUGAAGUGUUUAAUGCUAUUAGAGUGAAUUAUUGAAACAAGUGAUCAGAUAUGUUGAGCAUAAUGAAUAACAACUUAUGAGGUGUUGCACAAUUGAAUAACAACACUGUCAUCAGAAAUUUUCACCUUAUUUGUUUUUCUUUUAGUCAUUGUAACUGUAGAAGCUUUCCGGAAAAAUGUUUAUUCAUUAUUUUGAGUUGUUCAGUAGUUUAAUCUGCAAAGCAUAUACUCAUCAAGUUGUCUUUGGUUUGUUCUAUCAUUGUCUAGCACUUUAAAUAAUCAGGGAUCCCAUGAAUUGCAUCACAUAAUUCCCAAAGGAACUUGGCUAAGGUUUGAUUUUGAAGAUUCACAUCCGGUAUGAUUGCUGAUAGUUCUGACUCUCUCUCCUCUUCUUUCAUUGGUAAAUAACUUAGAUUUUUGUUUUAUGAUUUCCAAAUGUUGUUUACUCGUUUUUUGUGUCAGGAUUUACCGACAUUAUAUUUACGAGGUGGAUCCAUUAUAUCAGUGGCUCCUCCACAUCUACAUGUUGGGGAGUUUACUCUGUCAGAUGACUUGACCCUACUUGUGUCAUUAGAUGAAAAUGGUAAGUUUAGCUUAUGAUCCAGAUAGAGGAGAUCUGCUUUUGGCCUAGGCUAUGCAAAAAUAGUAUAUUAAACUGCUGAUUCUCUCACGCCUUGAGCGGAAAUAAAUUAGUUUUUUAAAGAAAUUGAUAAAAUAGUUUUUUAGAGAUAAAUAUUUGGGAUUACAAUUUAGUUUUGUUUUUGACUUCUUGGUAUCAAAUUAUAUAGGUUGAGUUAUAGGAAAUAAAAGAACACCAUUUGAAUUUUUGUUUUAAUUUUGCUUUGAAUUUAUUAGUAAAUAAGCUAUUUCGUUAAUGGUAAUUUAUAUUUUUCAAAUCUGAUAAGUAAAUGAGAGAACUAUAUUCCGAAAACUCAAUUGUAAAUAAUAGUAUAGAUUUGUUCAUCUUGCAACUUAUUACUGUUGUCAAUCUCUUCUAUGUCAGGCAAAGCUGAAGGCCUCUUGUUUGAGGAUGAUGGAGAUGGAUAUGGCUACACUAAAGGAAAAUUUCUAAUCACAAACUACAUUGCUGAGAAGCAUUCGUCCAUUGUUACUGUUAAGGUUUCAAAAACUGAAGGAGAUUGGCAGAGGCCAAAGCGCCGUGUUCAUGUCCGGCUAUUACUAGGAGGCGGUGCAAUGGUACCGCUCUUUCUCUUGUUAAGAAAAUCUUGUGUGUAAAACUAUAAGUUCAAAAAAAGUGAAUAUAAAAUAAUGUUGAACAGCUUGAUGCUUGGGGAAUGGAUGGAGAGACUAUCAAGAUUAAUGUGCCUUCAGAACAUGAAGUUUCAGAAUUAAUAACCAAGAGCAAUGAGAGCUUCAAACUUCAUAUGGGUAAGUUUAAAUCUCAUCUUCUAAAUAUGCAUGCAGCUGCGUGUGUAAUCAGUUUUGUAACUAGUGAGAUGUAUUGCUUUUUGGUACCUUGUUACAUACUGAUGUACACUUCUUUCAGAAAAUAUAGCUGCUAGCCUCUAUCUUAGUAUGUGUGGCUCAUCAUUGUAGCCUUUUGAUAUUUAGCCAUCUGCAUGAAUUUGCGAACAUAUUCAUAAGAAAUAGCUAGACCCAAAUUCAAAUUUACAUAGUUAUUUGUGAACUUAUAAAUAAUGUCUUCAAUUUGUAUUAUUAAAAUGUAGAAAAUACAAAAUUGAUACCUGAGAAGGAAAUGCUACCUGGACAAAAGGGAAUGGAACUUUCAAGAAUCCCAAUUGAGCUGAACAAUGGCAAUUGGAAACUAAAUAUAAUUCCUUGGAUUGGUGGAAGGAUAUUAUCCAUGUCACAUGUUCCAUCAGGUAAUAAUUAGUUUUCUUUUUACAAGUAAAGCUUAUGAGAAAGGUUGUGUCCAUGAUUACUUACAAUUUUUGUUGAUUACAAUUUUCAGGAGUUCAAUGGCUUCAUAGCAGGAUAGAUAUCAAUGGCUAUGAAGAGUACAGCAGUACUGAGUACCGGUCAUCUGGAUGCACUGAGGAAUAUAAUAUCAUUGAGUAAGUUUACUUUGACAAUCUCUUUCACACAUACUUAUUCUUUUACGAGGCUGAAUCUUGAUAUGAAAUACAAUAGUGCAAAGAGUUCCCUUCUGCAUCAGUUUCUCAUGUUAUGGAAGGCAACGCUCUCUGCAUUAAUUUUAUUUAUGUUAAUCUGAACUGAUUGUUUCAUCUCAUGUAGGACGGAUUUAGAACAUGCAAGUGAAGAAGAAUCUCUUAUCUUAGAAGGUGAUGUAGGCGGUGGACUGGUUCUUCAGCGUAAAAUUAACAUACCUAGUGACAACCCCAACAUUCUUCGUAUUGCCUCUACCAUUGAAGCUCGAAGUGUCGGUGCUGGUUCUGGUGGAUAUUCAAGGUUUGUCUACUUGCUUCAAGCUUUCCUAACAUUAUUGCAAGGUUACAUAACCGUAGCAGUGAAACCGUUUAGUAAUCUUUGUUGUGUAAUUUAAGUAGAGUUUUCAGACAAUAGGUUGCUUGCAAUUCAUUGGAAGGUUCAUUUGAUGAUGGUUACUAAACGCUGCAGGCUGGCAUGCUUAAGAGUCCAUCCAACUUUCACUCUUUUUCAUCCAACCGAAUCAUUUGUGUCCUUCACAUCGAUUGAUGGAUUAAAGCAUGAGGUUUGGCCAGAUUCUGGAGAGCAAAUAUAUGAAGGAAACAACAUCCCACAUGGUAAGUAGUACCUGUACGCUCUUCAUAUUGUUCUCAUGUUUUAGUCAAUAGCUGCAGUAGAAACACUUGCGCUUUGAUGAAUAACAUAAAAAAAAAAAACACUAGCAAAAGGGUUGGUUUAAAACUGGUGGAAAACCUUUCUUUAUUGAUCAACAGUAGUUGUUUGGCAAAUGAAUAACUUUCCAAACAUAUCGAGCAUGUAACAUAUGUUUAAACUCAUACUCCUAUGUUUCUGUUUUCUAGGUAAAUGGAUGCUGGUGGACAAGAGCCUCAAUCUACAGCUGGUAAACAUGUUCGACGUUAGUCAGGUUGUCAAAUGUAUUGUCAACUGGGACAGUGGAACGGUUAACUUGGAGCUAUGGUCUGAGGACCGACCAGUUUCCAAGGAAUCUCCUCUGGAAAUAGAGCAUGAAUAUGAAGUCACAAGUUUCCCAUAAUUGUACUGCAAAUGUGUUUAACUCAUUUCCUCAAUUCGCAAGAAUCUACUUCGCUAGUUGUACUUGGGUCGUUCAGUUUUCUAUGCACUAAUAAGCGAAUCAGCAGUGUUUGUUUAAGCAUAUAAAACAUAUUAACAUAUAUAAGUACUACUAGGUUAAGACCCGCGCCUUGCACGGAAUGAAUAUUAUAUAUAAAUUAUUUUUAAGUAUAAUAUAUAUUUUUUACAUAUUAUGAAAUAAUAAAUAUAUAUUGAAUAAUUAAAAAUUUUAGUAACUAUUACAUAUAUAAUUAAAUUGGUACAAAUACUUAAAUAAAUUUUAUUAAUCCAGACAAACACUUUUUCUAUUUUAUAUGUUAUAAAAUUAAGUUUAAAUGAUAUUAACAUAGAUAUAUAGUACAUUUUUAAUAUUUACAUCUGUUAAAAAAUAUUUUAUACUCAUAUUAUUUUUGAUUGUUUUAUUUCCGUAUAACAAAAAUUUUAAAUCAAUGAUAACAAUAAAAAAUUUGUGGGAUGUUUAAUAGUUUUAGUAAUUUCUAAUUUUAAAAACAUUCAAUGCAAAGUUUAAAAUCUAAAUAUUAAUUUGUCAAUAAUUGUUCAAAUUUUCUAUCAAAAAUAUUCAAAGCAAAUUCGAAAUUAAAAUACAUAUGUAUUUUAUAUGGUAUAUAAUUUAUUAUAAAAAAUAUUAAUAUGCAUAUAUAAAAUAUUUAUUAAAUAAGAUUUCAUACUUAUGUAAUUUUGCAAUCAUUGUAUCUUGUUAUAACAUAAAUUUUAAACCAUGGAUCACAAAAAUUUCAAUGUGAAAUUUUUAACAACUUUAUUCAUUUAUAUUCAUUUUUAAAAAUUCAAAAUAUAACAUAUAUGAAAAAAAUCUAAAUUUUUAUUAUAUAGUUAAUGUGGUUGUUUAAUUUAUUUUAAUAAGUUAAAAUUGUAAAAAAAAUGAUAGAGAAUAGGCUAAUUUUUAUCAAAUAUUUAUUAUUCAAAAUCAUUAAUUGUCAUAUAUACUUUAGCCACAUUAGGUAAUUCCAUGAUUUUUAUUUAAGAAAACAAUGAAUAACAUUUAUGAUUAAUUUAUGGUUAGUUUAAUAAAAAGCUUAUUAUAUAUUUAUAUGGACCAACAUAUUUUCCUAAGGAUUCUUAGAAUGAUUGUGGUGAUGACAUGUGGCUACAAAAAUAUGUUGUAAUGCUUCUCUUUUAAUAUAUAGGGGAUUAGAAGUAGUGGGAUACUUUGAACCGUACUUUGCUGGCAUGAAUAAAUAUGAGAAAUCUUUUUAUUACUAGGUGAUAAACCGCGCUCUGCGCAGAACGAGUGACCAAAAGAAUUUUUUUUUUUAAUUUAUAUAUAUUAAAAAAUUUAUAUAUGGAACAAAAGUGUGAAUGUAUAUAUAAUGUAAGCUUAAGUGUUUUUUUGAAAAAAAAAUUGUGUGUAAUUGGUUAUGUGUAAAUUAGAUUGAUGUUAUUUAAAAAAUAGGUUUAAUAGUAUGCAAUAACUUUUAUUAAUUUAUUAUGAAUUUAAGACAAAACAAAACAUAGGAAAUAGAAUUAUUGAUUUCAUAAUAAAAAAAAUAUGAUAUAACAUUCAAAGAAACAUAUAUAAUAGAAAAAUAAAAUAUGAUAGAAACAAACUUUAAAGAAACAAAUAAAAAGGGGUAUAGUGAGUCAAUGAAUUGUAGAAGGAGUAUAUUUAUAUUAAGAAAUCAUUGCCCAUGUGGUUAAUGAAACAUAAAAUAAUCACCGUAAUUAAAGAAAAUAUUACAUAUUUGAUUUCACGUAACUUGCGCUCCAAUCGUAAUCGCAACUUACCUUAAUUUUGUAAAUAGUUAAAUCAAACUUCCUUUAUAUGACACAAUUAAUAAUAAUAAUAAAACUCAUGAUUAUUAAUUAAUUACAAUAAUUUGAAUGCAUAAUCUAACUUCCUUAUAUACAAAAGUUAAGUUGUUGUUUCCAAUUUUGUAACCAUAAUCGACGUUAUAUUAUUACAAAAAAUGAUCAAAAAUAAUGGUCCACGCCUUGUUACCAUUUGUAAUUUAAAAAUAUAUCAAAGUUAUUAGAAGUUUCCUUUUAACAAUCAUUAAUCACGGUUGUGCUCGUAAAUCAUGUUUCUUUAAUAUCACCCAGAUUUGAAUUUGUAUUUUUUUUAAUUCAUGCUAUUAGACAACGUGAUUUCGUAACAAUCAUUAAAUGUGAUAAGUCCUUAAACAGAAUUAUACAGGUCAUCGUGAUUUUGUUAUAGUUAGACAUUUAAUUAAUUUGUAGACACUAUAAUUAGCCAUUUUUCUUGAAUUAGACUAUAUGUAGACAUUAUACUUAGAUUGUGUCUAACUAUCUAUAAAAUGCUAUACAAUAUAUAUAAUUGUAUAACUAUAUAUAAAAUGGUAUACAAUAUUUUUGUCUCAAUCUAUUUAACUUGAUCAUAGAUAUUAUAAUUUUAACGGUAAUAUUUUGUUACAUGAAAUCCGAUAUAUAUACACAUAAUGGUAUAAUCCGAAACAUCAUGAUUAUAAAUUGGUCAUGUGCAUAUAUAUAUAUAUAUAUAUCUCUUUUAUUUAACUAUUUAACUUUAAGAAGUAUAAUUUAUAACACGUAUAUUACCAAAAAAUUGUUAUCUCAUAUAUAAGUAACUUUGUAAGUAUAGGAAAUAAUAAUAAUAAUAAUAAUAAUAACAACGCAUUAAACAUGAACGUCAAUGUUUUGUUCGUCAUUGUAAUGAAAAAAAAAACAUAUAUUAUAUUAGUAAAGUUAUAAUCUAAUGAUCAAUGGCAAGUAAUGGCAAUUAUUGUAAUUAGUCUAGUUAACAAAGGAUUUUUAAAUAUAGGGUAUGAGAGAGCUUGUGGUGAUGCCACAUAGGAAAUGGCAAUUUUGAUAAUAACACAUCAACUUAAGGUUAGUUAUCUAUAAUGUUCCUCAAAUAAUAUAAAAGAGAUAUUUAAGAUGAUAAUAAUAUGAAAAAGAAAAUGAUAGUGGAAAUAAUCGUGAGUAAUAAAAAGGAAAAAUUGGAUAAAUAGGACACUUUGAACUUGGAUUUGUCACAUUAGGAUUUCUAGAAGAUAUUUUAGGAAAAUAGGAUUUUAGAUCUUGUAAAAUACCAAAGUACCCUUAAUUUACCAAUUAUGUUGAAUUUAAAUUAUAAAUUAUAAUAAUUUUCGUAAUAGAUUUUAAUGUUAAAAUUAAAAUCUAUAAAAAUUAAAAAAUAAAAAAAACACUAAAUGGGAAAAAAGGAGACGCGGGAUGCCGCAAACCUAAUUCCCCUUUCUCUUUGUCUUCUCCGUCGUAGACUCGUCGCUCUCCCACGGCGAUUUAGGGUUCAACGGUGAGAAGCUCUGUUCUUCGUCGGUGUUUCAUCAGCCCGUGGUCUCUACUCUCGUCUCCGUCACCAUCCUUUUCGAUCUCACUGAAGACACAACGGCUGCGAAUCGUUCUUCCUCUUCGUCGGGUCAAAUCGAUUUUCGAAGUGUUCUUCCAUCAAUUUCGCCUCUCAAUCUCACAAUUCUUCACAGAAGGUAUUGGAUUUCAUCUAUAGAUUCUCAUAUUAAACGAAAUCGAAGUGUUCUUCCAUUAAAGCUUGAUUUUUUUUUAAAAUGAUUUGCCGUGUUUCUUAAAAUAAUUUUGUUUCACGGAUUGGUUGAUAUUAUUGAAACCUUUACAUGUGUGAUGAUAUUGAAACCUUUACAUGUUGAACUAAUAAUUUUGUCACGGUUUGUAGCUAUGUCUGAGGAGCUACCGAAGAGGCUUUUUAAGGAGGGCGAGGAGCCCCGAGUUACUCAGAUCAACAACAACUGCAGGAUCGACUACAUAAUCCGAAAGUUCCAAGCGUGGCUGCCAAAGGAGUUGGAUGUCGUGAAGAAAGACCCAGUUUUUCAUCAGAUUUUUAAGCUCCAUGAGAAUGGUCUUGGAUACUCUGCGAGGGUGAUACACAGCUUCUUGUGUAGGGAGCUGGUGACUUUCUUACAGCACGAGCUAUGGUUUGUCUUUGCGAGGAGACCGCUUCGAUUCUCAUUGCAAGAGUUCCACGCCGUAACCGGGUUUGAAUGCGAUACUCACAUUUCGAUUGAGGAGUUUGAAGAGUGGAAAUAUGAUGGUGGUUUCUGGAGCAAGGUUUUGAGGAGAAAAGAUGGAACAAUUACACUCUUCAACCUGUGGACUAAGGACAAGGAAGCUGUAAAGAAAUGGAAGAAUGCAGAUCGCAUACGUCUUAUCUACUUGGCGAUCAUUCUUUGUGUGGUAUUGGCGAGAGAUGAGAAGGCUAAUAUCCCCCUGAAGUACAUCGCGGUGGUCAUGGAUCUUGACAGAGUUCGAAGGUAUCCUUGGGGAGUUGCUGCUUAUGACCUUCUCUGCAAAUCCAUAGCCAAAAAUCGUUCCCAACUGAAGGAAAAGACCACUAGCUAUGUCUUGGAUGGCUUCUCAUACGCCUUGCAGAUUUGGGCAAUGGAAGCGGUGCCAAAAAUCGGGAAGCUUUGUGGAAAAAAGCUGGAUAAGGGUUUCAAGGACGGUCCUAGAUGCAUAAACUGGAUGGGAGCUGCGAAGGUGUCAUAUGAGGAGAUCAUUCGCUUGGAGGAGAUUAUUACACCCAAGGUAAUUUUAUCUAUUUAUGACGACUCUUUCCGGUUUGAAAUGAGUAGUUAGUAUCUAACUGUAUUUCCCUGUCUUGUGUAGGAUGACAUCUACCCAUACAUCUCAUGGACAGGAAAUUAUGAUGUUGUCAAAGCUCAGGCGUUUCGCAGAGAUGAUGAUGUGGAGGAUGACAGAAUCAAGGUUCUGAUGGAGAUGAUAAAGAAGGGGCAUGAUUUUAGUGAGCAUGUUUGGGAAACUGAAGAAAAUGAAGUGAUUUCUUUAUCUCUCGAUGACGAAUCAGCUGUGAAUGAUGAAGCAAGCGUGAAUGUUGAAGCAGCCGAGAGUGAUGACGACUUUCAGACUCCGAAAGGAUCAAAAAACGUUGGUUCUAGAUCAAAGAGGGGUAAAAAGAGGCUUCCCGAUCGUGGUAUGGAGAAGAGAAAGCAUAAGGUUCUCGCAAGUGGCGCAAAGCAAGCUCCUUUUAAUGAAGACAUGAAGGCUUUUAUGACACAGUUGUUUGAGCACAACUUCUCUGGAAUGGAACAAAGGAUACAGAAACAGAUGGCCGAGACAUUUGAGCAGAUGCGGACAGAGCUUAAACAAUCACGUAAGGAAGCCAGCGUUGAAGUUGAGCUUGGAGAGCCUUCACCGACAAAGCCAUCGACGAGCCAGGCACCGUUGAGGAGGUCCACACGCGGGGUAAACAAACACUAGUCUUCACCAUCCUCUUCAAUGUUAUUUUGUCUUGUUUAAGUUCGUGGUUUGCGUGUCUGUUUGUUUUAUUGGCAUCUAAGUUAUCGGCCUGAAUUUUGUUGUACUUUAUAAGGUCUCGGUUUGUAUGUGUGCUUGGUGUGUAAGUGUUCUUGGUUUGUAAGUGUCUUGUUUGAACUUAUGUAAUGGUCUGGAACUUUUAUGUAAAAUAAUUAUUAAUGAUAAUGUAUUUUGGUAUCUCAAUUAUUGCUUAUUUGUCAUGAAAUAACAGGAUGGUUCCGAGACUACAUUCGAUGUGAAUUAUAGUGAAGCAGAUGAUUUGGGUCGCGGGAUAGGUACACAAGGGGUUGAAGGGCUUUCUCAGACGUCGUAUGUGCCAGGCUUUGAUCCAUCUCAGGACAAAAAAGAAGAAGACUGGUGGACUCCAAUGACUUCGGUCCGAGGUUCAGUGGAUAAUCCAGUAAAGAAAGAAAAGACAGAGAUGAAUACAGCUCCACCGCCGUCACAGUGGGAGAAAUGGUGCAAAAGAAAAGGUCAUGGACUUCAGCUUAGCGAUUCACCAUUGCCAGAAGAUGCUUCUCCGCAGGCGUCACUUUAUUAUAUCUCCGAAGAGUCAUGGAAAGGAUUCACGGAAUGGGCAUUAAAGCCUAUACCUUUAACAAUUGGUCCUACAUGCUUUAAUUUGUCUGUAGCUACAAGAGUAGUAAGUGCUGGAAAAUGGCUUGGAAACGAGGUAAUGAAUCUUGUACUAACCUUUAGUGAAUUUAUCUUCCUAACACUUCUUAUAUGCUAUAUUACUUAACUUUCAUUGUAAAUUUUUAGGAGAUGGAUGCGGUUAUGUUUAUAUGGCGUGUGAACACUACAUUGAAUCGUUGGGCCCCUCGGCGUGUUGCUUUCAUGAGUGCUAUGUUUUGCCUCCAAGUAGACGCUGCAUACAAGAAGUUUUUACCAAACAAAAAAGCCUAUCAAUUGCCUGAUUUCCUUCUUGGGUACGGCAGAGGAGAGCUUCCAUCUCAUGGGCGGACUGAUCUAGUUUGGGGUGUUGAUGUUGAUCGACUCUACUUUCCUCUGUUUGUAAAUGGUAACCAUUCAGUUCUUUUUACAUCCUAGUAUACAUUUCUUCGUUUACAAAUUUUUGUGGACACGAACGCAGGUAAUCACUGGGUUGGUGUCUGUGUAAACAUCAUUGAAAGAAAAGUAGAAGUCUUUGAUUGCGGUCGGGGAAAGAACAGACAGUACGUUGAGAAGUUUGCUGCUAUCAUUCCUAGGAUUGUGAAGUCCGUUGCACCACAAGAAAGACAGAAGCAGCUACUCCUCUCAUCAUAUUCUAUCGUGGAUGUGCCUAUGAAGUUGAGAUUGAAUAAAAGUUGUUGUGAUUGCGGUGCAUACGCUUUGAAGCACUUGGAAUGCUCGCUGCUUGGUCUUGACGUCAGUUUAGUGGAUGAUGAAAUCAUUAUGGGUUGUAGACAGAAGAUUGGAGUGGACUUAUGGGAGGCUGCACACGACCCCAUCUUUGCUGAGGUUAUGACACGAUAUGUGCCUUCACCAUGGGAGAGGUCUGAGGUCUUUGACCUGGAGGAUGAUUGAUUAACUGUGAUUUUAGUAGUUUGGUUUGUUAGAAUUAGAAAACAACUUUGGCUUUGGUAUUUGAUUUGAAUUAAGAAACAACUCUAGCUUUGAUUUUGUAUAAAUUAUGAAACAACCCUAUAAAGAACAAAAUCAUAAAAACUGAGGACCCAAACCCUAAACAAACCCUUAACUAAAACCAUAACCAUAGACAUACCCUAACCAAACCCUUAACUUAAACCAUAACCAUAGACAUACCCUAACCAAACCCUAAAACCAUAAUACAAUCAUGAUUCUUAAUCAUACCCUAAACAAACCCUAAAUCUGUAAUUCAUAGUCAAACCCUUAACCCUAAAUAAACUCUAAAACCAUAACCGUAGACAUACUCUAACCAAACCCUUAACUAAAACCAAAUACAAAUUAAUCCAACGCCUCAAACACACACCUAUUUAUUGAUUAUUUUUGUACAUUGGUCACUAUCUAAGUACGUCCGUCCACUAUGUUUGAUAGAUGUUUAAACACUAAUUUAGAGGGUUCAAAGACAAAGUUCUUGUGGUGUUAUCGAUAAAUUCAAAAUGAUUUUUUUCUGCUCUGCCUUAGCUAGAAUACGCGUUCUGGGAGUAUGAAACGACGUAGUUUUGGUUAUUUUUUUGACCUAAUCUCUUUUCUUCCUCAUUCUUCCUCGACAGAGAGAUUGCAGCGGCGAAAAUUUGGAGAUCGACUCCCUCAUGUCUUCAGUAAAUUCUUCAUCCACUACAAGAGAUCGCCUCGCGAAACAACGGGGAAUUCCCACAAGAUGCAAUUGCGGUGAGGCAGUGAAUCGUUUCACUUCAAAAACAAUUCAAAAUCCGGGAAGAUUAUUUCAUUGUUGUCCUUUGGGAUCUCAAAAGGUUAGUCAUGUUAUCAUAUAACUGUCUCGUUGUUGUCCGAUGAGAGUAGAAUUAGUCAAUCUAAUUGUGUAUUGGAUGUUACUGAUGAAGGACAAAACCCACUUGUUCAAAUGGACUGACAAGUCAGUUGUUGAGGAGAUUGAAGACUUCCAAGACCUGUUUGACGUGUUACUCGUUGACAAUUCCGAGUUUCAGAAAUCAGUGAGAGCUGGUGAGGCCAUGAUGACACGCCAUGAGAGUAGAAUUCAAGAGAUGGAAGAUGCAAUGUGCCAUUGCGAAGAGAAGACCUUGGAAUGCAUUAGGGAACUUAGGGGCAUAAAAGCUUUGUUUGUGUGUUGUUUGGUGAUGGUCUUCUUGUACCAUAUCUAUGCAUGAUGUUCAACUACUUUUAUGUGCUUCCUCAACUUGUUGUUUCUUAUUUUCAAAGAAGUUAAGACCAUGUUUCUUGUUAUUUCGAGGUGAUCAUCAUCUACUGAAACGAAUUAUUUUGCAAUUACUUUGAUUGUUACUAGAAUAAAUCGAUUUGUCUCUAUAGUUUAGCAAAUACCAAAUUGUCAAAUAGGUUCUUAAACAGAAGAUCAAAUUGUUUCAAAAGCAAUAAAGAAAAAAACAGAGACAGAUGCAGACACAUAACAAACUAGAUGGGUAAAUCGCAUGUUCCUCUCUUGUGUCCUUCAGUUCCACAACGGCUACACUUAUGCUUUUUAUUCUUCUUUGAUCCUUGAGAAGAUGCGAUCUUGUCUUCUACUGAUUCAUACCUUCUCUUUACUGGUCGACCAGCACUCUUUCUUGUCUUUGGUGGUAAAACCUUUGCAAGUUUAACCUCAGCAGGGACAUUCCAUUCUGACUCUACAACUGCUAUUGGAUUAAUGGAAUCUGCAUAGGCGGUUCUCCACGCUGCAGUGCUGUAUAAGGCGUCAGUGAAUCUGUGCACUUCCAUACCUGUCAAUCUCAAAAAAAACUUGAUCAAUAUGAAGUCUAUAUGAUGAAAAUCCCGAAAAUAAAUAAUUCUCAAGUAUUCAUGUGUUUAUACUUCCAUACCUCGUGAAUAAAUUGCAGGAAUGGCGUGUCGGCAAGGAAUUUUUCCUAUAUCAUACUUACCACAUGUGCAUGUUCUUCUUUCCAAAUCAACAUGACAAUCAUAUAUGUCUCCUUUUACAACCGAUCUGAAGUUGUCAACCUUGUAAACCUGGAAUCCUUUUGCCUUCACAAUUCUCCUAUCAAUCUUUCUCUCCACCUUAGCGGUUAAAGGAUCUAGAUGCUUUGAGCUUAACAAGCGACGCUCAUAGAACCAUCGAGUCAACAGUUCUCUUAUACUAUCAAGCAAAGGAAUAACCGGAUAUUCUCUAGGUAUUCUAAGAACUGAAUUUAUAGACUCUGCAGGGUUCGUGGUCCUAAUGUCAUACCUGGAACCAGGGAAGAGAGAACGAGCCCAUUUGCGCACAUCAGCCUCCCGUAGAUAUCUUCCAAGCUCAGGACUCAUAUCAAAAAUUUCGGUGAUACGUUCUUGAAAUUCAGUGUAUCUAUAUGCCCGUGAAGCCUUUUCUACCAACGCAGUCAAUCCUUUUGUCUUGAAAAAUGAGACCACAUUGGUCAAUAAGUGAUGAAUGCAAAUUCCAUGUGCUGAUCGAGGGUAGACAGUCCCAAUAGCUUUAGAAAUAGACGCAUUUCUAUCUGAGACAAAAGCUAGGUCUUGACAAUCAGCAAUAACCACUUUCAACUGUCUGAAGAACCACCCCCAAGAAUCGUCAUUCUCUGAAUCAACAACCCCAAAUGCAAUCGGAUACAAAUUAGAGUUACCAUCUACAGCAGUAGCAACAAGAAGUGUCCCUUUGUAUUUAUUUUUCAGAAAAGUUCCGUCAACAACAAUCACCCUUCGCAUUGCAUUGUAGAAUCCUCUAACUGAUUGCCCAAAUGACAUAAAUAGAUACAUGAAUCUUCCUUUCUCAUUAGUUUCAUAGUGCGUAUGCGUACCAGGAUUUGCUUCUUUAAUCAUAUGCAGAUAUGCUGGUAUUUUAGAGUAACUGCGAUCUGGUAUACCUCUAGCAGCUGCAAUAGCAAACUCACGAGCUUCCCAAGCGUGCCAAUAAGUAAUCUCACAACUAUGCUCCAUUCUCAUAAAUUGAAUGAUGUCAUUCGGUUUUGGGCCAUCGUUUGCAUCAUCAAAUCGAUGUUGUAUCAGAGUCCCAAUUGUUCUUGCUGAUGCUGUUUUUCCGAAUUUCCUUUUCUUUGAAGGAGCACAUGAAUGUCUUCCAUCACAUUGGUUGAUCAUGAAAUAUGUAGACCCAUCUAUUCCUUCUGCACGCACAGUCCAGUUGCACAAUGCAUCUUUACAUCGAAUAUACCACCAUUUUCUCGUGGAUUUGAUAACAGUGUAAUCGAAAUUAUUCUUCAUCGCUAAAAUUUCCAUUGUUGCCUUCAGAACCCCUUUACUUGUGAAAAUUUGAUCCUUCUUCACGAAGUCUCCUCUCCAAGCUCGACCAUCCUUAUCACUGUCUCCAUUGUUUUGAAAAAGUUCAAUGUUUUCACUCCUUAAAGGACCGCAACCAUCUGCAGCGACAUGAUUCGUUCUUUUAACAAAAGACUCCUUUGACGGCUUGACAAACUCUGCUCGAUUUAUCUCAGGAACUUCUUCAUCCUCAACAUUACUUGAAUCGCAAGGCUCCUUAUUCAAAUCGAUAUUGACUCGUUCCUUUUGAUUUACACCGGAAACAGAGAACAUCACACACAAGGUAGUAGACGAUUCCCUCUUUGCAUAGCCCACAAAAUUAGAUGCUUGCCGAUCAUUGGUGAUAAUAAUAGGAGGAUUCCCUUUUUGAUUCAACAACGAAUAACUGAACUCGGCAUUAAUGGCAUUAUGGUCCACCCCAUAAUCCUCACACACCAUUAUCUUGAGCUGCUUCAACGUAGUAGUAGUUGCUAAUGUUACCAUUCGACCACGCCUUUCUUUGUCUACCACGAAACUCCAGUCAUCACCGCGACUACACAUCCAUUCACCCGAUUUGACAUAGAUUAGAACCAUGUUGUAUUGAUAGAGAAAAGAGAGAUGAUUAUGUCGAUGAAGAAGAGAGAAACACAAAGAACGACGACAAAAGAUCGUGGGAGAAGGAGAAAAACGUGGGAGAAAAUAUUCUUGGAGAUAUUUAGGGAAGAUUUAGUUUAGAUUUAGGAAACAUCUUUAACCGAUUAUGGAAGUUUCCAUAUUUUUCGGAUUUCCUGUAGAAUGUAUAACCUAUGUAAGUCAGAACACAGUAGAGUAGAUGUGAAACAUAUUCUUCCCUAGGCGCCACAUAAGGUAAAAGGCAGACCACAUCAUGGCUCCAAAUAUAGAUAGGGUAUAUCAACGCAUUGUGGCUACAUGUCGUAACCAAGCUAAAGGUAUAAGAAAGACAUCUUUCUUGAUUAUAACGUAACGUAACCUAGCUUUGGUUAGAAUAUAUAAGAAAAGAUAGGUUACGUUGUAUACCAAAGAUAUAUCUAUGUAUAAACAUUAGUAGCCGAAUUCUAGACUAAGUAGAUGACCAGAAUGAGUAUUAUAACUGUAGCUAGAAGAUGAAAUAAAAUAUGAUUCAUUUUAAAAAAAAAACAAUUUAAACAUAUAUAUUGUCAUACUUAUGUUUCCAAUAGUUUUGAUAUUUUUUAACAUUUUUAAAAUUCAGUUUACUAUUUUUUCUAUUAAAAAGGGUAAAAUAUGUCCAGAAUUGUCCAAAAUAUCAGAAAUCCUAUUGUGACAAAUAAAAGUUCAAAGUGUCCCAUUUUUCCAAUUUUCCCUUAAUAUUAUAUAUUUAGCAAUAAUAACCAAUCUUUUCUUUACAAUUUCUCUUCAUCUUCCAAUAAGAGAGAGUAAAAGAGAAUCAAAACAUGGCUAAUCUUCGUCUAAUGAUCACUCUAAUCACCGUUUUGGUUUAUUUACUUCCGAGCUUUGCUAAAUCGUCAGAAAGCACUAAAGUUAUUACUCUACCUAAGUCCCUAAACCUCACCCUCCUCACCGAUCCUUCAACCAUCUCCACCGCCUCUCACGAUUACGGAAACGUUACCACCGUGACACCCGGCGGCGUCCUCUGCCCUUCCUCCUCCGCCGAGAUAUCCCGUCUCCUACGCUACGCCGCCAACGGAGAGACUAUAUUCCAAGUGGCGGCUCGCGGCCAAGGCCACUCCUUAAACGGCCAAGCCUCCGUAUCAGGUGGAGUGGUUAUCAACAUGACGUGUCUCGCUGACAUAACUGUUUCAGAAGACAAAGAGUAUGCUGACGUGGCGGGCGGGACGUUAUGGGUGGAUGUGCUUAGAGAGACGGCGGAGCAAGGCGUUUCGCCGGUUUCUUGGACGGAUUAUUUGCAUAUUAGCGUCGGAGGAACGCUGUCGAAUGCUGGAAUCGGCGGUCAAAUGUUUAGAAACGGUCCUCAAAUUAGUAACGUCCUUGAGUUGGACGUUAUAACUGGUACGCAAACGCAAAAAAUUCUAUAUAUUAUAUACUUAUUAGGUGUAGCAUAUUUCAUGUUUUUAUAGUUCUAUACUACACUUUUUGCACCACACGCAAUGGAAUCUUCGAAACAUAAAAUGUGUAAUGCAUCUAGCUAAGAUACAUCUUUAAUUAAUGACUAGUUUGGCCACUAUUCGCAAUUAGUAGUAUCUCUUGCAUGACGCAUGUAAAUGGAACAUUUUGCAUUUUGGAGAUUUUUGUUGGCUUUCAGUUUUCUCCAACUAUGAAUGAUAUUUUGUCUAUUUACUAAUAAUUCAAACAUCAUCAUUACGUCAGGUUUCAAUGAAUUUGAGCAUUGAACAUAAUUAGAAAUAUAUAUAUAUAUAUAUAUAUAUUCGUAGUUUUUCCACCAUAUAUUAUUUCCAAGUAAAUAGCAAUAAUUAUUUCACCUGAUUUUUUUUAAAUGUUAAGUUGUGCUUAAUUAUUAUUAAGGACUUUUAUAUAUAUUUCAGGAAAAGGUGAAACGUUAGCAUGCUCGCCACAGUUAAAUCCAGAAUUAUUCUAUGGAGUAUUAGGAGGUUUGGGUCAAUUUGGAAUAAUAUCGAGAGCCAGAAUUGUUUUGAACCAUGCACCUAGAAGGGUAAGUACCAUCAGUUCUAACCUAAUAUUUGUGUCUAUUAAAACUACAAAUUUAUUCAACAUUCACUGAAGCUUUCAUGGUCAGUUUUAAAAUCAGUUAGAAAUUUCCCUUCAUUUUUUAAGAAAAUAGAAAAUUCAUUUAUUUUUGUACUUUAACACGCACUGAGUCAUUCCUGAGUUGGAAUUUCUUUGAAACAUUGCCAAACUAAAAACUAUUCAUAUGAUUUUAAUCUAGAUAAAAAAUAUCAGCUAUCAAAGAAAAAAAAUCACUUUAAGGACAGUAAGCCAAUCAUUUAUAUAUAUAAGCUUUUGUGUGUAUAUAACACUAAGUAGUAAUCCGCGUCAUGCGCAGAAUAAAAUAAUUGAUUAGAUUAUUUAUGUUACGUUGUAAUAAUAGAUUUGUCGUAUAGUUUUUCAAAAGAUGGAUAUUCAGAUAUCUAUUCAAAUUCAGUUGAUCUAUUCGGAUUUUAGAUUUUUAGAAUUAGAAAUUUAAAUAUGAUUCAGAUAUUUACAAAUUUUGGUUUGAAUUUGAUUUGGGUUUUGUUCGAAUCAUUGCAGAUUCUGUUUAGAUUCAAGUUCGAGUAUCCAUUUUAAUUAUGUAUUUUUUUAACAAAAGUUCAAAUAUACUUUAUCCUCAAAAUUCGAAAAUAAAAUAAUAUAAAACAUAAAAAUUUGAAUAAUGUAAGACUAAGUACUUCAAUUUACAUAAAAAUAGUGAGUGAAUACAUUAAAUUGUUUACGAUAGAGUUAAGAAAAUUAGUGUGUUAACACAUUAAUUGCUAAAUGACUGUGAGACUAACACGUAAGCAUUUUAAAGUUGAAAUGAAUGUGAAUCUAACACAUGUCAAUGUGUGUGUGAACACAUUUAUUGCAAAUACUUCUCUUUAAGUAUAUUGGAGAUUAAUAUUUACAUAACAAAAUCAUUAAGAAUAGUUAAUUUUUGUAUGACUUAUUGUUUAGUGUAAGGUAUUUGAAUGGAGUUUCGGAUAUUGGGGUCUAUAAUUGCCUAAUUGGUUACACAUUGGAUUACAUGUGAUAAAGAAGCAUUUCGUGACACAAAAAGAGUUAGAGACGUGUGGAUCAUAACUCCUACAAAUUUCUUAGAUGGUAGCCCAAAACUAUAAUUAGGUAUACAAUAAAUUUGGUACCAAUUAGGAAUAUAGUCAAAGGCUUAUUUUCGCAGUAAUUUGAACCAAAUCUAUGCGUUGAAUGAAAAAAUGAUUUGGCCUAUAUAUAUUUUAUUACAAUUUAUAAUCAUAGGACUUAAAAUAAUAAUAAUAAUAAUAAUCAUAGGCCUUAUUAUAGUCCAGUCUUGUCGUAUGUCAUGCAAAUCUAACUGAUAUCAAUAAAUAAUUCUUUUAUUGUAGUAUUUAAAAUAUGUGCAACUAAAUGGUUUUCUAUAUUGUGUGAGUGCUAAUUAAAUGAGAUUUUAUCAAAUGAAACUAUGUAGGCGAAAUGGUUUAAAAUGCUGUACAGUGAUUUCACAGCUUUUACAAAGGACCAAGAAAGUUUGAUAUCAAUGAACAAUGACACUGGAGUUGACUACGUAGAAGGUCAACUAUUGAUGUCAAACGGCAUCGUCGACACUUCCUUUUUCCCACCGUCUGAUCAAUCUAAAGUCGCUGAUUUAGUGAAAAACCAUAGUAUCAUCUAUGUUCUCGAAGUAGCCAAGUAUUAUGAUGAUCCCACUGUUCCCACCACUGGCCUGGUACAAACAAAUUUUACAUAUUCAUUCUAUGCGCAUAUUACAUAUUAUAAGAAAUUUAAAAGGAUCAUCACUGUAACAUAUUAUCAUAUCAUCGUCAAAUCAUGGCAUCAUCAUUUUGGUUUUAUAUGUCAGAAAAUACGGGUUCAUUGGAUCUUAAACUUUGUCACUGAGAUGCAGGGCAGGCAAUGAGUUUUUUUUUUUGUAAAUUUGGGAGCAUACAAAAAAUUUCUGGGAACUUUUUGCUAUGUAAUUUUUUCCAAAAUUUUUGGGGAUCUAAAACCAAUGUUUCGUUAGGAUUUGUCUAAGAUUGGUCCUGCUGAGAUGCAUCAUUAGUCGUAAGUGUAAUAACUGUGAAGAGACUUCAUAGAUUAUGAUAUCAGCUUGACCAUAUAAUUCUCUUAUUGGUUUUAGAAUGGUUAACAUUUAUAUGUUAUUAUUUAAUAAAUAUGAAUUGCAUUCUCAUAUUUGUAACAAGUUGCAUUAAUAUUAUUGGAAACUCACAUAAUUUUUUUAUAUGACUAUGGUUUUGUAACACAUCAUCAAUGAACAUUUGAACUGCACAUACGCAUAUAAAUCAUCAAAUAGAGCUUUAUGAUUCAUACCAAUCAAUUUGUUUAUUUUUGUAGGUGAUUGACAAGUUAACUAAAACCCUAAGUUACCUGCCCGGGUUUAUAUCAAUGCACGACGUGCCCUACUUUGAUUUUCUGAACCGUGUACAAGUUGAAGAAGAUAAACUCAGAUCUUUGGCUUUAUGGGAAGUCCCUCAUCCAUGGCUUAACCUCUAUGUCCCUAAAACUCAGAUACUAGAUUUCCAUAACGGUGUUGUAAAAGACAUUCUUCUCAAGCAGAACUCGACUUCUGGCGUUGCUCUCUUCUAUCCCACAAACCGGAAUAAGUAAGGUUAUUCAUACUAAUCUUCAAGAACAAGUAACUAGAUCUUGACAUAAUGUUUUUCUUGUUAUUAUUUAGAUGGGACAAUCGUAUGUCAGCGAUGAUACCAGAUGAAAAUGUUUUCUAUGUCGUGGGACUACUACAGUCAGCUAGCUCACAAAAUGUGCAAGAAGUGGAGAGUGUAAACGAGGCGAUCAUUAGGUUUUGCAAGGACUCGGAUAUUAAGAUUAAACAGUAUCUAAUGCAUUUCACCAGAAAAGAAGAUUGGGUUGGACAUUUUGGAUCUAAAUGGGGUGCUUUUUCGAAGAGGAAAGAUCUGUUUGAUCCAAAGAAACUAUUAUCUCCAGGGCAAGAUAUUUUUUGAUUCACUUAACUUAGAUAUGUAACCAGAAUAAGUAACGAAAAUAAGAUUUAUUAAUAGCAGAUCGAGACUACAGCCAAACAUGUCUAACCGGGGAAAUAUAUUUGGUUGUUGUCUUGUAGACUACUUAAUAUAUAUUUUAAACAACAAAUUAUUUUUAAUACAUUUUACUUUCUUCAAUAUUAUUUUGCUCAAUAUAAACAUGAUUAACCUUCAAAUAUAUAUAAACAUGAUUUCCCAUUCAUCCAUAUUUACAGAAUUUAAAUUUAACUGGUUUUGAGUUUUGACAAAAAAUAUAGCUUAAUCUGGUUUGUGCUACUUUGUUAUAGAGUUUUAAAUAAAAAAUAAUUUAGACUAGAACGUUUAUUCAACUAUAAACAUAAUAAUUAAUAUUGUGAUAGUGGAUGUUUCCUCUUGAAGGACACACUGAUUAAGCUUACAAUAUACCACUUGGAUGUUUUCUUUUUUGACCAAACCACUUGGAUGUUAUCCAUAAAUUAUGAAUCGUUCGUUCUCUCUCUUCUCUGGACAGAUUUUUUUCCUAUGGCUAUACGUUUUCGUUGUGUCAACAUAUCUUAUUUUGUUCGCUUGUAAAUGGAAGCUAGAAUGGAUCUUCAAUUUUGAAAUUAUUAUUAUUACUAGGGUCGGUGUCCGCGCUUCGCGCGGAUUACAUGCUUAAUAAAAGUCAGGUCAAUUAAAAUUUGGAGUUUUGAAGUUUCUGAGAGGGUAAAUUAAGUUUUGUUUAUUUUAUUAUGGGAAGAUGUUAGAAGCGGUGAUCAUUAUUUUUUUUUAAAACAACAGUAAGUUUGAAUAAUAAAUUGUUUUGAGGAAUUCACUAUUCGUAAUAAAUUGUUACGUCGAAUAAUAAGAAGUAAUGAUGGUUUACUUAGAAAAUGUAGAAUUUUAAUAUGUUGUUGUAUAAUUAAUACUGUUCAUUCUUUUUGAUAUAGUUGUAUAAAUCUUUGUUGUCGCUGUAUGAAUUUGUGAUUAGGAUUUCAGUUAUAAGUCUAAAAAUAUUAAAUUAUUUACUUUUAAAAUUUGCAAAAUAAUAUUAGAGAUUACAAAAUUAGCAAAAUAAUUCUGCAAUAUUAUGUUAUGCAAAACAAUAUUUAAUUCUAAACAACACAUUAUUCUGGGAUAUUUAAAAAUGUCGAAGAGGUUCCACAUGUUUCUUUAAUAAUAUGAUACCAAAAUACAUUUGGUUUAUUUCAUAUUAAUUAUUUUAAAAUAAAAAGCAUAUUCUACAUAAUAGGAAAAGCUACAUUUGCAAACAAUUAUAAUGAUGAAAUAUAUCUAUAAUAAUAAUGUAUAUAUUUGUUAUUAUUAGAGUUUUGGAUGAAAGUAUGAAAUUAAUAUAACAAUACUAAUAAUGUUUUUAUUCAAAAUGAAUUUCUAAUUUCAGAAUACCUCCUAGAGGUGGAGGAUCUUGGGAGGAUGGUUUGACCAUGGUGUUGUGAGAGAACUGUUAAUUUAACAAAAUGAAGAAUAUGAAAACAAAUAAUCUUCGCACUUUCUAAACCACUCCUUAAACAAAAGAAAUCACUUACACGGAUUACUUUUCAAAAGAAAGAAAAUGGCACAAAUAGAUAGGAAUGAAAAGCGAUGAGUGGAUGGUGAAAUUCUUCAAACUGUGAGGCGGUGGAUCUGUGAUUUUGAGAUUACAAUAGUUGAUGUUAUUUUGCAGGAAAUAUGUUUAAUGUCGACAGUCAUUUGACUUAAUGGCAUAAUAUAUUUUAUUUAAUUCUCAAUAAAUGCAUUAGAUAUUAUUUGACUCAUAAUUUACAGUCAAAUAUGUGACCACACAUAUAUAUUGACAACAUAUACGAAUCAGUAUCCAGCUAAUAUUACAUUUGCUUUAAUUACAUAAAGCCACUUUGUUAUGACCUGGCAUAUUGAUUGGUCAUGAUUAUUUUGCCUAUGUGGAUAGCCUUAGGAAGCUAGAAAUUAGCUUCUUUUAUAUAGUAGGAUUAUUAUUAUUAUUAUUAUUAUUAUUAUUAUUAUUAUUAUUAUUAUUAUCACCACUGUGCAUGGGCAUUUUACCUAGGCUAACAAAUUCAAACUCAAAAUCGAUCCGAAAGUAUCUGAACUGAAACCAAAUUGAGAAUUUACAAAUAUCUAGAUGUGUUCAAAAAUUUUCUAUCCAAAAGAACUAAAAAUGAAAAACAAGACUCAAACAAACCUAUAUCCAAAAAAACAACACGUAAAAACCGAUACAUAGCCGAUCUAAAAACAUAAAUACCAACAAUUAUGACUUUAUGUGUUCUAUUUUCUUAAUUUUAAAUUAUGAUUUAGUUGUAAUGAUUUUUUUGUUUGUACUUUUCAUUAUUAUUUUGUGACAUUCUAAAGUAAUAUGAAAUUUUAAAUGUCAAAUUUUGGAGUUCAAAGUUUAAUUUCAAUUAUUAAUAGUUUAUCCAAUGUUAUUUUAUAAAAUUUUAGAUAAAUUUCGACGAAUUUUGGAUAAAAGAACUGACCGAACUAAACUAUUUUUUGGGGUAUUUAUAGGUGUAAACUUUUUGGAACCGAACCAACUCAAAAGGAAGAGAAACCGAUCCAAGAUUUUACAAAUGUCUAGAUAAAUCCUAACCUCUAAGAUCCGAAGAAUCCGGACCCAAUUCUAACCCGAACCGUCAAGCCUAAUAUCACCACUGUUGCAUAGAAGUAUUGUCCUGAACCUUGGGUUAUACUAAAAAGUCAUUGCAGCUAUAAGAAGUUGUGACCCUUCACUUGUCUUCUGAUUAUCAUGACGCCUUAGAUUGAUUGUUUAAUCUUUAUGUGCUUUAUAUCGGUUGCACAUCUUAAUCGAAGUACAAGAUCUAAUUCAUGUCACAUCAGAUAAAAAAGAUUAGCUCACACUAAAUUACACGGGAGAGUGAAACCGAACCCAAUCCACAUUAAACCGAAAAAAAAAACUAAACCAAAAGUAGAAUAUUAUCCUUAACCGGAGGUGACUGAUCAUGAUUCAACUCCUGCAGCAGCAGCAGCAGCAACAACUGGAGCUGGUGCUUCAUCAUCUGUGCUCUCAGAAGAAACCAAAACUCGACCAGAAUCUUCUUCUUCCUCAGAUUCAGACUCCUUAUCUGCAGCUUCAUCAACGAUAAGCUUCUCUUUGAGCUUGGUCAUGAGCUCUUCUUGAACAGGUUCAUUCAGUCUCAGAAACUUCUUCAACGCCUCUUUCCCAUGGUAGUUCUUCCCGUUUAGAUUGUAGAACGUUCCGUUUUUGGCAAUGAACUUGUGCUUAAUGCUAAGCUCGAUUAUCUCCGUGACCUUGCAGAUUCCUUUCCCAAACUCAAGCUCAAACUGCGCUGUUCUAAACGGCGGUGCCAGUUUGUUCUUCACUAUCUUUACAGCAACUUGACUUCCUAUUGUCUGCACACACAAGUAUACAGUUUCAAAACACAAGCAGAUGCAGUAUGGUAGGUAUUUCAUAUUUGGAUACUUACAUCCUCGCCUUUCUUGACAAGUCCCACUCGCCUGAUAUUCAGACGCAUAGAAGCAUAAAACUUCAAGGCAUUCCCACCACAUGUUACUUCUGUUGGACCUCCAAAUCCUCCGAAUGUAGAAAGCUUUGCUCUCACCUGAACAGAAAACAAGAUACAUUCGCAUAAGAGGUACAACUUAUCUACAAAUCUCAGUUACACAAGUUAUAUACCUGAUUUAUAAAGAUGAGAAGUGUUUGGGACAACGACAAAGAGUGGCUUAGUUUACGCAAAGCUUGGCUCAUCAAUCUGGCUUGCAUAGCCAUAUGAGCAUCACCCAUCUCUCCCUCAAGUUCUCCUUUAGGUACAAGAGCAGCCACCUGUAGAAACAAAAUCACAAGAAACCGUGAGGAGAGAUCUAUAGAGCCGGGACCAUAAUCAUCAUCCAUUAGCUACCCUAAAAAUGAAUCACCUUACUUACACUGUCAACAACAAUCACAUCAACCGAACCGCUUCUGAUUAAAGUGUCAACAAGACUAAGGGCCUGUUCACCACAAUCAGGCUGUGAUAGAAGCAGAUUCUCUGUGUUUACACCAAUUGCCUUAGCAAGUGACGAGUCAAGAGCAUGCUCCGCAUCUACAAAUACACAGGUUCCUGUACAGCAAAGAAUCAUUUGUUAGAAUACAAUACGGUUCUGUAACAAACAUAGCAGAAGAGUUAAAUGAAAAAGGCAAUAACCUCCUUGUUUCUGUGCUUCAGCAAUAACAUGAAGUGCAAGCGUUGUUUUCCCAGAUGCUUCAGGACCAUAUAUCUCCACAACACGUCCCUAUAUUGAGUGUACAUAAGCAUAACAAUAAGAAGCUACCUAAACCUGAGAGUCCAGGACUCUUCAAAGGAUACACAGACCAAUCAAUCUAUGUACCACUAAAUGAACCAAUCUAAAUAACAAGAAGACAUAUUCUAGAGGAAAGAGUAAUAUCAUACCUUGGGGAGGCCACCAACUCCUAGUGCUACAUCGAGGGCAAAAGACCCGGUAGAGUAAACGGGGACAUCUCUAGGAGAAACAGCACGACCGAGCCACAUGAUGGAGCCUUUGCCAAAAGAACUGGUAAUCUGAUCAAGUGCUUGCUGAAGAGCAAUCUCCUUCUUCGACAUACCUUCCUCAGACGAUGCAUUUCCAUCAGACUUAGACUUCUUCUUAGCUUCAAAAAGAAACAAAAACAUUGCCUUGACUGUAAGAAGGACAGUGAGCCAAGCAAUCAGAAAAGUAAAAAGGAUAUAGCUUUAUCAAAAACCAUCAAACCAAUCAAUUUAAUAGACACAAAGGUAAAAGCUUUAGCUAACCUUUGGCAGCAAAACCUCGAAGCUGAGACGAUGUGCCAACCACAGCUCUAGUAAACACCUUACUCAAAACAAUUACCCAUUAAAAUCAAUAAGCAGACUUUGACAACAAAGAUACAACAUUUGAGACCCAAUUAAGCAAACAGAGUGUUUAAUUUCUCUCGCAAAACCCAAGUGGGAAAGAAGAUGAAUACCUCAGAGGAGAAGAGAGAGCGUCUCAGUAAAGACGCGUUUCGGAGAAUCCCAGCCAUUGCUAAGUAAAGCUUCUUCUUUUUCAAACUACAGGUAAACAGAGUAUUUCGAAUACUAUGGCGAAUUCGAAGCUGCCCAGAAGAGAGGAGGACUCAUGCGAACACUGUUGUUUCCAACUGUAGAAGCAGAGAAAAGCGAGCACCUUUUAGGGUUUUAGGUUCUCUCGCGAGAGGAGGUUUUUGUCCUCUGUUUUUCCAAGGGAAGUAUAAACCCGAUUUAUUACUCCUUGGUUUAUCAUAACCGAUAAAUUAAAUUGAUCGGUUUAAGUAGUCUCAGUUUAAUAUUAUUACCGGACCAGUUACCGGCCCAAAUUGUUUUAAUCCCCUAAACAUUACUACUAUUACUUGUGAAAACAAAUUCGCAUGCCCAUCACUAUAUUCAAUCUCAAAAAAUAACAUAACAUCAAUAUAAUUGUGAUACGUACCAUUUUUCUUAAAUCACAAUAAUAUAUUUUUUCUAUUUAUAAAUAGACUGAAAAAAUACAUUUAUGAUUUUAUAUUUUUCAACAGGCGAAGUUAAAAUAUAAAAUAAUAAUAUCUAAAUGUAAACUAAAAUUUUAUUUAAAAUAAAAAUAUUAUAUUUAAAAUUAUUAUUUCUGUAUAUGCCGCAUGAAAGUAAACUCCUAGAGUGUGUGAUGAAAUAAAACAAUAUNNNNNNNNNNNNNNNNNNNNNNNNNNNNNNNNNNNNNNNNNNNNNNNNNNNNNNNNNNNNNNNNNNNNNNNNNNNNNNNNNNNNNNNNNNNNNNNNNNNNNNNNNNNNNNNNNNNNNNNNNNNNNNNNNNNNNNNNNNNNNNNNNNNNNNNNNNNNNNNNNNNNNNNNNNNNNNNNNNNNNNNNNNNNNNNNNNNNNNNNNNNNNNNNNNNNNNNNNNNNNNNNNNNNNNNNNNNNNNNNNNNNNNNNNNNNNNNNNNNUCAAUAUAUGAAUAGUACAAUUACAUCAAAUUGCAUUAAGUUAUAAAAAAUAAUAUAAUAUUAUGUAUAAAUAAAUAAAAAUAUUAUCAAACAUCUAUAUUAUAAAAUAAAAUAAUAUAUUCUACUCUAUAUGUAUGAAUUUUUUAUUAUCAAACCAGUGGUUUAUGAUUUUAUGUUAAACAUAAAUUAAAUCAAGCACCCGCGCGGGAGCGUGGAUCAAGUUCUAGUUAUUAUUUAAACUCAAGUACAAAAUUGGAGUGUUUGGAGACUUGAAUAAGACUAUUAAAAAAAUUUGGAGUGUUUGGAAACAUGGAUCACAGUCUUUUAAAAAAAAAAAUUUUUUUUUUGAAAACAAGGAUAGUAGUAUUAAGAAAAAAAGUAAUGGACUUAUGUUAUUAAGAAAAAUUGAAAGUCCAUCAUAUUAUAAGAGUGAGCCAGUUUUAAAAUAUACGAAAAUAGGUCAAUCAAAUUGCCUAAAACUUUUUUUUCUAAACUAGCCAUAAAACAAAAUUUAAACUUUAUAUACAUAUUUCAAAUCAAAAUAAUAAUUCAAAGUUGAUUUAUAUCAAAAAUUGAUUCAAAAAUAUACAUUCAAAAAUAGAUUUUUACUAAACUAUUUUUCAAUAACCAUUAUAGAAAAAUGUCGUCAAUAUAUAUAAGAAAAAUAAAAUACAAAGCCCAAUUUGAAUAACCAACUCAAAUUACGGUUUUUAUAUUUCAUAUUAAGUUUUAAAAAUAUAAUAUAUGUAAUUAUUUAUAUGAUGGUACGUAUAAAAUACAUUAAUUAUAUGAUGGUACGUAUAAAAUACAAUUAAUUAUAUGAUGACAAUAUACAAUAUAUAAUAAUGAGUAGGGAUGAGCUUUCGGGUACCCAUACGGGUUUGGUUCUGAUCGGUUUGCGUUUCGGGUUUUCGGAGUCAAAGGUGUUAGCCAUAUUAGGAUUUUUUUAAAUUUUGGUUUGAGUUUGAUUCAGAUCUUUGUGGAUUUGGUUCGGGUUUGGAUAACCCGUUUAAACUAUUUUUAAAGUUUUAAAUCAUUAUAUAUUUUAAAUUUCUCAAAAUCUAUAAAUAAAAUAAUAUAUUACCUAUAAAUUUGAAUAACAUAUGUCAGAAUACCUAAGCUUAACAUAUCAAUUGGCUCGAUUCAAAAUUUUGGAUACAUAAUCAAUAAUUAUUUUAAGUAUUUUUGGUGAUUUGAGUUUACUUUAACUAUUUCAGAUAUUUACUUUUGACUAUCUAUAUAUAUUUUUCAAGUAUUUAAACCAAUUUAAAAGUAUCAUUCUUGAUGUUUUAUAUACAUUAAAUCUAAAAAUAAUUAAUAUAUAUAAGUAUAUAAAUCUAUUUUUAGAUAAAUUCGGGUACCCGAAUACUUCGGUUCGGAUCAUAUUUGAUUCUCUAAAUAACAAAAUUUUGAAUAAUUCGAAUAUUUAAUCAAUUUAUGUUCGGGUUUGGUACUAUAUUUUCGGAUCGAUAUUGGUUAUGUUCCUCGGAUUCAUUUUGCCAAACUCUAAUAAUUACAUGAAAAACAAAUAUCAACAUAUUUUUUAAAAUAUGCACCCGCACAGACGCGCGGAUCAAAGUCUAGUUCAUAUUAAAACAUCAGGAUUUAUAAAUUAGAAUCAAUCUUACAACAAAGGUUGUUACUUAGGAUAAAUGACAACGGAAGAUGAUGAUCAAAAUCUUAACCGGAUUUCAGAAAAUGAACAUGGUUACCAUAGUUUCUUUUUUUACCAUAGUUUCUAGUUAAAAGCAAUCUUUAUGUUUUUUUUUUGUUGUCAACUUUUUCAUUCACACAAUCCAACUAAACCAUGGAAAUUAGGGGUGGGCACUUUAUCCGAUACCCGAAGCCGCACCCGAACCCGAUCCGAAAAAUCCGAACCGAAAUCCGAACCGAAGUAGCAAAAUACCCGAACGGAUAUUAAGUUAGGAGAGAUUGGAUAUCCGAACCCGAACGGGUAAUAUCCGAACCCGAAUGGAUAUCCGAAGAUAACCGAACAUAUGUAUACUUACCCUUAUAUAUCUAGUUUACAUCUCUUAUUUUAUUUAAAAUAUUUAUAUUAAUGUUACACAUACUUUAAGAUCAUAUAGUAUAUCUAUAAUUAUGGAGAAAAUAAUUUGAUAUUCAUUUAAAAUGUAUAUCAAAAUUUUUGUUUUAUGUAUUAACAAAAGGUACAUCCAAAGUUUAAAAACAAUAGCCAAAUUAAUAUCUAUUUGUUUUUAAGAUAUUAUCUCCAAAUCUAUUAAUCAUUCAAUCUAUAAAAAAUAAAAAUAAAUCAAUUAAGUGAAAUCUAUAUUUUUAAAUACAAAAAACUUAAAAGUGAAAAUUUUAUUUUUUUCUUUUAAAAUCUAAAUAUCCGAAACUCGAUCCAAAAUAACCAAACCCGAACUAAAAAUACCCGAACCCGACCCGAAGUACAAAAAUACCCGAACGGGUUCUAUAUCCCUAUACCGAAAUAUCCGAAAAUCUGAAAUACCCGAUCCGAACCCGAACGGGUAUCCGAACGCCCACCCCUAAUGGAAAUUUUACAAAGCCAACAAAGAGAAGCCCAAUAAUUGGGAUUACACAUUGAAAAUGUUAUCUUUAUUAUUAGGAGAAAUAUUAUCUUAGACUUUAAAUGUGUAAAUGCUAAAUCUGAUUCUAACUCAGGGAAGAAAAUGCAACAAGAAAGACUGUGGUUCCUGACAUAUCCUCCCUGCAGUAAUCUUGACAUGCCCUUUUGCUCGUUUUCAGCUCUCGAAAGACUAUCAAGCAUGGGCUUCUGGAGACACUUCAAGGCAACCUCUUUGUACAGGCGAGAUCUGAUAAUAAAGCAAAAAUGUACCUUACCUGGUUCAGAGAAUAUAGGCCUCCUUGUUAGAAAGGCUGUUAAAUUAGUUGGGUUCACAAACAACAUUGGACGGCCACGGCCUAUCUUGUUCGGUUUAAUACCGAGGCCCAAAGGCAAAAAUGGGCUAAAAAUAAUAACAGAAUCCCACAUCGGUUAUCAUCAAAAUAUAGUUUUUAAUAUAUAAAGAUGCAAAUCCAUUCAUAUGAUUGUCAAUUGGUGUUAGUAGUUCUUUGGUCUAACCGCCCGGGUUAUCCUACUCUCGUCAAUUGACUUUUUGAAAUAAUUAAAAAAUUUUAGACUUGCAUGGCUCCUCUUAAAUUUAAGUGCCUACCUUUUUUUUUGUGAAAAAGUUUAUUAUACUAAUUUUUAGUUUUUCACAGAAAUUACUAAAAGAACAAUUGGAUGUCUCCUCUUAAAUAUGAGAUGGAGUUCGUACUUUUUUUUUGUAAGAAAGUUAAAUUAUUAUACUAACUAGGAGUGGAACCCCCGCAAGCGCGGGUUCGGUCAUGGACAUAGAUGUUAUUCUAUCUAAUGAAUGUAUGUAAGUCGUGUUUGUGAUUUUUUUCUUUUGUUGUGGUCACUGAUUUUCGAAAAUUUGUAUUGUAAAAUUGUGAUGAACUAUGCUUUGGAUACCAAUCAUAAUUAAUUUGAAAAACAUUAAAGGAUUGACUUAUCGCCAAAAGCUAAACUGAGACAAACGUUUACGGUGGACUAAAUGGCCAACACUUUAUUUGCAUACAAUAAAGUCCAAGAAAUAAAAUUAACUAACUAUUGGCACAAUAUAUGCUAAUAGUUAUUGCAUAUGCGGGUGAUACAAUUAUAAGUUUACUUGUACGUUUAUCUAGUCUCUCCCCAUAUGGCACAUAAGGAUUCAAAGCUGGUUUAAGACUAACUAUUGGAAUAUAAAGAUGAUCGCGAUGAAAUUUUCUUGAAGAUUAAAUGAAAUAAAACUCUUAAUAUAUAUGAAACUUCAGGUUCUUUUCAAUCAAACCCAUGCAACUAAUAACCUGCAAAUAUAAAAGGAAACAAUUGUUUUAUUUUAAAUGAAAGAAUCUUCGAGCAUAAUCUACAUGAAAAGUUACAAAAAUAUAGAUUUCUCACAACCGUCAAACAAAAAGAUCCUUGAAAAGCCUAUAUAUAUAGUUAUGGAUAAUAUUGUUCGUCUUCAAAAUGCAAUUGUAGUACACAUAAAAAGUAUGAUGUGAACUCAGGUGAAAAUAAUUUAAAGUGAACCUGCCAAUGGAGAAGAAGAUUAUAUAUAUGCACAAAUUUCUUUGGUUAGAGACUCUUCUACUACCUUAAUUUAAAACAACAUCUUUGGCUAAUUCUACACAAGUUUCUCAAUACAACUCUAAACAAAUCAGUAGCUAGUACCUCAACAUGUGUAAGCCUUAUCAUUGCACUGAUCUUGCCAUAAUUCAGAUUUUUGGUACCUGUACGAAAGGCCUUGCCAAGGCUGAUUACUAAGGAAAUCAAAGGUAAAGAUGUAAAUAUAUCAAAUGGAAGCAAAUAAAAAAUAUUAGGUAAAGUAAGGAUGAAAACAUGGUGAUUGUACAAGAAUCUGAGUGAACUUGAAGAUUAUUUCUAUUUUAAUUUGUUUUGGAAGCUGAUCUUGAGUAGUUUUAGGCUUAGAAGUAUUGAAUCAUAUAAGACAUACAUAUUUAAGAUUCUCUCAAUUUUUAUAUCUUGUUACCUUUUAGAUUGUUGAGAAGAGGAAACUGGUCUCAUCUAUAAAAGAGAGCACUCCUGAACUUGGAUGUUCGAAAAUCUUUUUUGAAAGAAGAGUAUGGUUCUUCUGUGAAUGCAAAUAUUGAUGGAGAGAGGGACAAUAUUGUUAUCUGAAACAGUUAUGGAAAGUCAUCUUUGAACAAAGAACGAGAAGGUAAGACAUUACCUCUCAAUACCGCACCCAUGAAGAGCAGCAAACAAAGCUCAACCUCUGCAAAAUUCUCUUCCACAGUAACAUUUGUUGAUCAAGCAGUAACCUCAUGUGUAGUCUUCCACUGGAAAUCUAAGAAAUUCUCUGCUACUGCAGUUUGGUUAUACCCACAACCGGACUAAAACACCUCAAACAUCUAGUAUAAAGACAUAGAUAAAGAUAACACAUGAAAAAGCUAGUGGAACCCAAACCCAUUGAAGAAGACUGACCAAAAGAGUGGAACCCAAACCCAUCUUCCCCCAUGUUCAUUGGAGUUUGCGGGCCACCACUACCACCACCACUUAUGCUAAAGAGUCUCAGCAGCUGCUGCAUAUCAUCGGUCUCAAGCAUUUCAUUAUUGCAAGCCCUUAUCUCUUCCUCUGAUAAAAACCCAUCACCUCCUCUGUUGCCUGCAUUUAACCAAUCAUCAAAAGGCUGAACCAAGUGUUGGUUUUGCAAAAGUCUUAUCUAAUGUCUCAGUAUCUAAACCAAAGUCAAAUGUUUUUCAUCUCUCAAUAUUUUUGUUCCAGUAAAACUAAAAUACAUUAAAAAAAAUUAAACUUGCUUUCUCAAAAUAAAUGUUCUGCUAAGUGGCUUUUUGCUUUUGCUUGAAGGUAUCAUACCAUUGGAAAGAGACAGCGUUGACGUUAUGCUUCUCGGGGGAGAUUGGGAAUGGUGUCUCUAAAAGGCAGAGAGUUUUGUAAUAAGAGAUGUGAAGGUCUCUUCGGGCGGAGGGAGAGGAUCGCUAACACGUUCUAUAUCAGAGGGGAAGUUCAUUAGGGUUUCUAGAUCGUCUUCUAGAAGCUGAGCUUGGGCGCUCGGACUAAGUGAAAGCAAUGUAGUUGCGGAGAGGACGUUAGAGAUCGAGUGAGCUUGUCUUCUUAUAGUUAAUGCCGAGCAUCAGAUUAGAAGGCCCCGACGAAGCUUUGGCGCUCUCGUCUUCUUUGUCUUCUUCUGAUGAUCGCUCUUCCAAUUGUUUGUGGAAACCCAAAGGAUCACGCUCUCUUUCUCAGAUAAGACUGAAGCGAUGGAAACCCUAGGGCCAGUUCUUUUUUAUUUUCGUAAAGAAGCCCAUUUAGAAAAACCUAAGACAAGGACUAUAACUGAAAACAUUGUCCCUUGCUGCCUCUAAAAGAAACUUAUGUCAUCCCCUAAGGGACCGAUAAUAUAGGUUGGUGGUGCAUGUAUAAAGAAGGGCGUUAGGGGAUGGAAAAUAAGAGCAUGCGGUUCAGUCUUAAGACAAAAGACUAUAACUGAAAACAGAUUCCUUACCCACAGGCUUACAAAGAUUUAUUACCCACGACUUACACAUGUCUUAGACAACGAAAAAGAUUUAUUACCCACGGCUUACAAGUCUUAAAGACCAAAGACUUUUCUGUUUUCAGUUAUUUGAAUGGUACAGUUUGAGAAAGUUCUAAGACAAGGACUAUAACUGAAAACAAUGUCUCUUGCUGCCUCUAAAAGAAACUUAUUUCAUCCCCUAAUGGACCGAGAAUAUGGGUUGGUGGUGCAUGUAUAAAGAAGGGCGUUAGGGGAUGGCAAAUAAGAGCAUGCGGCUCAGGCUUAAGACAAAAGACUAUAACUGAAAAUAGAUUCCUUACCCACGGCUUACAAAGAUUUUUACCCACGGCUUACACAUGUCUUGACAAAGACAAAGAUUUAUUACCCACGGCUUACAAGUCUUAAAGACCAAAGACUUUUCUGUUUUCAGUUAUUUGAAUGGUACAGUUUGAGAAAGUCCUAAGACAAGGACUAUAACUGAAAACAUUGUCCCUUGCUGCCUCUAAAAGAAACUUAUGUCAUCCCCUAAUGGACCGAGAAUAUGGGUUGGUGGUGCAUGUAUAGAGAAGGGCGUUAGGGGAUGGCAAAUAAGAGCAUGCGGCUCAGUCUUAAGACAAAAGACUAUAACUGAAAACAGAUUCCUUACCCACGGCUUAUAAAGAUUUAUUACCCACGGCUUACACAUAUCUUAGGCAAAGACAAAGAUUUAUUACCCACGGCUUACAAGUCUUAAAGACCAAAGACUUUUUUGUUUUCAGUUAUUUGAAUGGUACAGUUUGAGAAAGUCCUAAGACAAGGACUAUAACUGAAAACAUUGUCCCUUGCUGCCUCUAAAAGAAACUUAUGCCAUCCCCUAAUGGACCGAGAAUAUGGGUUGGUGGUGCAUGUAUAAAGAAGGGCGUUAGGGGAUGGCAAAUAAGAGCAUGCGGCUCAGUCUUAAGACAAAAGACUAUAACUGAAAACAGAUUCCUUACCCACGGCUUACAAAGAUUUAUUACCCACGGCUUACACAUGUCUUGACAAAGACAAAGAUUUAUUACCCACGGCUUAAAAGUCUUAAAGAGCAAAGACUUUUCUGUUUUCAGUUAUUUGAAUGGUACAGUUUCAGAAAGUCCUAAGACAAGGACUAUAACUGAAAACAUUGUCCCUUGCUGCCUCUAAAAGAAACUUAUGUCAUCCCCUAAUGGACCGAGAAUAUGGGUUGGUGGUGCAUGUAUAAAGAAGGGCGUUAAGGGAUGGCAAAUAAGAGCAUGCGGCUCAGUCUUAAGACAAAAGACUAUAACUGAAAACAGAUUCCUUACCCACGACUUACAAAGAUUUAUUACCCACGGCUUACACAUGUCUUAGACAAAGACAAAGAUUUAUUACCCACGGCUUACAAGUCUUAAAGACCAAAGACUUUUCUGUUUUCAGUUAUUUGAAUUUGACAAAGACAAAGAUUUAUUACCCACGGCUUACAAGUCUUAAAGACCAAAGACUUUUAUGUUUUCAGUUAUUUGAAUGGUACAGUUUGAGAAAGUCCUAAGACAAGGACUAUAACUGAAAACAUUGUCCCUUGCUGCCUCUAAAAGAAACUUAUGCCAUCCCCUAAUGGACCGAGAAUAUGGGUUGGUGGUGCAUGUAUAAAGAAGGGCGUUAGGGGAUGGCAAAUAAGAGCAUGCGUCUCAGUCUUAAGACAAAAUACUAUAACUGAAAACAGAUUCCUUACCUACGGCUUACAAAGAUUUUUACCCACGGCUUACACAUGUCUAGACAAAGACAAAUAUUUAUUACCCACGGCUUACAAGUUUUAAAGAUCAAAGACUUUUCUGUUUUCAGUUAUAUGAAUGGUACAGUUUGAGAAAGUCCUAAGACAAGGACUAUAACUGAAAACAUUGUCUCUUGCUUCCUUUAAAAGAAACUUAUGCCAUCUCCUUAUGGACCGAGAAUAUGGGUUGGUGGUGCAUGUAUAAAGAAGGGCGUUAGGGGAUGGCAAAUAAGAGCAUGCGGCUCAGUCUUAAGACAAAAUACUAUAACUGAAAACAGAUUCCUUACCUACGGCUUACAAAGAUUUUUUACCCACGGCUUACACAUGUCUAGACAAAGACAAAUAUUUAUUACCCACGGCUUACAAGUUUUAAAGAUCAAAGACUUUUCUGUUUUCAGUUAUAUGAAUGGUACAGUUUGAGAAAGUCCUAAGACAAGGACUAUAACUGAAAACAUUGUCUCUUGCUGCCUCUAAAAGAAACUUAUGUCAUCCCCUAAUGGACCGAGAAUAUGGGUUGGUGGUGCAUGUAUAAAGAAGGGCGUUAGGGGAUGGCAAAUAAGAGCAUGCGGCUCAGUCUUAAGACAAAAGACUAUAACUGAAAACAGAUUCCUUACCUACGGCUUACAAAGAUUUUUUACCCACGGCUUACACAUGUCUUGACAAAGACAAAGAUUUAUUAUCCACGGCUUACAAGUCUUAAAGACCAAAGACUUUUCUGUUUUCAGUUAUAUGAAUGGUACAGUUUAAGAAAGUCCUAAGACAAGGACUAUAUCUGAAAACAUUGUCCCUUGCUGCCUCUAAAAAAAACUUAUGUCAUCCCCUAAUGGACCGAGAAUAUGGGUUGGUGGUGCAUGUAUAAAGAAGGGCGUUAGGAGAUGGCAUAUAAGAGCAUGCGGCUAAGUUUUAAGACAAAAGACUAUAACUGAAAACAGAUUUCUUACCCACAGCUUACAAAGAUUUUUACCCACGGCUUAUACAUGUCUUGACAAAGACAAAGAUUUAUUACCCACGGCUUACAAGUCUUAAAGACCAAAGACUUUUCUGUUUUCAGUUAUUUGAAUAGUACAGUUUGAGAAAGUCCUAAGACAAGGACUAUAACUGAAAACAUUGUCCAUUGCUGCCUCUAAAAGAAACUUAUUAUGUCAUCCCCUAAUGGACCGAGAAUAUGGGUUGGUGGUGCAUGUAUAAAGAAGGGCGUUAGGGGAUGGCAAAUAAGAGCAUGCGGCUCAGUCUUAAGACAAAAGACUAUAACUGAAAACAGAUUCCUUAUCCACAGCUUACAAAGAUUUUUAUCCACAGCUUACACAUGUCUUGACAAAAACAAAGAUUUAUUACCCACGGCUUACAAGUCGUAAAGACCAAAGACAUUUCUGUUUUCAAUUAUUUGAAUGGUACAGUUUGAGAAAGUUUCGUUAAUAUAGUCCAAAUAUCCAAUACACAGUUUUUUAGUGGGUCCCACACGCUUGCCUACAUGGACAGCCUUUGGAGUGAAGAAACUCCCUCAUUAUAAUAUAGAUUUUUGGUUUUCGGCGAGAACAAGUAACGGACAAUGCAUAAUCUAAACUAAACAAACAACUACACACAUUGGCAUCCUCAACUUUGUGCAUAGAAGAUUCACUUACUUAAAAACAUCUUCCUAAAAGACUACCAAAGACAAAUCAUUGAAGAUUCGGUUUGGUUUGGAAGACUUUUUAGAAAGUCUUUUAACAUAAAUUACAUUAGAAUUUUUUCCAACAAGUCUUCUAAACUCUAAAUUACUUGUCGUUUUCGAAAACUUCCCAAAAAAUAUUCUAAUUCAUCGGAAAAUUUUCAAAAUAUGACCUAAACCUUAAAAUCAAAUAACUAACUAAAUAAGGACAAACUUUUCAUUAAAAUUGAUAUCAACUUAUAAAAUGUUUGAAAUACACAAAACUAAACAUAUUUAAGUCAAAUUAAAAAUUUUAAAAAUAAGAUUCUAAAAUCUAACAUUAACAUUGCAUUCACUCACUCAUCCAUGUUGAAAACAAUUCAAUUUUAAUAAAUAAAAUUUUCUAUCAUUUAGAAUUAUUUAUAUUAUCUGAUUUCAAUUUAUUCUCCGUCACAAUAUUUUUGUAUAUAUUUUAUCAAUUAUUUUUAAGAUUAUAUAUUGUGAAGUAAUCAUCAAAGUGAAUACAAUUUUUUUUUGUUUGAUCAUAAGAGCCCAAAUUAUUUUUGUUUGAUCAUAAGAAUCUGAUUGUAAUUUCACUAGAUUUAUUAAUUAUUUUUGCAUUUGAUUAAAUUUAUAAUAUUUUUUUUUUGUAUUCAAAAUAAAGCUUUAGGUCACUUUGGCAAGUUGACCCAUUUUUAAUUUAGAAAUUUUACUGUAUAUUUCCAAUUUGUUUAUUAGUAUGUAUUAUUUUUUAAAAUGUUGGAAACUCAUAAAUAUAAAUUGUUGACAUUUGACCAACAACAAAAUGCUAUUGCUCAAACCAGUUCAUGAAGAACACAUUACAAAUGAAAAAUCAGACGCAACCAAAACCCAAACCAGAGAACAAUUUUUUUUCUAGCAAACCACCACCCAAAACUUGAUUUAUAUCAUAUAAACCGACGGACCAUGACUCUUCAAAUUAAGAAAACACAAAGACCAGACUGACUCUUCUUUCUUUCUUCUUCUUCAUCAUUACUCACUGCUGCUUACACUCCGCGGGCCUCUCACCUUGUUGACCUUCAGCAACUUGACUUCUUCCAGACUUCUGUUCACAGAGAAAAAAGCCUCAGGUUUAUCAACAUCCCUUAAAUAUUCAACAAGAAAGAGAUCAUACGGUCUGAGAUUUGAGUGAUUGUUAAACCUUUUGCCCAGCUGAUGACUGCAACAAAACAACAAGAAACCACCAAGAUCAGUUUCCAACGUUUUCAGUUUUAUAUUAAAGAGAAACAGGAAGUUAAAAACGUUGUACCCAUAGUACCUUCUUUCUCCUCCUCUUUCCUAGCUCUGCCUCUUCAUCCUCGUCGUCUUCCUCAUCGUCAUCAUCCUCGUCCUCAUCAUCGUCCUCAUCAUCGUCCUCGUCCUCCUCAUCAUCUUCAUCAAUCUCAUCAUCAUCGUCCUCGUCCAUCUCAAGGUCAUCUGGAUCAACAGCUUCACCAGUGAACCAUGACACAGCAUGGGAAAUGAUUUUCUCUUUAAUGGUUGAUCUACAUGAUAAAACAGUGGACAGAUUCAGAUCCUAAAAAGUAAUUUAAGAAGCAAAUAGAACUGAAGAUGAGAUAUAACAAGGUACAUACCCAAUAUCAUAAUCAUGCUCCAUUUGGCCUUGGAGUUCAUCAGCCUGUGCACGAAUAAAUUAUCAGAUUAGCAUUUAAAGCAUUCUGACGCACUGAGUCCAAAACUAAAACAGCUUUUGUGGAUGGCCAUACCAUGUCAUCAUCAAGAUCAUCUUCGUCCUCAGGAACUUGAGGUGGACUGAAGAAGUUGAAGAAACUCUCACAGUCCUCAGUCUUAGUGAUCGGCUUUGUGUUUUUGGAUCCCUUCUUUGGCUUCUUUUUCAGGAUCUUCUGAGUCAAACAUUUUCCAGGAUACCACUCAAUCUCCGUCCUGUACAAUAUUAGUUUAACCAUCAAUAAGACUUCUUUGUCUUUUAGAAACAAAAAAAAAGAAAAAGCAAAUAUAUAGAUAGAGAGCAAAGGAUCAUACCCAAUGGCCUUCUCGAGGAUAGGCUCAUCCUCAUCAAUCAUGUGAUAUGUCUUGGUCAAGACAGUGUUCUUGAAGUAAGGGUUCUCAUCAAAGAAAAACUCGAGCUUGAACCCUUUUGGUUCUUCGACCCUGUUCCACUUGAUAUCCUUAAGAUACUUGAGAGCACCUUCAUCUCGCUCAGUUAUCUACAAUCAUGCGAAACAAAAACAAAAAAAAAACAGCAAGACUAAGAGAGUAGACUCUUCAUAAAAAGAAUUAUAGUAUCCAAAUAAACGAACCUCCUCAGCGGUAAUUUCGUUGUUCUUCAGUGCGAUAAGCCAGAAAUCCGGUACUCCUUUCUCUGCAGAGAUUAAAAAAAAAAAACAGAUGAUUUCACUAUAAUUGGAAGCUAAAAAAAAAAAACAAUAGUUUAGUCUAAGUAACUACUGAUAACAAACCUUGAGCAGCUUUAUCUGCUCCUUGUUCUGUUUUCACUUCCUCAGGUAAACCUUCAACUUCAACCACACCGGUCACAAUCUCACAACGCUGAAUAUGAUCAUCACGUUGGAAAAGCAUAUAAUCAUUAUAAAUCAUACAAGAGAGAGAGAGAGAGAGAAGUCUUAUUGAACUUUUAUUAGUCUUAUUCUAACAAUGUCGGGAAAGCAGAAAAGCAUGAAUAUCAAGUAUAAUCAUUAUUAUUGAUCAAAGAAAGUACACUAAGUAGCAACUGAGAGAAGUCAUAUCAUAUGUUUCUUCGUCGAGAUUUCAUGUGAUGAAAGAACCAAAGAUCAUUUUUUGCAUACCUUGGUGUAGAAAGGCUGAUACAACUUUUGAUACUUAGCUUCUAGAGCUGCCCUCUCUUCGAAGAACUUUGCUUCAAUUUCAUCAUGUUGGUUCUGCAAUGUAGCAAAAAAAAAAAGAAAGAAUCAGAUAAAAUUUCAUCAGGGGGCCAACUAAUUCAAACUAAAUGCAAAAUCCAAGAUCACAAAUAAAAAAAAAAAGACAAGGUCUAUAGUGAUCUAGCUGGAAGGUUAACUCACUUGAAUCUCUCUUAGAACCUCAACACGCUUCCUGACUGCCGGAGUCAAGUUCUCAAGGACAUCCGAGUGUUGUCCAGCCAAAUUCUGCAACUUAUCCUGCAAACAAACACAAAAAAAAACAAUCAAAUCAAGAUGCAGAGACAAUCCUUUAUCUUGAAAUGAUCAAGUUGCUCUAAACCAAUCAAGAUGCAGAGAUCAAGUUGUUCUCUCAAAAAACAGUAAAAAGCACAUAUAUAGCAACUGUAAGUUACAAACUUUCAAAGUAAAGAUGCAGAGAGAACAAAUCCCAACAGUAAACCCAAAAAAAGAACUCACCUUGAGAGCAUUAACAAGGCCUGCUCGAUCCUCCUCGUUAAGAGCUAAUAAAGCAAAAACAUAAGCAUUUUAAAAUAAAUCCACAUGAAAACAAAUAGAAUCCGACGUCGUUCUAUAGAGAAAGAGAGAGAGAGACAUACCGGCGGUGAGAGCGGACAUGUUCAAGUUGUCUUUGUCGUUGCUCAUCUUCUCGCAAGCAAGAGGAGAAUCUGGCGGAGGAAACGGAGGAUAAGAGUGAAAGACCCCUUAAAACCCUACUCUUAUGACAGCCCAGAGAGAUUAAAUUAUUUAGAUAUGAAAUGAGCUGACACAAAUAGCUGGGGCACUUUAUAAGACCCACCCUACGCGGCAAUAUCUUUUCCUUUCCUUCAUUUUUGAUAUUUGUUUCCCUUAUUUUGAUUUAUUUGAAAAUUAAAGGUAAAGUAUUGUUUGGUUCUGUAACGCACCGAGAAAGUACGUAAUGAAUGAAUUUGUGAAUUUGAUUCCUAAAGAAUAGAUUUUUAAGUUUUUUCUGGAGAUUCCGAAAUCUAAUACCUUAAAACUGAGAUUUUCUUCUUCUUUUUUCUUUCUGAAAUUUCUACAUUUUCUUUUUAAAUAUAAUUGUAGUAAUUUAUAUAUCAGAAAUCACAUACAAAAAAACAGAUAUUUCGUAGAGUUUAUUUUAAAAAGAAGAGUUAUUUUACAAUUGUAAAAAGAAGAGUUUAAAUUACACUAGAAUUUAUAAAUAAAAAAGGGAAAAUCGUAUUUUAAACCCUGUGAGUGUCACAUUCUCGUACUUUAAGCACAAAAAGUUUUUUAUUAGCACUUUAAACCUUGAAAAUGACAUUUUUAUCAUAACAAAUCUUCAAGUCAAUUUGGUGACAUGUACUGUUCAUUUUGAUGGCGUGUCGGUUUUUUCUUUUUUUCUUUUAAAUAAAAACUAAAAUACAUAAAAAAUUCAAAAAAAAAAAAAAACUCUAAAAAUCUAAAAAAUUCAAACAAAAUCUAAAAUUUCAAAAAAUAUAAAAAUUAAAAUUUCAAAAUUAAAAAUAAAUAAAUAUUUUUAAAAAUUAAUCCAAUUUUAAACCAAUAAGUAUAUAUAAUAUAAUAACUUGAAUGGUGAUUCUAGAUUCUGGUUUUUGGUUUUUGAUUUUUUUUUUUAAUUUUUUUAUUUAUUAAUACUUAACUUGUUAAAUUUUUAAAAUUAAUCCUAUUAUUGGUAUUAUUUAUUAAAAUGAUAUUUAUUUUAGUAAUUUUAANNNNNNNNNNNNNNNNNNNNNNNNNNNNNNNNNNNNNNNNNNNNNNNNNNNNNNNNNNNNNNNNNNNNNNNNNNNNNNNNNNNNNNNNNNNNNNNNNNNNNNNNNNNNNNNNNNNNNNNNNNNNNNNNNNNNNNNNNNNNNNNNNNNNNNNNNNNNNNNNNNNNNNNNNNNNNNNNNNNNNNNNNNNNNNNNNNNNNNNNNNNNNNNNNNNNNNNNNNNNNNNNNNNNNNNNNNNNNNNNNNNNNNNNNNNNNNNNNNNNNNNNNNNNNNNNNNNNNNNNNNNNNNNNNNNNNNNNNNNNNNNNNNNNNNNNNNNNNNNNNNNNNNNNNNNNNNNNNNNNNNNNNNNNNNNNNNNNNNNNNNNNNNNNNNNNNNNNNNNNNNNNNNNNNNNNNNNNNNNNNNNNNNNNNNNNNNNNNNNNNNNNNNNNNNNNNNNNNNNNNNNNNNNNNNNNNNNNNNNNNNNNNNNNNNNNNNNNNNNNNNNNNNNNNNNNNNNNNNNNNNNNNNNNNNNNNNNNNNNNNNNNNNNNNNNNNNNNNNNNNNNNNNNNNNNNNNNNNNNNNNNNNNNNNNNNNNNNNNNNNNNNNNNNNNNNNNNNNNNNNNNNNNNNNNNNNNNNNNNNNNNNNNNNNNNNNNNNNNNNNNNNNNNNNNNNNNNNNNNNNNNNNNNNNNNNNNNNNNNNNNNNNNNNNNNNNNNNNNNNNNNNNNNNNNNNNNNNNNNNNNNNNNNNNNNNNNNNNNNNNNNNNNNNNNNNNNNNNNNNNNNNNNNNNNNNNNNNNNNNNNNNNNNNNNNNNNNNNNNNNNNNNNNNNNNNNNNNNNNNNNNNNNNNNNNNNNNNNNNNNNNNNNNNNNNNNNNNNNNNNNNNNNNNNNNNNNNNNNNNNNNNNNNNNNNNNNNNNNNNNNNNNNNNNNNNNNNNNNNNNNNNNNNNNNNNNNNNNNNNNNNNNNNNNNNNNNNNNNNNNNNNNNNNNNNNNNNNNNNNNNNNNNNNNNNNNNNNNNNNNNNNNNNNNNNNNNNNNNNNNNNNNNNNNNNNNNNNNNNNNNNNNNNNNNNNNNNNNNNNNNNNNNNNNNNNNNNNNNNNNNNNNNNNNNNNNNNNNNNNNNNNNNNNNNNNNNNNNNNNNNNNNNNNNNNNNNNNNNNNNNNNNNNNNNNNNNNNNNNNNNNNNNNNNNNNNNNNNNNNNNNNNNNNNNNNNNNNNNNNNNNNNNNNNNNNNNNNNNNNNNNNNNNNNNNNNNNNNNNNNNNNNNNNNNNNNNNNNNNNNNNNNNNNNNNNNNNNNNNNNNNNNNNNNNNNNNNNNNNNNNNNNNNNNNNNNNNNNNNNNNNNNNNNNNNNNNNNNNNNNNNNNNNNNNNNNNNNNNNNNNNNNNNNNNNNNNNNNNNNNNNNNNNNNNNNNNNNNNNNNNNNNNNNNNNNNNNNNNNNNNNNNNNNNNNNNNNNNNNNNNNNNNNNNNNNNNNNNNNNNNNNNNNNNNNNNNNNNNNNNNNNNNNNNNNNNNNNNNNNNNNNNNNNNNNNNNNNNNNNNNNNNNNNNNNNNNNNNNNNNNNNNNNNNNNNNNNNNNNNNNNNNNNNNNNNNNNNNNNNNNNNNNNNNNNNNNNNNNNNNNNNNNNNNNNNNNNNNNNNNNNNNNNNNNNNNNNNNNNNNNNNNNNNNNNNNNNNNNNNNNNNNNNNNNNNNNNNNNNNNNNNNNNNNNNNNNNNNNNNNNNNNNNNNNNNNNNNNNNNNNNNNNNNNNNNNNNNNNNNNNNNNNNNNNNNNNNNNNNNNNNNNNNNNNNNNNNNNNNNNNNNNNNNNNNNNNNNNNNNNNNNNNNNNNNNNNNNNNNNNNNNNNNNNNNNNNNNNNNNNNNNNNNNNNNNNNNNNNNNNNNNNNNNNNNNNNNNNNNNNNNNNNNNNNNNNNNNNNNNNNNNNNNNNNNNNNNNNNNNNNNNNNNNNNNNNNNNNNNNNNNNNNNNNNNNNNNNNNNNNNNNNNNNNNNNNNNNNNNNNNNNNNNNNNNNNNNNNNNNNNNNNNNNNNNNNNNNNNNNNNNNNNNNNNNNNNNNNNNNNNNNNNNNNNNNNNNNNNNNNNNNNNNNNNNNNNNNNNNNNNNNNNNNNNNNNNNNNNNNNNNNNNNNNNNNNNNNNNNNNNNNNNNNNNNNNNNNNNNNNNNNNNNNNNNNNNNNNNNNNNNNNNNNNNNNNNNNNNNNNNNNNNNNNNNNNNNNNNNNNNNNNNNNNNNNNNNNNNNNNNNNNNNNNNNNNNNNNNNNNNNNNNNNNNNNNNNNNNNNNNNNNNNNNNNNNNNNNNNNNNNNNNNNNNNNNNNNNNNNNNNNNNNNNNNNNNNNNNNNNNNNNNNNNNNNNNNNNNNNNNNNNNNNNNNNNNNNNNNNNNNNNNNNNNNNNNNNNNNNNNNNNNNNNNNNNNNNNNNNNNNNNNNNNNNNNNNNNNNNNNNNNNNNNNNNNNNNNNNNNNNNNNNNNNNNNNNNNNNNNNNNNNNNNNNNNNNNNNNNNNNNNNNNNNNNNNNNNNNNNNNNNNNNNNNNNNNNNNNNNNNNNNNNNNNNNNNNNNNNNNNNNNNNNNNNNNNNNNNNNNNNNNNNNNNNNNNNNNNNNNNNNNNNNNNNNNNNNNNNNNNNNNNNNNNNNNNNNNNNNNNNNNNNNNNNNNNNNNNNNNNNNNNNNNNNNNNNNNNNNNNNNNNNNNNNNNNNNNNNNNNNNNNNNNNNNNNNNNNNNNNNNNNNNNNNNNNNNNNNNNNNNNNNNNNNNNNNNNNNNNNNNNNNNNNNNNNNNNNNNNNNNNNNNNNNNNNNNNNNNNNNNNNNNNNNNNNNNNNNNNNNNNNNNNNNNNNNNNNNNNNNNNNNNNNNNNNNNNNNNNNNNNNNNNNNNNNNNNNNNNNNNNNNNNNNNNNNNNNNNNNNNNNNNNNNNNNNNNNNNNNNNNNNNNNNNNNNNNNNNNNNNNNNNNNNNNNNNNNNNNNNNNNNNNNNNNNNNNNNNNNNNNNNNNNNNNNNNNNNNNNNNNNNNNNNNNNNNNNNNNNNNNNNNNNNNNNNNNNNNNNNNNNNNNNNNNNNNNNNNNNNNNNNNNNNNNNNNNNNNNNNNNNNNNNNNNNNNNNNNNNNNNNNNNNNNNNNNNNNNNNNNNNNNNNNNNNNNNNNNNNNNNNNNNNNNNNNNNNNNNNNNNNNNNNNNNNNNNNNNNNNNNNNNNNNNNNNNNNNNNNNNNNNNNNNNNNNNNNNNNNNNNNNNNNNNNNNNNNNNNNNNNNNNNNNNNNNNNNNNNNNNNNNNNNNNNNNNNNNNNNNNNNNNNNNNNNNNNNNNNNNNNNNNNNNNNNNNNNNNNNNNNNNNNNNNNNNNNNNNNNNNNNNNNNNNNNNNNNNNNNNNNNNNNNNNNNNNNNNNNNNNNNNNNNNNNNNNNNNNNNNNNNNNNNNNNNNNNNNNNNNNNNNNNNNNNNNNNNNNNNNNNNNNNNNNNNNNNNNNNNNNNNNNNNNNNNNNNNNNNNNNNNNNNNNNNNNNNNNNNNNNNNNNNNNNNNNNNNNNNNNNNNNNNNNNNNNNNNNNNNNNNNNNNNNNNNNNNNNNNNNNNNNNNNNNNNNNNNNNNNNNNNNNNNNNNNNNNNNNNNNNNNNNNNNNNNNNNNNNNNNNNNNNNNNNNNNNNNNNNNNNNNNNNNNNNNNNNNNNNNNNNNNNNNNNNNNNNNNNNNNNNNNNNNNNNNNNNNNNNNNNNNNNNNNNNNNNNNNNNNNNNNNNNNNNNNNNNNNNNNNNNNNNNNNNNNNNNNNNNNNNNNNNNNNNNNNNNNNNNNNNNNNNNNNNNNNNNNNNNNNNNNNNNNNNNNNNNNNNNNNNNNNNNNNNNNNNNNNNNNNNNNNNNNNNNNNNNNNNNNNNNNNNNNNNNNNNNNNNNNNNNNNNNNNNNNNNNNNNNNNNNNNNNNNNNNNNNNNNNNNNNNNNNNNNNNNNNNNNNNNNNNNNNNNNNNNNNNNNNNNNNNNNNNNNNNNNNNNNNNNNNNNNNNNNNNNNNNNNNNNNNNNNNNNNNNNNNNNNNNNNNNNNNNNNNNNNNNNNNNNNNNNNNNNNNNNNNNNNNNNNNNNNNNNNNNNNNNNNNNNNNNNNNNNNNNNNNNNNNNNNNNNNNNNNNNNNNNNNNNNNNNNNNNNNNNNNNNNNNNNNNNNNNNNNNNNNNNNNNNNNNNNNNNNNNNNNNNNNNNNNNNNNNNNNNNNNNNNNNNNNNNNNNNNNNNNNNNNNNNNNNNNNNNNNNNNNNNNNNNNNNNNNNNNNNNNNNNNNNNNNNNNNNNNNNNNNNNNNNNNNNNNNNNNNNNNNNNNNNNNNNNNNNNNNNNNNNNNNNNNNNNNNNNNNNNNNNNNNNNNNNNNNNNNNNNNNNNNNNNNNNNNNNNNNNNNNNNNNNNNNNNNNNNNNNNNNNNNNNNNNNNNNNNNNNNNNNNNNNNNNNNNNNNNNNNNNNNNNNNNNNNNNNNNNNNNNNNNNNNNNNNNNNNNNNNNNNNNNNNNNNNNNNNNNNNNNNNNNNNNNNNNNNNNNNNNNNNNNNNNNNNNNNNNNNNNNNNNNNNNNNNNNNNNNNNNNNNNNNNNNNNNNNNNNNNNNNNNNNNNNNNNNNNNNNNNNNNNNNNNNNNNNNNNNNNNNNNNNNNNNNNNNNNNNNNNNNNNNNNNNNNNNNNNNNNNNNNNNNNNNNNNNNNNNNNNNNNNNNNNNNNNNNNNNNNNNNNNNNNNNNNNNNNNNNNNNNNNNNNNNNNNNNNNNNNNNNNNNNNNNNNNNNNNNNNNNNNNNNNNNNNNNNNNNNNNNNNNNNNNNNNNNNNNNNNNNNNNNNNNNNNNNNNNNNNNNNNNNNNNNNNNNNNNNNNNNNNNNNNNNNNNNNNNNNNNNNNNNNNNNNNNNNNNNNNNNNNNNNNNCAUGUUAGUAAGUACAUUGAAAGUGUCAGUAGCCUAGUGGUAAAAUACCUUGCCACUUGACCAACCAACCUGGUUUCGCAUCCAGGGGUCUACAUAUCUUUAAUUUCAAAUCAUGUAAAACGAUGUUGUUUCAUCUCAUUUGAAAACGACGUCGUUUCACUUCACGAUGUCAAAUAUUUCUGUUAAAUUUGUUGAUGGCGUGCUAAAUUGGCAAGUCAGCGAAAACAUAAACGAUGUCAAAUAUUUCUGUUAAAUUUGUUGAUGGCGUGCUAAAUUGGCAAGUCAGCGAAAACAUAAACGAUGUCAAAUAUUUCUGUUAAAUUUGUUGAUGGCGUGCUAAAUUGGCAAGUCAGCGAAAACAUAAACGAUGUCAAAUAUUUCUGUUAAAUUUGUUGAUGGCGUGCUAAAUUGGCAAGUCAGCGAAAACAUAAACGAUGUCAAAUAUUUCUGUUAAAUUUGUUGAUGGCGUGCUAAAUUGGCAAGUCAGCGAAAACAUUGUUAAUUAAUUCUAAAGUCAAUGAAAGUUUGGUGUUUUUUUGGUCAGCUUAAAAGUUCUUUUUUUUUUUGCCAAUUCGUGCAAAGUUGAAGUUUUUUUGGCCGAAUUCUCAAAUAAAUUUGUACUACUGUUUGUUCUUUGUUUUAGGGGUAAGAGAAGACAUUUUUGAAUAACUUUUGUUUCAUGUAUUUUGGCAAAACUAAAAGUUCGAAUUUUGGGAUAGUAAUCCGAUAUUUUAAAUAUAGCUUUCUACUGUGAAAUUGAUUUUUUUUUACAACGUCAUUCUUUAUUAAAUUAACCUUGAGUUUACAUAAUCAGCAUGUAGCAUAUAAGAAACAAAAGUUGGGACAUAUGAAUGAAAAACGAAAGAAGGCGCUCCAGGCUUAUGCUCCUUUGCCAAUUUAUCUGCUACACCAUUUGCUUCUCGAGGAAUCCAUUGUAUUUUUAGCUCCUGCAUUUUUGAUUGCCACCAGUGUAUCUCUCUUGUCCAGUUAUAUAAAUCAAAAUGUAGAGCUCUGUUCUGUAGAAUAUCAAUAGCUUUUUUGCAAUCACUUUCAAUUAUCACCUUUUUGUAUCCUUUGCUCCAACAGUAAUGAAUUGCCAUGAGUAUUGCCUGCAUUUCACUUUCCAAUGAACUCUGAACUUUUCUACCAACACAUUGAACUGCUCCCAUAUACACGCCUCUAUCAUUCCUCAAUACCCAACCAGCUUUACUCUCAACUGUAUUCCUAAGGAAGGAUCCAUCGACAUUGCAUUUUAUCCAUCCAUCCGGUGGUUUUCUCCAAAACUUAUGAUCGGAUCUACUGUACGAAGAAACAUUACCCAGUCUGAUGAAUCCUGAGUUCUCCCAAGUAUUAUCCUUCCAUUCCAUUGCAUCAUUCCUUGCUAAAUGAAUCAAUAUCUUCUAAUGUAUCUGCUUCUGUUGAAAAAUUAGGUGGUUUCUACUCUUCCAUAACCUCCAUAAUAUCCAGAAAGGUAGUUUUUGUAGAUGUGCCAUUCCCGGUGUACAACAUGAGAAACAAGCUUUCAUCCUUUCCUCAAAGGUCGCUGUUUGACCGUUAAUAGUCAUGUUAGAAAUUCUUGAUCCCCUCCAUACCAUCUUUGCAUAAGGACAUUGAAAGAAUAGAUGAAGUUCAGUUUCAACGUCCUGACAGCAACGCUUACAUAUUGGCUGUUGUAUAACAUGUCAUCGUUGAAGAUUAUCUCCUGUCGCCAAUGACUUUGAUAGCAGUUUCCAGACAAAGUGCUCGAGUUUAAGAGGCAUCUUGUUUUUCCAUAUUUUUUGUUUAAGUUGUGGAUCACCAAAGACCGAUAGGAUCACCUGAUUAGUAGGUAAAUGAGUGCUGAGCCAAUAGCCUGAUUUAACCGAAUACAAACUAUUCUCAUUGUAGUGCCAUCCCAAUAAAUCUUGUCUUGCCUUCCCACCGAUUUUUAAAAUAAGCCGAUAUUUUUAAAAUAUGCUGACAAAAGAAAAUAAAAAUAUAUAUAUAUUUUUUUUUGGUCAGAAUAAAGAAAUAUAUUUAAAUGUAGAAGAAACUUCAAGGCCCUCAGGUCCUAAACAGUUAAACAUAUAUUCUAAUUUAAGAUCUUUUUACCUUAAAUACAUAUACUCCAUCAUUCAACUAGAUUUUAACAAAUGGGACCACCAUUCAACUAGAUUUGUUUUCAUACAAUCCCCAUGCAUUUACCACAUUACGUCUUUUUCUUGUUCAGAAAUCUAGGCAGCAAAGUUUUUUACUAGAUUUGAUAUAACAAUAAAAACCUAAAUUUCCAAAAACAGAAAAACAAAAUCCAACAUCUAAACCCACUUUCCUUUAUGGGCUUCUUGUUAAAGAUAAGAAGCAGCAGAUCAAGUGAACAGACAAGGAGGAUAAAGAGAAACAUAACUCAACAUGAUUCUUUCUCUUCUAAGUCUGUGUAACACUACCAAAACUUUUGCUGAUACACACUUUAUUUUUCUUUCCUUCUUCAAUUGACAAUUUGUAAGAAGAUUAAAACACACCAUUUUCCCCUGUUUUAGUAUCAGAACAUACACAUCUAUGACAUCUUUCCUUUGCGGUUCAUCAAGUCGUGAUAAUAAAGAAGCACACACAUCGGUUGUCCGAAAAUGCAGAAGGUAAACCAGAAUAUCAUGUUUCCCACCUAAUCAUCACAUUCCAAAAACAGAGUUUUUUUUUUUAAGUUUCAACAUGAUGAGUUAAAGAUGUGUAAGUGACUCCUAUCCAUCAGAAAACAAAAGAGUUACUUUUCCAGUUUAGAGAGCAUACCAUGGAGCCAAACCUUUCUUGUAGAUAGUUUGUGAUAAAUACCAAAGGCACCUACUCAAACACACAUUGCAUGAUCAGAAAAUGUAACUAAAGGUGACAGAAGCUUCAAGAUUGUUUGUGAAAACUGACUGAGGAAAUUUUGUUAAUUCUUUUAUACCUGAAACAUAAUCCCCAAGAAAGCCCAUAGUUUGAAGAGACGACAAGGAACUGCGAUGCAUAACUGCAAGAAAAUUUGUAACACACGAGAAUAUAAGUAAGAACAAUACUUUUGAGUGUUAGCCUUUAUUUUAAUAGCUAGAGCCAGGGUUAAUGUGGAAGGUAUGUAUUAUACCUCAUGAAAGACUGCAGAGACUAAGAAAGCAAGGAUAAUAGCGGGUACCUGAAAAAAAAUGAGUGGAGGGUUAAAUUUAUGAAGCACAGAAAACAAUCUCGAUCAUCGCAAUUAACUACACUCACUUUCGGUAUGUUUCUGCGAAGGCACGGAAAGUAUACAUGUCGAACCAUCCAUUUAUGAACAGGCUGUAAGAAAAAAACAAGAUCUCAAUAAGAUUUUUUAAUCUGUUUUUUAUACAAAAAGGAAGGGGAUGUUUCAAGAAGAGAACCAUACCAUAUUCCACAUUCUCCAAUACUGACAAAGGUAGACAGUGCGUACAUGAAUUUUGGUUAGUAACGUAGACAUAAUAUGAUUUUUGAGUAAGACAAGAUUAAUGAAAACUCACAUCUCCCACGCUUUUUGCAUUCCACCAAUCUUUGUAGAAUUCACGAUCCCCGAAGCAGAGGAGCUCUGCCAAUAUGUUUAACCUGUGGACAAGAACAAUUCCAAAAGAUUUGUGGUCAGAAACUGACAUUAACACUCUCAGACUCUGAGAAACUAAUACUAUCAAAUUCUUGAUGAGAUAUCCUUUUAUUUUGUGUUCGUCAACGAAAAUCAUGUUAAAGGAGGAGGGGAUUGCGGCCUUACCAAAGGUGGAAGAAGCAGUAGAACAUGCAGAGCCACACGUAUAAAUUUGGAACUGAAAGCUUCAACACUCUUUCAAUACCGUAUAAGAGAUCCCCUUUCAAAGGAUGUUUUGAGUUCCUAACAAUAGGAUUUAUAUACUGCAACAAAGAAGUAGCAACAAGAACAUAAGAUCAAGCGGGCAAAAAUGGAGAAGUGAUGAUUUUCACAAGGAAAGGUUAAAAACGCACUUGCUCUAUUAUAAAUCCCAUGAAUCCAGUGAAUAUGAUCAGCUUUGCAAAUUGACGAGCCACCCAACCCUUCCGGAUACAUGGAGAACGUGGAUAGCUCGGCUGGGUAAAGCAAAGACGUAAGGGUUUAGACAAGAAACUUUUGCAAGUGAAAGAUAAUGUUUGAUACAAUUAGCAGAAGACGCAUCACAUUACCUGAUAACACAAUGUGGGAGCAAGCAUGAAAUAAGCCAAGCUCUUCAAGCUAACAUAGUAGGAGACUUCAGGAUUGGCCUAAAGUUUUCAACAGUGUCUGGUCAAAAUAGUAAAAAAAAAAUGCAAGUGACCAAUAUUAUAUCACUUCUUCUACCUUAUCAGAUGAAUUAGCUAGGGUUCUUAUGUCAUAGUUAGUAUGAGCGUAAGAAACCAACUUCAGCCACACAAUGCAAGUGAGGAGCAUCAACGUGACACCUGAUAAGAAGGCAGAAUCACACCUGUCCGUUUUCAAGAUCAUCUAGUCAGCCAACAAAACUUUUAACAAAAAAAGAGUAUCACAAGCUUAAUUCUCACCUUAGAGUGACAUAGACUGGAUACAAGACCUCGGUCAUGGUGAUAAUAACAUGAAGAAAGAUGACAACCUUCAGAAAGAAACUUAUAAGUUGUUCAGGAUAAAAAUAUUGUCGUCCUCAACAAACAAUCCAGUAAAGGAUAGACUGUAGUUUACUCACAGGUUCAGAUAUGCAUUUCUGAAGUACUAAUUUCUCGACGGUAAAGGCAGCCAAAGGAAAGAUUGAAAGGGAGAGACUGCCACACAAAGUUCAAAACUUGAACAAAAUCUGAAUCACUAUAUGUACAAAGAAAGAAGAAGCAUUUGUACCAACACAUGAAAAGCGGCCAAUCUCGCAGCGACGUUGAACUAAACCAGAAAUCAGUUCUGAUCAACCAACCGUACUACAUGGAUGAACAAAAGGUAAGGUCUCAUAAGUUUGAAGGAAGAGGAGAAAGAAGUAAGUGACAAACCUUCAUGAGAUUUUCGAUGAUGAGUCUACUGUUUACAGCAACAAGAACUACUACACACAGGUUGAACAGUCCAGCAUGGCUCUGCCAUGAUGAAAACAAAUCACAUUACUCAAAUAAAAAUAAUUAAAAAAUAAUAAGCAAGUCAAGAAGUUAAGAAGUCAAUUUGAAAUUCUCCUUAGGCUCCUAAUGUUUCUAACCGCUCUGCCCCGCACGGCACUUAACAGUAACAAAGAUCUCUACAUAUACCAUAUAUCUAUAUGUUUUUAUAAUUGUUAAAACCAAACCGCAGUUGUACCGUUUAUCCCGCACCGCUCAAUCGUUAUUACCUUUCGGAGCAUAAGAUUGAUUACCUGUUUGAAGAUGGCGUCAGAGCUGAGUGGACUCUCCCUCACCCUCCGAUGAGCUGGAACCGACGGUCGAUACGUGUACCUUACAUCCACGUUUCCCCCUGCUUCUCCGCCGCCUCCACCUGAUUCCCUAAUUUCGUUUUCUCCGGCCAAAUUGGCUUUUCCUUGAGUAUCCUCAACAGCUGAAUCAACCCGAUCCCUCACGUCAGCAUCAGAAACAGUUACGGAAUCAGGAAGAAGUCCGUUGGAGGAAUCCGAUCUCGGUUUCCGGUGACGAAGCGUAUCGAGAUCGGCACCACCGUUCUCCGUCGGCAUAGUGACGCCUCCAGAAUCCAAAAUCUCCAUUUGCAAAGAGUUAGGUUUUAAGAAACGAAACGCAUGCAGAGGGAUUGUUGUUAGUGAAUCUAAGGAAUCUUAAAGUGGAUUCUAGGAAGAUUGCUGAAAAGAGGAAAUGGCACGGGGAAGCUGAUGAAUCGGUGUAUCGUGUCUCCUUCCUCGAAAGAGAAUCACGAGAGACAAAGCGAGGAAGAUGACAACAAUGGUGACGAAAGCCUUUACUGAAUAGCGGUGGAGAUAUUUUAUUUUCUUAUUUUCUUUAAGUCCCAAACAUAAUUAAUUUGUUUAUUUUUCUUCUAGUUUUUGAAUAUAUUUUCACACUUUGGGAUUUUGGAUGUUAUUCAUCAGUGAUUUGUACUAUUUUUUUCAUCGAUUUGGAAAUAUUAUAUUCUGUUUUAAAUAUUUGAAUAGAAACGGCUGGUUUCACAAUCAUGUGAAUGAACGCAAUUUUACUGCUAAGGAACAAAAAUAUUUACAAUAAAUACCAAUGGAACAAGGAAUAAUGGGCUGAGAGACUGUUACUGUCAGUGAAAACAAUGGCAUGCAUGGGUGUUUUCAAAUCUUAAAUCUCUACCUUUGACCACCUUAGCCUUUUUUACACAGUAUCAUUGGUUUGGGUAUCUUAUAUGACUUUCAUAAUUAUAAAAUAUUAAUUGCAUUAAAAUUAUAAAACAAAAAAACUUUAUUCAUAACUUGACACAUAGUUUUAGAUGUUUUCCAUAAUUGUUUAACAAUCUUCCAAACAAUAAAUUAAUCUUGUUAUCUCUCUUGCUUCUUAUUUUUUCAAGUUUUAAAAAAAAAUUAAUGAUAAGAAAUUCAUGCACCUCCAAUGCUAAUGAACUUUAUGCCUGGGAGUUUUUAUUUUCUUUUGACUAAUGAUGAUACUCCCUCCGUUUCAAAAUAGAUGAUGUUUUGGAGAGUUUAAAAUGUUUCAAAAUACUUGAUGUUUUGAUAUUUUUAUAUUAGUUUUAGUUUUACAGAAAACUGUGUCACCAAUGAUGUUUUAUAGUGGGUUUUGUGAUUGGCUGAAUUAGUUUUACUUCUCUAUUUUUAAUGUUAUUUUUUAGGAGAAAGAGUAUGUCUUAAUUCUUGUGCAUUCAUCUAAAACAUCAAAUAUUUUGAAACAGAGAGAGUAUAUAGUAAACAAAUCAAAAAUAUCUUCUUUACAAAAUUAUGUUGCCAUAUCACCAGACUAUUUAUCCUCUUCCUCAUUAUAAUUAUUUUUCAAAAGAAGAUCAGAUAUUUUAUUGAUUCACUUAAAAGCUUUUGUAUUCUAUUUCCAAAGCAUUAUAUCAAAAGAAAAAGUCAUGUAAUAAAAAUGUACACGAUUAUUUGUUGUUUAAGAUGUUUAGCAUUAAAUGAUGGUCAACUUUGUCUUCUUAAAAAAUGGUUAAAAUAUGUUUUCGACACACUUAUCUAAGAGGAUAGGACUCAGCAGAAAAAUUAAAGGUCAAAAGGAAAGUGUAUUAAGCUUCUCCCAUUCAUACGAGAUUCAGACUAAACCGACUCAAUAGCCUUGCGUUAGAAAGAGUUCACAUUCGACACCAACUACUGAACCACGGACCUUUUCCAAUAAUUUGGUCUAAAGUCAAAUCAAGCCGAACCGGACCAAAAACAUUACAGUUCCACUAACCACAACUGAACAUUUAUGAAACGGAUGAAAUCUUGUACUCUUUUCCAGGGGCAAGAACUUAAGAAAGGCUAAUAAAAAGCUUAUUUUAAUACCUCUUUAGGGUUAUUGGGCCAAACCGAGAAACUGUAAAGAGAUUCACAAUAAGCUACUACGAAACGUGCAGAGAUGGCUUCCAAAUUGAGAGAUGACAUCAACCAGACCUCCAUAGCCUCCCACAGCAACUACCUUUAAUAUACACAAGCAUUGGAUCAAAGGGUUAAACAUCAAGAGCUUAUACUCCCAAAAGAGGAAACAACUUCGCAAUAGCAUAUACAACAAUAACAUAGCUUUAUCUCUGGAUAUUUCGAUUUGUUGAGUUGAGGCUUGGAUGAAAAUAAACUAAAUAUAGGACAAGGGAUGAAAAGAAAGACGUGUUGAGAAAAAGGACAAGAAACUUACUCCUGCUGGAUGCAAAGAAACUGAAAAUGCUGAACUAGGAGCACAAUGAAUUUGAGAAAGCAAAGCACCAUUUAAGUCGAAACGCCUUAGAAGUGGUUCUGCUCCUACACUCAAUAUCUGUUUGUCUGAUACUCGUUAGUUUAUGUGUUGAAACAACGCUACAAAACAAAAUGUUCUACCAUUUCAAAGGAAUUAACACUAUGGAUUCAUCAGCGUUUCCAGUUUUCAAAAAAAAAAAUCAGUAUAUCUUUUUUGUUCUGUUUAUCAAUUUUAGCUGCACUGAUACUAUAAAAGCCUACUGAGCCUCCCAAUAUUUAGAUUACACUGCUUAGAUUUUAAUCUAGUUCUGCUUACCUGCUUUUCAUCAAACAUCACAUCUUGUACAUGAGCAUGGGAGGAUAUUGUUAAUACGCAUUCUGAGGCAGGAAGAUUCCAUACAGCUAUAUUUUUACCCUGUCCACAUGCCUGAAAAUAGGAGACAAUCAGGUCUUUAAACUUCUUAAUGAUCAAGUAAGGAACAUACAAUGAGUUUUCCAUUUGCUUAAAUCUUACCAACCAACUUUCACUUUCAUCGAGAGCGAUAGAACUAAUGCGAAACCGGGACUUUUUUUCCUGGGAACCAAUCACUUUAAUGCAUUUCCCUGUUUUGCAAUCUGGUUGACAAACACACAGGGCUUACGAACUGAGUUUUGAGAAAGCAUUCAACAAAAUUGAGGAGCAUUAAAUCCCCAAGCACCAACAUGAAGACUUAAAUGAUUUCAAUUUUUUUUUUUAAAUCGCAGAUGAAUUAAACAAUAGUACUAGAGAUUACAGGAGAAAAUAGAAAUAGGCACGAGAAAGAUACCCCAGAUUCUUGCCGUUCCAUCCUCCGAACCCGUCAAUAUCUGGUGCAAGAGACUUGGUAGGAUCAGACAAAACCGCAAACGUGAUAUGAAGCAAGCUGCACUUGUAAUAGAUAAUAUAUAUCGAAACACCAUUACCUGGCUUGCAGAAUUACGCGAAACUAGACAAUGCAAAUAGUCCGAAUGCCCCUUGAAGGUCAUUUUGAUUUUACCACUUUCCUAAAAAAAAGUUUGUUACAACAAAUGAUUCUUGGAAGUUAAGAUCUGUUGUUGUAAAUACAGCAGUAGACAUUCAGCACGAUAAAAUACAUACCACGUCCCAACAGUAUGCGCAAGAAUCACCAGCAGCCGUAAAUACACUUGCUGACUAUAUCAUAAACGAAAAAUGAUGGAGAUCUGUAAGCAAGCAAUGAGAAGCACAACACUACAUCAUCAAGGUGAAACUACCAAAUAGAAACAGAGUUCAAACCUGAGGAUCAGCAGAAAUGGCAUUGAUCUCUGGCAUUGGUGAAAGAGCACCCCAAGGACCUCUAUGACAAAAGAAAAACAAUGGUGACUAUAAGCAUUUCUACAUCAGUACAACAGAGUCUUAUCAAAACACUACUACGGAGACUGACACUAGUACACAGAACUACUAACAAUUCGCACACCCUAAUACACUCCUUGUAGCUUUAACAUCUGCACUUAACAGAGGCUGAUAAGGUAGUAGAAUCAAAUAAACAAGACUCACUUGUGCUGUGGAUUAGUCAAUUCAAGCAAUGGCUUGACAAGGUUCUCUGUAGAAUCAGCAAAGUCUCUCCAUUUCCAUCCUCGAACUCUACCAUCAUCCCCACAACUACAGCAUUUUCCAGAUUCCACAUCAAUCCCAGAGCUUUGAAUUAACGAACAGUGAUUUAGAUCUACCUGAGGAGCAAAGCAUCCUCGUCUUCGCCAUAGAACUUGACAUCGUACGCGGGCCCUUCGUGUGCCCUAACCACUCCCUCAGGUGCAGCCACCAUAAAGUCCUCGCCUUUCGAGUACCCAAACGCCGCCGAUUGGGAAACAAGCGAGCUCAUCGAGUGGAAAGCUAGGGUUCCGUCGCUCGAAGCGACGACAAAGGCGUCCGGAUUGGGGGUUGGAGCCCAGGCGGUUCGAAAGACGGUACGAGUCUGAAUCUCUCGUUCCUUCAGGAUUGAUUCUCUAUACUCAUCCUCGUUCCAAUUCGUAGCGUCUCCGUACAUUUUCUUCAGAUGAUUCUUAGUGGUGGGAGAAGAUGAGCAAGGAGGAGUAGAGUUCCCUCUAAAGAAUUCUACUAAAUUAGUUUUUAGUCCCUAACAUUAGUACUAUUUAGUACUUUUUCCUCUGGAUUCCUUGGUGUUUCAUAAACCCCCAAUUUCCCUGUGAACGAGUCAGAAGUUCCCGUCGUCGCAAAAUGUAAGCAAUUUUUUUUUGUCAACUUUUUUAUUAUAAGCCCAUAAAGGCUAAACAAGCAAGAUCAAGCCCAUAAUUAUACAUUCAGUUUUAACGAUCAAGGUCCAAGAUUUGUACAAGCUAAAAUGAAUCGUUGCAGUUCCAGACGACACGAAAAGGCUGUUCGUUUGGUUGCCGCAGGUACCGGCAGCAGCGGCAGCGUUAACAUUCUGCGUUAAUUCUUGUUCGUUUCGUUGAUGCAGGAAGAUGCGUCUGACGCCGCGUCCGAACGUCGCGUCCUGCGGCUGACGCUGAAAAAACCUGCGGUCGCGAUAUAAUAUGCGACAGCGUUAGCGUCUGCGAAACGAACAACAACAACUGUCUUCAUUGACGCUGUCGCCGCCGCUGACGCCGAAACCUAAGGCAACCAAACGAACAGGACUUAUAACUGAAAACAGAUUUUUUACCCACGGCUUACAAAGAUUUAUUACCCACGGCUUACACAUGUCUUAGACAAAGACAAAGAUUUAUUACCCACGGCUUACAAGUCUUAAAGACCAAAGACUUUUCUGUUUUCAGUUAUUUGAAUGGUACAGUUUGAGAAAGUCCUAAGACAAGGACUAUAACUGAAAACAUUGUCCCUUACUGCCUCUAAAAGAAACUUAUGCCAUCCCCUAAUGGACCGAGAAUAUGGGUUGGUGGUGCAUGUAUAAGGAAGGGUGUUAGGGGAUGGCAAAUAAGAGCAUGCGGCUCAGUCUUAAGGCAAAAGACUAUAACUGAAAACAGAUUCCUUACCCCUGGCUUACAAAAAUUUUUACCCACGGUUUACACAUGUCUUCACAAAGACAAAGAUUUAUUACCCACGGCUUACAAGUCUUAAAGACCAAAGACUUUUCUGUUUUCAGUUAUUUGAAUGGUACAGUUUGAGAAAGUCCUAAGACAAGGACUAUAACUGAAAACAUUGUCCCUUGCUGCCUCUAAAAGAAACUUAUGCCAUCCCCUAAUGGACCGAGAAUAUGGGUUGGUGGUGCAUGUAUAAGGAAGGGCGUUAGGGGAUGGCAAAUAAGAGCAUGCGGCUCAGUCUUAAGACAAAAGACUAUAACUGAAAACAGAUUCCUUACCUACGGCUUACAAAGAUUUUUUACCCACGGCUUACACAUGUCUUGACAAAGACAAAGAUUUAUUACCCACGGCUUACAAGUCUUAAAGACCAAAGACUUUUCUGUUUUCAGUUAUUUGAACGGUACAGUUUGAGAAAGUCCUAAGACAAGGACUAUAACUGAAAACAUUGUCCCUUGCUGCCUCUAAAAGAAACUUAUGCCAUCCCCUAAUGGACCGAGAAUAUGGGUUGGUGGUGCAUGUAUAAAGAAGGGCGUUAGGGGAUGGCAAAUAAGAGCAUGCGGCUCAGUCUUAAGACAAAAGACUAUAAAUGAAAACAGAUUCCUUACCCACGGCUUACAAAGAUUUUUACCCACGGCUUACACAUGUCUUGACAAAGACAAAGAUUUAUUACCCACGGCUUACAAGUCUUAAAGACCAAAGACUUUUCUGUUUUCAGUUAUUUGAAUGGUACAGUUUGAGAAAGUCCUAAGACAAGGACUAUAACUGAAAACAUUGUCCCUUGCUACCUCUAAAAGAAACUUAUGCCAUCCCCUAUAGCAAGAUUGUUAAAUGGACCGAGAAUAUGAGUUGGUGGUGCAUGUAUAAAGAAGGGCGUUAGCCCUAUAGCAAGAUUGUUAAAUGGACCAUGAAUAUGAGUUGGUGGUGCAUGUAUAAAGAAGGACGUUAGGGGAUGGCAAAUAAGAGCAUGCGGCUCAGUCUUAAGACAAAAGACUAUUUGAAAACAGAUUUCUUAUCCACAUCUUACAAAGAUUUAUUACCCACGGCUUACACAUGUCUUGGCAAAGAUUUGUUACCCACGGCUUACAAGUCUUAAAGACCAAAGACUUUUCUGUUUUCAGUUAUUUGAAUGGUACAGUUUGAGAAAGUCCUAAGACAAGGAUUAUAACUGAAAACAAUGUCCCUUGCUGCCUCUAAAAAAAACUUAUGCCAUCCCCUAAUGGAUCGAGAAUAUGGGUUGGUGGUGCAUGUAUAAAGAAGGGCGUUAGGGGAUGGCAAAUAAGAGCAUGCGGCUCAGUCUUAAGACAAAAGACUAUAACUGAAAACAGAUUUCUUACCCACGGCUUACAAAGAUUUAUUACCCACGGCUUACACAUGUCUUGACAAAGACAAAGAUUUAUUGAAAACAGAUUUCUUAUCCACGGUUUACAAAGAUUUAUUACCCACGGCUUACACGGCUUACACAUGUCUUGGCAAAGAUUUGUUAUCCACGGCUUACAAGUCUUAAAGACCAAAGACUUUUCUGUUUUCAGUUAUUUGAAUGGUACAGUUUGAAAAAGUUUUAAGACAAGGACUAUAACUGAAAACAUUGUCCCUUGCUGCCUCUAAAAGAAACUUAUGUCAUCCCCUAAUGGACCGAGAAUAUGGGUUGGUGGUGCAUGUAUAAAGAAGGGCGUUAGGGGAUGGCAAAUAAGAGCAUGCGGCUCAGUCUUAAGACAAAAGACUAUUUGAAAACAGAUUUCUUAUCCACAUCUUACAAAGAUUUAUUACACACGGCUUACACAUGUCUGAAAACAGAUUCUUUAUCCACGGCUUACAAGUCUUAAAGACCAAAGACUUUUCUGUUUUCAGUUAUUUGAAUGGUUAUGGUUUGAGAAAGUCUUAAGACAAGGACUAUAAUUGAAAACAGAUUCAUUACCCACAGCUUACUAAUGUCUCGACAAAGACAAAGAAAAUGUAGGAGGUUUAAGACUUGUUGGAUUGGAAAUAACGACCAACAACCCAGAAAAAAGCCAUUAGUGGAUGGAAAAUAAGACCAAUGGCUUAAGAAGAUCUCUCCACGGCUUACAAGUCUUAAAGACAGAUUUAUUACCCACGGCUUACAAGUCUUAGGGAGAAAAGACUUUUCUGUUUUCAGUUAUUUGAAUGGUACAGUUUGAGAAAGUCUUAAGACAAGGACUAUAACUGAAAACAUUGUUCCUUGCUGCCUUUAAAAGAAACUAUGCCAUCCCCUUAUGGACCGAGAAUAUGGGUUGGUGGUGCAUGUAUAAAGAAGGGCGUUAGGGGAUGGCAAAUAAGAGCAUGCGGCUCAGUCUUAAGACAAAAGACUUAAAACCAAACGGCUUAUAAGUCUCAAGGCAAAAAAAAGACUUGUGAUUUACUACCCACAGCUUUUUCCAAAUCUGUUUUCAGUUAUUCCAAUGGAAUGGAGUUAAUGACCACAGUUUGAGAAUUUCUUAAAGACUGAGACUAAGAACUGAAAACAGAUUCCUUACUUUACCACCCACGGCUUAUAAGUCUAUAACUGAAAACAGUUUCCUUACCCACGGCUUACAAAGAUUUAGUACUCAUGGCUUCAGAGAAUUUGUUUUCAGUUAUUUGAAUGGUUAUGGUUUGAGAACGUCUUAAGACAAGGACUAUAACUGAAAACAGAUUCAUUACCCACGGCUUACUAAUGUCUGGACAAAGACAAAGAAAAUGUAGGAGGUUUAAGACUUGUUGGAUUGGAAAUAACGACCAACAACCCAGAAAAAAGCCAUUAGUGGAUGGAAAAUAAGACCAACGACUUAAGAAGAUCUCAAGACAGAGACUACUAAUUGAAAGCAGAAUCCUGAUUUCACUACUCAUGGCUUACAAAAGACAGAUCGGUAAAAAGACAUGUUGGAUGGGAAAAUGAUAUGAAAGACAAUGUCAAUGGGGCAGUUCUAAGCCUUGCUGGAUGGAAAUUAACGACCAGCUGCAGAGAAAAAGUUGUUUGGGGAUGGCAAAUAAAACCAAACGGCUUAUAAGUCUCAAGGCAAAAAAAAGACUUGUGAUUUACUACCGUAGAAAAAGUUGUUUGGGAUGGCAAAUAAAACAAAACGGCUUAUAAGUUUCAAGGCAAAAAAUAUUUCUAAACUUCAUAAAAUAUUUCAAAAGUUUCAGUAUUAUAUACCUUCAAAAUUAAUUAAUUUUAUUAAAAACUGAAUCAUGAAUAUUAUAUAUAACUAAUUUUAUACAAUUAUCAAUACAAAAUAUCAAAAAUAUUUAAAAUAGUCAUAUUUAUCUUUUUUUAAACAAUUAUUCUUAAAAAAAACUUUUAACAAAAACACAUAAUGAUAAAAAUAUAUUUUAAUUCGAAAAAUUAUAGUAAAUAUACUGUUACAAUAUGGUAAAACAGAACCGUACCGAACCGAACCGAAAUAGAUAAUAUGGUGUGGUUUUGGUAUAUACCAUAUAAAAACCGUAGGAUUUGGAUAUGGUUUGGUUUAUAACCGAUUAAACCGAAUAAACCGAACAAAACCGAUCAAAAGUAAAAACAUGUAAAUAUGUGCAUAUUUUAUAACUUCACAUGAAAAUCUAUUUGUUAUAUAAGUUAUUCUUUUGUUAAUAAUUAUUGCCACAUUUUUCUAUAGUAAUAAAGAAUCCUAAUUUGAAAAACACUUAAAAUAUAAUUAAAUAACAAUUCAUCGCAAUUGAGGUUUCUUAUUUUCUUAGUCUUUUUUUUAAUCAUUUUUCUUUCUUUUAGCAUUGAUUAAAUUGAAGUGAAGGUUAUAAAUUUGAUGGAUAAUAACUAGAAAAAAUUCCUCACAACUUUUUUCUUAUUUUUAAACGAACAGAGUUUCACUCGAAGAAGCAUGAAUUUGAUGAACACUAAAAAUGAAAGAGUGGAAAAACUUUUCUAUCAUACUUCUCUUUUGUUUUUUUUUUUGUUUUUUUUUCAAAAUUUCGAGCUUUGAUUUUAAUUCUAGAUUUGAUUAUUUCAUCUGAAGGUAUAAGCGUUUUUAUUUUUUUGUUCUUUUAUUUAAAAAUAUAAUAUUUCUUUAAUAAAUGACUGCGAUGAUAAUAUGACUCUAAAAUUUAUAUAAUAUGAUUCCAAACUAAUUAAUUAUGUUUUGGUAUAAAACUGAAUAAACCGAAAACCGACGGUAUAUAAACCGAACCGGCCCGAAGUAAAUAUGGAUUUAGAAUGAUAGUUAUAUUUUACUAAUCGAAAACCGAAAAACCAAAAAAACCGAACCGAUAUCCGGAUUGAACACCCCUAGCGGACACCCACCUACUAUUUUUAAAUGCAAAAAAUAUUGUCAGAACUAAUUUCCAAAAUUUAUUCAACAUAGAUAUUUAAUAUUUAAUGAUCUGUAGAUUUUGUAACAUAUUCUAUUUCCGGUUUGAAUCUAACCUCACAAUAAAUAGUCAGAAAAUAUUCUACAGAGCGAAAAUAUCUUCAUUUUAAAUGUAGUUUUCCAAAAAUCGAAAUAACGGUAGAAUAAUUCUCUUAAAUAUAUCUAUAAUAUUUAAAGAGAAACAUUCUGAAAAAUCUACUUAAAUAAAGUUGUUAGACUCUUUCAUUUUUUAGUCCAACCUAUUAUAUAUAACCAAAUCUUAUAACUAUAACCUAUUUUAUAGCAAUCAAAUAAAAUUCUAUUACUCUCCAUAUUUUAUCUGUUACGAUAUAUUACAACUUUAUUUUUCAUCCCUUAUAUCUUGGACUCAUAUCUCUAUCUUUAAUAACUAAAAUCUACGGUUACACUAUAUAUUUGUACCUGUGAAAUAAUAUGAUCGUGACAUGUUCAACUACAAUAUAUAUAACAACUACAACUAAUUAAUAACAUUCUUCAUGACAUAUAACAUUUCUUUUAUAUAACAUACUAUUUAGUAUAGUAGAAUAAUAUCUAUGAAAUGCAACGGACAUAUGCCACACCCAGACUUAUAUCAAGUUUAGUGGUAGACCAACUUAAUAUAUUAUUAGUAUAGUAGAACAAUAUCUGUCACGCAUCAUAUAGUUCCAAAUUUUUGCAAACUUAAACUUAAUAAAUCAAACCAUCUGUUAAAAACAAAAUUAUAUUUUCUUUUACUUUAAAUUAACUUUUUAUAAAAAGCAUUUAUAAUAAAAUUUGUUAUUUAAAAUAAGUUUAAAACUAUUAAAAACCUUACAAGUUUAUACUAUUAACUUAGCCAAAAAUAUGUCAAAUAAAUCUUAAGUCUCAUCAAUUCAGCAAAUAUAACAUUUUUAAAAUACACACAAAAGUUAAUGAAAGAGAAUAGGUCUGAGCAUUGGGUUUUAGGAUAGGUACGGAUCAUUUCAUUUUGGGUUCAGAAAUUUUGAACAUAACUAGGUAUUUUUUUGGUUCAAGCUUGGAUUGGUCCCUUUUGGAUCCGGGUCGGUUUGAAUCCAUAAGUCAAAUAUCUAUAAAAUCAAAAUACUCAAAUAUACCUAAUAUACACAAAAUAUUUUAGGCACUUGGGUAUCCAAUCAGGUCUCGGGUAUGAUUUGGACUCGAAAAGAGACAUGCGGAUCCAAAAAAAUUUAAUAUGUAAAACUGGACUCAAAACCGCACCUAUAUUUCCAGGUCUAUUUCAAUUUGGUUUUCCGGAUUUGGUAAAAUAUUCAUGUCCAAGGGAGAGUUUUUUAAGUGUACAUACAAAUUUUAAAUAAACAAAUUCAUGAAUUAUAUAAGGUAAACAAAUUAUCUUCUUCGAUAUCAUAUGAUUUUGUAACAUAAUAAUGUAUAAAAAUUUCAAAAUAUUAAUUCACAAAUUUUGUAUACAAUCCAAAAAAAUCCGCUCUUUUGAAGCGCGGAUCAAAAUCUAGUUAUAAUCUUAAAAGUAUAUCCAAAACAUAUUUUACAUUAGAUAUUUUUGUUUAAAAGGAAGAGAUACUAUGAAAAUAUACUAUAUUCCAGAUCUACUUAAAUCGCGGGUGUGGGUCAAAUCUAUUUUAUGCGUGGCGGGUGUGGGUUGGUUGAAAUUGAAUUGCGGAUACCUGCCAAUCCACAAGAUAAAAAAAGGUUUUUUUUGAAAACAAUUCUUUUGAAAAGGAAAAAAAAAUAUUGAUUUUCACUAAAAAUAAGAAAAAAUGGAAAAUUAAAAAAUAUAUUUUUUUUUAUUAUUAAAUAUAUUUUUAUGUUAAUUUUUUGAAAAAAUAUAAUUAUUUUUAUUAAACAAUUAUCCGCUGGUUACCCGCAAAAUUAAGUGGGGCGGGUGCGGGUAUAAUGUUUUCUUCUUGCGGAACAUCCGGAUCAAAUUUUUGAGUCAAAAAAUGACUCAACCCACAGCGGGGCGGAUCGGGCGGGUGGGUUUGACCCGCUUCCCAGACCUAACGCUCUAUAACUUGAAACUCCAUAUGAUCUCUCAUAUCUGUAGUAAAUUUGAAUAAUAUAUGUACAUAUAAAAUUACACAUUUACAUAAAAUUUGUAAAACUAUCCGCACUUUUAAAGCAAGAGUCAAAAUCUAAUUUGUUAUUUAAAACAAUAAUUGUAGUUAAUUUUGUCACACUCCGAACAUAUUAACAUACCAACUAAAGAUAAUUGAAGAAAAUGUUUUUCAUUAGCAUAUAACUCAUAAAUUCAUAACCAAUUUUUUAGUUUGAUGAAUCCAAAAUAAAUAAAACCAAACACCAAAUCAAAGUUGUCAAUCCCAAAGUAAAUAAAAAAAUACCAAAUUAAAACACCAGCAGAGCUCAAAUCAUCGGAGUUCGAAUCAUCAUCACUGGAAAUCGAAUCGUAAUCGCCGGAGCUCGAAUCUUCAUCGCCAGAGCUCCUUUCAUUUUCUCGGAGAAAGUCACAUGAAUCACUUUCUUUUCACUCUCAUUUUUUUUAGGUAAAACAAGAAAUGAAGAAUAAAACACGGGUCCUUGUAAUCCUGCAUGGCCUGUUUUGUCCCAUUUUGGAAAAGUCCAGUCCUCAUGCGAUGCCUGCUAAUUUGCGGGUCUAGAAAUUCCCGACCCAGUACCAUUCCGCGACAUUUUUUUAUAGAUCAGGCUUGCAGUCCAGGUCCAAGAUUGCCACCUCUACAUGCCACAUAAAUAAAUGAACAAUUGGUAUCUAUUAUUAGGCACGACGUUCAUGUUUUUGUCAUUGGUUGACUGAUUUCAAUUGUUACAAAAUAUCACAAAAUUUUAAACUUUGAAUAUAGAAAAAGCAAACAAUUCGUAAACUGUUGAGAUGGAAAAAGAAAUUAUUCAAGGCUGUAAAACAAUCUGGAUGUUCUGAUUCCUUUUAGAUCAUUUUUUAUUCCAAAAACAAAUCUAUCAGACUAUCAAAAACAAUUUCGAAGUAAAUAAUGAGAUUAAGCUCGGGUUAAAACAGAGUUUCUUAAUACAACAACAAGGACAACCCGCAAGUCACUAUGAGCCUACAGGCUUCCCGUUCAGUUUAGGGAAAGGAUCUUGCUUGCUUAGAACUACCACUUUGCUCUUGUGUGCCAAAUAACCUUUCACAAGGUUUUUGUAAAUCAAGAUCGUCAUUAUACAUUCCACCUGCAAACAACAGUAUCAGAGCUGUGAGUUUUAUAACAUUUCUAUGCAAAGUAAUCAAAAGCAACGAAUGAGAUGGAAACGUAGAAGAAACCUCAUCGAGAUCCAUGUCUAUCUCAAGCCAUCUAAGUGCUUUAGCAAUCACUUCAAGUUUCAGUUGGUGAGCUCUUGCCGGAUCACUUAGCUUCUGGAUGAUAUAACUGAAACAUAAUUUAAAAAAAAAGAGUUAUGAAACUGUGAAACUGAAGUAAUCUGAGAGUGUUUUGUAACUACUACUUACAUUUUCUUCAUGAGUCUCUGGUAGACUUGGAGCUCCAGCUUUUCCAAGACAAGGUACACACCAGACCUCAAGAACCUGAUUAGUAUUAAAGUUGUUCAGUGAUCUAAUAAUCAAAACUAAACAAUUUUUUUAUGCGAUAGACUAACAAGGGCAUCUCCACUCUCAUUUAACCUUUAGCUCUAUAACUAACCAGUCAUUGCUGAGCUGUCAACACAGCUACAAUACACUAGAAGCCACCUACGCUAAUCACAAUGCUCGUACACUACUAGUUUAAGACAAGGACCUAACAUUAAGAUGUAGAUAAGUACAGUAAGAUGUCAACGGAAAGACAUACCUAUCUUCGUGUUCUUGAAGAGCAUGCCGAAGAAGCCUGAGAUCACCCUUUCUCAGAGCUUGCACAACAUUCAUGUACUGGACACAUAGAAAAGUUUGAUUAAGAGAGAUAAGUUUGACAUAGCACUGAGGAGUAUUUUUGAAAACAAAAAGAAUGGUUGUUACCUCAUGAAGAUUAUACUUUUGUAAGAGCUCAUCUUUUGGUAUGACUCCUAAAGAAAGUUUCACUGGUAUUAAAUACUUCAAUAUCAUCCUGAAUAUAAGCCAAUUAUCCUCAUUAAGCAAUGAAACGCAUGGGGUUAAUCACUAAUCAGAGAGUAAACCACAAACAUACCUUAUAUUCCGUUCUCUUUUGGGGUUGCAAUGUUGUAAGGCAUAUGAUAGCUUUGUAUCAGCCUGCAAGAUUAUUAAAACAAGAACAUGUCCUUAUCCAUAUUUCAACUAAUACUACAAAAUGAACCACAGAAAAUCUAUCAGUGACUCACAGCAGGAAAAUUCUCGUUGAAGACUUCUAAUCUUCCGGUAUAAUACAUGUAUGUAACCUGUAUAGUUUGUGAAGAAAAGAAAAGCAUAAGAAAAAUGCAUAACCGAAUCAGGAGGCCAGAAACUAUAACUGAUUGCACAAGACCUUGUCUCUUCUUGGAAACUCCUCAAAGUCAAAUAUCCGAGCAGUCUCAAUACUUCUUAUUACACUUCGACAAAGAUUGACAGUUCCAAGCUGAAAUAGAGAAACAUGGGGACACAUUUUUAGUAAAUGGAAAAUCAUAUAACAAGUAAUAAACAAACUAUUUAUCCUGAGUUUCACCUUGAAGUAGGUCUUGAACAAUUGGCAAGUCACAUACAAUGCUCCAACUCGUUUUGGACCUUUACCCUAUAGUUAAAAAAAAACUAAAUAAGGAUCCUCAAAAGAAGAAACUCAACACAAAAGUUAAAGAUUAACAAAGACUAAGGAAGCUUACAGCAAGAACUCCAAAGACUUUCAUGAGAAGAGAUCCUGCUGCUUUCAGUUUCUCAGGGGAUUUUCCAUUAGAGGUCAACUCUUUAUCAGCCUGCAUUGCCAUUGAAAACCUUCAGAAAAUGUGAAACUAAACUAAUCUAUGAUUUUGGAUGAGUGAUAUAAAAGUGAAAGACUACCUUUUCAGCAAGAAUACGAACUUCAUAGCAAACUACAUAGAGAGCUUCCAAAGCCCAAGCAGAUUCCCAAUUACGAAACUCCUGAACAAAAGCGCUGCACAUAUAUAGAAUCCCAAUAUCAGACAUUGUCAACACACAAAAAGAGAGAGAAGCUUAUCUAUUCUUCUCAUCAAUGCAGCAGAGAGGGAACAAGAAAGCUUUACUUGGCAAACUUUUCAAAAGCGAGGUAUGCUUCGACUAGAUUCCCAACGCGGUAACUUUGUAGAGAACGAAACAAGUGAGCUAGUAUCUCGCCGUAUUCAGAGAACUUAUCAGAUUGUCUUAUCAAACUGCUAGCAUCCUGCAUCAUUAAAAAAAUAGUAGAUUUCACUGGAAUAAAGAUUUUUUUUUUUUCUAACUUCAUCAUUUUAUUAAUUAAACCUUGAUUGUACAUAAUCUUCAUGUAGAAGGUUUGUUAAGAACACAGGCACGUAAUUAUGAAAACAAUAUGAAGACAUAUCAUGUAGCUGAGUUCUCGCCAACGAAUCUGCCACUUUGUUAGCUUCCCUCUUGACCCACUGAAAUGAGAUGUUCUGAAUCUUCUCUGCCCACCACCGUAUUUCUCUUUUCCAGUUGAAAGAAUCAAAGUGAAGUACCAGAUCAUUUAAAAUAUCAAUAGCUUUCCUGCAAUCCGAUUCUACGAUAAUCUUGUUGUAGCCUUUUGUCCAACAGAACUGUACAGCCAUUAGAAUAGCUUGAAGCUCACUCUCCAAUGGAGAACUUACCGUAUUGCCCUGUAUCUGAACAGCUCCUUUAUAGAUUCCAUGUUCAUCUCUAAUAACCCAUCCUGCUGAGCUUGGUUCUCUUGUAUCAAUAAACGAUGCAUCCACAUUGCAUUUUAACCACCGGUUUGGUGGAGUUUGCCAUCUUUGUGAACUUCUGCUUGUAGGAGAAAUGAUAUGACCAUCCGAAGGAUUAUUAUCUUGUGCUUCAAUAUUUCGCCAUUCCCUUGCAUCACUCCUAGCAGCAGACAGAAUAUUCCUCCAAUGAAAAGCUCUCUGUUGAAAUACUAACACAUUUCUACUUUUCCAAAGCCUCCAGAGAAUCCAAAUAGGCAGGUCUUGAUAAUGACACAGAGAUGUUGCUGUUGAGACUUGUAAACAAACUUCUAAUUUUUCUUCAUAUGUAGACACUGUGCUGUCUAAAACCAAAUUAUUGAUACCUGAAGCCCUCCAAACUUUCUUUGCAUAAGGACACGUAAAGAAAAGGUGUUCUUCUGUUUCCUCUUCUAGCCAACAUCGCUUGCAUAUUACAUCAGGAGUAACAUGACGACGUUUCAAAUUAUUUCCUGUUGCAAUGCUUCUUGAAGAUAUUCUCCACAGAAAAUGUUUCAGUUUAGCCGGCACUUUCACUUUCCAUAACUUUUGCUUCAAAGCGACUGAACCAUACGUUGGCGGAAUGUAGUUAUUAUCAGGGAGGUGAGUUACUAACCAGUAACCAGAUUUCACUGUAUAGAGUCCAUUAUCCGUGUAGUGCCAACCCAUAAGAUCCUGCCUCGCCUUUGAGCUUAUCUUUAAUUCUAGGAUCUUCCCUACAUCUUCUUGAAUGACGUCUUCUCUGAGUUUAUCCAAGUUCCAACCCCUUCCAUUAUUUAAAACAUAAUCACUAACCUUACUGGUAAUAUUGACUUCUCCUCGUGGUCUUGGAGGUCUUGGUGGGUGAAGACUUAACCAGGAAUCUGUCCACAUCUUUGUUGACUCCCCAUUGCCAAUGAUGUAUCUCAUUCCUUUAACUAUCAACUCCUUUCCAUAGAGUAUUGAUUUCCAGGCAUAAGAAGAUUUGUUCUUUAGAGUAGCUUUUAGGAUAUCACCAUCUGGAAAGUAGCGUGCUCUCAAAACUCUUGCCAUCAAACAAUUUGGAUUUUGCAUUAUUCUCCACACUUGUUUUCCUAAAAGUGCUUGAUUGAAAGAUUCAAGAUCUCUGAAUCCAAGACCUCCUUCUCUCUUUGGAAUGCAUACCCUUUUCCAAGCAUACCAAUGUAGACCCUUUGACUCUCCUGUUCCCCACCAGAAUCGUGCUAGUAUAGCAUUGAUUUCCUCACAAACUUCCUUUGGUAAACGGAAUAUAUUCAUCGAAAAUAUAGGCAUGGCUAGAGCAAUAGAUUUUAGAAGAACUUCUUUUCCUCCAUGUGUAAGGUGUUUCUGCUUCCAUCCAUGCACGACCUUCUUAACCUUAUCCACAAUAUAUGCAAACAUCUCACCCUUUUUGGAUCCAAACUGCUCAGGCAAACCCAAAUACUUCCCAAUCCCUCCUUCAUUAUGAAUCCCUAAUACAUUUCUCAUUCUUGUUUUGACCUCUGCACCAACCUUACUGCCAAACGUGAUUGUAGAUUUACUCAGGUUGAUUGCCUGGCCCGAGACUGAUUCAUACUUGGAGAAUAUAUCUUUUAACUUCUUUGCCGCUUUAGGAUUAGCUAAUGAGAAAAACAGAGAAUCAUCAGCGAAGAGCAAAUGAUUAACUGCAGGAGCUUGUAUAGCAAUUUUUACUCCAAGCAGGGAACGAUCCCUCAUUGCUUUGUUACAGAGGUGAGACAACACUUCAGCACAGAGAAUAAACAGAUAAGGAGAGAGGGGAUCUCCCUGUCUUAAUCCCCUCUUCGGUGUAAUAAAACCCUCUGGAGCUCCAUUAAUGAGGACUGAAUAUGUAACCGUAGAGAUACAAGCCAUGAUCCACCCUAUCCAUUUUUCUCCAAAUCCCAUAUACCUCAUUGUUUCUUGAAGAAAUCUCCAUUCAAGACGAUCGUAAGCCUUUGUAAUAUCCGUCUUAACCGCCAUGUAUGAGUUAGCUUGUCUCUUCCUAGCUUUAAGGCUGUGGAAAAUUUCAUGAGCCACCACAAUAUUGUCUGAAAUCAAUCUUCCUGGUAUGAAAGCGUUCUGAUUUUCUGAGACAAUAUUUGAUAGAUGAUACUUCAACCGGUUCACUAGAAUCUUUGAGAUAAUCUUGUAAGAGACAUUGCAUAAAGCAAUAGGUCGAAAAUCCUUCAUUCCCGCUGGAGGAUAAAUUUUUGGAAUGAGACAGAGGUUUGUGUGGUUGUGCUGUGGGUCCAAGUCACCAGAGUUGAAAAACCUCUCUACUUCUUCCAGUAUAUCAACUUUACAAUCUUCCCAAAACUUCUGAUAAAAAGCUGCUGAGAAUCCAUCUGGUCCAGGAGCACGAUGAGGUCCCAUAUCAAACAGAGCUGCUUGAAUUUCAUCUUCAGUGAUCGGUCUUACCAAAUCAUCAUUCAUUUCCUGAGUAACUCUUGAUGUAAAAUCUGAGAAAACCUCUGUGUAGAGCUCGUGGUUUAUUUCUUCAGACGCAUAUAAGUUCUGGAAGUAUGAAGUAGCAACAUCUGAAACCUCCUUAUGUCCUUUACGUAUAACUCCUUGAUCAUCUUGAAUAGAUCUUAUAGUAUUUCUGACCCGUCUGGCUUUUGUAACCUCAUGGAAGUAUCUUGUAUUUCUAUCUCCUGAUCGCAACCACAUAAUCCGGCUUUUCUGUUUCCAAAAUAUCUCCUCCUCAAGAUAAGCCUGGUUAAGUUCAUCCCUGAUAGCAUUCUUAUCCUCUGUCGUGUAAUUAUUGGAAAUAAAAGCCUUAUCUAGCUUGCUUCUUAAUAUCCCAAUCCUUUCUUCUGAAUUAUUGCGGUGAAGCUUUUUCCAUUGCGAGAUAUGCUGUCUACAUCUUCUGAUCCUUUGUGUUAAUGGCUCCCUGACCAGUUGAGCUUGUCCCAUUCCUCUCCAUCCUCUUUUAACUGAGUCUUGAAAACCUUCCUUAUUUAACAUACGCAUAUCAUAUCGGAAGUAUCGUCGAGGUAUCUCUCUUUCUGCUGACAUAAAAGUGACCAUUGGAUGGUGAUCUGAUUCACCUAUUUCAAGAUACUCUGUGUGAGAAGCUGGGUAAAGAUCAAACCAACUGCUAUUUGCCAUGGUUCGAUCCAAACAACAUCUAACCACAUGAUCUCCUCUUUUUCCUGCCCAUGAGAACCUGUCACCUACUGACUGAAGAUCCGUGAAGUCACAAACUCUCAUCAUGUUUCUGAAGUCAAGAAAAGAAGCCUCAGACCGUAUCCUUCCCCCUAUCUUUUCCUUAUUACUAUAAAUCUCAUUGAAGUCCCCUAGUGCAAACCAAGGUUCACGCCUUCUGUUGAUGCUAAGUCUCAUCAGUUUCUCCCAAGUAUGAUGCCUAUACGCUUGAUUUGGAUGACCAUACACAAACGACAAGUAGAAGAGAUUUUCAUUGCAGGAAACUUUACAAUCGAUGAGAUUUACAGAACUGCUAAUAACUGAAAGCUGAACAUGAUGCUUAAAAAAGAUAACCAAACCACCCCCUAUUCCAACCGGAGAAACUAAAACUGAAUACACAUCACCAAGUUGAGCGCCAACAUCCCUAACAUAAUCAUCUGGUUGCUUUGUUUCUGAGAGGCAUAUGAUGUCCGGGAGAUAUUUCCUAUCUAUCUCCUUAAGGCGUCGAACUGUCGAGUCACAGCCUAGACCUCGACAGUUCCAACUGAGUGUCCUCAUGGCGGCAGAGGUGGUUCUGGGCCCACCGCGCCUCUCUGCACUGCUUGAGUAGCUUCAUUUCCUUCCUCAGUCUCGUACUCUCUUUGGCCUCUCUGUCUCUUACCUGCGUUACUUCCGCUUGCUUCACCAGUUUCCAAAGUAGUAAACUUUGCAACAUUUUCAUGAGCUUCUUGCAUCCAAGCUUUCCUCUUCUGACUUACGUGGGUCGACACCCCCUGGCCAUUAUCUGGUUCCACACUUCCUCUUCUGCCGUCGGAGAUCUGCGACUCUCUGUAGACACCCCUCAAAAGCGCUUCAUCUUCAUUCUCUGCCAGGGACUCAUCCGCAAUGCGCUCAUGCUCUGUCUGCACAGGAUCAUCCGCUUGAUCCUCAUCAGGUUGUACCUCUUCCUCUUGGAUUUCCUCAAUAAUAAUCCCUUGAUUAGGAACCAUUUCGUCAUCCUCAUUAUCGUUGCCAUUAUCUUCAUCACCAUCAUCUGGGCCACCAUCUGGUCCAUGUCCACCAUUGUUGAUGAUGCAAGCCCCUGUAUCAUGGGAAAGCAUCCCACAGGCUUCACAAAAGCCCCGCAGGCGCUCAUAUUGGAACUUGAGCAGUGUGUUUUCCCCCGGGAUAAACUGAAAGUUCCUCCGAAACUUCAGUGGGUGAGUCACAUUCCAGUUCAAUCUGACACGCACGAAUUCUAGUCUGCCACCCAAUUCUUCAUUAUACUCCAUCUGGAUGUACUGACCCAUCUCCCUUGCAAUGUGAACAAUCACCUCGCGAUUCAUGAACUGAUAGGGAAUUCCUCUGAUUUGUAUCCAAAACGGAAUGAAGUUAAGUAACUCCAAAUCCAUCAAUGGUGUCCACCGUUGCAGGACAAGCAUACGUUCAGCAUAUGCCCAAGGACCCCUGCGGAGGACCGUUUCCAUUGCUUCUUCUGAAGGAAACACGAACUGAAACCGUCUCCCUUCAAUGAUUCGACCACGCACAAUUCCUUCGAGCCCCCAAGUUCUAGGCAUUGCGGCAAUAAUUUCUCGGAGAUUCUGACGUCUUGGCAUGACCGGUCGUCCAAUUAUGGUGAAACGGUUCUCCUCUUCUGCUUGUCUGGUCACCUCUCUUGGAAGAACAAAAGGGGCAUCAUCGCAUCCCAAAUUGAUAUCCUGGAUCGACCUUCGUAACCCUUCCGCCAUUUGUUUCAGAAAAAAGAUAAACUUCCAGAGGAAAAUCAAAAGGUUUGCUAACGAAUUGGUUGAUAGUGUAGAUGUGAGAAUCCCUGACAUUGGGAUUUUAUACCCACAAAAUCGAAACCAUCGUUGAGCGGUUACAUCAUCACCAAAGGAAACAAACUCCUUCGUGGAGAGAACUGACAUCAUGGGUAAGUUCCAACAAAAACGCCCCACUAUGCCAUCAAAAUCACAUUCAACCACGAAGAUCGUGGUGAGAAAAUUCAGGAAUUGCAGAGGAUCGAAAAUCGCCUUUUUCAUCGCCUUUUAAGUCCGUUUUCUUAUAUUUUUACUGGAAUAAAGAUUUAAUUGAUGAAAAUACUUUCAAAUUUUUGUAUUAGGCAAAUCAAAGAAAGAUCAAAGUUACCAGCAGAUCUUAGUGGGUUUGGGCCCGAUGGUACAAAUGAUUUGUCAGCCUUCUGAGAAGCUAGAGGCCCAAAGUUGGACAAGUAAAAAAAUUUAAAAGAGCUUAUUUAAUUAAUAAGACUAAAAAUAAAAGAGGGAAAAAUAAGAUAACUGUGUGAGUACGUUUCGCGUGUGUUCGCUGAUAGGUAUCGUGACGUCUCCCACCCCGAAUUGAUUCUUUGGAUGAUGUUUUGAUUUCAUUGAUGCGUGUUUGGCUUCCGGAAUAAGAUCUGUAUGUGUAUCAUUUUUUUUUUCUGUUAACUUUCGUUUCUAGGGUUUUGAAUCGGAUCCGAUAAUGGCUUCAAUCUCAGAGAACGUUGUUCCUUCUCAAGGUACCUUUUGUUUUCCUGAUCUGAAUCGUAUCCAAUGGCUGUUUAUCUCAAUUUGGAAGCGGUUUAGUUAGAUUCGGUGGUUUUGGUUCUUCUCCUCCGCAGAUUCAAUUAAAAGGAAUUUGGAUGCUUUAGAUUUCCCAGGAAUGAAAGAUAUGGUCGAUUUCGAUGUAACUACUUACCUUAUCUCUUGUGUGUGUUUAUUGCUAUUAUCUUCCUUGUUUCGGGUGAUUGAAAGGUUGUUUAUAUAUGCAGUCAUCUGAGGAGCUUCGUAGUUCUGUGCCAGCCGCAUGGUUACAGGGGAGAAACUCUGAGUUACCUGCUCUUGAGGAGAUGUUUCAGAACCUUCGUAACCACAUACUACAGGUGGUAGUCUAUUGCUAUAAACUCAACCAUGAUCCGAUCCUCACCAGGUGAUUAUUUCACUUUCUUUGUCCAGAAUCCUCAAGCGCCUCUGGAGGAGAGUCUCAGGAAACCUGGAGCAUUGGAGCAAGCAUCUGUGCGUGUGGUUCAAAUGAUAAACGAUCCUGAACUUGAACCGAUUCUUGCGGAGUUAGGCGGUCAUGUUCCUACUGCUCAGGUAUGUGUGUGUUCAUCGAUAUUAUGUAUUCUAAGGCCUUUUCAUGUCUUUUACAAACUUAUAGAUUAGCUAGCACGUUUUACAUACUAUAAAGAAGGUAGCAACUUGACAUUCACCAUUAAUCUAAUGAUCUAAUCUAUCUGCAAAUUCCAUUUGUGGUUUUUGGAGAUCAUUAUUAUAUUUUCAUUUAACUGUGUACUUCGUAUAUAUACCCUUCCGUUUUCAGUAGUAGAGUUGUCUCCUCUUUUCCAUUUGUUUCAAUAUUAUUAUUAUUAUUAUUCUCCCUGUUGAUAAUUAUGCAAAUUUGCAGUUGUAUAACAGAAACAGAGAAUAAAGGCUUCAUUCAAGAAGAAGAGACCUUGAACAAGAUUCAAGUGAUGAAGCGUGAUUAUGAUGAGACGAAAAUGAAGGAGUUAGAGCAGAUCAGCGUGACAACUUAUAACAUCACCUCAAACGCAAUGAUGAUAAGUAUAUAUUUCUAAUCCCUUAGUGCAUUUUAAUACCAUUACGUACGAGUUCUUGCUAUAGACGUUCUUGUGGUUUUUCAAACCCAAAAAAGAUCUUAGACAGACACUAAUCUAAUAGUGUUCUGUCAGAUUCUGAUUAAGAGAUUGACUGGCUAUGUUAAUGGUCGACAAGAGUUGAUAUAUAUAUUCUUUUGUGUAGCACAGGUUGAAACAGUAGCUCAGUUUGGUGUAAUCUUUCUUCUUUUUGCUUUAGGAUUAGAAUUUUCUGCAGCAAAGGUUUGCAUGUUUCCACCCUCUUACACUUUUCUGGUUUCUUUGUUCUUUUGAAACUUUUGAGAUAGUCAUUGAUUUAUUGUACUUUGUGGUCGCAGCUUCGUGUAGUUCGUGCAGUAGCUAUUCCAGGAGGUCUUCUUCAAAUAUUUUUGUUCAUGUGCUUGAGUGGGAUAACAGCCUCGGUAUGUUCUAGUUUGUAAAUAGUAAUAGCAAUUGAGUAAGAAUGAGUUAUUAGGCUUAUUGUGUAUAAAUCAUGAAAAGGAAUGCAUUGGGUUGACUUGGCUGCUUCUUCAUUGCAUUGCAGUUAUGCGGUGGUAAACUAACAGAAGGAAUAUUCGUAGGUGCUUUUCUUUCGAUGUCGUCAACAGCGGUGGUAUAUUCUAAUAUCACUUUUGUAUUCUAAACUGUUAUAAUUUACUCCAUGUGCUCUCACUGUAUUAAAUUCUUUCUUUUGUUGUACCAGUUAUGUUUCCCUAAGUUUCUCUUUAGGGGUGAUCCUCAUAUGUUAUUUUUACCUUGCCAUGAUUCUUAUAUCAGGUGUUGAAAUUUUUAAUGGAAAAAAGAGCAUAAGUGCUCUACAUGGCCAGAUAACCGUUGGAACACUUAUCCUUCAGGUAUCUCAGUCACUCUCCAAACAAUAGCAUAGUAAUAUGAUUUGUACAGGCUACUGUUUCCGCUUACUCUUUUGUAUGCUACUGGAUUUCAGCUAUUAGUAUGUUGUAUCCUACAGUUGCUUUCAUUAGAUUUUUAAUAUAUGGCUUCAUGAAUCUCUAGGAUUGUGCUGUGGGUUUGCUUUUUGCUCUCCUUCCGGUUCUUGGUGGCACAUCUGGUGUCCUUCAAGGAAUGUUGUCCAUGGCUAAAUCGUAUGUUUUCUAUUUUACUGGAAGUUCUGUGAAAAUGUCGACAAUAUCCUGCUUCCUUUUUCACUUGUUAUACUGUUGUUCAGUGAAACCAAGUUUUUGAUAUUUCAUUUCUUUUGACCGUGCGGUAAUUUCUUUCAAGGUUGGCUAUUUUGAUUGCGUUUUUGGCUGCUUUGUUUGUACUGUCACGUACCUGGGUACCUUGGUUUCUAAAACUUAUGACAAGCCUUUCUUCUCAGGUAUACACAUAUUUUUACUUGCUUCCGUUUUUGGUCUUUAAAAUGUUUAUCAACUUAAGCGUUCGUCAAUCUUUGACAGACUAACGAGCUCUACCAGUUGGCCGCUGUAGCAUUUUGUUUGCUUGUUGCUUGGGUCAGUCUGAUCCUUUGUUCUUCUUAUCUAUUGGCUUUUUGCACAUGUGCUAUCUCAAAUUUUCAGUUCAUAAACUCAGUAUUGUUUUGGUUUCUUCAGUGUAGUGACAAGCUCGGUCUAAGUCUUGAGCUGGGUUCCUUUGCGGCAGGAGUGAUGAUCUCAUCAACGGAUCUCGCCCAGCAUACUCUUGAACAAGUAAGAAGUCAAUUUUGACUCUUUCGGACUUGUGGAUCUUUUCGCAUUUUAUUUGAACAUUCUUAUGCCACAAGUGUCUUUUGUGCUAUAUAUCUGUUGGUGACUUUAUGAAAUGCAUUUCUCUUUUUUGCCACAUAGAGCUCUUCUUAUCAUUCAUGUGCUUCCCUUUCAGGUAGAACCAAUCCGCAAUUUUUUUGCAGCGUUGUUCCUUGCUAGUAUUGGAAUGUUGAUACAUAUGCACUUCUUGUGGAACCAUGUUGAUAUUCUGGUAGCAGCUGUGUUACUGGUGAUAGUGAUAAAGACCGUGGUCGUUGCAAUCGUUGUUAAGGUCUUUGGAUACAAUAACAAAACUGCAGUACUUGUAAGAAGUGAACCCUUCCUUUUUGCUUUCACAUUGCUCCAAACCUUACUCGUAGUGAGAGCCCUUACAGUUUUCUUCUCUAUAGGUUGGAAUGUCGCUUGCGCAGAUUGGGGAAUUUGCUUUUGUUCUGCUAAGUCGAGCAUCUAAUCUUCACCUUAUUGAGGUAAGCAAUCAAAUGAAACUGUGUUGUGCAACUACGGUUAUAUCUUCCCGACUGUGUGGUACCAUAAUAGGUUGCUCAUAAUUUUGCUUUUGGUGGAGUGGUAACAGUGAAGGGUUUUGUGUUUAUUCGCAGAGCAAACUGUACCUCCUGCUUCUGGGAACAACUGCUCUAAGCCUGGUAUGGUUCACAUUCACACCAUUUCAGUUAUAGAACGAAUAUUUUGACAUGUACAUUAAAGUGAAUAUGUUGCAGGUGACGACACCAUUUCUAUUAAAGUUGAUACCGGCCGUUGUACAUUUAGGAGUGCUCUUACGGUGGUUCUCUCCCGAUAGCUCAACUGAGGUAAAUCAAAAACAUCUUUGUCGUCCUGUUUCUCUCUGCACACCUUUGGCACAAACUCAGCUUUUUGAUUGUCUUUUCUCUUCUCUGCAUGUCCUUACACUUUCCCGUUUUAUUUUGAAGCGCUUUUAUCCCGGUUUUGUUUUGAGAUUUUUGAAAUCAGGAUUCCGUUUUGAACUGUUUUUUAUUUGACUACGAUUUUCCUCUUUUAACAGGACUUUUAAAGCUUUUUGUUUUCUUGUGGUUUUAUCAAACCCAAGAGAUUAGGCAGACGUUCUUGUAAUGUUCUUGCUAUAGACGUUCUUGUGGUUUUUCAAACCCAAAAAAGAUCAUAGACAAACACUAAUCUAAUAGUGUUCUGUCAGAUUCUUGUUUGGGAACAUUGUUUUGGUUUUAUUUUGUUUUUGUUUUUGUUUUUCAAACCAAAAAAGAUCAUAGACAGACACUAAUCUUAUAAUGUUCUGUCAGAUUCUUAUUUGGGAACAUUGUCCCUUGCUGCCUCCUUGGUUCGAAAAGGCGUGUGGCGAGAAGAAGCGAAGAGACUGGCGCUUAGCGCCUAGCGCCACGGCGCCACAAAGCAAGCGCUUCAUGUAUCCUGCAAUAAGAAGGUAAGUUCCUAGACCUUCUAUAUGUAUAUCAUGCUGCACAACUGAAAAAACCAAAUCCAUAUAAUAAAAUUCAAAGAUUCUUAGAGCAAAACACAACUGAAAAUACCAAAUGCAAACACCAAAUUAAAAAAAAAAACCAAAUUCAAAAGCAAAUGAAACACCAGUAGACAAAGCUCUACUCUGAUUCAGAAUCCUCAUACUCCAAUUCCCUGUCAUAGCCAACACCUUCCUCGCCUUCAAUGUCAUCCUCUUCAUCAACCAACUCCAACUGAGAAGGUGAUGGACCAUAGCAUUUCUUCUGAGUUGAAGAGCUUGCUAUUCCUUUUCCUUUGUCGUUUUUAGCUGAAGUAGGAGUCUUUGCUCCUCUAGUAGUGUAGCUUGGCUCUUCAGCUCCUACUGCCUCACUCACCAUGGUCCAAGGCAGCCUGCCUCUAAAAGAAACUUAUGCCAUCUCCUAUAGCAAGAUUGUUAAAUGGACCGAGAAUAUGGGUUGGUGGUGCAUGUAUAAAGAAGGGCUUUAGGGGAUGGCAAAUAAGAGCAUGCGGCUCAGUCUUAAGACAAAAGACUAUAACUGAAAACAGAUUCCUUACCCACGGCUUACAAAGAUUAUUACCCACGGCUUACACAUGUUUUGACAAAGACAAAGAUUUAUUACCCACGGCUUACAAGUCUUAAAGACCAAAGACUUUUCUGUUUUCAGUUAUUUGAAUGGUACAGUUUGAGAAAGUCCUAAGACAAGGAUUAUAACUGAAAACAAUGUCCCUUGCUGCCUCUAAAAAAAACUUAUGCCAUCCCCUAAUGGAUCGAGAAUAUGGGUUGGUGGUGCAUGUAUAGAGAAGGGCGUUAGGGGAUGGCAAAUAAGAGCAUGCGGCUCAGUCUUAAGACAAAAGACUAUAACUGAAAACAGAUUCCUUACCCACGGCUUACAAAGAUUUAUUACCCACGGCUUACACAUGUCUUGACAAAGACAAAGAUUUAUUACCCACGGCUUACAAAAUUUUUGUAUUAGGCAAAUCAAAGAAAGAUCAAAGUUACCAGCAGAUCUUAGUGGGUUUGGGCCCGAUGGUACAAAUGAUUUGUCAGCCUUCUGAGAAGCUAGAGGCCCAAAGUUGGACAAGUAAAAAAAUUUAAAAGAGCUUAUUUAAUUAAUAAGACUAAAAAUAAAAGAGGGAAAAAUAAGAUAACUGUGUGAGUACGUUUCGCGUGUGUUGGCUUACUCUGAUUUUUCCUCUGCAAGUCGCUUCUUCGUCUUCCUCGUUCGCUGAUAGGUAUCGUGACGUCUCCCACCCCGAAUUGAUUCUUUGGAUGAUGUUUUGAUUUCAUUGAUGCGUGUUUGGCUUCCGGAAUAAGAUCUGUAUGUGUAUCAUUUUUUUUUUCUGUUAACUUUCGUUUCUAGGGUUUUGAAUCGGAUCCGAUAAUGGCUUCAAUCUCAGAGAACGUUGUUCCUUCUCAAGGUACCUUUUGUUUUCCUGAUCUGAAUCGUAUCCAAUGGCUGUUUAUCUCAAUUUGGAAGCGGUUUAGUUAGAUUCGGUGGUUUUGGUUCUUCUCCUCCGCAGAUUCAAUUAAAAGGAAUUUGGAUGCUUUAGAUUUCCCAGGAAUGAAAGAUAUGGUCGAUUUCGAUGUAACUACUUACCUUAUCUCUUGUGUGUGUUUAUUGCUAUUAUCUUCCUUGUUUCGGGUGAUUGAAAGGUUGUUUAUAUAUGCAGUCAUCUGAGGAGCUUCGUAGUUCUCUGCCAGCCGCAUGGUUACAGGGGAGAAACUCUGAGUUACCUGCUCUUGAGGAGAUGUUUCAGAAUCUUCGUAACCACAUACUACAGGUGGUAGUCUAUUGCUAUAAACUCAACCAUGAUCCGAUCCUCACCAGGUGAUUAUUUCACUUUCUUUGUCUCAGAAUCCUCAAGCGCCUCUGGAGGAGAGUCUCAGGAAACCUGCAGCAUUGGAGCAAGCAUCUGUGCGUGUGGUUCAAAUGAUAAACGAUCCUGAACUUGAACCGAUUCUUGCGGAGUUAGGCGGUCAUGUUCCUACUGCUCAGGUAUGUGUGUGUUCAUCGAUAUUAUGUAUUCUAAGGCCUUUUCAUGUCUUUUACAAACUUAUAGAUUAGCUAGCACGUUUUACAUACUAUAAAGAAGGUAGCAACUUGACAUUCACCAUUAAUCUAAUGAUCUAAUCUAUCUGCAAAUUCCAUUUGUGGUUUUUGGAGAUCAUUAUUAUAUUUUCAUUUAACUGUGUACUUCGUAUAUAUACCCUUCCGUUUUCAGUAGUAGAGUUGUCUCCUCUUUUCCAUUUGUUUCAAUAUUAUUAUUAUUAUUAUUCUCCCUGUUGAUAAUUAUGCAAAUUAAUGAUCAUUAUUAUUUUAUGGACUUUUUUUUCUCCCAUUACUGUUAUGAAUCUAGUGAUAAUUAUUUAUUAUAUAAGAACAACUGUUCUGUCUGUUUGGAUGUGUGCGUGCGUGUUUGGCUUUAUAUUCCUCUGCAAAUCUCUUGUCCGUCUCUACCUUGUUCGCUUAGGGUAUCGCUUUCGCCGUUUGAUUGAUUAAUCGGAUGAUAUUUCGAUUUAAAAUUGUUGGCAUUCUGAAUUAAUUUGUUUUUUGUUCUUUUCUAGGGUUUUCAGACAGAUCAGGCGAUGGCUUCAUGUUCAGAGAGAACUCUUCCUUGUCCAGGUACUUUUGCUGUCUCGAUCUAAAGCGUACUAGUCAUAUGCGAUUCUUGUUUUGUUAAAGAUUGGGUGGUUUUGUUUCUUCUUCUCGGCAGAUUCGAGUAAAAUUACCUCGCCUGCCCUUAAAUUCGAUGCUUUGGAUUUCCCAGCCAUGAAGGCUAUGGAAGAUUUCGAGGUAACUUCUCUUUUCUUUUCAUUCUUACAUGUUUUGUUUUGGGUUAUUGAAAGGUUUCAUUCUUUUUUUUUUGUUGAUGGUUUAUUGUGUCUACUUGGCUUAAAAGGUGUCAUCAUCAGAAAUGAUGAUAGGUGUCGGAAACAUGUCUGGUACGAUCUGAUCAAACUCAUGCGGCUGAAAAAGAUCGGCAAGUAUAGGACUAGGCGAAACGUCGAAAUCCUCCAUAACUCCAAAUCUCCACCCUACCACACCAGUACAGCAACCUGCGGAAUCAUGUCGCAAUAUAUAUGGGUUAGACAACAAGCUAAUAAUAAAAUAAAAUCUCUCCUACCCCUCCUAAACGAUUGGACACGACCGGAUUCCUAAAGAGUGCAUUGGCGACUCCUUUUGACUCGAAAAACAUUGAAAACAUUUGAAAAACCAUGGGAACCAGUGAGCAUAAUCGUAACCAUGCUCUGAUACCACCUCUGUAACACCCCCGAACCGUCCUAGGCAUAGGUCGACCCACCGGCCAACAAUCAAACAAGAACAUGACCGACAGACCAACCAACACCAAGGAUUGGAGAUGAAAGGCCAACCGGCCAGCCAACAAUCAAACAAGAACAUGACUGACCGUCCAACCCAACACCAUGGUCCGGAAGCGCUACGUGACGAGCUAGGGACGAUCCGGUCCGAGUCACAGAUUUAUUUCGCAACCUAGACUAGUUCAUCCACUAACACGUCCCGCUAAAUCAAAGCUUAAGGCUUUGCAACCUGUACCAUGAGUUAACGGUUCCGUUAGAUCGAGGCCUAAGGCUUUUCAACCCGUACCAAGACCUAACGUUGUGUUGGUUCGGACUAAACCAAUAUCAUAUUGGACCCGUUAAUUUUUUUAAGAUUUAAAUCCAAGACUUUUAAGAAUAUUUGCAAUACUUUAGGGAUCCCAAAUCCGAUAAAACGCAACGGAAACAUAAAUCGUAUAAAAAUCAAACCGUAGCCAAAUGCACUGCAAAUCUAUUCCGGUGGCCUACGCGUCCAAUCUCCUACAACCUAAACUCCUGCAAAAAGGACAACGAGAGUUGGGUGAGUAACAGAAGGUCACUCAGUGAGCUGGCUACCUAAAUACCUAAACCUAGUAGCUAGCUCAGACAAUCCAAAAAUAACAAUCAAUCUAGCCUAAGCGCAGAAAAUAAAGCUUUAAGGCUAAUCCCCAAAACCGCACCGAUUAAGGUAUGCUCGACCUUAAUCUAAUAAUACUAAUAAUAGACAUGGCCAAACGACCAUCUACUCAACGGAUCCCUAAUCUAACAAUCAAGACUCGAUCAACACCGUAUCUCGGUGCUAACACUAUCUCGAGGGUUCCUCACCCUCAAGACGACACAAUAAAACUAACUCGACACACUAUUCUAACUCUAGACUCAAUACUCUAACAUGGGUCCUGGUGAUCUCGUGUUCCUCCUCAACAUCGGCAAUAUCCUAUCUCCCUACCACAAAGGCCAGAAGAAGGAACUUUCAACCGACCGCGGCCCACAGUCCUUCGGGUCACCGCGCGACAGCCCACAGUCCUUCGGGUCACUGCCACAUUACACCGUCGUGUAAUAACUCAGCCAUAGGCCAUGAUCCCGUCUCUCUGAGUCUUCCCGAUUCAACGAAUAAGGGGUUUCCUUAAACCCGCUGGGUACGAGGCUGAGGAAACACUAAUCACCCUUAAACAAGCCUAGUAUGGACGGGUUACGCUCAUACUGUCGGCUACAACACACUAAUCCUAGUAAGACCAAGACUCCUACCACAAACUUAAAUACACUAAGGAGUCUACGACACUAACAGCUGUACUUGUAGUCCAGCCUAUAUGGCAUAGGAUUCGUAGUACUAAACUCGACAUGGAAGGAAAUCGGCCUAUAUGGCCUAAGAUCUCCUGAACAAUACCAUCCCUGCACAACAACAAUCACUACCAAACCAAGCAUUCAAUAGUCCUAAUAUCUCUAAGGCAGGUCUACUCCAUUACUAAACUACCCAUAAAUAAAUAAAGGAAAACAUGCAUCUCAAUCUUAACAAUUCAGCUACGCCAUAAUUUAUCAAACUAUACCGGUUAAUGCAUCAUUCAUCCUAGUCCUAGUCAGGUUAUAACUCAGUCUUAAUUCCAUUAUAUCUCAGCUUAGCCCAUGCUAAACUGAGUCCAAUUCAUAAAUAAAAAUAACCCUAGGACUCUAUCAUGCAUCAGUGUGAUAUUACUACUCUAUAUGCAACUCGAUCUAUCCUAAGUUCCAAGUGGAACUCAAACAAACCAACUCACGGUGUUCUUGCAGCUGGUUGAUCGGAGAGAGCCUAGCCAAAACCCAAUGCCUCUGUCUUCAAUGGACUGGUAUGGACGAAUCAGGACUUGGACAGAACCUCCUCGGACUUCUGGAUCUUCUUCUCGGACUUUCGGUAGAACAAUGGCUCUUAAAAAUGCUCUAACUUCUUCAAAACAGCUCCAAAUCCUUCACUUCCUUUUUCUACUUCACUUUCUCUCUCUAGCCCAAGUUUUAGAGUGAUGUUUAAGUGUGUGGAAUGAAUGAAACGAGCUGGGGGAGCUGGGUUUAUAUAGAUAUGGCCAACCAUUGAAAUGGUGCCACUCCAUCGCCUGUGUGUCGUCCCGCAUGCUUCCGGUCGCAUGCGCGGCGACACACGGGCGUCCAAAUGUCACCAUGCAUGACUCCUCUGCAUGCCAGAAGCCAGCACCACGUCCAGAUGUCAUUCAGCAUGGCUGGAGCUCAUGCAUCGCGACACACGGGCCUCUGGGUGUCAAGACGAUGCCAUGUCGUGCUUUGGGUGUCAUGCUGCAUGUGAGGCUUCAUCCUGCGGAGACAUGUCGUGCUACGGAGACACUAAGAUGCUUGGAUGAAGGACAGCACGUCCUGAUCUCUCAGAUAGGGCCACCUCGAGCUUCCCGGUUGAUUUGUGCGAUUUCNNNNNNNNNNNNNNNNNNNNNNNNNNNNNNNNNNNNNNNNNNNNNNNNNNNNNNNNNNNNNNNNNNNNNNNNNNNNNNNNNNNNNNNNNNNNNNNNNNNNNNNNNNNNNNNNNNNNNNNNNNNNNNNNNNNNNNNNNNNNNNNNNNNNNNNNNNNNNNNNNNNNNNNNNNNNNNNNNNNNNNNNNNNNNNNNNNNNNNNNNNNNNNNNNNNNNNNNNNNNNNNNNNNNNNNNNNNNNNNNNNNNNNNNNNNNNNNNNNNNNNNNNNNNNNNNNNNNNNNNNNNNNNNNNNNNNNNNNNNNNNNNNNNNNNNNNNNNNNNNNNNNNNNNNNNNNNNNNNNNNNNNNNNNNNNNNNNNNNNNNNNNNNNNNNNNNNNNNNNNNNNNNNNNNNNNNNNNNNNNNNNNNNNNNNNNNNNNNNNNNNNNNNNNNNNNNNNNNNNNNNNNNNNNNNNNNNNNNNNNNNNNNNNNNNNNNNNNNNNNNNNNNNNNNNNNNNNNNNNNNNNNNNNNNNNNNNNNNNNNNNNNNNNNNNNNNNNNNNNNNNNNNNNNNNNNNNNNNNNNNNNNNNNNNNNNNNNNNNNNNNNNNNNNNNNNNNNNNNNNNNNNNNNNNNNNNNNNNNNNNNNNNNNNNNNNNNNNNNNNNNNNNNNNNNNNNNNNNNNNNNNNNNNNNNNNNNNNNNNNNNNNNNNNNNNNNNNNNNNNNNNNNNNNNNNNNNNNNNNNNNNNNNNNNNNNNNNNNNNNNNNNNNNNNNNNNNNNNNNNNNNNNNNNNNNNNNNNNNNNNNNNNNNNNNNNNNNNNNNNNNNNNNNNNNNNNNNNNNNNNNNNNNNNNNNNNNNNNNNNNNNNNNNNNNNNNNNNNNNNNNNNNNNNNNNNNNNNNNNNNNNNNNNNNNNNNNNNNNNNNNNNNNNNNNNNNNNNNNNNNNNNNNNNNNNNNNNNNNNNNNNNNNNNNNNNNNNNNNNNNNNNNNNNNNNNNNNNNNNNNNNNNNNNNNNNNNNNNNNNNNNNNNNNNNNNNNNNNNNNNNNNNNNNNNNNNNNNNNNNNNNNNNNNNNNNNNNNNNNNNNNNNNNNNNNNNNNNNNNNNNNNNNNNNNNNNNNNNNNNNNNNNNNNNNNNNNNNNNNNNNNNNNNNNNNNNNNNNNNNNNNNNNNNNNNNNNNNNNNNNNNNNNNNNNNNNNNNNNNNNNNNNNNNNNNNNNNNNNNNNNNNNNNNNNNNNNNNNNNNNNNNNNNNNNNNNNNNNNNNNNNNNNNNNNNNNNNNNNNNNNNNNNNNNNNNNNNNNNNNNNNNNNNNNNNNNNNNNNNNNNNNNNNNNNNNNNNNNNNNNNNNNNNNNNNNNNNNNNNNNNNNNNNNNNNNNNNNNNNNNNNNNNNNNNNNNNNNNNNNNNNNNNNNNNNNNNNNNNNNNNNNNNNNNNNNNNNNNNNNNNNNNNNNNNNNNNNNNNNNNNNNNNNNNNNNNNNNNNNNNNNNNNNNNNNNNNNNNNNNNNNNNNNNNNNNNNNNNNNNNNNNNNNNNNNNNNNNNNNNNNNNNNNNNNNNNNNNNNNNNNNNNNNNNNNNNNNNNNNNNNNNNNNNNNNNNNNNNNNNNNNNNNNNNNNNNNNNNNNNNNNNNNNNNNNNNNNNNNNNNNNNNNNNNNNNNNNNNNNNNNNNNNNNNNNNNNNNNNNNNNNNNNNNNNNNNNNNNNNNNNNNNNNNNNNNNNNNNNNNNNNNNNNNNNNNNNNNNNNNNNNNNNNNNNNNNNNNNNNNNNNNNNNNNNNNNNNNNNNNNNNNNNNNNNNNNNNNNNNNNNNNNNNNNNNNNNNNNNNNNNNNNNNNNNNNNNNNNNNNNNNNNNNNNNNNNNNNNNNNNNNNNNNNNNNNNNNNNNNNNNNNNNNNNNNNNNNNNNNNNNNNNNNNNNNNNNNNNNNNNNNNNNNNNNNNNNNNNNNNNNNNNNNNNNNNNNNNNNNNNNNNNNNNNNNNNNNNNNNNNNNNNNNNNNNNNNNNNNNNNNNNNNNNNNNNNNNNNNNNNNNNNNNNNNNNNNNNNNNNNNNNNNNNNNNNNNNNNNNNNNNNNNNNNNNNNNNNNNNNNNNNNNNNNNNNNNNNNNNNNNNNNNNNNNNNNNNNNNNNNNNNNNNNNNNNNNNNNNNNNNNNNNNNNNNNNNNNNNNNNNNNNNNNNNNNNNNNNNNNNNNNNNNNNNNNNNNNNNNNNNNNNNNNNNNNNNNNNNNNNNNNNNNNNNNNNNNNNNNNNNNNNNNNNNNNNNNNNNNNNNNNNNNNNNNNNNNNNNNNNNNNNNNNNNNNNNNNNNNNNNNNNNNNNNNNNNNNNNNNNNNNNNNNNNNNNNNNNNNNNNNNNNNNNNNNNNNNNNNNNNNNNNNNNNNNNNNNNNNNNNNNNNUAACCUCGAGGUUUUCGGUCAAUAAAUCUUAUACAUAAGAAAUAUCAAAACGCCUUUGCAAGGAUAAUAAAACUACCGCUGGCUAAUGCCGUUCCUUCCCGUCCUAGAGUAAAGGUCUCCCACCUACUGGUUACCUGCAUAUCAAAUGAGUCAUGAGUAACUAGUUUACUCAGUGAGUCUAAUCCCACACCCCAACAUAUAUUAAUAAUAUCUCAAGCAAUCAACUUCAUUUGUAUGCAGUGGAAAUAUAUUCCAUAUCUAGAUAUUUAUAUAUAAGGACUAUCCUUCCAUCAUUGUGAAUCUAAUCAUAUACCUCACUUCCUAUUCCCGUCUCUCAUAUCAUUCAUAUAAUCAUAUUUAUAUAUAUAUAUAUAUACCAGACCCGAGAAACCACAAAGGCUAAACGAGUCUAGCAAGUUAGCAUCACCAUCAUCGCCAUCAGAUAUUCAAAAAUUGAACAUCUAACGCUGCAUGCAGUUACACGGCCUCCAAGGUGCGACCCCAUCAUCGUGUCUUUGUGACCUUGUUCCAUAUCACAGGACCAAUUCACGGUAAUCAUCAUUCAUACGGGAAUAUUUUGGAAGACAGGUUUAUAAUAAGACUUCACAUGAUUAAUACUUCCAUACUUAAUUAUAUUUAACACUAUACAUAUGUAUUAGUACUUGAGAACAAGUACUAAGGUUUGGAAUAAACCUCUAUGAUCAUUCAUAAAUAUUUAAUAAGUGUUUACACUAAGUAAACACCUUACCAAUUCAAUAUUGAUCAAGAGACAAAGCCUAUCAAUCAUCUACAAUCAGUACGUUCAAUCAAGAAAUAUUCAUUCACUACUCAUCAAUCAUCUAUCUAGACUCACCUUUGAUUCUUUGAGAUUGGCUAAUCAAGACUAGACUCGAGCUCAAGCUAAUCACACUCCAUUUCCGGUACACUUGAGAUUCAAAACGGUCACAAUUAUCUGACUGAUCCGACCACUCUCCUUGAUAUCUGAAUUCAAACCAAGUGACUGAGCGGCUACAAGGAGUGACUGGACCGAUCUAGCAAAACUCUACAACCAACUAGACAGAAAACAGUUCUAUUUGAUGAACCAGCCUUAUCCUUGAACUUUACUCGACCACUGACCUGAAACAGAGCAGUUCAUAACAUGAUCUUCAAUCCAACAGUUCGGUUCUGAAGAAGAUAUUUAAAUCAGAUCCUAACAGCUCGGUUUACAACAAGGUUAAUCAGUUCAGCUUAGGUGUAGUCCAGACCAUGACCAGUUCAUUUCAGAUUAAAUCCAAUCAGUUUAUAAUAGAUGAGAUAAUUCUAUUCCAGCAAACUGAUUUAUUCUGAAAUAAAUAAAUCUGAACCGAAGACAGGUUAGACAAUUGAUCCAUGACAACCGCUUAACUAAAUAACAUCUGAUUCUGAUCAAGACAUGUCUGAGACAAGAGAUUGAAGCUUACAACAGCAACUGAUGACCAUAUGAACUCAGAUAAUCCUCCCCUUGAAACUGAACUCAUGGCUGGACUGUUUUAAAAGGAUAAAUCAGAAUUGGUUCAUCACAAAAACAGAACAAGACCUAGGGUUUACUUUGGGUACCUCACCUUCUGAUCUUCUACACAGCAGGGAACUGAGCUAGAGGAUGGAACAAAGUCAUCUAAGGACGUGGCUAAUUUUCCCAUAUUUUUUGUUCUGAUUUUUCUCUCACUUUUUCUCUUCUUUCUCAUUGUUUUCUCUCUAAACAUUUCUCUUGUUAUGCUGCAGGUUAUGAACGUCCAGAGGAGAGAAGAAGGUGUUUUAAAGCAUAAGGAGUUACUUCAGAUGAGGGUUUACUCCCACACAAGGCAAAGCUGAGGCUAGACAGGUGGAGACAUGCUUCAGCACACCAAACAGAACAAGCAGCUGAACUUUUCCUUCCCAUGAAGAAAGCUACAAGCAGCUGAAGCAAGUAGCUUGUGACCAGCAUGUGACUUCUAAUGAGCAACCAGGCAAGCAAGUAGGUGCAGGUCAUGUGACCUAAUUACUGAGGAAGCAAGUAGGCUAGAAGGUGCAAGGCAUGUGACUGCUCAGAAAUAAUUUUCAGAGUUUUGUCGAUAUUUUUCAAACUGUUUCGACUAAAUAUUUUUCAUCAUUCGAACCUCGUCCUGCUCUGAAUAAACUCGUCCAGCAUGAAUAAAAAUCGACAAUAAUAAUUAACACUCGACCAGAACCAUCAAGAGAUGGUUUUUUGACCAAAAGACAGCCCCGUCGAGUUUAAUUUACCGUGUCGAUUUUCAUUUAAAUUCUGAUCGAUCAAUCUUCAAACUGAUCUUAAAGAAUUUUCUCGACCAAAAUUAUAUCUGCUCGUGAGGGUUACUACAGUGAUCAUGUAGCGUGUCCCUCUGGCGAAGAAGGUCAAAGUGCCAUCUCCCGCUACCCUCGCAGCUGAAGUCCUGUAGGUGACCUCGACAGUGGCCAUGAACUGGCGGACGAGAUCGGGGUAGAGGUCGUAAGCGUGAGAGGGCAUGGUACCGAGUCCUAGCUGUGUGAUCAUGUCCUUAACAUCUCUCUCGAUCCCGAGUUUCUUCAUGAUGGGUCGGUCAAGGAAUUUGGUGGGCUCGAUAGAGAUUCCUAGCCAGGCAUUGUAGAAGAGGCUGUCGUAGUCGUCCCAGUUAUCGGAUAGAGGAUGCUGACGGCACUCGUUGCUGUUGAUCGCUGCCUUAGGAUCAGCAUAGCCCGGAACAUCGAAUGGUGUGUUUUCUGGGCGAGGCCAUGGAUGACGCUGUGCGUUGGAGGAGCUGCUAGUCUCGUCGAACCUCCUUUUCGACCUGAGUUCCCUGUUCGUGUGUUUGUCUCUGAGCUGCUCAUCUGAAACCAAGAAGAAAAGAAGGUUAUUAUUGUCGAUAAAAUGUAAUAUCGAUCGAUUGGUUAUACUGAACAUCGAUCGAUAUCGUCGUGUCGGAACAAUCAGACAAGAGAGCAUCGGUCGAUGCGAACAAGUUCAUAUCGAUCGAUGUGGAAUCGCGAAACCUGCAAAAUCACUCAACUCCAAAUCGCGUUUAUACGAAUUUAAAUGCAUGGAAAUCACAAACCGAACUCUAGAUAAGCAAUAUGAACUACAAAAACAUCUCUUAAUCGCACUAAAUCAAGCGUUCUAAUCCAACUCAAAACGAAACCCUAAUUUUUUCAAAAAUUGAAAAUUUCAAGUGCAUACCUUGAUUGUUGAUUUCGGGAGUGGAUUUAACAGUCACAGAGUGAAAAAUCGAGUGGAUUUAGGUGAAGAACGGACGAAAUCCGUCUAGAAGGAGAGAGAAAAUAGGUGUUUUUGUUUUCGGUUUCGUUUGUGAGUGUGGAAGAGGAAGUGGGUUGAUGUCGAGUGAAGUUAGUUGAUAUACCUUGGAUUUGACCCAUUUUUAUCCAUGGUAUAUAAGUAUUUUACUAUAUAUAUAUCUAUGUUUUCUACUCUUCUAGGUAUGUUUUCAGGUUCAGGUGCAUUUUGGAGUAAAGCUAUGACUUUGGAGCAUUUUGGAGCUUUAAGGACAUUUCACCCGAGCUGACCACUUAGAGGUGGACGAGAGGAAGAAUAAUCGAUCGAUGCGCAUCAGUGCUGACGAUCGAUAUCAGGAAAUGCCUCGACAGAUGAAGAUUAAUAUCGAUCGAUGUACACAAGUACCAUCGAUCGAUGUCGAGACACCAGACGCGACAUUUUGGAUUCAGCAGACUUAAAAACCAAGGCCAAGCCAAAUUACCAAAAUGCCCUGACGAGUUUUUAACCUAUUAGAAUAUAUACUGCCUAAGUGUUUUGACGGCAGAGAACAGAGCUUUUUCUAGACCUAGUUUUGUUACAAGUUUCAUUUGGGAGCGAAGAUCGCUUUUGAUUGGAACUCCUUGUUUCUAUUUCUUUUAAUCUUAUUCUAUGAGUUUCUAUUUCUCUAUUGAUAUGAAUUGCUUUGCUAUGUCUGAGUAGUUCAACUGUUAGAUCCAGGGUUCAGAUAGGUUUGUGGGAUUAGCCCCAAACUAGAGAUCUGCCUUGUUGUGAUAUUCAUGAUAUAUUUGUAUUCAUUGCUUGUUUUAGCCUUGCUAACUAGAACUUGAUCAUAGGAUUGCAUAUUCAAGCACCAUUGUUAUCCCAUCCUGACAUCUAUCUAUCAUAUUAGGAUUGCUAGAGAGGGCUAACCGCCAAUUUAGAAUCUUAGUAGGGCAUUUCAUACUCGCGCAUAGGCCUGGCUAGAACCCGUCGAUCGAUGUCCUCAACUGACAAUCGAUCGAUGUUGGCAAAGGUGUAUCGGUCGACGUCUUAAUAGACUAUCGAUCGACACUCUCUUGUGUCUGCAUCUAACCGGUGAGACACAAGAUCUAGUCUGUUAACCAGUGGUACAUGCGACAGCUGAUCACUGAGUUAAGCGAAUGAGCUCUAAUAUAUCAUGCAUGCAACAGUUAGGCAUCUAUAGGAAUUAUAAUCUCCAACACCUGAAUAGUGGCCCUGCAUCUAAUAUCAUUUCCAACCUAAGUUACAUUUAUCAUUUACUCGCUAGUUACUAUUGCUAUUUUAUUUAAAACAUUACAACCUUUAGAAUUAAUAAACACUAGAUUUAAUUGUUCCCUAGCUCCUUGUGGAUUCGAUCCCUAAGUACUACAUCUGAACCUCUUUUGAUGAGAGUAACACUCCUUAGGGUAAUUUGAGUGGUAUCAAAUUUGGCGCCGUUGCCGGGGAGCUUUGAUCGCCAUUAGAUUUAGUUUUAUUAAUUCUUAUUCUUUUCUUUACCCCCUUUCUAAUAAUCUUUUUCUUGUCUUUUCAGGUGCAUGCCCAGCGGUACCAGAAGCAACAAGGAGAAAGACUUGCUGUUCUCAGACGAUCCUGCUCAUUUGGAACGCACCAUCCGUAGAGGUCAACGUUCCACAUCGCUCGACGCAACAACAUCGUCGUCGAUCGAUACGCACAACCAACCGUCGACCGACACCAGACCGUCAUCGUCGAUCGAUCCCAAUCGUUCGACAACGAUCGAUACUACACCGCGUACGUCGAUCGAUACCGUGUCGUCAAAAAUGGUAAACAUUAUUAUUCUAACACAGGACGAGAACGAAAACCUGUAUGACCAGGACGGUCAUCUGCGUAAUGCAACAGGUCAGAAAAUAGACGCUCAGGGGACUGUAAUCCCUGAUGCUGAUGCUACAGGAGCUGCUCAACCUGUAGAUGAGGACGCUCGAUCGAAACCACUGGCCGACUACAAUCGCCCAGAUGAGUACUAUUCCAACAGAUCAGCGAUUCGACUUCCGGAGAUCCAGAAGCAGAAUUUCGAGCUGAAGCCUCAAUACUACACUCUCGUGUCGCAGAUACCCUACUCUGGGUUACCGCACGAGCAUCCUAUGGACCAUUUGGAACGGUUCGAGGAUCUAAUCGCUGCCAUUCGGAUGGAAGGAGUCCCCGAAGAUUACCUGCUGUGCAAGCUCUUCAGAUACACGCUGAAUGGAGAAGCGAUGCACUGGCUUAGGCAGCAACCCACAGGAUCUUUAACAUCCUGGAGCGACAUCAAGAAUGCUUUCUUACGAAACUUCUUCGAUGAGGCGCGCGCUGAAGAACUUCGGAACAAAAUUUCCACAUUCUCGCAGAAGGCUGGAGAGUCCUUCAAAGAUGCGUGGAUUAGAUUUAGGUUCUUCCAGCGAGACUGUCCACACCACGGAUUUAACGAAGUGCAGCUGCUAAGCACUUUCUUCCGAGGUCUCGCCUUACAGUAUCAAAUGGCUCUUGAUACGGCGAGUGAAGGAAACUUCACUACUCGGAAUCCGUUGGAAGCUGUGAGACUUAUCGAAAACCUUGCUAACAGCAGCAGCACCAAAAACACUGACUCUGAACGGAAGAAGUCUGUAGCCUCUAUCGGGAAGGAACAGAUGGACGAAGUAAGAGCUAAGUUAGAUGUGGUGCACGAGCUUCUUAGGAAGCAAGUCUGUUCAGCUGAAGGAGAAGUAGCAGAUACGGAAGGAGAAGAAAAUGUGAACUACAUCGGAGGUACCGGAUUCCAGAAAUUUGGAAACCAGGGCGGAAACAGAAACUUCUUUGGAAAUGGCCAAAGAAGUAACCAAAGUUCACAAUUUCAAAAACCCUUCAACAACAGCAAGAGCUACUCGAACUCUUACUACCAAAAUCCACCACCCCAGACUCAGGAAAGCAAGAUCGAAGAGAUGCUUGAUCGAGUACUGUUGGGACAACAACAAAUCACUGUGGAUUUCAACGGUAAGAUAGACUCCGCCUACAACAAUCUGAACACCAAAAUCGAGACCUUAGGGACUCAGGCGAGAAAACUUGAAACCCAAGUAAUUCUGACGGGCGAGACUAUAAAGAGGCAAGAAGCUUUCGCUAGAGAGGCAGGAGCCGACAAAGGAAAACACCACGUAAAUGCCAUCAUAGAUGAUGAUUUCUGGCAAGUGGUGAGAAAUGAAAAGCUUGAGGAAGGAGAUUUCAAAAUCGAAAGCUCCAUGAGUCUCGGCGGAUCCCAAUGGUGUCGACCGAUGUCGAUGAACUCGCAUCGAUCGACAGACCAUGAUGAAGAUUGAUGGAUGGAUUACUCCAGUCAUCGAUCGAUGUCGUCUGCCGAAUCGACUGAAUGCAAUGCGGUUCGAAUUCUAACUCAUGAAGAAUUUGCAGCUACGCAUCAUCACCCACUCUCCCCUUUCUAUGACAAAAUCGAUCGAUCGAUUGAGCCAGCCAUCGAUCGACAGAGUGAGUCCGACGUCGAUCGUCACAAUACACCUCCCAUCGAUCCACAGGCACCUCUGACAUACCGAGUGCGGUUACCCUCAAUCGAUAAUGAUUACAUCAAUGCACUCAGACCACCACCUAAACCAUUAGCAAACCCACCCGAACCAAAACCCAACCCUUUAAAUAGUUCACCAGAAUCAGUUCAAGAAGAACAAGAAUCUGAAGGGAGAAGGUUAAGGAAAAGAAAGGAGAAGAUUCCUAAAAACCUUAAGAGGGAAGCUAACGAUAAGGAGAUGGAUGGUUUCACUAAACGAGUCCUCAGAUUCCCAAUCGAAAAACCUUUUGAUGAAGCUUACUUCACACACCGGUUGUGGAUGUUCUUCAGAGAAACAAAGGUAACUGAGGAGGACAUUAGGAGAAUGUUUCAUCAAGUCAGAGAGAAGAUGAAACACAGGAUCACAUUGACGAAGAAGAGUGAUCCUGGGAAGUUUGCAAUACCAUGCGUAGUCAAGGGUGUUGAAUUUCCCCAUUCAAUGUGUGACACAGGAGCAUCAGUUAGUAUCCUCCCUAGGAUCAUGGCAGACCAGCUUGGUUUGACCAUCGAACCCUCAACAGAAUCCUUCACCUUCGUGGAUCUUUCAGAGAAACGAUCAGGAGGCAUCAUAAGAGAUCUGGAGGUACUGAUUGGUAAUGCCCUUGUCCCUGUAGAUUUUCAUGUCUUAGACAUCGAGCUUAACUGGAACUCUUCACUUCUGCUUGGAAGAUCUUUCCUAGCUACAGUAGGAGCUGUAUGUGACAUGAACAAAAACAAAUUGUGUCUAACGCUCAUAGACCCAAACAUCCACUACGAUCCCAUCCGACCUAAGAGAAAGGUAAUUAAUUCUGUGGAUUAUGGGAAAGAACUUGGCUUCAUUGGCGCAUGCCAUUGUGGAGCAGAGUAUGAAUCGGAGUACGAAACAGAGUACUCGGAAUCGAUCGACACCCCAACCUUUCCAUCGAUCGAUUCCAAUGUGUCAAUGGUGACCGAUGACCACAACAACACGUCACUCGACGUAAUGCACCCACUUGACCAUUUCGCUUCACCUAAUCAUUGUUACCAACAUUUUGCCUUCCAACCUCCAACCAGGAGAGGACAUGAUGAUUAUUCCAUAGGCAGUUGGGCAGACAGUGGUUUCCAUGAAAGUUUUGCAGUUGACACUGUAAUUACUUCACCUAAUGAGGAACAUACCGAGGAAUACGAUGAGGAUUACUGGAAAGAACGUGCAAUAGAAAUGUCUUUGCAGGAUGAAAGACUUGAAACACAUAAGUUCACCAACACGUUUCCAACAUCGUUCGACGCUGUGCACUCCACAUCGGUCGAUACCCACCCUCGUCCAGCAAAACAACCGCUCACAUCGAUCGACACCCCUAAAGGAACAUCGAUCGAUAUUCGCGCCGCAGCGAAAAUUCAGGAGCAGGAGAAUAUUCCCUCCCCAACUAGGUUUAUAGAUACCUAUAUAAAUCGUUUUGCACCUCCGAAACCACCUACACACAUCAGAGCAAACACACAAGCAAAAAAGAUGAACACUCUUCCUUCUACAUCAACAGAAAAAUCCAUGAAGAGCAAUCAUCUCAAGAACACAAGUUCUGCAGAAAUUACACUGCCAUCGAUCGAUGUAACUGUAUCUACAUCGAUCGAUACUACUCUAAACCCUAAUCUUUCUAUUUCUAAAUUGAAUGAUUAUGCAAACAUUGAUUACGGUUUUCUAACACCUGAUGAAUUUGGUAUUUUCAGGGACCCAGAUGGCAACGCACGUGCAAUGGAUGGAAGGAUUUUACAAGUGUCCAGAGAGGACAUAGCAGACAUCCUUCAAGUAGCCAAUGGACCCGACAACCUAUUCUCACAGCAACGUGGCACUCCAGACGUCAUUCAAACAGAUCCUAACAACCACGCAGGAGUCGCCACAACAGAGAUCAACCCAGAUCUAUCACGCCUACCAAAAGGGCAAGCAUCGAUCGACGGUACAACGGAGAAAUCGAUCGACAGGGUAACACCAACGUCGAUCGAUAUAUAGAUGAACCGACGUCGAUCGAUAUAGAUGAACCGACGUCGAUCGACAGACGGUAUGAAUGUGGGAAUCGCCCUUUCGACAUGUACGGAGCCAGAAAGUUCACUUGGGAACAAAGGGACAAGUAUGGAGUCUACAGAGAUGAGCGUGGACACGCACGAAGCGUAGCUGGUGAGAUGAUACCUGUCACAAAGGACAACAUCAGGAAAUUACUGGAAAGAGCAUCUCUUUUUGAAGAAAGCCACAUCUGUCUUCCAGAACAUGCCACUUCCUUCACACUCACAAGACUGGCACCAGAACUCUACACCAAAGAUGAAAUCGAUGAGAUGGUGUUUGGUAUUUGUGGAGCUCAGGAGAAACUGGGAGAGGAGCUCAAAACAUUGGUAGAAGAUACACAUCAGCCUUUGGAUAGAGGCUGCAACGAGCUUUUCAGAUGUAUGGCAGAAAUGAGGACAGAAAUUGAGAGUUUACGUCAGCAACUUGAGAAGGAAGCUACGACCUCAGCAUCGAUCGACGCACCACAUGCAACAUCGAUCGAUGUCAGUCUUCCUACAGCUCAGAUCCCUGCAGAACCGCAAUGUUCAACACAACACAGGGAUGAAUGCGAAGUAUCAUACAUCGACACGAGGAUAAACGACGUUUACUGCCCUCUCAACAACAACGUGGACGGGCUAAGCACUAAAAUCAAGCUACUACAGCAAGAUCUGGACACCAUUCGCAAGAAGGACAAACAACCAGCCACAUCGAUCGACAUGUGUACCUUCACAUCGCUCGACGCUAAAGUCUCAGCCAUGAAUGAGAGGCUGAGGACUUACGAGGAUAUGCAUGACCGNNNNNNNNNNNNNNNNNNNNNNNNNNNNNNNNNNNNNNNNNNNNNNNNNNNNNNNNNNNNNNNNNNNNNNNNNNNNNNNNNNNNNNNNNNNNNNNNNNNNUGAAUAUGUUUAUUUUAAUGAUGAUUUAUUAGUUAUUUCCAUAUUUUAAAAAAAUUUCCAAAAAUAUAAAUUAACAUUAAAUGUAAUAUAUGAGAUAUUACCACAUUUUAAAAAGUUUACCAAAAAUAUAAAUUAACAUUAAAUGCAAUGUAAUUGUCCAUGUCAUAUUAAGCUAUAAGACAUGUCAUCAAUUUCAAUAGCCAUGUCAUAUUUGUUUUGUGAAAUUGAUUGUAGAAUUAACAUGUGACAAAAUCACUUUGCAAAUAUAGUAUAGGGGAUUGAUGUUAUUUGCUUAAAACUUUUUGUCACAUUUUUGACGUUAUAUCCUUCUAAUAAUUGUAAUUAGUUGGCGGCAUGUUUUAAAUGUGUAUAUUUCUAAGUUUUAAAAUGGUUAUAACAUGUACUCCCAUUCGUUUUCCUGUAUCUGCUAAUGUACUUUGUAUAUUUUUAAAGAUGUCAAUAAUCUAUAGGUUUUGAUUUACAAUGUUGUAUCUAUUUACUCAUUGAAAAAGAAGCUGACUAAAUUGUGGAUAUUUUAUUAGAUACAAUAGCUUUACAUAUGUAAUUUAUGCCAUUCAAUUAUUUUGGGGGGGUAAUUCUAGCAAAUUUAUUAGGUUAUAUUUUGUUGUUUAUGUUCAAUAUUUUUCAAAAAUAUUAGUUAUCAUUCAAUAAUUAUUAAUUGUGAUUUUCAUGAAUGAUUAUAUUUUAUUUUUCGAGUUGGGUUGUGAGAGGAAACAAUUAUUUUUUCUGUAAAUGUGAUCUUAAAGAAUGCACUCUACAAACGUUCUCUUCAAGGUUUUUUUUCCUGUAAAUGUGAUCUUAUGAGGAUGCAUACAUACCAUUUUUCACUAUCUUGUUAAAAUAAAGCUCGCUUGAAAAUAUAGUAAUGGUCAAGUUUUGUGUUUGUUAGUGAACAUGUUCGAAUUAAAUGAAUUAAGAAUAUGUUGAAUUAUGAAAACCCCUUAAUAACGCUUCAUUAAUAAUUCAAAAGACAAAGAAAACUACAUAAGAGAUAAACCUUGCAGGGGCAAAAAAAAAGUUUUAAAUGAGAAACAAAGAUGAUAGCAAUUUAAAAAACUACUCACUGAAACAGAGGUUGACGGGAUGAUAUGAAUAAUAAAUUCCUAUCAUUACGGUGGCGCUUGCGGGUGUUUUCAAUACUUGCGGGCUAAUAUGUUGAUUUGCUGCGCUACAUUCCAUUCAUACCUUCUUUCCCACAACCGCCACGUCCGAAGAUGAUGCAGUUAAUCCCCUGGCACCUUCACUGCUUGGAAGAAUGUUCUCAGCAGCCUCUGAAAGUGAUGUAUAAAUAAAAGCUGGGAAAACUAAAGAUUCACCAGCAAGAUUACAAACGUCGGCCUGGUUGUCAAUGAUGAGAUCUUCAGUGAUGGUCGAGACACUGAAGGUAUGGUGGUUGGGUGUGAAGUUAUAAAGUGUCACACGGAUCUGAAACACACUCCUUGCCAGUAAGCUCUUCAAGGGAAGUAGCUCAUCCUCUCCACCGUUUGGUAGCUGUAGUAGGGCAGUAGUUUCAGAGGCAUUGGUAGUGCAUGCGAAAAUGCCAAACAAACUGUAAAUGUUUUGUGGGUAAAUGAGAAUACCUCUUUAAGCGGAAGGACAACAAAUUCUUUGUUGGUAAGCUUUGUCAUCUCCUUAUCAAAGACAACAAACAUAGCCGGUAUCUUUGCCGUCAUCCACAUCAAGCUCAACACGGAACCUUAGAUAGAGGAAUCCCAAGGUUGUUGACUACUUAAACUGAAGGUUUGCUUUAAUAAAUGGAGAAGAAAUUAAAAAAAAUAGAGAAAAGGGAUGUGUACACACCUCACCUUAGCUCUACUCUCCAUGACGAAUCUCAAGACACCAUAGCAAGCCCUAUACAAUACAAUAUCAUUCCAAAAUCAGCAAGAGAAAUGAAAACUACACAACAACUUUAGAGAAACUGCCACUGUCCCUAUGAAGGAAAUGGCUUGAUAACUAAACUAAGCACACUCUCUCUUUUGGGAUGUGAGCAAAAUCAAGUAUCAGUUGAUGAAUAAUAUUUUGCAGUAAGCAUUAAAAACUAUACUUGCCAACGGCAAGACCACCCCACUCAACUCAGCAAAGAACACACCGUCGGCUACAAACUACAGAAACUCAACACAGAUACAAUUCAAAAUACGAUUCCGCGAAGGAGAUCAAUGAGGACAGAAAAGGACACAAUGAAACUCACCUUCCUCUUCUUGCUGAUUUGCGUCGCCAUGAUGUUAAAGCCGCUGAAACCAUAGGGUUGGUUCGAAGAGCGGUCACGGGCGGAUAUUUAGAGGUGUUUGCCGACGACGGAUAGUAAGAGCGGUAGUCACGGGCGGAUAUUUAGAGGUGUUUGCCGACGACGGAUAGUGGUAUCAGAUCUCACCGAUGUCAAAGUAAAACACCUAAAUCACAAAGAACUCAAAAAAGUCAACACCAGUAGAAUAAGAGAGUGAAAGAGAGAUGACAGAGACAGAGUUAAUAAGGAACUUUGGAAUCAAGCUGCAACUCUUUGCUCUCGUGCUCGUCGGACAUAGUAAUUGAAGAGAUCGAGGAACCAGGAGAUGCCGGAGGAAGGAACGAUGAUAGUUGACCUCGAACCCGACGUCUUCUCCGAUAUCUUCAGGUACUUCCCGCGAGGAUUCUCCUUGAGAUCUAAGUAGAAUAGCUUUUGCUCCACUUGCAACGUCUUGCUCACCAAUUCAAGCUCAUUGAGGACCUGUCAGCACCUUCCACCUAUAUAUUUUCAUGUAUUGAGAGUUGCUUACGCUCUCAAGAGAGUUUAAAUAACAUCAAAGAAGAACUGUUUCUACGAUUUACCUCAGAUAUCCUCAGGAAAUGGCCCCUGUUAUUAUUCCCAAGAUCAAAGAAGAACCGUUUCUGGUCAGAUCUGAUUACCUUAGAAACACCGGUUUCAUCCUGGCCUGUCGAGUCAGUUGCUCGAUCAACAGUAGAAGAGGAGGGUUGGUUACCAUGGUCAGGUAUAAAUCCUACGCCCACAUCAUCUGAAACUCCAACCAGAUGUUCCUCUGCAUCAGAAGGCUUCUGUUUUCAAGAGGAAGUGAGAAUAAGACCCGAGAGAAACAGAGAGCUUAUUAGUUAACACCAGUAGAGAGUAUCCCAACCUGAUUCGGCACCAUAAGCCCUGAUGCUUCAAGGAUCUCAGCCAAUAUGUUCCUGAAAGCCGCCCAUCCUUAAUCAGAGAAAAAGGGUUCAUCUGUUUAGAUAGAGUAUAUAUAAAGUGGAAUGCAGGAGGUGUUAUGAACGUGAUCCAUUAUUGAUUAACAGAGAAAAGAUGGAGACGUGGAGGUAGAGUAAGAGAAACUGAUUCAUGGAAACACAAACAGUCGCUUUGUGUUUGGAUUAGUUAACUCCAUUGAAGAGAACGUUUCGAAACAGAAGAGAUCUACUGGGCCAUAUAAAUGAUUUUCUUUAACCAAAGUCCAUUCUAAGACUCAGGUUUCUCAAAACUAAUAACAUAAUACGAAGCUCGUUAACAGACCAGUCCAAUAAUGAAAAAAAUCACGGAUUAACAAAAGAAGCCCGAUUCUGUACAAUUUAUGGAUCAAAAAAAGACAGUCCAAACCGUGUCUGACGUGGAAGAAACACACAACCCUAUUGGCUAAAUAUUUCAUCCGACGUGGAGGGCCUAAAUGAUGAGGAUAUCCCCUUUUAGUAUAGUAUAGAUAUCAUAUGAUCAUUGGUAAUUGGUAAAUCAACUUGUCAAUCAACAACUAUUUAUAAUAGUGGGAAUCCUAUGCUCAUUGUACGAUGCAAUUGAUUGCUCUUUAGAAAUAAAAAUAGAUGGCUUUUAAUAAUGGAUUUUGAAAUUUUAUACAAUUAUUAUCGUUAAAAAACUCAAUGAUUAUUUUUUAUGUAAUUAUUUAUUUUUACAUGUUUAUUACGUGAAUAAUAGUAAUACUCAUUUGUCAUUCAUAGUAAAUUGAUGUGUUUACUGUUUAGAGCAUUAUAAUGAACAUUCUCAACAAUGUAAAAUCCAAACUUGAUGGCUUCAAAAAGAGUCUCUAGUCACUUGAUGGUAAACCACGACUUUCAGAAUCCAUUUCCAAACCACUACAACAUUACAAAGCAAAAGCACAAGAUAUCUAUCUACCAAUAAUAGUUUGCAUCUCAGUGCAAAAAGCUUAAUAACCUAACAUUCCAAUUGAAGAAGUGUGUACACACAACUACUAAAAAACGUUAUCAAGUAUAACUUUCCCCAGUUUGAUCCAAAAAAAGUAUAACUUAUUAACUUUCCCAGCAAAUUUUUAAAACUGACCCAUUGGAUGAUGUUGUGCAAUCACUCACAUGAUCCACUUGCUGUUCCUGUCUCUUUAUGUGGUGGUGUCCUUUUCAUACAAAGCCAUCGAGGGGUUUUGUGCAAUUACAGUCCUCAGAUUCUCUGUGAUCUCUCUUUUUGAAGUUAGAACAUUUCGUACCAAUCACUUUAUCUAACUCCUAUUUACUACACUGCUUCACAUGCCCAAACAUUUGUACCCAGUAACUUUUUUUUCUUUUUUUGUUCACAUCCGCCGAUGUCUUAAUUUAUUUUCCUGAUAAAUUGAUUGUUUUGGUUCUAAAGUACUUUCUCUUUAAUUGCCCGGUUAAGGAAAAUUAAAAUCUACCUAUUACGAAUUAGUAUGUUGGUAAGUACUAAGUAUGUAGAGAGAGGGGGUGUAAUAAUGAGGCGUGGGGUGUUGUGAAGUAUGGAGAAAAGUGGCGCUCACUUGCUUGAAACUAUUUUAGAAUUUUUACCCAGAAAUUAUUAAUUAUUUUAUAGUAGUAUUAUUGUAAGAUAUUUAUCUGUGUAAAUAUUAUUAGAGAUUGACAUUGGACCACUGAUCACAAAGUGCGAGAGGAAUAAAUUUUUACGGAGGCAAAGCGAAUGUGUAACAACAUACCUUAGAAGUCAGUGAAGAUGAAUUCUUUGUCCAGGUAAAAAUAUUUUUGCUAGUUAUACAAUUCAUGGGAAUAAUGUUAAUAAUCAAAUAUAGAGUUGGGUUCAAACUUAGGAAUUAGCAAUACACCUUCACUAAUUUUUCUUCUUUUUGUUUAAUAAAAUCAUUUUCUCUGCACACUAUGUCACUACGGAAUCCUACUGGUACUUAACUCAUUAGUCUGAUUGCAGAUAAAGAAACUCAUUAAUCUGAUUAUUUAUAUUUUGAAUGUCCGUCGUACGUUUUCAAUAUAUUUUCAAUUGAAUUACCAUCAUCUGAUUCUUUUUAGUUUGGUGUAAUUGUUUGUAAAUCUACACUAAGAGAAUACCUGUAUAAUUCAAGUUCUAGCCGCAACUUAGUUGAUCAUUUUCCGUAUAUUUCUUUGGCCAGUUUGUUAAUGGUGUUACUUAGAAACUUAUGUUUGUCAUUUAUCAUAUUUUGAAAAUUAACCGCAGUGUUUUAGAGCUUUUUGUAUGUAAAGGAAAGGAAAAUAAAAAUAAAAAUAAAAUGUAUAUACUCUAUUUAGAUAUUAAUAUUCUGAAAUAAAAUAACGUAAUAUUUUCAGUAGAAUUUUACAUGAUUUUAGGUGCAGGAACAGAAUAAUUGUUCUUUUACAUGGGUACAGAACUACACGAAUAUACUCAUAAUGAAUGGCUAGAGAGGCAUAAUUGGGGUGGGUAUAUAUAAUUAACAAAAAUAACAAUUAUACAAAAAAAAAUGCAAGAUAUUUGAUGAGAAUUGGUGAAGUGGAGCUGGAGCUGGAGCUCAGACCCGUCUUGUUUAGUUAGAUAAAUGUUAUCCUAUCUUUCACGACGUGGUGCUAUCAGAAACAUGUCUGGCGCUCGAAUACAACAAUUUCAAUUCGUAUACUUGUAACAAAUAUAUAAAAAACAAAUCAGAAGAAACAAGAUAAAUGAAAGGAUUGGUAUCGACCAAAAUUCCACCACUUUGUUGAAUCGAUCGUAUGCAUUAUAAGGACAAGUCUUUUCUGAUAAGCUUCUUUUGGAUCAUAUGAUAAUUGAUCAUCUUUGCACUAUACAUUAAUUUACACACACCUAUACAUAACAGUGUAUUUUAUAUAAAAAACAAAUUAUUAGUUGUAAAAGAAAAAAACUGUGGCGACAUUAUGGGUUGUCAAAAUAAUUAAAUAAACAUUAUUUUUAUCUACAUGUUUUUUUUCUGAAAAAAGCUUAUUUUUAUCUACAUGUUGACUCACUAAAAUAUCUCAGCGCCUCUCAAUAUUGCAUAUAUUUAUCGAAAUUUUUUUUGUAAACUGGCUUUCAUUCAUAACUUAAAAGAAAAAAAAGAAAACAUACAAACCAAGGUGGGCUUAAGUUUGUGAAGAGAAUGACUCAGUGUUUUUACUCUUAAGAAAUACACAUAUCAGAGGAACUAAGGAAGCCCAGUUGUAAUCAGGAGAAGGCCCAGUUGUAACUUUGAACCCGAGAAAAGAAGUGGAGUAGCAGAAGAGACGAUCAAAGGUUUUGCGCAGUGUUCAUCAUCGCCAACUCCGCUCAGCUUAUGAUCCCUGAAACCAAAGUUGAAUCAUCGCCGAGGAGGCCCGCGGGUUAGUGUUUCUGAAACUCUGAAGGCGAUUACGAAUCUGCUUGUCAAUUGUGGAGAUGAUCGUUUCUGGUGACUUGAAGACUUGUUGGUGAAGUCUGGAGUUACGUUCAGUCCAAAUCCAGUAGACGGUGGCUUGCACAGCUAGCAGAGUGAGUCGGCGGGAGUCUCUAUUUGAGCGAAGAGCCUGCAGUUGAUUAACGGUGUCGACCCAAGUGGAGAGUGGUGGUAGCUGGCAUCUAGUUGCGAUCUGAGUCCAGAUGCGAUAGCUGUAGGAACAUUCAAAAAAGAGGUGGUUCUUACUCUCAUGGUUAGUAUUACAAAGCAAACAGGAGGGAUCAACAUUAAGCCCCCAUCCAUUUAACCUGUCUCUUGUAGGGCACCGGUCAAGCACUACCAGCCAAGUGAGAAAACUGUGGCGAGGAAUACCAUAUAUUUAUCGAAAUUGCUUAGUAUUUUAAGUUUUCCUUAAACCCGUGAGCCGCGACCCUCCUUCGUGUCAUGUUGCUUGAUUCCUUCAACUCUCUUAUAUAUUACACAUGUUUUUGUCGCUAGCACACCCCUUACAGAUACAUGCACACUUAAAUUCGACGAUUACGAAUGCACGUUAAUGAGUAAAAAUGUAGUGUACAUGUAUCCAGAAAUUGAAGUACAGUCUUUAAUUAGUCCAGCUAUGUUCACACUUCACAGUCAUUUAGUUUGAUUUUAUACGAACAAAUCGCUUGGAUUUAGUAGUUUAGGAACACGUCAGAGAUUUUGAAUAUCAACGUGAAUUGAGACUUCUAAGAAGAAAAAAAACGUGAACUGAGACUGACAUAACAAACUAAAUAAUAGUACAAAUUUAUACAAGGAAUAUGGCAUAUUCACUCUUAUUCCCUGCCAUUUUUUUCUUGAACAAUUUAAUACAAGCCGUUAAUUGUUGUGUGUUUUCGUUCCCGCUAUUGAUUUGAUUUUGAACUAUGUGAAUUAAGGUUAAGCGAAAACGCGAAGAUGCAAAUAUCACCCGACUUAUAGAACAAUUUAAAAUCAAUAUUUUAUGUGUGGAAUCAGAUAAAAUAAUACAGACAAUAAAACUGAUAAUUGAAACAAUUUAAUAAAAGCGUUGGAUUCCAAUGUAAAAUUCUAAUUUUAUUUUAAAAAUUAAAUAACUCCAUAAUAGAGUUGAAUUUAUUAUAACCUUACUUUACAAACGGAACGAAGAAUAAAAUAAUGAAACAAAUAAAAUAAUCAUUAUAUUUAUAGAAUAAAUCUAUAUUUAUUCUAUUAUAAAAUAAAAAUGGAAUGAAAUAUAAACAUUUCAUAUUCCAAAUUCUAUUUUGGAAUAAAUUAUGGAGUUAGGUUAAAAAUACCCUAAGCAAUUCAAGAAGGUUUACUUUAGGUUAAUAGUAGUACCGUAGAACUGUAAGGCAGCGUGUCCUUCAGUUAUUGGUAGUCAAAGACUUUUAGUUUUAGGCUUUUAGCGUACUUGCUUAGUUAUUUGUCAAAGUGAUCUUUACUUUGCUUCGUAUAUCAGCUUUACGUGAGCCAUUAAAUUUCCUCUUUUUUCUCUCCAAAAGUCAACACGCUUAUAACUUUUAUAAUGGGACUGUGACUGACCGUAAGGAGAAAAGCAAUAAAACAAUAAUAGGAAAGGUAAAAGUAAAAGUUUUCCAAAUAUGAUCAACAGAAGGGAAACAAAUAACGGAGAGUCCAGGUUCUAUUCCAAUGCAUAAUUGAUUUACGUUUGGUAGGUUUUUAUAUGAAAAAGCGUUUGUAAAAGCAAAAACAUGGAUUGACCAUUUCGGUGGGUGGUUACAAAUACAAGUAAAUGCAUAAUUAAGGAAUGUUUCACCUUUAUUGCAAUUUCUAUCAACUAAGAAAACUCGAAAAUGUUCCUAGACCGAACCUGAAAUUAGCUUAUACUAGUUUUAUUUUAGAUCGACGUUCCCUUGUUUUGUUAACCACAAAAUUAACAUAUCAAAUUCAAGACACUAGAUUUUGGAACUUUCUCUUAUUUCUUUUUUCAGUGAACUUUAUACUGCUUAGUUUAAACUUUACAUAUAUACAUGAGACACUAUAUACACUAGAAGAGGUUUCGGAAAACAUGUAAUUAUUCAGUAUGUUAAUACCACUCGCUUAUGUUAAAUCAAUAUCUGUGGGAUAUAAAAUAAAACCCUCCUCUUUAGAAUGCCUUCACAAAAAAAAAAACUCCUCUUUAGAUAUUAAUUUUUGAAGCAAAAAAGUUGAAAGCGCUUACUUUAUUUUUCUGAGUGUUCUCGCUAGCUUGCUGUCAAACGAUUCAUCGUUCAUGAGAUCUUGAUUUCCAAAUAAGACAGAUUUGACUUUUGUUGGUUUGUAAUAUUCACUCUUACAUCAUCGGAAACACAAGCAAGUCUCUUCAUGUGCUCAUUUCCUUCUCCAUUAAUCUCUUUUCGGGGUUCUCAAUAUCACACACUCUCUUUCUAUUUCCUUCACAUCCAUCUCUGUAUUUUAACAUCUUCAAAAAACUUGUAUAGAAUGUUUAUUUCGAACCAACAUGUAUUUUUAUUAUUAUGUCAAAGAUUAUAUAAAGAAGGUUAGACCGUUUAUUCUAUUUUUUACUAUAAAAUAGAUUAAUUCUAUAAUAGAGUUUAGUUUGCUCUAAUUGUACUAUAUUUUAAAGUAAAAAAUAGAGUAAUGAACAAAAAAAUAUAUUUUAUAUUUGGAGUAAACCUAUUUUCACUCUAUUAGAGCAUCUCCAAAAGACAUUAUAUUUUGAAGUUUCUAAAACUCUAUAUUCGAAGUUUAAAAGUGUUUUUCUCCAAAAUAAAAAUUUAAUUUCAAAACUAUUUGUAUUUUAUCUUAUGGUCCUUAUAUUUUUUAUAAUUAUUUUAAAUUCAUAUAAAUUUUGUAAAUAACUAAGCACAUAUAUACAAAUAUUACAACAAUUAACUAAUAAAAUGUUAUAUUAAAAUACAAAUUUUAAAUAGAAAUAACAUAAUUAUUAAACUUCAAGAAAAUAAUCAUAUUAUUCCAUAAAACUAUUUUCGUAAUACAUAUAUGAUCAACUAGUAUAUCUCUAAGUAAAAAAUAACUCUCUUUAUUUUUAAUUUGUAGAUCACAAAUUAAAAAUUGUUGAAAUCAAGUGAUUUUAAACUUGUAAAUACACUAGAUCUGAACAAAAAAGUAAAAGAGGAAAAUAAAUAUUGCUAAAAGACUUAACUUCUAUCAAUGAUAUUAAAACUCAGUGAAUACAUUCGAUCUGAUAAAAAAUAAUCAUACAAAUUAAACAUCAAAACAAAAACCAUCUUCAGUUACACCAAAUUUGUUUGGCCAAUAUUUUGGAGAUUUUGGAGGUUCUGAAUCAAUUUUACAUGACUACUAGUGUUGUAAUAUUUAAAUUUGUGUAAUAGUUAUGUCUUCAUGUAAUUUUUGAAAAGAUUUUUUGUUGCUAAGUUUCUUUUGUAUUGUUGUUGUUUAAAUCUAGUUUUAAAAUAUUUUAAAUCUUAUUUUAAAGUUGUGUUUAAUUUUAUGUGUAAAACUUAAAUUUAUAAUAAAAAUUGAAAUUUUAUGAGAUAUGAAUUUUUUUAGAAUUAGUACAAUAAACGAAAAAAUAUUUAAGAAUUAUAAAUAUAAUAUGUAAUUGUAGGGAUCAAAAUGCAAUUAAAAUAUGAAACUUCAAAUUUGAAGUUUUGAAAAGUGAAACUUCAAUAUAGAGUUUCACUCCUCAAAACUUCAAAUUUGAAGUUUUUUUUUAGAGAGCCAAAAACUUUAUAUUUGAAGUUAUAGAGUAUAUUUUAGAGAUAGAGUAAAAAAUAAAGUACCAUUAAAAUAUUUUUUUUUUAUUUUAACAGUAAAAAAUAGAAUGAAGUUGGAAAUGCUUUUAGGGAGCUUUUUUGAAUCAUCUUUCCCAACACAUCACCGAUACAUAUAUAUAUGGUCGAUACUGGAUAUUUGUUUGACAAAUUUGUAUGAGAAAAUUUGGAUGUUCUUCUAUGUUAAAAUACGGAUUUGAAUACUUAGAUUUUGUGGAUAUCCGGAUAUCAUCUCCAGUUUAUAUGACCCAUAUUGGAAUAUAUGUUUACUCGUUUAGUAUUUAGAUAAAGUUUUGGUCACAUAUUAAAUUGGUGAUCAACUUAGACUGGACUCCACGAUAGUCAAAUAAGCAUAAGUUAAAUUAACGAAUAGGUGAAUCGGCUAGUGCCCGCAAUUCGAACGGUAUGCAGGUUUCCAUGGUACGGAUAGGGAACAUUUGCGUUAAUUUAUAAAGCUCCUUUGUUUUUUUCUCUCUCUCUGAAAGUAAUUAUGAAGCAUACCAACUUUAUAAAUUAUUUAGCAAAAAAAAAAAAACUUUUAAAAAUUACGUGACCCUUGUAGUACUAAAUUCUUAAAAUUUUGUCUUUAUUUAUCCCGUAUAUGUGACAUGACAACUAUGGCAAUUUAACGGCGUUAACCAUCUCAUAACUCAUUCGUAACCGGCGAGCAAGCAGGGUGAGUGAAGGAACUCAGGUCCCACGCGUCUCCUCGAAUGGCGAGCUUUCUCUCUGGCGCCAUCUGGUCUGUGGGUUCUACAAUCGGACGGCUGUGCUGCAGACGUUAAAACUCUCAAUAAUUCAAUGUUGAUGACUUGGCAUUAUAUCACUGGACAGCUACUGAACACGAAAGUUAUCUGACUAGCCAAGCUCGGAACAGAAGCUAACCUCUUUAGUUUCAUUUACUCUAGUUAUCAAAAUUUUGGCAAAAACUAUUAGUAAUAAAUAUUUAUAAAACAACUUUUUAAAUAGGUUAUGGUUAUAAUAAGAGAAGCUUCUUAAAUUUGUAGAUUUAUAGGUGAUUGUUGUAGUUCUUUUCUUUUUAUAGCAACUAUAAUUUUUUAUUCUAAGAGUGCAACAAGUGUAUUUAUCUCCUCAACAGCUUUAAAAAUGACGGGGACAUCUUACCAGCAGUUUAUGUUGACGUUUUUACUCGAAUUCAAAUCCAAAUAAAUGCUUGAAUUAAAAAAAACUUCAAACGCAUAUGUUUUUGUGAACACUGAAAAUUAACCUUUUUGCUCGUAGUCUAAAUGAAAUGAAAUUAUGAAACUAUAUGAAUUGACAAAAAGGUAAAGAAACUAUGGGACCCAAAGUGAAAAGAUGGGUUUAUUUGUCAACACCGUAACGGGUUUGGGUUGGUAAAGUGUAAACGCAGUUUUGAGCCUUGCUGGUCUUCUCAUUACACCGUUACUAGUUUGGUGAUUCACCAUGGGGAUAACGCUAGAACUGGAAAAACCAACAACCUAUGAACAAGUGUCGGAAUUUGAGCAGACUGUUCUGAGCCUUGCUUGUCUUCUCACUGCAACGUUACUCUGGUCCAAACAAAGAAUUAAUCUGAUUUAUGUGUGUAGUAACUGCCGCAUACAAGAGUUUUAAAUUAAACAAAAAAACCCUUAAAGAAAUAAAAGGCAGAAUACGUAUGAAAGAAGCAAAAUCUUGACGAAUCCAAAACGCUUCUUUUAUAAGUUUGUGUGUGAUAUAUACAUCGAAAACAUUUAAAACAGAAAAGCAUGAGAAGGAGAAGAAACGUGUGCUGAGUCUGUGACGCAAAUCACUAAUAACUGCCGCAAGCAUCCAUUUAAUUUCACAUAUAGGUCCCACUCAUCAUCCAUAUCAUCAUCAUCAUCCUUGAUCCACUUCAUUCACAACAGUAACAUCAUCAUAGUGAUUAUGAUGACGAUGAUGAUCAUCUGUAGUUUUUCAAUAUACGCUUUAAGUUUUGAAGAGAUUGAACCGGCCUAAUCACACAUUAGCAACCCAAAGACUAAUCACCCUAACGUUUAUCGCAAGCAAAUUAAGCUCGUUCACAUAUGCCAUAAAGUAUCAAUGAAAUAAAUAGAUCAAGAAAUAUUAAGUUUAUUACUUUUUUUUGGUCAGCGUUUUAUUACUUCUUUUUCACUAAACAAGUAGUCUUGAAAAGCAGAUGUUGUCAUAUCCUCACAUUGAGCGUUUUUUAUUGUUUUUCUUUUGUAAAAAAUAAACUGAUCUGUUUACUUUUAGUCUUUGUAAUCUUUUUUUCCUUUUAGAAAUCUAUUCAAACCUGAUAAUAAAAGCGAAAGACUAAAGCUAAAACCAAAUGGACAAAAUGAUCUAAAAUAAUAGUGGGUGGGACAAUUCCAAUUCCAUUUCUCCAUUAUUUUGGCCCAAUUUGAAAAAGAAAAUAAACAAACAUUAAUUGUAAAAAAAAUAUAUAAAAGAGUUUAGUGAAUUAAAGGUGUCAAUAUCACUAAAUACCCACAUAUUUUAAUUUCAGAAAGGGUUUGGUAUCUAGUAUCUACCAAACUUGUUCAACGCAUUUGAGUAUAUUCUUUUUACGACUAACUAAUCAUAUGAGUAAAGAACUUUGCAUAAUAGAAAACACAUUCCAUAUUUAUUAAUUUCUGAAACACAUAAACAACUAUGAACACCAGGGUCUCAUUAAGAAAGCAAGAACCCAGAGAAAAAAAAACAAGAACUGCAAUGUAAAAUAUUUGUUUGAUUUUAUAUUAUCAUACUAUAUAUAUUACUUAAGAACUAUCACAAAUUAGAAAUAAAUCCUAAUAUAACUUAGGAUUCGAUCCGUUGGAGUAAAAAAAAGAAGGAUUCUAACAACCCCAAAUAAUUAAGAAAAACCCCAUUUCCAUGUAUAAUCACAGACGAGAAGGAUACACAAACCAUGGAAGCUUUGUUUUUUUGUUUGCUCACAUAAUAUUGCAGCUUGAUGUGUUCUCAUCAUUGAAAUAAUUAGAAUACUGAUCACCACCAUGAGGCGGAUAAGGGUAUGGAUACGGGUACGGGUAAGGAUGUUGUUGGUGCGGUUGAGGUGGCAAAUAGUUGACCUCGGGUGGUGGCCGAGCGUACAUCAUCGGUUGGAACCGCUCGUUGCCCAUGGCUCGUUGCUGGUUCAUAACCGCUGCUAAGUAUUGUUGCUGUUGUUGUUGCUGCUGCUGUUGUAAGUAGGGAUUUCCCGGCAUUGAGUCUUGGCCGCCUCCCGAACCAGCAUGGCCUUGGAAAUAUCCUGGCGGGGCUCCUGCAGCUGAGCCACCACCGCCACCUCCUGGACCCAUCGCAGGUAAUCCUUGAACCGCUUGCAUAUUAUUACCCAUUGGACCAGGACCACCACCCAUUGAUGGUAGACUACCCAUUGGCCCACCCAUUGGCAUGUUCAUGGUCUGAGGUCCGCCAUUGCCACCUCCCAAUGGACGGAAACCUGGCGGGAGUCCUCCACCCAUGGGUCCUCCUCCGCCUCCGCCACCACCACCACCACCAGCACCACCCUUUUUGCCUCCGUUGGGACCACCUAUCAUCUGGCCUCCUCCUUUAUUAUUACCGUUAGGACCUCCACCACCUCCGCCAUUUUUUACAUCUAAUGGAGGACCACCACCGUUUUUACCGCCGUUCUUUCCUCCGCCUUGAUUUGGAUUCCCCACAUUACCGCCACCACCUCCACCGGGGGGACCUCCUUUCAUACCACCAUUACCUCCGCCGCCGCCAGGCAUUUGAACAGGAAAAGGAACACCACCGGGGCCUCCUUUACCCACAAUUUUGCCACCGGCGGGCCCCGGCCCACCACCGCCGUUAUUCUGAGCGUUGGGCAUCAUCAUCAUGUUAGGCAUCAUCAUGUUACCUCCACCACCACCCAUCAUAGGCUUCAUCUUGUUAGGCGGAGGGUGGUCGUCAAACUCGUCAUCGUCCAACUCAUCAUCAUCAAACUCGUCAUCAUCACUGAAAUCGUCGUCAUCAUCUUCAGGAACAUCAAACUUCACAGCCUUCUGAUUAGGAUUCUGAGGGUUCUUGUUCAUAGGAACAGAGCCAGGUCCCGGACCCUUUAACUGAGGUGGAGGAAGCUUCAGAUCUUGAAACGCUUUCAUCUGCUGAAGCUGUUGAAGCUGCUGAAGUUGCUGAGGACUCAGCUGCUGCAUCUGUUGUGGAGUUAACUGUGGAAGAAUCAUCUUCGGCGGCCCACCACCGCCACCUCCACCGCCUCCGCCACCUCCGCCACCGCCACCACCUCCCUUCUGGCCUUUGUUAUUGUUUCCACCGCCGCCACCGCCACCACCUUUGCCGCCGUGGUCAAUCUGCAUGCCUUUGAGCUGAUUAGCCAAGUUGGGUUGGUUCUGAUUGGUGUUAUUUGCCUUUGGAGCUCCCCAGAUUUCGGCAUGUUUACCAGAUUUCAAGAGCUUCUUGAUCAGGACCGAAGGUUCAACGUUUCCGGACACUGUCACUUUCCCUUGCUCUGCGUCUAUCUUUGUCGUGAAAACACCUGUUUCAGGUCCGAAAACAACAUAGCGUAAGUCAAUUGAAGUCUUUAGUCAAAUCAGAAUUAAAGUGAAAAUUUUCGCAAGUCAAAAUGUAGAAGGUGAUAUUUUGGAAGAUCUUUGUUUUUUAGCUUCUCUACCUUCAAUCUUCUGCAAGAUUUUCUUCACUUUCUGCUUACAACCAUCACAGUGAAUAUUCACUUUAAGAACACAAGUCUACACAAGAAAACAUCACAACAACAGAGUAAGCUCUCAUAUUAAAUAUUAGAAUAAUACCAUCGAAACAGGAAGAUAUAAUGUGGUGAGCAAACAAACCUGUAUCUUCAUAAACUCUUCUUUACUCAUUUUUCUAAUUUUAAUUGAAAUAUUCUAUCUCGCUAGAUCUGAGAAAAACUCCUCUGGUUCUUGAAAGUUAGAUGUGCACAAUCAAGAACGUAGAACGAUGUAAAGGAGAAUUAAAACGAUUAUGAAUUACAUAUAGUAAUAGAGAGAGGGAGGAGGUAGUAAUAAUGAGGCGUGGGGUGUAGUGAAGUAUGGAGAAAAGUGGGGCCUACUCACUUCUAAAUCCACCGUACAUUAGAAAGAUUCCCAUAUUAGAUACAUGGGUCCCGCUACGUUUCUAGUAACUGACGAUCCUCACCGUUGAUUAUUAUUUUCCCAUAUCGAGUUUUUUUUUUAGUCUGCGUUGCACCGAAGUAUUACUUACUACUACUCAUCGGCUCGACCCAGCUCGGCUCUUCGAACCGGUUUGAUUUUCCGGUACACUUAUAGGUAUUUUUCUCUCGUACUUGUAGGCUUUAACUACCCUUUUGACCGCUCACCUACAUCAUGCAGAUAGGAUGAUAUCUUGUUAUUCGCUCUUUUUGACAGACGUAACAAGCAAAUCAAGAAUCUGUUGAUUUAUUCAUCAGUUUAAUAAAAAAAGGAAAAAUUGAAGUUAGAAUACUGUUACGACUUUCCCAUUCUUUAUUGUUUCUUUUUGAAGCUACAUAGAUCUUGCAUUAGUUAUGAAACACUUAGACGAUCGGUUGCAGUAUGCUUUCGAUAUAUGAGACAUUGUAUUGAUAGCCAUCACAAGACCAAACGGCGCAUGCAUUGUGUCAUCUCAAACAGUAGUCUUAGUAUGGCCAAAACGAACUCAUCUCUGUAUGCAAAUGAACGUUAUCUGGAACAAAGAUUUUCAGGUUUUUCUGAAGAUGUUGCAUCUAGAAUUCUCUUCGUAGGCUGUGGAUGAUGUGACUGUGACCUGCCAUGCACGUUUUGAAUGUCGCGGUUAACAGGUUGAUCGACCUUCUUUUGAAAAUGAUAAUGUUUGUGAUGUUCAUUUGUCAUUAGUUGGUUUAUAAUUGGAAAAGUAUCCUUAUAAAAAAUAAAACAAUGCAAAUUUAAAACUAGCGACGAGUGUGAGUGACACGAGCUAUAUAGAGAUUGACACUGGACCACUGAUCAUAGAUUGUGAGUGAAAUUAAAUUUUAGUUUUUACCAAGGCAAAGCGAAUGUGGUGUAACAAUAUACCUUAGAAGUCAGUGAAGAAUUAUUCUUUGUCCAAGUAAAAAACAAUUAGCCUUUUCAAUUCAAGGGAAUAAUGUUAUUAAUCAAAUACAGAGUUGGGUUCAAACUUGGGAAUCAGCAAACAAUAUUAAGAAAAUAAUCAGGCAUCGGACCAUAAUUAAAGGGUUUUGUCGGUCAUGUUUUAGACCAACCCAUCUCUUUUGUAGGGCUAAGUAACAAUUAAUACGUUCCCAGCCAUCCAACAUAUAUUUAUAGUGUUAUUAUGUCGAUAAUUUAAUAUACUGGGUGUAAGUAUUUAUAUAGUAGUACUAAGCAACUUGUUCAACCAGUAAAUUCUAGUGACAAUGAGAAAGGACUUCAGUGUUCAGAAAACAAACUUUGCAAAUCGCAACAAGCAUAUGUCCAAACACAUGACAUUAAAUUGCGUAAUUUUGUUUAACUUUCGCCAGUCAGUAAGUCGAUGGGAAGAGGAAAAUGCUAGCCGUUGAGAUUGAAGAAAGGAUAGCCGGAAGCAGCAAGUGUAUUGGACAUUGCCAUGUGAGCAUCACUGACACUAGACCGUGUUGGGUCUUGAGCCAUCUCUACUUCGAACUCCUCACUUUGACUCUUACAAGUCUUACUCUUCUUUUAACUCACUUUAUCAUUUAAUUAAUUUAAACACCUUCACUAAUUUCUUCUUCUUUUCUAAAUAAAAUAAUUGUUACCACCCUCCCUACGAGCCUAACCCGUACUUAUUAACGCAUUAAUCUGAUUAUAUUAUACCAUCUCUAUAUUUAUAAUGUCCGUAGUACGUUUUUUAUAUUCUUACAGUUGAAUUACCAUCAUGUGAUUUUUUUAGUUUGGUCUUUUUAAAUUCACACAAAGGACAAUAUUUAAUUUAAGUCUUGACCAAAACUUUAGUUGACCAUUUUCACUAUUUAUUUGGCCAAUUUGUUUAAUGGUGCUAUUAAUAAAAUACUGUUUGUCAUUUAUCACAUUUAAAAAUUAAUCACUGUAUUUAGAGGGUUCUCGUGUGUGUAAAGGAAAAAUAAAAUAAAUCAUAUACUUUAUGAGUAAAGGCAAAACAAAAAUAAAUCAUAAGUAUACUACUUUAUUACAAAUAUAUAUUCUUGUAUAAAAUGCAUCGGUAGUUGUAAAAGUAAAUUAACAUAUAAUCUUGCCUUCUUGGUAUAUAACAGAAAAUAAAUCAAUAUUUAGAAUAAAUACAAGACCAUAAUAUAUUCAAUAGAUUUCUCUGAUUUUUUUUUGAAAAAUAUUUCCUCUGAUUUUACGUGCAGGCAAAGAAUAACUGUUAAAUUUCCUUUUAGACAUAAUAAUAGAUUUUAUUUUAUUUUGGUACAGAACUACACAAAUAAAUAAGUUAUAUGUAUUUCAUAAUGAAUGGCUAAUAAAUAGGCAGAGAUUAGGGUGAGUACAUGAUAUCAUAAAACAAAAAAAUGCAAGAUAUUUGAUGGGAGUUGGGUGAAGUGAGUUCUGAGCUGUUUUGUUUAGUUUUUAUUUUUAUUUUAUAUAAAUGUUAUCCUAUCUUUCACGUGGUGCUAUCAGAAACAUGUCUGGCGCUCAAGUUGGCAAUUUCAAUUCGUAUACUUGUAACAAAAUAUAGUUAACAAAAAAACAAAAUAUAUGAAAAAGAAAACAGAAGAGAAAAAGGAAAUGGGAAUUCGGCCAAAAAAAACCUCAACUUUACACGAAUUGCCAAAACAAACAUGAACUUUGGGGCUGGCCAAAAAAACACCAAACUUUCAUUGACUUUAGAAUUAAUUAACAAUGUUUUCGCUGACUUGCCAAUUUAGCACGCCGUCAACAAAUUUAACAGAAAUAUUUGACGUCGUUUAUUGUUGACGUUAAGUGAAACGACGUCGUUUUCAAAUGAGAUGAAACGACGUCGUUUUACACGAUUUGAAAUUAAAAAUAUGUAAACCCCUGGAUUCGAACCCAGGUUGGUUGGUUAAGUGGGAAGGUAUUUUACCACUGGGCUACUGACACUUUCAAUGUACUUACUAACAUGUUUAUUUUUAUUUGGUACAUAUUAAAUAUAAAAAAUUCUCUAAAAACUUAAUAACAUCUUUAAAAUUCCAAAAAAUUAAAAAAUAAAGAAGAUUUUUAUAAAAUUAAUUUAGAAAUUAAAAUUAAAAAUAAGAUUUUAUUUUUCUUUUUAAAAAAUAAAAACUCUUCCAAAAUUUUCUAAAAACUUAAAAAGAUCUUUAAAAUUCCAAAAAAUUGAAAAAAUAAAGAAUUUUUUUAUAAAAUUAAUUUUGAAAUUAAAAUAGAAAAUAAAAUUUUAUUUUUUCUUUUCAAAAAAAUAAAAAAUCUUCCAAAAUUUUCAAUUUUUUUAAUACAUUUGCUAAAAGUUGAAAUUAAUUAUACACACAUAAAAAGUUGAUAAUUCUAACUUUAAUUUUUUGCAUUUUAUUAUAAUUUUUAAAAAUUUGGAUUUUUUUUUUAAAAAAUGAAAAUUUUGGAAUUUUUUUGAUUUUUUAAAGAAAAACAAAUAUUUAAUUUUAAUUCAAAAUUAAUUUUAUGAAAUUUUUGGAAGAUUUUUUUAUUUUUUUUAAAGGAAAAUAAUUUUUUAUUUUUUUUAAAGAAAAAUAAAAUUUUAUUUUCAAUUUUAAUUUCAAAAUUUAUGUUAUAAAAAAUUUCUUUAAUUUUUUCAAUUUUUUGGAAUUUAAAGUUCGUUUUAAUUUUUUAGAAAGAAAAAUAAAAUCUUAUUUUUAAUUUUAAUUUCUAAAUUAAUUUUAUAAAAAUCUUCUUUAUUUUUUAAUUUUUUGGAAUUUUAAAGAUCUUAUUAAGUUUUUAGAGAAUUUUUUAUAUUUAAUAUGUACCAAAUAAAAGUAAACAUGUUAGUAAGUACAUUGAAAGUGCCAGUAGCCCAGUGGUAAAAUAUCUUCCCAUUUGACCAACCAACCUGGGUUCGAAUCCAGGUGUUUACAUAUUUUUAAUUUCAAAUCGUGUAAAACGACGUCGUUUCAUCUCAUUUAAAAACGACGUCAUUUCACUUAACGUCAACAAUAAACGACGUCAAAUAUUUCUGUUAAAUUUGUUGACGGCGUGCUAAAUUGGCAAGUCAGCGAAAACAUUGUUAAUUAAUUCUAAAGUCAAUGAAAGUUUGGUGUUUUUUUGGCCAGCCCCAAAGUUCAUGUUUGUUUUGGCAAUUCGUGUAAAGUUGAGGUUUUUUUUGGCCGAAUUCUCAAAAGGAAAUGAGAGGAUUGGUAUCGACCCGUUAAAGCCAACCCACUAAGUUGAAUCAUUCAUAUGCAUUACAAGGACAAGUCUUUUCUGUGAGCUUUCUUGGAUCAUAUUGAUAAUUGAUCAUCUUUGCACUAUACAUUAAUUUACAUACAAAUAUACAUAACAGUGCAUCUUACAUAAAGAACAAAUUAUUAGUUGUAAAAUAAAUAAAAAACACUGUUGCAACCUUCUGGGUUGUCAAAAUAAGCAUUAUCUUUAGCUACAUGUUGACCCACAAAAAAAUCUCAGUGCCUCUCCAUAUUAUAUCUUAGUAGAUAUUGUUUUCUAGUAUUGCAAGUUCCCCUUAAGCCCGUGACCCGUUCGUGUCCUAUUGCUUGAUUCCUCCAACCAUCUUAUGUAUAUAUACAUGUAUGUAUAUAGUGUUAUACACCACUUACAUUUGUUACAAAAAAAAAUUAUACACCACUUACAGAUACACUCAUACUAUAAUCUGAUGAUUACGAUUGCGCGUUAGCGAGUAAUAGUGUAGUACAUUUAUACAGAAACUGAAGAACAGUCUUGAGUCCAGCUCUGUUCAGGACAUAAUCUAAAAAUUUGGAGGCCAUAAACAUUUUUUAAGAACUUUUGUAAUUUUUUUUCUUCAACCAUCUUAUGUAUAUAUACAUGUAUGUAUAUAGUAUUAUACACCACUUACGAUACACGCAUACUAUUAUCUGAUGAUUACCAGUGCGCGUUAGCGAGUUAUAGUGUAAUACAUUUAUACAGAAACUGAAGAACAGUCUUGAGUCUAUCUCUGUUCAGGACAUAAUCUAAAAAUUUGGAGGCCAUAAACAUUUUUUAAGAACUUUUGUAAAUUUUUUCUUCACAAUUUUGAAACCUAAAUCUAUGUAAAAAAUGUCAAAAAGUUUCGGAGCCAAAUCCAAUGUUUUAUUAGAUUUGGAUUAAAUCUGGCUGUCUUUGUUCACUGUUCAGUAAUAUAACUAACUUAAUACGGAUUGAUCAAACUUUAUAAUACAAGAAAUAUGAUUAUUUUUAUUCUCUUAUUUUUGUUUUAUGUUGAAAAUUGAAUACUAGCCGCUAAUUUAUGUGUGGUUUCUUUGCCCGUUACAAUUCGUUUUUAUUUUCCCGCGAUUAUUUCAUGUUGCUCGAAAAGAAUUGUGAGUCCAAGUUAAGCGAAAACUCGAGGAUGCAAAUUCUACUCAGCUUUUAGUGUUAGUGUCCAUUUGCAUAAUCAAAUGAUAUUUAAAAAGCAAUACUUUAUUUGAGGCAAUAGCAGAGAAUAAAGAGAAAACAAUACAGGCACUAAAACUGGUAAUUAAAAAAAAAUUAAUAAGUAAUUUAAGAUUGUUUUGUUUAGAGUAAUAGUACUAUGAAACUGUAAGAAAGUGUGUGGUUCAAUUAUUGAUAGUCAAAAGACUUUUAGCACACUUGCUUAGUUAUUUGCCAAAGUGGUCUUUGUUUUGCUCGUAUAUCAGCUUCACGUGACCCAUUAAAUUUUCCUCCUUUUUUCUCUCCAAAGUCAACACAUCAAUAACUUUUAUAGUAGGAUAGUAAAUAAAUUGAAGGUUAUACGAGAGGAAAAAUAACAUCUAUAUUAUUAAAAGUAAAAUAUUUUUUUGAUACUGUUUAGAAACAUAAAUGUCGGUAUAGAAAUAUGAAUAGAAUUAUUACAUUAAUUGUAUUUUCAUAUUUCAAUGUGAUAAUUUCAUUAAUUAUAUUAUCUUGCAAUACUUCAUAUCAUUAAUCAUAUUACCAUAAUAAUAAUAAUGCAUAUUUGUAUUUAUUAGUUAAACAAUAUUAACUUUGUGCCAAUUAUAAAAUAAAAAAUGUAAAAUAACUAGAUUUUACAAAUGGUUAAAUGGUCGGUUUAAUUUGUUUUACUAAUUUUUUAUUCUAGUUUUAAUCGGUGAAAAAUUACAUAGCCAAAAAAUAAUUCAAAAACAUAUUUUUGUGAAUAAAAUAAUAAAAAUCUAUUACAUUUACUAUAACUUAAUUUGUCACUCCAUAUAAUUAUUUUACUAAUUAAAAAACUCUUUCUAUUUUACUUAAUUUAGUCAAACACAUAGAAAGAGUCAUUUCAUUAGUUUAUAAAAUCAGAGACAUGAACAUUGGCUAUCCAUUUAGGUGCGGGUUGUUCAACGGAUAUCAUUUCUUUUGUUUUGAAAUUAUGCCCGCUUGAAUAUUAUAAAUUUAUGUGUAGAUUUUGAGUUGUGUCAUUCUGGGUCUGGAUGAGUUCAGUUCUGAUGUAUAUGAACCUAAAAUAUCUAGAUAAUAAAUGUAUCUGAAACGGAUUCAGAUAUUUGUAUCAUAAAUAACCAUAUUACCCGAUUUGGUUCAUGUCUUUUGAAUACAAUUAAUUAUAUUACGGCACAUCCAAAAUAUAUAACACCAAUUAUGAAAAACAAAUAUCAAUAUAUAAAAAUGUAAAAACCAAUAUUCGCGCGAGUCAGUCUUUAGUAUAGUUUUAUUUGAAUGCAUAAGGUGAACGAUCUAUUUCCCCACGAGAACUAUUGUAUAGUAUCGGGUCUCCACGAAACUAUGACCAUGUGCUAAAAUUCUAUGAAUUUUAAUUUGUAAACUUAUUUCUCUCUAAAUUAUAAGUUUAAAUUUAUUUCUCCCCAAACCGAUAGUUUAAAACUUAAUUAUCCAUAGAUCAUUAUUUUAAUCGGUAUACUAUUAACCCACAAAUUUUAAACUAAUUAAACCAAAGAAAAUCUUAAAUUAAUUUUUAUUUAAAAAAAAAACUGAUUCACAAAUAAAAAAAAUGAUUUCAAUUUUUUUAAUAAUCAGUAUAUGUACAUUUUCCUUCGAUCUCAAUCACACGUAUCAAAACUGUGUACUUGUGUUUUCUAAACAAAGCAAGAAGCACCACUCUCUUAAGCUUCUCUGAACUGUGGGUGAGUGGCGAACUGCGGUGGAUGAGUGGCGAACUGUUACAGGUGGGUAUUGCUCGCGAUUGUGGAGGGAGGAGGGCGAGUGGUGAUUGGUGAGACUAAGCAAAUUAAGAAAUCGUGAGUGUUGCCCGAAGGCUAUGGCUGAUCGGUGUUGAGAGUGAUGGACAGACAAACAAUUUUUUGGCAAUUUUUGUUGAUUAGAUUUUUUUUUGAUGAAUCAGUUUAAAGAAAAAAGAAAAAAAAAUAGGUUUUCUUGGGUUUGAUUUGUUUAAAAUUGGUGGGUUAAUAGUAAACCGAUUAAAACCAUCGCAUAUGGACAAUUAAAUUUUGAAUUAUCGGUUUGGAAAGAAAUAAAUUUAUAAUUUAUAAUUUAGGGAAAAAUAAGUUUGCAACUUUAAAUUCAUGGAGUUUAACACAAAGUUAUGGUUUGGCAGAGAUCUAAUGCUAUACGAUAGUUUUCACAGGAAAAUAGAUCGUUCUGGUGAACGCAUACAUUAUUUAAAUUUGUUAGGCUCUAUAUGAAAAUGUUUGUGAUAAUGCGUUUAUAAAACAAAAGUAUGCAUUGACCAUUUUGGUGGGUGGUUAGAGAAUAUUGACAUAUACAAGCAAAUGUCAAGCAGAAAAAGAUAAAAGGAAUGUUUCACCUUUAUUGGAAUUUCUAUCAAUAAAUCGAAAAUGUUUACGAGUUUUAUUUUAGAUCGAUGUUCUCUGUUUCAUAUAACCACAUAAUUCACACAUCAAAUAUAUACAAGAAUCUGGAACUUCCUAUUACUUUCUUUCCACAACUAACUUUUUACUGCUUAGUUUAAACUGAAUAUACAGUAGAUCCUAGACACUAGACGAGGUUUCGACAAAAAUGUUUCUAUUAUUCGCACAUGUUCUUAAUAAGCAUUUUUUUUUUGCUACUAAUAAGCACUAGGAUAAGACCCGCGCCUUGCGCGGGAUUAAGUUAUUAUUUUUAUUAUAUUUUUGAGAAUGAAACAAUAGUUUGGCUUCAUUUGGAUUACAGGUGUUCAAUCCGGAUAUCGGGUUGGUUCGGUUUGGUUCGGUUUUUUCGGUAUUUGGUUAGUAAAAUAUAACUACUAUUCUAAAUCCAUAUUUAUUUUGACUUUAGUCUUUCACAUACUUUUGAAAGAUUUCAACUGGACGACUAAAUUGAUCAGCCAAUCUUGUUGCUUUAAAUCAUUAGUGUUUAUAUAUAUAUAUAUAUUAUUUAGUUUGAAUAUUUAUUAAAUAAAAAUUCAUAAAUCAUUUGUAACUUAUUAUAACAAAAAAAUAAUCUAUUGAUCACAAAAUUUUCAGAGUGGGAAUAUUCAAAUUUCUAAUAAUAUAUAGACGUUUUGAAAAAUUCAAAUAUAACAUAUAAGAAAAAAUAUAAAUGUUUUUAUUAUAUAUUUAAUGUGAUUUUUUAAUAUCUUUCAAUAAUAUAAAAUUAAAAAAAAAAAACUAAGAUACCAAAAUUGUUAUCAAAUAUUUAUUAUUCAUAAUAAUUAAUUUUCAUAUAUACGUUAAUCAUAUUAGGUAAUUUCGUAGCUUUUAUUUAAGGAAAGUGCAAAACAUUUUUUGGUACGUUAUUUAUCAAUUCGAUAGUUAGUUUAAUAAAAAAUGUAAUAUAAGUUAAGAUGGACCAACCUAUUUUUCUAGGAAUAGUAUAUUUUGUAGAGUUAUUUAUUAAAUAAGAAUUUAUAAUCAUACGGUUCUAUGAUCGUUCAUAUCGUUUUAUAACAAAAUAUUUAAAUCAUCGAUAACAAAAUUUUCAAUCUGAAAUCUUUAAUAAGUUUAUAAUUUAUAAAUGUUCUUGAAAAUUCAUUGAAAGUUUUAAUAUUAAAAUAUUUAUGUAAUCUUAUGGUAUAUAGUGUUUAAUAUACAUAUAUAUAUAUAUUUAUUUUAUUAUUAAAUGAUAUUUUUUACUCAUAUGGUUUUAAAAUCAUCUGUAUCUUCUUAUAAUAAAAAUGUUAAACCAUUGAUCAUUAAUUUUUAACAUAAUAAUUUUAAUAGUUUUAGUCAUUUAUUUUCGUUUUUAAAAAUUCAAAAUAUAACAUAUACGAAAAAAUCUAAAUUUUAUUUUUAUAGCUAAUUUGAUUGUUUAAUUUAUUUUAAUAAUAUAAAAUUAAACAAAAAAUGAUGGAGGAGAUAUACAUUGUUAUCAAAUCUUUAUUAUUAAACUCAUUAAUUGUCAUAUAUAUAUUAGUCAUUUAUGGUAAUUCCGUAGGUUUUAUUUAAGGAAAGAAAAUAUCAUAUCAUAUCAUUAUAUCAUAUAGUUUGACCAACUUAUAUAUCUAACAACAUAUAAAAAUCGAAUGUGGACCUACUUAUUUUUUAAUUGAAUGUAAUUGACUACCUAAUUGAGUGCCACCUAUGCAUUGGGGCUUCUUUUAAUUAAUACAAAAUUGAGGUUACAUCUUUUCAAAUGUUCCUCAAUUAAUAUAUAAGGGAUAUUAACUAUUUUAUGUACACAUACGUCGAUAGUCGAGUAGUGUAUAGUGGUUUGUGUGUUAGCGAUGUUGAUAUAUUACCGUCCUAAAUUCAAAUUUGAUAUAAACUAAUUGUACGUUGUUGACUAAAAUAGUUAUCAUUAUAAACUCUCUUUCGUUGCUACCAUACAAAUUCGAGACUAUAACAUUAUAUAGCUGUUCUAAAAAAAACAUUAUAUAGCUUGGAACAUGUCACCCAAACAUACAAACUAGUUUUACUCUUAGUACCAUUAUAUCUUAUAUAAUAUUUCGAAUUCAGAUGUAGUAACAUAUUUUGUGAAUUGUAUACUUAAAAGUAAAACCUUUUAACAAAAAAAGAAAGAAAGUAUACUUAAAAAUAAUGUUCAAAAAAAAAGUAUACUUAAAAAUAUAUAGUCAGUUCUAUACAAAAUUUCUAUUAAUUUAUUGUAUUUUUGACAUACUGACCACCUUAAAAUGAUAAAACUGAUGAGAGUACAAAUACAAAUAUAAAAUAGCGAAUUUUCUAUUAUCUGAUAUUUAUGCAUAUAAUAUAUGUUAAUUUUGUAUAUUUUCCAUAGAAGAGGAAAGGAAAAUUCCAAUAAACUAAUAUUAUGAUGAGAGGUUUGACUUUAUUAGGAACGUCAAAUUUAAUGAACCUCUCUUCUUCCUUGAACGCAAAGGAAGUUUCUGAGUUGGAAAACGCUGUCUCCAAUUCAUAGGUUCUCUAUCUCUAUACCUAUAUAUAUGUGUUAACACAAUAUUAUUUCCUAUAUUAUCUUUGAUGGUCAUAUGAUCGUUAAUUAAUCUCCAUGGCCACGAGUAGAGUCUCCCACGUCAUAGGGUUUCUUCUAUGUAUCUCUCUUCUUCUCCUGUUGGUCUCUGAAGGUUUCUUUGUUAGGCUCAACUCCAUGUCCUCCAUAAAGCCUUUUCCAUCUCCGGUUAUUAGCUCGCUGCGACCAGGAAGAAGAGCUUUUGUGGUAAGUAAGUUUGACUUCACACCGUUCAUGAAAGACCUUCGCCGAAAAGAUCAUCAAGAUGUUUCACGGCUGGGAGGAUCCGAGAUCGACCCAAGAUAUGGAGUUGAGAAACGGCUCGUCCCAUCUGGUCCAAACCCCUUGCACCACUGAUUGUCUUCUUAUAUAUAUUUUACUUAAAUUUUCUUAAUUAAUUUGUUUCUUUCGAAUUGAUAUAAACACUAAAAAGGAUAUACUGCACAUAAUUUAAUUCAUAAAAAGCUGCUAAUAUUUCUUUGGGGAGCAUAUGUAUUGAAUUAUUUAUUCUUCUUUGUCAUGUGAAGUAUUUGUUUUAACUUUCGUUGUAAAAGAUGAUAUUUAGUUUUUUUACUCACUUUUUAUUGCAUUUGUGAUUAGGUUGUACGAAUAAAACAUACUAUCAUUAUCAUAGUUUAGAUCAAAACGAGCAUGUACACGUUUGUAUAAAAUAAAUGUCUAUACUAGUAUGUACACAUUUAUUAAUACUAGUUAGUAGUUAGAACCAAUAGACAACUAUUAUGCUUUCGAUAAGAGGAGUGCCUGAAUAUCCAGUAAAUUAAUAAAUGCAGUUAACUAACGGGGAAAUAAAUUAGCCUCGUUGAGAAGAAUAUGGAGAUCGAUACUUAAGACCACGUGAAGCAUUGACUUCAAUUGGUUACGGAAUCACCGUUUCCAGAUUUUCUGUAAAGUUGUCUCGUUCUAGUCCAAGGAAGGUAGACAAGGAGUAAAUGAGCUCAUUUACUACUCAUUUGGCAAAAUUAGUGUUGUGGUAUUUGAUCUGUAUUUAUUUAUUUGGUAAAUUCUCUCAAAUAAUUAUUUUUAAGUUUUUGUCACAAAAAUAAUUUUAAAUGAAAAAAUAUCAAAACAGUCCAUUUUUAUUUUCAAAUUUUUGAUAUUUAUUUUUUAUUUUUUUUAAAUUUAAAAUUCUAUCUCCAAAACCAUGCAUUAACUCUAAACCUUAAGUCUAAAUUAAUUAAACUUAAAGUAAAAAUACAUAUUUACCCUUUAAUAAAACUUAUUUUAAACAUUUUCUUCAUUAAAUGUUAUUUUGUACAAAAACUUAAAAAACACUAUCAUAUGGAAUUUCUUUAGUUUAAUUUUGGGGGUUUGACCAUUUUGAGUAAUAUAGAUAUAUGAAUCACUAAGAUAUUUAUAACAUUUGGCUAGUUUUUUUUUUUGUUGAGUAAUUUUAUUUUCUUUUUAUUUUUUGAAAAGAAAAUUUGUUUUUUUGGAUAAAAAAUUUCGAAUAAUUUCAAUGUUUGAUAUAUAAAUAUUUAAUUAUUUUACAAUUUAUAUCAUAAAUCUUCUUAGUACUACAUAUUAUAUUCUAGAUGUUCAAAUUUUUGUUGGUUUUCGAUAUUUUAGUUUUGGUUUCCCAUAGCUGGUUUACUUCGAACCAUACGGGUCGGGUCGAUCUCCGGUUUUCCAAUUAUUCGUUUUAUCUCAAACCACAAACCAAUGUUGAGGAACGAUUAACUGGGUUUUUCGAAUAGCUUCUUCCAAAUUACAGAACAGAACAGAUAGAGCGAGAAACCUUCAGCUAGAGAGAGAUAUAUACAUCGGCUUGAACCCGCUGCGUAGCAAAAGCCCCUUCAGUAUCGUUAUGUUUUGACUAAGCGCACUGAUAAUCAAGAGAAUUUGCUUCAUUUCGGAUAAUUGAAGCGCUUGUUCGACCCUAUCGCUUAUGUAAACGGGCUUGCUUGCGUAUUGGUAACACUUGAUUUGAUGCAAUUUUGUUGAAUUUCAUUCGUCCCCGUUCAUCAAAAGCAAAGAUUUUUCUUUCUGGGUUUUCAGUUCUGAAUCAAACCCACAUCAUAUAUCUUAGUGAAUUUAGCUGUAUCAAGAUGGCGAGAAACGCUAACAGUAACGUGUUUCUCGAAGAAUGGUUGAGAGUUGUGAGUGGAAGCAGCGUCUCUAGUGGUUUAGUGAAGCAGGACUCUGCACCAUCUGCUAGGUCUAUUAUUCAAGCAUGGUCCGAGAUUCGUGAGUCUCUUCAAAGCCAGAGGUUCGAUACACGUUACCUUCAAGCUUUGAGAGCUUUGGUUAGCUCUGAGUCCACUAUCCACGUCGCUGAUCCCCAAGCAAAGCUUCUUAUCGCUAUACUAUCUUUAAAAGAUGUCUCUCUUCCGUAUGAGUCUUGUACGCUUGUUAUGAGAUUACUCUAUGUGUGGAUUAGGAAAGCUUUUAGACCCUCUCAGGCUCUUGUUGGUUCUGCUGUUCAGGCUAUUCGUGGCGUUGUUGUUGAUGAUGGUAGGAGUAAUCUGCAGCCGGUGUUGUUAGCGCAGAGCGUUCUGGUGGCUGGUGCUUUUGCGAGUGUGCAUUCUCUGUCGGGAGAGUUGAAAGUGUUGACCUUGGAGUUGCUAUGCAGGCUUUUGGAAGGAGAGGGAUCACUGGUGGGAUCUCGAGGAGAGCUUGUUCCUGUAGUGCUUGCGGGAAUCGGGUAUGGUUUAUCGUCUUCGUCUGAUGUUCAUUACGUUAGGCUAUUGGAUUCCUUGUUUGGCUGCAGCAUUUGGUUGAGUGGUAGUGUCACUCACGGUCUGAUGAUUCUUCAUUUGGUAGAGUGGGUUGUGUCAGGUUACAUGAGGUCUAAUUAUGUAAACAAGAUGUCUCUCUUUGCAAACGAGGUACUAGAGACUUCUAAGGCAGACUACACUCCUUUUGCUGUCUUAAUGGCAGCAGCGGGAGUACUCAGAGCUUCCGCGGCAGGAUCACAGAAUCUUGAGGUUGUUUCUAAACUUAGAAACUCAGCGGAAAAACGUUUAGACGCUAUAGCUCAAAUUUUAGUUGCUAAUGGUUCAAUCACUCAGAGAGAUGAUCUUCUGUUGAAGUGCUUUGCUAUAGCAUUGGCUCGAUGUGGGACUGUUUCUCCCUCUCCUCCUCUGCUUCUGUGCCUCGCUUCUGCAUUGUUAACUCAGGUGUUUCCUCUGGACAAUAUAUAUGAAUCGUUUUGCAAAGAUCCUAUUGGACCAAGACUCAUUUGGGUGAGGGAGCAUCUUUCUGGUGUUCUCUUCAAGGAAUCAGGGGCCAUAACCGGAGCUUUCUGCAAUCAAUACGCAAAAGCAAAUGAAGAGAACAAAUACAUUGUGGAGAAUAUGGUUUGGGACUUCUGUCAAAACCUCUACUUACAGCACCGUCAGAUCGCUCUACUGCUUCGUGGUGUAGAAGAUACAUUGCUUGGAGACAUAGAGAAGAUCGCAGAAUCAUCUUUCCUCAUGGUUGUGGUCUUUGCGCUAGCUGUAACGAAACAGUGGCUGAAUCCAAUAGUGUCUGAAGAAAGAAAGAUGGAGACAUCCGUCAAGAUAUUGGUUUCGUUCUCAUGUGUAGAGUAUUUUAGACACAUUCGUUUACCUGAAUACAUGGAGACAAUUAGAGAGGUGAUCUCAUGCGUCCAGGAGAAUGAUGCAACUUGUGUUUCAUUUGUAGAGUCCAUCCCUGCCUAUGGUAGCUUGACGAAUCCGAAAGGUUUGAGAAAUCAAUUUGUUUCUGCAGUUUCAAUAUCACAUUAGUAAGAUUUGAGAUCUCUUUUUCUUUUCUUUUUUUGUCUGCAGACUUGUUUACGCAGAGGAUAGAGUAUGAAUGGUCAAGAGAUGAUGUGCAGACAUCUCGAAUACUGUUUUAUCUUCGAGUGAUCCCAACUUGCAUUGGAAGGUUAUCUGCUUCUGCCUUCAGGAGAGUUGUUGCAUCAACCAUGUUUUUGUAUCCUUUACUCUGUUUUGUUUAAACCAUGGCUAUGAUCUUUAAGAUUCCUUAACAAUCAUGUGGUUAUAGAUAUAUUGGACAUCCUAACAGGAAAGUGGCACGAGCAUCUCAUACUUUGUUUGUAGCAUUCCUCUCUUCGGCAAAGGAGUCGGAAGAGGACGAAAGAAACCAACUCAAAGAAGACCUUGUUUACUAUUACAUGGAAAGAUCUUUGGAGGUACCUAACACUGGAUGCAGUGUAGCUCUUUUUUUCUGUUGUUCAUUACUAAUUGUGUAUGGUUCAGGGUUAUCCUGAGAUCACACCAUUUGAAGGUUUGGCUUCAGGCGUUGCAGCCUUGACCCGGCAUCUACCUGCUGGAAGUCCUGCUAUAUUUUACUCUGUCCACAGCCUUGUUGAGAAGGGUUCAACGUUUAACACCGAUGAGUCCCAAGGAAGAAAGUCUGAUCCUGGUAGUCAGAUUCUUGACUUGCUUCUGAGACUCGUCUCUUUGGUUGAUAUACAAGUAAGUUUCGUUUCCAUCAUCUCCAGUUUAAAUGGCUUAUGUGUUAAUGUUCUCUUUGUCUUUGUACAUUAACUUGCUUUUGUUUUGGUUCAGGUGUUGCCGUAUCUGAUGAAGUCAUUAGCACAGCUUAUUAUAGUGUUACCAAAAGAAAAGCAGAACAUGGUGCUUGGUGAACUGUAUGGUCAAGUGGCUGAAUCAGACGAUGUGAUUCGCAAGCCUUCUUUAGUCUCUUGGCUACAGUCACUGAACUACUUGUGUUCUAAUAACCGGACUCAAGGCUCAGGUUCUGGACCAACUAUAGACACUUCGAACCAGUUGGCUGCUCGGCUCUAGGAGGAAUCUCCUCAUAGUUUAGCAAACAUGUAAUAUAGAGAAUAAAAAUGUAGUUUUCCUAUAUGUUAGCUAAGUUUUCAUGUAGUAAGCAGAGUCUGGAAUAUAUCUCCUAUUGAUGUCAUAACUCAUGUUCCCAUCUUGUGUGGGGAGUCGGGCAUUCCUUAUGUCGAUGUUCCCUCAAAGGAGGUAAAAAGCUUCCCAUUUGAUUUCUGCAUUGAUUCUCAGAAUUUUGAAGAGAUUAUAAAUCUUUACAUCAUUUACCUUAUAGGAUCUUGCAACUGCUGGAGAGACGAAGCGGCCAACAUGUUGCGUUCUUAUUCUAACAAAGCCUGCCAAAGGAGAAUUAAGCCAGAAAGUUCAAGAGAAACUUAAGACGGACUAUGAUCAUGUUGUUGAAGAUGUCAAAGAGCUUGCUUCUUCUACUGUGUAUUAGGAUUGCAUAAUGAUUUGUAUUGCUCUUUGCUGUCUCAUGUCUCACUGUCUCCAGUUUCCUUAUGAAUAGUAGUGUAAACGAAUCAGUCUCUUAUGUGGUAAUUUUUUCAAAUAUUGGGAAUCUUAUAUGUUUCUACAAUCUCUUAAAGAUUUGGUAUUUUCCUCAGAUCUCCGCAAUCUUUAUCUUUCCUAAAAUAUCUUGGGAGUCUUUAUCCUCUCUUUUUUGUUUCUAUGAUUUUCUUUUAUUUUUCUCAAAAUUAGGAAGAGAGGUGAUUAGUUUGUAAUUUUAUAAGUUUCUUUUAAAGUGCUUCCUUAUUUCUUUUGAGUUAGGAUCUUGAAAAAAACUGUAUAAAUAUUAUUUGUUGGGUGGUGACGAAGUAUAAAAAAAAACAAGUUUUGUGAUAGAAAUUAGUCGUCAAGUUCCAAAACCCUAAUAAGAAAUAGAAUAAUGGAGGAUCAAAAUCAGACGAGUUUCACAUUUAUGAUAGAUAACUUGUCGGACAAGAUAACAGAAUCACCAAAGUUCUUAAACGGCGGCUGGGAAUGGUAAUUUUUGUUAUUGACUCAUCUUUCAGACUCAACGAUUUUUUUUAGGGUUUAAUAUGUUUCUUCUUUUCCAACAGGGUUGUUGAUGUUUAUUCCAAAGAGGAAGACCACAAGUUAUAUGUGUACCACUUCCUUAUGGUUGCGAAUCCUGAAUCCUUGAGACCUGGAUUGAUAAGACGAGUUAGUUUCUUCUUCGUUAUACUGAAUCAAUCCGGCAAAGAGUUAUACAGAACAAAUGGUAAUUAACUAACUCCUGCUUCAGGCCUUGGCUAAAAACCUCUAUUAUUUUUCAUAUAACUUCUUAAGUCUUUGCUUCUUGAUCUGGUUGUGAAUUUUAAAUCAGUCUUUUCUGUUUUUGUCUUAAUUAACAUACAGAAAUAUGCAAAUUGUUCUGCGAUAAGGUCAGUGGAUGGGGUUGCUACGAGCCCCUGCCUCUUGAAUUCGAGACGAAUAAAAUCACCCUAAAGCUCGAAGUCGUAAAAGUAGUUGAAGUUGUUGAUUGGAAUGAGAUGAUAGAAUUUAAUGGUUUCCAGAUUCAUUAUUCUCAGGUAUUUUCUACUUUUGUUUUUGAGAUUUAUAUGUUAUCCUUUCUAGGAUGACUUAGGAAUCAAACAAUGUUCUGUCUAUCUCGAGUUAUGAGACAUAUAUAUAUUUUUUAUUGCUGGCAGGUUGAAUCAGUUAAUUCGCUUUUCCUGAAUCACCGGGGCUUUGAAAUAAAUUUCCGUCUAAAGAACGAAUUGUUGAAGACAACAUACAUGAACGUUCUCCUUGCUCUCGUCUGACACACUGAACAAGCCUCCACAUAGCUUGACCGAGACUGAGCUAAGCAACGCUCGCAGCGACCUGGUCGAGCUAACAGAAGCAGGUUUCAAGCUAAACUGGUUAAAGACAAUGCUUGAUGAGGUUUCCUUGGAUAGGAAUAAAGAAAAUAUUGCUGAUCAUGGGUCACAAGUCGAACAACACAUCAAGGAGAAGGUCGAGGCUGCUAGAGAUUGGCUCGAGGGUGCUAUUCACUCUUGGAAAGGACGUUUGGGAUUUGCUCCUCUUCGUAAUGAGAAAAUAGACUGAAGAUUAAUUUAGUUUUUUUUCCAUAUAUAUAGUUUCAUGGAUCUCAUAUUAACUGGAACGAUCAAACCAAAGAGUUCUUUUUAGUCAAGUCAGAUUCAUAUUGCUCUAAUCCCAGUCUCAUGCGUCCACCAACCUUAUCUACAUAAUUAACAUAUAUAUAACUCUCUCAUGUCUCUCUAUAGACUCAUGUGUCUCUAUAGACUCGAGUGUGUAUCCCAAACUCUCAUGUAUCAAAAUUUUAUUCUUAGUUCUUGAUGUAUUAGGAUGAUAAUAAUUAUCACUUAUAGAUUGGCACAUACCACUUGAAAGAUAGUUCAUCUUUUUAUGCAAACAUUGAAUUUAGAAAUCCUGUUUUGAAUGCUAUGUAUCAAAAUCUUUUCAGUUCAUGAUGUAUUAUGAUGAUGAUGAGAUUUUAGAUAAUUAUCACGUUAUAAAUUGACACAUAUCCUUUGGAAUAUAGUUCAUCUUCUUUAUGUAAACAUUGAAUUUUGAAAAUCCGAUUUUGAAUGCUAUGUAUCAAAAUAUUGUUCUCAAUUCUUGAUGUAUUAGGAUGAUAAUGAGAUCUUAGAUAAUUAUCACGUUAUAGAUUGACACAUACACAUUGAAAUAUAGUUCAUCUUAUUUAUUCAAAUAUUGAAAUCAUGUAUUGAAUGCUAUGUAUCAAAAUCGUAUUCUCAGUUCUAGAUGUAUUAGGAUAAUGAUGAGAUCUUAGAUAAUUAUCACAUAAUAGAUUGGCACAUAUCCUUUGGAAUAUAGAUCAUCUUCUGUAUGUAAAUAUUGAAUUUUGAAAUCCGGUUUUGAAUCCUAUGUAUCAAAUUUUUAUUCUCAGUACCGGUAUACUAUGUGUCUAUGCUCGUUUUCAUUAGUGUUUUUGUUGCAUACUACGCCAUUGACAAACAACACUUUUUGAGGCGACUGAUCUCGGAUGAACUAUCUGUCAUCGUGGGAUCAGUUGCUCUUAUCAAGUAUAAUUCUCAUCUAUUAAUAUUUGUGACCAAUUUGUGAACUUGACUUAAAGUCAUAUAUUGGAAUUUGAACUGAUUUUCCAUAUUUUAGGCCAUAUAUAUUAUCAAGAAGUGUAUCAUAAUCUGUCAACCGUGGUUCUGCAACAAAAAACAAUAUAGUAAACAUCUCAUAUACCUAACUAAGAAAUGACUGAAUCAAAGCCAUAACAAGAAGGUGCGUAACAUACCAUCAAAGUUCCAUCGAUACGAGUACCAUCAUUAUAGUUGUCCAUGUUGAUGAUACUAAUACUAGGGAUGAAGUUGAUGAUUUUCUUAACGAAGACAGAUUUGAAAAUUGAAUUAAGAAAAAUGAUGGAAAUUUUGAAAGUAUAAUAAUCAAACAGUAAACCAGCAAUUUGAAAAUUGAAUUUAAAACGGGUUUUUUAUUCACUUGGUUAUCAACCAUUUGACUGGAAACUGAAAUUCUGUUUUUACUUCAGCUUUGAUUGAAUGAACCGGGAUAAACCGGAAGUGGAUUAGCGAAUCAUUGUGAGCCGUUACUCCACGUAACCACUUUGACCAUCACAUGGUGAAGCAAGGGACGACGUGGAAGAAACUAAACCUUCUUCAAUUGUCCUUCGUUCUCUCUCUCUCUUUUCCUCUUCCACUGGAAAAAUCGCGAAAAUGGCGAAGCUUCUACUUGUUCACGCGCCUCAAGUAGUCUUCAGCAGUAGUAGGUCACUAGUCUCGGCGACGGCUCUAUACAGAAGACCUCUCCCGGUGAACUCCAAAUUCACCUCUUCGGAUUCGCAUUCACCCCACAUCGUUCCUCGUCUUCGUUCUCGGAGAUUCUCGGCUCGUGCCUUUGACGAUUCACCUGCUGAGUUGGAGAAAGAUGAGCCCCGGGAUGGAGUGGUAAGAGAUGAGGAGUAUCCUACAGGAGAGAUGGUGUAUGAGGAUAGAAACGCGUGGGAGAGCAUUGUAGUCAAGUUCCGGAUGCUCUUUGCUUAUCCUUGGCAGCGUGUUCGCAAAGGAAGCGUCUUGACUAUGACUCUGCGUGGCCAGGUGAUCUACAUAUAGUACAAUGCUUGUUGUUGUAUUAUUUUGUGUCUACAGCUAAAUUGAGUUUUGUUUACUCUCUAUGUUAUGUUUCAGAUCUCUGAUCAGCUGAAGAGCCGUUUCACUUCAGGCCUUUCCUUGCCCCAAAUCUCUGAAAAUUUAGUGAAAGCUGCAUAUGAUCCUCGUAUAGCUGGAGUCUACCUUCACAUUGAGCCUUUGAGUUGUGGAUGGGGAAAGGUUGAAGAAAUUCGAAGGCAUAUUUUGGAUUUUAAGAAAUCAGGUAGCUAGCUCCUGAAUUCUCUACUAAAUAUCAAAGCUCAUAUCUUUCCUACUGCAAGUCCAUUUUUCUAAGAGCUGAUCAAACAUUUUUUUUUUUCAGGUAAAUUCAUUGUUGGGUAUAUCAACAUAUGUGGACUUAAGGAGUACUAUCUUGGCUGUUCAUGCAGCGAGCUCUAUGCUCCGCCUAGUGCCUAUUCCUUUCUUUAUGGUUUGACUGUUCAAGCUUCUUUCCUUGGAGGUAAAGAUUGUUUGUUUCUUCUUUGGCUCUGUUUCUCGCAUUUAAAAUAGUAAUUAGAAAUUGUAUACAAUCUGCGCACCAUCCUUCCUUCAUUGAGACAGAUUUGCUAACUGAACUUUUACAUAUGUAAUUGAAUUGAAUCUCAAAUCCUGUUCUCGUCAGUGGAGGUCCUAAAGCUGACUAUGAAAGAUGCAAAGACUUGCAUAUUCACAUUUAUCGUUAACUAGUUACUUUUUCAAAAGUGUAGGUGUAUUCGAGAAAGUGGGGAUUGAACCUCAGGUUCAAAGAAUUGGAAAGUACAAAAGUGCAGGAGAUCAGCUUGCUCGCAAGAGUAUAUCCGAGGAGAAUUACGAGAUGCUGAGCGUGCUACUUGAUAACAUCUAUGCAAAUUGGCUGGAUGGUGUUUCUGAUUCAACAGGUUCGAGACCUUUUUCACAAUCUUGUUAUGGUUUUUAACCGUUUAGUUCUCUCCUUGAGUGGCUUCUGCUUAGAACCAUGCAGGGAAAAAGCGAGAAGAUGUUGAAAGUUUCAUCAAUCAAGGAGUUUACGAAAUUGAAAAGCUAAAGGAAGAGGGACUGAUAAAGGAUAUUCGAUAUGAUGAUGAGGUAAUACCAUGUCUAUCCUCAUAUUGUAAAUGGGGAAGCUAGAAGUGAUGAUGCUUGUUAUUUCGUCUUUUAUUAGGAACUUUUUUAAUGUUUUAGUAUCCUCUCAAAAUUAUUGAAACAUAGUUAUAAAGUUUCCCUGAAAAAACUCUUUAAAAGAGAUUUAGAUAACGGCCCCAUACCGUUUCUGAUCUUUUUGAGUCAAUUUGAAUGCCCCCUGCAGGUUAUAUCAAUGCUGAAAGAGAGGCUUGGAGUUGAAAAGGACAAAAAGCUUCCUACUGUUGAUUACAAGUAACUAUCUCUAAAUUGAGUCUUACUGAAUCUAGAGCUAUUGUCUUUGCAUGUUCAAUUGGCUCAAACCUUAUACUAUUUGGUGUUGUAUACAUAAUGGCUACUAUCCCCUAAUUGGUUCCUGCAUUAUUGCAUAAUCUUGAUUUAUAGUUAGUGUAAUAAGAACUGAACAUUCUCAACUGAAAUACUUUAUGUAGGAAAUACUCAGGUGUUAAGAAGUCGACUCUUGGUCUAAGCGGUGGUAGAGACCAAAUAGCUAUUAUUAGAGCAGGGGGGAGUAUCUCUCGGGUUAAGGGUCCGCUGAGCACUCCUGGUUCUUCUAUUGUAGCAGAACAACUAAUUGAGAAGAUCCGCAGUGUAAGAGGUAGGUCUGUUAAUUUUUCAUCUACAAAGUAUACCUGUGCUCUUCAACAGCAGCCCAAAACUUUCUGUUUCUUUUGAAGAGAACAAAAAAUAUAAGGCUGCGGUCAUCCGAAUUGACAGUCCAGGAGGCGACGCACUCGCUUCUGAUUUGUAAGUAGUUUUAGUUAAUCUUCAGUGCUGUGUAAUUGUACCUUAUAAUAUGCUCGUAUGAUGAUUUAACAUGUCAUGGAUGGUUUCACUUCACCUUUUAAUAUGAUGAAGUCAGAAUCAUUUAUUUAUUUAUUGAAGUUUGGAUGGUUUUGCUGCACCUUUUGGUUUUAUCAUAAUACUAAUGUAUUGGUAUACAGAAUGUGGAGAGAGAUCAAACUAUUGGCUGAAGCAAAACCAGUGGUUGCAUCAAUGUCAGAUGUGGCAGCAAGCGGGGGCUACUACAUGGCAAUGGCUGCAAACACCAUUGUUGCUGAAAACUUGACAUUAACUGGCUCAAUUGGAGUUGUCACAGGUGAUCUCAUCUUUGUACAACUAUCUCUUUCACCCUCCCCAUUGCUUGAUUGCUCUUGUAUGCUCUUGUUGUUGCAGCAAGAUUUACCUUGGCAAAACUAUAUGAAAAGAUUGGCUUCAACAAGGAAACUAUAUCUAGAGGCAAAUAUGCUGAGCUUCUCGGGGCUGAGGAAAGACCUUUUAAGUAAGUCACCGCACUCCAUUUAUCACACCUGUAUAAGACUUCUUUUUUUCAACCAGUUGAUGCCAAUUUGGUUUCUGUUGUCAUAUUUGAUCCUCGGGACUGCUCUGUAAGAACCUGUAAGUUCUUUAAUUCACAAUUAUGUUUUCAGGCCAGAGGAAGCUGAACUAUUUGGGAAGUCGGCACAGCAUGCAUAUCAGCUUUUCCGGAAUAAAGCAGCUUUGUCAAGAUCGAUGCCUGUAUGUCCUUUCCUGUAUUGCUGUUCUCCAAUGCCUUUUCAAGACUAAUAUUUUGUUCUGUCACUUUCUUAGGUUGACAAGAUGGAAGAAGUAGCACAAGGUAGAGUCUGGACCGGUAAGGAUGCUCACUCUCGUGGUCUAGUUGAUGCUCUCGGCGGACUCUCCCGAGCUAUAGCCAUCGCUAAGCAGAAAGCUAAUAUUCCUCUUGACAAGAAGGUUGGCCCAUUAAAGAUCUCUUUUGCUUAACUGAACUCAUCUUUGUAUAGCUUACAAUUAGAUACUUUGGUUAUUCUUGUGGUAAAUACAGGUAACUCUUGUCGAGGUUUCUCGGCCUUCUACAUCACUACCAGAUAUCUUAAGCGGUAUAGGAAGCUCGGUGAUUGGAGUAGACAGAACAUUGAAAGGACUACUCGAUGAGUUAACAGUCAGCGAGGGUGUACAAGCUCGAAUGGAUGGGAUCAUGUUUCAGCAACUUGGCCGAGAUUCUUUAGCAAGUCCUAUCAUUGAUCUUCUUAAAGAUUACCUCAGCUCUCUCCGAUGAUUCCAAACCUUCACUUGAUCCGUUACAAAGAAACGUCUUCAAAGCCAUACUUAAUAAUAAAGACUUCAUCAAUGAAAUUAAACUGAUAUCAAGUUAAAACCGAUUAUACAUGAAGUUAAUGUGAAAGAAGUUUCAAACAUAUAAAUAUGUACCUGCAGUGUCUCUCUAAUAACACCAAGCAAAUAAUGAAGACCUCAAUGACCACCGUUUUCUUCCUCGCAGUCGCCCUCUCCAUUUCUGCUAUCUCCUUAGCCAAGGAGAGCCCUGUGGAAGAUUGCCUAAGAAGAAUCAUCGCCCCAGCGCUCACUCCUUCUCCUUCAGACAAACCCACAACAUCUAAUCUCAAGCUUGAAGACGAGUUAUGCAAAGACGAGACACGAACCGUCAUGUUCUUCUUGAAACUGCACGGAAGGUUCCCACGUUACUACCUCAAGGCAAUGUGCAAUGUAUUCGAAAACGAUGAAAAGAAAGUGAAAGAUUACGUUACCACAAAAUGGUUAGAUCAUUCGGAGAAGCUCCUCAACAGCUUAUCUUGCAUAACAAGGACCACCUUGGUGAUCAAGAAGAGUCCUCUGGAAACUUGCAUUAAGAGAAACACUGAUGAAUAUAUCACUCUUCCUCUUUCAAAGGAAACAAAAUAUCAUCUAGAUGUCGUAGAUAUCAUAGGAGACGAUUACUGCAGAGACGCUGCACGAGACAUCUUGUACUUCUUGGAACUCCACGGUACGUUCCCACCUUACUACGUCCAGGCAUUGUGCAAUGUAUUCGAAGACGAGGAGAAGAAAGUGAAGGAAUACAUUAUGAAGAAUUGGUUAUAUCGUUCGGGCAAGCUCAUCGAUAGUUUAUCUUGUUCUUCUCUAUAAAAAAAUCCGUAAACUUUUUGAUGAAUUAAAAGUAUAAAAAAACUUUAUAAUAUAUUCCUUUCGUUUAAAAAUGAUGUAUUUCUCUGGAGUUCUGAUAAUAAAUUUUGAUUAUACUUGCAUUGUUUUUUGUGAUUAACUAAUUUCAUAAUUUUAGCCAAUCAAAUUUAAUAAACAUAAUUAAUUUCUUGAAAAUUUACAAUUUACCAUUACUGUCUAAUAAAAUACAAGUAUAAGAUACACAUAUAUAUAUAUAUAUAUAUAUAUAUCUAUAUAUAUUUUUUUUUUCUGAAACAAUUUUACUUUUUAUGUAAAAUAUAUAUCAUUUUGAGAUGGAACUUGGAAGCAUUAUUAUUUCUGACAUCUUUUGUUACAAACUUACAAUAUUACAUGUUACCAACAAAGUUGGUCGUGAGUGUUCCGACAUAAACAACACUUUUAUAUUCAUUCACUUCACUAACUAACGUAUCUCCAUAAUAUUCUCCUAGAGACAUACGCCGUAUAAUCUCACCGCCGGCGUUGACUUUCACCGCUGACGGCUCGGUAGGGACUACUAUAAGCUUCACGGAGUUGGAAGCGAUCCAGAAAUCUCCACCGUCUGUUUUCCUUAUGUUGUCAGGACCAGGGAUCGAAGGUACGAAAAUCUCCCACGUGUUGGCUUUUGGACCCUUGAUCCAAUACCUUAAGAUUCUAUUCCUCAAGAACUCUCCCACCAGAACAAACUCUCCGUCGGAGCUCACGGCGCAUCCGGCGGAGCCACUUAGACCGCUUAACAAAACGGUUACGCUUUUAGUCUUUGGAUCGUACCUAAAGAACCUCCCCGUUGCAUCGUUAACAGCAACCGCCAAGACAAGUUGACUGUAAUAACAAAAAGAAAAAAAGUUACGUUUGUUCGGUUUAACUAAACCGAACCGUUACGAAAUCGGAUUAUAAGUAACCUGGGGCCAAAUCUUGUGCUGAAAGAUGUGAAGUAAACCGAACCGGUGACUGGAUCUACAUCUAAACCGUCAAGGAAUUUAAAAGGUGAACCACCUGCGCUAUCGGCUAGGCGCUUGGCUUGGCCACCGCGGCGUGAAACCAGGUACAAACCCAAGAAUGCAUCGGCUAUGUACAAAUCUCCGGUUAUCUCAUUGAAAGCUAAACCGACUGGUCUACCACAUAUGUUACCAAGAAAAGUCCCUACUGCUUUAUCACACAGUGACUUGUUCCUAUGAAAUAAACAUUGGAGUUGUUACAAAAAGAUAUGUGUAAUGUACUUAUGUACUAAUGUAUAUAUGUAUAGGUAUAUCGAAUUAAAACAUACGCGAUUGAUGUAAUAUAAGCGAACUCUGUAAAGCCAAGUUUUGGUCCUUGGUAUUUUAGGAUCUUGCCGCCGGAGACUCCAGUAUAAGGUCCUCCACCGUGAGAAUCGAAAGCAAAAGCUUCUGGACCAGAGGCUCUUGGUGGCAGAGGAAUCUUCUGGAAGGUUUGAAGAGCGGAGACAAAAGAAUGAGAUGUGAAGAGAAUGAGCAAAAAACAAAGGAUGAAGACUCUCUGUGUUUCCAACAUUCUGACUCAUCAAUGGAUCACAAUGAAACAAAGCAAUAUCGUUUUUGUAUGCAUACACGCACAAAGUCUUUGGCUUAGUUGGAUCGUAACCGAUUGGUAAAUGGUUAUUAACCGGUUCAUGAUUAGCUUAGAUGCUCUUCUUGAGAUAUGUCACAAGACUUUUGUCUUUUCUCUACAGUUUCCAUUGUUUUAAACUUAACAAUUUGUUUUGUCUUUUUCUGACUCUUUUUCACGUGAACAUGGCCAACUUUCCAGCUAAUCCGAAUAUAAAUACUGGAAUUUUCAUUUUUCAUUACUUUAAUUUUUUCCUAAAUCACGUACUAUUAUGUGUAACCUAUCUUUAAACAAAAAUCAUAUAUAUUUGACUAUUUGAACAAGAUCAACAUUACAUAUCCGGUUUAUUUAGAAACAAUAAUUUUACAUGUCUAAAAAGGUUUAUUAUUCUGAAACAAUCACUAAACUUCUUAAUGCCUUAUUCUCUUAAUAUUAUACAUAUAAUCACUUUAAAGCUUAAGGAUUCCGGAAAAAGGACCAAAUAAAGUUCCAAUAUAAAGCUUUCCUUGGGACUCAUUAACCUCACUGACCAGAGUAUCCCCAAACUCAUCCUUAAGCGAAAUUGUCUGAAGCACUUUGCCAUCAGAAUUAACUUUAACUGCCGACGGAUUUGUUAUUCCUGUGGCUGUGCUCACAACGGAAGCAACCCAAAAAUUUCCAGUAGAACCGAUUCUCUUGAUAUUGUCAGGGUUCGAGACAGCAUUGGUGAAGUCUUCAGAAGAACCAGCUUUAGGUCCCUUGAUCCAAUACCUCUUGAUGUUACUCUUGGUGAACUGACCAACCAGCACGAACGAACCAUCUGAGCUGACGGCACAACCAGCUGAGCCGCUUAGACCUUCUAGCAAUACAGUCACAACCUUUUUUGCUGGAUCGUAUUUGAAGAGUUUUCCAGUAGCGUCUUUUGAUGCCACUGCUUUCAACACAUCGCUAUAUAUAUGCAUAACCAUAGUAAUUGAAAAUAUAGAUCAGUGAUAAAUAGAUUUCGAAUGGAUAAUAUACUAAAAUAAAUGAAUAUAUAUUAUUCAAACAAAAUGUAUAGCAUCGAUCUGUUAACGUAUAAUCUUACAAAUGUAAUUUGAUAAACGAUAUGUUUUGUCUUUAUACUUGACAUAAUUUCUGUUACGGUUAUUUUAAAAUGAAGUGAUAUACUUAUUUUGUUUUUAAAUUGUAUGCAUGUAUUUUUAAAUAGAGAAGGAGAAUGGAAGUUUACCCAGCGCUAAAUUUUGAGCUGAAGGAAGUGAAAUAGACGACGCCGGUAGUGUUAUCAACGUCGAGACCAUCGAGAAACACGAACGGUUUGCCGUCAACACUGUCGGCUAUCUUCUUGGCCAUACUGCCGAAGACAGCAUGGACGACGUGAAGACCCAAUACAGCAUCGGCCACGUAGAGCUCUCUUGUAAUGUCGUUGAAUGCUAAUCCCGCAGGCCGGCCGCAUUUUCCGGCAUUAGCAGUUCCAAGGGCUCCAUCGCACCAUUGCGACUUCCUAGAAUAAAUAAAACAAGAUAGAAUGUAAACAAGACUAGUAAUUUGGCAGAAGAUCCAGUUGUAAAAACAUCACAAACAAAUACUUAUAAGGUUAAUCUAAAAAGGGUUAGCACUUUCUUUCAUUGGUUUUUUUCCAGCGUUAAAGAAUGAAACUAUUAUUUAACGAAUAGUUUACAAAAAUAUUUCUAUUUGACAAAACAUUUUUGAUGAAGGGACCUGGACCAUAAGAGGCAAUAAAGGGCUUUCAAUUGAUGAACAAAAAGUAGAUUGGUCUAGUUGCCGACCAUUGUGAUGAAACAAGUAGCUUACAAUCAUUUCUAAUUGACAAAAACCAUAACAUGAUAUAUUUCGACAACGAAGUAUCGUCAAUGUUAACUAUCUCGUUUUAAAUAUAACCACUUCAUUCGCUUUAUGCAUGUGAGACGAAAGUAUUAACUUCUUCUUUUUGGUAUGAACGAAAUUAUAACUUUCAUAAGGAUUUUCUGAUCAGAACAAUCUUAUCAUGUAUCAAUGAAAACAUGUUUUGUACCACAUUUUAGCAAAAAUAAAAAUAAAAAUCAAAACAUGUUUUAGAGUUGUGGCUAAUGAACUUAAAAGCAUAAUUCUAAUCAAAGUUGUGUGUCUGUGUGAUUUUGGAGAUCAAAAGAAUAAAAACCUACGAGGAUUUCGUCAUAUAGGCAAACUCGAUAUAACCUUUCCCUGGAGUAUAGCUGAGGAUUUUACCACCGGAUACUCCGGUAUAGAAACCUUUUCCGGUGGAAUCAAUGGCGAAAGCUUCAGUGCCUGACCUAUUUCCCGGCACCGGAAGUUUUUGGAAAGAUGCGUCAUCGGAGAAUACAACCGGCGAAAGAGAGAGAAGAGAAAUCAAGAAGAUAGAUAACGUCAUAACUUUUGUUGGUUUUGUUUUGUUGCUAGAUUGUGGCUUGUGGUCUGUAUUUUUAUAGCUUUGAUUUUUGGUAUUUUUAUUUCCUUUUAUUGAACUUUCUUCUUUUGAUUUCAAGUAUUUAUAGAGAUUAAUAUUCAUAGAGCAGCAGAUCAGACUAAAAUUAGCAAUUAUUUUAUAUAAGGAGAAAAAAUAUGCCUAGAUUGUGUUAUAAUUUCAACAUUGAUUAGAAGUAGAUUGCUGAAAUAUAUGUGUAUCUUAGAGACAAUUGGUUGAAAAGUUAAUAUAGGUGAUGGAUGUGGUAUACUGAACUGUGAUUCUGAUAUUUUAUACCAUUCAUAGUAUUUGUCAAAGUUUUAUGUACUUUUAACUAUUUGUCAUAGGAUCGUGUGAUAUCUUUGUCUCGGUGUGCCCUGCUGGUUUUACUUAAAACAUAAAUGUCAGUUUUGAGGGAAGAGAUAGAGGAGGGGACAGAAGAAACUAUUGGCUGAACCUUAUCGUCUUCCACGCCACGUACUCUGCAUGCAGUUCUAACCGUAUGAACAACAUUCUCGUGACUUGUCAUAAAUCAACUUUUCUAGCAUCCGUUUUGCUAGAAUCGAACAUCAUUUUGUUUUUAUUGUUAACCUAUUCUUCUAGUCUCAUUAGUAAAAAAAUCUUAAAUUUAUUUGAAACUGUCACAAACACUUCUAACAUUUUGAUUACCAAAAAAACCCGGUUUACGAUAUACGUUUGUCACUACUAGCAAAAGAUGCAUGAUUUUGUAUGUACUUAUAUAUGUAAUAAAGAGGGAAACAACAUUGGUCAGAAACCUUCAAAAUUUCAUGAAAUUAAUCUAAAACAUAUGACGUCCAACCAGUUUUCUUAAAAAAACUUAUUAAGGAAAACUUCGUCCUCACUGAAUAUAACCAGGAAAUAAGAAGAAACGGAAUUUAUAAGAACGUGUAUAAAAUGACAAAGAAGCUUGAAAUCAAUUGUGAGUUGAUAUAUAUAACUUUAUUAUAGACUGAAUAAUUGAAAAAACUUUUUCAACAUGAUCUCAUUAACAAUCAUAAUUUUGUAAUACCAAAUUAAAGUUUCAUGAUUCCAGCAAAAGGUCCAGUAAGUGUCCCAAUAUAAAGUUUGCCGUCUAACUCAUUGGCUUCACUAAGCAAAGUGUCCCCAAACUCAUUCUUGAGAGAAAUGGUCUGAAGAACUUUUCCAUUAUAAUCGAUUUUCACAGCCGAAGGAUCCGUUGGCACGACCACCUUGUUCUUGACCGAAGCAACCCAAAAGUUUCCAGUAGCACCGAUCCUCUUAAUGUUGUCAGGGUUCGAGACAGAACUUGUGACAUCUUCCGUCGAUCCAGCUUUGGGUCCUGUGAUCCAGUAUCUCUUGAUGUUACUCUUUAUGAACUCCGUAACCAGCACGAACGAACCAUCUGAGCUCACGGCGCAACCAGCUCCACCACUUAUACCUUCCAUUAACACCGUCACUGCUUUAGUCGCUGGAUCGUAUUUGAAGAGCUUUCCGCUCGCGUCUUUUAGUCCAACUGCGAUCAACACUUCGCUGCAUUGCAUAACCAACAAAUAUUAGUACGCAAGUUUAAUAAGAAAAUCAUAUAUAUAUAUAUCAACUACACCAAUUUAAAAUUUAUUUUUGAAUACCCUAAAUUUGCUAGAGUUUUGAUUAUUAAUAAUAUAAAACUAUGAUAAAAUAAUAAAAUAGUUUAUAUUGGUGCCGUUAUAGCUCAUAAUCAUGAAGUUACGUGCAUGUCUAAGUUACACACGACAGGAAAUAUGUGCAUAGAAGAUCGAAUAUAUAUGCUCUACCUGGGGCUGAACUUUGAGCUGAAAGAAGUGAAGUAGACUACGCCUGUGGUGGGAUCAACGUCAAGACCGUCCAAGAACUUGAAGGGCUUUCCAUCGACACUAUCGGCGAUCUUUGUGGCCAACCCUCCGGCGGGAGGGAUAACGUGAAGACCCAAUGGAGCAUCAGCGACGUAAAGGUCACCUGUUUUGGGGUUGAAGGCUAUCCCCGCAGGUCGGCCACAUUUCCCGGCCAGAGCGGUUCCAAUUAUUCCAUUGCACCAUGACGAAUUCCUAUAGAAACCAAACCAAUUAUAAUAUGUAAGACGUUAAUAUAAGAAUAUUAUCUUGCAAACCAUAAUAGAAAGGCAAAAUAUGUAAUCUUAGUGAUCGUGCUGUAGCCUUGUAGGUCAAGUUUAAUGAUACUUACGAAGUCGUGGUGAUCUCGGCAAAAUCUUCGAAACCCUUGUCGGCUGUAUACUUGAGGAUUUUACCACCGGAGACUCCGGUGAAAAAAGCUUUUCCGAUGGUAUCGAAGGCAAAAGCUUCAGGGCCAGACCUCUUCCCUGGUAUUGGGAGUUUCUGGAAAGAUGCGUCAUCGGAGAAAACGGCCGAUGAAAGAGAAAGAAGAAGAAGAGAAAUCAAGAAGACAGACGAAGUCAUUGUAUUCUUAGCUUUGUUCUUGAUUUGAUAUCAACGAGAUAUAGAAUUUACUCUGGUACAAGAACCUGUUUGUGUCUGUAUAUAUAGUGAGACAAUUGGUUUUAAAAGGAAAGUAUCCCCAAUAUAUAUUUCCUUUGUUGAUGAACAAAAUAGAAAAGAUUUAUUUAUUUCCAUUUAUAGAUAGGGAAUUAUAUACUUCUUAUUCUGGCGGAUUCAACAGAUUUAAUUACAUUCAAUCCAACAUUAAAUGCUAAAAUUGGAAGUAUUUAUAAAGUAUCAAAUCAGACCAAAAAGCAAAAUAUCAGAAUAAAUAAAGAAACAAAUAUGCACAAGUUAUACUAGUUUAUGUGUAUGUUACGUUUAGUAAUCUUUUAGAAAAUACGAUUAGUAUUCUUUCCAUUAAAUUUUCAUUUGAAAUUCUUAUUAAUUAUAAUUUUUUGAAUUUUUUUUGUACACUAUAUUCAUUAUUAUUAAAUAAAUCUUUGAAAUCACUCAAUAUUCUUUUUUUAGUUAUACAAAAUUAAAAAAAUUACUUGAUUAAUAUGUAGUUAGUUACGAGUAUUUUUUAAUUUAAAUUUUUUUAUUAAAAAAUAUUUUUGGAUAACAAGACAAUAUAUAUAUAUGAAUUAUCUUUUUAUUUUAAAAUAUAUAUUUUAAAUUUUGGAUAAUUGUUAUUAUUAUUAAUUUUAAUAACUUAUCUAAUAAAAAUGUUAAAUUCGUUUUUAUUUUAAGACUAAUUUAUAUAUUUAUUCACUAAGGGUAUAAACGAUAUUAACCACUCUAAUUUUUUUUUUUUGCUAAAAGGUAAAUAUCAUUCUUUUUUUGUGCUAGUUAUUUUCAGUUCUUCAAAUUUUCACAAUGUAAAUCUUGUGAAAUUUUAUACUGAAAUUUGUUACAAAUCUCACGUUCAAAUUUGUUUUCAAGAUGUAACACAAACUGUAAGACUCUAUGAUUGAUUAUACGGCAAAAAAGUUUUAAAAACAUGUAAUCAAAAGAUAAUCGAACUUGAAACUGUUCUACUUAGGAGCGAAUAGGACAACGAGGAUCGAUACAACACUUGAAGAGUCGAGAGAAAGAGCACAAACAAGAUAGGCAUAUAGAGAGACCCGAUAACCAAAGAUUGAGAGACACGACUCUAGCAUGAAGUUGUUUCAAACACGAACUUAUUUAUGGGAUCUCUUAUAUUAUUUACUGUAUAUGAUUUUCUCAUAAUAUAAGCAUAACUAAAUAUUAAUGAAGAAUUUUUUUUUGUCAACCAAUAUUAAUGAAGAAUAACUAAAAUACUUUUGCGUUUUGUUUGGUAAAAAACUUUUGCAUAUUUGUUUCCCUUGGUGGAAUGAAUGACGCCAAAUGGUACGCUCCGUUUGAUUAUCCAAUGAAUCCGAAAAAUGAAAGUGUCAACAUGAGCAUCAAUCACAUUACAAACAAAAGACUCCGAGUGGAAAAGCUGUUCCGUUUUAUUUGUUUUUUUUUUCAUAAAGAAAACUUAAAGAGAAAGCUACAAAAGAUGAUACGAAGCAGGGCUCAUUUGGUUGUUACAUAAGCAAAAGCCAAUGAAUGCCUUUCUCAAAUCUUCUCACGGUGAUCUGAAAGCUUCCCCGGCGUAACGCACGUUGCCGAGUUCCUCUUCAAUACGGAGAAGCUGCAACAGAAACAAACCAAACUUAUUGUGUAAGUGGCUGUCUUAAGAUUUAUAAGAUUUAUUGUAUAAGUUUAGAUGUCAGUUAAUAUUACCUGGUUGUAUUUUGACAAGCGUUCACUUCGGCAAGGAGCACCAGUUUUGAUCUACAUAACAUAUGUUGUUUGAUUAGAGAAUAAACACUCCAUGAUACAGACAUGUUCAGAGAAUAUGUUACCUGUCCACUUGCCAAACCAACAGCAAGAUCAGCGAUAAAGUUAUCCUCUGUCUCUCCACUCCUGUGACUAACCAUCACACCCCAGCCUGCAGCUUUGGAGUCAAGUGCUGCUUGAAUUGACUCAGUCACUGUCCCAAUCUGGUUCACCUGUGAUUACAUGGUUUUAGAAAAAAAAGGUAUAUACAAUUGGAGAAGGUAAUGAAUCAUUACUGACCUUCAACAAAAGAGCAUUGCAAGACUUUUUCUUGAUAGCUUCAGCUAUCCUCGUGGGGUUAGUGACCAACAAGUCAUCACCAACGAGCUGGAUAUCAACAGAGGAUUGCAACGAAGCCCACGAGCUCCAAUCAUCCUGGUCAAAAGGAUCCUCGAUAGAUACAAUAGGGAAAUCUUUGAUGAACUCUCUGUAGAGGUCAGCAAGACUCUCAGCUGACAAAACAUGAGCUCCAUCGUUGGGCUGCUUCUUGAAGUUCAAAUCGUAUCUACCAUCUUUCGUGAAAAACUCUGACGCAGCUACAUCCAUUCCUAUUUUGAUCUGCAACAGUUAAUCAAAAUUAUGUGAACGGUGUGUUACAUUUGACACCAAAAGGAUUUUGAAAAUAGGAGAGAGCUUGGUUUACCUUUCCGGUGUAACCAGCUUUUUCAAUAGCAUCUAUGAGCAGAACUAGUCCCUCCCUGUUAUCUUGAACAUUCGGAGCAAAUCCUCCUUCAUCUCCCACAUUACAAGCAUCUUGACCAUACUUGCUUUUGAUUAUCCCUUUCAACGUAUGGUAAACUGUAAUCAACAAGAUUACAUUAAGUCCAUUACUAUAAAUAAACAAUGCUUAAACUCAAAUAUCACUGACGUACCUUCACUUCCCAUCUGAAAUGCCUCAGAGAAAGAAGUUGCUCCUACAGGUAGUAUCAUAAACUCUUGCAUAGCCAAACUGUUCCCAGCGUGACUGCCUCCAUUGAUGACGUUGAAAGCAGGAACUGGCAUAACAAGCUCCUUUGUUCCAGAGAGUUCCUGGAUGUGUUUGUAGAGAGGCACUCCUUUGGCUCCAGCACCUGCCCUGCAAACGCUUAGUGAUACUCCUAGUAUAGCGUUAGCCCCGAGUUUCGCCUUGUUCGGGGUUCCAUCCAGUUCCAGCAUAAGAGCAUCAACAUCAGCUUGGUUCCUUCAAAAAAAAAAGAUAAUAAACACGGCUUGCCUAUCACCAAUCACCAUUUCAAGAUGAUUCAUAAGCAGAUAACACAAAGCAAAAUUGAAAUAAAAGCCAUUGUUAUAAAGGAUGCAAGAAAAACAAUAACGACAGAGAGAUUUAACGUGGUUCAUCAAUACAUGUAAUACAGAUAAAGAGAGAUCUUACUAUCGGAAGCGAUGUUAGUAUAACUAAGGUUAUAAGAACACAAUUUAUAUUUAAGAGUAUACCACAUCUAAAACCCUUUCGCUAACAGACUAACACUAAUACUCAGUGUUCUAAAAAUUGGUCUAAUCGACACGUAGGCCUACCCCUAGUCGGCAGAUUGGACAUAAACAAAAGGUCUAUAUGUUCAAAAAAAUCAGUUUAGACGUCUGCCUAAUCAAUAAUCUUUGCUAAUACCAUAUGGGCUCAAACAAGAUUCAAGCCAUAUCAACAACCAUAAUCAAACUCAACAAUCUUUACUACAUUUUAAAACCAGAUUAACCAAACAGCUGUUUAGUAGAUCUAAAAAAUAAGAACAGCAACAGCAACUCUCAUGUCUCAACGAAGUUCUUUAUUAAAUUGUUACCUAACGUCAACUCCAAUGAGUUUCGGAGCCACUAGUUCGUUAAUGUUCUUAAUAGCCUGUAAGACACCUUUACCACCGUAUACACUCUUGUCUCCAUCUCUAAGCUCGAGAGCCUCGUAGAUCCCGGUAGAUGCACCACUGGGAACAGCGGAACGGUACAGAUCAUCGGUGACCAGAUCAACCUCCACCGUAGGAUUGCCUCUGCUAUCAAUAAUCUGCCUCGCUUUCAGUCCCUUCACUCUACACUCCUUAGCCACCACCGAGCAUUGCACACCUGUGCGGCGGAAACUCAGGCAUGACGGCGCGGAUUCAGAGUAGCGUUGAGGGGAGACGCGGUGGCCGGAAGAGAGGAACGAUCUCUGGAGUUGGUGAGGCUUCGUAGUCAAAGCCAUGAUUGAAACCUAACACUGACAAGAAAGCAGAAACUAGAAAAAGGAAGAAUAGGUGGCGAUGGUGGAGGUGUUAUAUAUUUGAAAAACGUCCUUACGAGGGUUGGUGUAGGCGAUGAAAACUAAGAGAAGUCAAAGGUCAAGUGUAAAACCGGUUCAAUCUCAAUAUAGUUCCGGUUUUAAGAGAAAACCGGUUUGUCUAUUAGGCAAUUUUUCUUUUUAACACUUGAUAGCACAUUCCAUAAUAAUACAAUUUCUAAUUCUAUUAAUAUAAUGAUAAAACAUGAUAUUGAUGAACAAAAACAUAUUAGUAUUCCAUGAUAAAAGCUCUCCCGGAAUACUUGGAUCGACGAAUGGUUCUGCAUGUACAAUAUUUUCGAUGGACAUAUUUUCUCUUUUUGACAACCACAUCAAACUUACUCAAAUAAACUUCACAUAAUAAUCUGCAAGAAAUUGCAGAAAUCGAAUCUCAGAUCUGGAUAUAAAAGUUUAUAAACUUUAACCACAAAGUUAUGGUGCUCCGUGCUCCACAGUUUGUGUUUAUAUAAUAUAAACUGUAUUUUUAUACCAUUUUCAUAAUUUUAUUUUCAAAUCUAUGUGUUCAAAAAAAAUUCCAAUUCUAUUUUUUUAGCUAGAAAAUAACUCAAUGCAAUUACUUUUUUAAUUUCUCUAUUUCAAAAUGAUAUAAGUUUUAUGAUUUUCGCACAUUAAAAAUAAAUAUUAAAUAGCUAUUAUUAAUAUUUUUUGUAACUAGUUAUUUUCCAUAAUUUUUAGUAACCAAUAGAAUUUUAAUAAACAUAACUAUCUUUCUUCUUAAGUUUACAAUAUGUAUCAUUAAAUAACAUAUUGAAAAAAUGUAAGAAAACAAAUUAAAACAAUUAACAAAUGAAGUAUUAAUUAACUAUUGGCAAGUGCUUUACAAAUUCGAUCGUUUCAUGGGUUGCGUUCUCUAUCAAAAGUUGCGUUUACUAUAAAAAUCAAUCACCGUUUUUUCUUGCUACUGAAAUUAAGAUUGUAUGUAUAACUUACUGAAAACAGAAAGUGUAGAAUAUAUAAACCAAAAGUGUAAGUCUCUCUCGUAGGUGAACAAGAACAAAAAACAAUCAUUAACAGUGUAUAAGACUUGAGGAGACAGAUAUUCUGUAAAACUCAUUUGUUGAAGUUUAGGAAACAAGCUCAUGUGGCUUCAUUCCUUGUUUCAGUGAAAACCUUGCGCCGAGGUAAUACAUGUUAGUUGAUAGAUGUUUUUUAUUUCGACAAUAUACUUUCAUAUGGUUAAUAUAUAAUAACAUCACUAUUCUUUGUAUGAUCAUAUCUGAUGGUUUAUAGUUAGUGUGUAGUUUACCAAUUCUUUUUCCUUUAGAAAUCACUAGAAUCUAUUAAUAUCACUUUACUAGUCAAACAAAUACAUUACGUGGUAGUUGCAGAAACUAAAGUCAAAAAUCAGAUCAAGGGUUAGCGUUUGCUUCACCUCUAAGAGAACAAUGGAUGUUUGUUAUAGUAUUAUAGUUUGAGAAGCUUUACAUGAAGCUGAUGAGGAUUUCUCCACUUUAUUCACUUUUCCAUGUCAUUCUUUAACAAACACUGGUCGCCUAAAAGCUUUUCAAAAGACUAACGUUCAUGUGCACAUGCGCUAUAUAUAGAUCUUCAUCCGCAGAUAUGCAAAUAACCAAAGAUCCCAUUGUUAUAUUUCUAUCGACAAAUAUUGAUAUUCAAGAACCAAAACAUCAUAAGCACCAAUGGCAAUGACUAGUACUAGUAGCAGCACUUCGUUGUAUCCUCCGGCUCAACAACCGCAACAGCCAUUAGUAAGCAAUGAGAUUGAACCUACGGCGACAAAUGCUAAUCUGGUGGCCGCACCAAACGGCCCAAACCACUACUCGUCCGGCUCCAUUGGACCCUUCUUUGCAGUCAUCUCUGUUCUUGUCGUUCUUGCAGUUCUCUCCUGCUUCUUGGGCCGGAUAUGCGCACGGCGACGACGGCAGAGAAGUGGUGUAGUGGCUGAAGUAAAUCCGUUGGAGAUGAUAAAGAGUCGUGGGCCUUUAGGGUGGCUGAGAAGGAAAUGGACACGGUGCUUGACCGGAGACGUGGAGGCUGGAGCUAAAGUUACUGAUUGCACCGGCAAAGAAACGCCUAAAGAUGGUGAUCAUACUCGUCUAGAAGCUCCUCCAGCUUAGAACUUCGAUUUAAAAUAUGUAUGAUUGAGAGAGAAAAGUAAUAAACAUUUUUAGAAGCGUUUCAACUAGAACGUAAGCAAAUUUUAUCAUAUUCGAAAUGUUGUUUCAGAUCUACAAAACCCAUCUCGUAAAUUUUAGUCUCACUACUUGGAUCAUCAGUUCAUCACCAUGUGAAUUCUUGUGGAACUUUAUACUUCAUUGUUACAAAACUCACGUUCAAGAACAUGAUAUAUAAAAUAUAAAUAUGUAAAACAAGAAGCCGAAAAUUGUCUAUGAUCGGUGAACAAGAAACAAGAGCAAGACCAACCGUUCAGAUGUUAAAAGCUAAAGGAGACAAACAGGCCUUGAAAUCUAGAAAACAAGCUCAUGUGGCUUCAUCCCUUGUUUCAAUGAGAACCUGGCGCCCAAAUAAGUCUUCAGCUCAGGAACUGCUUCAAUGGCUUUGAUCAAAGCUGCAUCCACAGCCUUCUGGUCAUCUUUCUUCCCUUGUGGAAUCUCCUUCUUCUCCUGUGGGAUCAAAAACCCAUAAAGUGGUCAAGAGUAGUUGUAGGUUAAUGUACAAAGGAGAGAAGAACUUGUGAGUUUUAAUACUCAAAGGGAUCUGAGAGAGUAAGGCGAGAGUGGACUUGAUAUACCUCUUUCUCUGCUUGGAAGAACUCUCCUUCUCCCUUCUUGUUCUUCUUCUCAGCAACUUUUCCAAAAUACUUAUCAUCAAAUUUAUCAAGGCUUACUCCAGAGAUGUCAACCUUUGUGGACGUGCCGAUCACAUAAGACUGGUUAACACGUCUCAAAGGAACACCAUUGAUCUUGAACGGUCCUGAAAGCCCAAUAACAAAAACAGGAACAUGUCCAUUAACAAAAGUAGUGAAUGAGCCUUGAUUCAAACGGAUCAUAGAAAGAGUCAAAAGAAGAACAAACCGGACACAAGAAGUAAACCAGAAGGAAGCUGCUUCAAGAAGACAACUCUCUUGCCCUUGAACCGACCAGCAAGUAUAAUCAACACUGUCCCUGGAGUGAUGCUUGAUCUGCAAUGCAGGUCAUAAGACCGAUCAGAUUACUACAGCACCAUAUGGAGAUUAAACUGGUUACGAUCAGACAUUUUUUCAAAAAGAUAACUUCGCAAACAAGAUUGAUCUAAACAAAAUCAAACAAAACAUAAUGAAGACAGUCACAUCGGUCUGAAUAAAAGUGCAAGAGAGACUUUUUUAUAAAGUACCUGAGCUUGGUGGGUUUUGGGUUGCGUCUGUUGGCAAGAGGUUUCUUAACGUCUUCAGCUGGAUAGAACUUCGGAGGCUUCUCCACCGGAGCAUCAGCCUUGGACUUGGCGUCGUGGCGAGGGAAAACGCCGCCGUUUUUGGCCUUGAUAGCCCACAGACCUCUCUUGUGGUACAUCUGAGACCUCGAGUAUUUACCUACUCCCCUGAUCAGAUCAGGGUUUCGGCUGACCUUCGCCGUCCUCUCUUUCGCCGGCAUCGUUGAAGGUGAUGACAAGUCUUUUUUUUUUCCCCGGCUGCGAAAAUGAGGGAGAAGGAGAGACUGUGAUAACGAAUUGGAAAAUGACAUUAUAAACCCUAUACUAAUAUGGGCCAGUUAUGGGCUUUAGAGUUUUAUUGGGCUUUUGAUAUGUGGACCAUUCAUUAAAGAGGAAGCCCAAAUAUAGAACAAUGGUCAACCGAGUAAGCGAGCCUACUUCUCACGGUGGCGGCCAGUUGAGGACAAAGAGUUUGGUGGUUUUAGGACAUUGCCAAGUCACAUCACAUGCAUCAUGCAUCUAUUGGAAUAAGAAUAUUCCAAUGAUGCAUUCAUUUAAAUGAGACUCCUUAAGAAAACUUUUUUUUUUUUUUUUUUUUUUUUUUUUUUUUUUUUUUUUUUUUUUUUUUUUUUUUUUUUUUUUUUUUUUUUUUUUUUUUUUAAAAUUUUUUUUUUUUUUUUUUUUUUUUUUUUUGAACACCUAUUAAGAAAACUUUAUUCAACAAGUCUAUAUGAUUGAUUACUUAGUCUAUAUUGAUCCAUUUAAGUUAUAUAUCAUCUCUUUUUGUUUUCAUCGCCUGAUCGUUGAUUUGGUUAUAUAUGUUGUCUAGGUCCGGUGUUUUUAGGGGCCAAGUUGUAGGUUAGUGGUUUCUUUAAAACUGCAACGACGUCGACUACAUAAGUACAUUACCACUUUCCUUGAACUUUCAAUAUGUUGUAUAACCAAGACCGCCAACUAGUUUCGUAUUUCUUAGUUACUUAUCAGAACUAUUUUCUCGUCGUGUAAUGUUUUUUAAACAUUUUUUUUUGUUUUGUUUCUUGUUUGUUACUACAAUGUUACUAUCGGUCUCUCUGUUGAAAAGUCUCGCACUCCAUAUUUUACAGUUGAUUUUAUUCUAAACAAAUAACACUGUACAUGCAUGUACUCUUUUGGCUUUUGUUGCUCUGCAUAUCUCGAGGUAAGUAUUUUUUUUUCUCGCAACUCGUGUGGCACGAAGUCGUGAGCUAUGACUUUAGACAAAUUUUAACUACAAUAACUAAUGGAUAUUGAUGACUGAUGAGAAAAUUCAACUAAAGGCAUUAUGAUAGUAGAGUACUAUACGUUCAACGUUCCGACUCUGUUCAUUACAUUUAACAUAUGGUUUGGUGCUCAAACCGGUAAUUUAAGUUUAGUUUGGAUUGGAUUGGAUCGGUUUUUGGUAAAUCAGAACUGAACAUCGUAACAUUAAAUUAAAUAUACGUUUCUCUCCACGUAGUUCUGACUAUUCUAAUGUUGAAUCCAUUAGCUGGAAAAAAAAAAGAUCUAACGUUUUAAACAAUGAAUUUAGACUUCGGACAAGGUUUUAAAAUUGAAUUAGGAAAAGAUAAAACACCACGUCUUGAUGUGGACGGAGAAUAAAAGAUGGUACGGGUUUGUAGCAGCCACAUGCGAAAUAGUAUCCGUCAAUAAUCUUAUACUGAAAUAUUUCUUUCAAGCUACGUAUUGGAAAAAGGUAGAAGUUAUAUAGGACUUGUAAUGGUACAACAUACUGGAUUUUUUUUUUCCUUUGGUCCAGUGAUGUUCCGAGCUUGGAUCCAGAACUAUAUGCCAUACAAGUUAGUAUGGAUACUGUAGUUCAGUAUUAGUAACUGCAAAGGAUGAAACUCCUACGAACGAUAAGAAAGAAACUUUCAAAAUAAAAGAAAUAAUAAUAUUGGCUAGCUAGAAAAUCAAUAAUACGUACAAGAACCUCCACCGCAAUCUUUUCGCACUGACAAAGUCUACACAUUUUUCAAUAAGAGUAGAGAUAUUUUAUAAUCUAUAAAAAGGUUGAAAUCCACGUUUCCAAACAAUUAAAAACGACGCCGUCGUCUGCACAGAAGCCACGCACGCAUAAGAUAAAAAGCUCACCGCUCCUCCUUGAAAUUUCUCACUUGCCUUAGCCAGCAGCGAAGUGAAAGGAAACAAAGUUCUCUCUUCUCUCUUCUCUCUUCUCUCUUCUCUCUUCUCUCUUACUUUUCAUCUCAAAAUACGAAAAUAUAUGUUUUUUAGAAGAAAAUAUCAAGUUUUAUGUAUAUUACAAAAAGCGUAGUCUCGAGUAAGAACAAUAUGUCGAUAAGACGUAUCUAUCCAUGCCUUAAUGUUCUCAUCAAAAGAUCAUGUCCUUUCUUUCUUUGAUCUAUCACCAGACCACAACACAAAAUCUUUCUUUUUUUCUUUUUUCUUUUUUCUUCUCUCUCUCUCUCUCUCUCUUUUUCUUUCUCUAGCUUCUAUUGUAACGAUCAAAAAUCAAGAAUGGUACGGACACCGUGUUGCAGAGCAGAAGGGUUGAAGAAAGGAGCAUGGACUCAAGAAGAAGACCAAAAGCUCAUUGCAUACGUUCAACAUCACGGUGAAGGAGGUUGGCGAACCCUUCCCGACAAAGCUGGUAUAUUAUUUUCUCAAAAUUAAAUUAUUAAUUCCCCCAAUUUGGCAUAUUCAGUCAGCUUUUCUUUGCAUUAUACAGUUUCAUUAUUAUUUAAUGCUUUUAAAUCAUAAAAUUAUAGGACUCAAAAGAUGUGGAAAAAGCUGCAGAUUGAGAUGGGCCAAUUACCUUAGACCUGACAUUAAGCGUGGUGAGUUUAGCCAAGAGGAGGAAGAUUCCAUCAUUAAUCUCCAUGCCAUUCAUGGCAACAAGUAAGUAUUUAAUUUUAGAAUAUCCCAUUUGCUUAAGGAAAUUAAACUAUGCUAAAUAAUUUCAGUAUUGAUUUGCAUUUGUUAUACUUAUAUUUAUAAAAUUGUUUAUAUGGUUUGUGUAUGAUAUCAUAUUAUAAUUUAAUAUUGUCAAAUAAAAAUAUUUGUAAGAUAUAAACUGUAAAAGCCAAUGCCAAUACCAAACUCAUUAUAUUAUUGUUAUAAGAAAUUAUUUUAAAAUAAAAACAAUUGAGCAGAAUAAUUUAGGUGUAAAAGUAGAAUAAUCUAAAAAACCUACCCCCCCCCCCAUUAUACAAUGUGAUGCCAAUAUGCCAUGUAGUAAUAAAUAAUGUUUUGAUGAUCAGAUGGUCAGCCAUAGCUCGUCGAUUACCAGGAAGAACAGAUAACGAGAUCAAGAACCACUGGAACACUCACAUCAAGAAACGUCUUAUAAAGAAAGGCAUCGAUCCCUUGACCCACAAAUCACUUGACCAAUCCGAGACAUUACCGGAUAAAAGCAUCGGUCAUCAGGAGGAUGAUGAUGAGAAGUCAAACAAUAAAAAGUCCUUAGGGCCAUCAUCAGCUCGGUUCCUGAACAGAGUAGCAAACAGAUUUGGUAAGAGACUCGACCAGAGUGCUCUGUCUGAUAUUAUUGGAAGUGGUGGCCCAUUUACUAGUCACACUACUCCAACUACUAGUGCUUCUGAAUGUGAGAAGUCAACAAGUUCUCUCUCCACACCAAACUCUUCGAAUCUCCACAUGAUCCACGAUGCAACAUCUUUGUCCUCGUCUACGUUCUCUAACGAUACCUCCGCUCAGUUAGUGUACGACAAUAUAUUUGACGACAUAGAAGAUAUGACGGGAUUUUCAUCAAAAAAUUUGAAUGAUAUUGUUUCUCAUGAUGAUGAAGAUUUCUUGAUGUUGGAUGAAUCUUCUUCAGACAAUACUUUGUUCAUGAAGGAACUUACAAUGUUUCUUCAAGGGGAUAAAACUGAGACGAUGUCGCUUAAUGAUAGCCACCUGGCGCCCAUCAAUGUUGUUGAUGACUACUCCUUUGAAGGGAUUGACAACUGGUUUGGAUAAAGUAUAUGUACAUAAAUGUUCAGAUGUUUAAAAAAUGGUUGAGAUAUUAGUUUCCUGCGGGAUUGACAGUCCACAUUUUAUGAUGAUGAUGAUGAAAAUAUGCAAGUAUAUCAAUUAGAAUUUGAUUUUGCUGAGUUUAAAAAAAAAAUAGUUUGAGUGAGUUUCUAAAAUGAUUGUUAUGUUUGUUUUGUAAGAAAUUUCAAAUCAAUAAAAAGUUACGUAUGUUAUAAAUUCUACAAAUUAAUAGUCGAUAAAUUAAUAAACACCAUAAAUUAAUAAUUUUUUCCGGUUCCAAGUUGGAUCGGUUCAAAUAUGACACAAAUCAAUAAAAUAAUAAGAUAAUAAUAUUACAGAAAAUCAUAUGUAAAUAUAUGGUCCCAUUAAAAUUAUAAGUUAAUAAUUUAUUUUAUAUAAGUAUAUACCAACCAUAAUAUUAUUUGUUUUAUAUUCACAAUGAAAUUAUCUUUAUAUUUUCUUAACUUUUAAUAUAUUUUGAUAAAAUUUAGUAAAAUUAUAUUUAAAACCACAUUUGACUUCUAUGAAAAAUAUUUUAUACACACCAAAUAGUAAUAAAACUAAUAAAAUGUCGAACUUCAAAAAGUUAAUUAAUAUAUAUAUAUAUACUAAAAUCAAAUAUAUAAUCAUAUAAAUUAAUAAAUCCAUAAAUUAAUAAAUUAAUAAAAUAUAAAAGUCUCAAUAUUAUUAAUUUAUAGAGUUUUUACUGUAUAUGGUAUCGUGUUUUAAUCGGAAGAAACAAUCUCUGAUAUAUAUUAACCACUAACUAACAAAUGAACAAAUUAUUUACAGAUAUUAGAUUGUUAAGUUCAUUUAACUCUCUGGAAGAUAUCGUUUAGUUCUUUUUAGGUUUAGUAUGCAUAAUGUUCCAUUCACUACAAAUGCUGUGAUGAUAGUGAGUGGACUAUGAAUAGUGGAGUGGACUAACUAGCUAACUGCUACAAGAAGCAGGUGAGAUUCGUGAUAAUUUAUAUAUUAUUCUUUCUGUUCCACUUAUGUAUUAUUUUUCAACCGGUUUUCAUUUAAUUGACAAUGAAUAUAAUAUUAAUUAUAUUAUAUUAUCGCAAGAUGACAAAGUUUAAAUAUAAAUUAUGUUCAUGUACAUGUUUUAAUUAAGCGGAAACGGUGCAAAAUAAUAAUUUUAAAUUAAGCUAAAUAAUUAAUGCAGCAUAUAUAUAUAUAUGUUAAUUUUCAUAAAUAAUAUAAAAUUAAGAAAUAAUUAUUGUAAUAAAUCUGAAUGAUUAUUUUCAGUAACUAAAAAUAUUUUGUGGAAUAAUAUGAUUUGUUAACGAAUAAGACACACUACCUAAAAUUAGAAAGUGUCUCCUACUCACCAAUUGCCUUGGAUCCUUUAUCCCAAAGAGGACAUCCUCUAGAGGUUCAAUAUGUUAACAUGGUGUUGUGCGUGCACACUAAUUGCUAAAUGAGAAUUCGGCCAAAAAAAACCUCAACUUUACACGAAUUGCCAAAACAAACAUGAACUUUGGGGUUGGCCAAAAAAACACCAAACUUUCAUUGAACAAUAUUUUCGCUGACUUGCCAAUUUAGCACGCCGUCAACAAAUUUAACAGAAAUAUUUGACGUCGUUUAUUGUUGACGUUAAGUGAAACGACGUCGUUUUCAAAUGAGAUGAAACGACGUCGUUUUACACGAUUUGAAAUUAAAAAUAUGUAAACCCUUGGAUUCAAACCCAGGUUGGUUGGUCAAAUGGGAAGGUAUUUUACCACUGGGCUACUGGCACUUUUAAUGUACUUACUAACAUGUUUACUUUUAUUUGGUACAUAUUAAAUAUAAAAAAUUCUCUAAAAACUUAAUAAGAUCUUUAAAAUUCCAAAAAAUUAAAAAAAUAAAGAAGAUUUUUAUAAAAUUAAUUUUGAAACUAAAAUUGAAAAUAAAUUUUAUUUUUCUUUUUAAAAAAUAAAAAUUCUUCCAAAAUUACCUUUUCAAUCAUCUAAGGGGCGGUAAAGAUUCCAAACUAAUUAUAAUAAGUCAUUUGCUUAAACCAAAAGUACGAAAGCAAAAAUAAUCCAACCCUACCAACCACGUGACUCCGUGAAUGCUAUCUAAUUAAGUAAUUACUAGUUACAAUACUAUUUCAUUCUUUUUUUCCUUUUUUUUGUCGGCCAAUACUAUUUCAUUCUGUGAACACGAAAUACUCGUUGCCUAUUUUCACACCCUUAAAAAUUUGCUGAAACGUCAUAAUCCCUUGGAUUUACAGUACAAAAAUAUAACAAACGAAAACGUGCAUGGAAUAUGUUAAAGGAAAAAUUAACAAAGUUAAAUCCAUUGGAACUUUGCGUUAAAUCAUAAAUGACUUAUAGUGAUUAGUUUACUCCAAGUAUAAUUUUUUUUUUUUGAAAGAACUUUAAGUACGAAAGUUACAUCCGCUUUGGCCUUUCAACGACAACCUAAGUUUAUGCAUUUUUCUCUUUCUCUCUAAGACCAUUUCUAAUAGUUAUUCUCAUUUUUUCUUUUAAAAUGAAUUUAAAUUUUACUCUAAUAGUUUCACUCAUUAUAAAUUUAUCAUCUUAUAAAAACUUGCUUUGAAAUGUUUAUUAAGGUAACUUUUAAAAAUCGGUGAUACUUCAUAUUUAUCGUUUAAAAAAUUAUAUUAUUAUUUUGAAUCGGACAAUGAGUUGAACACGAGUAACGAAUAUUAAGACAUCCACAUUGGUGUAAUUUCUCGCUAAGAGAUUCAGUUGAGUUUAUUUCUAAUGCUGGUGGCUUUAACGUCUAGUUCUAGUCUAGUAUGUAAUAGCACGUGUUUCUGAAUUGUGACUCUUGACUAUUCAAUGAUCCAUGACGUGAAUUCCUACUUAAGAUAUGUGUAGAUGGACACAAGAUUUGCAUAGUUAGAGCAUCUCCAAAAAGGAACUCUAUUUUGAAGUUUCCAAAACUUUAUAUUUGAAGUUUCAAUGUGUUCUUCUCUAAAAUUAAAACUUCAAACCUAACUUCAAAAUUAUUUAUAUUUUACACUAUGAUCCUUAUGUUUGUCAUAGUUGAUGUAAAUUCAUAAAACUUCUAUAAAUAACUAAUACAUAUAUAUAAAUAUUACAGAAAUAUUAAUUAAAAAAAAAUCUUACACUAAAAUAUAAAAUUAUAAAUAAAAGUACAUAAUUAAAUAUUAAACUGCAAGCAAAUAUUACAUUAUUGCAUAAAAUUAUUUCCAUAAUGCUCCCAUAUAUGAUCAACUAUUUCGAAGUAAGAAAUGAUUCUCUUUAUUUUUUAUUUGUAGAUUACGAGCCAAAAAUUGUUGAAACCGGAUAUCCUCAUAAUAUGUCUGCUGAUAGUUUGAUAUCAUCAAACGAAAAAAAUCCUUGAUCUUUUAAACGAAAGUACAACAAGCAGGGAAAAAGGUCAUGAGAUGAUUGAAUUACGACUGCAAAAUGAAGCAAAAAAGUUGGCUUUUAAAGAAAUAAAAGAGGAAAAUAAAAUAUUGCUAAAAAACUUAGCUUCUAUCGAUGACGUUAAUAUUCGUGAAUACAUUCGAUCUGAACAAGAAAGAAUCAUACGAAAAAUGCGUCAAGAGCAACAACAACAAUCAUCUUCGGUUACACAAAAUUUGUUGAACAAUAUUUUGGAGAUUUUGGAGGUUCCGGAGCAAAUUUACCAGACUAUUAGUCUUGUUAUAAUAUUUAAAUUUGAGUAAUAAUUAUGUCUUCAUGUGUCUUUUUAAUAAGUUUUUAUUAUGGUUUUUUGUAAUAUUCUUGUUGUUUAAUUCUACUUUUAAAAUAUUAUAAAUCUUGUUUUAAUUUUUUUAUAUUUAAUUUCAUGUGUAAACUUAAGUUUAUAUAACAAAUUUGAAAUAUUUAUGAGAUAUAAAAGUUUUAAGGAUUAAAACAAUAAACAAAAAAAAUAUUUAAGAAUUAUAAAUAUGAUGUAUAAUUGUAAGGACCAAAAUGCAAAUAAAAAGAUGAAACUUCAAAUUUGAAGUUUUGAAAAGUGAAACUCUAUAUUUGGAGUUUCACUCUUCAAAACUUCAAAUUUGAAGUUUUGAAGUUCCUUUUUGGAGAGCAAAAAACUCUAUAUUUGGAGUUAUAGAGUUUCUUUUGGAGAUGUUCUUAUUUAUGUCACAGAUAACUUUCUAACAUGUAUACGGUAACCUAUUGGUUAAGCUUUAAACAAAUUUACAUCUAGGGGUUUGAAUUCUAGACUAUACAAUUUUUUUUAUAUUGCAUAUUAUAGGAAGUCAAUGUUUCAAUUUCCGAAAAAAAUGAUUAAUUAAAAAAUUAUACAGAUUACGAAAAAAUAUUUAAAAGAGAUCUUCAACAUGAUGCAAGUAAAUCUGGCCAAACGUGUGAAUCUUUGUAGGUUAGUCCAAAUGAUGCAGUUAGACAUAAAUCUUCGCAAUGCAUAUAUUAUUAUUUAUUAUUGAAUCGUUUAUGUAAUGUCUUUCCUAAUUAUAAUAUCAUAAUAAAUCAGUUUAAAAAAAGAAUAACUUUCAACAUUGGCUCCUUUCCACUUGGCAUUUGACGGGUUGUUCGCAUGAGAUCUGCUUGAUUCCAUUUUCCAUCCAACUCGAACAUAGUGAUCACCAUAUAAAAACGUCUUUUUUGUUGGUAUGAUUGAUGAUACUAUCUUUCUGCAGCACUUCAUUACAAUUUUUUUUUGUAAAACGCACUUCGUUACAAUUAUAAACAAAAUUUUACAAUCAAUUAAAAAAGUGUAUAACGUGAUUUGCUUUUUAGAAAGUGAAAUCACCAUCUGACGUUCCAUGCUACUCCGAGCCUUCCUAGACAAGAGUGAUUCAUAUUUCCUCUUUUUUUUUCUUGUUAGUUGCACAUUACGAACGACUUGUCUACACUAAACUACAAGAGUUGGUAAAGUGGAGGUUUCUUUACGGAUUUCAAACAACUAUGUCCAUAAUACAAUGUUGUAGAGUGUUUUCAUUUUUAUUUUUAGAGAUUUAUUAUUUACAAUGAUGGAUUUAGGUGUCGACCUUAAUUUCGCAUUUGGUCCAGGACCAACACUUGUUAUUAUUUUUAAAAUUCAUUAGCUCUGGAUUUUUUUUUUUUGACAAAAAAAAAUCAUUAGAUUCCACAUUGUUUUUUAAUAUAUUAUGAAAUACAGAUAUUCACAUCAUAAAAAAACUUAUAUUUCUUCCAUGUAAAAAUAAAAUUUUAAUUUGUUAUAUUUAUGAUUCAGUAUCAUCAUCUCACUUGUUAAUUCUUGUUGAAGCCUUAUACAAAAUUAUUGUAUGAUUUAUAUUUCCAUAUAGUUAACAAUACCGUUAAAAAGCGUUCUAACAAAUUUGAAGUGAUACGUGAUUGCCAUUUACUAACAUUAAACUAACACAAAGUAAAACUUCUUUUAGCAUGCUAGACUCAAUCAUAAUUCAGAGAACAUGCAAGUUCUUUUGAGGUUAAAUAUAUUUUCUGUAAUUAACCAUCAAACAACAAAGGGUGAUUCUUUCUAUGAACUAAGUCAUCUCACAAAGUCUUAUCUUCCUUCGGAGAACCAAGCAGAUAUUAGCCCAAUCAAAAUUCUAAAUCUUGUUGAGUAUAUGCACUAAUGCAUAUAUAUUGGGCACGGACGAACAAUAAGUACCUGCAACUUCUAAGUUGGGCCUAUACUUAGUAAAUUGUAGAUGUUACUAAUCCAUUAAUCAAAAUAAAUGAUAAAAUAAAACUUGUAAGUUGUACUAUCUUUUAACUCUGUUCCUUGAUCAAGUCACAUUAGACUGAGAUUUAUGCUACAUAUUUUACGCAUGUGUGCCACCAAACCAACAACCUACGAAUCACAAACUAACACGUGGGUGAAAAUAGCUUCAUUACUUAAAACCCAAUCCGAUCUUUGUCCGAAUACAGACCAUCAUCACUCAUCUUCCCACAAAACACAAGUCUUCAAAAUUCUAUAGCUCGAUGGAAUCAGAGCCCUUAACCGGAACGACCGUACCGAACCAAGACGAGGCUAAAACAGAGUCAUCAGAGUUCGAGAAGAAUCAAGAACGGUACCAAACAAUAAUCUCCACGUUCACACACGAGAAAGGCUGGAGACCAAAAGAGCCCUUCAUAGAGUACGGUGGUCACUGGUGGGUACAGCCUCUCCUCGAAGGCUGCCUUCACGCGCAACAGUUCUUCCAAGCUCGACCCGACGACAUCUUCGUCUGUAGCUACCCAAAGACAGGCACCACUUGGCUCAAAGCCUUGACAUUCGCCAUCGUAAACCGAUCACGCUUCGACGAUACCUCGAACCCUCUCCUCAAACGCAACCCUCACGAGUUCGUUCCUUACAUCGAGAUAGAUUUCCCUUUCUUCCCUCAAGUCGAUGUUCUUAAAGACAAAGGUAACACUCUGUUCUCAACUCACAUCCCUUACGAGUCAUUACCGGACUCAGUUGUGAAGUCACGUUGUAAGCUGGUUUACAUCUGGAGAGACCCAAAGGACACUUUCAUCUCCUUAUGGACGUUUCUACACAAAGAGAGGUCAGAGCUUGGUCCUGUAAACAACCUCGAGGAGGCUUUUGAUAUGUUCUGUCGAGGUUUGUCUGGAUACGGUCCUUAUCUUGAUCAUGUCUUGGGGUACUGGAAAGCUUACCAAGAGAAUCCGGAUAAGGUUCUGUUUCUAAAGUACGAGUUUAUGAGAGGUGAUCCUCUGCCGUAUGUGAAGAAGCUAGCUGAGUUUAUGGGGUAUGGAUUCACGGAAGAGGAAGAGGAGAAGGGUGUUGCUGAGAAAGUUGUGGAUCUUUGCAGCUUCGAGACGUUGAGGAAUCUUGAAGCUAACAAAGGGGAGAAAGAGAGGGAAGAUCGUGCUGCUGUUUACGCGAAUAGCGCAUAUUUUAGGAAAGGUAAGGUUGGAGAUUGGUCGAACUAUCUGACUCCAGAGAUGGCUGCUCGUAUUGAUGGGAUCAUGGAAGACAAGUUCAAGGAUACAGGUUUGCUUGAACAUGGUCAUUGACUUGUUCUUGAUCGUUAUAUGUGCUUGUUUGCAGCAGAAGUUUACUCCUUAUGUCAGUUUGAUUCUAUAAUGUAAUAACAAGUUUUAUAUAUUGGAAGAAAUAAUAAUAAUUCUUGAUUCUGUUUCUAUAAAAGGAAUUGGCUUUGUAGCCAUUCAUCUUUGCUGGAUAUGUCUUUGAUAUUACUGAGUGAGCAACACUUAAAUAUUCUAGUGUUUCCUUUCUAUAACUGAAUUUUAUUCAGGAGUGUAUGCAUAGAAGAAAUAGUGAAUGAUUCCAUGUUCUUUGAAAACUAUAGUAAAAGCUAAUUCUGAUACAUUUUUUACUAAGAACUAAUUUAAUUACAACAUUAUAUUAGGGGUUUGAACAUGUUGAAAAACGUUAGAGAAAACACAAGCAACAUCACUUUUGUUUAUGAGCAAGCAACAUCACAUGUUCAGGGCCAUGCCUAAUGAAACAUUUGCCACAUGCUCCCAUUUCUAUAGGUUCUUGUUUAGCAAAAGUUCAAAUUCAUUAUACAUAUGAAUAUACGAGAAAACACAAGCAGCAUCACUUCCUCCUAUCCAAUUAUUUACGAGAAACAGUGAUUGUUUCAUAAAACUAAUAAAAGUAACGUAGAAAUUGUACUAAUAUAUGACUGCGUGCAUGAGAAAUUGAUUAAAUACAAACUUAUUAUGUUUAUUUAUGGUCUUCUUAUUAAUACAAAGAAAUCAGAAAGAAACAAGACGUAAAACUUACAUACAUUUAUAUGACUACUACAGACUGCGUGCAUGAAGGACCAUUAGUUGAUCAACACACACAUGCUUUAAAUUUAUUGCAAACAAAACGUAAAAAUAAGUUGAAGAAGCUGAGAAAGCUUUAUGUUUGGAUAAGGAUUCUCUUGUCACUCUAUGUUUCUCUUAUUAUGGAUUCCAUGUUGAUUUGUCUUCUUGCGCACAUCGUGUUCUCCUGCAAAGUAUAUAUACAAUAUACGAUAUAAUCAUAUAAAUAUUCUCAUGCAUGCAUCCAUGUAGGGUUUUUACUUGUUAACUUAAUGAGGUGUGUAGAUAUGUAAGUAUAGGGAGAGUUAUUACCGUGACAAAGAAUUCUAAUAGUGGUAUGGAGGAGGAGGAGAUUUGUAGAGGUAAAGAUGGUGUGGGGGAAAGUAGUGGCGGACUGGAGGAGGAGGUGAUUUAUAUACGUACUUUUUCUUUGGUGGUGGUGGGGAAUGGUAAACUAGACGAGGAGAAUAGUGCUUAACCGGAGGAGGAGGGGAUUUGUAUACGUAAUGCUUCUUUGGUGGUGGUGGAGAGUGGUAAACCUGAGGAAGAGAGUAGUGCAUAACCGGAGGAGGAGGAGAUUUGUACAUGUAGUGUUUCUUUGGUGGUGGUCGAGAGUGGUAAACCGGGGGAGUAUAGUGUUUAACUGGUGGUGGUGGAGAUUUGUAGACGUAGUGAUUUUUAGGUGGGGGUGGAGAAUGGUAAACUGAAGGGGGUGAGUAGUGCUUAACCGGAGGAGGAGGAGAUUGGUAUACGUAAUAUUUAUUGGGUGGUGGUGAAGAGUAGUGCUUAACCGGUGGGGGUGGAGAUUUGUACACGUAGUCUUUCCUGGGAGGUGGUGGAGAGCGGUAAACCAGAGGAGGAGAAUAGUGUUUAAGCGGAGGAGGAGGAGAUUUGUACACGUAGUGUUUCUUUGGUGGUGGUGGAGAAUGAUAAACCUGAGGAAGAGAGUAGUGCAUAACCGGAGGAGGAGGAGAUUUGUACACGUAGUGUUUCUUUGGUGGUGGUGGAGAAUGAUAAACCUGAGGAAGAGAGUAGUGCAUAACCGGAGGAGGAGGAGAUUUGUAUUCGUAAUGCUUAACAGGUGGUGGAGGAGAAGAAUAGAAGUAGUUAGCAGUUGAUUGAUAUACAGAGGUGAGAGGAGAGAUUGUUAAAACAAGCAAACUUGCUGCAAAAGAGGCCACUGGAGACCCCAUUGAUUGUUUUGUUGCUCUAGUUUAUGCUCUUAAAAGCAUCCCCUUCACACCCUUUAUAUUACUGUUUCUGUUUUCACCUUUUUCACUUUGGCACCUCAUUAUAAAUUAAGUAAUGUAAAAAGGUACAAGCAGCUGUUUCAGCAAACAAAUAUAAUAUUAUGGAGAAAUAAAGUGAUAUUGAUGAUCUCUCCAACUCAUUACUAUUAUUGUUUAGCUGUCGAUGAUUGACAUGUUCUCAAUGUUGGAGCAACGUAUCGAAUCUUAUGAUUUUCUUAAUAUAAAGUUAGAUCUAAUCUUUUUCGAAAUCUCGAGACUUUUAUUAUGAUCCUUUUGAUCAAUUCCUUUUGUGAAAAUUUUACUUGAGAACAAUUAUACAUUAUCACAAAAAGCGUGUAAAUAAUGAUGGUAAAACAUUCAGAAAAUUAGAAGACCGGGUAGAGAUUUGUGUUCCUAUACAAGAUGUUUCACGUUUGUAGAUCUUUGAUCCAAUAUUAGUAGCCAAAACCAACGAGACCACUUAUUUCAAAUCUAUCGAUCAUGUAUUUUACUUAACAGAGUUUUUUUUUUUUGAGAAAGUUUUUACUUAACAAAGUUAUUAAAUUGUCGCCUCCUUUCUACUUUUACAUCUUUUUUUUGUUAAAGUACAUUUGCAUCUUUUCUGAUAUUUUCUAUAGCUAUUCCAACCAUACUUCUGUUCAUAGUUUCAGUUUCAACCCUUACAGCUACGCCUUUUUAGUUGAAGAUGGUAUUUUUAACUUCAGAUCUUCAGAAGAUCUAAUGAAUCUGAGGAAUAUCAGGAGGUUUUCUGUGGUAUUAUUGGAUUGGUCUAUUGGUAACCAUUCAUGUCAGCAAGUUGGAAGCCCAGCGCAAACAUAUGCGGUUGGAACAGUGUAUGUUCCAACUCUAUCCGUACAUCCGUAAAUGUAAGAACGGGUUUGAUGGGAAUCCAUCCAUACCUUUCAAAUGAGAACGGUUGAUUUUUUAAUGCUUUUGAGAGUUGGGUUUUUUUUUCGGAUACAGUUCUUGUUGGCACCUUGUGCUUUUUUUUCCUAAGAAAAGUUGAAAAAUAAAAUUAUUCUGAGUAUGAAAUAACUGUUAAGAAACAGCGUCUUAAUUCAAAUGGUUGACCAAAUGUCCACUAAUUUAUCUUUUUUUUUAAAUUACCAAAUGUUUCUUUAUUCAAUAAUCAUCUAUAAUAUAAUAAACUAGUUUAAAAUCCGCGUCUUUUGUGGAAUGAUCAUUAUAUAUAAAAUUAGUUUUACGUACUAUUACUUAUUUUAUGUUUUUACAUAUUAUAAACUAACAGAAUAAUAAAUAUAUAUUAAAUAAUUGAAAAAAAUGAAAAAAAUUAACUAUAAAUAGUUAAAUACUAACAUACAACCCAAGUGUUUGUAUACCGAAUAUUUGUCUCGCACAAGGUGUGAAUUUUAAUCUAGUAACUAAUCCAAGCUUAAUUUUCUAGGAAAAUAAAAAUAUAAAAUAUGUAGUAUUGACAAAUUUAAGAUUUAUAUAUUAUCGUUAUUUUUUAUAUGUAUUUAAAAUUUUGGAUUGUCUAUAUAACCAUCUAUACAUUUGGGCCAGGAACAAUUGUAAUUGGAAUUGUUGAUCAAAACUUAAAAUUUAUUAUAGUCCCCAUUCAUAACCCUUUUCAUUGUUUUAAUGUUCGAGUGGAAAAUGAGCCGUCAACAGUCCUUGGUCUUGUUAAGUUGUAAACACUCGUUGAUCUUGUUAAGUUAUAUAACUAGCUCAAACACAAACACCUGUGUCAAGCUCAAAGUCUUCAUUGAUAUUCUUGUAAAUAUUUCACACUUGGAAAACCCUGAAAAAACGCCUCAGCAAUCCAUCAACCCAACAGAAGCUCCAUAAGCGACACCGCUUAUUAGCUGUCCAAUCACACAGUUUCACCAUUAAUUCUGUCAAAACCAUAAGUCUGUUGCAGUGACUGAAACAACCACUUUAUCCCUCUGCAAAACCAUAUUCCCUUGCUAGUCAUUGAGUUGCAAAUCAUGUCAUGAAACACCACUCAAACCUGUAGCUUGAAACAACUGCAGAAAACAGAACACUAUAAUGUGUUAUUGUGACAAAUUACUGAGACGAAAGUUAUACGUAACAAAUAUGUGACGUUUUAAAUACGGUAAUGUGACUAAAUUUUCGUAAAAGCUAAUUCUGGUACAUUUGCACAAUGAACUGCUUUAAUCACAACACUAUACUGAGUUUAAACAAGUUGAAAAAGGUCAGAGAAAACACAAGACCCUAUUAACAUAAACGCAAUCCUCUACAGUAGUGAAAAAGUAACAAUAUCUUUCAAUAAACUCAACAGAUAAUGGAUUCCAUACAUCCAAGUGAACUAAACUAAAAGGAAAUACAAACAAUUGAUUAUCCGACACAAAAGGAAACCGCUUCCCUUUAGCUAAAUGACAUAUGAAACAAUGACAUUCUAACAGACUCGAACGAGGUGAUAGCCAUAUAAAAAAAACAUUAGUUAUAAAAAUAUAUAGUAAUUAUUUUUAUUUUCACAGGAUUAAUAGAACUUUUGUCAUUAACUCAUAUAUCUAUUUCUUACUCCUUCUGUUUCAUAAUAAGUGUUAUUUUAGGUUUUUUAUUUUGUUUCUAAAUAAGUAUCAUUUUACAAUUUCAAUGUAAUUUGUAUAUUAAAUCUAUUUUUUACUCUUUUGAAUAACAAUAAAAUUUUAUUUAAAUUAUUCUCAUUUAAUUAAUUAUAUAUUAAAUAGAGAUAUAUUAUAUAAUUUUCUUAAUCUCCGUCAAAUAUCAAAGUGACACUUAUAAUGAAACAUGGAGUAUUUGUUAAAUAAGAUAAUCAAACCACUCAUCAAAAACUAGAACGUUAAUCUUUAAGCAAAAAAAAAACUAUAACUGUCAAAUGUCAAUCUUUAAUAAUUAACAAUUGUCUACAUUUUUGUUACUUAAGAAACCCUGUUUUCAUGAUUUCAUCCUAAGUCAAUGUUUUUCUUUAUCCUAAUUACCACAACGCUUUCAUCAUAUGAAGUUAUGAACUCAUAUUUUUAUAACUAUAUAUACCCUUGAUCUUUACCUAAGAUUAGUAAAAGAUGUCCUUGAUCUUUUCUUUUGCUAUAAAAGGUCAUUGAUCUUUUCUUACAAAAAUAGAUGUGGCAGGCAAAAGUAUUAAUUUACAUACAUGCCAUAGACCAUGCCAUGUCUUGAAAUUAGGUUAUGACAUGAACAUCGACAAUAAGUGACCGAGAAUGCGGCUGUGAUUCACUACGAUGCGAACAUGAAACCGUGGCCAAAUAGUAAGUAAAAACUUUACUCUGUGAUAGAUACUUGAACUGGAGCCGCUGUUAUCUGCAAGAUUGAAUCACAGCUGAAAGUAGUUAGAGACUCUUUUCUUAAUCAAGUAAUUAGACGAAGAUUUAUGCUAGUGAAGACUGGAGAAUGUAAUUAUAUAUAGAAAACAAAAGAAAUAAAAGAGUUUAGCUACUUAUUAAAGGCGUUGUGCCACUAAACCAACAACCUACGAAUCAGAGACUAACACGUGGGUAGAAACAGCUUUAUUAGUGGGCAACCACGUGACAGCUACGGAUUCUAACUGAUCGUUUUUUUCUUUUUGUAUUACUGAUAGCCUAUGAGAAACUACUAUCAACAUGUACUUAUUUAACCCAACUCCUAGCUCUGUCCAAACACAAACUAUAUCACUCAUCCCUCACAAAACACAACACAAGUCCUCAAAAUCGUACAGCUCCUUUGCCUUUCUUUUUUUUCUGUCUCCAAUGGAAUCAGAACCCCUAACCGAUACGACAGGAGGACCAAACCAGGACGAGACCAAGACCGAAUCAUCAGAAUUCGAGAAGAAUCAAGAACGGUACAAAGCUCUAAUCUCCACGUUUACUCACGAGAAAGGCUGGAGGCAGAAAGAAGCCUAUAUCGAGUACGGUGGUAGCUGGUGGACACAAUUCGUUCUCGAAGGCUGCCUUCACGCGCAAGAAUUCUUUAAAGCACGACCCAACCACUUCUUCGUCUGUAGCUACCCAAAGACAGGUACCACUUGGCUCAAAGCCUUAACUUUUGCAAUCGUAAACCGAUCUCGCUUCGACCAUUCCUCGAGCCCUCUCCUCAGACGUACCCCUCACGAGCUUGUUCCUUACAUUGAGUUCGACGUCUCUUCCUUCCCUCAAGUCGAUGUUCUCAACGACAACGGUAACAACACUCUGUUCUCAACUCACAUCCCUCACGAGCUGUUACCGGUCUCGGUUGUGACGUCACGUUGUAAGCUGGUUUACAUCUGGAGAGACCCAAAGGACACUUUCAUCUCCCUAUGGACAUUCCUCAACAAAGCAAGGGCAGAACUUGGUUCUGUAAACAAUCUCGAGGAGUCUUUUGAUAUGUUCUGUCGAGGUCUUUCUUGGUACGGUCCUUAUCUUGAUCAUGUAUUGGGGUACUGGAAAGCUUACCAAGAGAAUCCGGACAAGAUCUUGUUCCUCAAGUACGAGUUUAUGAGCGCUGAGCCUUUGCCUUAUGUGAAGAAGGUAGCUGAGUUUAUGGGGUUUGGAUUCACACCAGAGGAAGAGGAGAAAGGGGUCGCUGAGAAUGUUGUGAAGCUUUGCAGCUUCGAGACGUUGAAGAAUCUUGAAGUUAACAAAGAAGAGAAAGAGAGGGAAGAUCGUGCUGCUCUUUAUGCGAAUAGCGCUUUUUUCAGGAAAGGUAAGGUUGGAGAUUGGUCUAAUUAUCUGACUCCAGAGAUGGCUGCUCGUAUUGAUAGUAUAAUGGAUGAGAAAUUCAAGGAUACAGGUUUGCUUGAACAAGGUCAAUGACAGGUUCUUGAUCUUUAUCCUCCAUUUGUCAGUUCAAUUCUAUAAUGUAAUAAUUAUUGAUUCUGUUUUAUUCAAAUGGUGUUGUUUCUAUAAAAGGAAUUGGCUUUGUAACCAAAGAUCUUUCUCUUGUUAUAAAUAAGAUGAUACAGAGUACAUAAAAUACAGAACCAAAUAGAGAAACAGAGUAUCCUCUGUUCCAAACACAAAACAGAGCAUCCUCUGUUUUGUACUUAAUAACAAAAGAGAUCAAAGACAUGACAUUUCACUGAUCAUGUUGAAGCAAGCCAGUAUCUUUGAACGUCUCUUCCACUAACCCAUCGAUACGAGCAGCCAUCUCUGGAGUCAGAUAAUUCGCCCAAUCUCCAACCUUUCCUUUCCUAAAAUACGCGCUAUUCGCAUAAACCGCAGGACGGUCCUCCCUCUCCUUAUCUCCUUUGUUAGCUUCAAGAUUCUUCAACGUCUCAAAACUACAAAGCUUCACUACAUUCUCAGCAACACCAUUCUCCUCUUCCUCAUCACUAAACCCAUAACCCAUGAACUCAGCCAACCUCUUCACAAAGGGCAAAGGAUCAGCUCUCAUCGUCUCGUACCUCAGGAAGAGAAUCCUCUCCGGAUUCUCUUUGUAAGCCUUCCAGUAACCCAACACAUGAUCCAGAUAAGGACCGUACACAGACAAGCCUUUACAGAACAUAUCAAAAGCCUCUUCGAGACUCGCUAGCUGCUGACCCUCUUGAGACUUCUCCUUGUGGAGGAAAGUCCACAUGGAGAUGAAAGUGUCCUUCGGGUCUCUCCAAAUGUAAACCAUCUUGCAACCGGACUUCACUAUCGACUCCGGUAACGACCCGUUGGGUAUAUGGGUGGAGUAAAGCUGGUUCUUGCCGUCUUGAAGGACGUCCACGGUCGGGUAGAACGCGAAGUCUAUCUCGACGUAAGGCACGAACUCGUGAGGGUUACGUUUGAGGAGCGGGUUCGUUGCGUCGUCGAAACGUGAACGGUUUACGAUGGCGUAAGUUAAGGCUUUGAGCCAGGUUGUGCCGGUUUUGGGGUAGCUGCAGACGAGGAAGUCGGUGGGUCGUGCUUGGAAAUGGUCUUUGGCGUGGAGGAGGCCUUCGAGGAGACAUUCUUGCCACCAGUGUCCGUUGUAUUGGGUUAGGAUCUCGUUUGGUCUCCAUCCUUUGCUCUUUGGGAGGGCGGAGAUGAAGUCUUGGUACUUCUUUUGGGUUUUCUCGAACUCUGAGAGCUUGAGUUGGGAUCCGUUUUGGGUCGUGUUGGGUUCCAUUGGGGAUGAUGUUGAGUGAUGGAGUCAGAGGAUGUUUCGGGAAGCUCUUGUGGAGUUGUGGAGGAUGAUGAUGUAAGAAGAA